CGUGUUUGAUGCAGGUAAUUGGAGUAACCCCAUCACUGAAUUUUCUACUGACCGUCUUCCGGUCAAGAGAGGUGAUCCAGGACGCCCCGUCAUCCCGAUCUCCAUCGGCAUGGUGGACUUCCCAGAAGCACUCUGUGACUUUGGCUCCAGUGUCAACAUUAUACCCAGGGUACUCUAUGAGAAAUUCUUUACAUAUCCUUUAUUAGAGACAACCAUGUGUUUGCAGUUUGCAGAUCAGACGAUAACUUUUCCAAAAGGAAUAGUGAGGAACCUUUGUGUCCGAGUUGGUACCUUGUAUGCCCCAGCAGACUUCGUAGUGGUAGAGACCGGAAAUGAUGAGAGAGCACCUAUAAUCCUAGGGAGGCCAUUUUUGAACACCACGGGAGCUAUCAUCUACGCUAGUGCUGCCAAGAUCAGUUUCUACGUCAAAGGGAAGAAGGAGACAUUUUUCUUCAAGAACAAGACUACACAAAUUCAAGAUCAAUCCAGACGUGAAUCAAGGAAGAGGACCAACAGGAGGAACAGGAACAAGCAAGUGUGGACCGAGUCAGCUAAGAUGGUCACUGUAGUCCAUGGAGGCCAAGAUCACCAACUUAAGUCACCGUUUUUGACCAAGAAGGACGACCCAGGAAUGCCAAGCAUUUACUGCUCCAUAAAUGGAUACAACUUCUACAAGAUGAUUUGCGACACCGGAUCAGGCGUCAACAUAAUGGCCGCAGUCACCUAUCGGCUCUUGUUCGGGACCAUGCCACUAAGACCAACAUACAUUCAGCUCCAGAUGGCAGAUCAGACAUUUUGAGAAGUUCAAGGAAUAGUAUCUGAUGUCCCAGUUAAAAUAGACGAUCACUUUGUCUACACAGACUUUCAAGUUGUUGACAUGGGAGAAGACGAGUAUGAUCCACCCAUCAUCCUUGGAAGACCGUUCCUCAGCACCGUUAAAGCAAUUAUCUACAUUGGAACUGGAGAAGUCCAUAUGCACUUCCCCUCAGAGAAGGUACGCCGUUACUUUAGUGACCCUGACUAUAUCGUUGAAGAAUCUAAGCAGGUUAGAAAGAGACGCAACCGCAACCAGAGGAGGCAGAUCAUCAAGGACAGAUGGGUAGACUAUGAAGGAGAAGUUAUAAGGUCAGAAGACGUAGAGUUUAAACAGAAUUAUCCAGAGGAGAUUGAAGCACCGAGUCAGGUAUGGAAAAUGAAGAUAACUAUACAAGAAGAGGAGGCACUGCCGGAAGUACCGACUACGCCACCCAACGAACCUCAGGACGAUUAAGAAAUUGGAGAGUCCCGUUCGGAGGACUUAAAAACACCGAACGCCUUGCCAAGAGGUAAACUUGGUAGUUAUCCUUACCUUUUCAAUUAUUUCAAAUAGUUUACUUAGUUAAACAUGUUCAUGCUAUCUUAAAAGGAAAAUAAAAAUAUGAAAAAAGCCCCAUGUGAGUAUACGAGUGGCAUAAAACCCAUAAGUACAUUCACUGUGGUGGCAUAAAAAUAAAAAUAAAUAUUUUUUUGCUUUAUAAAAUAAAAAUAUAAAAACAGGGAUUAAUAUUUAAGGAGUCUCAAGAUAAUAAAGGCUAGAUAUUUAUGCUAACACUUAAUCAGUUCCACAAGCUUUGUUGUCUAUUUGAGCUCCACUGAAUUUAAGAAUCAAGAAGACUAGCAGACGGAGGACAUUCUAAUCGCUGUCAGAAUGCUGCUGACUUUCAACUACACCUCUGCCACCUGCUAGCUACAUCAAGAGAAAUUACGUCAAAAUUCAGCUUGGGGGAGAGCACCCCCAUUUAUCCCGAUAAGUAUAUCUAUCUAUCUUUAUACUUAUAUUAUUUUAGAAUAUUAAAAUACACAUAAACUAUGGGAAAACCAAAUAAAGAUUUUAUGCUUAUAUAUGUCUUUUGCUUAGUGUGUUUAAGUGGCUAUGCUAAUCUGUAUCUAAAUAAAACUCAAGCAUGGAUAUGAUGAAUAGUUGCUCUGCCUAAUGUGCACAUUUUAAGUUCUCUCUCAAGUUUAGAUAUAACUGUUAUAAUUUAAAGCUUGCUCUAGACCUAAACUUGUGGGAUGAAAACUUGAUCUGAAGUCUAAGUUGUUAACGGAUACGAUAUGGGAAGGUUGAGCUGCUGUUUAUCUGUUCCUAGAGAUGCUAGAAUUCUGGAGAAUUUUAUCUUUGAAAAUCUUUAAAAUGUUGCAUGAUGAGUUCGUGUAUGAUGAGAGUCUAAAUUCCUACCAUAACCAUAUAUACAUGCCUGCUAGAUUUUGAGCCACACCUUUACUAUUUACUGCUUAUGAGCAUUGAGUGUGGUCAAGCUGUGUAGACCCUUAGGAGCUUGUCAUGUGGUUAAAUCAAGAUUUCACUUGCACGUUCACUCAUAUAUGCUACUUCUAUUCCGGAAGUACCAUCCACAUAUAUCCACCCAUUCCAUCUCCAAGAUCACCCAAAAAUAUUCUACUCCUAAUCCGGGAGAGAAUAACCAAAAAUAUUUCUGUUUUCCCCUUGUGAAAUAAAUGCUCAAGUUAUCUUGUUACUACCACUUGCUAUAUUAUCGCAUGAGAUGAAUGCUCUAAAAAAAAGAAAAAAAAUAAUAUAUAUAUAUACGAGGAAAUAAAAAGGAGCAAGUGCUCAGAACCUCGAAAGAAGAGAAAAAGUGAGACGAGAGGUAAAAAUAGACAAGUGUCCGACAGUAGAAUUAGGGGUGCAAGAUACCCACCUGAGAGAAAAGAAAAAGAAGAGCAUCUCAUUCUCCUCAUAAAGUUUCAAAAGCAAGGAAGGUAUGUAUCCCCUCAAAAGAGCAAAGUAGAAUUAGACUUCCACCACCAUUGUUUCCACCAUUGUUUUCACCAUUGUUAUCACCAUCAUCACCAUACACCAUUCAUUCGCCACACAUGCACAUCUUGAUUUGGCUUAUUGAUUUGUUUCUUUGGAUCCAUGGUUUGACUAUACAAUAAAUGUCUUGUAAGUAUGUAUAUUUUAUCUCCCACCUAUGAGCUCCAGAUAUUAAAGCCUUAUUAGAGUAGGGUGAGAGAAAAGGCAAUGUCACUAUGCCUCAUACCACAAAUACUACAUAUCUUGAGAGAAGGCAUAUACCAUCAAUGCCUUGGUAAGGAUCCAAAAAUACCACAAAAGAGAGACCUGAGAGAAUCAUACAAGGAAUCUCUGAGUUUUAUUUGAAAAUCUACAAAAACCCCAUAGCUAUAGCUGAUCAAGAAUAAGAGACAUGGCACUUGGCUAGACUGUUCUAUCUUUUAACCACUCAAGACAGAAGUGACAGUUACAAGUCCCAUGGUGGAGGUAAAGUAAGUAAGUUUUAAGUCUUGACAGUUUACUCUAACUCAAAGAUGAGAUCUUAUUUAAAAGCAUCUGUACCGUCAAAAUUUUAAAAUAUAAUGCAACAACUUAUGAUCCAUAGCUGAGUCUAUCCUUGCUCAGGGACGAGCAAGAGGUAAGCUCGGGGGAGUUUGUUGACGGUCCUUAAGUAUCAAAUUUAAUUAUCAAAUAAAUAAAGAAAAGGAUCCAAUUGAAAUCAGGAUCUAGACUUAGGGUUUUAUCUGACAGAAUUCCACGAGUUUUGGUGUUUGUCUAUUUCUGCAGGGGGUUAUCAGGAAAUAUGGAAGAAAGGCCCACAUGUCAGGAUUACGUAAAGAUAUUAACGUGCUGCGCAAUUACCUUACAUCUAGAAGACUCCAGAAGCCACGAGACCGAAGCGGAGGCGAAACGGGGCCAGACCCUGGGCGGCCGCCCAGUUGGUCAGGGCGCCCGCCCGCCUCCUGAGUCCAAUCUGGACUCUGCUUUGCGGGAGAUCUCCACUGACCUAAAGGAUGAAUCUAAACCAUACAAUCUAUGUCGGUUUGAUCCAAGGGCCCAUAUUCACUUGAAGGGACUAUAAAACCAGACCCCCUGGCCCCUGGAGGAGAGAGCCUCUCAACCCUAAUUCAUUGUUCCAUCAAGGGAGAAGAAGCCUCUGAUCAAGAUUAGAGCCACCACAUCAAUUAGACAUCUAGAUUAGCAUAGCUACAUAGGAUUAGAACUAGAAGGAGUCAAUCUUCGAUUGGUUUCCGGAUCUGUCAGGAGGAUUCUUGGUAAUUCUCUAAUUGUGCUUCUAAUUACUCUCUAAUUAUCUUUGUUCUUCAAUAUUAUGAAUAUGACUUUGUUCUACUUCAAUAUAUUGCUUAUGACUUUGCUCUACUUGCUUAUUUUCAAGAUUAUAUUGUGCUUAGUUUAUCAUAGUUAUGUACUUGGCUUAGUUAGAUACGAUCUAUAUACAUGCUUAGGAUCGUAUAGCGUUUAUCCAUCGGAUCCAUGGGUAAAUGAUAGAUAUUCUGUAGGCGUGGUGCUUAUACCGUAUUUAUCUGCGAUUGUACCCAAUAUGCCAGAUCGUGGGGUGGUUCGUGAUAGUGACAGCUUCAUUGAUUCUUAUAUAGUCCCCCUCUCGUGUAUUGGGCUGGCUGAGCAACAUUAUUACAUGGGAGUGAUUGCUAUGUUUCUCAUAUUCCUUGCUAAUAUCACUAUGCAUGGGCGUAGUCUUAUCUCACAAUGAUUGCUAAGUAUGCUUGCACUAACUAUGAUAUGCUAGACUAUAUAGUUGAGAAUAACUUAGGAAAUAUUCUUGUAGUUCGUUCUAAUACCAUGAUAAUGACUUUCUAGAGUAUCUAAUUGAGGUGCUUAUCAUAUUUAUUAUGUGGCUAGAUCAGAUUAGUUAUCCUUGUCACUAUUAUUAUUUCAUAUAUCUUUUAUGUGACACUUAUCCCUGUAUAAGAAGUUAGAUAUAAUGUUCUCAAUUAUACAUGCAAUGAUAGAUGCUCAAUCUCAUAUUCUAUUAUGUAAUGAUUAGUGAUGAUUUCUAAUCCCUUCCCAGUGGUAAAAAUAUAAAUAACGAUACCUGGAAUACUUCCCGGUUAAAAUGCUGCAUCGGUAUUAAUCUGUGCGCUUGCAGAUCCCAUUCAUUAUUUAUUUAGAAGAGCAAUUGCAUAUUUCAAUACCGCGUCUCUCAUAUCAUGCUGGGGAUGACAACUUGGCUUAAGUGGUGUGAGGGAUAGGUUUGGCAUUUUUGGCACCGUUGCUAGAUUUAGAACUUAGUCUACUUUUAGUAAUGAUGUUAAGAAUACCCAACAUCUAUCUAUAUUUAUGUUGUUUUUUUUAUAAAAUAUAUCUUCCAAAGAUCGAGUGUGCAACAUUUUAGUUCAUAGGAUUAGGAGUGUGGGAUCACAAAGGUGGAAGGACUAAACAUGUUGAAUCUAUUGGGUUGGUUAAUCUAGAGUUGUAAAUCAUACAUGUUUGUCUCUUUAUUCAUGUGAACGCUAGAACCAAGGAGAAACAUAUAAAAGUGAUAGUCAAGUACCUUAAGAUAUAACCUUACUUGAAGAGUGAUGGUAUAGUAUCACCUUGUGGAAGCUUUCCUCUCUUAGCGGUUGUGCAUCGUGUUUGUGGCACCCUCCACGGAUCAUCUCUUGUGAGCUAUGCCUUCCUUGUGUAAAUUGUUAAACUUCAUGUGUCUCUAUCUUUGUCUCCAAUGUGAGUUUAUCUCAGGACUUACCAGGUCAAUAUUGAAAGUUUUUCUGCAGGAGUUAGUCCAACAAAAUAUCCCAUAUCUACUAUAGCAUACUAUCGGCUCAAAAAUCAACCUAGACACCAUGUCUAAUUUGAUUCAGGAGGGCUUUUUUAACCUAAGCACCAUGCUUAAUUUAAAACCCCUUGGAAGUAAGAUCAUCAUUCCAAAACUAAGCACCAAGCUAAAUUAAGAGAUAAAUGAAACUACUCCAAACCUAGACAUAUACUAAAGCAAAUAAAGGUAGCAUGAGAGCAAUUAUAGAGAUCUACUCAAGUGGAGAUGAAGUAGUGUGAAUAGCAUUUAACAGAUUGAGCAUGUUUCAAAAUUAGGGACAACUAACAUAGCAACUUGGCAAAUGAUGUUUUUAUGUAAAGUACUCUCCCAAGCUUGAAUUUUGCAAAAUUCAAGUUUGGAUGAAUUUAAUUCAAUGUUGUAUGAUGAUUGGUUGGACAUACCUUGUGCUUGUCAUUCAUCCGAUCUUCUUGCUCCAAUCCUGGAAAGGUUAGUGACAAGAAUACCCGAAGGAAUAUUUUUUACAAUUAUCCUUAUAUGCUCAACACACAAGGUAAUGUUGCAAAUAAUUAAAAGCUCAAGUUAUGAUCUGAUCAGUGCUUGUUUUAGGACACUAAGCUUGUCCUUGGGAAACCAUCAAUUUAUGUCAGUGAAGUGGUUUUCCCUCCAACGCUGACCUAUAUCAAGAUCAACUCAACGAAAUCUGCAAAAUUUAUUAUAGACAUAUGCAUCGACAACCGCCCUCUUAAAGUUUUUAUAAAUAGAAAGGAUGAGGGGGUUGGAGAUCUCAAAUGUGGUGAUGUUGGAAAAACCAAUGGAUUGGGAAGAUGUUGCAUAUGAGCAUGGAGUAAAUGAAGUGGCUAUGAAAUAAAUUCCAUGCUCAUUAAUGCUUAGAGUGAAAUCCAUGUGGUAUGGUGAAAAUGAUAAGGUGAGUGUGGUAAAAAAGGAAAAUAAAAAGGAUACACGGACGACUUGGUUCGAAACUAGCACAGCUACCGUUCCUCGGCAACGGCGCCAGAAAGCUUGUUGGGUAUUUUAAACGCAAACAGAAAAAUCCGCAAGCGCACGGAUACCGAUGUAGCUUUCACCCGGGAGUAUUCCAGAGUAUCGAUUUUCCACAGAGAACGUGAGUGUACUAAUUAAGAUCCAAGAUCGCCCAAGAAUAACUAUAUAAUUAUUUUUGGUGGGAAGAGAGGAAGUUUGCUGAGAGUUCUCUAGUUGAUCUAAGAAUCAAGAAUUACUUCAAGAUUAUCUAUAUCGGGACAUCAGAGCACUAACCACAGAAAGAGAUGAGAAGGGGGCUAGGAAGGUCUGACUACGGUCCUACAAACACCGAUCCGAACGUGGUGGAAUACGUCGACCGUUAGGGCUGUCACUACCCUAAGGCUACCACAACAAUCCGCAGGAUUGGGUGCAAUUCCAGGUAAUCACAAGACUAAACACCACGUCUAAUCUAUUAAUUACUACUCUAGCGUUAUAAAGACUAGAGCACUUGAUGCAAGCGGGAAUCCAAUAAACAACUUGAAUGUAAAUAAAAGUAAUUAAAGAACUCAGGAAUUAUGAAUUGAAGAACCUGGAGAACGGUGAAGAACGAACCAGAUGCUGCAAAAGUAUAAUGUUGAGGAAGAUCCGACAGACCCGGCUCCUCCUCCGCUCUCCUCUUCUCUCUCCCUAUUUUCUAGAUUACAACUAGAACUAACUAGAACUAGAACUAGAAGAACUAGAACUAGAACUAGAUGAACUAGAACUAGAACUAGAUGAACUAGAGGUAGAACUAGAAGAACUAGAGGGAUCCUCUCUACUUGGAUGAAGAAUUGAAACCCUAGCUUUGAUUCUGUAGAAGAGGUAUGAUCUCCAGGGGCCAGGGGGGUCUGGUUUUAUAGUCCCUUCAAGUGAAUCUGGGCCGUCGGAUCAAACCGACAUUGAUUGAACGGUUAUUGUUGAUCCUUUAGGUCGGUGGAGCAAUAUCCCGAAAGAGAGUCCUGUUUGGACUCUGGCUGAGGGCGGGCGCCCAGGAAAGGAGGCCGGGCGCCCUGUCCCUGUGUCCUCUCGGCCUCCGCUUCGGUCCCGUGGCUUCUGGAGUCUUCUAGAUGAUAGAAAAUUGCGCGGCACGUUAAUAUCUCUAUGUAAACCCGACGUGUGGGCCUUUCUUCCGUAUUUCCUGAUAACCCCCUGCAGAAAUAGACAAACACCAAAACUCGUGGAAUUCUGUCAGAUAAAACCCUGUCUAGGUGUUGGUUGCAUUUGGAUCCUUUUCCAUGAUUAGUUGAUGGUUAAAUGUGAGCAUUAAGGACCGUCAACAACAUACAGCUUGAACAGAACUGUCCUGAGGAGAACGUAGCACCGAGUUAGGUGUGUAGAGAGAAGAUAACUAUACACGAAGAGGAGGCGCCGCCGGAACCACCGACUACGCUAUCUAGCGAAUCCCAGGACGACUGAGAAAAUGCAGAGUCCCGUUCGGAGGACUUAAAAACACCGAACGCCUUGUCGAGAGGUAAACUUGGUAGUUAUCCUUUUCCUUUCAAUUAUUUUAAAAUAGUUUGCUUAGUUAAUCAGGUUCAUAUCAUCUUGAAAAGAAAAUAAAAAUGUUAAAAAUAGUAAGCCCCAUGUGAGUAUGCUCAUGGCAUAAAACCGAUAAGUACAUUCACUGUGGUGGCAUAAAAAUAAAAUAAAUAUAUUCCUGUCCUAUAAAAAUGAAAAUAUAAAAAUAAAUUUAUGAUCCUACCAAAGAGAGUAAUAUUUAUUGAGGAGGCUCAACAUGAUAAAGGCUAAAUAUUUAUGCUAACACUUAACUAGUUCCACAAAGCUUUGUUGUCUAUUUGAGCUCCAUAGAAUUCAAGGAUCAAAGAAGACUAGCAGACGGAGGACAUCCUAAUCGCUGUCAGGGUGCUGCCGACAUUCAAAUACACAUCCGCCACCUGCUAGCUACACCAGUAGAAAUUACGUCAAAAUCCAGCUUGGGGGAGAGCACCCCCAUUUAUCCAGCUAAGUGUUCUACUCACGUUUAUACUUUACUCAAAUAAUAAAAAGAUGCAUAAUCAUAAAAACCCAAAUAAAGAUUAUGUGCUUAUAUAUAUAUAUAUAUAUCUUUGCUUAGUUUGCUAAAUAAAUAAAUAAAUAAAGUUUGCUAUGAACCCUCAUGAUAAGCUCUCACAUGGAAAUGAUGAAUAGUUGCUCUGCCAUGGCUAGUUCUCAAAAUUGAAAUCUCUCUCAAGUUCAGGCAUGACCGGUAUUAAUUAAGAUUUGCUCUAAACCAGAACUUGUGGGGAGAGUACUUGAUCUAAAGUCUAAGUCGUUAACGGAUACGAUAUGGGAAGGUUGAGCUGUUGUUUAUCUGUUCCUAGAGAGGCUAGAAUUCUGGAGAAUUUUAUCUUUGAAAAUCUUUAAAAUGUUGCAUGAUGAGUUCCUGUAUGAUGAGAGUUUAAAAUCCUACCACAGCCAUAUAUACAUGCUUAUUAGACUAUGAACCAUAUAUUUACUUUUUACUGCUUAUGAGCAUUGAGUGUGGUCAAGCUGCGUAGACCCUUAGGAGCUUGUCAUGUGGUUAAAAUCAAGAUUCACUUGCACGUUCACUCAUACAUGCUGCUUCUACUCCGGAAGUACGCAUCCACAUACAUCCACUCAUUUCCAUCUCUAGAUUCACCCAAAAUUAUUCUACUCCUAUCCGGGAGAGAAUACCCAAAAACAUUAUCCUAUCCCUGUUAUUCCCCGUGAAACAAAUGCUCUUGAUAUUUUGGUUACUACCACUUGCUACAUUAUUCUAGGAGGGUGAAUGCUCUGAAAAAAUACGAGGAAAUAAAAAGGGGCAAGUGCCCGAAACCUCGAAGAAAAGAAAAAGUGAGACGAGAGGUAAAAAUGGACAAGUGUCCGACAGUAGAAUUAGGGGUACAAGAUACCCACCUGAGACAAAUGAAAAAAAGAAGAAAAUAUAGAGCAUCUCAUUCCCUUCAAAAAGCUUCAAAGUGCAAGAAAGGUAUGUAUCCCCUCAAAAGAGCAAAAGUAGAAUUCGACUUUCACCAUUGUUUUCACCAUUAUCACCAUCAUCACCAUACACCAUUCAUCCACCACACAUGCACAUCUUGAUUUGACUUAUUGACUUGUUUCUCUGGAUCCAUGGUUUGACUAUGCAAUAAAUGUCUUGUAAGUAUGUAUUAGCUGUCCCCCACCUAUGAGCUCCAGAUAUCAAAACCUUGUUAGAGUAGGGUGAGAGAGAAGGCAAUAUCAUUAUGCCUCUGUUGACACCAUUUUUGGGCACGUGUCUAGGAUGGCAGGAUAAGACGGUAGUAUGUGGUUUACAGGAUGAGUUGCCGAUGAGGAUGGUUGCCGACAAAGGAGAGGUUGAAUGUGGCUAAGUUUACGGGCGAUGAUGUGUUUAUGCCGAUGGCUAUGAUGAGGAAGUCUGCCGAUGACUAUGGCAGGGGAGUCUGCCGAUGAUACAAAGGGGGAGUCCGGAAGCUGCCGGUCGGUUUGUGGAAGAAUUCCAGUUCGUUACGGGGGAUAGCUUUAUUAUUUCCUUAUUUAUUUGAGUCGUUUUAUAUACGGAUUCUGUGUAAUUUGGAAUUCGAAUUCUAGUCGUGUAUGGUUAUAGUUCUUUAAGCAGGGUAUAAAUAUAAACCCCAAGACCUUGUAAUGAGACAUCUAUCAAUCAAUCAAACACACGUUUUUACUCAUAUUCCAGCAUCUACUUUUCAACGACUUCGUCAUACCUUUUUCCCUUUUAUUACGAGUUCUUAGGAAUUCGUCGACUUAAGAUCGGCGUAUUCUCGAGUUCCGCGUGAGUACCUCUUAGCCGUGACAUCCGGGCGCAUCACUGUUGUCAGGACUAAAGUAUUCAAGUUAUCACCUUUGCCGAUAGUAAGGUCAAAUCGGCUGGCACGCCUUAACGUUUGAAUCGGGUAUUAGCCCUUUGUGUUUGCAGAUCGAUUUUGCAUCAACAGCCUCAUACCACAAAUAACACAUACUUUGAGAGAAGGCAUAUAUCAUGACUGCCUUGGUAAGGAUCCAGAAGUACCACAAAAGAGAGACUAGAGAGAGUCAUACAAGGAACCUCUGAGUUUUAUUUGAAAUCUACAAAAACCCUAGAGCUAUAGUUGAUCAAAGAACAAGAGACAUGGUGCUUGACUUGACCGUCCUAUCUUUUAACUGCUCAAGACACAAGUGACGGUUGCAAGCCCCAUGGUGGAAGGUAAUAUGAGUAAGUUUAAGUCUUAACAAUUUACCUUAACCUAGAGAUGAGAUCUUGUUUAAACGCAUGUAUACCUUUAAGACAUAAAACCACUGCAGAAACUCUUGAGUCCAUCCUUGCUCAGGGACGAGCAAGAGGUAAGCUUGGGGGAGUUGUUGACGGUCCUUAAGUACCAAAUAUAACCAUCAAAUAAAUAAAGAAAAGGAUCCAAAUGCAACCAACACCCAGACUUAUGGUUUUAUCUGACAGAAUUCUACGAGUUUUGGUGUUUAUCUAUUUCUAUAGGGGGUUAUCAGGAAAUAUAGAAGAAAGGCCCACACGUCGGGUUUACAUAGAGAUAUUAACGUGCCGUGAAUUUUCUAUCAUCUAGAAGACUCCAGAAGCCACGGGAACAAAGCGGAAGCCGAGAGGGCUCAGGGACAGGGCGCCCGCCCAAGUCCUUAGGGCGCCCGCCCACCUAUUUUGGCCAAUCAUGAUCAACUUCACGGAUUAUGCUCCACCAACCUAAAGGAUCAAGGAUAACCGUUCAAUCAAUGUCGGUUUGAUCCAACGGCCCAGAUUCACUUGAGGGGACUAUAUAACCAGACCCCCUGGCCCCUAGAGGAGGCACCCCUUGAUCAUUAUUCAUUAUUUAUAGACAGAGAAAAAGCUAGGGUUUAGAGAUGAGAGCUCUCCUCUCUUCUCUAAACUAGAGUAGAUCUAGAUAGUAGCGAGAUGGAGAGCGAGGGAGGAUUGGAGGAGAGGCCGGCCUGUCGGUUCUUCCUCCGGUUGUACUUUGCCAUGAUCAAGCUCUAAUCAAGUUUGCUCAUGGGAUGCCUCUGGUAAUCUACUUCUAAUUCAUUAUGCAAUUACUAAUCAUGUAUGUUCUGGUUCACAACUCUUUUGAGUACUUCUAAUCUAUAGGACGCUAUAGGUGAGAGUUGUAGUAUAGGUGUAAGCGAGGUGCUUAGACCUAGAUUACUUGUGGAUAUCACCUAUCUACCUGGAUCGUGUGGUAGGCCGCGUAGGUGACAGUUAUGUUGGUCCCUUGUAGUCCACCUCCAAUUAGCAGGACGGGUGGGGUUUAUUGGCCUAUGGAUAAGCAUCCUUUGUGGUGUAUUCUUAUCACGUGGUUCGUCCCAGACAUAGACAUACCCCUUUGAAGUAGAGAAACCAUAGUUAUCCUCUCUAUUCUGCUACCAUCGCCCAUAUACUAGAUUGCUCUACUUUCUAUUCCCAUAUUACCACCUAUUGUUAUCUUACCUUUAAUAUUGUUCUUAUUUAAUUCUAUCAUCUUUCCUAUUUACACCUAUCUAUCUAUCAUGGUUAAGUUAGAGCGUAGUUGGUUCUCCCGUUUCCCUGUGGAUACGAUAAAACCUUUAACCGGGUAAAAACUUCAACGGUAUCUGUGCGCUUGCGGAUUAUCUGUGUGCGUAUAAAUACCAUAGUACACUCUAGUGCCAUGCUGGGGAUGACAACCUAGUAUUCAAGUGGUGUUAGCAAGUGUCAAUAGCUAGAUAAUAGGAAUGUUGUUCCAUACAAUCUGCAUCUAUGAAAGAAAUAUAAUGCGCAUAUAAAUGUGGAGUGGUGCAACAAAUCAAACAUGAUUAAAUAUCUAUUCAAAUAUGUGACCAAAGGAAAUGAUAAGGCGAAGGUCUAUUUCGAGGUUACUGCGAAGACUGUGAAUGCAUCGCCUGAACCUCAAAUAGCCCCGCGUGAUGAGGUCCAUGAGUAUAUGGAAGCUAGAUUCCUAUCUUGCUACGAGGCUCUGUGGCGUGCUUUCGAAUAUGACAUCCACUUCAGAAUACCUCCUGUAGAGCGACUCACUGUGCAUCUCCCUGGCCUUAACCAUAUACGAUAUGAACCUAGUGCUGACUUAAGAGCGUUGCUGGACAGUUCUACAGCAAAGAACACGAUGCUAACUGGCUGGUUCGAGGCUAAUUCAAAGUACCUAGAAGCUAGGCACUUAACUUAUUGUGAUUUCCCGAAAGAGUGGUCUUGGGACGCGUCUAAGUGGUGCUGGAGGCCGAGGACGCCUUGUGCUAAGAUUGGACGUAUAUACUAUGUGCAUCCUGCUGCUGGAGAGCUGUAUUACCUGCGCAUGCUACUAAUGAUAGUUAAAGGAGCGACGAACUAUGCUGAUAUAAGAACGUUUAACAACAAAGUAUACCAUACGUUUCGAGAAGCAUGUGAUGACACGGGGUUUACUUGAAGGUGAUAAUGAAUGGAACCUUUUGUUCGAUGAGGCGAUAGUAUCUGCAUCAGCAUAUCAGCUAAGACAACUAUUUGUUACCGUUGUUCUAUACUGUUCGGUAGGUGACGUUCGUGCUUUGUUUGAUAAAUAUUGGCUUUACUUUACGGAUGACAUACACCGUAGGCUUAGAGAUUCACUUGGAAAUCCACAUUAUGUCGUUCCACAUGAACAGCUCAUGUCCUUACUUAUACAGAAACUUACACAUGUCUUUGCAAGUAGUGGUGGCAACAUAAAUGAUUACAACCUACCAAGAUUGAUGACACAUUAUGAUAGCAUGUAUGAUAAUAGGCUAAUCAAUGAAGAACUAGAUCAUGAGCCGCUGAUGUUAUCUAUGCAUGCUUCAUCUUUAGUCUCACAGUUAAACAUAGAGCAAAGGCAUGUAUUUGACACCAUAACCAGCCGAGUUUUGAGUGGCUCACAUGGGUUUUUCUUCGUGUGUGGCCAUGGUGGUACAGGGAAGACUUUUCUGUGGAAUGCUAUAAUCGCGAGCUUGAGGUCCGAAAAAAAAAGUGCUUGCAGUCGCGUCAUCUGGUGUGGCUUCUCUGUUGUUACCAAGAGGGCGUACUGCACACUUGAGGUUCAAAAUACCUUUUGACCUAAAUGAUGCUACUACAUGUAGUGUGAAACGAGGUACUAUGCUUGCUGAGCUUAUACAGUUAGCUGCCCUAAUUAUAUGGGAUGAAGCGCCCAUGACACACUGACGUUGCUUUGAGGCUCUAGAUAGGACUAUGCGAGAUAUCCUUUCUAAACAUGAUCCCACAAAAUCGAUCGUACCAUUUGGUGGCAAGCCUAUUGUUCUAGGGGGUGAUUUUCGUCAGAUCUUACCGGUUGUGCGAAAAGGCUCACGAUCUGCCGUAGUUGAUGCGUCCAUAAUGAACUCUAGGCUUUGGCAGCAUGUUGUUCUAUUAAAGCUACAGACAAACAUGCGACUUCUCAAUCCCUCUUUAGAAGAGACCAAACGUGAUGAACUAGAGCGGUUUAGCAGCUGGGUCCUAUCUAUUGGUGAUGGUACUGCCCUUGCUGAAAAGAAGGGAGAUGAGCGUGAAGCUUCAUGGGUUACUAUCCCUGAUGAUUUGCUAAUUCAUACCGAUGGUGAUAAGAUUGCAGCUAUAGUGUCUGAAGUGUACCCAGACUUUUUGAUGAACCACAAUAAUCCUGAAUAUUUGGCUUCAUGUGCUAUUGUCUGCCCAAAUAACAUAACUGUUGAUGAGAUUAAUGAUUUUGUUGUCUCCCUCAUCCCUGGUGACAGUGUGCACUACCUAAGCUGUGACACUAUUUCGAAAUCGUCUGAACACAUACCAGAUUUUGAUGUGUUGUACCCUACGGAAUUUCUUAAUUCUAUCAAUGUGAACAAUUUCCCUUGCCACAAACUUGUAUUAAAGAAAGGGGUCAUAGUAAUGCUGCUAUGAAACCUGAAUCAGAAUAUGGGUCUCUGUAAUGGCACUGGGCUGCUUGUUAAAGAGCUGGGACAACGGUUGAUACGAUGCGUAGUACUAAUAGGGUCUAAUAUCAACGAAGAGGUUCUCAUACCAAGAAUCGCCCUUAACACUACAGAUUUGAAGUGGCCAUUCACACUACAAAGGAGACAAUUUCCAGUGCGAAUAUGCUAUGCUAUGACAAUAAAUAAGAGCCAGGGGCAGACCCUUUCAAGGGUUGGACUUUACCUUAAAAAACCUAUGUUUACACAUGGCCAGCUCUAUGUGGCUGUUUCACGAUCGACUUCUAGAGGUGGCUUAUGAAUUCUGAAUGAGAAUACUGAUGGUUCAUGUGGCUCAUAGACCCGAAAUGUUGUGUACCGAGAGGUUCUUGAUGCCGCUUAUGCGGCAUCAGCCUGAAACUUCUGCGAUGUGUUAGAUUUUGGGCCUUGGUGUAUAUACAUGUUGUUGAAACUGUUGGCUGGCCACCUGCAUCCCUUAUUCUGCAUCAACUAUAUUGGUUUAUGUGAUGUGUAUAGUGUCUAUUUGACUAAGGUUCCCCUCUUUUGAUCUAAUCUUGAUCUUGCAUAUGAAACUUAUUUUGCUAUGAUUGAAUGAGUGGUAGCAGCCUGAGACAUUUGCAAUGUGUUAGAUUUUGGGCCUCGGUGUGUAUACGUGCUCUUGAAACUCUGGGUUGGCCACCUACAUCUCUUAAUUUCUAACGACUGUGUUGGUCUGCAUGAUGUGUAUGAUGUCCUUUGGACUAAGGUUCCCCUCUUUUGAUCUGAUCUUAAACUCGUGUACAGAACUUACUCCAUGAUUUUUUUACUAACUCUGUGUCUUAUUUUGUGCCUGCAGAUGGGAGAUAGGCUGAUUCCUGGUCUUAUGCUUGGAAACUGCAGUGAAGCCAUAUGUGUGCGAGCCUCUAGGUUCUGGGACUUCUAUGAUCCACAUGAUGAAUCAAAGUUGCUGCACUGUGACCUGGUUUUGAUUGAUGAGGAGGUACGAUGACUUAUGUUCCUAUACUCACAUGUAUGCUAGCUAAAAGACUGUAUAUUGGUAAUAGGUUGCAAUAUCCACAAUUCUUACCAUGAGUGCGUAUGUUUCUUUUACUAUGGAACAUGGCUGUAGGAUUUUGAAACAUCAGAUAUAUGUGCUGAACUACACUUACCUGUAUAGGGAAACUGCAUCCAUGCACAGAUCUACCCACCUGACCAUGAACAGUUCAAACCUUUGAUAAAAGAAGGCAGUGUGUACAACUUGUCCUACUUCCGGGUCAGGAAAUCUGGGAAGUAUAGGCCGGUUGAUAACGAUCACAUGAUCAAUUUUACAAGGUGGACUUCUGCGGAGGAGGUUGUUGAGAUUCCGCCUGCUUUCCCUAUGUAUACCUAUUCCCUUACUCCCAUGGAACAACUGCCACCAUGUGCUGAGGAGACCACGUUCUUCACAGGUAUAUCUUUAUAUGUACAGAGAUUGUGAUCCUAGCGGACCUACACAAACUGAUUACGUAUUGUCCAUCUCCUGUGUAGAUGUAAUUGGUGUAGUCACUAUGCUCUCAAAUGUUUCAUCACUACGUAUUAGGACACGCCAGAGUGAAUCGCUGAAAAGGACAGUCACUAUAUGCAAUGCAAGGUCAGACGCCCACAAAUGUUUGCAUGCUAUGUUUGUUGCAUACUAUGUUUGCAUCAUGUCCUACUAUGUAUAUGGCUGCUUAAGUUACAGACUAUGCUUGACAGUGGUGCUUCACUGGAUGUUGUGCUUUGGGGUGAGAGGGCAACUGCAUUCCCAGCUGAACAAGUCCAUAGGGAUAGAACCACCCCACAGACCGUGAUAUUUGUUGGAGCUCUUGUCAAGAGCUAUGCAGGUAGGACACUAUUAUAUUAUUACUAUGCGUUUUCAGGUGAUAUGAACUUAAUGUGCAUAUGAGAAGUUCGCUCUUCUUGGCUCUAAAUCUACAUACUAGAUGCUGCACCUAAAUCCACCGCUUGUGGUUUCAGAUAACGUGUCAUUGUCUGGGGGACCAUCAUGCAAGUGGUACAUAAACUUCGAGGUCCCUGAGGCGAAGGCCCUAGCAGCAAGGUAACAUGCUCAUCUAUAUAUUUAGAGAUUACAUGUGGCAUCGACCACUAAACUUGAUCUAAAUCAGAAAAAAAGUCUCUCACCAUGCUCUAAACUAUCAUAAACUUUUUAAUGAACAGUGGGUCAAACAUUUACCAACCAGUCAAAUGGGAACAACAUAUGGCUUCCAGUGAGCCUGUGGCUUUCGCUCCUCCUGAGCAUAAGAAAGUGUCGGACAUCAAAUUGCUUCAUCCAUUCAAGUACAAGGUCAUAUAUUUAUUGUUUUGACCUAAUUCCCUAUGCCAAUUCCAAACCCUAUUACAUAUUAAUCCCAAGAUAAAUCUCUACAGAAAACAGAGUGGCUGGUUACAGUGACAGUUCAGAAGAUUGACAAAUCAUGGUGGUAUAAUGCAUGCAAGAAAUGUCUCAAAACAGCAAGACCUUUUCAUGAUUCUUUUAGAUGCACUGAGCCUAAGUGUGGAACUAUUGGUGUGCCUGUCCCAAGGUCAGCAAGUCGCCCACAGCUUGCUGUUAUAUGACUUGUACUGUACCUAUAAAGACUUAUUGCUAAUCUGUCGUGUCUGCCAAUAGGUACAAGCUGUGCAUAAGUGCUGGAGAUGAGACAGGUGACACUGAGUUUGUCAUCUUUGGCCGUAUCGCACAGCGUCUCACCAGAAAACCAGUUGAUACUCUCAUUGCAGAUAAUCCAACUGGAUUCAUACCAGAUGAGGUCACAAGGUUGCUGGAGAAGGUGUUUGUGUGGAAUGUCAGUUUCACAGAAAACACAAUUGCUACUGGGAUUGUCUCUUUUCAGGUCAAUGGUCUCGUGGCUCAGCUAGAUGGUGACAAUGCUCUUUCGGUGACGCCGAUAGGGUCACAGUCAUCAUCUCUCAUGCUCUCUAGAGAUGGUGGCAGCAGCAUGCAGAAUACCCCUCAGAAAAGUUUCACCAGUACUCUCCCUUUGCCACCAGCUACCUCAGAAACUAGCCAUGCGUCCAGCAACACACCAAUCAAAAUACCUCCGCUGAUCCCAAGAGCACCAGCUACACCAGAGAGUUCCAACGCCGCUGCUAAAGAUGAGGUGGGUUGUGCAUUUCUCUUUCAAUACUAAUUGUUUUCCAAUGCAGUCAUUCAAGAUUUACUUGCUGCACAACUCUAUUAUAGGUGUAGAAUGCUAUAAAUAAGGAUGAUAUGCUUGCUUUAGCCUCAGCAACAGCUACUCCAAAACAAAAUGAUCCUCCAACAACUCGUCUUAUUCUGCCCACGCCUAAGCUAGAGAGUUCACCCAUACGUACAUGCCUUUUCACUGUUUACUAAAUUAUAGCAUCUAUGGUUCUUGGAUUGUGGUCCCUGCAGGCUGCUGUUGUUUCUAGCAUAAACAAAGAUGCUCGUGACAACUCUGAACCCAAGACACUAAAAAAUGUGAAUAGGAAAAGGUUGACACUGCUGAAAACUAUUUUAUGUAUAUUCACAUGUGUUCGCAUGGUAUCCUAAUAUGUAUAUGCAUGUGGCUGUUUCCUUCUAGAACUCGCUCAUCACCCAAAAAAUCUGCGAAGAAACUUUUCUUAGAUGGAGAUACCGUGAAUAGUUGAUCGGAGAAGGGUGAUCAAGGUGCUUUUGUCUCUACAAGCUGCAGCGGAGUGCUCGUUGGCGUGUACCUUAAACCUCGCGUGCAACUGAUACUCUUUUGGUUUCUCGGUACCUCUAUAUAUGUACUCUCUAAUGAUCGCCAAUGUAUUUGGAUCAGCAUUCUAAGCUACUGACUAUAGUGUUUGGUAGUCAUGAAUACCGAUCGUGAACUGUAAUGGCAUGGUAUGUGAUGUAUGGCUAGAUAGAACCAUAAUGGCUAGAGAAGCCAUGCAUGUAGUGAUGGAUUGUGUAGUAUGUGGCUGAACAGGACCAUAACGGCUGCGGAGCCCUCAUAUUUGUUGUUUAUGGAUGCUUCUUUUCUGCUAAGUUAAAAACAUUAGUGAUAAAUGUGUUUCGUAACAUAGUACAUAUUUGUUAUUCAAAUAUUGUUUUCCAUUGUAGGGCGCCCGAAGGGCGCCGAAUGAUCUAGUCUCAUUAAAAUGCACAUAGGCCUUAAUGGACCAAAAUCUGAUUUGGGCUCAAUUAAUCCCGCAGCUCUUUUUGUGGAGUCCUUCUUUUAUUAAUAUCUCUUGAUUCCGAACUCCAAAUAUAGCAAAUAAUAUAUGCAUUUCGAUCAGCUCGACGAGAUCUUUGUAAUGGUGUACUCCAUUCUGUGAUUGGUGCUUGUACCAGGGCGGGCGCCCUAGGAUCAAGGACGGACGCCCUGGCCCCGGGCCCGUCUCGGCUCCGCUUCGGUCGAGUUGCUUCUAGAGUCUUCCUGAUUAUGGAAAAUUACCGCACACAUUAAUUCUCUAUGUAAACCCGACAUGUGGGCCUUUCCUUCGUAUUUCCUAACAACCACCUGCAGAAAUAGGCAAACACCAAAACUCGUGGAAAUCUGUCAGAUGAAACCCUAAGUCUAGGUGUCGCUUGCAUUUGGAUCCUUUUUCAUGAUUAGUUGACGGUUAAAUGUGAGCAUUAAUGACCAUCAACAAUUGCUUAGACCUUUGUUUCAAUCUGUUAUUUUAGUAAGUUCGGUUAAGUCGCAGUUCAUUAGAGUCUUUGUUUUAGUUGUUGAUCAUUUAUCCUUCGCGUGUUCUUUGUGCCUCUUUUAUAUCUAAAAAUCCCAACAAAAAAAUCUCUAUAGCCUAUAUCAACCUUUGUGUUAACUUUGAUCCUAUCUAGCUACUGGUUGUUGUUUUAUUUCUAUCUUUAGUUGUGCAAGUAUUAUAAUCUGAUCUCUGUUUUUAGUUCUAUAUAGAAAGAAAAAAAAGUGUGUCAAAAAAAAGAAAAGUGAAGUGAAAAAAAAAGUUGAGAAAGGUUCAGAGAGAAAGUCUGAAAGAUUAGUUGGUUUAUGUGCACAAGUGCUGAAAGUUUCAUAUCAAGUUCUGCAACCAGUUUGCUAUCUUUGUUUGGUGCAAAACUUUGGUUGGGUCUGAUUGCAACACUUCCAUCCCAAUCAUACUCCUUGUUUGCAUCAAUUCUGAAAUUUCUUUGCGUGUGUGUGAUCUAUUUAUACACUUCGAAUCUUUUGGUCAGCACUAGGCAGAGAACUUCUAGUUUGGAUCGUUACUUAACUUUACAACAACUAGACUUCAGAUUGCAUUCCUUGUGUAUUACUCCCCACCAAGCUCCACAUAAAAACCAUCAUAAUCGGUACUCUCUGUUCUUGUAUUCACCUCGCCAUCACUUUCAGUUGCCACCAUACAUUUGUUUUCUUUGUAAUCUGCAGCAGAGGAAUUCAUAAGAGCUUCGGUGGUUAGAGAGGUGAGUUGUGAGAGCCACAAAAUUUUCAUAUUCCACAAAUACAAAUUAUUUGUAUUCAGCUAACCUUACAGGAAGAUGGGUCGAGUGGACAUCAAAGAUCGUGUUACCAUAGCACAAUUUAAUAAACUCCGACAAAGCAUGGAAGAAAAGCAAGAGAGGUUGACACAAGAUCUUCAGAAUCUUAUGACUGAAAUCAGAAGGCAUCGUCCACCUCAUGAUGGUGCAAGCAACCAUAGUGGAGAUAGAGAAGAUAGUGAUGGAAGAAGAGGAGGUCGGAGGAACCUGAGGGCUGCACAUUGUAAAGGAAGAAGACAUAGUGGAAGAAACGAUGAUGAAUCUGAAGAUGAGGCUAAUGACAACCCUUCCAACUCAGUUUUGGUCGCCGAUGUCAUAGAAGAGGCAACCAUGAAGAAAGAUUUGGCAAACUGAAAUUUACCAUGCCAAAAUUUGUUGCUGAACCAUCCACGAGGAAUUUCUCUAGAGGCUCAAGUGGAGGCUCUCGAUCUAAUUUUCAGGGUACUUUUAGUGGAAAGAACACUGUUGUCCCAAGUUCAAACCAGCAGCAUCAACGGCUACUUCAGUGGGUUCUACUUCCAGGAGUAGUGGAAUUCAGAGCUUCAAGUGUGGAGACCUUGGGCAUAUAAGUAAGGAGUGCCCCAAUACUCAGGUGAUCAUUGUGAAUGAUGAUGGAGAUCUUGAAUCAGCUAGUGAAGAGGGAAUUGAGGAGGAAGCCCAUGGAGAUGAGGACUUUACGAGCUGCGAGUUUGAGCAAGGAGCUGCUCUUGAGGUGACUCAAAUCUUGAGUGUUCUGGCAAAUGAAGCCGAAAAUGGGCAGCGAUAGAAAUUAUUUCAAACUAGAGCAAAGGUGCAUGAUAAAGUGGUGAAGGUGAUUAUCGAUGGAGGGAGCUGCCAUAAUCUUGCUAGUUGUGAGAUGGGUGAUAAACUUGGCUUGAAGCUGCUACGACACCCUCAUCCAUAUCAUGUACAGUGGCUGAAUGAUUCGGGAGAUAUCAAGAUUGGAUAUAAAGUAAACGUUCCAUUCAAGAUAGGUGAAUAUGUUGACACAGUAGAGUGUGAUGUGGCACCUAUGUUGGUGUGUCACUUGCUGCUUGGAAGGCCAUGGCAAUAUGAUCGAUAUAGCCAACAUUGUGGGAGAACAAAUCAGUUUACUAUCAAUCUAAUGGGGAAGAAGUUUGUUCUCCAGCCUAUGACACCCCAACAAAUCAUGGCUGAACAUUUACAAAAGAAAUCUGAAACUGUUCCAGUGAGUAGAGAGGAAGGAGAGCAAAAGAAAUUGAGUGCCAUCCACAAUUCGGUGAGUGAGUGCCACAAGCCAAAUUUGACGGAGAAAAAGAAAGGAGAGGGAGAGAAUUUAGUCAUGCUAGCCACAAAAUCUGAAAUGAGAGAAGUGAGGAACAACCCUGAACAAGUGCUCUUUGUACUUGUGUACAAAGACAUUUUAAUGUCAGCUAACGACAUGAACUCUCUUCCUAGUGUUGUGUCUCAUCUUUUGUAGGACUUUGGAGAUGUCUUACAAGAAGAAACACCAGCGGGACUACCUCCAAUUCGUGGGAUUGAGCAUCAAAUUGAUCUCAUUCCAGGGGCUGCACUACCUAAUCGACCACCAUACCGAACCAAUCCAGAAGAAACAAAGGAGAUACAAAGGCAAGUGCAAGAACUUCUUGAGAAAGGUUUUGUUCGUAAAAGUUUAAGUCCUUGUGUUGUUCCUGUAAUUUUAGUACCUAAGAAAGAUGGUUCUUGGAGAAUGUGUGUUGAUUGUAGAGCUAUAAAUAACAUCACUGUUCGCUAUCGUCAUCCUAUCCCACGUUUAGAUGACAUGCUUGAUGAAUUAAGUGGUUCCACCAUAUUCACUAAAAUUGAUUUGAGAAGUGGAUACCAUCAGAUAAGAAUGAAAAUAGGGGAUGAAUGGAAAACUGCAUUUAAAACCAAAUUUGGGCUGUAUGAAUGGUUAGUUAUGCCUUUUGGUUUGACUAAUGCUCCUAGUACUUUCAUGAGAUUAAUGAACCAUGUAUUGAGAGCUUUCAUUGGAAAAUUUGUUGUUGUCUACUUCGAUGAUAUCUUAAUUUACAGAAAGUCUUUUGAGGAACAUGUGAAUCAUAUUCGGCAAGUCUUGGAAGAGCUUAGAAAGGAGAAAUUAUUUGCUAAUCUUGAGAAGUGCAGUUUUUGCACAGACCAUGUUGUGUUUCUUGGCUUUGUUGUUUUAGGAAAGGGCAUAGAAGUGGAUGAAAGCAAGGUGAAAGCCAUCAAGGAUUAGCCAACUCCAACAAAUGUAAGUCAAGUAAGAAGUUUUCAUGGCCUUGCUGGUUUUUAUAGGAGGUUUGUGAGAGAUUUCAGUAUCAUCGCUGCUCCUUUGAAUGAAUUGACAAAGAAAGGUGUUGACUUUAAAUGGGGAAAAUCACAAGAAAAUGCUUUUCAAGAACUAAAGAAACGUUUAACUGAAGCACCAUUACUUGUUCUUCUUGAUUUCAUUAAAACUUUUUAAGUUGAAUGGGAUGCUAGUAGAAUUGGCAUAGGAGGAGUUUUUAUGCAACAAGGAAAACCUAUAGCAUAUUUUAGUAAAAAACUAGGAGCUGCUCAACUGAAUUAUUCUGUGUAUGAUAAAGAAUUAUAUGCUUUGGUGCGUGUGCUUAAAACAUGGCAGCAUUACUUAUGGCCAAAAUAAUUUGUUAUUCACUCUGAUCAUGAAGCUUUGAAAUACUUGAAAGGACAAGCAAAACUGAACCGUCGUCAUGCCAAAUGGGUUGAGUUCAUCAAAACAUUUUCAUACAUUAUGAAAUAUAAGUGAAUCGCACAUUGUCAAUGUUGCUGCAAACAAUGGUAAAAAAGAACCUGAAGGUUUGGGAGGAAUGCUUGCCACAUGUGGAGUUUGCAUAUAAUAGGGCAGUACACUCUGCCACUAAUAUGUGUCAUUUUGAAAUUGUAUAUGGGUUCAAACCUAUUGCUCCGAUAGAUUUGUUGCCCCUUCCAUUGCACGAAAGAACCAAUAUGGAAGCCUCCAAGCGUGCUACAUACAUCAAGAAGGUACACGAGAAACCAAGGAAGCAAUUGAACUCAAGGCAGGACGCAAGGCUGCAAGUAUGAACAAACAUAGGAAGAAGGUGUUAUUUAAACCCGAGGACUUGGUGUGGAUACACUUGCGCAAGGAUCGCUUUCCUCAGUAGCGCAAAUCAAUAUUGCUGCCACGAGGAGAUGGUCCAUUUCGUGUUCUUGAGAAGAUCAAUGACAAUGCAUACAAGAUUGAUCUUCCUACAAGUUAUGGCGUGAGCAACUCCUUCAAUGUUGCUGAUCUCUCACCAUUCACAAGUGAAGACACUUUAGAGUCGAGGACGACUCCUUUUCAAGGGGGAGGAUGAUAUGACCAUGCCACCAAGCAAGAUGUCACAAGCUCCAAGUCAAGCUACACUCACUCAAGUUUCACCUACACCGACACCAGCCCAAGUCAUCGAUGGACCGAUUACACGUAAUCAUGCAAAGAAGCUACAAUAAGAGGUCCACGCGCUACUUUGUGAGAUUAUUUUAACAUUAAUGAGAAUUAUAUACUACCUAAGUGUUGUACCUUGAUUGUACUAAGGUAUAUAGAAGAAGAUAAGGAUGAAUCUGACCCUGAAGAACAGACCAGUGCAAGUUCCAGAAGAAGUCAAAAACGGACCAGUGGAAGUCAAAAACGGACCAGUGCAAAGAAAUCUUCAUAACGUUUUUCUCACAAAAGCUAUGAAGGUCCAUGAGGACUUGUUGGAAAGCUUGACGAGUCUACUUUCCAAUGAAUCUAGUGGCGACCAGUUUGGAAACUCCAUAUUGCCUGCAGAACAUAAUUAGUACAGACUGCUCAGAAGGUCAACAGUCUAUCGUGACAAAAUGUUGGUACAACUUGCCAAGUAAAAUUGUAGCAAUCUAUAAUGUUUCAUGAUGGUUGGCAUAUAUUGCUGAAAAUCCCUUUGAGUCUAGUUUCACACCCAAGAAACGGUUCAUCAUUUGGACUUUCCAAUAAAACGUUAUGGUCAGUUUAUUGGAAACUGCUCUGGAGGCCAACAGUCACGCGAAGCCACUUCGUGAAUCCAUUUCGAGGGGACCUUUCACAUUGCCUUCCCUCAGAAACUCUAUUUCGUUUUCAUACCUAUCUAGCAGGGCUGUUGCUAGUAUAAAUAUCCCCUAAGACUCAUUGUAAUCGAAGACUUUCGAUAAUUGAAAUACAGAAUCCCUUUUGUUUAGCUGUGUGCUAACAAAUAUUCAGAGAGUGAUCUCUACCCCUUUGCUCUUGUGAUUUCCUCGCAGGAUUACAUAGGCGGUGGCUUCAUCCGCUCCCAAUUGGUGCUCCUACUCCCUUCAAGGUAUUCCUUGAUUGAUUGUAGGUUAUGUUGGUUGGUUCUUUGAGAGUGUGGUUGGGCGAAUCCUUGAUUCAGGUUGCCGGUUAAAGACGGUGGUUGGCUUUGAGUUUUAUUUGCCAGGUUGCACUAGUUAUCGCUGCUUGCAGCAAGUUAUCCGGCUGUUCUUCAGCAAGUUAUCAAUGUUCUUCCUACGUCGUUGUUGACGGUCCUUAAGUACUAAAAUUAAUAAUCAAAUAAACAUGGAAAAGGAUCAAUAUGAAACAAACAUCUAGAAUUAGGGUUUUAUCUGACAGAAUUCCACGAGCUUUGGUGUUUAUCUAUUUCUGCAGGGGGUUAUCUGAGAAUAUGGAGAGAAGGCCCACAUGUCAUGUUUACAACGAGAUAAUUACGUGCCGCGCAAUUUUCCUCAAUCUAGAAGGGUCCAGAAGCCACGGGAACGAACGAGAAGAGAAUCGGGCUCGGGGGCAGGGCGCCCGCCCACCCCCCUUGGGUGCCUGCCCUGGCCAAGAGUUGGAUCGGGACUCUCUCUCGGGACAACGCUCCACCGACCUAAAGGAUCAAUCUAACCGUACAAUCUAUGUCGGUUUGAUCCAAUGGCUCACGUUCACUUGAGGGGACUAUAAAACCAGACCCCCUGGCCCCUGGAGGAGAAGAGAAGAAAUCAUUAUUCAGAGGUAGCCAUCAAAGUUAGGGUUUAGAGCUUCUCUCCCAUAGAGAAUUAGAAUUAGCCACUCUCUAAUCCUUCAAGUUUAGAGGUUUGAUUAGAUAGCAAUUAGAGAAGUAGAGCACUACGCUCUGGAUUCGGAUCUUCGGUAAUAAAGAUUGGUAUUAUUCAUAUCUUUCUCUAAUUCUUUGUUCUAAUUGCAUUAUGUCUCUAAUUAUUAUGUUCUUAGUUUGUUCUAAUUCUAUAUUUGAUAUAGUUCUAAUUGAUAAUGAGUUUAUGUAUAUGUUUGCAAAGCGCUUAGCUCUUGACGCGAGGGAGUUACGUGAUAGAUCACAUGUGAGCGUGGUGCUUAGAUGUUAUUUAUCUACAAAUGUAUCCUAUUGGUCGGGUCGUGUGGUAGUUCGCGAUAGUGACAGCUUCGUUGAUUCUUAUAUAGUCCACCCUCCGUUGAUAGGACAGGCAGAACCGGUAUUGUGGAGUAAGUCAUGCGAUGCUCUGAUUUACUUUAUCAAUGUUCCUUAUACAUGAAUGAAGAGUGUUUUAUGCUAUAUAUGGUCUUGUAGAUAACUAGAGUAGAUUAUGACUUAGUAGUUAGUAGGUAACUUAGAAUCCAUUCUCUAGCUAAUCUGACAUCACCUACAUAUAUGAGGAGUAGUCUAUUUUCUAAUCGCUGUGUUAUCUACCCAUGAACUUAUAAUUCAUUAUCAUUAUCUUUAUGGUUUACCCCCUGCUAAAGUAAGUGACUGUGUGACGAGUUUCUCAUUAGUAAUCAUGUUCUUGCAAGUUUAUCUCUAGUCUAUGCCUUGAUAGAUUUUGCCCCUUGAUUUAAUUUCAUCUUCUUUAAUUCUCUUGAGCAAAAUUAUAAAUAACGAUACCUGGAAUACUUAUCCUGGUGAAAUGCUACAAUGAGGUGUUUUAUCUGUGCGCUUGCGGAUAGAAUAGAUUAUUUUCUAGAGAGCCUUUACAUUUAUAAAUACCUUUGUACACUCUGGCACCAUGCUGGGGAUGACAACCUAGUAUCUAAGUGGUGUUAGCUAGUGUCAACAGUCGUGAAGAUCGGGACAACGUGUCGCAUCACCUAGUGUCAUCGCUGCAGCACCACACCAGCCGAAUGCCCCAGGCGUUCGUCCUUCUGCUCCGCAGAACCAUAAUUACCCUUGUUAUAAUUGUGGUAAACCCAGACAUUUUUCCAAGGAAUGCCCCUACCAUAAACAAUAUAAGCCCAACUUCCAAAGGCCGCGUGUCGGCCAACCUUAGUCGAGCCAGUUUAAGAAUGUGGCUCAAAAAGGUCAAAAUGCACAGAGGGGUAAUCCCGCAAAGAAAGUUGGACAAGUUUUUCACAUGGAGGUUGAAACCAUACCGGAAGGCGAGCCGGUGAUGAUGGGUAUGUUUUCUGUUGACAAUCAUCCUGCUUUAAUACUUUUUGAUUCCGGUGCAUCUCACACCUUCAUCAAUCGCACCUUUGUGGUAAAGCAUGACAUACCCAUCGGGGAAACUAAAGAUCAUUUCUGUAUACAGUCGCUAGGAGGACGACUAAGUUCUAAGGAAAUGGUCUAUCAGAUACCCAUCAAAUUUGGUGGGCAUAGUUUUCCCACCAACAUGAUUUUUCUUAAGGAUCAAGAUAUUGAUGUUAUAUUAGGCAUGAACUGGAUGGCACAACGAGGGGUUGUGCUAGAUAUCCUACAUAGAACUAUCAAGAUGCAAUUGCCUGAUCCCUACCUCUUAAUCCAGCUAGCCACUCCAAAACAGGCAAUUGAAUAAGUUCAUGCCGCCACAGAGAAAGGAGUUGAAGAUAUCCCGGUAGUUUGGUAAUUCUCGGUUGUGUUUCCGGUGGACCUACCAGGUCUGCCACCAGACCGAGAUGUUCAAUUCAAUAUAUAAUUGAAACUAGGGACAACCCCAAUUUCUCGAAGAGCCUAUCGAAUGGCACCAAAAGAACUGGCUGAAUUAAAAACCCAAUUACAAGAAUUGUUGGAGAAGGGUUUCAUUCAACCCAGUUCAUCUCCAUAGGGUUGCCCAACCUUAUUUGUGAAAAAGAAAGAUCAGACAUUAAGGCUAUGUGUGGAUUAUUGUCCCUUAAAUGAAGUGACGAUUAAAAAUAAGUACCCAUUGCCCUCAUUAACUUGUUAUUUGAUCAGUUAGCCGGGGCUAAAGUAUUCUCAAAAAUUGAUUUGAGAUCUAGGUACCAUCAAAUCAAGAUUAAGCCGGAAGAUGUUCCCAAGAUGGCUUUCACAACCCGCUACGGGUUGUAUGAAUAUCUGGUGAUGUCAUUUGGUUUCACCAAUGCACCAGCUCAUUUCAUGUACUUGAUGAACUCCGUCUUCAUGCCUGAACUAGACAAAUUUGUAGUCGUCUUCAUUGAUGACAUCCUGAUCUAUUCUAAAACAAAGAAAGAACACACAGAACAUUUGAGGAUUGCAUUGACCCGUCUGAGAGACCAUCAACUAUAUGCCAAGUUCAGCAAGUGUGAGUUCUGGCUAGACAAAGUUCAUUUCUUGGGUUAUGUAUUAUCAGAGGAGGGAGUCGCUGUAGACCCAGGUAAAGUAGAAGAUGUCUUGAGUUGGAAGCCCCCUACUAUGGUGCAAGAGGUCUGUAGCUUUUUGGGUAUGGCGGGAUAUUACCGCCGCUUCAUUCCUGACUUUUCAAGGGUAGCCAAGCCAAUCACAACCUUGCUCAGGAACCAAACAAAAUUUCUUUGGUCAUCUAAAUGUGAUCAGGCCUUCCAAACCUUGAAAAGGCUGUUGACUACUACACCUGUGUUAGCCCAGCCAAAUAUUGAGAAGCCCUUUGAUGUGUAUUGUGACGCAUCAGGAAUAGGGAUAGACUAUGUGCUGAUGCAGGAGGGUCGAGUAAUUGCAUAUGCAUCUAGGCAACUUAAGCCACACGAAGGGAAUUACCCUACCCAUGAUCUUGAGCUAGCCGCCGUAGUACAUGCCCUAAAGAUUUGGUGCCACUACCUACUGGGAAACACUUGUCAUCUAUAUACAGAUCAUAAGAGCUUGAAGUAUAUUUUUACUCAAGCUGAACUUAAUAUGCGCCAGCGAAGGUGACUAGAAUUGAUCAAAGACUGUGAUCUUUAGGUGCAUUAUCACCUAGGCAAGGCAAAUGUAGUAGUAGAUGCCCUCAGUCGUAAGGCCCACUAUAAUUGCUUGAUAGUGAUGCCUAGAGAUAUUACUCUGUUCCAAGAGCUUGAGAACUUGGGAAUAGAGAUGACUCCACAAGGGAGUUUAGCCAAUUUAAAGAUUGACUCCAAUCUCGAAACCUAGAUCAUAACGACACAAAAAGAAGAUAAAGGCAUGAAAUACCUCAAAGAGAAAAUUGCUAAUAGAGCACCCACAGGCUUUAGGGUGGAUGAUGCAGGUGCAAUCUGGUUUAAAAAUCGGUUGGUAGUUCCCAAGGUACCUGAGUUACGUCAACAAAUCCUAGAUGAAGCUCAUACCACAAGGUAUUCCAUUCACCCAGAAAGCAAUAAGAUGUAUCAGGACUUGAAGCAGAGAUUUCGGUGGACGAAGAUGAAAAUAGAGAUAGCCCGCUAUGUAGCCCAAUAUGACACUUGUCGAAAAGUCAAAGCCAUCCAUCUCAAAUCUGCUGGAGAGUUGCAACCCUUGCCAAUUCCCACCUAGAAAUGGGAUGACAUCAACAUGGAUUUUGUGGUGGGCUUGCCUAAAAGGACAAAAGGCUUUGAUUCUAUUUGGGUUAUUGUGGAUCGUCUUAACAAAAUGGCACACUUUUUACCUAUGAAGACAUUAUAUCCUCCUUCCACCUAUGCCAAGAUCUAUUUUGAUCAUAUAUUAAGUCUACAUGGGGUGCCAAAGAUGAUAGUGUCUGAUAGAGGCACUCAGUUUGUCUCCCAAUUUUGGAAAUGCUUACAUGAAUCCUUGGGCACCAAGCUUCUAUACAGUUUAGCUUACCAUCCUCAAACAGGUGGGCGAACUAAACGAGUUAAUCAAACAUUAGAAGAUCUAUUGAGGUCACAUGCCCUAAUUUUUCUAGACAAGUGGGAUGACUGCCUGCCUCUAGCGGAAUUCUUGUAUAACAAUAGCUAUCAAGAAAGCAUUAAAAUGGCUCCCUUCGAGGCACUAUAUGGUCGUCGAUGUCAAACACUAUUACACUAGUCUGAACCCGAUGAAAGAUGGUUCUUUGGGGUUGACUUGGUGAAGGAAACUGAAGACAAAGUCAAACAAAUUCAGAAUAACUUGAGAGUUGCUCAAUCCUGACAAAAGAGCUAUGCUGAUAGAAGACGUCGACCCCUAAGAUUUGCUAAGCGCAACUAUGUGUAUUUAAAAAUAUCCCCAAUUAAAGGAGUGAAUCAUUUCGGGGUUAAAGGCAAGUUAGCACCUCGCUACAUUUGUCCAUUCCCAAUCAUCGACCGAUGUGGACAGGUAGCUUACCGCCUUAAAUUGCCUGAACGGUUAUCCGGGGUACACAAUGUCUUCCAUGUAUCCCAAUUGAAGAAGUGUCUCUGAGUACCAGACCGGAUCCAAGAUUUUGAGGAUCUGGAACUUGAACAUGAUCUUACUUAUGUAGAGUAUCCCAUCCGAUACUGGACCAAAAAGAUAGAAUUACCCGAAGAACAACUACCAAGUCGUACAAGGUACAAUGGAGUCAACAUUCUGAAGAAGAAUCCACGUGGGAAUCCGAAGACUAUCUGAUGGAGAACUUUCCCAAGUUUUAUGCUUCUCUUCAAAUUAGUGGCUAAUAAAAACAAAUGUGCUUUAAGGUGGAUAAAGGUGUAACCAAAGACAUGUACCUAAUGUACGUGUAUGUUUAUAAUGAGAUGUUCUUCCCCAACCACUUGUCUUGUGAAAAAGCUAAUGAUAGAUUAGCUUGACACAUUUCCUUUUCCAUUACUUACCCUAAGGCUUUAAAUCUCGGGGACGAGAUUUCUUUAAGGGGGAAGGGCUGUAACAUCCCUGAUGUUACGGAUACUAAAACUGGAUCAUGUCAUCAUAAGCAUUGAAUAGCAUAUUUGUUGAGCACAUCCUGGUGCAUCAACUUAAAAUAAGUUUCAUUUUGUUGAUUGUGCUUAGGGAAUUAAAAUGUGCUUAUGUUGUGAUGUGAUGCUUGUGAUGGUUGUCUAAUCCCUAGAUAAGGAGGGUUGUCGGGAGAUAGCUAAGAAAAACCCUUAAUUUCAACCCAAGUUUUUACCCCCUUUUGUGUAACUUAAAAACUAAGAAAAAUUUGAGGAUCAGUUCAAAAGAAAAGUUGUAGAUCUUGUCAAAAUGUACAACUUUAGUGUUUUGGGUUUUUGAAGUUUCAAUACAAAAUCCAAAGUAAUUUUGAAAAUACAUAUUUCCAGAAAUUGCCCCCUUUUCCAAUUUGAAUCCCUAAUUCAAAAUCUCUUUGGAAUCUUGAAAAGUGAUCAAAAUGAAAGUUGUAGAGCUCAAUGAAAUGACCAACUUUUAUUCUGGGAGUUUUUCAAGUUGUUGAGAAAAAUCAAAAGUAAUUUUGGAAUUUUUGUUCUGAUCAAAUUCAAAUUGGAAUUCCCCCAAAUUGGAGUUUGAAUUUCAAACUGUUUUAUACAAAUUCAUACUCUUCCAUUCAGAAUCAGCUUUGGACCCUUAAAGAUGUUUUGUAGCACUCAAAAUUCUGAACAACUUUUGUUUUGACAGAAAUUUGACUUCAAUUCAAAUUUUGGAAGUAAUUUGCAAAAGAUAGAAAAGGAGGGGAUAUGUCUUGCUACAGUGAUCCGAUGAGGAUCACGGGCGCCUCUGCCCAACGUGGCCGCAGAGCAUGCAGAGCCACGCGCACGCCCCCGCUGCCAUGCAGCUGCUUGCUGGCUGUGUCACCGCACGACAUGGACGCUCGAGACCCCUUCGCCUCGUCCUCUUGAGCGCUAAUGCGGCCGGCACCACGUUUUCGCCAUCCCAGAGCAAGAAAAUACCGACGAACUUCCUUGCGAAAUUCACCACACUCGUCUUCUCUUCGGCCGAAUUGAGCUCCCCACCAUCUCCGCCAUUUCCUUGCGAACCGAGAGCACGCCGAGGAGAGCCUUCUCCCCUUUCCAAAUGCUCAGACCACCUCCUUCCUCUCCAACUCCGCCCGACUUCCGCCGCGAGCCCCUUCCUCAUGGUCAGGCCAUCCCAGGAGGUAUCAAGCUAUGGUAAAUGGUGUUAGAGCUCCACCUCGCUAUCCCGUAGCUCAUGCGCUUGCUCUUCUUUCUUGUGCACGAACAGGUUCGCCGGAACGACGUCACCAAGCUCGGAGCGCCCGCUCGAAGACACCGCCACCGUCGCCAGCACCCUCGGUUGCCUCUCCAACCUCGGUGACGUGAGCACCAUGCUCCUUAUCGCUCCUGGAAGCUCUCUAACGUGUUAGUUCGCGCUCUACCAAACUCUCACGGCCGGUCUACGUGCGACUAGUGUCGCUGUCCGCCAUGCGUGUGGCCAGGGUAGGGAGAGAGAGAGGUAGAGCGUCCGUGGGAGAGAGAAAGGUGAAGCCGCUGCGCUUCUUCGCGAGGGCUAGGCCCCCACUAACGGCGGCCGGAAGCACGGCCGAGCUACCGGCGGGGUAGGAGACGAAGCUGACAGCGGGGCCCCGCUGUCAGCGACGUCGUGAGAGGGGGGAGAGGCGCGCGCAGCGCGCGGGACCAGAUGGGCCGGCCUGCGGGCCGAACUGCUGGGCCUGUCACGGUUCCAAAUUGGUUUUUCCUUUAUCUUUUUAUACUAAAAAUGAUUUAUGUUUGACUUUGUGUAGAAAAAUGUGUGCAGAUCCAUAAAUGGUGAAAAUAUUUGAGUACGUUAUAUGCAGUGAGCAUAACAUAGGAAAAAUACUAGGUUUCAUUUUCUGAUAUUUUGAACAUGUGUAAAAAUUGUGUUCUUUAUCUAUUAAAUAGAAUUUCCAUGAUUUUUAGGGAUUUAUUUAUGUGUCCAAAAAUCACCAAAAUUUGUGAGAUGUCUCUGAGUGAUAUUCCCUGGCUUCACAAAAAGUUUGGUGGCAUUUGGAUAAUGUUUGAAUAAAAUAUUAAUAUACCCAUAUUUAGUAAUUAAGUAAUAAUUCCAAAAUAAGUAAAUAAUAUUUAGCUUAAUUUUCAAAUUAGGAUUUGAGUGAUUUUGGGAUUGUGUGAUGACCUGAGGUCAUUAACCUUAAUGACCUUUGUCAUUUAAUUAUUGUUUGGUAUUAAUACUUAAUUACUGUCAUUAAUGCUUAAUUAAAGAUUAAUUAAGAUAAAAGGGACUAAUAAUUAAUUAAUUUAGAAUAAUUAUGGAUUAAGAAAAAUCUUAAUUUAUUGCUGCAACCUCUUGGGUAAAAACACUAAAAUAAUAAACAACCUUUGAUUACUGUUUUAAACUUGCUUUUGCACCGAGAAGGAAAGUUGUACUCUGACUCAAUCCUUCUUACGUGUUGUCAUAAGCAUAUCAUGAGCAUACUUCAUUUUGUGUAUAGUGCACGUGACCGAAGGAGCGAUCGUUGAACCGAACCCCGAGGUUGGUGUUCCGUUCGAGGAAGUUGGAACCGAGACUUGGGAAGUCUCCGAGGAACUCACUCAGCCUUGCAACCAAGGCAAGCCCGGGAUGCAUUUAAACCUUCCUUGAAUAUUUUAAAUCUUUUAUUACUUGUGAAUUAAAAUGUUGCAUUAUGUAGUCAAGAAUUGGGUUUAACCAACUUGUUGCAUUUACUACCUUGAUAUUUGUUAUCCUGUCCUUGGCACCUACUUGAUGCUUAGCCCUACCUAUUAGAUAGGUUUUCAGCUAUGAAAGUUUGAAGGGUUGUUGUGGAAUACUUUUAUUGUCAAUGAUGUUUCAACUUGAGACCAGUCGGUGGACUUGCUUUAAGAAUGGAGUCUUAAAGUAGUGUCUCCAACUGUGUCGAUUAAGGAUUGGUCCGUUGAUGGCCUGCUAGGUUGAGAAUUUAUAGUACUAGCCACUUGCCCUCGGUAAGCCCGGUCUUGUGAUUCCUCGACGAGAGCGGCUACUCGCGCACUAGGCAUGGAGUGAUGGCGAGAGUAGCGUGUACCCUCCUAGCAAAUGGGCUGGACGGAGGAGUACUGUGCUCUCGGGUGCCGCGAACCCGGUCAGAUCUUGGGAGAGCUAGAUUUGGGUUGACAUAUGCAAGAUUUGGUUCUACGUAUGUCGGGUGGUUAGGAACUCCAGCUAGAUUGCUAAGCGAUUCGAAUCGUCGUUGCUCCCCGAUUGGGAGACUCAAUUCCUUCGACCCUCAUCAUAGUUAAAUAUUCAACUAAGUUAUGAACUGGGGAAAAAGAAAAUGUCUCAUGGAGUUCGGAUCCCAAUUCCCAGACUCAGAGUGACAUGAAGCUAUGGCCAUCGGAUGAAUAACACUUUUGUUAAGGACUAGGAAUUCACAGACUUGUCUAUGAAAAGCAACUAGAUAGACUGUCCUCGAAUUCCUCGGCCUCUUGAGGCGACUAAUUUGAGGCUAAAACUUGAAAGUAAGGAUUCACAAUUAGUAAGCUUUUAUGCAAAACAACUUGGCUCCUUGCUCAACCACUCCUUGUCUACCCUAAGCUUGCAUUCCUAAGUUCUCCUCUUUUCCACCGGGUAAGUCUUGUUGAGUACUCCCGUACUCAGGGUUCUAUAACCCCUGUUGCAGGUGAGGCACAGGAGCCGACUUGCUUCGGGCCCUAUUGCGUGACUGUCGUUGAGGUUGACGACGAUGAGGAAUGAGAGUGACCUGUAGGCUGGGUCUGUAAGUUGUAAUCCUUGUAUUAUGGUUGAGGUUGCUCCAUUAAACAUGGCUUGUAAUUGUUGAUAUUUGGGAACGCAAUAAGGAAUUGAUCCGCAAGCGCACGGAUAUCGGUGAGCACUUCACCCGGGAGAUUAUCCAGAGUAUCGUAUUUAUUUUUUUACCACUAGGAGAAAGAGUGCUUCUGACUAACCUGGUCUAUUACUACUAACCCUUUAGGCUACAAAGAAUGAGUCUUGAUGUGAGUGAUGAAUAGAGAAGACUACAACCGUAAUCUCCUUCUAACCUUGGUAAGGAUGAUCUACUGUUCUGUUGGGGAGGCUAACGGAAUCUAGACACCACAGAGGAUGUUCAACCCGCACCUAUAAACCCUAUCCUUCCUGCUAACGAGAUAUGGUCUGCAAAGGUAACUCGGAAUUGUCACGUUCCUCACUACUACCACGGUCUAGCUAGUCAGAGAAUAUCUAUGAGUAUCCUAGCCCAAACACCACGUCUACGCUAGAGAUGAUUAUUCUAAACUCUACGCGAAGAGAUUAAAGUAAACUCAUAAACCAAAAGAACAAUAAAACAAGAACUUACUAGAAUUUAGAACUGAAAAUACUGAAGAAUCCUAGGAGCAAGCUUCGGGUUAGGAGAACUUGAUCCCGCAGGUACAAACUCGGAGUAGACACCGACAGGCCGGGCUUCCUCCAAUCUACACCUCCACUCUAUCUCUCUCAAUCUAGUAGAAACUAGAAGAUCUAUUUCUACUCACAUUGGUUGCUAAGCCUAAAAAGAAAUUUUAUUUAGAGGAGAGGUAUUCCUUCGAGGGCUCCUCUCAACUCUAUGAAAAACUUGUCUCCUCCAGGGGCCAGGGGGUCUGGUUUUAUAGUCCCCUCAAGUGAACGUGAGCUAUUGGAUCAAACCGACAUUGAUUGGACGGUUAUCCUUGAUCCUUUAGGUCGGUGGAGCAUCGUCCGCGAAAAGAGUCCUGAUCCAACUCCAGGAGGGGGCGGGAGCCCAGUGCCUGGCCCCGUUCGGCCUCCGCUUCCUUCCCGUGGCUUCUAGAGUCUUCUAGAUGGUAGAAAAUUGCGCGGUGUGUUGAUAUCUCUAUGUAAUCCCGACAUGCGGGCCUUUCUUCCUUAUUUCCUAAUAACCCCCUGCAGAAACAGAUAAACAACAAAACUCGUGGAAUUCUGUCCGAUCAAACCCUAAUUCUAGGUGUUGGUUGCAUAUUGGUCCUUUCUCUUGUUUAUUUGAUAAUCAAAAUUGAUACUUAAGAACCGUCAACAAGUACCCCCAUACUUAGGCUUUUACUCGUCCUCGAGAAAAGGAUGGUUAAGAAUAAUAUCUGGGGUAAAACAUUUUAAAACAUUCUCUUCAUACCUACAGGGUAUUAAAAUCCACUGUGUACUAUAGUCAGGGAAGUAUAUGGUUAAGAGUAAACAUCCUUUCUUCUCAAUCCUGUCACUUGGAGUUUUUUUGUAUAUUUUUGAAAAGAAAGUUAGCAUACCUUUAUCCUCACAGGUUCUCUUAGAUCACUCAUUAACUUACUGAGGCUGUUUUAAUUUGCAAAAAUUCUCAAGCAUACUUACUUUGCAUUUAUUGCCUGAUCAAAACAGGAUCCGAGGAGGGGAAUGUCAUACUCUUAGAUCAAAGACUUGGGAAAUUAAAAUAUUUGUCAACUCUUGCUGGCAUAUUGCUUAUUAGAGGGACCAUGGGCUAUCAUUUUCUUUUUUUUCUUUUUCUCUAUUUUUUUAUUUAAGUGGAUACCGAGAUACCCCUAAUUCUACUGCCGGACACUUGUCCAUUUUUUCUGUGACGUUAUCGAGCACUUGCUCCUUUUUAUUUCCUCGAAACAUCCUUAUUUUUGCAUAGCCCAUGCCUCUAAUGCAAUAAUACUUCGGAAGAGUGAAUCUUUCUAAAUAAAUGUCUUGAUCUUAGGAGCAUGAUAAAUCUCUCCACAAGGGUCUAACUCAUUUUGAACAAACUCAAUACAGAGUAGAUAGCUUUUAUAAUCAUAAUUAAUAUUUUCAGUUUUAGUAGGCAUGUAAAACACUGAGGAUGGUAGCUAGAAUUUUUGAAUAAAUUUUGAAAUAAAUUCUCCAAGCAACAAUGAUAUCAAGAAUAAGAAACUCAUACUCUACCAUCUCAUAUUCCACAAUGACUUAAGUAACACAGGGUUUUUAAAAUGAUUUUUUUCAAUAAUUGCAGGUUUUCAGGAAAUAUUACAAAGUGAGAUUAAUGAUGAUUAGGAACAUUUUAAUCUUUUUAAUUUAUCAUGUCGGAAACAAUAUUCUGCAUAAUCCAAGAUAUAUGUAUGUGUAAGGUGUGUAGAGUGUGUACCUAAAUCGUGGAGUGGUGUAGUCGAAGUGUGUUUGGCAUGUCAAGGGAUCUCCCCCAUACUUGUUUUCUGCUUUCUUGCACAAAAGUAAAGUAGAGACAUACAAGACAUAAUAAUAAUAAUAAUAAUAAUAAUAAUAAUAAUAAUAAUAAUAAUAAUAAUAAUAAUAAUAAUAAUAAUAAUAAUAAUAAUAAUAAUAAUAAUAAUAAUAAUAAUAAUAAUAAUAAUAAUAAUACUCUUUAUUAAUCUUGAGGCAUUUAUUACAAAUGACUAGUAGCAAACUGACAAUAAUAGUAACAAACUGAUGAUAGUAGUAAACCUAAACCGAAUUUAAAGAUAGAUAAUUAAGAUGCAUUGCCUCAAGAUCUAAUCUAGAUAACUUAGCGGCGCUCUAAUUCCUUGAUCUUCUUAUUGGCACUGGCAAGAUCCUGCCUAAGGCCUAGUAUAACGGUGUUGUGGUUAGAGAGCUGCCUAGUGAGGGAAUUAACUGAGGACUGGAGGUCUAUGAUAACUCUGUCUAGCCUGCGAACGUCCUCAUCAAUAUCUACUAUAGUCUUGCGACGCUUGGGAGGUGUCUCAAAAGCAUUGAGAGUGUGCUUCGGGGCUGCCUUUAGAGGGAUGAAACGGACUUUGGCUGCUCUAAUCCCUUCGAAGUAAGGCCUCUCCUCCUUCGUAGUGUAGCGGAUACUGCUGAUCUCGCCGCUCCGGUUGGUCUUGGCUCCAACGACCUUCUCAUUGGGUCUAGGUGGAAGGAUCCUUGUGUCGGUUGGCACCUUGAUGGUGGUCUUCAUCUUGGAUGAUGAUCCCUUGAGGAGUAGGGGUUGUGGUGGUGCGGUGAAAACUGGUUGAGCAUGGUAGGAUUGGGCGGAGCUGCGCUGGCGUAAUGGCAUGGCUUCUAGCUGUCGCUCUGUGUUGGCCGGGACGAGAGCACGGGCGUCGGGGUCUUCCGCAGGCUCCAUGUUGAGGUUGAAGGGAACGACUUCCCAAUCAUCGUGGAACUUCUCGGCCAUGGGAGCAGCGAGGGGCUAAUCAAGCUCUAAUUAAAAAAGAAGAGAAGGCUUGUGUGGAUUGGUGUUUGAAAACUGAUGUCAGUGGUCUGUUUAUAUAGGGGUCAAAAAGUGCCUCUAGGGGUUGUUCGGGUUGCUCCCGUCCAUGUGCGUGAGGAACUUUCCAUCUGAGGGAUUAUUCGGAUUACCAUAAGUGUAUUUUUCAUAACAGAGAAAAUCGGGACCAAAGGGGAACAGGGGCUGGGCGCCCGCCCACUUGAUCAGGGCGCCCGCCCUCUCUCUGUCUCCUCUGUGGGCCCACUUCCUCGAGCGUGUUUCUAGAUGCAAAACUUUUUAGGAAAAUAUAUGUAUGCCCCAAAAACGUUAGAUUAAAACUGUCGGGCUCUAAUUCUCCAUGGGAAGGUAAAAAUGGACUACGUCUAUUUCUUCUAAUUCUUUAUUGGGCUCUAAAAACAAUUUAAGACGUUGACCAUGUACCUUGAAUAAUGUACCUUCGUCAUUUUGAAGUGUGAUAGCUUCGUGGGACGAUGAAUUGAUCACCUUGAAUGGUCCUUCCCAUUUACUCUGGAGUUUUCCAUGCCCGAAAAGCUUCACCCUCGAAUUAAAAAGUAAUACCUUAUCUUCGGAUGCGAACUCCUUCUUCUUGAUUCUCUUGUCAUGCCACCUUUUAACUCUUUCUUUAUAGAUCUUCGAAUUGUGAUAUGCUUUCUCUCGCCAUUCUUCCAAUUCUGAUAGUUGCAUUCUUCUAUGUUUUCCGGCGACAUCUAGGUCCAUAUUCCAUCUCCUUAUGUCCCAGUGUGCUUUGAAUUCUAGUUCAACAGGUAGGUGGCAAGUCUUCUCGUACACCAAUUGGUAUGGGGACAUUCCAAUUGGGAUCUUGUAUGCUGUCCGGUAUGCCGAGAGUGCAUCGGUUAACUUGUCUCUCCAUGUUGUUCCCAUUUCAUUGACUGUCUUCUGAAGAAUAUUCUUGAUUUGCUUAUUGGAAGUCUCUGCUUGGCCACUUGUCUGAGGAUGAUAGGGGGUAGCGACGCUGUGACGGAUUCCAUGUUUUGAUAGAUAUUACUUGAAGCGUUUGUCGAUGAAGUGUGCUCCUCCAUCACUUAUUACUACUCUGGGAACUCCAAAUCUUGGAAAUAUAAUUUCUUCAAACAUCCUCUUUGAACUGAUGUUGUCGGCAUGCUUGCAAGGUAAUGCCUCUACCCACUUGGAGACGUAGUCAACUGCCACCAAGAUGUACUCACACUUCUUUGAUGGAGGAAAUGGACCCAUGUAGUCUAUUCCCUAGACAUCAAAGAGCUCAAUCUGAAGGUUGUUGGUGAGUGGCAUGGCAUCUCUUGUGUUUAUGUUUCCGUGUCUUUGACAUGGCCCACAUCUUCUGAUAUAUUGCUUCGUGUCUUCAUACAUUGUAGGCCAGUAGAAUCCACACUGCCAGAUCUUUGAAUGUGUACGGAAUGCUCCAUAGUGACCUCCAUAUGGUGAUGAAUGACAUCUGUCGAUGAUCUUCCAUCCUUCCUCAGUGGUCACACAUCUCCUGAGUAAGCCAUCAGAGCAUACUCGGAAGAGGUAUGGCUCAUCCCAUAUAUGUGAACGACUUUCUUGAAUAAGCUUCUUCUUGUUUGCUCCUGGUGGUACAUACCUUGAAACCAUAAAAUUAACAAUAUCUGCAUACCAGGGGUCAGACCUGUUAAUCCCGUAGAGCAUGUCGUCCCGGAGUGAAUCAUUGAUGGGGGUUUCCUGUGGAUUCUUAAAAUACAUUCUAGACAAGUGAUCAGCAACAUAAUUUUCUACUCCCUUUUUAUCUUUUAUUUCUAAGUCAAAUUCUUGAAGUAAUAAGAUCCAUCUAAUCAGGCGAGGUUUAGCAUCUUUUUUAGUGAGCAAAUAUUUUAGUGCAGCAUGAUCUGUGUAAACAAUUAUUUUAGCUCCAACUAAAUAAGAUAUAAAUUUGUCAAUGGCAAAGACAACAGCCAGAAGCUCUUUUUCAGUGGUUGCAUAGUUAAGUUGAGCUCCUGUCAAAGUUUUACUGGCAUAAGCAAUUGCAUGAUGCUUCUUUUCUUUAGUUUGUCCCAAAUACUGCCCCCACAGCAUAAUCACUAGCAUCACACAUAAUUUCAAAAGGCAACGACCAAUCAGGGGGUUGAAUGAUUGGUGCAGAGAUGAGUGCUUUCUUUAAUAAAUUGAAAGAUGUUAGACAUGCAUCAUCAAAUUCGAAAGGAGCAUCCUUGGGUAGCAAAAGAGUAAGUGGUCUAGCAAUGAAUGAAAAAUCUUUUAUGAAUCUACGAUAAAAACCAGCAUGGCCAAGAAAGCUUCGAAUUCCUUUUAUAUUCACAGGUGGAGGUAGUUGUUCAAUUACUUCAAUUUUAGCUUUGUCUACCUCAAUACCUCUUUCAGACACUAGGUGUCCCAGCACUAUUCCUUCUCUAACCAUAAAAUGACAUUUUUCCCAAUUAAGGACUAAGUGCUUUUCUUCACAUCUUUCCAAAACCUUGUCUAAGUUUUCAAGACAACUAUCAAAAGUUUUUCCAUAUACAGAGAAAUCAUCCAUGAAAACUUCCAUAAUCUCUUCAAUCAUAUCAGAAAAUAUAGACAUCAUGCAUCUUUGAAAAGAAGCUUGUGCAUUACAUAACCCAAAAGACAUUCUUCGGUAAGCAUAAGUUCCAUAUGGGCAUGUAAAAGUGGUUUUGCUUUGAUCAUCAGGAUAGAUCGGGAUCUGAUGAUACCCUGAAUAUCCAUCUAAGAAACAGAAGAACGAAUGGUUCGCUAAUCGCUCUAGCAUCUCAUCUAUGAAAGGUAAAGGAAAAUGAUCCUUUCUCGUGGCUUUGUUUAGUUUUCUGUAGUCUAUGCACAUCCGCCUUCCUGUGACGGUGCGUUGCGGAAUUAGCUCGUUCUUUUCAUUCAUAAUAACUGUCAUGCCUCCCUUUUUAGGCACAACUUGAACUGGGCUCACACACUCACUAUGCGGCACAGGAUAUAUAAUCCCUGCAUGCAGUAACUUUAUAACUUCCUUUUUAACUACCUCUCUCAUAGUGUUGUUAAGUCUACGUUGGGGUUCUCGAGAGGGUGAAACAGAAGGAUCUGUUGGAAUACGAUGGGUACAAAUCAUAGGACUGAUUCCUGUAAGAUCUUGGAGUGAGUAGCCAAAAACUGAGUGAUGUUUCUCAAGAAUGGUCAUCAAUCGCAGAGUUUGCUCCUGAGUGAGUUUAUCACUAAUGAUCAUAGGAAACUCUAGAUUAUUGUUUAGGAAAGCAUAGAUAAGACCGGGUGGUAAAGUUUUAAGCUCUAUGGGAGGUCUAGGUGUUUCUGCAAACUCAUCUAAGGGUUCAAGUUCAGAAGGUUCGGCUUAUUCUUCUAUGAAGAAAGGAGUUUCAUCUUCUAAGUCUGAUUCAUCUAAAAGCUCAAGAGAUGCAGCCUUUACCUCCUCCAUAGGAUCAGGCAAAAGAUAUGACUCGGCCUUAUUAUUUAAGGAGUGUGAAAUUGUUAUUGGAAAUUUAAAGGCUUUUCCAAAAGAAAUGUGUAGCUUUCCAGUAUGACCCUCAUAAAGGAGACUUCUAAAAGGUUGGCCUAUCAAUAGGUCGAAGUCUCAUGUAUCAAAGGUAUAGAAGUUCAAAUGAACCAUGGAGCCUUCUACUGUAAGAGGUAGGACAUUAAUAAUUUCAAGACUGGGGACUAAUCGUCUUGAAGAUUUUUUUAUGGCCUUUGUUGUGGGGGUUAAGAACAAGUUUUUAAAUAGUUUAAGUGCAAAAGAUUUAGACAUGAUGUUGAUCCCCACAACAGGAUUAUAGAGAGCAUCAAAUCGAUCAGAAUUAUAAGCACAGCGCAUAGUUAUAGAGGGUGUGUCCAAACGGAUCACAUCAGAGGAAAGCUCUGAUUCCUCCAACCACUUGCUACUCAUGACUGAGAUAAGCUCUCUUAAUUGAUAUUCACUUGGCAAACAAAUGCUAAUAUGGCCGUUUUGGGGUCUGUUAGUAGAAUGGUAGUUUGAAAUGUUUCCAAAAUCGGCAAAAAGAUCAGAUUCUAUAUCCAGCAUGAAGUUCGGUGGUGGAAUUUCUUCCUCUUGUGGCUCAGAACUUGGAAUAGCUAAAGUAGAUGAAGAAUUUGGCAGAGUGUCUACUUCAGCUUUGUAGGUUUCAUCAUGAAGGGUAUUAUCCAUCUUAGCUUCUAGGAUUCUAUCUAGGAUCACUCUAGCUUCAUCAGUAGGGAUGCGAAAGAAAGAACCACUAGACAUUGUAUGUAGCAUUUGUUUGUGAUCUUUUUGAAGACCUCGAAAAAAGUGAAAUAAAAGAACAGGGUCUUCAAGAUUAAGGGUUGGACCAGAUUCUAAAAGAUCAUAAAAACAUUUCUAGGAUUUUCCCAAAGUUUCAUUAUCUUUUUGUUUAAAAGAUAGGACUUCGAGUCCAAGGUCGCCGAUACGGUCGAGGGAAUAGAAAUCUAGACAAAAGUUGGCUCGUAAAACUCCCCAUUCACCUCGUUGUUGACUUACCUUCUGACUGUACCAUUGUCUAGCUUCUCCCCUUAAGGAAAAAGGAAAAAGCUUCCAACUUAAAGUUUUAUCAGAAAUGCCUUCAAUGCGAAGACAAUCACAUGUUUGCUCAAAAUCUCUAAUGUGAAGGGUUUUCGUCUUCCUUUCCCGUAAAAGAUAGGUUUUGAAUCAUGGCAAUCAACCUAGAACUUAACUUAUACUGGGAUGUUUGGAUAGGCUGUGAUGACUCCCAUGGUAAAAGGUCAGUUUCCGAAGGUGUUGCAAAUUGGUAGAUUGAUUUAGAAUCUUGGUUUUCCAUAAGGUAAGAGUAAAGAAAAUGGAUAAAGAAUAUAAAAGAUAAGAAAAAGAUAAAAGUAUAAAUACAAGCUAGUAGUAAGACUCAAGGUUAUCUUAGCAAACCGUCUUUCUCCCCGACAACGGCGCUAGAAAUGCUUGUUGAUAUUUGGAAACGCAAUAAGGAAUUGAUCUGCAAGCGCACGUAUAUCGGUGAGCACUUCACACGGGAGAUUAUCCAGAGUAUCGUAUUUAUUUUUUUACCACUAGGAGAAAGAGUGCAUCUGACUAACCUGGUCUAUUACUACUAACCCUUUAGGCUACAAAGAAUGUGUCUCGAUGUGAGUGAUGAAUAGAGAAGACUACAACCGUAAUCUCCUUCUAACCUUGGUAAGGAUGAUCUACUGUUCAGUUGGGGAGGCUAACGGAAUCUAAACACCACAGCGGAUGUUCAACCCGCACCUAUAAACCCUAUCCUUCCUGCUAACGAGAUAUGGUCUGCAAAGGUAACUCGGAAUUGUCACGUUCCUUGCUACUACCACGGUCUAGCUAGUCAGGGAAUAUCUAUGAGUAUCCUAGCCCAGACACCACGUCUACGCUAGAGAUGAUUACUCUAAACUCUACACGAAGAGAUUAAAGUUAACUCAUAAACCAAAAGAACAAUAAAACAAUAACUUACUAGAAUUUAGAAGUCGAAAUACUGAAGAAUCCUAGGAGCAAGCUUCGGGUUAGGAGAACUUGAUCCCGCAGGUACAAACUCGGAGUAGACACCGACAGUCCAGGCUUCCUCCAAUCUACACCUCCACUCUAUCUCUCUCAAUCUAGUAGAAACUAGAAGAUCUAUUUCUACUCACAUUGGUUGCUAAGCCUAAAAAGAAAUUUUAUUUAGAGGAGAGGUAUUCCUUCGAGGGCUCCUCUCAACUCUAUGAAAAACUUGUCUCCUCCAGGCGCCAGGGGGUUUGGUUUUAUAGUCCCCUCAAGUGAUCGUGAGCCAUUGGAUCAAACCGACAUUGAUUGGACGGUUAUCCUUGAUCCUUUAGGUCGGUGGAGCGUCGUCCGCAAAAAGAGUCCUGAUCCAACUCCAGGAGGGGGUGGGCGCCCAAGUCAACUGGGCGGGCGCCCAGUGCCUGGCCCCGUUCGGCCUCCGCUUCCUUCCCGUGGCUUCUGGAGUCUUCUAGAUGGUAGAAAAUUGCGCGGUGCAUUGAUAUCUCUAUGUAAUCCCGACAUGUGGGCCUUUCUUCCUUAUUUCCUGAUAACCCCCUGCAGAAACAGAUAAACAACAACACUCGUGGAAUGCAGAAACAGAUAAACAACAACACUCGUGGAAUUCUGUCAGAUCAAACCCUAAUUCUAGGUGUUGGUUGCAUAUUGGUCCUUUCUCUUGUUUAUUUGAUAAUUAAAAUUGAUACUUAAGAACUGUCAACAGUAAUAACACUUUACCUAAGUCCUACUUUGAUGAACUAUUUUUGUAAAUUAAGUUAUGUAAUGCUUCCGCUGUUUUACUCCAAAAUGCUACUUUGGUUACAUAUUGUCUGUGAUACUGCAAUGUCUUCACAAUGAAUUAUCCUAGUGUUAAUAUGGUCACUUGCUAUCCUGUGAGGGUGAGAAGAAGAAAUUCUCGUUAAUUGACCACUGCGGGUGGUCAGGAUGAGUUCUGUUAUUUCGCCACGGGUAGUAGUGGAAUGGGUUUCCUGGGAUGAUCAUCGGGCUUCUAGAGUAGAUGGAUCCCUAGCAUCACCGUCAGAGGUCUUUGGGACAAUGACACAUGUCGGUGGGCCCAACUACUUAGGAGGUUCUGCCACAUUGAAUGAGGGCUGAACCAAUAACAGUGUCAUCGGUCGACAAGUAUAAUCUGAAAGGUUUUCCAUGUUGAGGUGGAACCAGUACCAGAGGAUUCAUCAAAUAAUUCUUAAUUUCAUCUAGGGCCAACUAUUGUUCAAUCUCCCAAACAAACUCCUGAUCAGCUUUCAAUUUGAGCAAAGGACUGAAAGCCUUGAUCUUACCCAACAGAUUGGAUAUGAACCUCCUCAUGAAAUUAAUCUUGCCAAUCAAGGACUGAAGCUCGGUUUUAUCGGUAGGAGCAACUACUUUGUUGAUUGCAUCAAUGGAUCUUCUACUAAUUUCAAUCCCUCUCUGAUGCACCAUGACACCCAAGAACUGGCCUACUGAUACACCAAAUGCACAUUUAUUAAAAUUCAUCUUUAAACCAUAUAUCCUCGUACACUCGAGUAUCUUUCGUAGAUCGGCUAGAUGCUUUAUAAAAUCUCCAGACUUAACCACAACAUCAUCAAUGUAAAUUUCCACCAAUGUGCCAAUGAACUCAUGAAAAAUAAAAUUCAUAGCCCUUUGAUAAGUAGCACCAACAUUUUUUAAACCAAAAGUCAUAACUAUCCAUUAAAACAAACCAACAUGGCCAGGACACCUAAAAGCAGUCUUGGGUAUUUCUUCUUCAGCCAUGAAUAUUUGAUUUUAUCCUGCAUUGCCAUCCAUAAAGCUAAUAAUCCGAUGUCCAGCUACAACAUCAACCAGUAAAUCGGCACCCGGCAUUGGGUAGCCAUCCAUUGGUGUAGCUUUAUUAAGAUUCCUAAAGUCAAUACACAUGUUAAGUUUCCCAUUUUUCUUGUAGACAGGAACGACAUUGGAAAUCAAUUCAGCAUACCGACACUACCGAAUAAACUUAGCUUCAAUUAAUUUGGUUAUUUUGGCCUUAAUAUUAGGAAGAAUAUUAGGGUUACAUUGGUGCGCUGGCUGCUGAUGUGGCUGAAAUCCAGACUUGAUAGGUAAUCGAUGUUGAACAAUUGAUCGGUCCAAUCCAGGCAUCUCAGUGUAAUCCCAAGCAAAGCAAUAUUUAUAUUCUCUUAACAAAUUGGUUAAUUGUUGCUUACACUUAGAAUCUAACUUAGCACUAAUAAAGGUAGACCUCAGUCUAUCACUGUUGACGCUUCUUAAGUAUCGAUUUUAAUCAUGAAAUAAAUAAGGAAAAGGACCAAUAUAAGGGCAAUACCUAGAAUUAGGGUUUGAUCUGACAGAAUUCCAUGAGUUUUGCUGUUUAUCUAUUUCUGUAUGGGGUUAUCAGGAAAUAUGGAAGAAAGGCCCACACAUCAGGAAUACAUAGAAAUAUUAACUUGUGCACCAAUUUUCCUUGGCCUAGAAGGUUCUAGAAGUCACACGAAUGAGCGGGAGGCCGAGCGGGCCCAUAGGCAGGGCGCACGCCCAACCCUCCUGGGCGCCCACCCUCCUUUGCUGGCCAAUCAGCAUGAGUCUCGCGGAUUAUGCUCCACCGCCUCUGAGGAUCAAGGAAAACCAUUCAAUCAUGGUCGGUUUGAUCCGACGGCCCAGAUUCAUUUGAGAGGGCUAUAUAAGCAAGGCCCCUGGCCCCUAGAGAAGGCAAUCCCCGUUAUUCAUUAGCAUAUUUUCCAGAGAGGAUUCAGAGAGAGAGGUUCCUUUAGGGUUCCAACCUCAUAGGGCUUAGCUUCCAAUGUGAGAGUAGAAUUAGUUCUACUAGAUUGAGAGAGAUAGAGUGGAGGUGUAGAUCAGAGGAAGCCUGGCCUGUCGGUGUCUACUCCGAGGUUGUACCUGCGGGAUCAAGUCUCUUAACCCGAGGCUUGAUCCUAGGAUUCUUCAGUAUUUCGACUUCUAAAUUCUAGUAAGUUCUUUGUUUUAUUGUUCUUUGAUUUAUGAGUUUACUUUGAUCUCUUCGCAUAGAGUUUAGAGUAAUCAUCUCUAGCGUAAAUGUGGUGUUUGGGCUAGGAUACUCAUAGAUAUCUCCUGCAAUAUGGAGCAUUCUGUACACAUUCAAAGAUUUGGCAGUGUGGAUUCUACUAGCCUACAAUGUAUGAAGACAUGAAGCAAUAUAUCAAAAGAUGUGGGCCAUGUCAAAGGCACGUAAACAUAAACACAAGAGAUGCCAUGCCACUCACCAACAACCUUCAGAUUGAGCUCUUUGAUGUCUGGGGAAUAGACUACAUGGGUCCAUUUCCCCCAUCAAAGAAGUGUGAGUUCAUCUUGGUAGCAGUUGACUACGUCUCCAAGUGGGUGGAGGCACUACCUUGCCAACACGCCAACAACAUCAGUUCAAAGAGGAUGUUUGAAGAAAUUAUAUUUCCAAGAUUUGGAGUCCCCAGAGUAGUGAUAAGUUAUGGAGGAGCACACUUCAUCGACAAACGCUUCGAGCACUAUCUAUCAAAACAUGGAAUUCGCCACAACGUCGCUACCCCCUAUCAUCCCCAGACAAGUGGCCAAGCAGAGACUUCCAACAAGCAAAUCAAGAAUAUUCUUCAGAAGACAGUCAAUGAGAUGGGAACGACAUGGAAGGACAAGUUACCUGAUGCACUCUGGGCAUAUCGGACAUCAUACAAGACCCCAAUUGGAAUGUCCCCAUACCAGUUGGUGUACGGGAAGACUUGCCACCUACCUGUUGAACUAGAGUUCAAAGCACACUAGGCCAUAAGGAGAUGGAAUAUGGACCUAGAUGUCGCUGGAGAUCAUAGAAGAAUGCAACUAUCAGAAUUGGAAGAAUGGCGAGAGAAAGCAUAUCACAAUUCGAAGAUCUAUAAGGAGAGAGUCAAAAGGUGGCAUGAAAAGAGGAUCAAGAAGGAGUUCGGAUCCGAAGAUUAGGUAUUACUUUUUAAUUCCAGGGUAAAGCUUUCUGGGCAUGGAAAACUCCAGAGUAAAUGAGAAGGACCAUUCAAGGUAAUCAAUUCAUCAUCCCACGGAGCUAUCACACUUCAAAAUGAUGAAGGUACAUUAUUCAAGGUAAAUGGUCAACAUCUUAAAUUAUUUUUAGAGCCCAACAAAGAAUUAGAAGAAAUAGAUGUGAUCCAUUUUUACCUUCCCAUGGAGAAUUAGAGCCCGACCUUUUUAAUCUGAUGUUUUUGGACCACGUAUAAAUUUUUCAGAAUAAAAUUUGCAUCUAGAAGCAUGCUCGAGGAGGCGGGCCCACAGAGGAGCCAGGCAUAGGGCGGGCGCCCUGAGGAUGUGGGUGGGCGCCCAGCCUGUGUCUCCCCUCGGCCCCGGUCACCUCUGUCGCGAUAAACUCAUCUAUGGAUAUCCAAAUAAUCAUGCGGAUGGUUUGUUACGCAUGCAUGGCGAUGGGAGUAACCCGAGCAAAUCCUAGAGGCACUUUUUGACCCCUAUAUAAAUAGACCCCUGACGUCAGCUUGCAACACCAAUUCAUUCAAGCCCUCUUUCCUUCCUCAAUUAGACCUUGCCUAGUUCCUCGCGGCUCCGAUGGCCAACAAGUUCCACGACGAUUGGGAAGUCGUCCCCUACGACCUCAACAUGAAGCUCAAGGAAGACCCCGAUGCCUACGCUCUCGUCCCGGCCAACACAGAGCGACAGCUAGUAGCCAUGCCAUCACGCCAGCGCAGCUCCACCCAAUCCUACUAUGCCCAACUAGUUCUCACCACAACGCCGCAGUCCCUACUUCUCAAGGGGCCAUCAGCCAAGAAGGAGGUCAUCGUCAAGGUGCCAGCCGGCAUGAGGAUCCUGCCACCCAGACCCAAUGAGCGGGUCGUCGAAGUCAAGACCAACCAGAGCGGCGAGAUUAGCAGCGUCCUCUACACCACGGAGGAGGAGAGGCCUUACUUUGAGGGGGUUAGAGCAGCCAAAGUCCGCUUCAUCCCUACAAAGGAAGCACCGAAGCACGCCCUCAACGCUCUCGAGACACCUCCUAAGCGCCGCAAAACUAUAGCAGAUGUAGAUGAGGACGUUCGUAGGCUAGACAAGGUCAUCAUAGAUCUCCAGUCCUCGGAUAACUCCAUCAAUAGGCAGCUCUCUAACCAGAACACCGUUAUACUAGGUCUUAAUUGUGAUCUCGCUAGUGCUAAUAAGAUUAGUGAGUUAGAGCGCCGCUAAGUAUCUAGAUUAGAUCUUGAGGCAGUGUAUCUUAGUUAUUCAUCAUUAGAUUUGAUUAGAUUCGAAUUAGAUCUAUUAUUAGAUUCAGUUCAUUAUUAGUCUGUUGUAAUAAAUGCCUCAAGAUUAAUAAAGAUUAUUAUGUCUUGUGUGUCUCUACUUUAUUUUUAUGCAAGUAAGCAGAAAACAAGUAUGGGGGAGAUCCCCCGACAUACCAAAUGCACUUCGACCACACCACUCCACGAUUCAGGUACAUACUCUGCACGCUCGAUUUACACACAUAUAUCUUGGUUCGUGCAGAAUAUUGCCUCCGACAUGAUAAAUUAAAAAGAUUAAAAUAUUUCUAAUCAUGAUCAAUCUCACUUUGUGAUAUUUCCUGAAAACUUGCAAUUAUUAAAAAUGUUGAUGCAAAAGCUGAUCUGCAAACACAAAGGGCUAAUACCCGAUUCAAACGUUAAGGCGUGCCAGCCGAUUUGACCUUACUAUCGGCAAAGGUGAUAACUCGAAUACUUUGGUCCCGACAACAGCGAUGCGCCCGGAUGCCAUGGCCAAGAGGUAUUCACGCGGAACUUGAGAAUACGCCGAGCUUAAGUCGACGAACUCCUAAGAACUCGUAAUGAAAAAGGAAAAUAUGACGAAGUCGUCGAAAAAGUAAAUACUAGAAUAUGAGUAAAAACUUGUGUUUGAUUGAGUGAUUGAUAGAUCCAUAUUACAAAGCCCCCGGGUCUGCAUUUAUACCCUGCUCAAAGAGCUACAACCAGACACGACUAGAACUCGAAUUCUAAAUUAAACAGAAUCUGUAUACAAAAUGAUUUAAAUAACUAAGGAAAACAUAAAACCAUCCUCCCGUGACAAACUGGGACACCUCCAUAGGCCAAUCGGCAACCUUCAGAUUCUUCCUCCGUAUCAUCGGCAGACCCCCUCAUUGUAGCCAUCGGCACCGAUUAACACUGACCAUCAGCACAAACACAUCACCACCUACGGACUUAGUCAUAUUCAGCCGUCCCUUCAUCGGCAACCAUCCUCAUCGGCAACUUCUCCUGCAGACCAAGUAUUGCUACCAUAUCUUGCCGACCUACACUCUACCGAUCCUGGAUACGUGUCCAAAAACGGUGUCAACACAUGCCCCCCAAUUUCGGAGUAUGAAAUCAUUAAUGCUCCAAAAUUCUCUGCAGUAAUGACGCCUUUCCGCAAUUAAUUCUCCCAAUUUGGUAACCGACAGCCUUAAUCCGAACAACCCUAGUCCGAUUCCUCCGCAGAUUCCUCAAAAUCCUCAACUUCCCAAACGGACAUCUCCACUUUAGUCGCCCAUCGGCAAUGUUACCGUUAUAGAGAGCUGCCGAUGGACCGAUCAGGACGUCCUAUACAAUAAAGUAUCUUAUCUUCCCAAACGGAUAUCCCCACUUUAUCCGUCCAUCCGCAAUAUUACGGUUACAAGGCGCUGCCGAUAGACCGACCAGGAAAUCUCGCACAGUAAAAUAUCUCCAGAUCACGACCGCUUCCUGUCAAAUCACCUGCGCAAUCCCUUGAUUACCGUGCGAACAGUUACCAUAUCUUCCUGAGUAUCCUCGGAUUUUACGGAUACGGCGAAGUGAUAAGUCAGAUUUACCCUUGCCCAUUUUGUCCUAUAAAUAGUUCCUUCUCGGGCACUCCUCCUCCAUCGCAUCAUUCUACAGUCCCAACUCCACUUUCCUGGUGGCGGCGCUGUUCGAGAGCUCCAAGAACUCCAGCGAAGCCCAACCUCAAAGUCUUCGAUCACCCUUUUCGUGAAGAGAUGGCCAUCAACUUCGUCGUUCCCGAGGUCAGUUCAUCACCUUAUCUCUUGUACCUUUACCAUAUCCCCGUUCAUUCGCAAUUUAUUUUACUAAACAUUCUUCUUUUUUCUUCUUUUGUUCUUCUUUUUACCUUCAAAACCAUUAGGAUCUGUCCAAUAAAAUUGUCAUCCCUACCGAUCAUCCACAUCUCCAAUGUCUUGGCCCGUUAGGGGAUCCAUAUCCCAUCGACCUUAUCAACGCAGAAACAAACAGAAUCCCCUUUAGAGCCGAGAUCUUUUCUCUGGAUCUGUGGAAGGAUACCUUUCGUUCCUAGCCCAGUCCUACCGUGGGAUGGAAGGAUUGGUUCUUGAGAGUCAGCCACUCAAAUGAAGUCCAGUAGGGUGAGAGAAAACUGGAUCAAUGCAUCACGUUGUCCAUUGCCGAUAUGCAUAGGAAUGAGUCAUUGCUGAUAGCUGCAUCGUAUUUCUGGUCGAACACUCUUAACGCCUUUGUCUUUGGUCACGUCCCUGCUUCUCCCACUCUUGCCGAUGUGCUUAUGCUCACCGGCUUAGAUGUAUCCACUACCGAUAAUAGUCACCUGUUUGACACCAUGCCUAGUGCCAAAGUGGAAACUCGUGCUAUCGGCGGCUGGUCUAGAUACAUUCAGAAGUAUCGUAGAACGGGGCCUGUUAACAUAAAGGAGCAAACCACCUUUCUGAACAUGUGGCUAGAGAAAUUCGUGUUCUGCGGUCGAUCGGCAGGACCAACCUCUGUCUACCUAUCGGCAGCAGAGAGAUUAGCCAAUGGUGGCCGAUUUCCCCUCGGCCGAUACCUGCUUGGCUCUGCCUACCACCUCCUCCACCAAGUAGCCAGAAGACUUCUGCUCGGCCAGUCCAUCGGCAACCUAGGAGGACCCUGGUUUUUCAUCAAUAUGUGGCUUAGCCUUCACAUGCACAAGCGUCGUGAAUUCAACCUCUUCACACAACGCUUCCCCAGGGACAUAGCCGAGGAUUAUGAAUUAGAUGAAGAAGAAUCGGCAACUCGCCCUCCUCUGAACUUUGGCGAGGCUGUCAUCGUUCUGCCUGGCACCGGUGGCAACGCAGACCAGGUCAGCUGAUUCUUCCAGACCUUGUACGAAGGCCUGACCAGAGAGCAGCGAGCGUGGAUGCCUUAUGAAGAUCCACAUACCAUGUUUCCUUUGGUUUUCCAUCCAUUCAAUGAGGCUCUCAACAAGGAUCAUGAUGUGAUGAUGGUACUAAUCACUCCCAGAGCUAUACUAGUGAAUUUUUUUGGCAGUGGGAAAGCUUCCAACCAGACUUAUGAGUUCUACAACCCAUCGGCACUAGCCCGUCAACUCGCUUUCGGUCAGCUACCGAUUGCUCUUUGUUAUGCCAAUGUGAUAAAACCUAGGGAGACCAUCACUAGCCUUCUUGAGUGGACCUGAGUAGCCCAAUUGCCACCGAAUGCCGAUACAGAUGCAGAUCUAUCAGAGUGGAUCCUAGUGUCGGUGUUUUCCCCACGGGGGGUCACACCAACGAGUGAUUUUGUAUGCGUGCUCCCUUUUCCAGAUGGUGAUGCAAAAAGACACAAAGAUUUAUCCUGGUUCGGGCAAGAGAAGGCCCUACGUCCAGGGGGGAGGAGAGUUUGUAUUAUUUUGCACCUAAGUGCUUGUACAACGGUGAAUACAAGUGUGGUAUGGAAUGAGGUGGAGUAUGGAAGUUCUACUGUGUAUGGGUGUAGUGUUGCGUGAUGUCUUGUGUUCACUCCCGAGUCUCACCUUUUAUAGUUCCAAGGAGAGACCUAGGGUACAUGUAUAGGUGUCACAGUAGGGGUCGAUAGAGGCAUGGCGCGCUGACCUACUCGAGAUCUCUGUACCGGCGUGGCCUCGAGCCGUCCCGUCCUGGUAGCUUGAUGAUGAUUACGCGUGCCCUUAUAUCCCGCUCUGUACGCCGUCUUGGGCUGGUUUGUCCGCCGCGCGCCUGUACGUCAUGGCGGCGAACGUGUCGGAACGGUUGUGGUGUUGUCAUUCGACGCCCAACCCUUCCCCAGGAAGGAAUUAUGUCUGGUCGAGGGUCGGAAACCGGGUAGCGCCUCGCUAUCCAGAGUGUUGACUUUAGAUGUCUCGAGGGGGUCUUGAUUAGACGUUCCACCCCUGCUUCCCGCGUCCUGACAUGUUCUGGGUUGUUUGGGGGGAAAGCUGCAAAAAGAAUGACUGGACGGGUGCCUGCUCCCUAUCACGCUUCCCGUGACUGGCGUGUUAGGUGGGAAAGUGACAGGCGCAUUAAAUGCCCUGGCUCCCGUGCGCGCGUCACGCGGCGGGCGGCGUCCUUGCGCUCGACGCCUCCUGAUUCGCUCGAGCCUAUUUCCGUAUUUUACGGUAGUUGGCGCUCGAGCCCUGAUCGAUUCGCUCGACGUCCUUUCCGUCUUCGAGGCCGCGGUCGUCGAUGGCUGUAUGCGCAAUCGAUUGGAGCGUCGAGUUGAGGGCCUCGAUCUGUGUAUGGGUAAUCUCGUUAUGUGCAUCAGUUAGGAUACCACUUACUGAUACCCUCAACAGUAGCCCCCGAGUCACCAUUUCAGCGCUGGCGCUCGAGUGGAGGCUGUAUUCCGUGCUCGAGUUUCUGUGGGGGCGCGCGAGCGACCCCACGGGGUAGCCCCCGAGCCCUUGGAGGAGUUUUUGACUCCUUCAAGGGUUAUAUUGCCUAAACGCUGUCGACACCAGUGGUGGAAAGUUUUGAUUGGCUCGUUUUGUGCAGAGGUUUAGACGUACUCUCGGUAGAGCGAGCGUCAUCCACCCCAGAUUGAGUUCCUAACGGGUAGUCUAAGUGAAAACCUGUGCCCCUUUCGAGGGGGUCAGUUGUAGCCCGGAGGCGUUCUCAUAAAGCGGGGUCGACGUAGUCGGGGAUACUGGUCUCGUUCGAUAGAGUCCAGCGGCUCGAUGCCUCCCGUCGGGGGGAUUCCUCUCAACUGUCUCGACCUUGCCUUGGACAUCCCCAGCGAGUCUUCGAGGCGGGCCUCGAUUUUCGACCACUCGCUGUUGAUCCCUGACUCUGGUGCUCGAGAUCGGCUGUCGAACCCUUUCGGCGGGUCAGCCUGCGACCUCUUGAGGCUUUCAUGGGCGCGUUCCUUGGCUUACAAGGGAAGGAAGAGGCCGUGGCAGUUCACCUUUUCGCCCGUUGGGCGCGCCUUUUCAGGCGGGAGCCGUUGCGACACGGUACCGGCGUAGAAUUCGGAGCGUCCCGUCUAUGAGGAGGAAAAAAGACUGUUAGGCGGCGCAUUUAUGCGGGGGUACCUCAUUUAUCGGAUCUGUCCGCUGGUGGGUUGCUGCCUAUAAAUAUCCCGUGGCAUCGCCGCCGUUCUCCCUUCCGCCUCCUGUCUUCAUUCUUGCCUUAGUCCUCUCGUCGUCUUAGCUCUCUUGCCAUCUCACGCGCACGAACCCCCUCGAGCAGUAGCGAAUCCACCCUCCUUCCGUCCAAGAUGCCUGUGAGACUCAUCGCCGCCGACGACUGGCGCCCGUCGUUGAUGACGGAACGCCGGUUGCUAGGCUUGAGAGGGAGGGACUCCUGCGCCACCGCACCUCACUGUCGUCGCCGGAGUGGAUCGCGCCGCCACGGACCACAGGGAACCCAAGCCGCCCAAGGGCUACGUGGUGUCGUUUGCCAAGUUCCACCGCCACGGCCUGGACGCUCCUCCGAGCCGCUUCAUGCGGGCGCUCUGCCACCAUUACGGGGUGGAGCUCCAGCAUUUCUCCCCAAAUACCAUCACCAUCGCGGCGGUCUUUGCCGCGGUGUGUGAGGGCUAUUUGGGGAUGAUGCCCCACUGGAAGCUGUGGCUCCACCUCUUCAAUGCCCCUACUGGAACUACAGGCGUGAGGAAACCCAUGCGGGCCGGGUGCCUCAACCUGGUGCUGAAGACGAAGAAGACGGAGAGGCCACGCGAGUACAUCCCGGUGGGGUUGUCAUCGAACCACGCUGGUUGGGACUCCCAGUGGUUCUACCUGAGGAACGACGAUGGCCUUCUCCCUGCCUACAUCGGCCGCCUGAUUACGGAGCGCCCGGACAACUAGACAUACGGCGUCGUCCAAGACCACCAGUCGUGACUCGACCCCCUCCUCAACGCCCUGAAGAAGCUGCGCUUGGAGGGCCCAUCCGCUGCUCUCGUCCUCUCGGCCGUCCAUCAUCGGAGAGUUCUCCCGCUGAUGUCUCGGCCGCUGAGGAUGGAUGAGAUGGGGCCCGGCGUUUCCUCCCGGGACCUCGAGGCAUGCCGGAUGUCCAACGAGGCUCUGGCGGACGACAAAGCCGCAGCCCGGGUUAGGGCGGCCAUUGUCGGCAACUUUAAGCCGGAGCACGUCAAUGGCUUCCCCAUGAGGCCUGAUGAGGGCUCGAUUGACCUGGUAUGUUACUUUCUUGUACAUGGCUUUGAUUCUGGAUUUCCUUCAAUUCCCUUUUUAAGCUGGCCUUUGUUCUGGUAGGGAUAGAUCAAUGUCCGGUCCUCGAGGCGUCCAGUAAAGGAGGACGAGGUCGACCUUGACAAGCGGCGCCAGUCCGCCGAGAAACAAAAGUCCGCCAAGGACUCUAAGAAGAAAGGGAAGAAGAAAAGGAACCUCGACCGCCAAGCACUAGAGGCGCGUCGAGCUAAAUCUAGGCAGAGGGGCGGGCCUGAAGAAGAAUCCACCAGUGAAGAUGACGGUGGAGAUGGUGAUGACGAUAGCGACGACUCCGAGGGGAUGGCGUCUCGUCUCGACCGGAUCCUCGAGGGUCCGCCUUGUGGUGACAUCGACGCCCCGCGGACGAGAGCGCCAAAGGAGGGGCCAGGCGGAUCUCACCGCGCUCGCGCUGACACUCCUCCCGUGCCUGCGUCAAGUCGGGCCGUCCCGCACCACCAACCUCCCCCUGCACCAAAGGCGGGUGGCCGGGCUAAGCCCAGGCGACGGGGCCGUUGACCCGUGGCCGCGCCGUGGCCUCCGAAAAGGGGGACGUCGACCGCAGGAGCGCUAGCCCCGGCACUCGCCGAUGGGAGAUGUCGGACCAAGGCCCGCGCCUGCCCGUGCGGGGCCUAAAGUCUCGAUGCGAGGUGGUUUGAGGCCCACCGGUCGGGGUACCGGCAGGCGAGCCAUUCUCCCUGUGGGGUAAGUUCUUCGACGCUGAGAUCCUCAUCCUUCUGUUUCUUUGUGUUUCUUCGCAUAACGGUCUCCCUUAUGCCCGUUUCUCUUUUCUCAGGUUGAAGCGGAUGCUUGAGCAGGCCCAGCCUUCAAUGGCAAAAAGGCUCAAGGUGGGAGCGGCUUCCAAGGACUCAGGUUUGUAGCCUAUUCCCAUUGUCAUGGGAUUUGUGUUGCUCUUAUGUUGGCCAUCAUAAUGACUGACUUUUGCUUUUGCGAUUUAUAUGCUCCUCCGACCCUCGACCCCCGACUGGCACCGAGAGUGCCCCGCCCCGUCCCCUGGCGGGUGAGUCUGUCCCGCCGUCGCCAAAACGGGCUGAGGCGCCUCAGCCCCAAGGGCAAGGGGGAGCCCCCGAGCCUCCCCGAUCGGGGGUCGAGGGGGAUCCCAUUACCAUAAGUGAUGGGUCUGGCGGUGACGGGACCUCGAGGGAUGCGCGUUCUAUGGACGAAGAGGCCCAGACUUCUCUCGUCACAAGACGGAUGCCCUGGCCUGCUGGGCUUUGCUCCAUCGAGGAGCAGAAGAAGAAAGAGGAGGAGGAGUGUGAGCAAGAGACGCGGCGGCAACUGCGGGAGCAGGACCGUCAACAGGAGCCGUAGGAGCUCCAAGAGCUGUAGCCGUAGGGGGACUAGCCGUCGGAGGAGCCGCUCGAGCCUCCUCCUCACAGUCCGCCCCAACCGGUACUACCGGCACCGCAAGAGCCCGGGAACCAAGAAGAGGGUCUGCCGGUUUUUGGCCCUCUGACCCCAGCGUGGCUCCGUCCAGGGACGCCCGCCGCGAUCCCAGCAGAGUCGGGGCGGGCGGACGGCGUGGUGGCGCUCGCCUACAUGAUGCGCACCCCUGUCGACCCUGAGUCCGAGAUCAGGAGGACGAUCUACGGCAUGGACGGGAUCGCCCCGGGAUUCCUCUGGGAGCGUCGGUCGUGGGAGGACCGUAUUCCCGCCGAGGAGGACGAGGCUGGGACGUUGGGCGGAGGCGGAGGUAGCGAAACGGGCACCUGGAAGACGGUGGAUGACGACAGGCGGUUCCCCUCCCUCGUCGACUUGUUCCUGUGCCAUGGAGGGUCCCUCGAGACCGUCGAGGAACUCAUCCGCGGCGUCAAGGCACGGGCCGACCAGGAGAUGGAGAACUGGUGCCCCGAUCGGAUCCGCAUCCGGGCUUCCACUGAUCCGUCCGAGCCCAACAUUUUUCUGGACGAUCGGAAGGAAGCCGAGAAGUGGGAGCACGUCUAGGAGCUCCGCCUCUGGAUGAAGCACAUGGUGGGGCUCCUAUCGGACGUUGUAAACAACAGACUCGGGCCGGCCUACUUUGUAAGUCUCCUAGUCCUUUAAUCUUUAUGAAACUUGUUGGUUUUUGGGUUCUAACCGCUCGAUCACCGGCUCGCAGGACCUGAAAGAGACCUCCCGCAUUGAGUCAAGCUUUAUUCACGCCACGAGAGGCGGCUGGGAGCAGCUCCCCAUCCUCAAGGACCAACUCCUGGAGUCACAGGAGGAACUCCUCCAAGCUUACAAAGAGCUCUUGGCGCUCAAGGAGGAGAAGAAGGAGAGGGAGGCUGCCCUGGCCGAGGCUCGAGAGGCCUCAAGGAAGGCUGUGGAAGAGGCUGUGCUGCUGAGGGAGUGGGCUCUGACGGUCUAGGAGGCUGGGUCCAAAGCCCGGGAGGAGGCCCUGUCCUACAAGAACGUCAUUGCUGACCUAGACAAGGUGAAGGGCCUCCUCAAGACCGACCUGGACUCCCUCCGAGAAUCCUUCCAAAGGAUGAAGGUGGAGUAUGUGAACAGCGAGGUCGCCAGGGGCGCCAUGGAGGAGGCAAAACAGAAGGCCCUCGAAGACCUCGAGGCGGAGCGGGCUCGACCCCACAGCCUCUCUAACGACGUCGAUCGUCUGAAGAGGGCACUGCUGGAGAAGGAAGGAGCCAUUAUGCAGGCCGGCAAGGCGAUCGAGGAUCUGCGCGUCGCCAACACCGAGCUGGCGCGCUCCAACAGGGAGGUCGAGAGGGCCAACACCAAUUUGGUUGGUGAAAACACGGCUCUAGAGGAGAGCAUCUGCGGUACGUUUUCUAUUAUCGAGUUUCUUUUCUGAGGCGUGUUUGGUGUUAUCUAAUCUACUCUCGUUGAUCCUCGCAGGGCUCAAGGAUGAGCUGUUGGCUGCCCAAGUCGAGGCCCGCUCCGUCAAGACCCAGCUCGAGGGGGAGGUCGCCUUAAACGGUCGCCUAAGGACUGCGAUAAGCGACCUCUCGGCUUCCUGGGAGCUCGAGCCUGUUGACGAGUCAAGGGAGGAGGCUCGGGGCGAUGCACUCGUCGACCAGCUAUGCUGUCUUGGAGCUACGCUGAGGGACCGGGUGCGGGACGCCCUCCCGUCGGAGUGAAGCGGGCGAUAGCGGUAGUCUGCUCAGGCUUCUCCUACGACAUGGAGGUGGUGUCCCACGGCUUCAUCACCGACAUCUCGAAGACUGAUGCGGAGAACGAGGAGAGGCUCCACGCCUUGAUCGACGACGCAGAAGUUCCUAGAGAGAGGUUGGCUAAGCUAUUCGAGCCAGAGGUACUUCCUCCUAAGACUAGCUCAGGCGCGGGUGAGGAUGGUGAGGGCCGAGACUCGGACUGAGGCCUGCGAGCCUAGUCUGGGUGCCUGGGCCCCUUGUAUAGUACUCUGUCAAUUUGUAUUUAAGUAAUAUCUUUUAAGUGGUUGUUAAAUGUUUAUCUGUCUUUCCGCUCGAGGCUCUUUUAUUUCCAUUUGCACCUAUGUUUGUAUUCUUCGUUUGAUCUUUUGUGUAAGGCGAUCUCGGUUGCCUCAAGGGUGGGGAAGCGAGUAGAGUUUCCGUAGUCUGGGGGCGUAGGAGUACUUAGGCUCGUCGUCUCUCAGCACUUAAGGGGCUCGAGGUGCCUCUACUACUUGACCAUACGAGAUUACUGAUAGGAAAGAAGGGUUACUUGGUUUUUUUCGAUACUUGGGGGGGGUCACCCCCCUGCUAGCCCCCGAGGGGGUAUCGUCUAUGAUGGGUCAUAGUCGGUACUCCCUUCUGACGUCGAGAUUUUAACUUGUGAAAAAGUAAGUUGCUCGAGGGAAAGACUUUAUUUAUUCAUGCAUUCAUUUACAAGGCCUUGGUACAGAAUGUACGUAGGAAAGUAGAGCUUUGAAAUUCUAGGGGUAGAAUCGACGUAGCUGUUCGAUGUUCCACGCGUUGGUGAAGAUCACCCCCUUUUCAUCUGUGAGUUUUUAUGUCCCUGGCUUCAAGACCUCGGCCACCACGUAUGGGCCCUCCCAAGGUGGAGUCAGCUUGUGGCGUCCUUGAUUGCUUUGCCGCCAUCGUAGGACGAGGUCGCCUACGUUUAAAUCCCUCUUGCGCACGUGCUUGUCGUGGUAGCAUCGAAGUUUCUGCUGGUAUCUGGUAGAGUUGAGGAGGGCCAUGUCUGGAGCCUCCUCGAGUUGGUCGACCGCAUUUUCUUGAGUCACUUUAUUUGAUUGCUCGUUGUAUGCUUUGAGCCGAGGGGAUCCAUACUCGUGGUCUGUUGGGAGCACAGCCUUAGAGCCAUAGACCAUGAAGAAUGUGGUGUACUUUGUGGCCCUGCUUGGCGUUGUCCUUAAGCUCCAUAGGACCGAGGAAAGUUCCUCGACCCAUUUCUUGCUGAAUUUCUUCAAGCGAUUGUAGAUCCUUGGUUUGAGCCCUUGCAAAAUCAUGCCGUUGGCACGCUCGACCUGGCCGUUAGGUCGAGGGUGGGCCACUGCGGACCAAUUCACACGGAUGUGAUGCUGAUCGCAGAAGUCCAAGAACUUCUUGCCGGUGAACUGAGUGUCGUUGUCAGUGAUGAUGACGUUGGGAAUCCCAAACCGGUGGAUGAUGUCGGUGAAGAAAAGGACGGCCUGCUCGGAGCGGAUGUUGGUGAUGGGUCGAGCCUCGAUCCAUUUGGAGAAUUUGUCGAUGGCUACCAAUAAGUGGGUGUACCCCCCUUUUGCCUUUUGUAGAGGCCCUACUAAGUCGAGCCCCCAUACCGCGAACGGCCAUGUGAUAGGGAUCAUCUGGAGAGCAUGGGCAGGCAGGUGCGUCUAUUUGGCGUAGAAUUGGCACCCAUGGCACGAGCGUACGAGCUCGACGGCAUCAGCUACGGCCGUUGCCAGUAGAAGCCUUGUCGGAAGGCGUUCCCCACGAGGGUCCGUGGAGCAGCAUGGUGCCCACAAGCCCCCGAGUGUAAAUCCUCGAGGAGUUUCUGGCCUUCUUAUAUGGUGAUGCAACGCUGCAAGACCCCCGUCGGGCUUCGUCGAUAUAGCUCUUUGUCCUCGCCAUAGAUUACGUAUGACUUGGCCCGUCGAGCAAUACGGCGGGCCUCGGAUCGAUCUUCCGGCAGCUCGCAGCGGAUCAGGCAGUCGAGGAACGGCGUGCGCCAAACGAACGGUCGACCGGGCCGCUGUUCCACUUCCAUUACCUCAGCCGCCAUUAGUAGUGCUUCGACGGUGUCGGUUUGCUGGAUAGGAGCGGGCUCGAUGCUAGCCCCCGAGCCCAAGUCGAUGGAUGGCUCAUGUAGAUCUCUUGAAAACGCGUUAGGUGGGACCGUGCCUCGAGUCGACGCGAUCUUGGCGAGUUCGUCGGCUGCCUCGUUGUAGCGUCGGGCGACGUGGACGAGCUCGAGGCUGUAGAACUUGUCCUCGAGUUGACGGACUUCCUUGCAGUACGCCUCCAUUUUUGGGUCGUGCCAGCUUGAGGUCUUCAUCACUUGGUCGAUGACGAGUUGGGAGUCGCCUCGAACGUCGAGGCGUCGAACUCCAAGCUCGAUGGCGAUCUUCAGACCGUUGACAAGGGCCUCAUACUCUGCAACAUUGUUGGAUGUGGCAAAAUGUAUCCUGAUGACGUACCUCAUAUGAACGCCCAGGGGCGAGAUGAACAGCAGGCCCGCCCCAGCUCCCGUCUUCAUGAGAGACCCGUCGAAAUACAUCGUCCACAACUCUGCCUGAACUUGAGCCGGGGGGAGCUGGGAGUCAGUCCAUUCCGUGAUGAAAUCCACUAGGGCUUGUGAUUUGAUAGCUUUUCGAGGUGCGUAAGUGAGGGUCUCGCUCAUGAGCUCGACUGACCACUUUGCGAUUCUUCCCGUUGCCUCCCGACUCUGGAUGAUCUCUCCCAAGGGGAAAGAUGAGACCACCGUGACAGGGUGCCCGAGGAAGUAAUGCUGCAACUUGCGUCGGGCGAGGAUUACGGCGUAGAUUAGCUUCUGGAUCUGUGGGUAGCGCGCCUUGGUCUCCGAGAGCACCUCGCUGACGAAAUAGACUGGCCUCUGGACUGGCAAUGCAUGCCCCUCCUCCUGCCUUUCGACCACUACUGCUGCACUGACGACCUGGAUCGUCGAUGCAAUGUACAGAAGCAGAGGUUCUGCGGGUUGAGGCGGGACUAGCACUGGUGCAGAGGUCAGCGUUUUCUUCAAGUUAUCGAAUGCUUCCUCGGCCUCUAGGGUCCAAGAAAAACGCUCGACUUUCUUCAGAAGUCGAUAUAGUGGCAACGCCUUUUCUCCCAACCUCGAGAUAAAACGACUCAGCGCCGCUAAGCAUCCUGUGACUCUCUACAUGCCCUUGACGUCUCGGAUUGGCCCCAUUCUUGUGAUGGCCGAGACUUUCUCGGGGUUGGCCUCGAUGCCGCGCUGGGAAACGAUGUAACCCAGGAGCAUGCCUCGAGGUACGCCGAAAACGCACUUCUCGGGGUUGAGCUUGAUCUGGUUGGCGCGUAAGCAGCUAAAAGCGAUCUCGAGGUCCUGGAUCAGGUCUCCCUGUCGCUUUGACUUGACGAUGAUGUCGUCGACAUAGGCCUCGACCGUCGACCCUAUGUGCUUGCCAAACACGUGGAGCAUGCAGCGCUAAUAUGUGGCUCCCGCGUUUCGAAGCCCGAACGGCGUGGUUACAUAGCAAUACAUCCCAAAAGGUGUGAUGAAAGAUGUCGCGAGCUGAUCGGACUCUUUCAUUUUUAUUUGAUGGUAACCAGAAUAUGCAUCAAGGAACGAAAGGGUUUCACAUCCUGCAGUAGAAUCAACAAUUUGAUCAAUACAUGGUAAUGGAAAAGGUACUUUUGGACAUGCUUUAUUUAAACUCGUAUAAUCGACACACAUCCUCAUUUUCCCAUUCUUUUUCUUAACUAGUACAGGGUUUGCUAACCAGUCGGGAUGGUGAACCUACAUGAUGAAUCCGGCCAUCAAAAGCUUAUGGAUCUCCUCGCCAAUAAUCUUGCGCUUCUCCUCGUCGAAUUGGCGCAACCUUUGCUUCACUGGCUUGGAACCGGCUCGAAUAUCCAAGGAGUGCUCGGCGACUUCCCUCGGUAUGCUAGGCAUAUCCGAGGGACUCCAUGCAAACAUGUCGGCGUUGGCACGGAGAAAGUCGACGAGCACAGCCUCCUAUUUGGGGUCGAGGUCGGCGCUGAUCGUCAGCACCUUGCCGUCAGAGUUGUUGGGGUCGAGCGGGAUCUUCUUGGUUCCUUCCGCCGGCUCGAAGCUGCCCGCGUGGCGCUUGGGCUCUGGAGCCUCAGCGGCCAGGGCCUCGAGCUUCGAGGCAAGCUCGGUGGAACUCUCGACCGCCUCCCCAUACUUGACGCACUCGACGUCGCACUCGUAUGCAUGCUCAAAGGAGGAGCUGACGGUGAUGACGCCCUUGGGCCCGUGCAUCUUUAGCUUCAAGUAGGUGUAGUUGGGGAUAGCCAUGAAUUUGGUGUAGCCCGGGCGCCCGAUGAUGGCGUGGUACGUGCCCCGGAUUCCCACCACCUCAAUGGUGAGGGUUUCCUUUCUGAAAUUGGUCGCUGUGCCAAAGCAGACCGGUAGAUCGAUUCGACCUACCGGCAACGCCUUCUACCCAGGAACGACGCCAUGGAAGCCUCCGGCGCUUGGUUGGAGCUGCGACCUGUUGAUGCCGAGGAAGUCGAGGGUCUCGAGGUAAAUGAUGUCCAGGCUGCUGCCACCAUCCAUCAGCACCUUGGAGAGUCUGGUGUUGACGAUGAUGGGGUCGACAACAAGCGGGUAGAUGCCGGGGGCGACCACCUUGUCGGGUGGCCCUCUCGGUCGAAGGUGAUGGGGUUGCUCGACCAGCUGAGGUACUGGGGCACCGCCAUUCUUGCCGCAAAGACCUCACGGCGCUCCCUCUUGUGUUGCCUUGCGGUCAGCUAUGUCGAGGGCCCACCGUAGAUCAUGUAGCAGUUGUGGACGGCUGGGAAACCGUCGUCGUCUUUGUCGUUCCCCUUGUCAUCGUUCUUAUCCUUCUUUGGGUCGUCGCGCGCGUCCUUCUUGAACCCCAGACCGUCAAAAUGCUUUUUCAGCAUACGACAGUCCUCGAGCUUAUGGUUGGCUCCUCCCUUAUGGUAAGGGCACGGCUCCUUCAGCAUCUUAUCGAAGAUGCCCACCUCUGGAGGACCUCGAGGCCUUUUGCGUUCCAUGGCAGCGACGAGAUCGUCGUCGAGGUCUUUCCGCUGGAACGGGCGGGUUUUCUUCUUCUUCUUGUUCUUCUUGAGCCCUCGACUAGGGCCCUCAUCAUCAUCGGCGGGCGGCUUGCCCUUCCUUCCUUCACAGCUGAAGAAAGCGCCGACCGCUUCUUCUCCCGCAGCGUAGUUAGCCACUACGUCCAUCAGCUCGUCGACGGUCUGAGGGCGAUUCCGGCCCAAUUCCCGCACCAAGUCUCGACUGGUGGUACCAGAGACAGGCUAGGAUGACGUCAUUGUCGGGGAUGUGCGGCAGCUUGCUUUGAGAAGUGUCGAGCGUUCUCUCGAAGAGUUUCCCCUGACCUCUGCUUGCAUUUGCUAAAGUCCCAUGAGUUGCCCGGUCUAAUGUAGGUUCCCUUGAAGUUGCCCUCGAACACCCUGACCAAAUCCACCCAGUCGUGGAUCUGAUCGGCUGGAAGCUCCUCGAGCCACCUGUGGGCGGUGUCGGAGAGGAAGAGCGGCAGCUAUCUGAUGAUGGCUCCAUCAUCUCCUCGUGCGCCUCCUAGCUGACAAGCCAGCCUGAAGUCUGCCAACCACAGCUCUAGUUUGGUUUUGCUGUUGUAUUUUGCGAUGCUGGUCGGGGGUCAGAACGGACUGGGCAGCGGCGUGCUGCGGAUUGCCCUGCUGAACACCCGUGGGCCUAGUGGCUCUGGGGCCAUCCGGUCCUCGUCGCUGUCGUACCUCCCGCCGCGAUGGGCGCUAUAACCAUGCUCUUCCGCGUCCCCGUACCGACGUCGACGGUUCUCUUCAAUGUCGCGUCGCGCAUCGUGUCGACGUUGGUUGUCAGCGGGGAGGACGAGCGUGGUCUUUUUCCCUCGAGGGGGCGACUGCUAAUGGACCGACACCUCCUUUUCGUUUUGGCCUGGCUCAUUGCGCCUUUCGGUGGCCGCUCCUCGACGUCGAGAAGCCGAACUUUCGGCCUGCUGAACUGCCGCCACCUGGGGCAGAGUCUGCACCUCGUCCCGGAUGCGCCGCGCUUGGGAGUUCGAUGGCUCUGGCAUGUUUUGCAGCAAUAUUGUUGCUGCCACAACGUUCUGGCCUGCUCGAGGGAAACGACUGACGGGCUGCUGGCAUUGCUAAAUCUCAACGUUCUUCAGCCAUGAAUAUUUGAUUGUAUCCUGCAUUGCCAUCCAUAAAGCUGAUGAUCCGAUGCCCAGCCGCAGCAUCAACUAGUAUAUCGGCAACUGGCAUUGGCUAGCCAUCCAUCGGCGUAGCUUUAUUGAGAUUCCUGAAAUCAAUGCAAACUUGAAGCUUCCCAUUUUUCUUGUAGACUGGAACAACAUUGGAAAUCUAUUCGGCAUACCGACAUUGCCGAAUAAAUUUAGCUUCAAUGAGUUUGGUUAUUUCGGCCGUAAUAUCAGGAAGAAUAUUAGGAUUACAUCGGUGAGCUGGCUGUUGAUGUGGCCAAAAUCUAGACUUGAUAGGCAACCGAUGUUCAACAAUUGAUCGGUCUAAACCAGGCAUCUCAGUAUAAUCCCAAGCAAAGCAAUCUUUAUAUUCUUUUAACAAAUCGGUUAACUGCUGCUUACACUCAGAAUCUAACUUAGUACUAAUAAAAGUAGGUCUAGGCUUAUCACCACUACCUAUAUCUACUUCUACCAAAUCAUCGGCCGAUGUGAAUGUAACACCCUAAAAAUUUAUUUUCAAGAUAGUAUUCAGUUGGCAUAAUUAUAUGAAUUAUCUGAGAAUUGUUUAGGCAAAAUAACAAUUUUUGGAAUAAUUUAAAAUAAACCAUAAGGUCUAGAAACAUGAAAUGUUGCAUUCAUGCUGGUGCAUAAUAUUUUGAUUGAUUCUAAGACUAGGCGGUUUGGUUUAAAAAUCAAAUUGAAAGGAAUUUAUACAAAUUUAUAGCUCUGAAAAAUAUAAAAGAGUUUUCUCUUAUUUUUAUUUCCCUUCAGCAAAUCUGGCCCAGCCCCAAACCCUGGCCGGCCUAAACCCCGCGCCCACCCCUGGCUUUGGGCCGUGGCGGCCCAGCGUCCCGCCCCUCGCCCGCGAUGCGCGCGUGCGGCCCAGUGGCGCGGCCCGCUCCAUGCGGUCAGCCCGCGCGCCCUCCCCCUCUUCCCCCUCUCACUGCGCAGUGGGGCCCGCGUGUCGGCGCUCACCCUUCCCUUUCUCUCUCGCUGCACCGUGGGGUCCGCUUGUCAGCGCCUUCCCCCCCUUCUUCCUCGUUGAGCCGGGAGCGCGCGGCGGCAUUGAACGCCAUCAAUCCCCCCUUCAAGCUCCGAUUGAUGAAGGCCAUCAAUCGGCCAUCAAGCCGCCUUGAUGCCGGGCUUAAUCGCCCGAGCGUUCGCCCCAUCAGUGCCCCUUCACGCCCUAUAAAAGCUCGCGGCCGAGUCCCCUUCUCCCCCUUCCGUUCGUGAACCGAGCUCGAUUUUCCCCCAAAUUCUCCGUCCCGAGAGCACGGUGGACGCUGCGAGCUUGCGCAGCACGUUCGUCUGACGAUACCGCGGCCAUAGGUACACUUUCCCCCUGCCCUUCUUCACGUUUUGGCCGAAACCGAGCUCACCGUCGCCAUUUUUCUUCUCCAGUCCGCCUCGCUCGUGGCCACACUGCUGGGAGCACCUUCGGACGCCGCGAACGUCUUCAACGGAACCGCGGUACUCCUACGUUGCUCCCCGUGUUUUCAAACGUGAGUUAGAGCGCUAUACCGCUGAACCCGAGGCUCUCUGAGGCCGUGGAAAUGGCGCCGCCACGGGGCCGUCGUUCCGACGAGCUUCCCGUCCUUAUUUGUGCUCUAUCAAGUUCGCCUCGUCGCGCUGGUCGUUGUGGUAGUUUUGCUUUUGCUUGGCGCGGCCGGGAACGAGAUUUCGGCGAGCUCCGAGGAGCUCACCUCGUCGGCGGCAAUGGCGCCGCCGUGCUCGGCCUCGGCCAGGCGAGCGCCCUGCCUCCCUUCUUUCUGAACCGCCCGAUCAGAUCCCAACGGCCCAGAUUACAUACCCCUUCGGGGUUAUGUAACCGGUGCACCGUGGACCAUGGUCGCGGUCCACGAGCGCACGGCCGGCCGGUCCACGCGCACAGUGGUGGACCGAGCCAACCACCGCACGCCACAUGGCCCCCUGUCGGCCAGCGACGCGGUCAGCCGCGGGCCGCUGGAGAUUUUGCACUUUAACCCCCCUGUUUCAAGCAAAUCAACCCGCGGUCCAACCCAGUUCAAAAGUAUUUCUUUUUAAUCCCAUUUUCUUUUGUUCUGAACCCUGUACUUUUAUAUAAUUGUGCACGCGGUCCAGACCCGUUAGAAAUUCAAUUUUAAUUCUUAUAAAUUCGUUUUUGAUUCAGUUUAUUCAUAGAAAUGCCAUUCAUUUUGUUUUAUGCAUAACUUUCAUGUUUUAAAUCCGAUUAGAGUGAUUCUUUCACUCAUGUGUUCGUAGAAAUACGUAGAGUAGAUUUAUAUACUUUUCAGUCACUGUUUUCACUGUUUGGUAUACUGUUCUAAUAGAACUCUAUUUGUAUGCAUGUGAUGAUUGGACUGGAUGCUUGAUUGGUGUUUGGAUAGCGAAUAGAAGGUGAUUAGGUUGGGGUGGUUGAGGAGCAGUUUGUGGAGCUUUACUAGGAGGAAACUUUUGAGGAAGGCAAGUGUAAUAUAGGCUUCCUUGUACCUAUGAAUAUUAUUUAAAUCAUACAUAUACAUGUGUCUAAAUUGAAUUACCUAUAAGGACCCUACCUAGAUAAUUUUUGUACCACAAAUCCUUGUUACCCAUGGGAAGGUGUGCAUUUAUUUAGGUUGUUACUUGCUACGCUCAAAACCCAAGUUAAUAAAUUAAUCUGACUAAUUGGUAUAUGCAAUGUGAUAAAAUAUGUUCUAGUAACUUGGUUCAGGGGGCUAGAGCUUGGGUUUGAAAGCUCUAGGUUCCUCUCCAUAAGGACUUAAUCCUGAAGCGGCCACCCAGGAGGACACGUACAAUCCCGAGAGUCAAAUGGCUCUGACCUUAAUCAUAUAACUAGUAUGUCUCUAGCAAUUUAGUAGUUACCGAAAGGCGCUAGAGGGGGGUGCCUCGUGGUGUAUAGACGUCACUCCUACCUUGGUGUGUACAGUGCCGCGACCACGUGUGCCUCUUGAAGGAGGUCGUCUAUGCACACUUGCCACUGAAACCUCGCGGCUACUAAUUUGUUAGGGUGACUAGUGAAAGGCUAAGUAGUGGAACCCGGUCACACUUCCUCGGUAGAAGUGGUGCGGGCCUUGCAAACCCCGACACUAGAGAACCACGGCUCGGGGGUAAAGUUGUACAAUUUCUGCAGAAAUCUAAAACCUGUUAUAGCAGCCGAGCUCUCGGUCAUGAGCGGCCUGGAUCCUUCUUGGUUAGCGGUUACUUGGUUAUACUUGGGAAAUGUAAUAACUUUGAUUAAUUCUUAUGUAACCAGGGAUGGUCUCUCAUUAAAAGUAGUAAGUCUUGGUUAAUAAAAUAUGACCAACUAAAAUGCUAACCGCUGUUAAACCGAGUCAAGCCUUUGAGCCUUCAUAUACCCGUAUGUUAUACUUGCUAAGCAUGGUGCGCUUACACUUGUUUAUAUUUCAAUGAAAAUCCCAGAUGGGUAACAGAUGUGUGUACUGAGGAGUUCCCUGAAGAUGUCCAGGACUUCUAAAGAGCUGGUGUUCACCAGUUGGUGUCCCUGUGGCAACAAGGGCUUAGCUUCCCGCUUUAUGUAAUAAUGUUGCCAAUGAGCAAGACUUUGUGAGAUGUUUAAGUUGAAUAUGCGAUGUAAUAAAGUACUUUACUUUGAUAUAUUUACAAUUUGUGAUAAUAUGUGUGUUUGGACAUCCUGGGCGCACAUAUUUGAGUACUUGGUUUUGUUAUCAAAACUGGGUGCGACAAAUUGGUAUCAAAGCUUAGCCUGACUGUAGGACGAUCAGCCUAGUUAGAAAUGGACUUUUUAGGGUCUUGAGCACUUAUUUUACUAAUUAUUUUCUUAUAAAAUUAUUGCUUAUAACCUGCCUAAUAUCUAUUGAGAAAAUUAUUUUGUUCUAAUCCUCAUAUAAUUUCUUAUAGAUGGCCCGUACCAAGUGGACAGCUCGCAAACGUGUCAUCAUGCCCAACAAGAGGACAAGGUUCACUCUAGGCAAGCGUGUUCCCCCGCAUCUGGUUGAAGCAUUGAGAGACAUGGAGGAAGUCAUGAUAGAAGAACCUGUUGAGGAUGAGGAAACCGAAGAGGAACCCAUGGAACAAGAUGAACAAGAAGGGGCAGGUAAUCCAGAUGAUGGAGAAAGUUCUGACAGCUCCGACUCGAGCAACCAUGGCAGUGGUGGUGAUGAUGGUGAUGGUGAUGGAGAUAGCCAAGAUCACCAUGCCGCACUCUUGGCAGCCACCUUCAUCGGCAACUUCCCUGUAGACUAAUUACCGUUGCUUCAUCUGCCGAUCUAUACUUUAUUAACACCAUGUACGCGUCAAAAGAUACGUGUCCAAAAACGGUGUCAACACAUGCCCCCCAAUUUUGAAGUAUAAAAUCAUUAAUGCUCCGAAAUUCUCUGCAGUAAUGAUGCCUUUCCGCAAUUAAUUCUCCCAAUUUGGUAAUCGGUCAUUAAAUCCGAACAACCUUGGCCCGAUUCUCCUGCAGAUUCCUCGAAUUCCUCAACCUCCCGAACCGAACCUUUCCUCUUUAUGCGCCCAUCGGCAAUAUUACUGUUAGAGGGAAUUGCCGAUGGACAGACCAGGAGAUCUUGUACAGUGAAAUAUCUUCAAAAUCAUGACCUCUUGCUGUCAAAUCACUAACGCAAUCCCUUGAUUACCGUGCGAACAGUUUCCAUAUCCACCUGAACACCCUCAGAUUUUACGGAUGCGGCAAAGAGAUAAGUCAGAUUUGCCCCUGCCCGAUUUGUCCUAUAAAUACUUCCUUCUCCGGUGCUCCUUCUCCAUCUUAUCAUUCUACAGCCUAAAAUCUACUUUCCUGGCGGCGGCACCACCCGAGGAUUCCAAGAACUUCAACAAGGCCUUCUUCACCAAUUCCCCAUGUCUUCAAUCUUCUUCCUUGCGAGGAAAUGGCCAUCAACUUCAUCGUUCCUAAGGUCAGUUUACCAUCUUUCCUUUUCCACAUUCUUGCCGUACUCCUAUUCAUCCGCAAUUCCUUUUACUGAACACUCCUUUUUCUUUUUCUUCUUUCUUUUAUUUUCAAAAACUUUUAGGAUUUGGCCGAUAAGAUCGUAAUUCCUACCAAUCAACCUCACCUCCAAUGUCUUGGCCCGCUAGGAAAUUUAGAUCCCACCGAUCUAAUAAACACAGAAACAAAUAGAAUUCCCUUUAAAGCUGAAAACUUCUCCCUAGAUCUAUGGAAAGAUGCCUUCCGUUCCUGGCCCAGUCCUACCAAGGGAUGGAAGGAUUGGUUCCUGAGAGUCAGCCAUUCAAAUGAGGUUCGAUGGGGCGAGCGGAAGUUAGACCAGUGCAUUAGAUUGUCUCUUGCCGAUAUGGAGAGGAAUGAGUCACUGCUAAUUGCUGCUUCAUACUUUUGGUCAGACACGCUCAAUGCUUUUGUGUUUGGCCAUGGCCCUGGUUCUCCUACACUUGCCGAUGUACUCAUGCUCAUCGGCUUAGACAUAUCCACUGCCGAUAACAGCCAUCUAUUUGACACCAAACCCAGUUCUAAGGUAGAAACUCGCGCUAUCGGCGGUUGGUCUGGGUACAUUCAGAAGUACCGAAAAACAGGACCUGUCAGUGCAAAGGAACAGACCACUUUCCUGAAUAUGUGGCUAGAUAAGUUUGUAUUCUGUGGCCGAUCGACAGGACCAACCUCUGUUUACUUAUCAGCAGCAGAAAGAUUAGCCAAUGGUGGCCAAUUUCCCCUUGGCCGAUACCUGCUCGGCUCUGCUUAUCACCUCCUCCACCAGGUAGCCAAGAAACUUCUACUAGGUCAAACAUCGGCAACUUAGGGGGUCCUUGGUGGUUUAUCAACAUAUGGCUUAAUCUCCACAUGCACAAGCUCCUUGAAUUCGACCUCUUUGCACAACGCUUCCCCAGGGACAUAGCCAAGGAUUAUGAAUUAGAUGAAGAAGAGUAGGCAACUUGUUCCCCCUUAAACUUUGGCAAAGCUGCCAUAGUCUUACCUGGCACUAGUGGUAAUGAAGACCAGGUUAGCCGAUUAUUUCAGACUCUCUAUGAAGGUCUGACCAGAGAACAGCGGGCAUGGAUGCCUUAUGAAGAUCCAGACACCAGAUUUUCCCUGACUUUCCAUCCCUUCAAUGAUGCCCUCAACAAGGAUCGUGAUGUGAUGAUGGCAAUUAUCACCCCAAGGGCCAUACCAGUGAACUUCUUGGGUAGUGGGAAAGCCUCCAAUCUGACCUAUGAGUUUUACAACCCAUCAGCACUAGCUCGCCAACUGGCUUUCGGUCAACUGCCGAUUGCACUUUGCUACGCCGAUGUGGUAAAGCCGAGGGAGACCAUCACCAGCAAUCUUGAGUGGAUCAGAAUAGCUCAACUUCCGCCAAACGCCGAUACAGAUGUCGAUCUAUCGGCUUGGAUCCCAGCUCUCUUCAUUACUCAGGCAUACAAACAGUGGUGGGAGGAGUGGAAAGAGCAUUUGUUCUGCAGAUCGGCCCUCACAUACCGUGGCAUGAUCGACCCCAAAUACAAAGUCCCCGAUAAUACUGUAAGCAUUUUAACCGAUGUUUCAAUCCUUUCACUUUCAUUUUUUAUCGGCAACUUACUUUCUUUGUUUUAUACAGGUCGAUGAUACACCACCAUCAGUUAACAGAAGUGGCAGGCCGAUUGAACUCCUUCCAUCGAGCCCGAUCUCUUUGAUCGGCAACAAUGCUCCGAGCUUGGCGGCUUUAAUGCACCGGGGUGUGCGUUUCAAGAAAAUCACCACCAGGCGAGCUAAAACAUCCCCGUCAGUAGCUGCCACUACUUUGGCACAAGCUUUCAAGGUAAAUUCUUGAACUCUUCAACUUGUACCGAUUCCAUUCUUACAUUUACACAAUUUUUCAGGACACAUCGGCUAGAUGGGAACUUCAUCGGUAACUUUUACUAUUUCAACCAGAACCUCAUCAAUACUCUGUUACACUUGUACUUAUAAAACUUUCAUUGUUAUAUCAGCAAACUAGCAAAUCGGCAAAGACCAGAAGUACCAAAACGACUGCUGAUGCCUCCCAGUCCAGCCAAGCAAAGAGAAAGGGUCCCAAGAGUACCAAGUCACAAGUGAAGCAUCAGAGAACAGCAACGCCUCCUCCUCCUCCUCCAAGGUCACUGAUCCCUAUAGAAUCGUCCCCCUCUUCUCCAGAAGCUCAGACACAUCAAAUACCGUAUCCCCCUCAACCACAAGAAGAACCUCAGCCAGAGGGAACAUCGACCGAUGUACACGAGCAAACUGUUUACCCAGUGAGCUCAAUCAUAGCAUCGUUAGUUUCCUCCAUUCAGACAAGUACUGCACCCCCUCAAGGUAACGUACUUUCUAUGAAAUUAUUGCCGAUGAACCUACCUUUCCAUCUUAUAAUUACCCUUGUUAAUUUUCAGCUGACAUUGUUCCAUUGGCAACUCCAGCCGAUCAACCCAUAGUACCAUCGGCCUCAGCUAGCCACAGGCGAGAAAUUGCCCUGAAACAGGUAAGUUACCCGAUCUCUAUUUCUAUCAUCACCAGCACUUGAUCAUCAAAUAACUUAUUUCAUCUUGUUUUUCAGGAACAGGACUCUCCCGACAGCUUGUUCUCCUUUGCCAUCGAAAUUUCUGAGGAUGAAGGCGAGGAAGCAAGCUCUUCUCAAGCAGUUGGAAUUUCAUCGGCAGAGAUUAGAUCAAAGCUAGAAGAUCUGUCGGCCCUCCUUCAUCAAGACACAACCCAACUAGUUGACGACUCCGAUCCAGCCAAGGCUCUAUUCAAGGUUCUCAAAGGCCAAAUUCCUGCUGAUGCUGAGGAGAUUCUCUGCAAGGCUGCUCAUUUGGACAGUCGACAGCUCCAGUACCAAAAGGCCACUCAGCGCCUUGCCGAUAGAGCUGCUCACGCCUAGCUUUGAGAGGAGGUACUGAAAGUAAAGCACCUUGCCGGUGAAAAACAUAAGAGCAUCAGCAUUCUGAAAUCCUCAGGAGAUACGCUGAAGCAAAAGAUCCCCUAUCCAUCAGCAAAGAGGGAAGCCCUACUGGUAGAACUUGAACAAGUAGAAGAGGCCCUGUCCCAAGCUAAACAGGAAGAAGGUCAGCUGCCUAAGAUGAUCAAGACCCUUGAACAAGAGCGAAAUGUCCAGGCUCGCAAGGCACUGCAGAUGAAGAAGAAACUGAGACCGGUGGAAGGCUCUACCGAUGAAGAUAUCAAAGAGAUAGAAGAAGCCAAUCAAAUUCGCCUGCGCGCUAUAUCGGCCAUCCAAGCCUUGCUGAAUGCAUGAACUCUUUAUCGAUGACAUGCUUUGCUCUAGAAACUCCUGAACAUUUUGGUCUAGCCGAUAGGACUGUUAUCGGCACCCUUUUAAAACAUUGAGUCCAGCCCCAGAUACACUUUGAUCCAGCCGAUAGGAAUGUUAUCGGCACUUAAACUUUCAUGCAUCAAUCCAUAUGCUAGGAUAAUAUUUCUUUAAAUAUUUGCCAUUCAAUGCUCUGGGAAAUUCAACUCCUUAAGAGUUUCUAAAAUAUAGGCAUUGCCAGGAGCAGAUCGAUUUACCCGAUAGGGACCUUCCCAAUUAGGAGACCACUUCCCAAAUUUUGAACUUUUAGUCCCGAUCGGUAGGAUUAGUUUCCAUACUAAGUCUCCAUCGACAAAUUCCUUAGCCUUUACCUUCUUAUCAUACCAUCUGGCAACUCUCUUUUUAUUUUCUUCUAUACUUAUCAAAGCCUUUAGCCGAUGCCCUGCUGAAUCAUCUAACUCGUCUUUCAUCAAAGUAGCAUAAUCAUCGGCAGCCAACUGGUCUUGAAAAGAUAGUCGCCUUGAACCGGUUUUAAUUUCCCAUGGCAGUACGGCAUCGUGUCCAUACACCAACUGAUAGGGUGAAACUUUAGUUGACCCAUGACAUACCAUCCGGUAUGACCAUAAAGCUUCAUUCAACAAUGUAUGCCACCUCCUAGGAUUUUCCUCAAUCUUUCGUUUGAUAAGUUUAAUAAUUCCUUUGUUAGACGUCUCGGCCUGUCCAUUAGCUUGAGCAUAAUAAGGAGAAGAAUUCAACACUUUAAUCCCCAUACUGAUUGCAAAUUCAUCAAACUCGCCCGAUGUAAACAUAGUACCCUGAUCGGUAGUAAUUGUUUGAGGAAUACCAAAUCGGUAAAUAAUAUGCUCUUUCACAAAAUCAAUCAUAUUUGUUGAUGUAACUUUUUUCAAAGGAAUAGCUUCAACCCACUUGGUGAAAUAAUCAGUGGCAACUAAGAUGAAUUUAUGUCCUUUGUUCGACGGUGGGUAAAUCUGGCCGAUUAGAUCAAUAGCCCAUCCCUGGAACGGCUAAGGUUUAAUAAUGGGAUUCAAGGCCGAUGCGGGUGCCCUUUGAAUAUUACCAAAUUUCUGACAUCCUUGACAUCCCUUGAAAUAUUUAAAACAAUCUUCAAGUAUGGUUGGCCAAUAAUACCCAUUCCUCCUAUCAUCCAUUUCAUCUUAAAAGCCGACUGAUGCGCUCCACACAACCCUUCAUGGAUUUCACCCAUCAAACUUUUAGCUUCAUCAUCACCUAAGCAUCUAAGAAGAAUCCCAUCUAUUGUUCAGUAGUAAAGCUCAUCUUCGAGAAGUACAUACUUGGUAGCUUGAAACCGGACACGCCUCUCAACCUUCUUGGAUGGAUUCUUCAAAUAAUCAAUAAUCUCUUUUCUCCAAUCAUCAACACUGAUCACUGAUAUUGUAUUCAAUAUAGGCUGAUAUCCCGAGCCAUGCUGAGCCAACCGAUUAGCCUCCUCAUUAUGCAAUCGAGGAACAUGCUCUAAUCGGAAAUCUUUGAAUUCCCUUAAUAGUUGCAUACUCUUUUCGUAAUAAGUUAUCAGAACUUCACUUCGGCAUUCAUAACUUCCAGCUAAUUGAUUUAUAACCAACAUAGAAUCUCUGAAGAUCUCAACAGCAUCAGCAUGAACCUCUUUUAGUAACUCCAACCCUUUGAUCAAAGCUUGAUAUUCGGCUUGAUUAUUUGUUGACGUAGCAACAAUCGGCAAAGAGAAUUCAUAUUUUCUUCCCUGAGGGGAAAUUAACACUAUGCCAAUUCCUGCCCCCGGUCACACGUGGAUCCAUCAAAGAAGAGCGUCCAAGGCAAAAUUUCCAAAGUCUCCACUGCACCGCUAUGUCGAGUCAUAAAAUCGGCCAUAAUCUGUCCUUUAAUCGCUUUAGUCGAUUCAUAACGCAGACCGAAUUCCGACAGUGCCAAAAUCUACUUACCGAUCCUGCCACUCACAAUUGGCAUAGAUAGCAUAUAUCGGACCACAUCAUCUUUGCAUAUAACAGUGCAUUCGGCCGAUAACAAAUAGUGCCUCAACUUAAUGCAUGAGAAAUAUAGGCAUAAACAUAAUUUUUCAAUAGCCGAAUACCUGGUCUCAGCAUCAAUCAAUCUUCUGCUUAAAUAGUAAAUCACACGCUCCUUCCCUUCAAAUUCUGGAAUCAAAGCCGAACCAAUGACAAUUCCAUCGGUAGACAAAUAUAAUCUGAAGGGCUUUCCUUGCUGAGGUGGAAUCAAUACUAGAGGAUUUGUCAAAUAAUUCUUCAUUUCAUCCAGAGCCAACUGUUGCUCUUCCCCCAUAUAAAUUCUUGAUCGGCUUUUAAUUUAAGUAAAGGACUGAAAGCACGAAUUUUUCCAGAUAAGUUGGAAAUAAAUCACCUGAUAAAAUUUAUUUUGCCGAUUAGAGAUUGGAGUUCAGUCUUGUUAGUCGGAGCAACUAUCUUGUUAAUAGCAUCAAUAGAUCUUCUGCUAAUUUCAAUUCCUCUUUGAUGUACCAUGAAACCAAGAAAUUGCCCUGCCGAUACACCAAAUGCACACUUAUUAGGAUUCAUUUUUAAACCUUGCUUCCUUGUGCACUCCAACACCUUUCGCAAAUCGGCAAGAUGCUUUGUGAAAUCCCCAGACUUAACUACCACAUCAUCAAUAUAAAUUUCCACGAGCUUGCCGAUGAACUCAUGAAAGAUAAAAUUCAUAGCUCUUUGAUUGGUAGCACCAGCAUUUUUCAAGCCAAAGGUCAUGACUAUCCACUCAAACAAUCCAACAUGACCAGGACAUCUAAAUGCAGUCUUUGGAAUGUCUUCCUCAGCCAUGAAUAUCUGAUUAUAUCCUGCAUUGCCAUCCAUGAAGCUAAUAACUCGAUGUCCAGCUGCAGCAUCAACUAGCAAAUCGGCAACUGGCAUUGGGUAGCCAUCCAUCGGUGUAGCCUUGUUAAGAUUUCUAAAAUCGAUGCAAACUCGAAGCUUCCCAUUUUUCUUGUAAACUGGAACAACAUUGGAAAUCCACUCGGCAUACCGACACUGCUGAAUAAAUUUAGCUUCGAUAAGUUUGGUUAUUUCGGCCUUAAUAUCAGGAAGAAUAUUAGGAUUACAUCGGCGAGCUAGCUGCUGAUGUGGUCGAAACCCAGACUUGAUAGGCAACUGAUGUUCAACAAUAGAUUGGUCUAAACCAGGCAUCUCGGUAUAAUCCCAAGCAAAGCAAUCUUUGUAUUCCUUUAACAAAUCAGUUAACUGUUGCUUACACUUAGAAUUUAACUUAGCACUAAUAAAAGUCAGUCUAGGCUUAUCACCAUUAUCUAUAUCUACCUCUACUAAAUCAUCAGCCGAUGUAAACCCCUGGCCUAAUUUUCCAUCAUCGGCAAACUUAUCCAUUAAAACUCUUCAUCAGAACCGACUGCUUGGAUCGGUGGAAUUUCAUAAACGGCAACUUUGAGGAAAUCUUUCUCCCAAAUCUCCCCUGAGAUACACCUGGUCCUUUCAUAAGUGUCUGUUUCUGCCGAUGCAAUGACAUAAGAAGAAUCUCCCGGGACAAUCUCAAUCUUGUCACCUACCCACUGAACCAAGCAUUGGUGCAUUGUAGACGGGAUGCAACAAUUGGCAUGAAUCCAAUCUCUCCCUAGCAGCAGAUUAUAAGCACCCUUUCCACUGAUCACGAAGAAAGUUGUCGGUAAGGUUUUGCUGCCGAUCGUCAACUCGACGCAUAUUGCCCCCUUAACCGGAGGCACAUUUCCUUCAAAGUCUUUUAGCAUCAUAUCGGUCUUGGUCAAAUCUUGAUCUCCUUUCCCAAGCUUCUGAUAGACUGUGUAUGGCAUGAUAUUGAUGGCGGCCCCACCGUCAACAAGUAUCUUGGUCAUUGGCUGCCCAUCAACCCUUCCUUUGAUGAAUAAGGCUUUAAGAUGCUGCCUUUCAUUGUCGGCAGGCUUUUCAAAGAUAGCCGUCAUUGGAUCCAGAGCCAACUGAGCUAUCUAGUCGGAAAAAUCUAGUUCCUCAUCAUCACUGGAUGGAGCAAGAAACUCCAUCAGCAACAUAAAUACCAUGUUAACAUCUGUCGAUGGCCCUUUUCCCUUGGGAUCCGGCUACCGCUGAUCUCCAGAUUCGCCAAGAUUCUCUCCUUUGCUCAAGUCUUCUCGUCUUUCGCACUGCAACCUUCUUUUCUGUGUCCUAGUCAAUCCUUCUGGACACCAUGGAGGAAGUUGUGGCUGCCUUACUGAUGGGCGACGAUUUUCCCUUGACUCCAUUCGAUAGGUAUUGGCAUCCCUGCAAAAUAUGAACUCAUCGGGAACCCAAGCAUUUGCCAUCUCUUCAAGCUCCUCUUGGUUCCUGGGAAAGUAUCCAACACGGUCACCGAGUCUAUCAUGCACACUGAGCCUGCCCCCCAGCCGAUCAUGAACUGAACUUCUCCCCCUAAUCGGCCCAUUAAAAUGUCGAUCAUCAUUCUGAUACUGUCGAUUAGGUCUGUCAUACCGAUCAUAACUAUUGCACUCAGGAUAGUCCCUAACAGUGGGCAAUUUGAUGUUCUGUUCCCAGCAAUGGAUAAAGAACGGGCAGUUCCAGUGAUCUUUGUGCCGAUUCCACUCCUGUCGGCGUUGAUCCUCUUCUCGACGGUGAUCCCCCUGUUGGCGCCGAUACCGAUCUUCACGUUGCUGCCAAGUCUCUCGAUGUCUUCUAUGAGUUAUCACAAUGCCAGAUCGGGAAGGCCUUCCUGAGCUAGUUCCUUCCUGGAUCAAACCCUUUCCUUUAGCAUCGGUAGCAGUAAUCUGAUGCUGAGGAUCCACCGAUGCACUUCUUUCAGCUGCUUCUGACGUCAAGACCUUGGUCUUUCCCUUAGCAUCCAACAUAUUUGUUGGGAAAGGAUGUUGAUCGAUCUUCAUCGGCUUCUGAGCUUUGGGAUUAUCAAACUUGAUUCUCCCAGAUUCUAUAGCCAAUUGCAGUUGUUGCCUAAAAACCUUGCACUCAUUGGUGCUGUGAGAUGUUGCAUUGUGCCACUUGCAGUACUUCAUCUUCUUUAAUUCUUCAGCCGAUGGAAUCACAUGAUUGGGUGAUAACUUAAUCUGACCUUCCUGAAGUAGAAAGUCAAAUAUUCUAUCGGCUUUGGUGAUGUCAAAUGCAAACUUUUCUAGCUCUUUAUGCCCAAAAGGGCAAGACAUCGGCUUCUUAUUUUUUACCCACUCUGCUAAGCCGAGGACUGGUUCCUCAUCAGAAUCUGAGCUUGCUGCCUCAUCGACAAAUGACACCUUUUUAUUCCACGCUCUCUUAGGUUCAAAAGGCUUAAUAUCUUGGUCAGAAAUCCUCUGCACCAAAUGACAGACUCUCGAACUCUUGAGAAGCGUACUUGUCCCUGAUAUGUGGCAACAGUCCCUGAAAAGCCAAAUCAGCUAGCGGCCGAUCAUCUAGAACCAGGCUAUAGCAUUUGUUCUAGACUUCCCGCAACCUCUGCACAAAACUUUCAACCGAUUCAUCAUUGCGUUGCUUCAACCUGACUAAAUCGGUAAUUUUCUUCUCAUGAACCCCAGAGAAGAAAUACUUGUGGAACUGUUUCUCUAGAUUGGCCUAAGUGAUCACUGAGUUGGGAGGUAACGAAAUAAACCAAGUAAAAGCCGAUCCAGAUAAAGAUGAUGAGAACAAACGAACCCUUAACUCAUCUCUGUUAGCAGCUUCCCCACACUGCAUGAUGAACCUAUUGACAUGCUCCAUAGUCGAUGUAUCAUCCUGUCCAGAAAACUUAGUGAAAUCCGGUACCUUGUACCGAUUUGGAAGAGGAAUUAAAUCAUAUGCAGGAGGAUACAGUGUCCUAUAAGAGUAAGUGUUGACCUUGGGUUUUAUCCUAAAUUGGUCUCUCAUCACUUCAGCUAUCUUAUCGACCCAAUAAGCAUCGGCAUCUUGCCGAUGAGGCGGCUGUGGAUCUGGCACCUGAUGAUAUGUCUCCACGUGUCUCUGAGGUGCACGAUCUGCAUGGAACACCAGGUUAAUCAUCUGACCCCCAAUCUGCUGACCAAGAUUCAUCGGCUGAUUGAUCAACCCUUGAUUCCGAAACCUAGGAUGGAUUUGGCCUUGUUGAAACCCUAGAGCCUGAUGAUUCUGCUGAAGCAUCUGCAGAAAGACUAACUGUCCCGUCCAUCCACUGUUAGCAUUCAUCGACAUAAGCCCUGCCGAUGACUGGUAAUUGGUCAUCAUCAUUGAAUUGACGUACCCUGGCUGUGUCAUAAACCUCUGUUGCGUCAGCAUUGAAUCUGCCGAUCCAUUAGGCAUCUGGAACGUUGGAGCUUGAGAAUUCCUAGUGUAAGGUCUUGCAGUAGUAGUCGUAGUAUACUGGGGACUCUGAUUCAUCGGCAGAUUUGGAGGUGCCGAUGCCAUAGGAGCCUUGCCUAUCAAAUCAACCACUUGAGAUGUUUCAGGAGCCUUUGCCAUCAAAUUUGGGGGCAUACCAUAACCCCACCAGUUAGGAGGAACAGAACCUGACAUUGCUGAUGCCAAUAGAUCUGUAGCAAGCUUGACUGACUUGUCUGAUGUUGAUGGAUUGGUUGUCAUUGGUGUAGAUUGUGCAUUAGUGAUCCCUAAUGUGCUUGGAGGAGAAGUAACUUUUGUACCCGUAACGGCUGUAGUAGCCGAUGGAGCCGAGACCAAUGAUGACCCUGGCUGAUGAUAGGCAGGACCCACAUAAUUCGGUGGCAAUUGUCCUUCCUUGAAAGUUCUAGCCACGGCAUUGAAAACCGUGUUGGACAGCACACUAGCUUCAUUGAUCAAGGCACGGUUAAUAGCAUUGUCAACCAUGUCUUGAAGUUUUCCAGGAUUGGCUUCAAAAGUAAUCUGCCGAGGUGUCAGCAAUUCUUCUUUUUGGAUCACCUCACCACUCCUGUUGAUACUGAAGGAUUUCAAGCAUUGCUGCUUGUACUCCUUCAUGGCUUUUGCCAUGGCUUGCUUCUGCUCAUCUCUGAGAUUGGCUUCCGUCACGGGGAUGACGUUCUCCAAGUCGAAAUCGGUAUUCGACAUGUUGAUCUUGAUCUUGAUUCUUUCCCACCGGGUGUGCCAAAAGAUGUGUUGAUGCAAAAGCUGAUCUGCAAACACAAAGGGCUAAUACCCGAUUCAAACGUUAAGGCGUGCCAACCGAUUUGACCUUACAAUCGAUGAAGGUGGUAACUCGAACACUUUGGUCCCGACAACAGCGAUGCGCUCGGAUGUCACGGCCAAGAGGUGCUCACGCGGAACUUGAGAACACGCCGAGCUUAAGUCGACGAAUUCCUAAGAACUCGUAAUAAAAGAGAAAAUAUGACGAAAUCGUCGGAAAGUAAGUACUGGAAUAUGAGUAAAACUUGUGUUUGAUUGAUUGAUAGAUUGUCAUUACAUUGCCCUAGGGUCUACAUUUAUACCCUGUCCAAAGAGCUACAACCAGACACGACUAGGACUCAAAUUCCAAAUUAGACGGAAACUGUAUACAAAACGAACUCUAAUAACUAAGGAAAAACAUUAAACUACCCCCGUGACUGAUCGGGACACCAUCAUGAAUCAAUCGACAACUUCCGUGCUGCUCUUCAGAGUCAUCGGCAGAUUACCCGUCUACAGUCAUCGGCGAACAACAGCAUCGGUCAUCGGCACGAAUACAUCACCACUCCUGGACUUGGUCAUAUCCGAUCAUUUCCCAUCGGCAGCCACCUUCAUCGGCAACUUCCCUGUAGACUAGUUACCGUUGCUUCAUCUCCCGAUCUAUACUUUAUUAACCCCAGGUAUGCAUCAAAAGAUACGUGUCCAAAAACGGUGUCAACACACGUGCAAGGACCUGGUGCGAGAGCUGGGUCAAAACCGGCCUCAGACCGUCGACGAACUGAUGGUUAUGGUGGCGAACUACGCUGUGGGCGAGGAAGCGGUCGGUGCUUUCUUUAACCACGAAGGAAGCAAAGGGAAGGCGCCGGUGGACGAUGACGAGGGCCCUAGCCGAGGGUCUAAGAAGAUCAAGAAGAAGAAGAAAGCGCGACCGUUCAAGCGGGAGGCUCUCGAUGAUGAUUUCAUCGCCACAGUAGAGCGCAAAAAGCCUCGAGGUCCCCCAGAGGGGGUCGUCUUCGACAAGAUGCUGAAAGAACCCUGCCCUUAUCACAAGGGGGGCAAACCACAAGCUCGAAGAUUGUCGCAUGCUGAAAAAGUACUUCGACAGCCUAGGGCUGAAGAAGGACGACCAAAGGAAAGACAAGAGCGACGACAAAGGGGAGACAAGGAAGAUGAAGGCUUCCCCGCCGUCCAUGACUGUUACAUGAUCUACGGUGGACCCACGACGCAGCUCACCGCGAGGCAGCGCAAGAGGGAGCACCGUGAGGUCUUCGCAGCGAGGAUGGCUGUACCCCAGUACCUUAACUGGUCAAGCACUCCCAUCACAUUCAACCGAGAUGACCAUCCCGAUAGGGUGGUCGCUCCCGUCGUCUACCCACUUGUCAUCGAUCCCAUUAUCAUCAACACCAGACUCUCGUAGGUACUGAUGGAUGGCGGCAGCAGCCUGAACAUCAUUUACCUCGAGACCCUCGACCUCCUCAGCAUCGAAAGGGCGCGGCUCCAGCCAAGCGUGGGCGGCUUCCAUGGCGUUGUGCCUGGAAAAAAGGCACUGCUGGUGGGUCGAAUCGACCUGCCGGUCUGUUUCGGCACGGCGGCCAACUUUAGGAAGGAAACUCUCACCUUUGAAGUGGUUGGAUUUCGCGGCACAUACCACGCCAUCAUCAGAUGAUCGGGCUACACUAAGUUCAUGGCUAUCCCCAACUACACCUACCUAAAGCUAAAGAUGCCUGGGCCAAAUGGAGUUAUCACCAUUAGCUCCUCCUACGAGCACGCAUACGAGUACGACGUCGAGUGCGUCGAGUAUGGAGAAGUUGUCGAGAACUCUACCAAACUCGCCUCGAAGCUCAAGGCCCUUGCAGCUGAAGCUCGAGAGCCCAAGCGUCACACGGACAGCUUCGAACCAGCGGUGGGCACGAAGAAGAUCCCGCUCGACCCCAACGGUUCCAACGACAAGGCGUUGACGAUCAGCGCCGACCUCGACCCCAAAUAGGAAGUCAUGCUCAUCGACUUUCUCCAUGCAAAUGCAGAUAUGUUUGCAUAGAGUCCUUUGGAUAUGCCUGGCAUACCGAGGGAAGUCGCCAAGCACUCCUUGGAGAUUCGAACCAGCUCCAAACCAGUGAAGCAACGAUUACGUCGCUUCGACGAGGAGAAGCGCAAGAUCAUUGGCGAGGAGAUCCACAAGCUUUUGACGGUCGGAUUCAUCAAGGAGGUUCACCAUCCCGACUGGUUAGCAAAUCCUGUAUUAGUUAAGAAAAAGAAUGGGAAAAAGAGGAUGUGUGUCGAUUACACGAGUUUGAAUAAAGCAUGUCCAAAGGUUCCUUUUCCUUUACCACGCAUCGACCAAAUUGUUGAUUCUACUGCGGGAUGUUGUUGGGUAUUCUUAACAUCAUUACCAAAAGUAGACUAAGUUCUCUAAAUCUAGUAACGGUGCCAAAAAUGCCAAACCUAUCCCCCACACCACUUAAGCCAAGUUAUCAUCCCCAGCAUGAUAUAAGAGACGCGGUAUUGAAAUAUGCAAUUGCUCUUCUAAAUAAAUAAUGAAUGGGAUCUGCAAGCGCACAGAUUAAUACCGAUGUAGCAUUUUAACCGGGAAGUAUUCCAGGUAUCGUUAUUUAUAUUUUUACCACUGGGAAGGGAUUAGCAAUCAUCACUAUUGAUUACAGAAUAGAAUAUGAGAUUGAGCAUCUAUCAUUGCAUGUAUAAUUGAGAACAUUAUAUCUAACUCUUCAUACAGGGAUAAUUGUCACAUAAAAGAUAUAUGAAAUAAUAAUAGUGACAAGGAUAACUAAUCUGAUCUAGCCACAUAAUAAAUAUGAUAAGCACCUCAAUUAGAUACUCUAGAAAGUCAUUAGCAUGGUAUUAGAACGAACUACAAGAAUAUUCCCUAAGUUAUUCUCAACUAUAUAGUCUAGCAUUAUCAUAAUUAGUGCAAGCAUACUUAGCAAUCAUUGUGAGACAAGACUACGCCCAUGCAUAGUGAUAUUAGCAAGGAAUAUGAGAAUAAUAGCAAUCACUCCCCUGUAAUAAUGUUGCUCUGCCAGCCCAAUACAUGAGAGGGGGACUAUAUAAGAAUCAAUGAAGCUGUCACUAUCACGAACCACCCCACGAUCUGGCAUAUUGGGUACAAUCGCAGAUAAAUACGGUAUAAGCACCACGCCUACACAAUAUCUAUCAUUUACCCAUGGAUCCGAUGGAUAAACGUUAUACGAUCCUAAGCAUGUAUAUAGAUCGAAUCUAACUAAGCCAAGUACAUAACUAUGAUAAACUAAGAACAAUAUAAUCUUGAGUAUAAGCAAGUAGAGCAAAGUCAUAAGCAAUAUAUUGAAGUAGAACAAAGUCAUAUUCAUAAUAUUGAAGAACAAAGAUAAUUAGAAAGUAAUUAGAAGCACAAUUAGAGAAUUACCAAGAAUCCUCUUGGCAGAUCCGGAAACCAAUCGAAGAUUGACUCCUUCUAGUUCUAAUCCUAUGUAGCUAUGCUAAUCUAGAUAUCUAAUUGAUGUGGUGGCCCUAAUCUUGAUCAGAGGCUUCAUCUCCCUUGAGAAUAAUGAAUUAGGGUUGAGAGGCUCUCUCCUCCAGGGGCCAGGGGGUCUGGUUUUAUAGUCCCUUCAAGUGAAUAUGGGCCGUUGGAUCAAACCGACAUAGAUUGUAUGGUUUAGAUUCAUCCUUUAGGUCGGUGGAAAUCUCCCAUGAAGCAGAGUCCUGAUUGGACUCAGGGAGGGGGCGGGCGCCCAGGGCAGGAGGGCGGGCGCCCUGCCUCUGGCCCCGUUUCGCCUCCGCUUCGGUCUCGUGGCUUAUGGAGUCUUCUAGAUGUAAGAUAAUUGCGCGGCACGUUAAUAUCUCUAUGUAAUCCCGACGUGUGGGCCUUUCUUCCGUAUUUCUUGAUAACCCCCUACAGAAAUAGACAAACACCAAAACUUGUGGAAUUCUGUCAGAUAAAACCCUAAGUCUAGAUCUUGAUUUCAUUUGGAUCCUUUUCUUUAUUUAUUUGAUACUUAAGGACCGUCAACAAACUCCCCCAAGCUUACCUCUUGCUCGUCCCUAAGCAAGGAUAGACUCAGCUAUGGAUCAUAAGUUGUUACAAUAUUUUUAAAAAUUGACGGUACACAUGCUUUUUAAAAAAGAUCUCAUCUCUGAGUUAGAGUAAACUGUCAAGACUUAAAACUUACUUACUUUACCUUCACCAUGGGACUUGUAACUGUCACUUCUGUCUUGAGUGGUUAAAAGAUAGAACUGUCUGGCCAAGUGUCAUGUCUCUUAUUCUUGAUCAGCUAUAACUCUGGAGUUUUUGCAGAUUUUCAAAUAAAACUCAGAGAUUCCUUGUAUGACUCUCUUAAAUCUCUCUUUUGUGGUAUUUCUGGAUCCUUACCAAGGCAGUGAUGGUAUAUGCCUUCUCUCAAGAUAUGUGGUAUUUAUGGUAUAAAGCAUAGUGACAUUGUCUUCUCUCUCACCCUACUCUAAUAAGACUUUUAUAUCUGGAGCUCAUAGGUGGGAGAUAAAGUAUACAUACUUACAAGACAUUUAUUGUAUAGUCAAACCAUGGAUCCAAAGAAACAAAUCAAUAAGCCAAAUCAAGAUGUGCAUGUGUGGCGAAUGAAUGGUGUAUGGUGGAAGUCUAAUUCUACUUUGCUCUUUGAGGGAAUACAGACCUUCCUUGCUUUUGAAACUUUAUGAGGAGAAUGAGAUGCUCUUCUUUUUAUUUUCUUUUCUCUCAGGUGGGUAUCUUGUACCCCUAAUUCUACUGUCGGACACUUGUCCAUUUUUACCUCUCGUCUCACUUUUUCUUUCUUUCGAGGUUCAGAGCACUUGCUCCUUUUUAUUUUCUCGUAUUAUUUUUUUCUCUCUUUUUUUUUAUAAGCACUCAUCUCUUGAGAUAAUAUAGCAAGUGGUAGUAACAAGAUAACUUGAGCAUUUAUUUCACGUGGGAAAAACAUGAAUAUUUUUGGUUAUUCUCUCCCGGAUUAGGAGUAGAAUAUUUUUGGGUGAUUCUGGAGAUGGAAAUGGAUGGAUAUAUGUGGAUGGUACUUCCGGAGUAGAAGUAGCAUAUAUGAGUGAACGUGCAAGUGAAUCUUGAUUUAACCACAUGACAAGUUCCUAAGGGUCUACACAGCUUGACCACACUCAAUGCUCAUAAGUAGUAAAUAUUAAAUGUGUGGCUCAAAGUCUAGCAAGCAUGUAUAUAUGGCUGUGGUAGGAAUUUAAACUCUCAUCAUACAGGAACUCAUCAUGCAACAUUUUAAAGAUUUUCAAAGAUAAAAUUCUCCAGAAUUCUAGCAUCUCUAGGAACAGAUAAACAGAAGCUCAACCUUCCCAUAUCGUAUCCGUUAACAACUUAGACUUCAGAUCAAGUUUUCAUCCCAUAAGUUUAGGUUUAGAGCAAGCUUUAAAUUAUAACAGUUAUGUCUAAACUUGAGAGAGAACUUAAAAUGUGCAAAUUAGGCAGAGCAACUAUUCAUCAUAUCCAUGCUUAAGUUUUAUUUAGAUACAGAUUAGCAUAGCCACUUUAUUUAUUUAUUAAACACACUAAGCAAAAGAUAUAUAUAUAUAUAAGCACAAACUCUUUAUUUGGUUUUCCAUAGUUUAUGUGUAUUUAUAUUCUAAAAUAAUAUAAGUAUAAAGAUAGAUAGAAAUACUUAUCGAGAUAAAUGGGGGUGCUCUCCCCCAAGCUGAAUUUUGACGUAAUUUCCCUUGAUGUAGCUAGCAGGUGGCAGAGGUGUAUUUGAAAGUCAGCAGCAUUCUGACAGCGAUUAGAAUGUCCUCCGUCUGCCAGUCUUCUUGAUUCUUAAAUUCUGUGGAGUUCAAAUGGACAACAAAGCUUGUGGAACUGGUUAAGUGUUAGCAUAAAUAUCUAGCCUUUAUCAUGUUGAGACUCCUUAAUAAAUAUUACUUCCUGUUUUUAUAUUUUUAUUUUUUAUAGAGCAGAAAAAUAAUUAUUUUAUUUUUAUGCCACCACAGUGAAUGUACUUAUGGGUUUUAUGCCGCUCGUCUACUCACAUGGGGCUUACUGUUUUUCACAUUUUUAUUUUCUUUUAUUUUUAAGAUAGUAUGAACAUGAUUAACUAAGUAAACUAUUUAAAAUAAUUGAAAGGGAAAGGAUAACGACCAAGUUUACCUCUUGGCAAUGCGUUCGGUGUUUUUAAGUCCUCCGAACGGGACUCUCCAAUUAAUCAUCCUGAGGUUCGUUGGGUGGCGUAGUCGGUACUUCUGGCAGCGCCUCCUCUUCAUGUAUAGUUAUCUUCGUUUUCCAUACCUGACUCGGUGUCUCAGUCUCCUCUGGAUAAUUCUGUUUAAACUCAACGUCUUCUGAUCUUAUCACUUCUCCUUCGUAGUCUGCCCAUCCGUCCUUGAUGAUCCGCCUCCUCUGGUUGCGGUUGCGUCGCUUUCUGACCUGCUUAGAUUCUUCAACGAUAUAGUUAGGGUCAGUAAAAUAACGGCGUACCUUCUCUGAGGGUUGGUGCAUAUGGACUUCUCCGGUUCCAAUGUAGAUAAUUGCUUUAACCGUGCUGAGGAACGGUCUUCCAAGGAUGAUGGGAGGAUCAUAUUCAUCUUCUCCCAUGUCAAUAACUUGAAAGUCUGUGUAGACAAAGUGAUCGUCUAUUUUGACUGGGACAUCAGUUACUAUUCCUUUAACUUCUCAAAAUGUCUGAUCUGCCAUCUGGAGCUGAAUGUAUGUUGGUCUUAGGGGCAUGGUUCCGACAAGAGCCGAUAGGUGACUGCGGCCAUUAUGUUGACGCCUGAUCCAAUGUCACAAGUUGCCUGGUAGAAGUUGUAUCCAUUUAUGGACCAGUAGAUGCUUGGCAUUCCUGGGUCGUCCUUCUUGGUCAAAAGUGGUGACUUAAGUUGAUGAUCUUGGCCUCCAUGAACUACAGUGACCAUCUUAGCUGACUCGGUCCACACUCGCUUGUUCCUGUUCCUCCUGUUGGUCCUCUUCCUUGACUCACGUUUGGAUUGAUCUGGAAUUUGUGUAGUCUUGUUCUUGAAGAAAAAUGUCUCCUUCCUCCCUUUGACAUAGAAACUGAUCUUGGCAGCACUAGCGUAGAUGAUAGCUCCCGUGGUGUUCAAGAAUGGCCUCCCUAGGAUGAUUGGUGCUCUCUCAUCAUUUCCGGUCUCUACCACUGCGAAGUCUGCUAGAGCAUAUAAGGUACCAACUCGGACGCAAAGGUUCUUAAAUAUUCCCUUUGGAAAAGUUAUCGUCUGAUCUGCAAACUGCAAACACAUGGUUGUCUCUAAUAAAGGAUAUGUAAAGAAUUUUUCAUAGAGUACCAUGGGUAUAAUGUUGACGCUAGAGCCAAAGUCGCAGAGUGCUUCUGGAACGUCCACCAUGCCGAUGGAGAUCGGGAUGACGGGGCGUCCUGGAUCGCCUCUCUUGACCGGCACAAGGUCAGUAGAGAAUUCAGUGACGGGGUUACUCCAAUUACCUGCAUCAAACAUGUCUACAAGAUUUGCAGAUUCUAAUCCUUCCAGUUGUGAUGGUAUACCGGGGUUAGUAGUAGGAACAGCAGCAGCUAUUUGAUUUAACUAAGAUUCAAUCAUUUUAUUAAAGCUAAUUUGAUUCUUGAUGGCAGUAGAGAAAUUAUCCAUUCUAUUAUUUAUAUUUUCUAGCAUUUUAUCAUUAGAUGCCAAUUUCUUAGAUAGGUUAUCCAUUAGCUUUCCUUGAUUAGACACUAACUCUUUCAAAGGUGGAAAAUUAUUAUUAUUGUUGUAAGAAUUGUUACCUUGAUAAUUACCUGAGUAUUUAGGCCUCUGUUGAUUCCAACCUUGAUUUUGUUGAGGACGGUUGUAGUAGUUGUUGUUGUUGUUGUUGAUGUAGUUCACAUCCUCAAGUAUCUCAGGGCAGUGGUUGCCUGAGUGUCCAGUAUCUCCACACUCCUCACAAGUCAUGUGAGAGUCGUAGAUGUGCAUAACUUCUUUCUUGUCUCCAGCUCUAUCGCCGAGCUUCUUCAUGAGCAGGUCUAGCUUUGCAGACAGCAUGUCUACCUCCUUCAGCUGAUGCAUACCUCCACCUCUCUUGCGUGUCUGGGUCCUCUCUUCAUUCCAGCUUUGAUUGGACGCCAUCUUCUCCACAAGAGCUGUAGCUUGUGGUAUGGUAAGUGAUAAGAAUGCUCCUCCGGCUGCAGCAUCCAUGGUUUCUCGGGCACUGUUACCGAGCCCAUGAUAAAAUGUCUGCAUCAAUAGCCAACUCUCCAUUCCAUGAUGGGGACAUUCUAGGAUGUAGUCUUGGAAGCGCUCCCAUGCUUCUGGAAUGGAUUCAUCAUUUUGUUGCUAAAAACUUGUAAUCUUCCCACGGAGAGCAUUGGUCUUGCCCAUGGGAAAGAACUUUGCUAGGAAGUAUGUUGAGCAGAGUCCCCAUGUAGUAUUCUUCUCCUUUGUAGCGUAGAACCACUGCUUCACUCUUCCUAACAGUGAGAAUGGGAAGAGGUGAAGUAGUAUAGCAUCUUUGGAAACUCCUGAUAUGGUGAAUGUGUUGCAAAUCUCUAGGAAGUGUUGUAAAUGAGCACUAGCAUCUUCGUGUGCCUUCCCACAGAACUGGUUGGAUUGCACCAUGUUGAUAAGUCCAGGCUUGAGCUCAAAGUUACCAUCGAUCUCUGCAGCAGGUCCAGUGCGGAUGUUGUCCAUAGUGGGAGCUGAGAACUCGCGGAUUGAUUUGUUCACCAUGGCUUCGAACUCUGAAGACAAGUUCCGGUGAUCUUCUUGAUUGGAUGAAGCUUCUUGCUGAAGUGUUGACGAUCUUUUCUUGAGGUUGGCUCCCGCCUUCUUGAAUAAUGCUUCGGGAUUGUCAACAAAAUUUCCUGGAAGAUGUCUUCUAUUCAUACAUUCCCCUGCAUAAGAUAAAAUAGAAAAAUAUCGGGGUAAAACUGUAUGAGAGAAUAGAUAAGCUCAAUCACAUUAGUGAUGCGAAUGAUAACUCAAAAUCUUUUAUUCUAUUCCUGAUUAUUAAUCAACCUUCCCCGGCAACGGCGCCAAAAAUGCUUCUUGGGUAUUCUUAACAUCAUUACCAAAAGUAGACUAAGUUCUCUAAAUCUAGUAACGGUGCCAAAAAUGCCAAACCUAUCCCCCACACCACUUAAGCCAAGUUGUCAUCCCCAGCAUGAUAUACUAGACGCGCUAUUGAAAUAUGCAAUUGCUCUUCUAAAUAAAUAAUGAAUGGGAUCUGCAAGCGCACAGAUUAAUACCGAUGUAGCAUUUUAACCGGGAAGUAUUCCAGGUAUCGUUAUUUAUAUUUUUACCACUCGGAAGGGAUUAGCAAUCAUCACUAUUGAUUACAGAAUAGAAUAUGAGAUUGAGCAUCUAUCAUUGCAUGUAUAAUUGAACAUUAUAUCUAACUCUUCAUACAGGGAUAAUUGUCACAUAAAAGAUAUAUGAAAUAAUAAUAGUGACAAGGAUAACUAAUCUGAUCUAGCCACAUAAUAAAUAUGAUAAGCACCUCAAUUAGAUACUCUAGAAAGCCAUUAGCAUGGUAUUAGAACGAACUACAAGAAUAUUCCCUAAGUUAUUCUCAACUAUAUAGUCUAGCAUUAUCAUAAUUAGUGCAAGCAUACUUAGCAAUCAUUGUGAGACAAGACUACGCCCAUGCAUAGUGAUAUUAGCAAGGAAUAUGAGAAACAUAGCAAUCACUCCCCUGUAAUAAUGUUGCUCUGCCAGCCCAAUACACGAGAGGGGGACUAUAUAAGAAUCAAUGAAGCUGUCACUAUCACGAACCACCCCACGAUCUGGCAUAUUGGGUACAAUCACAGAUAAAUAUGGUAUAAGCACCACGCCUACACAAUAUCUAUCAUUUACCCAUGGAUCCGAUGGAUAAACGCUAUACGAUCCUAAGCAUUUAUAUAGAUCGAAUCUAACUAAGCCAAGUACAUAACUAUGAUAAACUAAGAACAAUAUAAUCUUGAAUAUAAGCAAGUAGAGCAAAGUCAUAAGCAAUAUAUUGAAGUAGAACAAAGUCAUAUUCAUAAUAUUGAAGAACAAAGAUAAUUAGAAAGUAAUUAGAAGCACAAUUAGAGAAUUACCAAGAAUCCUCUUGACAGAUCCGGAAACCAAUCGAAGAUUGACUCCUUCUAGUUCUAAUCCUAUGUAGCUAUGCUAAUCUAGAUAUCUAAUUGAUGUGGUGGCCCUAAUCUUGAUCAGAGGCUUCUUCUCCCUUGAGAAUAAUGAAUUAGGGUUGAGAGGCUCUCUCCUCUAGGGGCCAGGGGGUCUGGUUUAUAGUCCCUUCAAGUGAAUAUGGGCCGUUGGAUCAAACCGACAUAGAUUGUAUGGUUUAGAUUCAUCCUUUAGGUCGGUGGAAAUCUCCCACGAAGCAGAGUCCUGAUUGGACUCAGGGAGGGGGCGGGCGCCCAGGGCAGGAGGGCGGGCGCCCUGCCUCUGGCCCCGUUUCGCCUCCGCUUCGGUCUCGUGGCUUCUGGAGUCUUCUAGAUGUAAGAUAAUUGCGCGGCACGUUAAUAUCUCUAUGUAAUCCCGACGUGUGGGCCUUCCUUCCGUAUUUCCUGAUAACCCCCUGCAGAAAUAGACAAACACCAAAACUCGUGGAAUUCUGUCAGAUAAAACCCUAAGUCUAGAUCUUGAUUUCAUUUGGAUCCUUUUCUUUAUUUAUUUGAUAAUUAAAUUUGAUACUUAAGGACCGUCAACAGAUGUGAAAACCUUUCAUUCCUCGACGCUUAUUCUGGCUACCAUCAAAUAAAGAUGAAAGAAUCUGACCAGCUCGCGACAUCUUUCAUCACGCCCUUUGGGAUGUAUUGUUAUGUAACCAUGCCCUUCGGGCUUUGAAACACUGGGGCGACAUACCAGCGAUGCAUGCUCCACGUGUUUUUCGAACACAUAGGGUCGACGGUCGAGGCAUACAUCGAUGACAUCGUCGUCAAAUCAAAAAAGCGAGGUGACCUGAUUUAGGAUCUCGAGAUCGCCUUUAGUUGUUUACGCGCUAAUAGAAUCAAGCUCAACUCCGAGAAGUGCGUCUUCGGCGUGCCUCGAGGCAUGCUUCUGGGUUAUAUUUUCUCCCAACGCAGCAUCGAGGCUAAUCCCAAGAAAGUAUUGGCUGUUGCAAGGAUGGGGCCUGUUGGGUAUUCUUAACAUCAUUACCAAAAGUAGACUAAGUUCUCUAAAUCUAGUAAUGGUGCCAAAAAUGCCAAACCUAUCCCUCACACCACUUAAGCUAAGUUGUCAUCCCCAGCAUGACAUGAGAGACGCGGUAUUGAAAUAUGCAAUUGCUCUUCUAAAUAAAUAAUGAAUGGGAUCUGCAAGCGCACAGAUUAAUACUGAUGCAGCAUUUUAACCGAGAAGUAUUCUAGGUAUCGUUAUUUAUAUUUUUACCACUGGGAAGGGAUUAGCAAUCAUCACUAUUGAUUACAGAAUAGAAUAUGAGAUUGAGCAUCUAUCAUUGCAUGUAUAAUUGAGAACAUUAUAUCUAACUCUUCAUACAGGGAUAAGUGUCACAUAAAAGAUAUAUGAAAUAAUAAUAGUGACAAGGAUAACUAAUCUGAUCUAGCCACAUAAUAAAUAUGAUAAGCACCUCAAUUAGAUACUCUAGAAAGUCAUUAGCAUGGUAUUAGAACGAACUAUAAGAAUAUUCCCUAAGUUAUUCUCAACUAUAUAGUCUAGCAAUAUCAUAAUUAGUGCAAGCAUACUUAGCAAUCAUUGUGAGACAAGACUACGCCCAUGCAUAGUGAUAUUAGCAAGAAAUAUGAGAAACAUAGCAAUCACUCCCCUGUAAUAAUGUUGCUCUGCCAGCCCAAUACACGAGAGGGGGAAUAUAUAAGAAUCAAUGAAGCUGUCACUAUCACGAACCACCCCACGAUCUGGCAUAUUGGGUACAAUCGCAGAUAAAUACGGUAUAAGCACCACGCCUACACAAUAUCUAUCAUUUACCCAUGGAUCCGAUGGAUAAACGCUAUACGAUCCUAAGCAUGUAUAUAGAUCCAAUCUAACUAAGCCAAGUACAUAACUAUGAUAAACUAAGAACAAUAUAAUCUUGAAUAUAAGCAAAUAGAGCAAAGUCAUAAGCAAUAUAUUGAAGUAGAACAAAGUCAUAUUCAUAAUAUUAAAGAACAAAGAUAAUUAGAAAGCAAUUAGAAGCACAAUUAGAGAAUUACCAAGAAUCCUCCUGACAGAUCUGGAAACCAAUCGAAGAUUGACUCCUUCUAGUUCUAAUCCUAUGUAGCUAUGCUAAUCUAGAUAUCUAAUUGAUGUGGUGGCUCUAAUCUUGAUCAGAGGCUUCUUCUCCCUUGAGAAUAAUGAAUUAGGGUUGAGAGGCUCUCUCCUCCAAGGGCCAGGGGGUCUGGUUUUAUAGUCCCUUCAAGUGAAUAUGGGCCGUUGGUUCAAACCGGCAUAGAUUGUAUGGUUUAGAUUCAUCCUUUAGGUCGGUGGAAAUCUCCCGCAAAGCAGAGUCCUGAUUGGACUCAGGAGGUGGGCGGGCGCCCUGACCAACUGGGCGGGCGCCCAGGGUCAGGCCCCGUUUUGCCUCCGCUUCGGUCUCGUGGCUUCUGGAGUCUUCUAGAUGUAAGAUAAUUGCACGGCACGUUAAUAUCUCUAUGUAAUCCCGACGUGUGGACCUUUCUUCUGUAUUUCCUGAUAACCUCUUGCAGAAAUAGACAAACACCAAAACUCGUGGAAUUCUGUCAGAUAAAACCCUAAGUCUAGAUCUUAAUUUCAUUUGGAUCCUUUUCUUUAUUUAUUUGAUAAUUAAAUUUGAUACUUAAGGACCGUCAACAAACUCCCCCAAGCUUACCUCUUGCUCGUCCCUGAGCAAGGAUAGACUCAGCUAAGGAUCAUAAGUUGUUGCAAUAUCUUAAAAAAUUGACGGUACACAUGCUUUUUAAAUAAGAUCUUAUCUCUGAGUUAGAGUAAACUGUCAAGACUUAAAACUUACUUACUUUACCUUCACCAUGGGACUUGUAACCGUCACUUCUGUCUUGAGUAGUUAAAAGAUAGAACAGUCUAGUCAAGUGCCAUAUCUCUUAUUCUUGAUCAGCUAUAACUCUGGGGUUUUUGCAGAUUUUCAAAUAAAACUCAGAAAUUCCUUGUAUGAUUCUCUCAUAUCUCUCUUUUGUGGUAUUUCUGGAUUCUUACCAAGGCAGUGAUGGUAUAUGCCUUCUCUCAAUAUAUGUAGUAUUUGUGGUAUGAGGCAUAGUGAUAUUGCCUUCUCUCUCACCUUACUCUAAUAAGGCAUUUAAUAUCUGGAGCUCAUAGGUGGGAGAUAAAAUAUACAUACUUACAAGACAUUUAUUGUAUAGUCAAACAUGGAUCCAAAGAAACAAAUCAAUAAGUCAAAUCAAGAUGUGCAAGUGUGGCGAAUGAAUGGUGUAUGGUGAUGAUGGUGAUAACAAUGGUGGUGGAAGUCUAAUUCUACUUUGCUCUUUUAGGGAAUACAUACCUUCCUUGCUUUUGAAACUUUAUGAGGAGAAUGAGAUGCUCUUCUUUUUCUUUUCUCUUAGGUGGGUAUCUUGUACCCCUAAUUCUACUGUCGGACACUUGUCCAUUUUUACCUCUCGUCUCACUUUUUCUUUUCUUUCGAGGUUCCGAGCACUUGCUCCUUUUUAUUUCCUCGUAUUUAUAAUUUUUUUUCUUUUUUUUUAGAGCACUCAUCUCAUGAGAUAAUAUAGCAAGUGGUAGUAACAAGAUAACUUGAGCAUUUAUUUCACAAGGGAAAACAGAAAUAUUUUUGGCUAUUCUCUCCCGGAUUAGGAGUAGAAUAUUUUUGAGUGGUUCUGGAGAUGGAAAUGGAUGGAUAUAUGUGGAUGGUACUUCCGGAGUAGAAGUAGCAUAUAUGAGUGAAUGUGCAAGUGAAUCUUGAUUUAACCACAUGACAAGCUCCUAAAGGUCUACACAGCUUGACCACACUCAAUGCUCAUAAGCAGUAAAUAGUAAAUGUGUGGCUCAAAGUCUAGCAAGCAUGUAUAUAUGGCUGUGGUAGGAAUUUAAACUCUCAUCAUACAGGAACUCAUCAUGCAACAUUUUAAAGAUUUUCAAAGAUAAAAUUCUCCAGAAUUCUAGCAUCUCUAGGAACAGAUAAACAGCAGCUCAACCUUCCCAUAUCGUAUCCGUUAACAACUUAGACUUCAGAUCAAGUUUUCAUCCCACAAGUUUAGAUCUAGAGCAAGCUUUAAAUUAUAAUAGUUAUGUCUAAACUUGAGAGAGAACUUAAAAUGUGCAAAUUAGGCAGAGCAACUAUUCAUCAUAUCCAUGCUUAAGUUUUAUUUAGAUACAGAUUAGCAUAGCCACUUUAUUUAUUUAUUAAACACACUAAGCAAAAGAUAUAUAUAUAAACACAAAAUCUUUAUUUGGUUUUUCAUAGUUAUGUAUAUUUAUAUUCUAAAAUAAUAUAAGUAUAAAGAUAGAUAGAUAAAAAUACUUAUCGAGAUAAAUGGGGGUGCUCUCACCCAAGCUGAAUUUUGACGUAAUUUUUUCUUGAUGUAGCUAGCAGGUGGCAGAGGUGUAUUUGAAAGUCAGCAGCAUUCUGACAGCGAUUAGAAUGUCCUCCGUCUGCUAGUCUUCCUGAUUCUUAAAUUCUGUGGAGUUCAAAUAGACAACAAAGCUUGUGGAACUUGAUUAAGUGUUAGCAUAAAUAUCUAGCCCUUAUCUUGUUGAGACUCGUUAAUUAAUUAUUACUCCCUGUUUUUAUAUUUUUAUUUUAUAAAGCAGAAAAGAAAUAUUUAUUUUAUUUUUAUGCCACCACAGUGAAUGUACUUAUGGGUUUUAUGCCACUCGCAUACUCACAUGGGGCUUACUGUUUUUCACAUUUUUAUUUUCUUUUUAAGAUAAUACGAACAUGAUUAACUAAGUAAACUAGUUGAAAUAAUUGAAAGGAAAAGGAUAACUAUCAAGUUUACCUCUUGGCAAGGCAUUCGGUGUUUUUAAGUCCUCCGAACAGGACUCUCCAAUUUCUUAAUCGUCCUUAGGUUUGUUGGGUGGCAUAGUCCGUAGUUCCGGCAGCGCCUCCUCUUCAUGUAUAGUUAUCUUCAUUUUCCAUACCUGACUCGGUGCUUCAAUCUCCUCUGGAUAAUUUUGUUUAAACUCAAUGUCUUCUGACCUUACAACUUCUCCUUCAUAGUCUGCCCAUCCGUCCUUGAUGAUCUGCCUCCUCUGGUUGAGGUUGUGUCUCUUUCUGACCUGCUUAGAUUCUUCAACGAUAUAGUCAGGGUCAAUAAAAUAACGGCGUACCUUCUCUGAGGGGAAGUGCAUAUGGACUUCUCCGGUUCCAAUGUAGAUAAUUGCUUUAACGGUACUGAGGAACGGUCUUCCAAGGAUGAUGGGUGGAUCAUACUCAUCUUCUCCCAUGUCAAUAACUUGAAAGUCUGUGUAGACAAAGUGAUCGUCUAUUUUGACUGGGACAUCAGUUACUGUUCCUUUAACUUCUCGAAAUGUCUAAUCUGCCAUCUGAAGCUGAAUGUAUGUUGGUCUUAGUGGCAUGGUUCCGAACAAGAGCCGAUAGGUGACUACAGCCAUUAUGUUGACACCCGAUCUGGUGUCGCAAAUCGUCUUGUAGAAGCUAUAUCCAUGUAUGGAGCAGUAGAUGCUUGACAUUCCUGGGUCGUCCUUCUUGGUCAAAAACGGUGACUUAAGUUGUUGAUCUUGGCCUCCAUGAACUGCAGUGACCAUCUUAACUGACUCGGUUCACACUUGCUUGUUCCUAUUCCUCCUGUUGGUCCUCUUCCUUGAUUCACGUCUGGAUUGAUCUGGGAUUUGUGUAGUCUUGUUCUUGAAAAAAAAUGUCUCCUUCUUCCCUUUGACGUAGAAACUGAUCUUGGCAGCACUAGCGUAGAUGAUAGCUCCCGUGGUGUUCAAGAAUGGCCUCCCUAGGAUGAUAGGUGCUCUCUCAUCAUUUCCGGUCUCUACCACUACGAAGUCUGCUGGGGCAUAUAAGGUACCAACUCGGACACAAAGGUUCUUCACUAUUCCUUUUGGAAUAGUUAUCGUCUGAUCUGCAAACUGCAAACACAUGGUUGUCUCUAAUAAAGGAUAUGUAAAGAAUUUUUCAUAGAGUACCCUGCGUAUAAUGUUGACACUGGAGCCAAAGUCGCAGAGUGCUUCUGGAACGUCCACCAUGCCGACAGAGAUCGGGAUGACGGGGCGUCCUGGAUCACCUCUCUUGACCGGUAGAACGUCAGUAGAGAAUUCAGUGACGGGGUUACUCCAAUUACCUGCAUCAAAGAUGUCUACAAGAUUUGCAAAUUCUAAUCCUUCCGGUUGUGAUGGUAUACCGGGGUUAGUAGUAGGAACAGCAGCAGCUAUUUGAUUUAACUGAGACUCAAUCAUUUUAUUAAAGCUAAUUUGAUUCUUGAUGGCAGUAGAGAAAUUAUCCAUUCUAUUAUUUAUAUUUUCUAGCAUUUUAUCAUUAGAUGCCAAUUUCUUAGAUAGGUUAUCCAUUAGCUUUCCUUGAUUAGACACUAACUCUCUCAAAGGUGGAAAAUUAUUAUUAUUGUUGUAAGAAUUGUUACCUUUAUAAUUACCGGAGUAGUUAGGCCUCUGUUGAUUCCAACCUUGAUUUUGUUGAGGACGGUUGUAGUAGUAGUUGUUGUUGUUGAUGAUGUAGUUCACAUCCUCAAGCAUCUCAGGACAGUGACUGCCUAAGUGUCCAGUAUCUCCACACUCCUCACAAGUCAUGUGAGAGUCGUAGAUGUGCAUAACUUCCUUCUUAUCUCUAGCUCUAUCGUCGAGCUUCUUCAUGAGCAGGUCUAGCUUUGCAGACAGCAUAUCUACCUCCUUCAGCUGAUGCAUACCUCUACCUCUCUUGCAUGUCUGGGUCCUCUCUUCAUUCCAGCCUUGAUUGGACGCCAUCUUCUCCACAAGAGCUGUGGCUUGUGGUAAGUGAUAAGAAUGCUCCUCCAGCUGCAGCAUCCAUGGUUUCUCGGGCACUGUUGCCGAGUCGAUGAUAAAAUGUCUGCAUCAAUAGCCAACUCUCCAUUCCAUGAUGGGGACAUUCUAGGAUGUAGUCUUGAAAGCGCUCCCAUGCUUCUGGAACAGAUUCAUUAUUUUGUUGCUGAAAACUUGUAAUCUUCCCACGGAGAGCAUUGGUCUUGCCCAUGGGAAAGAACUUUACCAGGAAGUUUGUUGAACAGAGUGCCCACGUAGUAUUCUUCUCCUUUGUAGCGUAGAACCACUGCUUCGCUCUUCCUAACAGUGAGAAUGGGAAGAGGUGAAGUAGUAUAGCAUCUUUGGAAACUCCUGAUAUGGUGAAUGUGUUGCAAAUCUCCAGGAAGUGUUGUAAAUGAGCACUAGCAUCUUCGUGUGCCUUCCCACAGAACUGGUUGGAUUGCACCAUGUUGAUAAGUCCAGGCUUGAGCUCAAAGUUGCCAUCGAUCUUUGCAGUAGGUCCAGUGCGGAUGUUGUCCGUAGUGGGAGCUGAGAACUCGCGGAUUGAUUUGUUCGCCAUGGCUUCGAACUCUGAAGACAAGUUCCGGUGAUCUUCUUGAUUGGAUGAAGCUUCUUGCUGAAGUAUUGAUGAUCUCUUCUUAAGCUUGGCUCUCGUCUUCUUGAAUAAUGCUUCAAGAUUGUCAACAAAAUUUCCUUGAAGAUGUCUUCUAUUCAUACAUUCCCCUGCAUAAGAUAAAAUAGGAAAAUAUCGGGGUAAAACUGUAUGGGAGAAUAGAUAAGCUCAAUCAUAUUAGUGAUGUGAAUGAUAACUCAAAAUCAUUUAUUCUACUCCUGAUUGGAAUCAACCUUCCCCGGCAACGGCGCCAAAAAUGCUUGUUGGGUAUUCUUAACAUCAUUACCAAAAGUAGACUAAGUUCUCUAAAUCUAGUAACGGUGCCAAAAAUGCCAAACCUAUCCCUCACACCACUUAAGCCAAGUUGUCAUCCCCAGCAUGACAUGAGAGACGCGGUAUUGAAAUUUGCAAUUGCUCUUUUAAAUAAAUAAUGAAUGGGAUCUGCAAGCGCACAGAUUAAUACCGAUGCAGCAUUUUAACUCGGAAGUAUUCCAGGUAUCGUUAUUUAUAUUUUUACCACUGAGAAGGGAUUAGCAAUCAUCAAUAUUGAUUACAGAAUAGAAUAUGCGAUUGAGCAUCUAUCAUUGCGUGUACAAUUGAGAACAUUAUAUCUAACUCUUCAUACAGGGAUAAGUGUCACAUAAAAGAUAUAUGAAAUAAUAAUAGUGACAAGGAUAACUAAUCUGAUCUAGCCACAUAAUAAAUAUGAUAAGCACCUCAAUUAGAUAGACUAGAAAGUCAUUAGCAUGGUAUUAGAACGAACUACAAGAAUAUUCCCUAAGUUAUUCUCAACUAUAUAGUCUAGCAUUAUCAUAAUUAGUGCAAGCAUACUUAGCAAUCAUUGUGAGACAAGACUACGCCCAUGCAUAGUGAUAUUAGCAAGGAAUAUGAGAAACAUAGCAAUCACUCCCCUGUAAUAAUGUUGCUCUACCAGUCCAAUACACGAGAGGGGGACUAUAUAAGAAUCAAUGAAGCUGUCACUAUCACGAACCACCCCACGAUCUGGCAUAUUGGGUACAAUCGCAGAUAAAUACGGUAUAAGCACCACGCCUACACAAUAUCUAUCAUUUACCCAUGGAUCCGAUGGAUAAACGCUAUACGAUCCUAAGCAUGUAUAUAGAUCCAAUCUAACUAUGCCAAGUACAUAACUAUGAUAAACUAAGAACAAUAUAAUAUUGAAUAUAAGCAAAUUGAGCAAAGUCAUAAGCAAUAUAUUGAGUAGAACAAAGUCAUAUUCAUAAUAUUGAAGAACAAAGAUAAUUAGAAAGCAAUUAGAAGCACAAUUAGAGAAUUACCAAGAAUCCUCCUAACAGAUCCGGAAACCAAUCGAAGAUUGACUCCUUCUAGUUCUAAUCCUAUGUAGCUAUGCUAAUCUAGAUAUCUAAUUGAUGUGGUGGCUCUAAUCUUGAUCAGAGGCUUCUCUCCCUUGAGAAUAAUGAAUUAGGGUUGAGAGGCUCUCUCCUCCAAGGGCCAGGGGGUCUGGUUUUAUAGUCCCUUCAAGUGAAUAUGGGCCGUUGGAUCAAACCGACAUAGAUUGUAUGGUUUAGAUUCAUCCUUUAGGUUGGUGGAAAUCUCCCGCAAAGCAGAGUCCUGAUUGGACUCAGGAGGUGGUCGGGCGCCCUGACCAACUGGGCGGGCGCCCAGGGUCAGGCCCCGUUUCGCCUCCGCUUCGGUCUCAUGGCUUCUGGAGUCUUCUAGAUGUAAGAUAAUUGCACGGCACGUUAAUAUCUCUAUGUAAUCCCGAUGUGUGGGCCUUUCUUUCGUAUUUCCUAAUAACCCCCUGCAGAAAUAGACAAACACCAAAACUCAUGGAAUUCUGUCAGAUAAAACCCUAAGUCUAGAUCUUGAUUUCAUUUGGAUCCUUUUCUUUAUUUAUUUGAUAAUUAAAUUUGAUACUUAAGGACCGUCAACUGGGUCGAUUCGAGACGUCAAGGGCGUGCAAAAAGUCAUGGGUUGCCUAGCGGCACUAAGUCGUUUCGUUUCAAGAUUGGGAGAAAAGGCAUUGCCAUUGUAUCAGCUCUUGAAAAAGGCCGAUCGUUUCUCCUGGACCCCCGAGGCCGAGAAGGCCCUCGACAACUUGAAAGAGACGCUAACCACGGCUCCAGUCCUAGUUCCUCCUCAACCUGCGGAGUCUAUGCUCCAAUACGUCGCCGCAACAACCUAGGUGGUUAGCGCGGCUGUGGUGGUCGAAAGGCCAGAGGAAGGACACGCGUUACCAGUCCAGCGACCGGUCUACUUCAUCAGUGAGGUGCUCUCGGAAACCAAGGUACGAUACCCUCAGAUUCAGAAGUUGAUCUAUGCCAUGAUUCUCGCCCGACGCAAGCUGCAGCACUACUUCCUCGGCCACCCGAUCACGGUGGUCUUGUCCUUCCCUUUGGGCGAGAUCAUCUAGAAACAAGAGGCCGCCGGGAGGAUUGCCAAAUGGUCCGUCGAGCUCAUGGGUGAGACCCUCACUUACGCGCCCCACAAAGCCAUCAAUUCUCAAGCCCUGGCGGAUUUUGUCGCAGAAUGAACAGACACUCAACUCCCCCCAGCUCAGAUUCUACCAGAGCUGUGGACGAUGUACUUCGACAGAUCCCUCAUGAAGGCGGGAGCUAGGGCAGGCCUACUGUUCAUCUCACCCCUCGGCGUUCACAUGAGGUACGUCAUUAGAAUACACUUCGCCGCGUCCGACAACAUUGCAGAGUAUGAGGCCCUCGUCAACGGGCUAAGGAUCGCCGUCGAGCUAGGAGUUCGUCGCCUCGACGUUUGGGGCGACUCUUAGCUGGUUAUCGACCAAGUAAUGAAGGCUUCAAGCUGCCAUGACCUAAAAAUGGAGCCAUACUGCAAGGAAGUACGCAGGCUCGAGGACAAAUUCCACGGCCUCGAGCUCGUCCACAUCGCACGACGAUACAACGAGGCAGCCGACGAGCUCGCUAAGGUCACAUCAACUCGAGGCACCGUCCCACCCGACGCGUUCUCGAGAUACCUGCACGAGCCAUCCGUCAACCCGGGCGUGGAGGCUGAUGUCAAAACCCCCACUCCAACCGAUGCUAUCGAAGCCUUACUGACGGCAGCAGAAGUAAUGGAGGUCGAACAACGUCCCAGUCGACCGUUCGACUGGCGUACGCCGUUCCUCGAUUGCCUGAUCCGAGGUUGUUGAUGCAAAAGCUGAUCUGCAAACACAAAGGGCUAAUACCGGAUUUAAACGUUAAGGCGUGCCAGCCGAUUUGACCUUACUAUCGGCUAAGGUGAUAACUCGAAUACUUUGGUCCUGACAACAGCGAUGUGCCCGGAUGUCACGGCCAAGAGGUAUUCAUGCGGAACUCGAGAAUACGCCGAGCUUAAGUCGAUGAACUCCUAAGAACUCGUAAUAAAAAGGAAAAUAUGACGAAGUCGUCAAAAAAAAUAGAUGCUGGAAUAUGAGUAAAAACUUGUGUUUGAUUGAUUGAUAGAUAUCUCAUUUCAAGGCCCUAUGGUCUACAUUUAUACCCUGCUCAAAGAGCUACAAUCAGACACGACUAGGACUCGAAUUCCAAAUUAAACAGAAUCCGUAUACAAAACGAUUUUAAAUAACUAAGGAAAACAUAGAACCACCCCCUCGUAACCGACCGGGACACCGCCACAGAUCAAUCGACAACCUCCACGCUUCCCUUCAGAGUCAUCGGCAGUCUUCCUGUUAUAGCCAUCGGCAAACACCAAUAUUGAUCAUCGGCAAGAACACGUCACCACCUCUGGACUUAGCUAUCUUCAAUCGUCUCUUCAUCGGCAACUAUCCUCAUCGGCAACUCUUCUGCGGGCUAGUUACCGUUGCUCUACCUGCCGAUCUAUACUCUACUAGUCUCUGGGUACGUGUCCAAAAAUGGUGUCAACACAUGCCCCCCAAUUUUGGAGUAUGAAAUCAUUAAUGCUCCAAAAUUCUCUAUAGUAAUGAUGCCUUUCCGCAAUUAAUUCUCCCAAUUUGGUAACCGACAGUUUAAAUCUGAACAACCUUGGCCCGAUUCUCCUGCAGGUUCCUCGAAUUCCUCAACCUUCCGAACCGGAUCUCUCUACUUUAUGCGCCCAUCGGCAAUAUUACCAUUAGAGGGAACUGCCGAUGGACCGCCAAGAAAUCCCGCACAGUGAAAUAUCUCCAGAUCAUGACUGCUUCCUGUCAAAUCACAUGUGCAAUCCCUUGAUUACCGUGCGAACAGUUACCAUAUCAACCUAAGUAUCCUCGGAUUUCACGGAUACGGCGAAGAGAUAAGUCAAAUUUGCCCUUGCCCGUUUUGUCCUAUAAAUACUUCCUUCUCGGGUACUCCUUCUCCAUCGCAUCAUUCUACUGCCCCAACUCUACUUUCCUGGCGGCGGCACCGCUCGAGAGCUCCAAGAACUCCAACCAGAACUUCCUCCAACCACUCCCAAGUUUUCGAUCUUCUCCCCUGCGAGGAGAUGGCCAUCAACUUCGUCAUUCCUGAGGUCAGCGUACUGCCCUUUUUCCUGUACUUUUACUGUACCCCUGUUCAUCCACAAUCUGUCUUAUCGAAUCCUUUUUCUUUUUGUUCUUCUUUUUUUGCUCCUAAAAAUUUCUAGGAUUUGGUCGAUAAGAUCGUUAUUCCUACCGAUCAACCCCAUCUUCAAUGCCUUGGUCCACUAGGAAACUUGGAUCCCACCGAUCUUAUAAACGCGGAGACAAACAGAAUCCCUUUUAGAGCCGAGAAUUUUUCUUUAGAUCUAUGGAAGGAUGCCUUCCGUUCCUGGCCCAGUCCUACCAAAGGAUGGAAGGAUUAGUUCCAGAGAGUUAGUAACUCAAAUGAGGUCCAAUGGGGUGAACGGAAACUGGAUCAGUGCAUUAGAUUGUCCUUUGCCGAUAUGGAGAGAAAUGAGUCACUACUGAUAGCUGCCUCAUACUUUUGGUCAGACACACUCAAUGCUUUUGUGUUUGGGCAUGGCCCUGCUUCUCCCACACUUGCCGAUGUGCUUAUGCUCACCGGCUUAGAUGUAUCCACUGCCGAUACCACCCACCUGUUUGAUACCAAACCCAGCGCUAAGGUGGAAACUUGUUCUAUCGGCGGUUGGUUAGGGUACAUCCAGAAGUACCGAAGAACAGGCCCUGUCAAUGUAAAGGAAUAGACCACCUUUCUGAACAUGUGGCUAGAUAAAUUCGUAUUAUGUGGCCGAUCGGCAGGACCAACUUCGGUUUACUUAUCGGCAGCAGAAAGAUUAGCCAAUGGCGGCCGAUUUCCUCUUGGCCGAUACUUGCUUGGUUCGGCCUAUCACCUCCUCCACCAGGUAGCCCAGAAACUACUGCUUGGUCAACCCAUCGGCAACUUAGGGGGUCCCUGGUGGUUUAUCAACAUGUGGCUUAGUCUCCACACACACAAACGCCUUGAGUUCGAUCUUUUCGCACAGCGCUUCCCUAGAGAUAUAGCCGAGGACUACAAACUGGGUGAAGAAGAAUCGGCAACUCGUUCCCCUCUAAACUUUGGCGAAGCCGCCAUAGUUUUGCCUAGCACAGGUGGCAACGCAGACCAAGUUAGCCGAUUCUUCCAAACUCUGUAUGAGGGUUUGACCAGGGAACAGCGGGCAUGGAUGCCCUAUGAAGAUCCUGACACUAGAUUCCCUCUGACUUUCCACCCCUUCAAUGAUGCUCUCAACAAGGAUCGUGAGGUGAUGAUGGCAGUUAUCACUCCCAGAGCCAUACCGGUGAACUUCUUUGGCAGUGGGAAAGCUUCUAAUCUGACUUAUGAGUUCUACAAUCCAUCGGCACUAGCUCGUCAACUGGCUUUCGGCCAACUGCCGAUUGCACUUUGCUACACCGAUGUGAUAAAGCCGAGGGAGAUUAUCACCAGCCAUCUGGAAUGGAUCAGGGUAGCCCAACUUCCACCAAACGCCGAUAUAGAUGUCGAUCUAUCGGCUUGGAUCCCAGCUCUCUUCAUCACUAAGGCAUACAAACAGUGGUGGGAAGAAUGGAAAGAGCAUUUGUUCUGCAGAUCGGCUCUUACAUACCGUGGUAUGAUCGACCCUCAAUACAAAGUCCCCGAUAACACUGUAAGUACUUCUAAACCGAUGUUUCAAUCCUUUCAUUUUCACUUUCCAUCGGUAUCUUACUUCCUUGUUAUAUGCAGGUCGAUGACACACCCCCAUUGGUCAGCAGGAGUGGUAAGCCGAUUGAGGUCCUUCCAUCGGGCCCGAUCUCUUUGAUCGGCAACAACGCUCCAACCCUGGCUGCUAUAAUGCAUCGAGGUGUGCGUCUCAAGAAAGUUACCACCAAACGGGCGAAGAUAUCCCCAUCGGUAGCUGCUUCUACCCUAGCACAAGCCUUCAAGGUAAAUUUUCGAAUUCUUUUACUCAUACCGAUUCCAUUCUUAUUUUUAUUACACUUGUACUCAUAAAUUUCUCACUAUCGUAUCAGCACACCGGUACAUCGGCAAAGACCAGAAGUACGACUGCCGAUGCCCCCCAGUCCAGUCAACCGAAGAGAAAAGGUUCCAAGAGUACCAGAUUACAAGCAAAGCGCCAGAUAACAGUAACGGCUUCUCCCCCAGUAUCUCCGAUUCCAGUAGAAUCAUCCCCUUCUCCUCUAGAAGCCCAGAUACAACCAGCACCGUCUCCUCUUCAACCACAAGAAGAAACCCAAACAGAAGAACCUCAACCAGAAGUACCCCAGCCAGAAGAAACGUCGGCUGAUGUACGCGAGCAGACUGCCGAUCCAGCAAGCUUAAUCAUAGCAUCGGUAGUUUCCUCGAUUCAGACUAGUACUGCACCUCCCCAAGGUAACAUACUCUUUAUUUAUUGCCGAUGAACCCACUUUUUCCCAAUUUGUAAUUACCUCUGUUAAUCUUUCAGCUGACAUAGUCUUAUCGGCAAUCCCAGCUGAUCAACCUGUGGUUCCAUCGGCUUCAACUAGUCCGAGGCGAGAGAUAACUCUGAAGCAAGUAAGUUACCCGAUCCUUAUUUUUAUUGUUAUCAGUACUUGAUCAUAAAAUAACUUAUUCUGUCUUCUUUUCCAGGAACAGGAUUCUCCUGACAGCUUGUUCUCCUUCGCCAUUGAGAUCUCUGAAGAUGAAGGUGAGGAAGCAAGUUCUUCUCGAGCAGUUGGAAUCUCAUCGGCAGAGAUUAGAGCAAAGCUGGCAGAUCUGUCAGCCCUUCUACAUCAAGACACAGCACAAUUAGUUGAUGACUCCGAUCCGGCCAAAGUUCUGUUCAAGGCUCUCAGAGGUCAAAUCCCCACCGAUGCCGAGGAGAUUCUUUUCUAGGUUGCACAUUUAGAGAGUCGUCACCUGCAGUAUCAAAAGGCUGCUCAGCGUCUUGCCGAUAGAGCUGCUCACGCUCAGCUCUCAGAGGAGAUGAUGAAAGUGAAACUCCUUGCCGAUGAGAAGCAUAAGAGCAUCGGCGUUCUGAAAUCCUCAGGAGAUGUACUAAAGCACAUGAUCUCUGAUCCAUCGGCAAAGAGAGAAGCCUAGUUGGCAGAACUCAAACAGGUAAAAGAAGCUUUGUCCCAAGCUCAAUAGGAAGAAAGCCAGCUGCCUGAGGCGAUCAAGAUUCUUGAACAAGAGCGAAAUGUCCAAGCCCGCAAAGCACUGCAGAUGAAGAAGAGGCUGAAGCCAGUGGAGGGUUCUACCGAUGAUGACAUGAAUGAGAUAGAAGAAGCCAACCAGAUCCGUCUGCGCGCCAUAUCGACGAUCCAGGCUUUGUUAAACAUAUGAAUUCCUCAUCGGCGGCACACUUUGCUCUUUUCUCUUAAUUAUUUUGGUCCAGCCGAUAGGACUGUUAUCGGCAUCCUUUUAAAACAUUAAGUCCGGCCCCAGAUACACUUUUAAUCCAGCCGAUAGGAAUGUUAUCGGCACUUAAUCUUUCAUGCAUCAAGCCAUAUGCUGGGGUUAUAUCUCUUUAAAUAUUUGUCAUUCAAUGCUCUAGGAUAUUCAACUCCUUCGAGAGUUUCUAAGAUAUAGGCAUUGCCAGGAGCAGAUCAAUUUAUCCGAUAGGGACCCUCCCAAUUGGGAGACCACUUCCCAAAUUUUGAAUCUUUAGUCCCAAUCGGUAAGAUUAGCUUCCAUACUAAGUCUCCAUCGGCAAACUCCUUAGCCUUUACUUUCUUAUCAUAACAUCUGGCAACUCUUUUCUUAUUUUCUUCGAUACUUAUCAAAGCUUUCAGCCGAUGCCCUGCUAAAUCAUCCAAUGUUGGGUAUUCUUAACAUCAUUACCAAAAGUAGACUAAGUUCUCUAAAUCUAGUAACGGUGCCAAAAAUGCCAAACCUAUCCCUCACACCACUUAAGCUAAGUUGUCAUCCCCAGCAUGAUAUGAGAGACGCGGUAUUGAAAUAUGCAAUUGCUCUUCUAAAUAAAUAAUAAAUUGGAUCUGCAAGCGCACAGAUUAAUACCGAUGCAGCAUUUUAACCGGGAAGUAUUCCAGGUAUCGUUAUUUAUAUUUUUACCACUGAGAAGGGAUUAGCAAUCAUCAAUAUUGAUUACAGAAUAGAAUAUGCGAUUGAGCAUCUAUCAUUGCGUGUACAAUUGAGAACAUUAUAUCUAACUCUUCAUACAGGGAUAAGUGUCACAUAAAAGAUAUAUGAAAUAAUAAUAGUGACAAGGAUAACUAAUCUGAUAUAGCCACAUAAUAAAUAUGAUAAGCACCUCAAUUAGAUACUCUAGAAAGUCAUUAGCAUGGUAUUAGAACGAACUACAAGAAUAUUCCCUAAGUUAUUCUCAACUAUAUAGUCUAGCAUAUCAUAGUUAGUGCAAGCAUACUUAGCAAUCAUUGCGAGACAAGACUACGCCCAUGCAUAGUGAUAUUAGCAAGGAAUAUGAGAAACAUAGCAAUCACUCCCCUGUAAUAAUGUUGCUCUGCCAGCCCAAUACACGAGAGGGGGACUAUAUAAGAAUCAAUGAAGCUGUCACUAUCACGAACCACCCCACGAUCUGGCAUAUUGGGUACAAUCGCAGAUAAAUACGGUAUAAGCACCACGCCUACACAAUAUCUAUCAUUUACCCAUGGAUCUGAUGGAUAAACGCUAUACGAUCCUAAGCAUGUAUAUAGAUCCAAUCUAACUAAGCCAAGUACAUAACUAUGAUAAACUAAGAACAAUAUAAUCUUGAAUAUAAGCAAGUAGAGCAAAGUCAUAAGCAAUAUAUUGAAGUAGAACAAAGUCAUAUUCAUAAUAUUGAAGAACAAAGAUAAUUAGAAAGCAAUUAGAAGCACAAUUAGAGAAUUACCAAGAAUCCUCUUGACAGAUCCGGAAACCAAUCGAAGAUUGACUCCUUCUAGUUCUAAUCCUAUGUAGCUAUGCUAAUCUAGAUAUCUAAUUGAUGUGGUGGCUCUAAUCUUGAUCAGAGGCUUCUUCUCCCUUGAUGGAACAAUGAAUUAGGGUUGAGAGGCUCUCUCCUCCAGGGGCCAGGGGGUCUGGUUUUAUAGUCCCUUCAAGUGAAUAUGGGCCCUUGGAUCAAACCGACAUAGAUUGUAUGGUUUAGAUUCAUCCUUUAGGUCGGUGGAGACUUCCCGCAAAGCAGAGUCCUGAUUGGACUUGGGAGCAGGGCGGGCGCCCAGUAGGACAGGGCGGGCGCCCUGUCUCUGGCCCCGAUUCGCCUCCGCUUCGGUCUCGUAGCUUCUGGAGUCUUCUAGAUGUAAGAUAAUUGCGCAGCACGUUAAUACCUUUACGUAAUCCUGACAUGUGGGCCUUUCUUCCAUAUUUCCUGAUAACCCCCUGCAGAAAUAGACAAACACCAAAACUCGUGGAAUUCUGUCAGAUAAAACCCUAAGUCUAGAUCUUGAAUUCAUUUGGAUCCUUUUCUUUAUUUAUUUGAUAAUUAAAUUUGAUACUUAAGGACCGUCAACAAACUCCCUCAAGCUUACCUCUUGCUCGUCCCUGAGCAAGGAUAGACUCAGCUAUGGAUCAUAAGUUGUUGCUAUAUUUUAAAAAUUUGACGGUACACAUGCUUUUAAAUAAGAUCUCAUCUCUGAGUUAGAGUAAACUGUCAAGACUUAAAACUUACUUACUUUACCUACACCAUGGGACUUGUAACCGUCACUUCUGUCUUGAGUGGUUAAAAGAUAGAACAGUCUAGCCAAGUGCCAUGUCUCUUAUUCUUGAUCAGCUAUAACUCUGGGGUUUUUUUGCAGAUUUUCAAAUAAAACUCAGAGAUUCCUUGUAUGAUUCUCUCAGGUCUCUCUUUUGUGGUAUUUUUGGAUCCUUACCAAGGCAUUGAUGGUAUAUGCCUUCUCUCAAGAUAUGUAGUAUUUGUGGUAUAAGGCAUAGUGACAUUGCCUUCUCUCUCACCCUACUCUAAUAAGGCUUUAAUAUCUGGAGCUCAUAGGUGGGAGAUAAAGUAUACAUACUUACAAGACAUUUAUUGCAUAGUCAAACCAUGGAUCCAAAGUAACAAGUCAAUAAGCCAAAUCAAGAUGUGCAUGUGUGGCGAAUGAAUGGUGUAUGGUGAUGAUGGUGAUAACAAUGGUGAAACAAUGGUGGUGGAAGUCUAAUUCUACUUUGCUCUUUUGAGGGGAUACAUACCUUCCUUGCUUUUGAAACUUUAUGAGGAGAAUGAGAUGCUCUUCUUUUUCUUGUCUCUCAGUGGGUAUCUUGUACCCCUAAUUCUACUAUCGGACACUUGUCCAUUUUUACCUCUCGUCUCACUCUUUCUUUUCUUUCGAGGUUCCGAGCACUUGCUCCUUUUUAUUUCCUCGUAUAUUUUUUUAUUUUCUUCUUUUUUCUAGAGCACUCAUCUCUUGAGAUAAUAUAGCAAGUGGUAGUAACAAGAUAACUUGAGCAUUUAUUUCACAAGGGGAAACAGAAAUAUUUUUGGUUAUUCUCUCCCGGAUUAGGAGCAGAAUAGUUUUGGGUGAUUCUGGAGAUGGAAAUGGAUGGAUAUAUGUGGAUGGUACUUCCGGAGUAGAAGUAGCAUAUAUGAGUGAACGUGCAAGUGAAAUCUUGAUUUAACCACAUGACAAGCUCCUAAGGGUCUACACAGCUUGACCACACUCAAUGCUCAUAAGCAGUAAAUAGUAAAUGUGUGGCUCAAAGUCUAGCAAGCAUGUAUAUAUGGCUGUGGUAGGAAUUUAAGCUCUCAUCAUACAGGAACUCAUUAUGCAACAUUUUAAAGAUUUUCAAAGAUAAAAUUCUCUAGAAUUCUAGCAUCUCUAGGAACAGAUAAACAGCAGCUCAACCUUCCCAUAUCGUAUCCGUUAACAACUUAGACUUCAGAUCAAGUUUUCAUCCCACAAGUUUAGGUCUAGGGCAAGCUUUAAAUUAUAACAGUUAUAUCUAAACUUGAGAGAGAACUUAGAAUGUGCAAAUUAGACAGAGCAACUAUUUAUCAUAUCCAUGCUUAAGUUUUAUUUAGAUACAGAUUAGCAUAGCCACUUAAACACACUAAGCAAAAGACAUAUAUAAGCAUAAAAUCUUUAUUUGGUUUUCCCAUAGUUUAUGUGUAUUUUAAUAUUCUAAAAUAAUAUAAGUAUAAAGAUAGAUAGAUAUACUUAUCGGGAUAAAUGGGGGUGCUCUCCCCGAAGCUGAAUUUUGACGUAAUUUCCCUUGAUGUAGCUAGCAGGUGGCAGAGGUGUAGUUGAAAGUCAGCAGCAUUCUGACAGCGAUUAGAAUGUCCUCCGUCUGCUAGUCUUCUUGAUUCUUAAAUUCUGUGGAGCUCAAAUAGACAACAUAGCUUGUGGAACUGAUUAAGUGUUAGCAUAAAUAUCUAGGCUUUAUCAUGUUGAGACUCCUUAAUAAUUGUUACUCCCUGUUUUUAUAUUUUUUUUAUUUUAUAAAGCAGAAAUGAAAUAUUUAUUUUAUUUGUAUGUCACCACAGUGAAUGUACUUAUGGGUUUUAUGCCACUCGUCUACUCACAUGGGGCUUACAGUUUUUCACAUUUUUAUUUUUUUUAGGAUAGCACGAACAUAAUUAACUAAGUAAACUAGUCGAAAUAAUUAAAAGGGAAAGGAUAACUACUAAGUUUACCUCUUGGCAGGGCGUUCGGUGUUUUUAAGUCCUCCGAACGGGACUCUCCAAUUUCUUAAUCGUCCUGAGGUUCGUUGGGUGGCGAAGUCGGUACUUCUGGCAGCGCCUCCUCUUCUUGUAUAGUUAUCUUCAUUUUCCAUACCUGACUCGGUGCUUCAAUCUCCUCUGGAUAAUUCUGUUUAAACUCCAUGUCUUCUGACCUUACAACUUCUCCUUCAUAGUCUUCCCAUCCGUCCUUGAUGAUCUGCCUCCUCUGGUUGCGGUUGCGUCUCUUUCUGACCUGUUUAGAUUCUUCAAUGAUAUAGUUAGGGUCAGUAAAAUAACGGCGUACCUUCUCUGAGGGGAAGUGCAUAUGGACUUCUCUGGUUCCAAUGUAGAUAAUUGCUUUAACGGUGCUGAGGAACGGUCUUCCAAGGAUGAUGGGUGGAUCGUACUCGUCUUCUCCCAUGUCAAUAACUUGAAAGUCUGUGUAGACAAAGUGAUCGUCUAUUUUGACUGGGACAUCAGAUAUUAUUCCUUGAACUUCUCAAAAUGUCUGAUCUGCCAUCUGGAGCUGAAUGUAUGUUGGUCUUAGUGGCAUGGUCCCGAAGAAGAGCCGAUAAGUGACUGCGGCCAUUAUGUUGACGCCCGAUCCGGUGUCGCAAAUCGUCUUGUAGAAGUUAUAUCCAUUUAUGGAGCAGUAGAUGCUUGGCAUUCCUGGGUCGUCCUUCUUGGUCAAAAACGGUGACUUAAGUUGGUGAUCUUGGCCUCCAUGGACUACAGUGACCAUCUUAGCUGACUCGGUCCACACUUGCUUGUUCCUGUUUCUCCUGUUGGUCCUCUUCCUUGAUUCACGUUUGGAUUGAUCUGGAAUUUGUGUAGUCUUGUUCUUGAAGAAAAAUGUCUCCUUCUUCCCUUUGACGUAGAAACUGAUCUUGGCAGCACUGGCGUAGAUGAUAGCUCCCGUGGUGUUCAAAAAUGGCCUUCCUAAGAAGAUAGGUGCUCUCUCAUCAUUUCCGGUCUCAACCACUACGAAGUCUGCUGGGGCAUAUAAAGUACCAACUCGGACACAAAGGUUCCUCACUAUUCCUUUUGGAAAAGUUAUCGUCUGAUCUGCAAACUGCAAACACAUGGUUGUUUCUAAUAAAGGAUAUGUAAAGAAUUUCUCAUAGAGUACCCUGGGUAUAAUGUUGACGCUAGAGCCAAAGUCACAGAGUGCUUCUGGAACGUCCACCAUGCCGAUGGAGAUCGGGAUGAUGGGGCGUCCUGGAUCGCCUCUCUUGACCGGCAGACGGUCAGUAGAAAAUUCAGUGACGGGGUUACUCCAAUUACCUGCAUCAAACACGUCUAUAAGAUUUGCAGAUUCUAAUCCUUCCGGUUGUGAUGGUAUACUGGGGUUAGUAGUAGGAACAGCAGCAGCUAUUUGAUUUAACUGAGAUUCAAUCAUUUUAUUAAAGCUAAUUUGAUUCUUGAUGGCAGUAGAGAAAUUAUCCAUUCUAUUAUUUAUAUUUUCUAGCAUUUUAUCAUUAGACUCCAAUUUCUUAGAUAGAUUAUCCAUUAGCUUUCCUUGAUUAGACACUAACUCUCUCAAAGGUGGAAAAUUAUUAUUAUUGUUGUAAGAAUUGUUACCUUGAUAAUUACCUGAGUAGUUAGGCCUCUGUUGAUUCCAACCUUGAUUUUGUUGAGGACGGUUGUAGUACUUGUUGUUAUUGUUGUUGAUGUAGUUCACAUCCUCAAGCAUCUCAGGGCAGUGGUUGCCUGAGUGUCCAGUGUCUCCACACUCCUCACAAGUCAUGUGAGAGUCGUAGAUGUGCAUAACUUCUUUCUUGUCUCCAGCUCUAUCGUCGAGCUUCUUCAUGAGCAGGUCUAGCUUUGCAGACAGCAUGUCUACCUCCUUCAGCUGAUGCAUACCUCCACCUCUCUUGCAUGUCUGGGUCCUCUCUUCAUUCCAGCUUUGGUUGGAGGCCAUCUUCUCCACAAGAGCUGUGGCUUGUGGUAUAGUAAGUGAUAAGAAUGCUCCUCCAGCUGCAGCAUCCAUGGUCUCUCGGGCACUGUUGCUGAGCCCAUGAUAGAAUGUCUGCAUCAGUAGCCAACUCUCCAUUCCAUGAUGGGGACAUUCUAGGAUGUAGUCUUGAAAGCGCUCCCAUGUAUCUGGAACAGAUUCAUCAUUUUGUUGCUGAAAACUUGUAAUCUUCCCACGGAGAGCAUUGGUCUUGCCCAUGGGAAAGAACUUUGCCAGGAAGUUUGUUGAGCAGAGUGCCCACGUAGUAUUCUUCUCCUUUGUAGCGUAGAACCACUGCUUCGCUCUUCCUAACAGUGAGAAUGGGAAGAGGCGAAGUAGUAUAGCAUCUUUGGAAACUCCUGCUAUGGUGAAUGUGUUGCAGAUCUCCAGGAAGUGUUGUAAAUGAGCAGUAGCGUCUUCGUGUGCCUUCCCACAGAACUAGUUGGAUUGCACCAUGUUGAUAAGUCCAGGCUUGAGCUCAAAGUUGCCAUCGAUCUCUGCAGCAGGUCCAGUGCGGAUGUUGUCCGUAGUGGGAGCUGAGAACUCGCGGAUUGAUUUGUUCGCCAUUGCUUCGAACUCUGAAGACAAGUUCCGGUGAUCUUCUUGAUUGGAUGAAGCUUCUUCGUGAAGUGUUGAUGAUUUCUUUAGCUUGGCUCUCGUCUUCUUGAAUAAUGCUUCAGGAUUGUCAACAAAAUUUCCUGGAAGAUGUCUUCUAUUCAUACAUUCCCCUGCAUAAGAUAAAAUAGAAAAAUAUCGGGGUAAAACUGUAUGAGAGAAUAGAUAAGCUCAAUCAUAUUAGUGAUGCGAAUGAUAACUCAAAAUCUUUUAUUCCAUUCCUGAUUAGUAAUCAACCUUCCCCGGCAACGGCGCCAAAAAUGCUUGUUGGGUAUUCUUAACAUCAUUACCAAAAGUAGACUAAGUUCUCUAAAUCUAGUAACGGUGCCAAAAAUGCCAAACCUAUCCCUCACACCACUUAAGCCAAGUUGUCAUCCCCAGCAUGAUAUGAGAGACGCGGUAUUGAAAUAUGCAAUUGCUCUUCUAAAUAAAUAAUAAAUUGGAUCUGCAAGCGCACAGAUUAAUACCGAUGCAGCAUUUUAACCGGGAAGUAUUCCAAGUAUGGUUAUUUAUAUUUUACCACUGGGAAGGGAUUAGCAAUCAUCACUAAUGAUUACAGAAUAGAAUAUGAGAUUGAGCAUCUAUCAUUGCAUGUAUAAUUGAGAACAUUAUAUCUAACUCUUCAUACAGGGAUAAGUGUCACAUAAAAGAUAUAUGAAAUAAUAAUAGUGACAAGGAUAACUAAUCUGAUCUAGCCACAUAAUAAAUAUGAUAAGCACCUCAAUUAGAUACUCUAGAAAGUCAUUAGCAUUGUAUUAGAACGAACUACAAGAAUAUUUCCUAAGUUAUUCUCAACUAUAUAGUCUAGCAUAUCAUAGUUAGUGCAAGCAUACUUAGCAAUCAUUGCGAGACAAGACUACGCCCAUGCAUAGUGAUAUUAGCAAGGAAUACGAGAAACAUAGCAAUCACUCCCCUGUAAUAAUGUUGCUCUGCCAGCCCAAUACACGAGAGGGGGACUAUAUAAGAAUCAAUGAAGCUGUCACUAUCACGAACCACCCCACGAUCUGGCAUAUUGGGUACAAUCGCAGAUAAAUACGGUAUAAGCACCACGCCUACACAAUAUCUAUCAUUUACCCAUGGAUCCGAUGGAUAAACGCUAUACGAUCCUAAGCAUGUAUAUAGAUCCAAUCUAACUAAGCCAAGUACAUAACUAUGAUAAACUAAGAACAAUAUAAUCUUGAAUAUAAGCAAGUAGAGCAAAGUCAUAAGCAAUAUAUUGAAGUAGAACAAAGUCAUAUUCAUAAUAUUGAAGAACAAAGUUACAUAACUAUGUAACUUUCUUCAAAGGAAUAGCUUCAACCCAUUUGGUGAAAUAAUCGGUGGCAACCAAGAUAAACUUAUGUCCUUUGCUAGAUGGCGGAUAAAUCUGGUCAAUCAAGUCAAUAGCCCAUCCUUGGAACGGCCAAGGUUUGAUAAUAGGAUUCAUGGCCGAUGCGGGUGCUCUUUGAACAUUGCCAAAUUUCUGACAUCCUUGACACCCCUUGAAAUAUUUAAAGCAAUCUUCAAGUAUGGUUGGCCAAUAAUACCCAUUCCUCCUAAUCAUCCACUUCAUCUUAAAAGCCGACUGAUGUGCUCCACAUACUCCUUCAUGGAUUUCUCCCAUUAAACUUUUAGCCUCAUCAUCACCUAAGCACCUGAGAAGAAUCCCAUCAAUGGUUCGAUAAUAUAAUUCAUCUUCGAGGAGCACAUACUUGGUGGCUUGAAACCAAACACGUCUCUCAACUUUCUUGGAUGGAUCCUUUAAAUAAUCAAUGAUUUCUUUUCUCCAAUCAUCGGCACUGAUUGCCGAUAUUGCGUUUAACAUGGGAUGAUAUCCCGAGGCAUGCUGAGCCAACCGAUUGGCCUCUUCAUUAUGAAACCGAGGAACAUGCUCUAACCGGAAAUCUUUGAAUUCCUUUAAUAAUUGCAUACUCCUUUCGUGACAAGUUAUCAGGACUUCGCUUUGACAUUCAUAGCUUCUAGCCAAUUGAUUUAUAACCAGCAUAGAAUCCCCGAAGACUUCAACAGCAUCAGCAUGAACUUCUCUUAGCAAUUCCAACCCCUUUAUCGAAGCUUGAUACUCAGCUUGAUUAUUUGUUGACGUGGCAACAAUCGGCAAGGAGAACUCAUACUUCCUUCCCCGAGGGGAAAUUAACACUAUGUCGAUCCCUGCCCCCCGUCACAAGUGGAUCCAUCAAAGAAGUGCGUCCAAGGUACAAUUUCCAGAGUCUCUACUGUACCGCAAUGUUGAGUUACGAAAUCGGCCAUAAUCUGUCCCUUAACCGCUUUAGCCGAUUCGUAACGCAAAUUGAAUUCCGACUGUGCCAAAAUCCACUUACCGAUCCUGCCACUCAUAAUCGGCAUAGACAGCAUAUAUCGGACCACAUCAUCUUUGCAUAUAAUAGUGCAUUCAGCCGAUAACAAAUAGUGUCUCAACUUAAUACAUGAGAAAUAAAGACACAAACAUAACUUUUCAAUAGCCGAAUACCUGGUCUCAGCAUCAAUCAAUCUCCUGCUUAAAUAAUAAAUCACACGUUCCUUCCCUUCAAAUUCUUGAAUGAAAGCCGAACCGAUGACCAUACCAUCGGUAGAUAAAUAUAAUCCGAAGGGCUUUCCUUGCUGAGGUGGAAUCAGAACUGGAGGAUUUACCAAAUAAUUCUUGAUUUCAUCUAAAGCCAAUUGUUGCUCUUUUCCCCAUACGAACUCUUGAUCGGCUUUCAAUUUGAGUAAAGGACUGAAAGCACGAAUUUUACUAGACAAGUUAGAUAUAAAUCUCCUGAUAAAAUUUACCUUGCCGAUCAAGGACUAGAGCUCAGUUUUGUUGGUAGGAGCAACUAUUUUGCUGAUAGCAUCAAUGGAUCUCCUACUAAUUUCAAUCCCCCUUUGAUGCACCAUGAAACCAAGAAAUUGCCCUACUGAUACACCAAAUGCACACUUAUUAGGGUUCAUCUUUAAACCAUGCUUCCUUGUGUAUUCCAACACCUUUCGCAAAUCGGCAAGAUGCUUUGUGAAAUCUCUAGACUUAACCACCACAUCAUCAAUACAAAUUUCCACCACCUUGCCGAUGAACUCAUGAAAGAUAAAAUUCAUAGCCCUUUGAUAAGUAGCACCGGCAUUUUUCAAACCAAAGGUCAUGACUAUCUAUUCAAACAACCCAACAUGACCAGGACAUCUAAAUGCAGUCUUUGGAAUAUCUUCUUCAGCCAUGAAUAUUUGAUUGUAUCCUGCAUUGUCAUCCAUAAAGCUGAUGAUCCGAUGCCCAGCCGCAGCAUCAACUAACAGAUCGGCAACCGGCAUUGGGUAGCCAUCCAUCGGUGUAGUUUUGUUAAGAUUCCUGAAAUCAAUGCAAACCCGAAGCUUUCCAUUUUUCUUGUAUACUGGAACAACAUUGGAAAUCCACUCGGCAUACCGACACUACCGAAUAAAUUUAGCUUCGAUAAGUUUGGUUAUUUCGGCCUUAAUAUCAGGAAGAAUAUUAGGAUUACAUCGGCGAGCUGGCUGUUGAUGUGGCCGAAAUCUAGACUUGAUGGGUAACCGAUGUUCAACAAUCGAUCGGUCCAAACCAGGCAUCUCAGUAUAAUCCCAAGCAAAGCAAUCUUUAUAUUCCUUUAACAAAUCAGUUAACUGCUACUUACACUCAGAAUUUAACUUAGCACUAAUAAAAGUAGGCCUAGGUUUAUCACCACUACCUAUAUCUACCUCUACCAAAUUAUCGGCCGAUGUGAAUCCUUGGCAUAAUUUUCCAUCAUCGGCAAACCUAUCCAUUAAAACUCCUCGUCAGAACCGACUGCUUGGAUCGGUGGAAUCUCAUAAUCGGCAACUUUGAGGAAAUCCUUCUUCCAAAUUUCUCCCGAAAUACACCUAGUCCUCUCAUAUGUAUCUGCCUCUGCCGAUGCGAUUACAUAAGAAGAAUCCCCCGGGAUAAUCUCAAUCUUGUCGCCUACUCACUGGACCAAGCACUGGUGCAUUGUAGACGGGAUGCAACAAUUGGCAUGAAUCCAAUCUCUCCCUAGCAGCAAAUUAUAAGCACCUUUUCCGUUGAUCACGAGGAAAGUUGUCGGCAAGGUUUUGCUGCCGAUGGUCAACUCGACGCAUAUUGCCCCCUUAACUAGAGACACGUUUCCCUCGAAGUCCUUUAGCAUCAUAUCGGUCUUGGUCAAAUCUUGAUCCCCUUUUCCAAGCUUCCGAUAUACUGCAUACGGCAUGAUGUUGAUAGCACCUCCACCAUCAAUUAAUAUCUUGGUCAUUGGCUGAGCAUCAACCCUUCCUCUGACAAACAGAGCUUUAAGAUGCUGCCUUUCAUUGUCGGCAGGCUUUUCGAAGAUAGCUGUCAUCGGAUCCAGAGCCAACUGAGCUAUCUGGUCGGAAAACUCCAACUCCUCAUCAUCGCUGGACAGCACAAGGAAUUCCAUCAGCAACAUAAAUACCAUGUUAACAUCUGCCGAUGGCCCUUUCCCCUUAGGACCUGAUUGUUGCUGAUCCCAGACUGGCCAAAGUUCUCACCCUUGCUUAGUUCUUCCCGCCUUUCGCGUUGCAGUCUCCUUUUCUAUGUCUUAGUCAACCCCUCCAGACACCAUGGGGGAAGUGGUGACUGCCUUGCCGAUGGACGACGAUGUUCCCUUGACUCCAUCCGAUGAGUAUUAGCAUCCCUGCAAAAUAUAAACUCAUCGGGAACUCGUGCAUUAGCCAUCUCUUCAAGCUCUUCCUGGUUCGUGGGAAAAUAUUCGAUACGAUCACCAAGCCUAUCAUUGUUGGGUAUUUUAAACGCAAACAGAAAAAUCCGCAAGCGCACGGAUACCGAUGUAGCCUUCACCCGGGAGUAUUCCAGAGUAUCAAUUUUCCACAGGGAACGUGAGUGUACUAAUUAAGAUCCAAGAUCGCCCAAGGAUAACUAUAUAAUUAUUUUUGGUGGGAAGAGAGGAAGUUUCCUGAGAGUUCUCUAGUUGAUCUAAGAAUCAAGAAUUACUUCAAGAUUAUCUAUAUCGGGACAUCAGAACACUAACCACAGAAAGAGAUGAGAAGGGGGCUAGGAAGGUCUGACUACGGUCCUACAAACACCGAUCCGAACGAGGUGGAAUACAUCGACCGUUAGGGCUGUCACUACCCUAGGGCUACCACAACAAUCCGCAGGAUUGGGUGCAAUUCCAGGUAAUUGCAAGACUAAACACCACAUCUAAUCUAUUAAUUACUACUCUAAUAUUGCAAAGAUUAGAGCACUUGCUGCAAGCGGGAAUCCAAUAAAUAACUUGAAUGUAAAUAAAAGUAAUUAAAGAACUCAGGAUUAUGAAUUGAAGAACCUGGAGAACGACGAAGAACGAACCAGUUGCUGCAAAAGUACAAUGUUGAGGAAGAUCCGACAGAUCCGGCUCCUCCUCCGCUCUCCUCUUCUCUCUCUCUAUUUUCUAGAUUACAACUAGAACUAACUAGAACUAGAACUAGAGGAACUAGAACUAGAACUAGAUGAACUAGAACUAGAUCUAGAUGAACUAGAGGUAGAACUAGAAGAACUAGAGGGAUCCUCUCUACUUGGAUGAAGAAUUGAAACCCUAACUUUGAUUCUGUAGAAGAGGUAUGCCUCCAGGGGCUGGUGGGGGUCUGCUUAUAUAGUCCAGGAAGAGUAGCCCCCAAGAAAUCUAGGAAGAGUAGCUCCCAAGAAAUCUAGAAAGAGUAGCUCCCAAGGAAUUUCCAUGUUAUUCUCCACCAUCCGAUCAAACCGACCUUAAUCGUGUGAUUUUCCUCGAUCCUUAGAGUCGGUGGAGCAUAAUCCCCGAGACUCGUGCUGAUUGGCCAGCAGAGGAGGGCGGGCGCCCAGGGGGGUAGGGCGGGCGCCCUGCUUCCGGGCCCGCUCGGCCUCCCGUUCGUUCCCGUGGCUUCUGGAGUCUUCUAGAUGGUAGAAAAUUGCACGACACGUUAAUACCUCUAUGUAAACCCGACGUGUGGGCCUUUCCUCCAUAUUUCCUGAUAACCCCCUGCAGAAAUAGACAAACACCAAAACUCGUGGAAUUCUAUCAGAUAAAACCCUAAGUCUAGGUGUUGGUUGCAUUUGGAUCCUUUUUCAUGAUUAGUUGAUGGUUAAAUGUGAGCAUUAAGGACCGUCAACAAGCUCCCCCAAGCUUAACCUUUGCUCGUCCCUGAGCAAAGCUGAAAUCAACAAGAAAACAGGGGUUACUUUUAUGCCUCUUACUACAGGGUUUUUAAGUUAUCACUAAGGUCUUAAGUGAUUGAAAAACAGAAUGAUCAAGUCAAGCACUAUGUCUUAAGUUCUUCUGUCUUACCUGUGUUCUGGAGUUUUUUUUUUAUAAGUCUGCAAAAUGAAACUGAGGCAUUGCCUUCUUCUCGGAAGAUAUAUAAGUGGAGCUUUAAAAGUUUUAGCAUACUUUCUUUGCAUUUUGCUAUGUCAACGCUCGGAGUAAGGGAGAAGAAUGUCAUACUCCUAGAUCAAGACCUUUGACCUUUUUGAAAAGUUUGUCAUCUCUUACUGGCAUAUUGCUUAUUAGAGGGACCAUGGGCUAUCAUUUUUUUUCUUUUUUUUCUCUUUUUUUUCAGUCUCUUUUUUUCAAGUGGGCAGCAAGUACCCCUAAUUCUACUGUCGGACACAUGUCCAUUUUUUCCACUCAGGUGGGUAUCUUUGUACCCCUAAUUCUACUUCGGACACUUGUCCAUUUUUUACCUCUCGUCUCACUCUCUUUUUUUUCGAAUCAAAUUUUUGCAUAGUCCCAUGCCUCUAACACAAUAAUACUUCGGAAGAGUGAAUCUUUUAUAUUUUUAAAACAAAAAGAUCUUGAUCUUGGGAGCAUGAUAAUUCUCUCAACCAAAACUACAAGAAUUAACAAUGGCUUGAACAAAGCAAGUGCCCACAGUUUUAAUAUUUAUAUCUUAUAAGACUCUAGGUAUUAUGAUCUCAUAUUUUUUUUUGAAUUUUUAGAUUUUCAAAAGAUAAAAUCUCCAGAACUCUAGCAAAACUUGGAACAAGUUAAAUAGUAGCUCAGACCUUCUCAUAUCAUGUUUGUCAAUUACCUAGACUUGAAUCAAACUUUCUUUUUAUUUUAAACUUAGGAUUACACAAAACUAUUCUAUAUUACUCAAAAGAAAAACUUUGCUUGGUUUCAUGGUUAUGCAUUUUUUUAUUUCCGAAUACUAGUAAAUAAACCCAAGAAAGAAAAGUAAUACUUAUCUAGAUACACGUGGGGGUGCCUCCCCCAAGCUGGAUGUUGACAUAGUCGUUCACUCUUGUGGCCUGCAUGUUCGGUCUCACUCUUCUUAAGCCUCAAAAUCCUGCACAACCCAAAUAGACAACAAAACUAGUGGAACAUGUUAAGGGUUAGGUAAUUGUCUAGAGCUUAUGAGAGCUUAAUAUGAGAAUUCUAUAAACUCAAUCACAUCAAGUUCCUCUACCCGGUUGUUUUGAGGCUCAAGAUAGAUUUUCAAGCGUUGACCAUUUACCUUAAAAGUGUUACCUAUGUCGUCUUGGAUGGUAAUGGCUCCAUGUGUUGAAGUGUCAAUAACCUUGUAUGGUCCAUCCCACUUUCUUCGUAGCUUACCAUGACCAAAGAGCUUAACUCUUGAAUUGAAUAGUAGAACCUUAUCUCCAGGCUUAAACUCCUUGUGCUUGAUUCUCUUAUCAUGCCAUCGUUUUGUUCUCUCUUUAUAAAUGCUUGAAUUGUGGUAGGCUUUCUCUCUCCAUUCUUCUAGCUCAGAUAGUUGCAUCAGACGAUUCUCGCUAGCGAGGUGGAGAUCCAUAUUCCAUUUCUUGAGUGCCCAGUGAGCCUUAAACUCUACUUCCACAGGCAAGUGACAAGUUUUUCCAUAUACAAGUUGAUAAGGUGACAUGCCUAUGGGUGUUUUGAAUGCAGUUCUAUAUGCCCAAAGCGCAUCAGGAAGUUUGUCCUUCCACCCCUUACCCAUCUCAUCUACGGUCUUUUGUAAAAUAUUUUUGAUUUGUUUAUUAGAUGUUUCGGCUUGACCGCUAGUCUGAGGAUGGUAUGGUGUUGCGACGUUGUGUCGAACUCCAUGAUCGGCUAGGUAUUUCCGAAAGAUUUUAUCGAUGAAGUGGGAACCUCCAUCGCUUAUAACUAUCCGGGGUAUACCAAAGCGAGGAAAGAUUACUUCAUGGAACAUUCUCUUGGCAUGUUUUGAAUUAGCUGAUCGACAAGGUAGGGCUUCUACCCAUUUGGACACAUAGUCCACAGCUACUAAGAUAUACUCGCAAUUCCCGGACAUAGGGAAUGGCCCCAUGAAAUCAAUGCCCCAAACAUCGAAAAGUUCUACUUGAAGAUUAUUUGUGAGAGGCAUUUCAUUUCGUGAGUUAAUAUUCCCAUGUUUUUGACACCGGUGGCAUCUCCUGACAAAGUCCUUUGUAUCUUCAUACAUCGUUGGCCAGAAAAAACCACUUUGCCAAAUUUUAGCAUGUGUCCGAAAUGCUCCAUAGUGUCCUCCAUAUAGCGAGGCAUGGCAUCUUUCCAUAAUUUGAGUAGCCUCAGCCAUAGGAACACACCUUCUCAAGAGUCCAUCAGCGCAGACUCGGAAAAGAUAUGGCUCAUCCCAAAGGUGGAAACGACUAUCGUGAAGUAACUUCCUUUUGUUUGCACCAGGUGGGACAUAGCCUUUUACUAUAAAGUUUACGAUGUCUGCGUACCAUGGAUCUGCAUGUGUUAUCUUAAGUAGGGUGUCAUCCCUUAGGUAGUCAUUUAUGGGAAGCUCAUCAUGUGUUUCCUUAUAGUGAAGCCUGGACAAGUGGUCGGCUACAGAAUUCUCUACUCCCUUCCUAUCUCGGAUUUCUAUGUCAAAGUCUUGGAGUAGAAGAAUCCAUCGAAUUAGACGAGGCUUAGCAUCUUUCUUAGUGAGGAGGUACUUGAGAGCAGCAUGGUCUGAAUAGAUGAUUAUCUUUGCCCCCACUAAGUAUGAUCUAAACUUGUCUAUAGCAAAGACAACAGCCAAAAGCUCUUUUUCAAUUGUAGUGUAAUUGAGCUGUGGUCCAGACAAGGUUUUGCUAGCGUAGGAUAUGGCAUAAUGCUUUCUAUCCUUGGUUUGUCCUAAAACGGCACCAACCGCAAAAUCGCUAGCAUCACACAUGAUCUCAAAAGGAAGAUUCCAAUCAGGUGGUUGGAUAAUCGGGGCUGAGAUGAGUGCUUUCUUAAGAGUUUGAAAAGAUUCAUGACACUCAUCACUAAAGAUGAAAGGUGCGUCCUUAGCUAGGAGAUUAGUUAGGGGUCUAGCAAUUUGAGAGAAAUUCUUGAUAAAGCGUCUAUAGAACCCUCCAUGUCCCAAAAAGCUACGGAUUCCUUUCACAUUCGUGGGAGGUGGAAGUUUUUCAAUAACUUCAAUCUUUGCUUUGUCCACCUCUAUACCACGUUCGGACACUUUAUGUCCUAGCACUAUUCCUUCCUGAACCAUAAAAUGGCAUUUCUCCCAGUUCAAGAUUAAGUGUUUUUCUUCACAUCGCUGCAAGACUCUAUCUAAAUUCUCCAAACAAUGAUCGAAGUUUUUUCCAUAGACGGUAAAAUCAUCCAUGAAAACCUCCAUGAUCUUCUCAAUCAUGUCCGAGAAAAUAGACAUCAUGCACCGUUGGAAAGAAGCUGGAGCAUUGCACAAUCCGAACGACAUUCGUCGGUAUGAAUAAGUUCCAUAUGGGCAUGUAAAGGUAGUCUUUUCUUGGUCAUCUAGGUGGAUUGGGAUUUGGUGAUAUCUAGAAUAACCAUCAAGGAAACAAAAGAAAGAGUGGUUUGCAAGCCGUUCCAACAUUUCAUCAAUGAAGGGUAACGGAAAGUGAUCUUUCUUUGUAGCCUUGUUAAGUUUUCGAUAGUCAAUACACAUACGCCACCCAGUGACAAUUCAUUGAGGGAUGAGUUCAUUCUUCUCAUUCCUAACGACCGUCAUUCCUCCUUUCUUUGGCACUACUUGGACAGGGCUAACCCACUCACUAUGUGGCACAGGAUAAAUAAUCCCAGCACGAUAGAGUUUGAGGACCUCUUUCUUAACAACCUCUCGCAUAGCAUUGUUAAGUCUCCGUUGUGGUUCCCUUGAAGGUGUAGAAUUGGGAUCAAUAGGGAUACGAUGAGUGCAGAGAAUGGGACUAAUGCCCAUGAGAUCCUCGAGAGAGUAGCCAAAAGCUGAUCUAUGUCUUUCAAGAACAGUGACAAGUUGUUGUGUUUCAUAAUCGGAAAGCUUGUCACUGAUAAUUACUGGAGUUUUUGAGUUGUUGUGCAAGAAGACAUAUCUAAGGCCAGAAGGAAGAGGUUUUAACUCUAUCGAAGGAGGUGAAGGUUGUUCAUUUUUGUCUAGCUCAUCGGGUUCUACCAACUCUUCUUCUUCUUGAACAAAGUGUUCAUGAUUAAAGAAUGGUUGGGCCAUCUCCUCUUGAGUCACCAUUAAGACCUCCUCAAUAGGAUCUGGGUCAAGUUUGGGUUCCACUAUCGUGUUAAUUGAUCUAACAAGAGGAACAACAAUAGUGGAAUUCCCAACCUUGAAGUCUAAAUGACCUCGUUGUGGUUGUUCCUGUAGAAGUUUCAUGAUUGGUCUGCCAAUCAAGAGAGGAAUCUCCGGUAUGUUAAAAAUGUGAAAAUCUAGACAUAUUCCAGAGUCCUUAAUUCUAACAGGAACUGCCCUUAAUACCCCAUGGCUUUCUAGAAUUAAUCUAGAUGGACUUUGUAAAAGUUUUUGAGAUGGGGUUAUGGACUCGUUGGGAUAAAGAGUGUCCGCUAACUCCUUGGAAAUAACAUUUAUCCCAACAUAUGGAUUGUAGUGGACCUUCCUAACGGACCGUCUAAUUUGGCACAGAAGAAUGGUUGAAGGAGUGAUGAUCCGAGCUACCUCAGGAGACAGCUCUGCUUCUGUUAGCCAUUCAUAACUCAGAAUAGCCGAAAGGCUUUUGAUGUGUUCUAUGUCAACAGAUUCUACUCUUAGAACGGAUUGAGUGGUCCUUGCUAUAGGUCGUGUUUGGAUAGGAAAAUUUGAGGUGUUUCCAUAAUCUUCAAAAAGAUCUUCCUCGAAUUCAAAGGGAUGCUCUAAAGGUGGUGGUUCAUCAUCCUUUAGUUGGUUUUGCAUUCCCUUAUCAGGAGGUUUCUCUACAACCAAAUUAAUAGGUGGGUCAGGUGGAAUUUCUAACUCGGUUGCAAGUUCCUCAUCUUUUGGUUUAGGAUCAGGCUUGACUUCUUUUUCUUCUUCAGGAAACUCAUCAUAAAUGCCUGUGUAAGGGGUAUUUUCAAGGAUUCUCUCUAGGAUAGCUCUCCCCUCAUCUGUAAGUUUGUGUGUGAAUGAGCCUCCUGAAGCAAUGUCGAGGUGAAGAGCAGCUUCCUUGUUUAGACCACGAUAAAAGUGGUAGUACAGUACAUGGUCAGGCAGGGAAAGGUUUGGACCGGAAUUGGUAAGGCUUGUGAACCUAGCCCAAGCUGCUCCUAAAGUUUCCUUCUCUCUUUGUUUGAAUGUAAGAAUUUCGAUUCUAAGGUCAGCGAUUCGAAAGAGUGGGAAGAAAGCGAGACAAAAGUUGUCCCGAAGUUCGUCCCAAUUUCCAUUAACGCCUCCUACAGAAUGAGCAUACCACUUUUUUGCUCUUCCCAAAAGGGAGAACGGAAAUAAUUUCCAUUUAAGGGUUUCUUGUGUCAUGCCAGAAAUAGAUCGGCAAGAACACAACUGCUCGAAUUCUCUAAGGUGGGUGUAUGGAUCUUCAUCUACUUGCCCAGAGAAGGGUUGCUCCUGAAUCAUGGUUAUUAGAUCAGGGCCGAGGUCAUAGCCAUCUGUAAGAAUUGGAUGUGAUGAUGGUGGUGGCUCUAAUAACUCGCCCUUUGGAGCAAAGAAUUUAUAGAUAGGAGUGAAAUCCAUGUGGUGUGGUGAAAAUGGUAAGGUGAGUGUGGUAAAAAAGAAAGGAAAAAGGAUACACGGACGACUUGGUUCGAAACUAGCACAGCUACCGUUCCCCGGCAACGGCGCCAGAAAGCUUGUUGGGUAUUUUAAACGCAAACAGAAAAAUCCGCAAGCGCACGGAUACCGAUGUAGCCUUCACCCGGGAGUAUUCCAGAGUAUCGAUUUUCCACAGGGAACGUGAGUGUACUAAUUAAGAUCCAAGAUCGCCCAAGGAUAACUAUAUAAUUAUUUUUGGUGGGAAGAGAGGAAGUUUCCUGAGAGUUCUCUAGUUGAUCUAAGAAUCAAGAAUUACUUCAAGAUUAUCUAUAUCGGGACAUCAGAACACUAACCACAGAAAGAGAUGAGAAGGGGGCUAGGAAGGUCUGACUACGGUCCUACAAACACCGAUCCGAACGAGGUGGAAUACGUCGACCGUUAGGGCUGUCACUACCCUAGGGCUACCACAACAAUCCGCAGGAUUGGGUGCAAUUCCAGGUAAUUGCAAGACUAAACACAACGUCUAAUCUAUUAAUUACUACUCUAAUAUUGCAAAGAUUAGAGCACUUGCUGCAAGCGGGAAUCCAAUAAAUAACUUGAAUGUAAAUAAAAGUAAUUAAAGAACUCAGGAUUAUGAAUUGAAGAACCUGGAGAACGACGAAGAACGAACCAGUUGCUGCAAAAGUACAAUGUUGAGGAAGAUCCGACAGAUCCGGCUCCUCCUCCACUCUCCUCUUCUCUCUCCCUAUUUUCUAGAUUACAACUAGAACUAACUAGAACUAGAACUAGAGGAACUAGAACUAGAACUAGAUGAACUAGAACUAGAUCUAGAUGAACUAGAGGUAGAACUAGAAGAACUAGAGGGAUCCUCUCUACUUGGAUGAAGAAUUGAAACCCUAACUUUGAUUCUGUAGAAGAGGUAUGCCUCCAGGGGCUGGUGGGGGUCUGCUUAUAUAGUCCAGGAAGAGUAGCCCCCAAGAAAUCUAGGAAGAGUAGCUCCCAAGAAAUCUAGAAAGAGUAGCUCCCAAGGAAUUUCCACGUUAUUCUCCACCAUCCGAUCAAACCGACCUUAAUCGUGUGAUUUUCCUCGAUCCUUAGAGUCGGUGGAGCAUAAUCCCCGAGACUCGUGCUGAUUGGCCAGCAGAGGAGGGCGGGCGCCCAGGGGGGUAGGGCGGGCGCCCUGCUUCCGGGCCCGCUCGGCCUCCCGUUCGUUCCCGUGGCUUCUGGAGUCUUCUAGAUGGUAGAAAAUUGCGCGACACGUUAAUACCUCUAUGUAAACCCGACGUGUGGGCCUUUCCUCCAUAUUUCCUGAUAACCCCCUGCAGAAAUAGACAAACACCAAAACUCGUGGAAUUCUAUCAGAUAAAACCCUAAGUCUAGGUGUUGGUUGCAUUUGGAUCCUUUUUCAUGAUUAGUUGAUGGUUAAAUGUGAGCAUUAAGGACCGUCAACAAUCAUGCACACUGAGUCUGCCCCCCAGCCGAUCAUGAACGGAAGCUCUCCCCCUAAUCGGCCCCUUAAACCACCGACCAUCAUCGUUGUUGACGGUUCUUAAGUAUCAAUUUUAAUUAUCAAAUAAACAAGAGAAAGGACCAAUAUGCAACCAACACCUAGAAUUAGGGUUUGAUCUGACAGAAUUCCACGAGUUUUGUUGUUUAUCUGUUUCUACAGGGGGUUAUCAGGAAAUAAGGAAGAAAGGCCCACAUGUCGGGAUUACAUAGAGAUAUCAAUGCACCGCACGAUUUUCUACCAUCUAGAAGACUCCAGAAGCCACGGGAAGAAAACAGAGGCCGAAAGGGGCCAGGCCCAGGGCGCCCGCCCCCUGCUGGAUCCAGUUCGGGACUCUCUUCGCACGGGAUGUUCCACCGACCUAUUGGAUCGAGGAAAACAUAGUACCACCUCGCCUACCGACCUAAAAACGCAUAGAGGAGGAGGACUAUAUAAGGAGACCCCCCUGGCCCCUGGAGAAGACAUGAAGAAAUUAUCAUAGAGAUUGAGGGGUGCCCUCGAAGGAAAACCUCUUCUCUAAUUAAUAUUUCGUUUUAGGCUUAGCAACCAAUGUAAAGUAGAAAUAGAUCUUCUAGUUUCUACUAGAUUGAGAGAGAUAGAGUGGAGGUGUAGAUUGGAGGAAGCCCGGCCUGUCGGUGUCUACUCCAAGCUUGUACCUGCGGGAUCAAGUUCUCCUAACCCGAAGCUUGCUCCUAGGAUUCUUCAGUAUUUCGACUUCUAAAUUCUAGUAAGUUCUUGUUUUAUUGUUCUUAUGGUUUAUGAGUUUACUUUAAUCUCUUCGCGUAGAGUUUAGAGUAAUCGUUGCUAGCGUAAACGUGGUGUUUAGGCUGGGGUACUCAUAGAUAUUCCCUGACUAGCUGGACCGUGGUAGUAGUGAGGAACGUGACAAUUCCGAGUUACCUUUGCAGACCAUAUCUCGUUAGCAGGAAGGAUAGGGUUUAUAGGUGCGGGUUGAACAUCCUUUGUGGUGUCUAGAUUCCGUUAGCCUCCCCAAUAGAACAGUAAAUCAUCCUUACCAAGGUUAGAAGGAGACUACGGUUGCAGUCUUCUCUAUUUAUCACUCACAUCGAAAGACAUUCUUUGUGCCUAAAGGGUUAGUAGUAAUAGACCGGUUAGUCAGAUGCACUCUUUCUCCUAGUGGUAAAAAAAUAAAUACGAUACUCUAGAUAAUUUCCCGGGUGAAGUGCUCACCGAUAUCCGUGCGCUUGCGGAUCAAUUCCUUAUUGCGUUCCCAAAUAUCAACAAGCAUUUCUGGCGCCGUUGCCGGGGAGAAAGACGGUUGCUGAGAUAACCUUGAGUCUUACUACUAGCUUGUAUCUAUACUUUUAUCUUUUCUUAUCUUUUAUAUUCUUUAUUUAUUUUCUUUACUCUUACCUUAUGGAAAACCAAAAUUCUAAAUCAAUCCAUGAGUCUGCAAUCCCUUCAGUAACUGACCUUUUACCAUGGGAGUCAUCACAGCCUAUCCAAACAUCCCAGUAUAAGUUAAGUUCUAGGUUGAUUGCCAUGAUUCAAAACCUAUCUUUUUCGUUAAAGGAAGACGAAAACCCUUACCUUCAUAUUAGAGAUUUUGAGCAAACAUGUGAUUGUCUUCGCAUUGAAGGCAUUUCUGAUAAAACUUUACGUUGGAAGCUUUUUCCUUUUUCUUUAAGGGGAGAAGCUAGACAAUGGUACAGUCAGAAGGUAAGUCAACAACAAGGUGAAUGGGGAGUUUUACGAGCCAACUUUUGUCUGGAUUUCUAUUCCCUUGACCAUAUAGCCAACCUUAGACUCGAAGUCCUAUCUUUUAAACAAAAAGAUAAUGAAACUUUGGGAAAAUCCUGGAAACGUUUUUCUGAUCUUUUAGAAUCUGGUCCAAACAUUAAUCUUGAAGACCCUGUUCUUUUAUUUCACUUUUUUCGAGGUCUUCAGAAAAAUCACAAACAAAUGCUACACACAAUGUCUAGAGGUUCUUUCUUUCGCAUCCCUACUGAUGAAGCUAGAGUGAUCCUAAAUAGAAUCCUAGAAGCUAAGAUGGAUAAUACCCUUCAUGAUGAAACCUACGAAGCUGAAGUAGACACUCUGCCAAAUUCUUCAUCUACUUUAGCUAUCCCAAGUUCUGAGCCACAAGAGGAAGAAAUUCCACCACCGGACUUCAUGCUGGAUAUAGAAUCCGAUCUUUUUGCCGAUUUUGGAAAUAUUUCAAACUAUCAUUCUAUUGACAAACCCCAAAACAGCCAGUUUAGCAUUUAUUUGCCAAGUGAACAUCAAUUGAGAGAGCUUAUCUCAGUAAUGAGUAGCGAAUGGUUGGAGGAAUCAGAGCUUUCCUCUGAUGUGAUCCGUUUGGACACACCCUCUAUAACUAUACGCUGUGCUUAUAAUUCUGAUCGAUUUAAUGCUCUAUAUAAUCCUGUUGUGGGGAUCAACAUCAUGUCUGAAUCUUUUGCACUUAAACUAUUUAAAAAUCUUGCCUUAACCCCCUCAACAAAGGUCAUAAAGGAAUCUUCGGGACGAUUAGUCCCUAGUCUUGGAAUUAUUAAUGUCCUACCUCUUACGGUAGAAGGCUCCAUGGUUCAUUUGAACUUCUAUAUCUUUGAUACAUGGGACUUCGACCUGUUGAUAGGACAACCUUUUAGAUGACUCCUUUAUGAAGGUCAUACUGGAAAGCUACACAUUUCUUUUGGAAAAACUUUUAAAUUCUCAAUAACAAUUUCACACUCCUUAAACAAUAAGGCCGAAUCAUAUCUUUUGCCUGAUCCUAUGGAGGAGGUAAAGGCUGCAUCUCUAGAGCUUUUAGAGGAACCAGACUUAGAAGACGAAACUCCUUUCUUCAUAGAAGAAGAAGCCGAACCUUCUGAGCCUGAACCCUUAGAUGAGUUUGCAGAAGCACCUAGACCCCCCAUAGAGCUUAAAACUUUACCACCCGGUCUUAUAUAUGCUUUCCUAAACAAUAAUCCAGAGUUCCCUGUGAUCAUUAGCGAUAAACUCACUCAGGAUCAAACUCUGCGAUUAAUGACCAUUCUUGAGAAACAUCACUCAGUGUUCGGCUACUCACUCCAAGAUCUUAUAGGAAUCAGUCCUAUGAUUUGUACCCAUCGUAUUCCAACAGAUCCUUCUGUUUCACCCUCUCGAGAACCCCAACGUAGACUUAACAACACUAUGAGAGAGGUAGUUAAAAAGGAAAUUAUAAAGUUGCUGCAUGCAGGGAUUAUAUAUCCUGUGCCGCACAGUGAGUGGGUAAGCCCAGUGCAAGUUGUGCCUAAAAAGGGAGGCAUGACUGUUAUUAUGAAUGAAAAGAACGAGCUAAUUCCGCAACGCACCGUCACAGGAUGGCGGAUGUGCAUAGACUAUAGAAAACUAAACAAAGCCACGAGAAAAGAUCACUUUCCUUUACCUUUUAUAGAUGAGAUGCUAGAGCGGUUAGCAAACCAUUCGUUCUUCUGUUUCUUAGAUGGAUAUUCAGGGUAUCAUCAGAUCCCGAUCCUUCCCGAUGAUCAAAGCAAAACCACUUUUACAUGCCCAUAUGGAACUUAUGCUUACCGUAGAAUGUCUUUUGGGUUGUGUAAUGCACCAGCUUCUUUUCAAAGAUGCAUGAUGUCUAUAUUUUCUGAUAUGAUUGAAGAGAUUAUGGAAGUUUUCAUGGAUGAUUUCUGUUUAUGGAAAAACUUUUGAUAGUUGUCUUGAAAACUUAGACAAGGUUUUGCAAAGAUGUGAAGAAAAGCACUUAUUCCUUAAUUGGGAAAAAUGUCAUUUUAUGGUUAAGGAAGGAAUAGUGCUGGGACACCUAGUGUCUGAAAGAGGUAUUGAGGUAGACAAAGCUAAAAUUGAAGUAAUUGAACAACUACCUCCACCUGUGAAUAUAAAAGGAAUUCGAAGCUUUCUUGGCCAUGCUGGUUUUUAUCGUAGAUUCAUAAAAGAUUUUUCAUUUAUUGCUAGACCACUUACUCUUUUGCUAGCCAAGGAUGCUCCUUUUGAAUUUGAUGAUGCAUGUCUAACAUCUUUCAAUUUAUUAAAGAAAGCACUCAUCUCUGCACCAAUCAUUCAACCCCCUGAUUGGUCGUUGCCUUUUGAAAUUAUGUGUGAUGCUAGUGAUUAUGCUGUGGGGGCAGUUUUGGGACAAACUAAAAAUAAGAAGCAUCAUGCAAUUGCUUAUGCCAGUAAAACUUUGACAGGAGCUCAACUUAAUUAUGCAACCACUGAAAAAGAGCUUCUGGCUGUUGUCUUUGCCAUUGAUAAAUUUAGAUCUUAUUUAGUUCGAGCUAAAAUAAUUGUUUACACUGAUCAUGCUGCACUAAAAUAUUUGCUCACUAAAAAAGAUGCUAAACGUCGCCUGAUUAGAUGGAUCUUAUUACUCCAAGAAUUUGACUUAGAAAUAAAAGAUAAAAAGGGAGUAGAAAAUUCUGUUGCUGAUCACUUGUCUCGAAUGUAUUUUAAGAGUCCACAGGAAACCCCCAUCAAUGAUUCACUCCGGGACGACAUGCUCUACGGGAUUAACAGGUCUGACCCCUGGUAUGCAGAUAUUGUUAAUUUUAUGGUUUCAGGGUAUGUACCACCAGGAGCAAACAAGAAGAAGCUUAUUCAAGAAAGUCGUUCACAUAUAUGGGAUGAGCCAUACCUCUUCCGAGUAUGCUCUGAUGGCUUACUCAGGAGAUGUGUGACCACUAAGGAAGGAUGGAAGAUCAUCGACAGAUGUCAUUCAUCACCAUAUGGAGGUCACUAUGGAGCAUUCGGUACACAUUCAAAGAUCUGGCAGUGUGGAUUCUACUGGCCUACAAUGUAUGAAGAUACGAAGCAAUAUAUCAGAAGAUGUGGGCCAUGUCAAAGGCACGGAAACAUAAAUACAAGGGAUGCAAUGCCACUCACCAACAACCUUCAGAUUGAGCUCUUUGAUGUAUGGGGAAUAGACUAUAUGGGUCCAUUUCCUCCAUCAAAGAAGUGUGAGUACAUCUUGGUGGCAGUUGACUAUGUCUCCAAGUGGGUAGCGGCAUUACCCUACAAGCAUGCCGACAACGUCAGUUCAAAGAGGAUGUUUGAAGAAAUUAUAUUUCCAAGAUUUGGAGUCCCCAGAGUAGUGAUAAGUGAUGGAGGAGCACACUUCAUCGACAAACGCUUCAAGCAAUAUCUAGCAAAACAUGGAAUCCGUCACAACGUCGCUACCCCUUAUCAUCCUCAGACAAGUGGCCAAGCAGAGACUUCCAACAAACAAAUCAAGAAUAUUCUUCAGAAGACAGUAAAUGAAAUGGGAACGGCAUAGAAAGACAAGUUACCCGAUGCACUCUGGGCAUAUCGGACAGCAUACAAGACCCCAAUCGGAAUGUCUCCAUACCAAUUGGUGUACGGGAAGACUUGCCAUCUACCUCUUGAACUAGAGUUCAAAGCACACUGGGCCAUAAAGAGAUGGAAUAUGGACCUAGAUGUUGCUGGAGAUUAUAGAAAAAUGCAACUAUCAGAAUUGGAAGAAUGGCGAGAGAAGGCAUAUCACAACUCAAAGAUUUACAAAGAAAGAGUCAAAAGGUGGCAUGACAAGAGAAUCAAGAAGAAGGAGUUCACACCCGGAGAUAAGGUAUUACUUUUUAAUUCCAGGGUGAAGCUUUUCGGGCAUGGAAAACUCCGGAGCAAAUGGGAAGGACCAUUCAAGGUAAUUAAUUCAUCAUCCCACGGAGCUAUUACACUUCAAAAUGACGAAGGUACGUUAUUCAAGGUAAAUGGUCAACAUCUUAAAUUAUUUUUAGAGCCUAAUAAAGAAUUAGAAGAAAUAGACGUAGUCCACUUUUACCUUCCCAUGGAGAAUUAGAGCCCGACCUUUUUAGUCUGAUGUUUUUGGGUCAUAUAUAUAUUUUUCUAAAUAAUUUCGCAUCUAGAAACGCGCUUGAGAAAGUAGGCCCACAGAGGGGCCAGAAAGAGGGCGGGCGCCCAGCUCAGGUGGGCGGGCGCCCAGCUCAGGUGGGCGGGCGCCCAGCUCCUGUUCCCCCUCGGUCCCGAUUUUCUCUGUUAUGGAAAAUGCACUUAUGGUAAUCCGAAUAAUCCCUCGGAUGGAAAGUUUCGUACGCACAUCGACGGGAGCAACCCGAACAACCCAUAGAGGCACUUUUUGACCCCUAUAUAAACAGACCCCUGACCUCAGUUUUCAAACACCAAGCCACCAAGCCUUCUCUCCUUCAAUUAGAGCUUGAUUAGUUCCUUGCUGCUCCAAUGGCCGAGAAGUACCACGAUGAUUGGGAAGUCGUCCCCUUCAACCUCAACAUGGAGCCUGUGCAAGACCCCGAUGCCCGUUCUAUCGUCCCGGCCAACACAGAGCGACAGCUAGAAGCCAUGCCAUUACGCCAACACAGCUCCACCCAAUCUUACCAUGCUCAACCAGUUCUCACCGCACCGCCACAACCCCUACUCCUCAAAGUAUCAUCAUCCAAGAUGAAGACCACCAUCAAGGUGCCAACCGGCACAAGGAUCCUUCCACCUAGACCCAAUGAGAGGGUCGUUGGAGUUAAGACCAACCGGAGCGGCGAGAUCAGCAGCGUACGCUACACUACGGAGGAGGAAAGGCCUUACUUUGAAGGGAUUAGAGCAGCCAAAGUCCGUUUCAUCCCUCCAAAGGCAUCCCCGAAGCACGCUCUCAAUGCUUUUGAGACACCUCCCAAGCGUCGCAAGACUAUAAUGGAUAUUGAUGAGGACGUUCGCAGACUAGACAGAGUUAUCAUAGACCUCCAGUCCUCUAUUAAUUCCCUCACUAGGAGCUCUCUAACCACAACACCAUUAUACUAGGCCUUAGGCAGGAUCUUGCCAAUGCCAACAAGAAGAUUAGGGAAUUAGAGCGCCGCUAAGUUAUCUAGAUUAAACCUUGAGGCAAUGCAUCUUAGUUAUCUAUCUUUAAAUUCGGUUUAGGUUUACUAUUAUUAUCAGUUUGCUACUAUCGUCAGUUUGCUACUAGUCUUUUAUAAUAAAUGCCUCAAGAUUAAUAAAGAGUAUUAUUAUUAUUAUAUCUUGUGUGUCUCUACUUUAUUUUUUGUGCAAGAAAGCAGAAAACAAGUAUGGGGGAGAUCCCUCGACAUGCUAAACACACUCCGACCACAUCACUCCACGAUUCAGGUACACACUCUGCACACUUUACUUUACACAUACAUAUAUUUUGGAUUAUGCAGAAUAUUGUUUCCGACAUGAUAAAUUAAAAAGAUUAAAAUAUUUCUAAUCAUGGUUAAUCUCAAUCUAUGAUAUUUCCUGAAAACUUGCAACUAUUAUAAAAUUAUUUUAAAACCCUGUGUUACUUAAGUCAAUAUGGAAUAUGUGAUGGUAGAGUAUGAGUUUCUUAUUCUUGAUAUCAUUGUUGCUUGGAGAAUUUAUUUCAAAAUAUUCAAAAUUCUAGCUACCAUCCUCAAUGUUUUAUAUGCCUGAUAAAACUGAAAAUAUUAAUUAUGAUUAUAAAAGCUAUCUACUCUGUAUUGAGUUUGUUCAAAAUGAGUUAGACCCUUGUUGAGAGAUUUAUCAUGCUCCUAAGAUCAAGACAUUUAUUCAGAAAGAUUCACUCUUCCGAAGUAUUAUUGCAUUAAAGGCAUGGGCUAUGCAAAAAUAGAGAUAUUUUGAGGAAAUAAAAAGGAGCAAGUGCUCGACAACCUCGCAGAAAAAAUGGACAAGUGUCCAGCAGUAGAAUUAGGGAUACCUCGGUAUCCACUUAAAAAAGAGAGAAAAUGAUAGCCCAUGGUCCCUCUAAAAUGCACUAUGCCAGCAAGAGUUGAUAAAGAUUUUAAUUUCCAAAGUCUUUGAUCUAAGAGUAUGACAUUCCCCUCCUCGGAUCCCGUUUUGAUUAGGCAAUAAAUGCAAAGUAAGUAUGCUUGAGAACUUUUGCAAAUUAAAACAGCCUCAGUGAAAUAUAUAAAAGAUAAUGAGUAAUCUGAGAAGAACCUAUGAGGAUAAAAAGGUAUGCUAACUUUCUUUCAAAAAAUAUACAAAAACUCCAAGUGACAGGAUUGAGAAGAAAGGAUCUUUACUCUUAACCAUAAACAUCCCUGACUAUAGUACACAGUGGAUUUUUAACACCCUGCAAUUAUAAAAAGAAUGUUUUAAAUGUUUACUCCAGAUAUUUUUCUUAACCAUCCUUUUCUCGAGGAUGAGUAAAAGCCUAAGUAUGGGGGUAUUUGUUGACAGUUCUUAAGUAUCAAUUUUAAUUAUCAAAUAAACAAGAGAAAGGACCAAUAUGCAACCAACACCUAGAAUUAGGGUUUGAUCUGACAGAAUUCCACGAGUUUUGUUGUUUAUCUGUUUCUGUAGGGGGUUAUCAGGAAAUAAGGAAGAAAGGCCCACAUGUCGGGAUUACAUAGAGAUAUCAAUGCACCGCACGAUUUUCUACCAUCAAGAAGACUCUAGAAGCCACGGGAAGAAAACAGAGGCCGAAAGGGGCCAGGCCCAGGGCGCCCGCCCUGGUGACCUGGGCGCCCGCCCCCUGCUGGAUCCAGUUCGGGACUCUCUUCGCACGGGAUGUUCCACCGACCUAUUGGAUCGAGGAAAACAUAGUACCACCUCGCCUACCGACCUAAAAACGCAUAGAGGAGGAGGACUAUAUAAGGAGACCCCCUGGCCCCUGGAGAAGACAUGAAGAAAUUAUCAUAGAGAUUGAGGGGUGCCCUCGAAGGAAAACCUCUUCUCUAAUUAAUAUUUCUUUUUAGGCUUAGCAACCAAUGUAAAGUAGAAAUAGAUCUUCUAGUUUCUACUAGAUUGAGAGAGAUAGAGUGGAGGUGUAGAUUGGAGGAAGCCCGGCCUGUCGGUGUCUACUCCAAGCUUGUACCUGCGGGAUCAAGUUCUCCUAACCCGAAGCUAGCUCCUAGGAUUCUUCAGUAUUUCGACUUCUAAAUUCUAGUAAGUUCUUGUUUUAUUGUUCUUAUGGUUUAUGAGUUUACUUUAAUCUCUUCGCGUAGAGUUUAGAGUAAUCAUUGCUGGCGUAAACGUGGUGUUUAGGCUGGGGUACUCAUAGAUAUUCCCUGACUAGCUGGACCGUGGUAGUAGUGAGGAACGUGACAAUUCCGAGUUACCUUUGUAGACCAUAUCUCGUUAGCAGGAAGGAUAGGGUUUAUAGGUGCGGGUUGAACAUCCUUUAUGGUGUCUACAUUCCGUUAGCCUCCCCAAUAGAACAGUAAAUCAUCCUUACCAAGGUUAGAAGGAGACUACGGUUGCAGUCUUCUCUAUUUAUCACUCACAUCGAAAGACAUUCUUUGUGCCUAAAGGGUUAGUAGUAAUAGACCGGUUAGUCAGAUGCACUCUUUCUCCUAGUGGUAAAAAAAUAAAUACGAUACUCUGGAUAAUUUCCCGGGUGAAGUGCUCACCGAUAUCCAUGCGCUUGCGGAUCAAUUCCUUAUUGCGUUCCCAAAUAUCAACAAUCGUGAUAGCGCCGAUCGGACCUGUCAUACCGGUCAUAACCAUUACAUUCAGGACAGUCCCUAACAGUGGGCAAUUUAAUGUUCUGCUCCCAGCAAUGGAUAAAGAACGGGCAGUUACAGUGAUCUUUGUGCCGAUUCCACUCUUGACGGCGUCUUCUUCUUCUCGACGAUGGUCUUCUUGCUGACGCCGAUACCGAUCCUCACGCUGCUGCCAAGUCUCCCGAGGCCUCCUAUGAGUUAUCACAAUACCAGAUCGGGGAGGCCUCCCUGAGCUAUUUCCUUCCUGAAUCAAGCCUUUUCCUUUAGCAUCGGUAGCAGUAAUUUGAUGCUGAGGAUCUACCGAUGCACUCCUUUCAGCUGCUUCCGAUGUCAAGACCUUGGUUUUUUCCUUAGCAUCCAACAUAUUUGUUGGGAAAGAAUGUUGAUCGAUCUUCAUCGGCUUCUGAGCUUUGGAACUAUCAAACUUGAUUCUCCCGGAUUCUAUAGCCGAUUGCAGCUGUUGCCUGAAAACCUUGCACUCAUUGGUGCCGUGAGAAGUCGCAUUGUGCCAUUUGCAAUAUUUCAUCUUCUUCAAUUCCUCAGCCGAUGGAAUUACAUGAUUGGGUGACAAUUUGAUCUGACCUUCCUGAAGUAGAAAGUCAAAUAUCCUAUCGGCUUUAGUAAUGUCGAACGCAAACUUCUCUGGCUCCUUAUGCCCAAAAGGGCAAGACAUCGGCUACUUAUUCUUCACCCACUUUGCCAAGCCGAUGACUGGCUCUUCGUCAGAAUCCGAGCUUGCUGCCUCAUCGACAAAUGACACAUUUUUAUUCCAAGCUCUCUUAGGUUCAAAGGGUUUGAUAUCCUGGUCGGAAAUCCUCUGGACCAAGUGACUCAGGCUCUCGAACUCUUGAGAAGCAUAUUUAUCUCUGAUGUGUGGCAACAAACCCUGGAAAGCCAAAUCGGCUAGCUGCCGAUCAUCUAAAACCAGACUAUAGCAUUUAUUCUUGACUUCCUGUAACCUCUGCACAAAACUUUCAACCGAUUCAUCAUUGCGUUGUUUCAAUCUAACCAAAUCAGUAAUCUUCUUCUCAUGGACUCCAGAAAAGAAGUAUUUGUGGAAUUGCUUCUCCAGGUCGGCCCAAGUAAUGACUGAGUUAGGAGGUAACGAAAUAAACCAGGUGAAAGCCGAUCCAGAUAAAGAUGAUGAAAACAGUCGAACCCUUAAUUCAUCCCUGUUAGCAGCUUUCCCACAUUGGAUGAUGAACCUGUUGACAUGCUCCAUGGUUGACGUAUCAUCCUGUCUAGAAAAUUUAGUGAAAUCUGGUACCUUGUACUGAUUUGUAAGUGGAAUCAAAUCGUAUGUAGGAGGAUACGGUGUCCGAUAAGAGUAAGUGUUGACUUUGGGUUUUAUCCCAAAUUGGUCUCUCAUUACUUCAGCAAUCUUAUCGGUCCAAUAAGCAUCGACAUCUUGCCGAUGAGGCGGUUGCGGAUCUGGCACCUGCUGAUACAAUUCCACGUGUCUAUGCGGCGCACGAUCUGCAUGGAACAUUGGGUUAAUCAUUUGACCACCAAUCUGCUGACCACCAAUCUGUUGUCCAAGAUUCAUCGGAUGGUUGACCAACCCUUGAUUCUGAAACCUAGGUUGGAUUUGACCUUGCUGAAACCCUGGAGCUUGAUGACUCUACUGAGGCAUAUGUGGGAAGACAAAUUGUCCAGGCCAUCCACUAUUGGAAUUCAUCGACAUAGGCCCUGCCGAUGACUGGUACUUGGGCAUCAUCAUUGAAUUGACGUACCCUGGCUGUGUCAUAAACCUCUGCUGCGUCGGCAUUGAGUCUGCCGAUGCGUUAGGCAUCUGGAACGUUGGAGCUUGAGAAUUCCCAGGGUAAGGUCUUGCAGUAGUAGUUGUAGUAUACUGGGGACUAUGAUUCAUCGGCAAAUUUGGAGGUGCCGAUGCCAUAGGAGCCUUGCCUCUCGUGUCAGUCGUCUGAGAUGUUCCAGGUGUCUUCAACAUCAUCUCUGGGGGCAUACCAUAAUCCCACCAGUUGGGAGGAACCGAUCCCGACAUUGCCGAUGCCAACAGAUCUGUGGCAAGCUUGAUUUGCUCAUAUGAAGUUGAUGGAUUGGUUGUCAUCGGCAUAGAUUGCACAUCGGUGAGUCCUAAUGUGCUUGGAGGAACAGUAGUUUCUGUGCCCGCAGCGGCUGCUAUAGCCGAUGGAGCUGUGACAACUGGUGACCCCGGCUGAUGAUGAGAAGGACCAACAUAAUUUGGUGGCAAUUGUCCUUCUUUGAAAGUUCUUGCCACGGCAUUGAAAACCGUAUUGGACAGCACACCAGCUUGAUUGAUCAAGGCACGGUUAACAGCACUAUCAACCAUGUCUUGAAGUUUACCAGGAUUGGCUUCAAAAGUAACCUACCGAGGCGUCGGCAGUGCUUCCUUCUGGAUCACCUCACCACUCUUGUUUAUGCUGAAGGAUUUCAAACAUUGCUGCUUGUAAUCCUCCAUGGCUUUCGCAAUAGCUUGCUUCUGCUCAUCUUUGAGAUUGGCUUCCGUCACGGGGAUGACGUUCUCCAAGUCAAACUCAGUAGUCGACAUGUUGAUCUUGAUCUUGAUUUUGUCCCACUGGGCGCGCCAAAAGAUGUGUUGAUGCAAAAGCUUAUCUGCAAACACAAAGGGCUAAUACUCGAUUUAAACGUUAAGGCGUGCCAGCCAAUUUGACCUUACUAUCGGCAAAGGUGAUAACUCGAAUACUUUGGUCCUGACAACAGUGAUGCGCCCGGAUGUCACGGCCAAGAGGUAUUCACGCGGAACUCGAGAAUACGCCGAGCUUAAGUCGACGAAGUCCUAAGAACUCAUAAUAAAAAGGAAAUAUGACGAAGUCGUCGAAAAAAAUAGAUGCUGGAAUAUGAGUAAAAACUUGUGUUUGAUUGAUUGAUAGAUAUCUCAUUACAAGGCCCUAUGGUCUACAUUUAUACCUUACUCAAAGAGCUACAAUUAGACACGACUAGGACUCGAAUUCCAAAUUAAACAGAAUCCGUAUACAAAACGAUUUUAAAUAACUAAGGAAAACAUAGAACCACCCCCUCGUAACCGACCGGGACACCGCCACAGAUCAAUCGGCAACCUCCACGCUUCCCUUCAGAGUCAUCAGCAGUCUUCCUGUUAUAGCCAUCAGCAAACACCAAUAUUGAUCAUUAGCAAGUACACGUCACCACCUCUAGACUUAGCCAUAUUCAAUCGUCUCUUCAUCGGCAACUAUCCUCAUCGGCAACUCUUCUGCGGGCUAGUUACCGUUGCUCUACCUGCCGAUCUAUACUCUACUAGUCUCUGGGUACGUGUCCAAAAACGGUGUCAACAGAGGUGAACUACCGAAGAUCGAUCUGAAGCCCGUCGUAUCACUCGACGGGCCAAAUCGUACGUGAUCUACGGCGAAAACGAAGAGCUAUAUCGACGAAGCCCGACAGGGAUCUUGCAGCGCUGCAUCACCAUAGAAGAAGGUUGAAAGCUCCUCAAGGACCUACACUCGGGGGCUUGCGGCCAACAUGCCGCUCCGAGAACCCUUGUAGGGAAUGCCUUUCGACAAGGUUUCUACUGGCCAACGGCCAUAGCUGACGCCAUAGAGCUCGUUCGCUCGUGCCAUGGGUGUCAAUUCUAUGCCAAGCAAACCCACCUCCCUGCUCACGCUCUCCAGAUGAUCCCCAUCACAUGGCCAUUCGUGGUGUGGGGUCUCGACCUCGUGGGCCCUCUAUAGAAAGCUGCGGGAGGAUACACCCAUUUGUUGGUAGCCAUCGACAAGUUCUCCAAAUGGAUCGAGGCUCGACCCAUCACAAACAUCCGCUCCGAACAGGCAGUCCUCUUCUUCACUGACAUAAUCCACCGGUUCGGGAUACCUAACGUCAUCAUCACCGACAAUGGUACCCAGUUCACUGGCAAAAAGUUCUUGGACUUCUGCGACCGGCAUCACAUCCGUGUGAACUGGUCUGCAGUAGCCCAUCCUCGAACCAACGGCCAGGUCGAGCAUGCCAACGGCAUGAUUUUGCAAGGUCUUAAACCAAGAAUCUAUAACCGGUUGAAGAAAUUUGGCAAAAAAUGGGUCGAAGAACUCUCCUCAGUCCUCUAGAGCUUAAGGACGAUGCCAAGUAGGGCCACAAAAUAUACCCCAUUCUUCAUGGUCUACGGCUCCGAGGCUGUGCUUCCAACAGACCUCGAGUAUGGGUCACCUCGACUCAAAGCCUACAACGAACAGACAAACAAGGAGACCCGAGAGAACGUGGUUGACCAGCUCGAGGAAGCUCGAGACACGGCCCUCCUCAACUCCGCAAGGUACCAGCAGAAGCUCCGACGCUAUCACGACAAGCACGUGCUCAAAAGGGAUCUAAACAUGGGCGACCUCGUCCUACGACGACGACAAAGCAACCAAGGAUGCCACAAGCUGACUCCACCCUAGGAAGGCCCAUACGUGGUGGCCGGGGUCUUGAAGCCGGGGACGUACAAGCUCGCAGACAAAAAAGGGGCGGUCUUCACCAACGCGUGGAACAUCGAACAGCUACGUCGCUUCUACCCUUAAAGCUUCGAGGCUUUACGUUUUCACACACAUUUUGUACCAAGGCCCUAUGAAUGAAUAUGUGAAUAAACGAGAAUAUUUUUUCAAGUAGUUUACGCUAUCACCUGUCAAAUCUCGACAUAAGGAGGAAGUCCCAAAUAUGACCCAUCAUAGUCGAUACUCCCUCGGGGGCUAGCAGGGGGACCCCCCAGGUUCCUAAAUAUCGAAUGACUUUUUCUUUUUUAAGCCCUAAGAAAACCUCGCAAGAUCAAGUAGCAAAGGCACCUCGAGCCCCUUAAGGGCCGAGAAACGUCGAGCCUGAGAACCCCUACGCCCCCGGGCUAUGGCAACUCUACUUACUUCCUCACCCUUGAGGCAAUCGAAGAUGCCUCAACGAAAGAUCGAACGAGAAUGCAAAAUUAGGCAGAAAAGGAAACAAAGGAAAUUCGAGCGUAAAAAUAAACAAACGCACAUGAAAAUCAUAAGUCUUAAGACCACUCAAGCCACAACGUUUACUUAAGACAAAUGAUAAAUAUUUUACAACGGGUCUAAAUACCCAGAAUAGGGUCGCAGGCCUCAGUCCACAUCUCUGUCCUCACCACCAUCUUCUGCGCCCAGGCUAGUCUCAAGAGGGAGUACCUCUGGCUCGAACAGCCUCGCCAACCUCUCGCCAGGGACCUCUACGUUAUCGAUCAAGGCAUGGAGCCUCUCCUCGUUCUCGACGUCGGUCUUGGAAAUAUCAGUGAUGAAGCCGUGGGACACCACCUCCAUGUCAUAGGAGAAGCCCGAGCAGACGACCGCCAUCGCUCGCUUCACCCCAGUAUGAAGGGCGUCCCACACUUGAUCCCUCAGCGUGGCACCUAAGUAGCACAGCUGGUCGACCAGCGCAUCGCCUCAGGCCACCUCCCUCGACUCAUCCACAGGCUUGAGCUCCUAGGAGGCCGAAAGGUCGCUUAUCGUAGUCCUUAGUCGACCGUUUAAAGCAACCUCCCCCUCGAGAUGAGCCUUGGUGGAACGGGCCUCGACCUGGGCGGCUAGGAGAUCAUCCUUAAGACCUACAAAAACCGACAUGAGAAAGUUAGGCAACGCAAGAGAAGCAUCUUACAAAAGAAACACGAAAGUAUGAAGAAACUUACCUCGGAUCCUUUCUUCGAGAGCCAUGUUCUCACCAACUAAAUCGGUGUUGGCCCUCUCGAUCUCCUUAUAAGAACGAGCCAGGUCAGUAUUGGCGGCCCGUAAGUCCUCGAUCAUCUCACCCGCUUGUAAGACGGCUCCCUCCUUCUCCAAUAGCAAUCUCUUCAGACGGUCAACGUCGUCAGAGAGGCCGCGAGAACGAACUCGCUCCGCCUCGAGGUCCUCACGGGCCUUCUUCCCAGCCUCCUCCACGGCGCUCCGAGCGAUCUCGCUCUUCACACACUCCUCCUUUAUCUCAUGGUAAGCCUCCCGAGCAGAGGCGAGGUCCGACUUAACAAGGCUCUUCUCUUUGUCGAGCUCAGCGGCCGCAUCUUUGUAAUGUGCGGCCUCUUCUCGGGCCUUGGACGCAGUCUCCUCAGCCAAGGCGGUCCGCUCCGUCAGCUGCGCGGCCUCUUCCUCCGCUUUCUCCGAGGCCUCCCAAGCCCUAGCCAGGGCAGUCUCCCUCUCCUUCUUCUCCUCCGCAGCUGCCAUGAUGUCCUUGUAUGCCUAGAGAAGCUUUUCCUAUGACUCGACGAGUUGAUCCUUGAGAAGAGGGAGCUGUUCCCAACCGCCUCUCGUCGCAUGAAUAAAACCCGACUUUAUGCGGGAGGUCUCCUUCACAUCCUGCAGCAAGUAGCCGAACGAUAAGGAUACAAGACUAGGUACCCAAAUGGCUAAGGACCAAAGAUACUUACAAAGAAAGCUCGCCCAAGCCCGUUGUUAACAAUAUCCGACAUCAGGCCCAUGACGUGCUUCAUCUAAAGCCGAAGCUCGUCGAGAUGCUCCCACUUUUCGGUCUCCUUUCGGUCAUCCAUCAUGAUGUUGGGCUCCUCUAGGCAGGUGGAGGCUCGAAGACGGACCCGACCGAGGCCCCAGUUCUCCAUCUCCUCCUUCGUGCGUGCCUUGACGCCUCGGAUAAGCUCUUGAACGGUCUCGAGCGAGCCUCCGUGGUGCAGGAAUAUGUUGAUGAGAGAAGGAAACCGCCCAUCAUCGUCCACUGACCCCCAGGUCCUGGUCUCAUGGGCGUCACCGCCGCCGGAAGUGCCGGCGUCGUCCCCCUCCUUGGCGCUGAGAUCCUCCCACGGCCGCCGAUCUCGGAGGAACCCCGGGGCGAUCCCAUCGAUACCGUACAGGGAGCCCUUGAUUUUGGAUUGGGGGUCCGCCGGCGUGCGCAUAGCACACGUGAUAGGCACGACGCCCUCCUCUCACCCAGGUUCGGCCGGGAUAGAAGCUAGCCCCCCCGGACGGAGCCACGCAGGGGUCGGCGGACCAUAGACCGACAGCCCCUCCUCCCCGGCCUCGGGUCCUUGCGGCAACGACAAUACUGGCUGGCACAGGCUUCACGGUGGCUGUUCGAGCAGCUCUUCCAGCUGCUGACUCCACUGCUGCUGCUGCCAUUGAAGCUCCAGCAGCUCUUGCUGCCGGCAUUGCUCCAUCUGCUCCUCGAGCUGCUCUUCCUACUGCCGCUGCUGCUACUUUUCUUUUUCUUCUUCUUCCCCUCCCUUACGCCCUUCCUCUUCUUUUUUCCUCCUCUCCUCGGAGGAGGUUGCGGCUGAGGAAUGGCCUGGCCCUGUGCGGGCGCAGGAAGGGUGCCGGCAUGAGAACAGCGUGGCGAGAACUCCUUUUGCUGACCGUCACGGGGACCACCAGACGCCCUCUUAGGAGCCCCCGUCCGCGGUAUGUUGACGUCGGCUUGCGGCGGGCCCUCGAGGAUCCUGUCAAGACGAGCCGCCAUCCCCUCGGAGUCAUCUCUAUCAUCGUCGCCCUCGUUGCCAUCGUCCUCGUCAGGGGAAUCUUCCUCGGACUCCCCCUUCUGCCUCGAUUUCGCGUGGCGUUUCUCGAGCGCUUGUUGCUCGAGGUUCUUUUUCUUUUCUUUUUUCUUUUCCAAGUCCUUUGCGGACUUUUGCUUCUCCGUGGAUUCGCGCCUCCUCUCACGGUCGAUGCCGUCCUCCUUUACCGGAGGCUUCGAGGACCGAGCGUCGAUCGGUCCCUGUGCAAGUAGGCGUGAGUCCCAAGGAGGAUCGAAAAGAUCGAAAAUUGAGUAACGGUAAUAGGAAGAACUUACCAGGUUGAUCGACCCCUCAUCAGGAUUCAUGGGGAAGCCGUUGACGUGCUCAGGCUAAAAAUCGCCGGCGACGGCCGCCCUGACCCUGGCAGCGACCUCCUCAUCUGCAGGCGCCUCAUUGGACAUCCGAGAUGCCUCGAGGUCACGAGACAAGACGUCAGGACCCAUCUCAUCCAUUCUCAGCGGCCGAGACAUCAACGGGAGUACCCGUCGAUGGUGGACAGCCGAGAGGACGAACGCGGCGAUCAGACCUUCCUCACGCAGCUUCUUGAGGGCAUCGAGGAUGGGGCGGAGCCGCGACUGAAGGGUCUUGACGACGCCAUAAUUCCAGUUGUCCGGACGCUACGAGAUCAAACACCUGGUGUAGUCAGGGAAGAGGUCGUCGUCGUUUCGAAGAUAGAACCACUGGGUGUCCCAUUGGGCGUGGUUCGACGUCAGCCCAACUGGGAUGUACUCCGGAGGUUCCACCGCCUUGCCUGUCUUCUGCACCAGGUUAAGGCAGCCGGCUCGCACUGGCUUCCUCACCCCUGUGGCUCCACCAGGGGCGUGGAAGAGUUCGCCCUGGUAUAGAUGGAGCCAAAGAUCCCAGUGCGGCAUCAUCCCCAAGUAGCCUUCACACACCGCGGCAAAAAUCACCACGGCGGUGAUGGCGUUAGGCAAAAAAUGCUGGAGCUCCACACCAUAGUGGUGGCAGAGCGCCCGCAUGAAGCGGCUUGGGGGAGAACCGAGGUCGUGAUGAUGAAAUUUGGCAAAGGAGACCACAUACCCCUUAGGCGGCCUCGGCUCGAGGUGGUCUGCCACCGACGUGAUCCACUCCGGCCGCGACGAGGAAACGCGGGGGCGCAGAAGUCCCUCCUUCUCGAGGUCCAGCAGGCGGCGGUCCGUCAUCGACGACGGGCGCCAGUCAUCGGCAGCGACGAACCUCACCGGCAUUUUGACGGAAGAAGAAAGGUGGCUCCGUUGCUAAGUGCUCGAGGACGCGCGCACGUAGGAUGACAAAGAAGAGCAAGGGCAAGAACUGUGGUGGAAGGCGGAAGGAGUAGCGGCUGAGAGACCCGACGAUAUUUAUAGACAUCCACCCCCCAACGGGCAGAUCCGGUGAAUACGGUAACCUCCCUAGUAAAUGCGCCGCCUAACGGUCCUGUUACUCUCACUAACAGGGCGCUACGACUUCCACAACGACACAAAUGCUGCAACGGCUCCUGCCUAAAAAGGUGCGCCCAACGGGCAAGAAAGUGAACUACCACGGCUUUUCCUUCUCCUGUAAGGUAAGAUACGCGCGCACCGCAAUAGCAAUCUCGAGGGAUCGCAGACCAGCCCGCCGGAUGGGUCCGACGGUUGCCCUCGAGUACCAGAGUCAGGGAUGCCCGACGAGGGGUCGAAAACGAGGCCUGCCUUGAAAGACUCGCUGGGGAUAUCCAAGGUAGGGGCAAGAAGGUCGAGAGGAAUCCCCAUGGAGGGAGGCAACGAGCCGCUGGACUCUAUCGAACGAGGCCAGUAACCCCGACCGCGCUAGCCCCGCUUUUAUGAGAACGCCUCCGGGCUGCAGCUAACCCCCUCGAAUGGGGCACGGGUUCUCACUUGGAUGACCAGAUAGGGACUCGUCCAGGGAUAAGUGACGAUCGCUCCACCGGGAGUACGUCACGACCCCAGCCUCGAAAAGGCAGAACCGACCGGCUAAGGCUCGAGACCCCUCUUCCAUAACAAACGACUUUCGAAGAAAGGGGAGGGCGAGAACAAUUCCAUUAGAAAAAACCAUAUAGCCCUCAAAGGAGUUAAAGACUCCUCCAAGGUCUCGGGGGCUACCCCCGCGGGGGUCGCUCGCGCGACCCCGUGGAAACCCGACCAACAGAAGAACCUCCACUCGAGCGCGAGCGCUCGAGCAGAGGCUCGGGGGCUACUGUCGAGGGUGUCAAUAAGGGGUAUCCCAACUAACGCUCAUAAUGAAGAGAUCCGUACAUAAGUCGAGGCCCUAACUCGACACCCCCGCUUACACACGCGAUCACCAAAGCUCGACACUAACCAUAGCCUCGAACACGGAAAUAGGGUCGUGCGAAUCAAUGGAGGCUCGACUAAACGACAACCGUCGAAUACGGAAGUGGCUCGAGCGAAUCAAUAGGCCUCAAGCGCAAAGGCGUCGUCCGCCGCCUGUCGCGGGUACGGGAGUCAGGGCAUUUAAUGCGCCUGCCAUGCUCUCACCUAACCCGACAGUCACGGGAAACGUGAUAGGGAGCGAGCACCUGUCCAAUCCCACUUUUCGCAGCUUUAUCCCCCAGAUGAGCAAGAGUACAGCCAAGCACGGUGAGACAGUCGGGAUGUCACAUCACGGCACCCCUUGAGGCACCCAAAGUCAGCGCACCGCUCAACAAAGCCCUGCGUAAUGCCAGACCCUCGAACGAGUACGUUCCUUCCUAGAGAAGAGUCGGGUGACGAAAGACAGCACCUCAACCACUCUGGAUGCGACUACUGCCGUGACGUACAAGCGUGCCCACGGUUAAACCAUCCAAAGUGACGCACAGGAGCCAAAUUCAGAAGCAUGCACAAUCAUCACCAAAGUACCCGGUAACAAGACGACUCGAAGCCACGCCGGUACGGAGGCCUCGAGUAGGUCAGCGCACCACGCUCCUAUCGGCCCUUAUUUUAUUACCUCUACCAUGUAACCUAGGUCUCCCCUUGGAACUAUAAAAGGGGAGGCCAGGGGAGAGUAUAAGAAGAACACUACACGUAGAACAACCAUCCAUACAUCACCAUUCUCAGCGACACUCGCCUGUAUUCACCCCUGUACAAGCACUUAGGUGCGAGAUAAUAGAAAAGCAUCCCCCCGCUGGACGUAGGGUCUUCUCUUGUCCGAACCAGGAUAAAUCUCUGUGUCUUUCUCGCAUCACCAUCUGGGAGAGGGAACACACAUACAAGUUUACUCGUUGGUGUGACCCCCCGGGGGUAAAACACCGACAGGCAUAAUAUUAAUUACAGGCCCCCCAUCGAUGAGUAUUUUAGAGACUAGCUGCCCAUCAACCUUGCCUUUAAAAAACAGAGCUUUGAGAUGUUGCCUUUCAUCAUCGGAUGGUUUCUCAAAUACAGCCAUCAUCGGGUCAAGCGCUAAUUGAGCUAUUUGAUCAGAGAGACUAAUCUCCUCAUCAUCACUGGAAGGCGCAAGAAAUUCCAUCAGCAACAUGAAUACCAUAUUGACAUCUGCCGAUGGACCUUUCCCCCUGCGGUCCGACUACUACCGAUCUUCAGAUUUAGAAGAAUUUUCUUCUCUAUGCAAAUCUUCUUGAUGUUCCUGUUGCAUUCUUCUCCUAUGCGUCCUUGUUAAACCCUCUGGACACCAUCGAGGAAGCUUUGUCUUCCAAACCGGUUGAUAGCAAACUUCUUUUGAUUCCACACGAUGGAUGUUAGGAUCUCUACAGAAUAUGAAUUCAUCGGGGACUCGUGCAUUUGCCAUUUCCUCUAGUUCUUCUUGAUUCCUUGGAAAGUAACCGAUCCGUCCACCAAAUCUUUCAUGCACAUUAAGCCUGCCCCCAGCCGAUCAUGAACUGAUGUUCUUCCUCUGACCGGCCCAUUGACACGUCGAUUAUCGAUCUGGAAUCUCUGAUUUGACCGAUCGUGCGGAGACGGGGAGGAUGGAUAUGUGGCAACAGCAUAGUAGCCGCUGGCGGGGAGGAUGGAUAUGUGGCAGCAGCAUAGCAGCCGCUGGCCAGACGCGUGGUGCUGUGGAGGCUGCUAUUGCUGUGCCGCUGGCCAAGACAGGAGCCGGCGGACGGGUGGGAUAAAGACCCGCCGGGAGAGUGGUGGGGGCAAGCAGGGAGGACGAGCAAGAAGGGCGUGACCACAACUAACCUCGACGGCGGAUCGACGGAUCAGUGCGGCCAAAAAGAGGAUAAUUUUUUGCUGUAGGUGUGUGGUGGCGUGGUGCUGAAGCUCCCGUGCGUCAUUGGAAUUUGUUUUUUUACGGGCCUUACCAGAACUAGCCCAAAUAAUCACCUGUUUAGAGAUAGUUUUUUUGGUGAGCUAGUUAAAAAAAAGCUUUAACACUCCUGUUUGACUACUCUAUUUGACUACUUUUGAGCUAGGGCCGUGUUUAGUUCGUGAAGGAAAAAAUAUCGUGAUACUGUAACAUUUUGUUUGUUUGUGAUUAUUGUUCAACCAUGGAGUAAGGGCACUCACAAUGCAGACUCUAUCAUAGAGUCUAAAGUUAUUUAUUACCUCGAACGAUGUGGACUUAGAGUCUAAAUAAGACUUGGAGUCUUAUUUUUUCUACAUCUUUCUUCAAUAAAUAUACUGUCACAUCAGCAAAAUACCAUAAAUAGUAUGUAAUUAAUUGUCUUAGACUCUGUAAUAGAGUCUUGCAUUGUGAGUGCCCUAACUAGACUUAAAGAUUCGUCUCGUAAAUUCUGACCAAACUAUACAAUUAGUUUUUAUUUUCGUCUAUAUUUAAUACUCUAUGCAUAUAUCUAAAGAUUCGACGUCAUGGAAAUCUUCAAAAAUUUUGAGACUAAAUUAGCACAAACUAACUCUACCGUGAUCCGGCCAUUCUCUCCUCCCUAAGAGGCGAAGCGGCGCCCCGGGUGAAUGCCGAUGGCCGCGGCUUCGCCGGAGAAGCUCCACUGCGGCGAGGUGGGGACCGGUGACGAAGAAAAGGAGGACGCGGAGAGGGCUGAUGCCGAGGUGAUAGCGCAGCAACUGUCGAAUCAAUCGCUGCGGGAGAAGGCACAGCGCCUCCAGGGCCUGCUCACCGAAGGCACGUCCGAACGCCUCCCUGACCGCGGUAGGAAGCUGCGCGCCACACUCGUUGCCAUCUACCGGGAGCAAGACCGCCGCCAGGCCCGAGGCGACAGGGCACGAGCGCCGGUGAGUCGCUCUUAUUCCUCCCUGUUUCUGUCUUCGUGGGCGGAGGUAUUAAGAGUAGAGGUUCUAUUUUAUGGGUGCUCCAAGCUGGUGUAGAAAACUUUGUGCGGGAUGAAUUGGGGGAGGAGGUGGAGAGUUGUGCUUCAGUUCAAGGUCCUAUUCAACGAAAUGCCUGCAAGCCGUUUGAAGUCUAAGCAGAAUUGACGCAAAGAUGCUAUGCAAUCUUGGACGUGCACAAAGAAUCUGAAAUCAAAAUUAGAGCUUGCUAGAGUAUUUGAUCAAUUUGUCUUACUGUCUGGUAAUGCCUAGCAUAUGUAGCUGAAAUUGUGCCCAGCAGAUGCUAUGGAUAAUUGUACAAUACAGUAAAGGUUUGGUAAGUAAAUUUGCGUGCCUGGUAAGCCUUGUUCUGGAAUUUUUUCUUGCAGGGCAAUGAAGCAUGUGAAAGGAGAGUCCGAUCGAGGUGUAUUGAAUCAUCGGGUACGUUACUGAUGCAAUGUCAUUUUAGCAACUUUCUAGACUUGGGAGUUUCAAAAUACCAACUUGUAGAAAUUCAUUGUUCAUAACAUGAUUACAUACUCUCAAAUAGUAAAAUGCACGGUUACAUACUUUCAUGUUUGCAUUUACGGAUAUUCAGUGUAUUAUCGAUAUUGAAUGAAUGAUGAUUAUCCUUUCUAUGCUUUUCACAUUCUACAGUUAAUGAUGUUGUUUAUUGCAGUUCCAGUGUUGUCUGUUUAUGUUAGUUUGGGGCUUUAUAAUUUUUUUCUCACUAUUUUAUUUGUAACUAUCACUCUACUCUAUUUUCUGUAACUUCUUUAGUGCAUCUUUUCAUGUGCAUUUCUUUCCUUAAUAUAAUAUAUGGCUUUCUUGUUCUUAACCCUUUAAAUAAAACAUAAACACUGUAGUUUCACAAAACUAACAUGGAAAAUGCAAUUCAAGUUUGCAUAGCUCAAAUGAAAUAAUAAAGUUUUCAUUGAGGGCUCUCUUGUACUUGAGGGACUUGUUUUUUUUUCUCGAAUACGCAGGAGAGCUGCAUAUCAUUGUAUUAGUAGAAGAAAAAGGAGUCCUACAUAGACCCAAACACACUCACACACAAACCACCAAAACUUCCCUGAUUUCUAAGGCUACCUCACAGAAACUGAGAGAAGAACGACCUAGUGGGCUAAGAGACUAAAGGCCCCUAGCAGUGAGCAAGGACAAACCCUUAGCUCCUGCCAAACACCACCAGUGGACGUCAUCCCUAGCUAAACUAAGGGCAGUGUUGAUGUUUGGAACAACCCCAUUGAAAACGCAGUCAUUCCGGUGUUUCCAGAUGUUCCAGGCGCCAAGGAUGACAAUGGAAUUUAAGCCCUUUCUCACAUCCCCGAAGGUAGCUGCCUCCACCUUUUCCCACCAGUCAUCCCAAACUGAAUCCUCAGGCUGAGGCGUGAGGGAAGACAGUCCAACUUGCUGCAAGAGAUAGAACCAGAAUUGCCUAGCAAAAACACACCCAAUUAGGAGGUGCUGAAUGCUUUCCUGUUCUUGAUAUUCAUCUUUUGGUUAAUUGACUAACUUUUCUCUUCAACGUUUGAUGUAACUGAAUAAUCCUGACAUUGUAAGAUUUUUUAUAUAGCUUUUCAAUGAUUGAAUCUAGAAGGUUAGAAAUUGUUAAAAUAACUGGGUUAAAGCAAAUGAAUACCGAAAGCUAUAUGAUAGCCGAAACUAUGUUGUAAAAGAAAAAAAAAAUAUGCGCUUUCAAUUACAACGAAUUCGUAUCUGUGAAGUUAGACAUUGACACUUUUGACUCACUGUUAUGGCCAUGUGACUAGAUCCAAUGAAGAUAAAUUAUCGCCAGUGUAUGGACCAAGUAUGAAAAAAAUCUGAAUGUUGUGUGUGCUUUUAUCUUUUCCACCACCCACAAAUCCAACUACUUGUUGAAGUGUGGAAGGUUGAAAAGCAGUAUACUGAUUGAGUUUUGAGCAGUUUGGAUAACAUUGUUUUUUGGGCUGACCAAGUUGUUUAUACCGUCUGUAUACCGUUUGCCCCUUUCUUUCUAUAUGCUUGUUUUUUCAUGCUUGAUUUCUUUGUUGUUCAGAUAUGCAUUUCCUAACUUCUUGUAGGUUUGCGUAGUGACCUCAGUAGAGUUGAAGUAUCAGUGGCUGAUUUCAUGUCUUCAUUUGGAGCGGAUAAAGAGGUGAAUAUCUUAUUGUGUCACUUAAAUAUAUUUCUUUUCCUGUGCAAAUGUUUAUGUUAUGUACAUUAGGCAGGCAUCAACAUAUCUAGUUUGGGAAUAAAAAGUUGGAGCCCAAACCAGCCUAGCACUUUGAUAGGAAACAAGGGGAAGUUAUGUGAAGAGAAAGACUCUUGUGAAGCCUCUUUACAACCAAUGAAUUCAGUUCAUGAAGAGUGGCAUCUGGACACCUCAGAGAACAUGGGGAAGACAUCUUCUGGUGAUGCCUCUAACAGCAAUGUCCACAAUAUAUUGUGGGAAGAGGUUCCCAGACCCUCUCGUAAAAGGUUGGUAUUCAUAUGCUCUUGUGUCAACUUUCUAACGAUGAACAUUUUUUUCUCAUUUUUUGAGUUUUGGAAUUUCAUUUAAUUAAGUAACAUUGCAUAGUAAAAAAAAUCUGCAUAUUCGCUUUAUUAUUGCAUGAUGAUAUUAUGAUAAGACAAGUUUUCAGGCUUCCCACCUGAUUGCUUAAAGAAGAUGCAAGAUGCACACUACCUUAUUUACACAUUUUCAGUAAGUAUAAAUAGGUCUGACUAGUGGAACCAAGAAACACGUUUUCAAAAUUAACUAGAAGUAAUCAAGGAAUAUAAUUGCUUUAGUUUUUUUUUUUUGCAUAUUUAGAUAAAUGAAAUAUAAAAUAUAUGUUCUGCAUCUAUACGAUUAAUUGUUAAUUGUAUUGCACAUAUGAAUAACCAAAGUUACAUUAAUUUGUAAUAUUUAGGGGUGUAAAUUUCAAUUGAACCCUUCUCAUCUCCUUUAGUUUCAGAUUAUUCAGAAGACUUUCCAUUUGACCAAGGAUGCUUGGUAGUGUGUUAUUUACCUUUUUUUAAUAAAACAAAAUACACACUGUAGGUCAUUGAAUGACAUAUAAUUGCUCUCCCAGCUUUUUCUUUUUCUAUCUUUUUUCUGUGAACUUGUUCCGCCAACCAAUUCAUUCAUUUUUCUGAACUAUUGUUGCAUUCAGUUUGGACUGUGGAUAGGUGCUUGACCAUGUGAAAAUAUUAAGUUUUAAGUUAAUUCUCAUUUAUGGAAAAUUAUUGGAGGGACCACUAUUCAAAAAAUAAUUUUAUUUUCCACCACGGUUCAUCAUUAACACUACAUAUGUACAGAAUGUCCUUUAGUCUCCUUAGCUGGCUUUGGAGAUCCUCAUGAAGCCAUCUCCUAAAAGUAAGAAGCCAAUUCCUAUUUUUUAUAGUAGCCAUUGACCAAAAUUGCUCUUUGUUAUCUCAAACAACCAUGGGAGCUUAUCCUUGAGGGAUACAUUGUCCACACCACUUAUCGUGCCACAAAGUAGUGUCUUUUCCAUUUCCCACUGACAUGGAUCUCCUACUUAGGUAAAUAUGUCUCACUUUCAGCAAAUCAUUGCACUCAGGUGAAUUGUUGCUUGCUUACCACCAUUCUUCAUAUAUUUCAUCUUCACAAUCUCCUGCUAAAUUCCACUCCCGUUUUCCUCAUUCCACCACCAUUUGCAGAGAAGAGUAAUGUUUAAUUUCCUCAGGUCCUUAAUUCCUAAGCUCCCUUUCUCUUUGGGUUUUGUUAUUUUGGCCCAUUUGACAAGAUGAUAUUUCUUUUCACCUUUCCCCCUUGCCAAAAAAAAACUUGGAAACAAUCUAAUAAGACUUCCAAAAUGCAAUUUUGAGAUACUUGUCAUUCUAGUUUUUUAAUAUGUACUUGUCUAGUUGAGAGUGUAGGAUGGCUGAGCUAGCCUUAGGUUGGCAAUCACAUAUGAUAAAUUGUGCUAAUCUAUCAUGUGCUGGAAAGGACAAUAGAAUAUGGGGACCAUGAUGAUAGCAUGUCUUGCUAUGCAGUUGUAUCUGCACUGAUUAAUGGAGAUGUUACAGUACAAUUAUUUCUACAUGACCACUUCUCAUGCGUGUCUAUAAGUGUAGAUUAGCUGCUGUAAUUUGUUUUUUAUCAUGUGGAUUUUGUUGUUGCAUGAGUAAUCUAACUGACUUUUAUUAGGAAAGGAGCUGAUCCAUUUAACUUUUCAAUGCGAUUGAGAUCAACAAAGGUCAGUAUGGACUUUUGACAUUCUUGCCAUCAUGAUUUUGUGCAUUGCUUGUUUUUUUACCACCAGAGACCAGACUGCUAUAAUUUUUUCUCAAAUAUGCAGGAGAACUGCAUAUCAUUGUAUUAAUAGUAGAGAAAUGAGUCAUACAGAGACCCAAACGCACACACAAACACAAACACCCAGACUGCUAUAUUUAUGUAGCAUUUAUGCUGGAUUGUUUAAUUUGAUUACUUUAAUUGGUAGAUCCUCAAGCAUUUUAGUUUUUGGACAUGGAAAAGGAAAGUUGUUUUGUUUGUGGGCUCAUCGAUAAUGUGGAAAUGAUUACUAGGCUACUAUAUUUUCGAACUGUGGGUAAUGAAAUACUGAUUCAUAGGUGUUCAUGUCACCUAUUAGCUUAUGGACCUAGACCCUUCAACUUUAAAGCACUGAGCAUUCUAUAUCAUCAAAGGCAUCAACCAUCAUGCAUGUUUCUUCUGUGGUGAUCUGUUUAAUUUGAUGGCCACUGGAAAGUAAGAAAUAUUGUUAUGCCUUUGCACUCAAAGCAAUAAACAUAGUGGUGACAUGUGAGAGCAAAUUUUGUGUUGCGAGCUUAGGCAGCAUUGGUGUUUAGUACUUUAAGUGUACAUUUGAUAUCACCUUUCUGUAUGAAUAAAUUUCAAGUUUGUUUGUGCUUGUUAAUAUGUUCUAUGAUCAUAUGUUUGUGUACAACUAUUAGUUUGGCCAUGAAAGUCUUUUAGUUAAAUGUAAUUGUUAGAGUAUUCUAGUAUCCUGUGCUAGUGUCCCUUUAAUCCCUAUGUCAUUUACUGCUAAUUACUCUGCUUUGCGCCAUCCUAUGUGGCUCAUGUAAACUGCCCCCUUGGGCCUCUAUAUAUUGUAACCCCUGUGUAAAACUCUAAUCAAUCUAUUCAAGCCUGUAGGCUAUUCUCCAAUAUGGUAUCAGUCGACUAAUCAGAUCCUGAGACCUCCUUUGCUUUCACUCUUUCCCUCGCGCCGCGCGCCCCUCCCACGCCACCAGCUGCUGCUGCUCCUCGCCGCCCCAACAUCAUCCCGUCACCACCACAGUUUGUCAAAGAUGCCCCUCCGAUCGGUGCUGUUCCCAUUCCACCGGUUGACAACAGUCAUGUCAUGAUGACUCGUGGGAAGACCAGAUACUCAUCCCUUCACCACCACGGUUUGUCAAAGAUGCCCCUCCGAUUGGUGCUGUUCCCAUUCCACCGGUUGACAACAGUCAUGGCAUGAUGACUCGUGGGAAGUCCGGAUACAUACAACCGCGCAUUCUCCACGCCGAGGCUCUGUCUCCAAUUCCCCGGUCUUGCCGUGAUGCCCUUGCUGAUCCUCACUGGCGUCGCGCCAUGGAAGAUGAAUAUGCCGCUCUCAUGGAGAACCAUACUCGGGAUCUUAUGCCUCGCCCUGCCAAGGCCAUCGUAGUCACCGACAAGAUCUUCAAGCAUAAAUUUCAUGCUGAUGGCUCUCUGGACAGAUACAAGGCUCAUUGGGUCCUUCGCGGCUUCACUCAACGACCUGGCAUUGACUACUAUGAAACUUUCAGUCCUGUUGUCAAACGUGCCACUGUCCGUACAGUCUUCACUCUAGCCCAUUCCCGGGAUUGGCUGAUUCAUCAACUCGACGUCAAGAAUUCAUUUCUUCAUGGGACUCUUUCAGAAACAAUGUAUUGCUCUCAGCCAAUGGGAUUUGCCAACUCCGCUCUUCCUCAACAUGUUUGCAGGCUCAACAAAUCCCUAUAUGGUUUGAAGCAAGCCCCCCGCAUAUGGUACAACCGUUUUGCAUCAUUUCUGCUCUCUCUAGGUUUCACUGAAGCAAGAUCAGACACUUCUCUUUUUAUUUACCAUUGCGGUACAGAGACUGUCUUUCUGCUGCUCUAUGUGGACGACAUUGUCCUCACUGCCUCUUCCCAGCAGCUCCUCCGCCGGGUUAUUGAUGCUAUGAUGAAAGAAUUUGCCAUGAAGGAUCUUGGCCAUAUUCACCACUUUCUCGGCAUGGCAGUCCAGCGGCAAGGUGAUUCCUUACUCUCUCCCAACGUCAGUAUGCCCUAGAUAUUCUGGCUCGCCAUGGCAUGAGCAACUGCAAACCCUGCUCCACCCCUGUUGAUACCUGUGCCAAAGUCUCUGCUAAUGCCGGCCCCCCUGUGGCUGAUCCGACAGACUACCGCAGCCUCGUGGGCGCCCUUCAGUACCUGACAUUCACCAGGCCCGACAUUGCUUAUGCCUGUAGAAGGGAAUAGAAUGGAGGGAAUCACCACACACCCAUUGUGGGUGGGGAGCCUUUUAUAUAUAUAGCCAAUAGGCAUGCAUGGAAGUUACAUACAUGGGAAGGUAUUCCCUGUACAAGGAAACAAUCCUAGGCUAUAAAUAGAAACAAUCCUAGGCUAUACAUGGCAGCUAGCCUAUCUAGGGGAUUGCCAAUCAAUCUCUAAUUGAUCUUGAUAUGUACACAUCCUAAUACCCGCCCGCAGUCGUAGCGGAAGCAUCACGGACGCAUAGACUGGUCCGAAAAUCAGUGAAGAGUUGGACGGGCAGACCCUUUGUCAUGAUGUCGGCGAACUGGUACUCAGAUGGGACAUGGAGAACACGGGACUGUCCUAGAGCUACCUUCUCGCGGACGAAGUGGAUGUCAAUCUCAAUGUGCUUCGUGUGGCGGUGGUGUACUGGGUUGGCAGCCAUGUAGACAGUGCUCACAUUGUCAUAGUAGACAACCGUCGCAAGCGGGAUGGAGAUGUGGAGCUCCUGCAGUAGCUGACAAAGCCAGCAGCACUCAGCAACAACAUGGGCCACUGCACGGUACUCCGCUUCGGCACUAGAGCGAGACACGGUCGUCUGACGCUUGGAAGACCAAGACACCAGGUUGUCGCCGAGGUAGACGUAGAAGCCGGAGGUGGAGCGGCGCGUGUCUGGGCAGCCAGCCCAGUCGGCGUCAGAGUAGGCUGUGAGCUGAUCGACAGCACCGGAGCCCAAAUGCAGACCUGCGGACAGAGAACCCUUGACGUAGCGCAGGAUGCGCUUGAUUAGCGCAAGGUGCUGUUCGCGAGGGUCAUGCAUGAAGAGGCAGACCUGCUGGACAACAAAGGCCAGGUCCGGCCUCGUCAGGGUGAGGUACUGAAGGGCACCAGUGAGGCUCCUGUACUCCGAGGGGUUGGCGACUGGAGCGCCCUCGGAGGCGGAGAGCUUGUUCCGGGCUUCCACCGGAGUAGCUGUCGGGUGGCAUUCAGACAUGCUAGCACGCUGGAGGAGGUCAACGGCGUACUGUCACUGAGAAAGGAACAAUCCACUGUUGUCCCGUGUCACCGAGAUGCUGAGGAAGUGGUGGAGGUCACCAAGGUCCGUCAUGGUGAACUCCGAGGAGAGGCUGGAGAUGACGUGUUGGAGAAGAGCUAGUGACGACGCGAUGAUGAUGAUGUCAUCGACGUAGAGAAGGAGAUAGGCCAUGUCGUUGCCAGCCUUGUAGACGAAUAGGGAGGCAUCCGAUUUUGAUGCGGUGAAGCCGAUGCUGCAGAUGAAGUUGGAAAAGCGCUGGUUCCAAGCUCGCGGUGCCUGCUUAAGCCCAUAUAAGGACUUCUGCAACAAGCAAACAGAGUUAGGUGCAGCGGGGUCGAUGAAGCCUUUUGGCUGCUCGCAGUAGACUGUCUCCUCGAGGUUGCCAUGGAGGAAGGCAUUCUUCACGUCGAGCUGGCGUAUGGGCCAAUCUCGAGACGUAGCAAUGCUGAGGACGGUGCGGAUCGUGGCCGGCUUGACGACCGGGCUGAACUUCUCAUUGUAGUCGACGCCGGCCUCCUGAGAGAAACCGCGAACAACCCAGCGCGCCUUGUGCCGGGCGAGGGAGCCGUUGGAGUUGAACUUCUGUUUGAACAGCCACUUGCCAGUGACGAUGUUCGCACCAGGUGGCUGAGGUACAAGGCGCCAAGUGCCGUUGUCGAUCAGCGCCUUGUACUCCUCUGCCAUCGCAGCGCGCCAAUUAGGAUCUCUCUGGCAGUGGCGUGGUCGUCCUCGUUGGUAGCGUCGCCGAGCCCUGUUUGGGUCGUGGCCGUCGGAUCUGAGACCAUGUUCCCCGUCCUGCAACAGUAAAACAGUGACUGCCAGGGUAUGGUUACAGUAGCGCGGGUUAACUCCUCCCAUUCCUCCCAUUGUCACACAACGCUUACAGUGACAGAGGUGAGGCGUUACAGUGAUGGGAGUUGGUGAAAUAGCGGGCGUCGCGCCCUGUCGUGGCGUGGGAAGCAUGGCUCACGUCGCGUCAGGGGUACGACCGCCGUGUGUGAGAAGCCUGGCGCCGAGGCCGAGGGGCUCGGUCGAGGCGUUGAUUGCGCUCGAGGCCAGGGGCACGGUCGAGGCGUCGAUUGCGUUCGAGGCCGGGGCUCGGGCGACGCGUUAAUUGCGCUCGAGGCCCGGGGCUCGGGCGAGGCGUUGAUUGCGCUCGAGGCCCGGGGCUCGGUCGAGGCGUUGAUUGUGCUAUGGCUCGGGGCUUGUCCCUGUUCUUUUUGCCGCUUUUUUCCCUUUUGGUUCGGGUAUCCCGGUUUAUGGUACCCAACAAUUCUGCUUUGCACCAUCCUAUGUGGCUCAUGUAAACUGGCCCCUUGGGCCUCUAUAUAUUGUAACCCCUGUGUAAAACUCUAAUCAAUCUAUUCAAGCCUGUAUGCUAUUCUCCAAUAGUAAUACCUGUCGUUGUGAAGCGCAUACCUAAAGUCUUGAAUUCAUCCUUAGUUGAAAGAAUUAAAAAAGACAAGUAGUUGACUGUAUCAUGAAUAUUCCUUGUAAUAUGCUACUUCCCAUAUAGCUACCCACAGAUACAUAUGGUGCACUGCAUGUACUUUUUCUCAAAUAUGUAGGAGAACUGCACACAAAUAUGUAGGAGAACUGCACAUCAUUAUAUUAAGAAGAAAAGGAGUCUAGAUGACUCUUACAACCCCUAAAGGGGCAAAUAAGUUACAAAAAGGGGCUUGUCAACAGAACCUUAAACACAACUAGUGACCAUGAGCGAACAAUCAUGCAUAUAUGCUAUGUAGCCCUUUGGCUCAUGACAUACGCAAUAACAGUGUCUCCUCGCUAAUAUCCUGCAAGAUAGUAACAUGAGUACUGUACGCACUGCAUCACACACAUGUGUUGUCAGAAAUUUUGCCUAUUCUCUUCAAUUUAUAAUGUAGCAUAUGGUGUACUGCACUCAUGUAUUACAUAUUUUUCAUGAACCUUUUAGAUGUUGGCAUGAACUGGAUUGCAAACACAAGAUUGAACUGCCAGAGGGCAGCUUGGCUAAGAGAGGCCGCUUGGAUUGUAUUGAAAUUGCAAAAUCAGAACCACACAAUACAAGGGUGAGGGGGCUGCUGCAUAUAUAGCCUAGAGGGCAGACAACACCCCAACAUAUCCCUGACAGACUCUAACAAACUAGAGAUGUUGUCUACCAGCAACUUGGUUCACAAGGCACCAUAUUCAACUUGGCUGCCAAGGAACCUAUUAGGUAAAUAAAACAAUUACAGCAAAGUAAAUUACAGCAAAGUAAAGAUAACUAGGCUAACACUAGGCUAACCCUGUCAAUUCUCCCCCUUAGCCUUGUGUGCCUUGGGGAUGAUCCGCCUCAAGCCAAUUCUUCCCCUCAUCUCCUGGAAUUUUGCCUUGCCCAGAGACUUGGUCAGAAUGUCAGCGAGCUGAUCAGUAGUAGACACAUGCUCAGCCUUGAAGGUUCCAUCUUCCAGGCAGCUUCUAAGGAAAUGAUACUUGAUCCUGAUGUGCUUGCUCUUCUCAUGGAAGACUGGAUUCUUGGCCAGAGCAAGUGCUGAUUUGCUGUCCAUCUUCAGUUCCACCACCUCGACACCUCUGCCAAGGAGCUCAGCCAGCAGCCGUGACAGCCACAGUGCUUGAGUAGCAGCAGUGGAACGCCUCCACUUCACCUUCUUCGGCGCCGGUGAUGAUCAGAUCGUCGACGUAGACGCCGACAAGCAGGACAUGCGCCCACCGCCCCGCCUGUACAUCGCCGCUUCGUGGGCGCUCUGCUGGAAGCCCAUGGCCUUCAAGGUGCCGUCCAGCUUUGCGUUCCAUGCGCGCGGAGCUUGCCGUAGGCCGUAGAGAGCCUUGUGCAGCCUGUAAACCUUCCCUUCUUCUCCGGCGACGGUGUAGCCUGGCGGCUGCUGCACAUACACCUCCUCCUUGAGGUCGCCAUUGAGGAAAGCGGACUUGACAUCCAUGUGAUGAACACGCCACCCUUCUUGAGCCGCCAGCGUGAGGAGGACCCGAACAGACUCCAUGCGUGCCACUGGAGCAAAUGCAUCGUCGAAGUCGAUUCCUUCUUGCUGGACGAAGCCGCGCGCCACGAGCCUGGCUUUGUGCUUGAUCACCGCGCCCAGCUCGUUCUUCUUGAGCUUGAACACCCACUUCAAAGAAAUGGGGCGAUGACCGGCAGGGAGAUUGACCAGCUCCCAGGUGGAGUUCUGUUCCACCGACGCAAGCUCCUGCUCCAUUGCCGCUCGCCAGGCAGGGUCUUCCUUGGCUUCGGCGUAGCUGGCCGGUUCUCCGGCGUGCGUCAGGUGGAGCUCGGCGAAGAGGCGCGGGGGAGGCUCUGGUGUAGGCGCGUCGCCCAAGAGGUUGCCCACCGUGCGGUAUCGCAGUGGCUCAUCAUCGUCGUGGAAGGCGUCGAGGCGGUCUUCAUCUUCUUCAAGCGGAGUGGCGAACUCCACGCGGCCACCGUCCUCAGCUGGACCUGAUGACGCCGCUGGUGUCGAGGCCCGACGAUGGUGGCGCAGGGGAAGCAGGGCGUGGUGGCGCCGUUGGUGAUGGCGACGGUGUCCGAGCAGAGGGCCCAAUUGGAGUUGGCUCUCUCUGCUCGAACUCCCCCGGAGCUUGACUUGCCGACGAGGAAUCUUCAGGAGCCCCUCCUUGAUCUCCCGGCGUCCAGAGCUCGACGGUGAACUCGCUCCCUGCCGCUGCUGAGCAUCCUGCGCCCGGAGUGGAUCAGUCCCAGCCGCGACCUUCAUCAAAAACCACGUCACGGCUUACCUUGACCCGCUGUGUGGCCGGAUCAAGGAUCCGGUAAGCCUUUGCCCCUUCCGCGUAGCCGAUGAAGACGCCCGGCUUGCCGCGGUCGUCGAGCUUGCGCAACAGGCCCAAAUCCUUGACGUAGGCGACGCAGCCGAAGACCUUGAGAUGGCUCACCGACGGCGUGCGCCCGUACCAGGCCUCGUACUGGGUCUUGCCCAGCAAGCUUUUGGUCAGCGAUCGGUUGAGCAGAUGUACCGCCGUCACGACCGCUUCUCCCCAGUACUUGGCCGGCAACCUCUUCUGCUUCAGCAGCGCACGGGCGGUGGCAACCACAGUCUGAUUGCGGCGCUCUACCACUCCGUUCUGCUGCGGCAAGUGAGGUGCACUGAAGUGGCGUCGAACACCUUCGCCGGCGCAGUAGUCCGCGAACUCGGCGACGGUGAACUCCUCGCCGUUGUCGGUGCGCAGAACCUUCAGCGCGUGUUCGCUCUCCUUCUCUGCUUCCGCCUUGAUCAUCUUCACAGCAUCUGCUGCAGCAUCCUUGGUGGAGAGGAGGGCGACCCACAUGAAGCGCGAAGCAUCAUCAACCAUCAGGAGGAAGUACCGGCGGCCGCCAGGAGUUGCUGGCGUCACCGGGCCGCACAGAUCCGCGUGGACGAGCUCUAGCGGGUCCUCGGUGCGGUACUAGGCCUUCUGUGGAAACGGCCGCCGGCGCUGCUUGGUGACGAGGCACGUAUCGCAGACCUGCUCUGCAUGCUUGAUGAGAGGCCGCGCGCCAUGGAGUGCUGGCCGAGCUGGUGCAGUGCCUCAAAGUUGAGGUGGCCGAACCGCUCGUGCCAAAGCCAGUCGGUGUCGUUCUUCCUUGCGGCGAGGCAGACCGGCUGCGUGGCGUCGAGGUGGAGGAUGUAGAGGCGGCUGGGUCCGCGGUUCACCUUGACCAGAAGACGCCCGCGUGGAUCCCAGAUGCGCAGCAUGCCAUGGUUGAUCUCCACCUUGGACCCUCCUUCAUCAAGCUGGUCCAGGCUCAUGAUGGAGUUGCGCAGCGCCGGGAUGAAGUAGACGCCCUGCAGCACGCGAUGCUCUCCGUUCUUCGCCUGGAACAUGAUGGAGCCGACGCCUUGAAUCUCCACCCUUGACGCGUCGCCGAACCGCACCGUACCGCGCACCGAUGUGUCGAGGUCGGAGAACAGCUCGCGACAUCCGGUCAUGUGGUGGGUGGCGCCGCUGUCAAGGUACCAGCCGUUGAGCAUAUCCUCGCCGCCGUUGUUGAGGAACGCGCGUGCUCUGGGCUCGCUGAUGUCGACGUCGGCCUUGGAGCAGAAGCCGCGGUCCGCGUCCAGCUCGAUGAAGCCGUGGGCGAGGAAGAGGGCCGCCUCGCCGUCAUCGGCCUGCGCGACGUGAGCUGCUCCGCCACGCUCGCGCCGAGGCUCGGGGCGCUCGCGCCGAGGCUCGGGGCAGUCCUUUGCCCAGUGACCGGGGCGACGACAGUUGAGGCAGAGGUCGUCGCGGUUGGCCUUGUGGUCGCCGCCAGCGCCUCCUGCCUUCGCACCUUGCCCGCCACCAUCACGUUCUCCUCCCUUGGCGGUCUUGCCCUUUUGCUUCCUUCCGCCACGCGGCCGUCGACGUGCUUCGCCGCUGGAGGAAGCAGAGCCGCCCGCGCCACCCGCGUCCUUCUUCUUCUUCUGGCGCACCAGCCACUGCUCCUCUGUGAGCAUAAGCUUGCCGCCGACGGACGCGGGCUCGUGCGCAGGAUCGUCGUCGAGGUCGUCCACCGUCUUCAACCUCCCGAUGACUUCCUCGAUGGUGAGGUCCUGGAAGUCGAGCAGGGUCUCGAUGGCGAUCUUGAGCUACGCGUACUUCCUGGGCGUAGCACGAAGAAGCUUCUCCACCGCUCGCUCCUUGUCCAUGUUCCUCUCGCCGUGGAGGAUCAUCUGCUGCUUCAGCGUGGCGAGGCGGAGGCCGAAGUCCUCGAUGUGCUCCCCUGGGUGGAAGGAGAGGUUCUCCCACUCCUUGCGUAGUCGUUGUAGCGUGGCGCGGCGGACGCGGUCGACGCCGAUGCGCGCUGCGGCGAUGGAGUCCCAGGCGUCCUUGGCGGUGAGCUUGUCCGCGAGCGACACCUGCAUCUCCUGCGGAACUCCCGCGAUGAUGGCCUCCAGCGCGCGCCGAUCGUCGUGGUACGGGAGAUCGCCAUACUCGACGGCGUCCCAGAGCUGGCGGGCCUGCAUCUUGAGUCGCAUGAGCGUGCUCCACUCAUGGUAGUUCGACUUCGUCAGCAUCGGCCAUGGAGUCCCCGCGCCGCCAUCCUUGUACACCGUCUGGACCACCGGAGAUCCGCGACGGCCUCCGCGUCCUCGACGGCGAGCGGGCGACGGAGAUUGAACCCGGCGAUGCCUCUCAGGGCUCCGCGACGGGCUCCCGCGGCGCGGAUCAGGGCUCCUCCGCCUGUACACGCGCGGCUCCCGGUCCACCUCCGCGCGGAGAGCCGCGGCCGUGGCGGCCGCCUCCUGAGCUGCUGCUGCUGCCUCCCGCGCCACCUGUGCUGCCUGCGCGGCUGCGGCCUCUGCCGCUGCCAAGCGCCUGGCGUGAUCACCUCCUGGGUUCACCACGGCGCCAACCUCUGGGUAGGCGCCCGCGGCGGCGGCGGCUGCAGCUUGUGCUACUCUGGCUCUCUGGCUUGAGGUAGACAUGGCCCCUAGGAUCUCUAAACCUCGCUCUGAUACCAAUUGUUGGCAUGAACUGGAUUGCAAACACAAGAUUGAACUGCCAGAGGGCAGCUUGGCCAAGAGAGGCCGCUUGGAUUGUAUUGAAAUUGCGAAAUCAGAACCACACAAUACAAGGGUGAGGGGGCUGCUGCAUAUAUAGCCUAGAGGGCAGACAGCACCCCAACAUAUCCCUGACAGACUCUAACAAACUAGAGAUGCUGUCCACCAGCAACUUGGUUCACAAGGCACCAUAUUCAACUUGGCUGCCAAGGAACCUAUUAGGUAAAUAAAACAAUUACAGCAAAGUAAAUUACAGCAAAGUAAAGAUAACUAGGCUAACACUAGGCUAACCCUGUCAUUAGAUGCACUGCAUAUUUUAAGUGUGGAAUCUGCUACAUUUGAAUGUGAACCCAUGUCAGGAACACAAAAAAGAAUGCUAUGAACAUCAAAUAAAUAGCUUCAUUAAGAUCCAGCAGCCAUCUGCACCAGAUACCGCUAGUGGAAAAUUGUAAACACCAGUCUACUUGAUUUAUAAGUCACUUAUCUCCCCAAACAAAGGGCUAUGUAUUACAAAAAUGAGAGAUGGAAAUACCAGCUUGGAAAUCAUUCCAACAAUGUUUAUAAGUAAUGCGCCAUAGCUGCCAGCUAAGCACUUGUGUAGAGCAUUUAUCCAGUGAUUUCAAAGAAAUAGGCAUCCCAGCCACAGGGCAAAAUUGGAUAAGGGUGGAAUUGGGUACCACUGCUGCAAUGCCCAUAUUAACCUUUGAAGCUGCUGGAUGUACUAUGUACAGGUGGCAAAGAUGCCAUUUAGACACAUCGCAAUGCUUGUGUAUUCGAUGGAGCGACUGCUAGCAUGUAAAGAGCUCUUAGUGUCACUAGUGAUGAACGGUGUCUUCGGGAGAUAGCAAGCGCAGGAAGCCUCUUUUCUUUGACUGGUCCGGCUCAUGAAGAGUAGUAGGUUGGCAUCUGGGUGUGUCAGUCACUUGUUUCAAUCCUAAAGGCGCGCUUGUAAUCACAAUGAAGGAGAAUAUAAAUGGUAUCAGAGCUAGAGGUCGAGUUCGAAUCCUGGUUAGCGCAAUUAAAUGAAAUAAUUGUUGCUCGCUCCUAUUCCACGUCCGAGGCCUGAGGGAGCCUCCAUGUGAGGGUGAGUGUUGGAAUAUAAGUGAAUUACCCCACCUCUCCUCAUCAACUUAAACUUUUGGGUUGAACUAGUUGGUGCAUACAACUCAAUACACAAAACAAUAGAGUGGUGUGUAGUGUGUGUGCGGGUGUUAGUGUUUAUGUUUGUUUGUGGUUUAGUUGACCCUUUUUUCUUCUUAAUAUAAUGAUACAUAGCUCUCCUGCGUCUUCGAGAAAAAAAAGAUGCCAUUUAGGAUGCUAAUGUCAUUUCAAUGGGAUUGCACAGGCUCCAUGCAGAAACUUCUUUUCCAGAUAAUAAAUCAGCAGUCUAAGAUGUAUUAGACUAGACUCAAUAAAACACAAACAUCCUUUUUGAACUGGAAAUCUGUGAUUAGUAUUUUUUGAUUCAUAGGAACCUGAACAUUUUGAAUGUUAUUAUCAGGAUCCUUAGGACUUACGAGUAUCAGUAGAGAGAAUAUUUUCUUGAAUCUUAUAUUUGCCACGGUUAAGAUGGAAUUUAAGCACAGUUUGGUUCUGCGUUUGUCCUGGGAUGGGACAGGGCAACCCCCGUUUCAUCGGUGUUUGGUUAGGACUUAGGAGGGGCUAGGGACAGAUUCAUCCCUGGAAAGGUAUAUCCUUUUCUAGAUGCGGGGCAGCUCGGUUCUCUCAAAUUGGGUGGACGAAGCCAUCCCUCACAGCCGGCGUGAUGCGCUAUCUCUGCGUGGCCAAGUGCGAGCACGGCUACCAGGAAGAGCCAAGUGGCAUGGCUAGCGACAGCGGGGGGAAGCAUCGUCAACUCGUGAGGUGCUGGCAUGGCCGAGCUCCGAGCUCGAGGCAAGCAGAGGAGAGGGGCGGAGAAGAUGCGGAGCACUUGGGCGAGCGCCAACGGGUGGGAGAAGCUCAAGGAUCGACGGCGAGGGAGCAGCGUGAAGCUCCAGCGCAUGGCAGAGCAGGCCCAACGACCUCCUCCAGCUGCGCAAGAUCUCCGCUGCGGUGACCUCCGGCCACUUGAGAUCUCUGACAGCAGUGCUAUAUUCUUUGCGGCGGUGUGAGAUCUCGGUGCAUGAUCUUGGGCAGGCCGAACAUCUCUGGCAGUGGUGCCUUCUCUGCACGAGAAUUGCAGUGGCCGGUGCUCACUUGAAAAGGAAGAAGACACUAAGAGUAGACUUAGAGAGAAUGACAGGUGGGACCCAUGGAUUACUAGCUAAUGGUGUUAAAACUCCAUCCAUCCCAUCCCACCUAAUCCUUCAUACCAAAAAAAAAAAAAAACUGGAAUGGACUUAUUCCUCCAAUCAAGCAUGAGCUGGGAUGAUCACAUCACAAAAAAUAGGGAUAGGAUCAUUGCCCCACUUUGUCCCUAAACCAAACACAACCUUAGUUUGAAGUUACAACCUGUGCUAUCCUAUAUGGUAAAAUGCUUUACUUCUAGUCCUCUACCCUUUUAUUGUUUUUGCUGGAGUGUUAUUGAAAUGAAUCCUAUGGUAUCUGUGACUGGAAGUAGAGAUCUUCACAUGUGAACUUUCAGGCACUGUUAGAUAAACACUUUUCUCGCUCUGUUAUUUAUUAGAUUACUCCCACAAAGUGUUCUCUCAUUUUUGUAUUGUGAUUCAGGAAGAGGUUGUUGUUUUGGAUGGAGAUACACCCCAUCUAGAAUCUGCUCAGGAAACAUCCAAUAAUAACUGGUAAAUGUUCAGAUACACUUAGUCAUUUUGCUUAUGUCAUAAUUAUCUUAAGUGUGAAUGUAUACAUCAUACUUCAUAGGCUAUUAACUAUGCAUACUUAGACGGCUGGUUCAUAUCUUCGCAUCUGAACUCUUCUUAUGUUUUGUGAUAGUAUCUUAAGUUAUUGCCUAAUGUUGGAACACCAUUUUUUCAGGGAUUCAGAGAAGCUAUACUAUCCUUCAAGGUUUGCAGUUAAUCUAGAGAAGCUAUACUAUCUUUGAUCUUCUUUUGACACACAGUUCAUCGCCAUUUUAUUUCUGCCUUAUUCACAGGGAACACCUUAGUUCUGUUGAGAUUUCUUCUGAUGACAUCAGAUGUCUCCAGCCUGAAUCAUUGCUGUCCUCACCUAUAAUGAACUUUUACAUCAUGUAAGCACUGUUCUCCUUUGCUUGCUAAAAACAUUGGUUUUUUUAAUGUUGUUGAGACUUGAGAAGUAAGACGGGCUUUACAAAUUCAGUUGCUCAUAUCGAAUUCAGCGAUGUAGUCAUGAGUUUAUACAUGUAGACUGGAUUUAGUUCACCUUUGGCGUAUGUAUCAACAUGGAACAUUCAAGACCUGGGUGUUUUGGAACUUCUUCUACCACAUUUUGAGAUAAUUUAAUCUGCUAGUAUUGAUGCCAAGCAUUUCUUGUGAGGCCUCUAAAGACCAGCUUAUGCUUUUACAUGAGUUGUGGGAUAGACUUACUUGUCUGGCCCCAAAUGUAGGUCGUUUUAGGAUUCUAAUUGGUCAAACUUCUUUACUUUGACCAUCAAUUUAUAAAGAGCAGCAUAGGUUGACAACAUAGAUUGCUCUUGGAAAAUACUUUCAUACUAUACAAUUUUCACUAUCUAAAACAUAUACUUUCAUAAAAAUUGCAAGCAAAGUGUCAUAUUGGAGACCAUAUUGUUGUCCUAAAUGACAUACAUUUGGAACCAGAUGUAGUUAGUUGAUUCUAGAAAGGGUAUCUAGCACAAGUUAGUAGCUCAUGUUACAAGUUUACUUUUGACACAGGAAAAUGGCUUGAUGCAUUGGCAGGCAGAACUCAAUACUUUUUUUUGCUGAACAUGUAGGAGAACUGCGUGUCAUUGCAUUAAAAAGAAGAUAGUUUGUUAUAUCUAGUUUGUUAGUUUACAUCUGCGCUGUUUUAUGUAUUGAAACUCCAACCCAGCCUAAGCAUCUAUCAUUUAACAGCUUCUAGCAGGUAGAACUCAAUAUAGAUUUGGAAAAGGGAAUUCAUGGAUAUUGUGCCACUAUUAUAAUAAAUGUAGCUCUGUCCAAUUAACAAAUCUGAUAUAAGCUUAUGAUACUGCAAAUUUUGAGGCAAAAUUAUCGUUCAUGAGCUAGCUGCUAGCCCAUCAUACAUUGAUACUUGUAUAUCAUGAUUUUACAAAUAUAAAUAUGAAUAUAAUUGCAAGUACGCGACUGUCAUACCUGGGUUGUCAUGUGACUUUUUUGCUUUCCAAAAUGGCCCAAUGUAGACUUUUCAAAAAAAAAGGGUCCAAUAUAAACUGACUGAUUUUGAGGCAUUGAGCUUUAUUACCCUCAUGUGGUAGUAAAUGAACAUUUCCAGAGGUGAUUUCGGGUGGUAAUUAUUUUUUUAUGAUGUUGAUUCUCUAGGGAGGGUUUACAUUUUUGUACUCUUAUAUUGCUUGGAAGUUUGUAGUUGCCUUUUCUGACCUAUUUCAUGAUAAUCAUAACUAGGCUUUCUUGUAGGUAUCUACAGGGACCAAUGCCAUCAAUUAUUAGACCAAUAGGCGAGUAUCACAUUUUUAACACAUACUUCUUUAGCAAACUUGAAACCAUAACAGCGAAGGUAACUUUUUUGUAUGGAACUUUUUACUUAAUGAUUUCCUUACUUUCUUGUUAAAGUUAAAAAUAUAUGUUCUGUCUCUUUUGCUUGACAGUGUAUUCUAGUACAUAUUCCACAUUCUAUGAGAAUGAACAUCUAAACCCAGAUGAUUCUCCAAGAUAAAUGGAUUUUAAUCCAGGAAUAGCAAACAUCACAACCAAGGGAUUUACUAAUGCACAGAAUUAGGGAACAUCUCACACCCAAUAUUGGGGGGUGGGGGGGGGUGGGGUGUGCGUGACUUCCACAUAUAUAGUCAAAGUACAACUUCGAGUACAAGUCACAUGAUAUACAUGUGUUAGACUAUACAUAUAUCUAUUGCCAGCCCGCAGUCACUGGCACAGCGGUAGGGAACUAGACGCAUAGACUGGACCUGAAGUCACUACAUGUAGUCCCUUAGUCAUGAUGUUUGCGAACCGAUGUGUGGAGGGGACAUGGAGCAUGCGGACUUGCCCCAAAGCAUCCUUCUCACGUGAUAGAUAUAUACAACAAGUGUAUAGAUAUAUAUAGCAAGUGUAUAUUAGGCAAGUCCACUGAUAGAAAAUGAUUUUCACUAACUGGGCUAACCCUAAACAGGGUAGCCAUAUAAUUCCAUACAUGGGCCUAGAUUACUCAUACUCCAAUAGCCCCCCGCAGUCUGAACUACCAGCGCAACGGAGUUGCAGACUGGAGUUGCAGCGGAGUAGGCGUGGCCGGCGGAGAGGAGACCACCGGUGGUGGCGGUGGCGACGGUGGAGGAGACACCACUGGUGGCGACCGAGGCAGGGGCGUCGCCGACAAAUGAGAGGCCACCCCCGAUGGCGGAGGAGGGACCGCCCGCGCCCGGCGCUGGUAGACGUGCACCGGCUGGGCGAAGCACGCCGGGGGCGCAACAGGCACCGGCUGGGUGCAGGGUGCCGGAGGAACGGACACCGGCGUCCCUGGGCCCGUGAUAGGUGUUGUGGCAAGAACCACUCGGAGGGGCGUGGCCACCGGACCCGUGUAAGGCACCGAGUCGGGGGCCGCACCGGCGGGCGGCGAGCCGGGACACGAUGCCGGCGAAGACCUCGGUGGAGCAGGACCUGCAGGAAAUAGUAAAGGUGGCUGGGCCACCGGGUCAGCGGGACACGACGAGAAGAAGUCGAGGUCAGGGGCGGAAGCCGGUGUGGUGGUGGUGGAGAAAGGGAAGACAGACUCAUCAAACACCACAUGGCGAGAGAUGAGGACCCGACGAGAGGUGAGAUCAUAGCACCGGUACCCCUUGUGGUCCGGGGAGUAUCCGACGAAGACACAUAGAGUCGAACGGGGUGCCAACUUGUGGGGAGCAGUGGCUGUGGUGUUAGGGUAGCAUGCACACCCGAAGACACGAAGGUGGUCGUACCGAGGAGGGAUGCCGAAGAGAGCAUGGUGAGGCGUGGGAGCUAGGCAGGCAACGGAAGGAAGGCGGUUAAGGAGAUAGGUGGAGCUGUGGAGGCUCUCGGGCUAGAAGCGCGUAGGGAGCGAUGCCUGAAGAAGGAGGGUGCACAUGGUCUCGGUGGUGGUGCGAAUCAUGCGCUCAGCCUUGCUGUUCCGAGGGGAGGUGUACGGGCAAGACAUGCGCAACUGGACACCGUAAGAUUGAAAGAAGGCAUGAGAGGCAGAGUUAUCGAACUCUCGACCAUUGUCGCACUGGACGGCCUUGAUGGUGAGGCCGAACUGUGUGGACACCCAAGCGAAGAAGUGGAGGAGCGUGGGAAAAGCAUCAGACUUGGCACGUAAAGGAAAGGUCCAAGAAUAAUGUGAAAAAUCAUCGACCACCAUAAGAAAGUAUUUGUAACAAGAGUUGCUGAAGACAGGAGAAGUCCAUAGGUCACAGUGAAUAAGAUCAAACAUACGAGUAGUAUGGGAGGAAGAAGGAGAAGGAAGACGAACAUGACGGCCCAGCUGACACGCAUGACACAAGUUCUCCUCGUGAGCUCGAGGGCACUGAAUGUUGGAACUACGACUCAGCUACGUCAAGGCAUCAUGACCAGGAUGGCCGAGACGACGGUGCCAAAUAGUGGAGGAAGGGGUGGUGGCAAAAGCAACUGACAAAGCAGGAGGCGAGGAAGAAGACGUAGUUGGAAAGCGAAGAGUGCUCUGCACUACUUCCACGGCACCCCUCGCGGUCGCUCCAUCACCGGCCGAUGUUGAGCAGCCGUGACACUGAGCUCAUUUGGAGGAGCUCACUGAGGACCCAACCAUCCUACAGCUUGGCUCGGUCCUAGCACCUGCUCCGGCUCAGCCUGCUCCGGCUGGCCCUCCGCCCCUACGGGUCUACACUCAGCGACUUGUUGCUCCUGCACAGGAGCGUGCUGGUGCUCCAACACCAAAUUCCGAGCCGCCAUCUCCACCAGUGCUUGAGCUUCCACAGCCGGCACCCGCUGUGGUGGGGCUCCGACCCCACCACCUUCCCCGCCGCCUACUACCUCUAGCCGAACAGUGACACGCCUCCAGACGGGCUCGCUGAAGCUUGUGGACAGAUAUGGCUUCCCACCGGCAGCUCAUGAUGUCACCACCUCCACCGCCUCGCAAGUUCCCCGUGACUACGGGGGGUCUUGCCAACCCCAGUGGCGCGCGGCUAUGGCUGACGAGUACAAGGCGCUCAUCGACAACAACACCUGGUGCCUCGUUCCCCGUCCGCUCGGUGCAAACGUGGUCACCGGCAAGUGGAUCUUCACGCAUAAGUUCCACUCUGAUGGCACCCUGGCUCGCCACAAGGCUCGCUGGGUCGUUCGUGGCUUCACCCAGCGCCACAGCGUCGACUACGACGAGACCUUCAACCCCGUCGUCAAGCCUUCUACCAUUCGGGGUGGCCUCAGCAUCACGGCCUCUCGACAGUGGCCUAUCUACCAGCUGGACGUGAAGAACGCCUUCACGGCCAUCUGAAUGAGACGGUCUACUGUCAGCAGGCCCCCGGCUUCGUCGACCCGCCACGCCCUGACGCUGUCUGCCUCAUUCAGUGUUCACUCGGGCUGGACAGUUUUAACACGAAAACCGUAAACCAAACCGAGCCGAACCGAACCGAACUGAAGUCUCGGUUUUUUCGGUUUUCGGUUCCUAAAUUUGUAAACUUCGGCGUACGGUGUCUGCUUCGGUUUUCAAACUCCAGCAACCGAACAACCGAAGGCACCAAAUUUAUCUCCUCUGUGCACUACUCACUUCCAUCCCUUCCUCCCACCUUGGCCCAUAUUGGCCCAACCCAACCUCGCAGUUGCAGCCCAUCUCACAAACACAUGAGCCUUAUCCGUAGGAGCUCUCAUCCCAGUCUAUCUUCGGACAACGUUCAUUUGUUCCGACAAAAACAACUACAGCGACGGCGCCGAUGCCAGGGGCAGGAUGCGGGGUUGUAGCAGUCGACGAGGCAUCCCAUGGGCGGCGCGCGCGAUGUAAGCGAGCCUGCGAGCGGUGGUGCGCGCAGGCGAGGCGAGGUCUUAGCGGCGGCGGCACGAGCGCGAGGCGAGGUCGGGGCUUCAACGGCACGAGCGCGAGGCGAGGUUAGGGUUUCGGCUGCGCGACCAUGAUCAUGAGGCAUGCUAUGCUAGUAGCGACUACGCGAGCAACGUAGUGAGCGAUGGACUCUGCGGAUUUGUUCUUCCCUGUUCUGGCGUUUUUCUUUGCCCUUUCGAUUUGUUCUUCGUUCUCAGUUCGGUUGGAUCGGUUAAACUGAAAAACCGAACCGAGUAGGCCGAAGCCGAACUCGUCGGUUUUUGAUUCUAUAGAACACCGAUCGGUUGCUGAUUUCUAGAAACCGAAGUUCAUAGCAACCGAACAAACCGAACCGACUGGUCGGUUAAAACCGAAUGCCCACUCUGAGUUCACACUAUAGCCUCAAGCAGGCCCCUUGGGCGUGGCACCAGCGCUUCACCACGUUCCUUUGACAGCUCGGCUUCGUGGCAUCUGCCACCGAUGCCUCCCUCUUCAUCUUCAUUGAGGGCAAUUCUACAGCCUACUUACUGCUGUAUGUCGACGACAUCGUCCUCACUGCUUCCUCAGAUGCUCUGCUUCGCCGACUCAUCGACCGACUUCAUUCUGAGUUUGCCAUGACAGACCUUGGGGAAAUACAUCACUUCCUGGGGAUAUCUGUCACUUGCUCCUCUGAUGGUAUCUUCCUCAGCCAGCGGCAGUAUGCUGUCGACCUUCAGAAGGCGGGCAUGGCUGAGUGUCACUCAACAUCAACACCUGUUGACUCUCGUGCCAAGCUCUCUGCCACGGAGGGUGCUCCCGUCGCCAACCCCGCCGCGUACCCGAGUCUUGCAGGCUCUCUUCAGUACUUGACGCUCACCUGCCCUGACCUGGCAUAUGCUGUGCAGCAAGCGUGCCUGUUCAUGCAUGACUCGCGUGAGCCUCACCUCGCGUUGAUCAAGCUCAUCCUUCAGUACGUGAAGAGCACACUAUCGGCUGGUCUUCAUAUUGGCAGUGGACCUGUUGACAAGCUGAUUGCAUACUCCGAUGCUAACUGCUGACAAGCUGAUUGCAUACUCUGAUGCUAACUGGGCAGGGUGCCCAGACUCCCGCCGCUCCACAUCAGGCUUCUGUGUCUUCCUCGGCGACAGUCUGGUGUCCUGGUCCUCCAAACGGCAAGCCACCGUCUCACGGUCCAGAGCGGAGGCCGAGUAUCGGGCUGUUGCUCAUGUGGUCGCAGAAUGUUGUUGGCUUCAACAACUCCUUCAGGAACUUCAUGUUCCUUUGCAGGUCGACAUAGUCGUUUACUGUGACAACAUCAACGCAGGUCGUACAUAAAGAAGCAAACCUACUGAAUGGUGUAGGUGAGGUCUGGUUGAGUCAGAGUGAGGUAUUGUAGAGCGUGUGCAAGUCUUUGGUACUGUAAGGGGCCUCGACAGGAGCACCGUCAAUCGCGGACAGCUUGUCCCGAGAGUUAGUGUACUAUCGUUGGGACAGGAGGCGGCUGUCAGAGGAGCAUGUGACGGAGAUGCCGAGUAAGUGGUGGAUAGCACCAUGGUUCAUCAUGGUGAACUCGGAGCUGAGCUGGUCGGUGAUGCGCCGCAGGAGGGUUAGGGAAGAUGCCAUCAAGACGAUGUCGGUGACGUAGAGCAGUAGGUAGGCGACAUCAUCUUCAUCUUUAUAAAUAAAGAGACGUGUCAGAUUUUGUCGUCAUGAAGCUGUGGUUGCAGAUGUACGAAGCAAACACUAGUGCCAUGCUUGACGAGCCUGCUUGAGACCGUACAAGGCCCGAAGGGUCAACAAAACCGGACGGCUACUGGUAGUAGACAGUCUCCACAAGGUUUGCCAUGAAGAAAGGCUUUAUUCAUGUUGAGCUAAUGAAUAGGCUAGUCCCAUGAUGAAUAGGCUAGUCCACGAUGUAGCAAUGCUAAGCAUGGCACAAAUGGUGGCUGACAUGACUACCGGGCUAAACUUUUGUCCAUGGCGAGGUCUUGGACGUUGAAGGCGAUGGAUCCAAGAAGUCAAUUGUGGAUGGAGGAAUCGUCCAUGACCGGACCCACUGGGGAUCAUUGGUGUUGGUCGGUACAGUUCUGUCAAUGUGGUUGCGAAGGCCAAACUUCCCCAGCAGGGACUUGAAGAAGGGCACCCACUUAUGGAAGUUGGGAUGUUUUAGCUUGAGGAUGAUAGGAACAUGAGAGCAUACAACAAUUGUUGUGUAGGUAGCGACAAUGAUUGGCGUGUUGGGGAGAUGGCUCAAGGCGCCGCUAGUGGCAGAGGAGGCCAUGGAGUUAGUGGACAUGGCAGGAAGACGCGGGAGAGGUGCGUGGGGCUCGUGGACACGUGUGUGCGGAGGAGAUCGCCCGCAGGGGAAGGAGAUCAUGCGCAGGAGUGUUGCGAGGUGGGUGUCUGCGUGGCCAUGGAGUCGGCAGCACGAGAGAAAAUAUAUGGUAGAGGAAGGAGCCGGAAGGGGAACCAGACUCUUGAUACCAUGCAGGGAACACCUCACACACAAUGUGAGAGGUAACUUUCAUAUAUACAGUCAAAGCAUAACUUGAAGUAUGAGGCACAUGAUAUACAUGUGUUGGACUGUACAUAUCUCUAAUAAUUAAUACCUAGGAAAGUCACACUUCUUUUUUUGGAGGGGUGCACAUUUAAAAUCUUGGUAAAUAAUUGGAGUGUCCCAGCCACAUUAUGGAAUUUUUUUUAUCAUUUACUCGGAAUAAUUCAUUUUUAACCUCAUAAUUAAUUCUGAAUUUGAUGCCUUUAUUAUCAUAUUUGGCAUGGUAUCCAUGUGUUAAUUUGUUGAUUUACUUGUUUUAUUUAUUAAUCUAAAGGAGGACAAGACCACUUAUUUUUUGAAGUUGAGAAGAUGGUGGAAGGGUGUAGAUAUAUUUCGAAAGGCAUAUAUAUUGAUGCCUGUGCAUGCAGAGUAAGUAAUUUUUUUUGAUGUUGCUGUGGGUUUGAGGUAUCUUUUGCUUACAUGGUCGAGAUCAGCAUUUCUUUUACUAGGUUGGCCAAUUACAAUUUUGAGAAGAGACUGUAAAAGUGGUUCUACUAUCAAAACCUGGAUGUGCCUUGUCCAGUGGUUUGGCACAGCAACCAUCCCUGCAUAUGACUGUCACGACUCACAAAAUAGUUUGUUUUGCAGUAAAUUGCAAAUUUAUUAAUAAGAACUGUAGAGAAACACCGCACACCCUAACCAAGGGGGAUGACCUUCAUUAUAUAGCCAAGAAGGCUUGCAGUACAUCUACAAGUUACAAUGUGGUACUAAUACAAGUCAGGCUAGGAGUACAAGGCUAAUGGGCCGUAAGCCCAAUAUGGGCUGUUAUAAUUAUAUUCUAACACCCUCCCUCAGUCUAAGCGGGAGUGUCACGAACACAAACACUGACCUAAAGUCAGUGAAUAACUGUACAGGUAACCCUUUGGUCAUAAUGUCCGCAAACUGAUGAGACGAUGGAACAUGGAGCACCCGAACCUGUCCCAAAGCAACCUUCUCACGGACGAAGUGAAUAUCUAUCUCAAUAUGCUUCGUGCGACGAUGAUGAACUGGAUUCUGGGCCAUGUUGGUAGCGCUGAUGUUGGGUAUUUUAAACGCAAACAGAAAAAUCCGCAAGCGCACGGAUACCGAUGUAGCCUUCACCCGGGAGUAUUCCAGAGUAUCGAUUUUUCACUGGGAACGUGAGUGUACUAAUUAAGAUCCAAGAUCGCCCAAGGAUAACUAUAUAAUUAUUUUUGGUGGGAAGAGAGGAAGUUUUUCCUGAGAGUUCUCUAGUUGAUCUAAGAAUCAAGAAUUACUUCAAAGAUUAUUUAUUUUUGGGAGAUCAGAACACUAACCACGGAAAGAGGUGAGAAGGGGGCUAGGAAGCUCUGACUACGGUCCUACAAACACCGAUCCGAACGAGGUGGAAUACGUCGACCGUUAGGGCUGUCACUACCCUAGGGCUACCACAACAAUCCGCAGGAUUGGGUGCAAUUCCAGGUAAUUGCAAGACUAAACACCACGUCUAAUCUAUUAAUUACUACUCUAGCGUUAUAAAGACUAGAGCACUUGAUGCAAGCGGGAAUCCAAUAAAUAACUUGAAUGUAAAUAAAAGUAAUUAAAGAACUCAGGAAUUAUGAAUUGAAGAACCUGGAGAACGAUGAAGAACGAACCAGUUGCUGCAAAAGUACAAUGUUGAGGAAGAUCCGACAGAUCCGGCUCCUCUUCCUCCGCUCUCCUCUUCUCUCUCCCUAUUUUCUAGAUUACAACUAGAACGAACUAGAACUAGAACUAGAGGAACUAGAACUAGAGGAACUAGAACUAGAACUAGAUGAACUAGAGGGAUCCUCUCUACUUGGAUGAAGAAUUGAAACCCUAACUUUGAUUCUGUAGAAGAGGUAUGAUCUCCAGGGGCCAGGGGGCCUUGCUUAUAUAGUCUUUUCAGAUGAAUCUGGGUCAUUGGAUCAAACCGACAUUAAUCGUACGGUUUUCCUUGAUUCUUUAGGUCGGUGGAGCGUGAUCCUCGAAUUGGACUCUGAUUGGGCAACAUAGGUGGGUGGGCGCCCUCAGGACUAGGGCGGGCGCCCUGUCUCUGAGUCCUCUCGGCUUCCGCUUUGUUCCCGUGGCUUCUGGAAUCUUCUAGAUGAUAGAAAAUUGCGCGGCAUGUUAAUAUCUCUAUGUAAACCCGACGUGUGGGCUUUUCUUCCGUAUUUCAUGAUAACACCCUGUAGAAAUAGACAAACACCAAAACUCGUGGAAUUCUAUCAGAUAAAACCCUAAGUCUGGGUGAUAGUUGCAUUUGGAUCCUUUUCCAUGAUUAGUUGAUGGUUAAAUGUGAGCAUUAAGUCAACAGCUGACAUUAUCACAGUAGACGAUUGUCGCCGAUGAGAUGGGUGCAUGGAGCUCCUGAAGUCUCAGUCACAGCAUGCGCAACAACACGAUACUCAGCCUCCGCACUCGAAGAAGAGACCGUAGUCUGUCGUUUGGAGGACCAGGAGACUAAGUUGUCGCCGAGGAAGACAUAAUAGCCUGAAGUGGAUCGCCGAGAGUCUGGACAACCAGCCCAAUCAGCAUCGGAGUAGGCGCACCCUCGGUCUCCUCCCCUAGUGCAAGUGCGGCGCUGGCUGCUGUCCGAGGAGGUCCGGUGGACCCUGAACAGCAAUCCGCAGUGCCGGACGUUGUAGUCCCCUUGGCGACUCCGCCCCCUGCAGGGAGUGCUUUGCGUUCAGAAGCCCGGGCUGCUUUUUUCAAUAACCUCGCUCGGCGAACGGAUGCCCUACUUCCGAUGCCGAUCAUCAACAAGCGAAGAUACAAGUCUGGGGUUACACUGCGUUGCAGUCGUCGGCUCGCCGGGGCUGAUGUGGAAUUCCCUCUGAAUGACUUUGAGUAGAAGAAUGAAGAAGGCAAUGCGGUCUCUGGAUAUCAUCCGCGAAAAUGAAGGUAUUGACCAACAGGUUCUGGAUGAUUAUGCAAAAUUAUUUGGUCAUCCAUUGUCAGAUUCACAACUCCAGGCGCUAGCUGCCUUGUUUACUUGGUCCUUGCCUGAUGACCUUAGCCAAGGGGAGGAUACUGAAAUGUUGGGUUAGCAGUCUGGUGCCUGAGUAGUCGUCCUUCAACUUGUGUUUAUGGAUCCUGAAAAAAUUUUGAUUUGAAAUGUUAGGGGACUGAACUCUAUCUCCAGGUAAGACUCUGUACGUUCUUUUGUGGAUUCUUCUCGGUCGGAUAUUGUUUGUAUUCAGGAAAUCAAGAUCACGGAUUUGUCGCGCAGAAUUAUACUGUCUGCAUUAGGCUCAGAUUUCUCAGACUUCACUUUCGCCCCCUCGAUUGGUGCUAGUGGAGGAAUCUUGAUUGCCUGGAGACGGCAUAUCGGAGUUUCUACUGCUCGGCGGGUUGAUAAUCCAGUAAACGGGCAGUCGUGGUGGUUGACUUGUGUUUAUGGGCCUCAAGGCAAUGAUGAAAAAAUUCAGUUUCUACAGGAGUUACGUGAUAUUCGUGCAGCUUGUCCGGGACCAUGGAUGGUGGCUGGAGAUUUUAAUCUAAUCUACAUGGAUGAAGACAAAAAUAAUGCCAAUUAUAAUAGAGCAAUGAUGGGUCGUUUUAGGAGGUUUAUCAAUGACUUGGCCCUUGAAGAGAUACCCCUUCAUGGUCGAAAAUACACAUGGUCAAAUCAGCAAAACUCUCCUACACUGGUGAGAUUGGAUAGAGUUUUGUGUUCUGUUGAUUGGGAGGAGAAAUUUCCAAACUGUUUACUUCAGAGUAUGGCUUCAGAGGAUUCUGAUCAUUGCCCGCUCCUACUUGGUCUCAACGACAGUAAACCUGGAAGACCCCGAUUCCAUUUUGAGCUGUCUCCUCAGCAUGGACUUCAAUCCCUGCUGCUCCAUGCCCUUUCUUACCUCUGAACAGAAAGUUUAGAGCCGUUUCCAAAGGGCUGCAGAGUUGGAGUGACAAGGCGGUGGGUCAAAUUAAGUCUCAGCUUGCUUUGGCAAGACAAAUCUUGCAUCAAUUUGAGAUUGCUCAAGACAACCGUCAGCUUUCCCCUAGAGAACUUUGGUUCAAGAACAAUCUGAAGAAGCAUAGCUUGGCCCUUGCUUCCCUGAAGCGCACAAUGGCUCGAUUACGCUCAAGGAUCAGUUGGCUCAAAGAUGGCGAUGCUAAUACAAGGCUAUUCCAUCUGCAUGCUAGACACCGAAAAAGAAAGAAUUUUAUUGGGAAGCUUAUCACAGGAGAGCGAAUUUGCACCAGCCAUGAGGAAAAAUCUGCGAUCAUUGAUGAUUUUUAUGAAGAUCUGUUGGGUACCUGUACAGUUAGGGAGCACACCAUUAAUUUGGCCAAUUUGGGAAUUGAUACACAUGAUAUGUCAGAUCUUGAUCUCCCCUUCACGGAAAAUGAGGUGUGGAGGACGAUCCAGCAGCUACCUUCAGAUAAGGCUCCCGGACCGGAUGGUUUCACAGGCUGUUUUUACAAGUCUUGCUGGCCUAUUAUAAAGGAUGACAUUAUGGUGGCAGUCUCAGCGGUCUGGAGUAGGAAGAUGGGGAAUUUUGGCACUCUCAACUCAGCAUAUAUCACCCUUCUCCCAAAAAUGGAGGGCGCGGAUCAACCUAAGGACUUCAGACCUAUAAGUUUGGUCCACAGCUUUGCCAAACUAAUCACAAAGCUGCUUGCUAAUCGGCUUGCCCCUAAGCUGCAACAAAUUGUCUCGCCUAAUCAAAGUGCCUUCAUCAAAGGCCGUUUUAUACAGGAUAACUUCAUGUUAGUGCAGCAGACAGCGAGAUACCUUCAUCAGCAGAAACAGCCCCGAAUUCUACUCAAGUUGGAUAUCUCGAAGGCAUUUGAUUCUGUGUCUUGGCCCUUUUUGCUGGAGAUCUUGCAGCAGCUUGGUUUUGGAUAGAUUUGGAGGGAUAUAAUCAGCGGACUGUUAUCCUCUUCAUCAACUCAAAUCUUGUUAAAUGGGGUCCCUGGUAAUCAUAUUUCUCAUCGACGAGGGCUGCGUCAAGGUGACCCUCUCUCACCAAUGUUAUUUAUCUUGGUUAUGGAUGUUUUGGGACACAUGAUUUCGAAGGCUGAAAAUGAAGGAUUGUUGCUGCCGCUGUGUAGGCGAAAUUUACAUCAUAGAAUAUCCAUUUAUGCGGAUGAUGUGGUUAUGUUCAUUCGUCCAGAGGCUGAUGACAUUGUUGUAAUUUUGGAUAUCCUCAAUUUGUUUGGUGAAGCAACAGGGCUGAUGUUAUGACCGGCGUCUCUUAUCAGAGGAAAAAGCCCAUUAGUGGCUAAUGAAGGAGCCGGCAGUAGACAGGGCUUAAGGCCCAAGUUAUUAUUAUUUCCUAGUUGAGAGAUAGUUGUUUCCUAAUAUAGGGAGAGGAGAGUUAUAUAUACUUGGCUGUAAAGACUUUUUGGAUUUCAAGCAAGAGCAAUCUAUUAUUGCUCGGCUUCCUGUAGGGAGCCGGGAGACCUAAUUGUGCCCUAACCGCCACCUCCCUUCCCUCAUCUCGCUCAGCCACGGCGCCCAGGCGCCGACCCCCUUCCCCUCCGGCAGUUCACCACUACAAUCUCAGGUCCCUCGCCGGUAGACCCCGGGGUUCUACCAAUCUGGUAUCAGAGACCUCAGGAUCGAUGUCUCAGCCGCCUGUCUUCCCCACGCAGCCGCCGGCUACCUCCCAGCCGCCGGUGCUGCCCACCACCACGCAGCAGCCGCAGAUCACAGCCACCACCACGCAGCCGCCAGCGCCUCCUUCCUCGACAUCAGGCUUGGUGCUCGCCGGCACGUCUGGGUCCCCAUCAGCACCACCAGCGCAGUCCCCCGUCAGGCCCCUAACGUUCGAGCAACUGACCAUGGCCGUCCUGGACUUGGGGCAGGCAGUGGCUGGGAUUUGCUCCUUCCUGGCGGGAUCCUAUGCGCCGCAGCCGCCCCAAUUCCCGCAUCCGCCGCUACUGUCGCCGCCAUACUCACAGCCGGCUGUCACCAACGCCUAUGCAUAUGGGAUGCCCUAUGAGGGAUCGUCCUCCUACCACCCGCCGGUGUCUGCCCCAGCGUCGCAGGGAGUCCCGAUCACUCAGCUCAGGUUUCCUGCGUCCCCCUCGCCGCUUCCGGCUUGGCUUCUAGACUCUUCGGCACCGCCCGUCUACACGCAGGCGACCACGGUCCAUGAACCGCUGCCUGCGUCAACAUCCAGCGUCAUGCAUGGUGGCGUCCCUGCACCGGACGUCCUCUACGGCAGUGUCGACGGGAGCCUCUUCCAUGGGGGUACGCUACUGCCGGCAUCAGCACCAGCAGGGGGCUCCCCUUACGCUGCUGCCCCUGCGCACGGGCCGCCCUUCGCCGCUGCACCAUCUGCUGCGGGGACAGCAGCCUACGCCGCCGCUCCGGAGCCUCCACCGCCGAAGUUCUACAAGCUGGAGUUCAUGACCUAUGAUGGCUCCGUCGAUCCCCUGAACUGGCUCAACCAUUGUGAGCAAUUCUUCAGGGGACAGCGCACCUUGGCGUCUGACCGCACCUGGCUCGCCUCCUACCACCUCAGGGGAGAAGCACAGACGUGGUACUACGCCCUGGAACAAGAUGAAGGCAUGCCGUCAUGGGAGCGUUUCCGUGACCUAUGUCGUCUUCGCUUUGGUCCGCCGCUGCGGGGUAGUCGCUUGGCCGAGCUGGGCCGGUUACCCUUUCUGUCUACUGUGCAGGAGUUUGCAGGCCGUUUCCAAGCAGUGGCCUGUCAUGCCCAAGGGGUGUCGCCCCGCCAGCGCGCCGAACUCUUCGUUGGGGGGCUGCCUGAACACCUUCGGGUGGACGUGGAGAUGCGCGACCCCCCGGACCUGCAGACAACAAUGUACUACGCUCGGGCCUUCGAGCGCCGGGCGGCUGCCAUGCAAGCGCUCCCUCCGGCGCGUGCUGCUCGGCCGCCUCCGCGCCCUGCAGGCCGCGCACCUGCAGCGCUGCCAGCACAGGACGGCCACGGGGCUGCUGCGGGCAAUGCAGCCCCGGCACGUCCUUUCCGCCGCCUCACACCAGCUGAGCAGGCGGAGCGUCGUCGCCAGGGCCUCUGCUACAACUGUGAUGAGCCUUAUGUGCCCGGGCACGUGUGCCAGCGGCUGUUCUACCUCGACGUCGACGACUAUGUAGUGGAGGACGCCGUACCGAUCGGCGACGCGGCAGCAGCUGCUGCACUGAGGGAGGAACCUGCCGCCCCGGAGCUACCUAACGCUAAUGCUUUUGUCGUCUCGCUCCAUGCUGUGGCAGGUAUCCGGACAGAGAACACCAUGCUGCUCCCUGUUUUGGUGAAAGGGGAGCGCCUGCUGGCCUUGCUGGACACAGGCUCCACCCAUAAUUUCCUCCGGGGCACGACAAUGCGCCGCCUCGGUCUCUCUCCGGCGGGAGGGGAGCAGCUCCGUGUCACUGUCGCCAACGGCGACCGGCUGCCCUGCGAGGGGAUUGCCCACGACGUCCCUAUCAGCAUCGCGGGCGAGGUCUUCUCCAUCACCUGCGUCGGUCUGGACCUUGGCAGUUUCGACCUUAUCCUUGGGGUGGACUACCUCAGGACGUUGGGUCCCAUCCUUUGGGACUUUGGGGCCAUGACGAUGGCCUUCUCGCGACAAGGCCGGCGCAUCCUGUGGAGGGGUGUAGGCGGCUCUGCUGGACCAGCACACACAGCUGCUGUCACCACCGACAUCCAGCAGCCGCUGCUGGACCGUCUUCUCCACCAGCACGCUGCCAUCUUCGAGGAGUCGCAAGGUCUGCCACCAGCCCGGCCGUACGACCACCGGAUUCACCUGCUGCCAGGCACGCCGCCGGUGGCGGUCCGGCCAUACCGCUAUCCCCAGCUGCAGAAGGACGAGCUGGAACGGCAGUGCGAAGCCAUGUUGACCCAGGGUAUCAUCCGGCCUAGCACUUCGCCGUUCUCCGCGCCGGUGCUCCUGGUCCGCAAGGCGGACAAGUCGUGGCGUUUCUGCAUCGACUACCGCGCCCUUAACGCCAAAACUUCCAAGGACAAGUUCCCCAUUCCGGUGGUGGACGAGCUGCUCGAUGAACUUCACGGAGCGCGCUUCUUCACCAAGCUCGACUUGCGUUCGGGCUAUCACCAGGUGCGCAUGCACCCUGAGGACGUGGCCAAGACGGCGUUCCGCACCCACCACGGCCACUACGAGUUUCUGGUGAUGCCGUUCGGUCUCUCCAACGCCCCCGCGACGUUCCAAGCAUUGAUGAACGACGUCCUGCGCCCAUACCUGCGCAGGUUUGUGUUGGUGUUUUUCGAUGACAUUUUGAUCUACAGUGCCACGUGGGCGGAGCACCUUCAGCACAUCGCCAUCGUCCUCAACGAGCUUCGGGCGCACCACCUCCACCUUAAGCGCUCGAAGUGCUCGUUCGGGGCGACGUCCGUGGCCUACCUGGGCCAUGUCAUCUCCGCCGCCGGCGUCGCCAUGGAUGCUGACAAGGUGGCGGCCGUGGCUGCUUGGCCGGCGCCUCGCUCUCCUCGGGGCCUCCGUGGUUUCCUCGGGCUGGCGGGAUACUACCGGAAGUUCAUCCGGGAAUUCGGCCUCAUCGCGGCGCCCCUCACACGCCUCCUGCGCCGCGACGCUUUCGCCUGGGAUGACGAUGCAGAGGGGGCCUUCCAGGCGCUCAAACGCGCCCUCACCACCGGGCCCGUGCUCCAGAUGUCCGACUUCGACAAGCUGUUCAUGGUGGACUGCGAUGCAUCCGGUGCGGGAUUCGGUGCCGUCCUACACCAAGGUGCCGGGCCCCUCGCUUUCUUCAGCCGACCGUUCGCCGCGCGCCACCUCAAGCUUGCGGCAUACGAACGGGAGCUUAUUGGACUGGUGCAGGCUGUCCGCCAUUGGCGCCCGUACUUGUGGGGGCGCCACUUCUUGAUCCGCACUGACCACUACAGCUUGAAGUUUCUCUUGGAUCAGCGCCUCUCCACCGUUCCGCAACAUCAGUGGAUCAGCAAGCUGUUUGGCUUCGACUUCACCGUGGAGUACCGCCCCGGCCGCCUUAAUACCGUGGCGGAUGCUCUUUCCCGCCGUGACGCCGAGUUGGACGGCCCACAGGAGGGCGGGGGCGCUGUGGUGAGCGCCCUCUCCGGGCCUUCCUUCGUGUUCAUCGCCGACAUCCGCCAAGCCACGACGGUUGCUGCUGAUGCGCUGCAGCUCCUGGAGCGCCUUGCUGCUGGUGAGCUGCAGGGCCCCUGGCGCCAUGAAGAUGGGCUGCUCCUGCACGGGCGCCGCAUCUUUGUUCCUGACCACGGUGAUUUGCGCCAUCAGGCCCUCCUACUGGCACACUCUGCUGGCCACGAGGGGGUACAAAAGACCCUUCACCGACUCCGGGCUGAGUUCUAUAUACCCGGUGACCGCUCCUUGGUGCAGGAUUGGGUGCGCUCAUGCAGCACUUGUCAACGUAACAAGACACAAGCCUUGCAGCCGGCAGGACUGCUACAGCCCCUCGACGUUCCGUCUCAGGUGUGGGCCGACAUCUCGAUUGACUUCAUCGAGGGGCUGCCCAAAGUGGGCGGCAAGUCCGUUAUCCUCACGGUGGUCGACCGUUUCUCCAAGUAUGCGCAUUUCAUUGCGCUCGGCCACCCCUACACGGCUGCCUCCGUCGCGCGCGCUUUCUUCGACGGCGUCGUCCGGCUACACGGGUUCCCUUCUUCCAUUGUCAGCGACAGGGACCCCGUGUUCACCGGCCAUGUUUGGCGCGAUCUCUUCAAGAUGGCGGGCGUAUCGCUGCGCAUGAGCACUGCGUUCCACCCGCAGACUGACGGCCAAUCUGAGGUGGUGAAUAAGGUGAUCGCCAUGUAUCUUCGUUGUGUCACUGGUGACAGACCUCGCGCGUGGGUGGACUGGUUGUCGUGGGCGGAGUACUGCUACAACACAUCCUUCCACACAGCCCUGCGCGCCACACCUUUCGAGGUGGUCUAUGGGCGUUCCCCACCGCCCAUGCUGCCGUACAGCCCGGGGACGGCCCGUACAGAUACUGCUGAUGCCCUUCUACGCAGCCGGGACGAGAUGCUGGCUGAGGUGCGCCAACGCUUGCUCCAGGCGCAGCAACUCUCCAAGAAGUACUACGACGCCGGCCACCGCGACGUUGAGUUCCAAGUCGGUGACUGGGUCUGGCUGAGGCUGCUGCACAGGACUACUCAGUCCCUGGACCCUCGUGCGCAGCGCAAGCUGGGGCCUCGUUAUGCUGGUCCCUUUCAGGUGCUGGAGCGCAUUGGGCAGGUUGCUUAUCGGCUACAGCUUCCGGAGAGCGCCCGCAUCCACGACGUCUUCCAUGUCGGGCUGCUCAAACCACAUCGUGGCGAUCCGCCGACUGCUCCUUCCACGCUGCCUCCAGUGGCUGAUGGUCGCGUCCUGCCGGAGCCGGAGACAGUGCUGCGUGCCCAGCUUCGCAGGGGCGAGUGGCGCGUGUUGAUCAAGUGGCGCGGGCUCUCCGCUGACGACGCCACAUGGGAGCUGCUUGAGGAGUUUCGCCAGCACUACCCCGACUUCCAGCUCGAGGACGAGCUGUUUGCGCAGGCGGAGAGAGAUGUUAUGACCGGCGUCUCUUAUCAGAGGAAAAAGCCCAUUAGUGGCUAAUGAAGGAGCCGGCAGUAGACAGGGCUUAAGGCCCAAGUUAUUAUUAUUUCCUAGUUGAGAGAUAGUUGUUUCCUAAUAUAGGGAGAGGAGAGUUAUAUAUACUUGGCUGUAAAGACUUUUUGGAUUUCAAGCAAGAGCAAUCUAUUAUUGCUCGGCUUCCUGUAGGGAGCCGGGAGACCUAAUUGUGCCCUAACCGCCACCUCCCUUCCCUCAUCUCGCUCAGCCACGGCGCCCAGGCGCCGACCCCCUUCCCCUCCGGCAGUUCACCACUACAAUCUCAGGUCCCUCGCCGGUAGACCCCGGGGUUCUACCAGCUGAAGACGAACUUACAGAAAAGCAAUGUGCUGCCUAUUAGAUGUAGUGACGCAGAGCUAGCAGUAGUGCAAAACCUGCUGCCCUGUGCACUCGCAGACUUCCCAUGCAAAUAUUUGGGACUGCUUCUAUCUUUAAAGAAGCUCACUAAGGAACAAAUUCAGCCUAUUAUUGACCGCAUUGCUGAUCAACUUUCUGGCUGGAAAGCAGAUUUGAUGACCAAGGCCGGAAGAAUGGUUCAAGUUCAGUAUGUGCUCACUGGUAUGCUCAUCUAUCUAGUUAUGGCAUUUGAUUUACCAUCUUGGGCUAUCAAAGCAGUAGAUAAAAUUCGACGUGGGUUUCUCUGGAGAGGCCGCAAAGAUGCGAAAGGAGGGCAUUGUCCUGUUGCUUGGGUUAAGGUUUGCCUUCCAAAAGAGCUAGGAGGUUUGGGGAUUUAUGACCUCAAAUCCCUUAGCUGGGCACUACGUAUGAGAUGGGUCUGGUUACAAAAAACAGAACCGCUUCGUCCUUGGGCUAAUCUCCCAAUUCAAGUACCUGAACAGGUUAGAGCCUUCUUCACAAUGGCUAUUUAUUCUGAAGUCGGGGAUGGAACCAAAACCCUUUUCUGGACAGACCGAUGGCUUCAUGGCCGAUGUAUCGCAGAUCUUGCGCCUCGUCUCUUUGCUGCCGUUUCUAAAAGGAGGUUGAAACAGCGAACUGUCCAGGACGCCCUCACCAACCAGACUUGGGUUUCUGACAUAAAAGGUGCUAGAACUGUUGGGGUAAUGGUUGACUACCUCCACCUGUGCGAUGUCAUGGCUGAUUUCCUUUUGCAUCCAGAUGUUGUGGAUAAACAUAUUUGGCGGUUUUCUUCAGAUGGACAGUAUUCGGCAAAAACUGCUUACAAGGGAUUUUUUGUGGGGUCUAUACCUUUUGAGCCAUGGGAAAGAAUUUGGAAGAGUUGGGCACCGUCCAAAUGUCAAUUUUUUGUCUGGCUGGUUGCUCACAACCGAUGUUGGACAGCGGAUCGCCUUGCACGCCGUGGGCUCACUCAUCCUGAGCGUUGCCCAUUAUGUGAUCACGCUGCAGAGACUAUUGAUCAUCUCUUAGUCCGUUGUGUCUUUGCAAGAGAGUUCUGGUUUCAGCUUUUUUCUCAGAUUGGACUCCGAGCCUACUCCCCACAGCCCACAGAUAUAUCUUUCCAUAACUGGUGGGAAAGAGUGAGCAAUGCUGCUGGUGAGAUAUUAAGGAAAGGAAUUAAUUCUCUCAUAAUCUUGGGAGCAUGGACCUUAUGGACACACCGGAACAAAUGUGUUUUUGAUGGUGCGGCUCCAAGUGUUGCUGGUGCACUUGCUGUAACUGAAGAUGAAAGAAGGUCGUGGUCUUUGGCCGGGGCUCGAGGGCUUUCCCUCUUGGCUACCUUCGCUUCGGGUGCUUAGUGCCCAGUGCCCUGUGUGUGCGUUGGGUCGGAUUCAGUCUCUCUGUCACAGGCGCGUUGUUAGCAGUAGUGUAGUGUUCUUGUGAGGUUAGAGCUAUGUGUGUGUGUGUGUGUUUGUGUGGAUUUUUUGUUAUUUUGUGUGUGUUGUAUGGGUUCUUGUCCCAUUUUUUAUCUUCUUAAUAUAAUGAUGCGCAGCUCUCCUGCGUUUUCUUGAAAAAAAAAAGGCUGGUGAUGCUGCCUGUGUCGAUGUGAAGGUGGAGUCGGGGGCACUACGGCUUGCUGCAGUGGGACCGAAGGCUCCUAAGGAGCCGCCUGGGGCGGCUGUGGAGCCGGCGGCGGAGCUAGACGACGACUGUAGUGGAUGCCGAACCGCUGGCGGGCAUGGGCAGGGGCGGCAACACCUGCUGGAGGAGGUACUGGAGCCGCAGCCUGCUGAGGAGCCAAGGUCAGCCGGUGAGCAGCGCCAUGCCACAUAAUGGCAGGGUCGAGUCCAACGGGGUCGCCAGCAUCGCCCGCGUCGUCUGUGCUAGACGAAGCAGGCACCACCGAGUAGUAACAAGAAAGGACAAGAGUUCGCAGCCGGCUAUAGAAUCUACCACAGUCUAUGCGAGGUAAGCCAAAGGGAUCCUUAGAGCAGUGACAUGCCAAUAUUCUAGGGGCAAUAUGGUCUUUUCACCACGUACUUUAAUUCAUGUGAUAGGUCCAAAUGGAAUUAUAUUUGGGAUGAGAGCUAGUAUAAUUUAUGAUUUUUUUCUCGAAUAUGCACGAGGGCUCCAUAUCAUUGCAUUAAGAGAAGAGUUAGGCAAAAAUAGUCAUACACAGCGUACACGCACACACGCCUACAACACUUGCCUGUGAUCACAGGCUAUACUCUUACAUUUGCACCAAAGAUAUGUUACGACCAGCUGGACCAACUCCCAACUACUGCACAAGGGGCCUAGUAGUGACCAUGGCACCAAGACCUUGUAUAAUUUAUGAUUGUUUAGGAAAAUGAUGCUCUUUGUUGAAUAAUGUGGUUUUUGUAAUGCUAAACCAAUAUUUACUGUGAUUUCGGUUACAGGAAGACUAAAUAAAGUAACAUAACACUUGCCUCUAGAUUAGUGGACUCAUUGUCAAUAAAUUAUUUGGCCUCUUUAUUAAUGUAUACAAUACAAUUCAUUUGAUUUUACAAAAAAAACAUUGUUGUUUACAACCUUCAUAAUUUAGAAAAAAAAACAUUUCUAAAAUUCCACUUGUGCAUGAUCUAAGCACUGUUCACUGAUUAUGUACCUGUACGAUAGUAACAUGUUACUUCUAAUAUUUUGUUAAAAAGGCUGAACUUUGUGCUCUUAUUGUUUCAAUUGGUUAGAACACAUUGGAGCCUCAUCAUAAUAUGCAUGCCAGCAAAAGAACAUCCAACAGGCCCCAUCAUACUUCAUUUGGAUUCACUGAAGUUUCAUAGUAGUAGAUGGAUAUUCAAUGUUGUUAGCAGGUAAGCAAUCUUGAAAGCUUUGUCCAGCUGUAUUUGAUUUUUUUUGUACUCAUAUUGCCAUUAUUUAUGAUGAUUUUAGCGGUGUUUUUGGAUUAUUAACUUCCAGUGUGUGGGCCCUAAGGCCAGUCUCAAUGGGAAUUUCAUGGCAGUUUCAUAGGCAUCAAAUAAGCUGAUGUGGCAUAGUUUAAUUGAAGAGGUAGAUGAAAAUGGUUGCAUGGGACGAAACGAGUUUCAUGGGAAUGAAACUUGUUUACACUAUUUCCAACAUCAGGAAGUCUUGGAAACAUAGCCAUGAAACUCCCACUAAUGCCCUAUUAUUUGUUGAUGCUUACCAAUGCCCUUGUCUAGGUGUGAAGACAUUCAUGAUAGUAUUUAUAUAUGUGGUAUUUUAUGUCAAGUAUAUUCAGGAAAGGCAUGUAGCGUUUUAUUUUCAUUCUAUUUGUAGCUCACAUAUUUUUUGCAGAUUUCUCAAAGAAGAAUGGAGCUACCUGAAUGUGAAUACUGCAUCGGAAGAAUGUCCCUUAAGAGAAACAGUGUGGAAGAAUCUUCCUCGUAAAGUCGAAAAGAAAAGAAUUGAGGUAAUCCCUUGUUCCCUUCGAAAUGCUUUCUUCUCAUGGGAAACUGGAUGGGAGGCCCCUUGAAAUGUACUACUGCAUGUGGCAGUCAUGUAGACAAUGCUCAUGAUGUCAUAGUAGACAACGGUCGCCAAAGAAACCGAGAUGUGUAGCUGUUGGAUGCCAUGAUGGUAGGAACAACAUGAUACUUCGCUUCAGCAGUGGAGCAGGAGCGUUUGGAAGACCAAGACACCAGAUUGUCGUCGAGGAAAACAAAUAAUCUGGAGGUGGAGCGCCGUGUGUCUAGGCCCAUCCGGUCAGCAUUAGAGUAGGCAGUGACGGAGUUGAUGGUUCCAACACCGAGGUGAGGGCCAACGGAGAGGGAGCCUUUCACAUACUGCAGAAUUUGCUUGAGGUGCUGCGCUCAAGGAUCAUGCAUGAAUAGGCAGACCUGCUAGACAGUGUAGGCCAUGUCGGGCUGCAUUAGGGUGAGGUACUGGAGAGCACCUGUGAGGCUUCUAUACUCUGAGGGGUCGACAACAGGGGCGCUGUUGCUGCCCGACAAUUUAGACAAAGCGUCCAUCAGUGUUGUUGUCGGGUGGCAGUCAGACAUGCCAACACGCUGGAAAGGUUGACAGCGUACUGGCUCUACGAUAGGAACAUACCGUGCAUCACUGAGAUGGUGAGGAAGCAGUGCAGGUUGUCGAGGUCUGUCAUGGUGAACUCUGAGUGGAGACUCAAAGUAGAUAUGGCACAGGGAAUAUUAGAUCGAUUCAAUGUGUACAAGAGGGUACAACAUAUAUAGGUAAGGAUCAAUAUGGAGUUCAUAGAACACACCAAAUCAACAGAGAUCCUUGCCUAAUCAGAGAGAUCAACAACCAUAAUACCCUGAGGCGUGGGUGCCAAGGCCCAUGGCCAGCCCUAUAGGUGCUAGCCUAGCACGCUCCUGCAGUUGGAUCGUCAGCCACUCUGCACAUUUAGGCUGGACCUAAACUCCGUGAACACGAAGAGGGAAGUCCCUUAGUGAAGAUGUUCCGCAUUCUGUGAAGAGGUUGGAACAUGCAGGACACGAAGAUCACCAGUAGCAACUCACUCUUGGAUGAAUUUAAGAUCGAUCUCAAUGUGUUUAGUGUGUUGAUGUUGAACCGGGUUGGAAGUCAUGUAGGCCGCACUAAUGUUGUCACAAUACAACUAUGUGACACGCUAGAGAGGAACAUGCAGCUCCAAGAGAAUUUGGCGCAGCCAGGUGGCCUUAGUAACUCCAUUGACCACCGCGCGAUACUCGUCUUCAGCACUAGAUCUUGACAGCGUGUUCUAGUGCUUGGAGGACUAAGAAAUCAGUUUGUCGCCAAGAAACACAUCAUAACCCGAGGUGGACUUGCGGGUGUCAAGCCCAAUCAGGUCAGUAUAGACAACAAGAUCAGUCGAAGUAGACGGUCGCAGCAGGAGACCAAGGUGGAGAGUGCCUCGAACGUAGUGCCAAAUCCUCUUGAGAGCCACUAGGUGAGGCUGUCAGGGGUCGUGCAUAUGAAGGCAGACUUCUUGCACAUCGUAUGCAAUAUCUGGACGGGUGAACGUGUCAAGUACUGUAGGGCUCUAGCAAGACUGCAAAAAUAUGCGCCAUCAGUUGCAGCAACCUUUGGAUUAGUAUCAAAUAGAAUGGAGCACGGCUUGCACUCUGCCAUCCCGACGUGAUCAAGAAUCCAUCACCACAUCGCUAAACAUGCAUACCAAGGAAGUGAUGCAAUUCACCAAGGUCUUUCAUGGCGAACUCCUAUUGAAGAGCUGAGAUGAUCCACCAAAGGAGACCGGGUGAGGAAGCUAUGAGGACAAUAUCAUCAACAUAGAGCAACUGGUAGUUUCUGAUCCGCGUUAGCAAACAAAGAGCGAGGUGUCUGACUUGGCUUCAACAAAUCCAAGAGAGGGCAAGUGUGUAGCCAUGCGACUAUACCUUCAGGUGACAAAGUCCAGAUGAGUUGAACCUUCAAACCAGAUCACUGUUGGCAAUUCACUAUCUCUGUCAGGUUGCCACAUAGAAAGCUAUUCUUCACAUCAAGCUAGUGGACAAGCCAUCAAUGGAGAGAGCCAGGGAGAGCACCGUAGGCUUCACCUUAGGCCUAAAAGUUGCAUCAAAGUCCACACCUAGUCACUAUGUAAAGCCAUGGGGAACCCAGCGUGCCUUGUACCUCUUGAUGUUAGAAUUAGGUUUUCCUUAAUUGGGCUAACCCUUAAUAGGGUAGCAAUAUAGUUGCCAUACAUGGGCCUUAUGGGCCUAGCCUCAUGGGCCUACAUUACUCAUACUUUAACACCCCGCACAGUCUGAACUACCGGCACAGCGGAAUUUGCAGACUGGACACGAAAAGAAGUACAACACAUGAGCCCCCCACAGAUGCAACUAGCCACUGGUGAUGUUGAGGCUGGAGAGGAACUCAGCGAAGGUCGAAGACGGGAGACCCUCGGUGAAGAUGUCGACGAACUGGGAGGUGGUCGGGACAUGGAGGACCCGAACAUCGCCAAUGGCGACCCGAUAACGGCCAAAGUGUAAAUCGAUCUCCACAUGCUUGGUCCUCUGGUGCUGCACAGGGUUGGUGGAGAGGUACACCGCACUAACGUUGUCGCAGUAGACCAACGUGCUCUGGGAGAGGGUUGUGGAGCUCGGCGAGGAGCUGUCGGAGCCAGGAAGCCUCAGCCACGCCAUUAACAACAGCGCGGUAGUGCCUCAGCACUGGAGCGGGAGACGACCAGCUGACGCUUGGACGACUAGGACAUCAGAUUGCUGCCUAGGAAGACGGCGUAGCUGGAGGUGGAUCGGCGAGUGUCCGGACACCCGGCCGAAGUCGACGGUGCCGCAGAGGUAGCAAAGGAUUCGCUUGAGAGCAGUGAGGUGUGGCUCCCGGGGAUCAUGCAUAUGGAGACAGACCUGGUGAACUGCAUAGGUGAUGUCCGGCCGGAUGAAGGUGAGGUAGUAAAGUGCACCGGCAAGACUUCGAUAUGCAGUGGGAUCUCUCACUGGGGUGCCCUCGGCCUCUGAUAGCUUGCCCUGUGUGUCAACCGGAGUGGAGCAGGGCUUGCAGUCAGUCAUCCCAGCUCGCUCUAGGAUAUCAAGAGUGUACUGCCGUUGGUGAAGAAGUAACCCGGCAAGAUCUCCACACGCUCUAGGAAAGCAGCAAACCGAUGGUUCCACGCCCGGGGGGCCUGCUUGAGGCCGUAGAGAGACUUGUUGAGCCGACACACCAUGUCGGGAUGAGAAGAGUCAACAAACUCUGCAGGCUGACUGCAGUAGACUGUCUUAGUGAGAACGCCAUGUAGGAAGGCAUUCUUGACGUCCAACUGAUGCACGGGCCACCCGCGAGUGAGAGCCAGCGUGAGCACCAUGCAGAGCCUUGUACCGCUCAAGAGUGUCGUCAGCCCGGCGCUUGUGAGUCCAGAUCCACUUGCCAGUGGUGAUGUUGGAGCCCGGUGGACGAGGCACCAGAUCCCAUGUCUGGUUGGCAAGGAGCGCUGCGUACUCCUCUUCCAUUGCGCGGCGUCAGUGAGGGUCCAGCAAGGCCUCGUGGACGGAAGAGGGAACCGGGGAGACCUGCGAGUCCCCGGGCAUCGCCGCAAGAGCCCAGGGUACCAGUCGCGUGUCGCGUCACCAUAGGGUGAACAUGUUGCGGGUGUUGGUGAAUGAGCGGUGGGUGGUACACCGGCGUCGCGACACGGGCAGCCGGGGGCCUCGGCGGUGGUGUUGGUGUGCUGGCGGAGAAGAAACCGCCGGUGGUGUAGGUGACCCCAGCGAAGAAGGGGACACUAGUGGCGCCGGAGGCAGCGGCGCCGGCCGGGCACGUCGCUGGCAGAUGAGCACCGGCUGGGCAAAGUGCGCUGGUGGGGCCAAAGUCAACGGCCCUGGACCCGCGCGAGGCUCAGGGGCGGGGGCCGGCCUGGAAGGUGACCCCUCGAGGCCCUGGCAAGGAGCAGGGCCAGGGGUGUCACGGGUGACCGGCGAGUUGGGGCACGGCCCCGGCGAAGGGUACGACAUAGCAGUACCUGCAGGAAACAACUGCAAAGGUGGGUCGACCACCGGAUCAGUGGGAAACACAAAGGAUAGGUCAAUCUCCGGGGUGGAAGAGGAGGACGAGGGCCCCGGCGCAGAGAUGGACCCAGGCUGGAGGCCCUGAGUAAGCUCCUCCAUGACAAGGUCGUCACGGACCUGCAGGAAGGUGGGGAAGGGCCGCUGCCGGGUGAUCCACGUUCGUAGGUGGGCGUAGCGUUCACUGAGCCCGGACGUUGAGGACCAAGAGACGGUCCUCCAUGAGCCAGCCGAGGUCGCCGAAGGAGUCCACCAUGCCCUUCAUCCGGCGGCAGAAGUCGCCAAUAGAGAGGUCGCCUUGGACGAAUGUCUGGAAGCUCGCAUCGAGCCACAGAGCCUAGGCUUCGUUGCCCAGAAACUGGCCCUCGAGCGCCAGCCAAAUCCCGCAAGCGUUCAGAGUGUUUCGGACGAGGUCGUGGAGGUCCAGGGAGAUCGUCCCCAGAAUCCAUGAGAGGACGAUGCUGUCGAGGCGCAACCACGAGGGGGUCCGGACCAAGGCGGACGUGGUCAUCGAGGGCGUAGCAGCGGAGGGUGAUGAGGAUCAGGUCCCUCCAGCAGGCGUAGGAUGGGGACUUGGGCUCUAGGACGACUGGGACGAGGAGGCGGAUGUUCUAGGCACCCCCAGCUUGGUAGGAGUUUCGACGGUGAAGAUGGCAGGGGAAAAACCACGCCCACCGGCAUGCCCAGCCCUGCAGCGUGGGCAGCCGCUACGCCUAGUGGCAUACCCAGGCUGGCAGCGUCUGCCCUGACGUCACCUGCAGGGCCGUCCGCGCCGGCGAUAGUCGCGCCAAGAGGAGCCACGCCCGCCGUUGUCAUGAGGAGACGAGCAGCAGCGACGGCGUCGGCGGGAGGAGCAGCCUUGGCUGCGUCGGCGGAAGGAAGAACGGCAUCGACGACCUGCGCCUUGGCCAGCACCUCGGCGGCCCGCGCGGCCUUCGCCCGGGCGGCCUGUGCCCACAAACAGUUGGGGAGGGGGAAAGCAGUUGAAAUAGGUGGGAGGAGGAGGGGGAGGCUGCCAGCCAGCCAUGGCACCCGCGGCGGCGGCCCAGGGGGGCUCACCGGCCGGCGGUGGCGCUAGAAGAGGCCUGGCGGCUAGUAGGAGGGGGAAGGGAGAGAAGACUAGCCUGAUACCAUGUUAUAAUUAGGUUUUCCUUAAUUGGGCUAAUCCUAAACAGGGUAGCAAUAUAGUUGCCAUACAUGGGCCUUGCCUCAUGGGCCUACAUUACUCAUAUUCCAACACUUGAGGGAGCCAUCAGACCGAAACUUGUGCUGGAAGAUCCACUUGCCAGUGAUGACAUUGACACGAGGGGGGUGAGGCACAAGAUCCCAAGUGUGAUUCUCUUCCACAGCCUCUCGCCAUUUGGGGUUGGCUAGAGCGCUACGGAAGGUCUUUGACACCGGUGACAGGGGCGCGGCGUGAAACAUAGCAGGCAUCCAAUAUCCGCUCUUCGAAUGCAUGCCCAUGGCGUGCUGGUUGGCAUUGGAGGGAUAGCAAUAGCACCCUUGGGUAGCGCAGCCUUGGCGACUGUUGUAAGUGCAACCGGAGCAGGAGUUACUCGAGGCCGGCACGUGUAGUGGUGGGUGAAGGCAUGCUCCAAAUGAAGAGGCGGGAACUGCCUGAGUAUAUACAAACUACAAGUACCAGAUAAGGUACAAUCUUGUACUUAGGGAUGAAAAUGGUACGGAUGUUUUCCGACCGUAUUCGAGAUCAAAUUCGUUUAGAGAGGUUCAGAUCUGUCCGUAUCCGAGUCCGAAUAUUCAACAUCUGAUACCGUAUCCGUAUCCGAAUACUUAAAUCGUAUAUUUAUGAUGUCGACAUCCAAUUGUAUCUUAUCCGACAUGAUUGACAUUAUCCGUAUUCGAAUCCGGAUGUGACCAGAAAUAUGAAAACAAAUGUGAUAUUGAUAAUAUCCGUCCGUAUCCGAUCCGUUUUCAUCCCUACUUGUACUACAUGGCUUAUUGCCAUUCUAGCAACAUGGCUGAUAUCAGCCCACUAUGGUACAAAGUACAAACCCGUACACUACAGUACAAGGUACAAGCUUGUACACUAGAUGGCUUAUUGCCAUCCUUGCUAACGGGAGGGCGAGGAGCGGCGUCAGGGGUGGUACGACCUUUUCCACGUCAGCAGAAGAGGGGGAAGGCGUACCUCCAACAGGAGGCGGCAGUAGGGAGUAGCCACCACCAAUGCGGCAGCGAGGAAAGGAGGCGCGUGAGCAGCCGUGAUGGGGUGGCGCAGGUAGCAUUUGGGGGUGGGUGGGCGAGUGGACCUAGGCUGUAUAUAGCCAUGUACAUGUGAAUAGUAUAACCUGUGGUACAUGUAGUGUGGUACAACAAUAUGGUUAUACAAUAAUCCUAAUACUAGCUAUGCCAUGGUCAUUAUAAAUGGUUAGCUUCAAGAAACAUUUUUAAAUGCUGCCAUUACAAUCCAUAUUGCUGCAGCCAGUGAAAUUAUAUUUUGCGUUGUAAAUAAAGGAACAGAGAAGAAAGACCAUCCUUUUGAAACUAUAUUGCUGAGCAGUGAACUAUAUUCUACUUUGGCAUAAAAAACAUUAAAAUGAACAAAUCUGUAAAAAUUGUAUUGUGUAAGGGCCUGUUUGGUAGAGAUUCACCGGCCGUCGCACUCCGGAGCCCCGCCCGCCCCGUCGCUGCUCGGCACUCGCCUUGCUGCCACACUCCGGUCCAGCUCUCGCCGGGGCCGUACCCAUCCAUGGCCAUCCGUAGGUGCCAUGCCCACCCACCGCAAGGAAGAAAAGCACGGGAGAAGAAGAAGCCGAUGCAUUUCUUUCUCCUAACACGUGGGUUCGAGUGUCAGUGAGAAACGCCAGGGCCAAGGGCAGAACAGGCUAUUCCAACCAAAAUGCCCUUGCUUGUAUCUAGAGCUGCUGCUUUAGGCAAACAGUUUCCUAAGAGAUCCACAGUGGGUCCCCAAUCCAUGGUGGAGUUGGUCCAUGGUGAAUCCUAGAUCCAGAUUCACUGUUUCCAGUAUCCUAUAGGUUAUCCACACUGGUAAGCUAUUGAGUAAAUUUAUAGACACAGCAUGUGCAAAAUCACACCAAUUUACAGGGUACAGUUGUUCUCUUGAGAUAUAUAUAUUAGUUGUCCAUGCUUGUUAUACAUUAUCACUUGUCAAAACAUCCUCACAUCUUUCUGUCACAAGCCUCCUUGCUUAGCUCAGCAGGGCCUGUGCUUCUCAGAUUGUAGCUAGAACCAGGUAGGGGAGGCGCCAGGAUUGUUGCCUGGCUGCCCUGCAAAGGUGAGAUUAGAGAAUAGAAAUAGAUGAGAAGACUAGAGAUUACUUCAUUCUUUGUUAAUCAUAAUCGAGGGUCUGGCUUACAUAUAUAUAGGAGAUAGCCCAGCCGGCUGAUCACCCCUGAUUCACAUUCACACCUCAAUCUCUCAUUCACACCUUAAUUUCUCAUUUAUACUCUAAACAGUAUUAGGCCCUUUCACACUUCUGGACCUUUGGCAGCCUUCUGUCCCUUGGGCCGCCGGCUAUAUUGCCGUCCCCACAUGACAUCUCUCCCUCCCUGGAUGAAGCGUGCUGGUGGUGCCAUAGUCGACGGCCCGGGACCCGUGCGAGGCUCAGGUGCGGGGGCCGGCCCGGAAGGUGACCCCUCGAGGCCCUGGCAAGGAGCAGGGCCAGGGGUGUCACGGGCGACCGGCGAGUUGGGGCACGGCCCGGCGAAGGGUACGGCAUAGCAGUACCUGCAGGAAACAACUGCAAAGGUGGGUCGACCACCGGAUCAGUGGGAAACACAGAGGAUAGGUCAAUCUCUGGGGUGGAAGAGGAGGACGAGGGCCCCAGCGCAGAGGUGGACCCAGGCUGGAGGCCCUGAGUAAGCUCCUCCAUGACAAGGUCGUCACAGACCCGCAGGAAGGUGGGGAAGGGCCGCUGCCGGGUGAUCCACAUCCGGAGGUGGGCGUAGCGUUCACUGAGCCCGGACGUUGAGGACCAAGAGAUGGUCCUCCAUGAGCCAGCCGAGGGAGUCCACCAUGCCCUUCAUCCGGCGGCAGAAGUCGCCAACAGAGAGGUCGCCUUGGACGAAUGUCUAGAAGCUCGCAUCGAGCCACAGAGCCUGGGCUUCGUUGCCCAGAAGUUGGCCCUCGAGCGCCAGCCUAAUCCCGCAAGCGUUCAGAGUGUUUCGGACGAAGUCGUGGAGGUCCAGGGAGAUCGUCCCCAGAAUCCAUGAGAGGACGAUGCUGUCGAGGCGCAACCACGAGGGGGUCGGGACCACGCCCGUGGCUUCGAGGCGGACGUGGUCGUCGAGGGCGUAGCGGCUGAGGGUGAUGAGGAUCAGGUCCCUCCAGCGGGCGUAGGAGGGGGACUUGGGCUCGAGGACGACCGGGACGAGGAGGCGGAUGUUCUAGGCACCCCCGGCUUGGUAGGAGUUUCGACGGUGAAGGUGGCGGGGGAAAAACCACGCCCACCGGCAUGCCCAGCCCUGCAGCGUGGGCAGCAGCUACGCCCAGUGGCAUACCCAGGCUGGCAGCGUUUGCCCUGACGUCACCUGGAGGGCCGUCCGCGCCGGCGAUAGUCGCGCCAAGAGGAGCCACGCCCGCUGUUGUCAUGAGGAGACGAGCAGCAACGACGGCGUCGGCGGGAGGAGCAGCCGUGGCUGCGUCGGCGGAAGGAAGAACGGCACCGACGACAUGCGCCCUGGCCAGCACCGCGGCGGCCUGCGCGGCCUACGCCCCGGCAGCCGACACCCACAAACAGUUGGGGAGGGGGAAAGCAGUUGAAAUAGGUGGGAGGAGGAGGAGGGGGAGGCUGCCGGCCAGCCAUGGCACCCGCGGCGGCGGCCCAGGGGGCUCACCGGCCGGCGGGGCGCUAGAAGAGGCCUGGCAGCUAGUAGGAGGGGGGAGGGAGAGAAGACUAGCCUGAUACCUUGUUAUAAUUAGGUUUUCCUUAAUUGGGCUAAUCCUAAACAGGGUAGCAAUAUAGUUGCCAUACAUGGGCCUCAUGGGCCUAGCCUCAUGGGCCUACAUUACUCAUAUUCCAGCACUUGAGGGAGCCAUCAGACUAAAACUUGUGAUGGAAGAUCCACUUGCCAGUGAUGACAUUGACUCGAGGGGGGUAAGGCACAAGAUCCCAAGUGUGAUUCUCUUCCACAGCCGCUCGCCAUUUGGGGUUGGCUAGAGCGCUACGGAAGGUCUUUGACACCGGUGACAGGGGCGCGACGUGAAACAUAGCAGGCAUCCAAUAUCCGCUCUUCGAAUGCAUGCCCAUGGCGUGCUGGUUGGCAUUGGAGGGAUAGCAAUAGCACCCUUGGGUAGCGGAGCCUUGGCGACUGUUGUAAGUGCAACCGGAGCAGGAGUUACUCGAGGCCGGCACGUGUAGUGGUGGGUAAAGGCAUGCUCCAAAUGAAGAGGCGGGAACUGCCUGAGUAUAUACAAACUACAAGUACCAGAUAGGGUACAAUCUUGUAAUUAGGGAUGAAAAUGGUACGGAUGUUUUCCGACCGUAUUCGAGAUCGAAUUCGUUUAGAGAGGUUCAGAUCUGUCCGUACCCGAGUCCGAAUAUUCAACAUCUGAUACCGUAUCCGUAUUCGAAUACUUAAAUCGUAUAUUUAAGAUGUCGACAUCCAAUUGUAUCUUAUCCGACAUGAUUGACAUUAUCCGUAUUCGAAUCUGGAUGUGAUCAGAAAUAUGAAAACAAAUGUGAUAUCGAUAAUAUCCGUCCGUAUCCAAUCUGUUUUCAUCCCUACUUGUACUACAUGGCUUAUUGCCGUUCUAGCAACAUGGCUGAUAUCAGCCCACUAUGGUACAAAGUACAAACCCGUACACUACAGUACAAGGUACAAGCUUGUACACUAGAUGGCUUAUUGCCAUCCUUGCUAACGGGAGGGCGAGGAGCGGCGUCGGGGGUGGUACGACCUUUUCCACGUCAGCAGAAGAGGGGGAAGGCGUACCUCCAACAGGAGGCGGCGGUAGGGAGUAGCCACCACCAAUGCGGCAGCGAGGAAAGGAGGCGCGUGAGCAGCCGUGAUGGGGUGGCGCAGGUAGCAUUUGGGGGUGGGUGGGCGAGUGGACCUAGGCUGUAUAUAGCCAUGUACAUGUGAAUAGUAUAACCUGUGGUACAAGUAAUGUGGUACAACAAUAUGGUUAUACAAUAAUCCUAAUACUAGCUAUGCCAUGGUCAUUAUAAAUGGUUAGCUUCAACAAACAUUUUUAAAAGCUGCCAUUACAAUCCAUAUUGCUGCAGCCAGUGAAAUUAUAUUUUGCGUUGUAAAUAAAGGAACAGAGAAGAAAGAGCAUCCUUUUGAAACUAUAUUGAUGAGCAGAGAACUAUAUUCUACCUUGGCAUAAAAAACAUUAAAAUGAACAGAUCUGUAAAAAUUGUAUUGUGUAAGGGCCUGUUUGGUAGAUAUUCACCGGCUCUAGAUUCACCAUUUUCAGCUCUACUCCACUCCACCAUAAAUUUCCCAAACAGUCCAGAUCCACCAAAUCCAAAUCCAGCAAAAUGGUGGAUUUAGAGACCAGUGGAGCUCCUCGUGGGGUGCAGUUUGGUAGAGUUGGGGAAAAUUACCACCACCGCCACUGGUGGUUCAGUUACCUUUUUUCUUCAUGUGUCCCAACAUCAGCGGUGCCAUACAGCACCGGAACCCCAACCAGAGCUGCGCCGCAAGCACCACUGGAGCCAUGCCGCACUGCAGACCGUGCCCGGCACCAUAGGAGCCCUCUACACGGAGCCGUGCCCACCGGAGCUCCCACAUUGCUGUUGCCGCCACACCCGACACCGGCCGUCGCACUCCGGAGCCCCGCCCGCCCCGUCGCUGCUCGGCACUCGCCUUGCCGCCACACUCCGGUCCAGCUCGCCGGGGCCGUACCCAGUCAUGGCCGUCCGUAGGUGCCAUGCCCACCACCGCAAGGAAGAAAAGCACGGGAGAAGAAGAAGCCGAUGCAUUUCUUUCUCCUAACACGUGGGUUCGAUUGUCAGUGAGAAACGCCAGAGCCAAGGGCAGAACAGGCUAUUCCAACCAAAAUGCCCUUGCUUGUAUCUGGAGAUGCUGCUUUAGGCAAACAGUUUCCUAAGAGAUCCACAGUGGGUCCCCAAUCCAUGGUGGAGUUGGUCCAUGGUGAAUCCUAGAUCCAGAUUCACUGUUUCCAGUAUCCUAUAGGUUAUCCACACUGGUAAGCUAUUGAGUAAAUUUAUAGACACGGCAUGUGCAAAAUCACACCAAUUUACAGGGUACAGUUGUUCUCUUGAGAUAUAUAUAUUAGUUGUCCAUGCUUGUUAUACAUUAUCACUUGUCAAAAUAUCCUCACAUCUUUCCAAAUAGUAUAUCUUCUGGAUUUCCAUAUAGAUAUCCCUUUUUCUUUGUUACCAGGUGCCGCAGCAGGAAAAUGAUUACGAUUGUGGCCUAUUUGUGCUGUACUAUAUGCAGCGGUUUAUUCAGGAGGCGCCUGAAAGGUUUAAGAAGAAAGACUAUUCUAUGGUCAGUCAUCAUUGUGCUGUUUCACUCAUUUUGUUUGUAUGUAGAUAGGACAUGGAUGUGUGUGACUCACUUCUGUCAUUACUCUUUUCUGUUAGUUUGGCAAACGGUGGUUUCGACCUGAAGAGCCAUCUCAGCUUAGAGACCAAAUUCGCCAUUUACUCCACUUGUGUAGAGAAACUGAAGUGAAGAAGGGUGUAACAGGGUCAUGUGGGGAAAGUCAACCUAAGAUUGAGAAUGAUGGAACCGAUCCGAGUGAUGCCUCCGAGCCAACAACACCCAAGCAUCUGAGUGAGUAAUGCUGACAGAACUGGGUAACUGCUGAUUUUGGAUGUUGCUGUAGACCAACAUAGUAGUCUCUAGGUCGUGUGGGUUUGCGCCCAAUAUGGGGAAACUUGAGGGUGCAUCUAUAUAAAAAUACCUGUACCCCUAGUGUCGGGAAAAUGCCGUGUAAAGUAGCGAAACUGGUAGUCAGGUUGCUUUGCGAGACUUCCACAACGCUGUUGGCUUGACAUUCUUCACCUUCAUUAGCUCACGAGCCCUGGCUUCUCGAACUACAUCCUUAUUAUGCUAGCAGUGUGCACCUGUUGAGACUCUGACCAAUGCCAUCCUCCCCCCGUUUACUGGGCUACCUGUCAUAGCUUGGGCUGUGCCCAAUUGAGGGUGGGUCGUCACACGGUUUUUUUGUAUGGCCGAAAGCAUGACACUACAUGAUAAUUUUUUGGCCUGUAUCAGCACGUUAGGAUCUCCGCGUGUUGGUGGCAUGGCAAUGGCAAGACCUGUCUAGUUUGGACCAUGCACCGACGUGACAUAAAAAUAGCAUGUAAUUACGUAAUAAUUUCACAAUACAAUUUUGAAGUAUUUACUAACUCUUUCAAAUUAUAGACGUCUAGCUUUUCUAAAUACAACUCUUUCUAUGCACCUCGAUAUUAUUUAGGGGCUUAAGCCUACCCUUGUUUUUAAGCGAAUAUUGAUUUUACCCUUGUUUUUUUAACUAUAUGAUUUUACCUUGCUUUUUCAAAUUGAAGCGAGACUCUACCCCUAGUCUGUUAAGUCCCUCUGCCAGUGUUAACUUUUUGACAAAAGGAUAUAGUUGCCCAUGUGUUUUUACCCCUGAGCAUUUUAGCUGACAAUCCAUAUAAAUAUAAUUUAAUAGCAUGCAACAAAUCAAUUUCACAUAUUGCAUAACGGCAACAAACCAAAUCCAUAUAACAUGUCAUCACAGUACCAUAUUAGAUGCUAAUAUAAAGGUCCAAAUAACAUGUCAAACACCAACAUAUAGGUCUACAUGACAUGUGAAACAAAAGUAGGAACUAGUAGUGAUUUUCAUAGGCAACUAACAGUGAGCUACAUGUCAAGCAUUGAAACCUAAUAAUAACUCCAACAACAGACGCAAACCGUGACCCAAAGGCAAAAAUAGGUUAUACACAGUAUUUUGCGUAUCAAAAUCACGGUCCAACGGAGGACCCAAACAUCGCACCCAUUUUGGGUAGUAGCUUCAUCGCGACGCAAAUAUGCAUCAUCGUAAGAUGACGACGCAAAUCUCGCGCGUCGCAGUGGUGGGCCCAUCACCCACGGGCCGGUGCACCACGGCCACUCCGGCCUCGUCCCCGGCGCUAGCGCUGGCCUCCGCGCUGAGAUCCGCGUCCGCCACCGCCAUCUUCUGCCUCUCCGAUGCACGCAUCACGGUGCCCGGCGCGCCCGACCUCCAUGGUGAAGCUGCGCUUGGAGAGGCUAAGGGUCUGAUCGAGGCUGAUGUUGAAGGGCUUGAAGAUCUCUGGCGAGCACGGGAGCAGUGGGGCGGCACCGAUCCGGCAUGUGGGGAGGAGUCUAGUGGCCGCGCGUGGGGGAGAGCUCGGUGGCGGCGGAUCUCAGAGGCAAAUUGUCACUGACACAGCGGCGGCGGUUGCCGGUCACCGAACUGCCUUUGGGUUAGCUGACGAGGGAGGAAUUUGGGUUGGCUGUUGAAGACCGGUAGUUUUGCAUCAUGCAGCUAUUCACUAUGCGUCACCCAAAUCUCAGUAUGCCUCUCGUAUUUGCAUUACGUCUGUUGGAGACAGUCAAGUAGCAAGCCUCCCAGAAGUUGCUCCUGUUCUGCCGCUCUUGCUUUGGCGCGCAUCCGCUGGCAGCCCUACUGACGUGCGCACACUAGAAUAAUUAGGGGCGCAUGUGCGUACAGAUCCUGAGCAGCGCACUUAUUCUCAAUAUGCUGAUGGGUUGUCAUAUGCGGGUUGGGAAGCAGAUUUUUUUCUCUCUUCUCAUGUCUAGCUUCAGACUAUAUAUAUUUAAUCGGCCCAUUUAGCAUUUUAUGUUUCUACGAGUUUUUUAUUCUCUUUCGGAAUAACAUGAAUGUGGGAGAUGAAAAGGGCGGGAAAAUGGUUUGACAUCUCUAUAGAUGUAGAAGUUUUUUUUAACACCCUAAAAUUUGCUCCUUUUUGAAAUAGGUGAAAAUGAUUUAAUUUUGUAUUUUUAUGUUCAUGGAAUAUAGGGAAAUAAUAUUCUUCAUCAAAAUAAAAUUUAUCAUAGGGUGUAGCAAUAUUUUUGGUACACUCAUGCUCCUGCAUUUUAUUUAUUGUGCGGAGUGAUUUUACUAAAGUUCAAAAAUAAUUCAAAGUGAUUUUUAAAACGGUUUUGAAAAUAGUUUUGGAAUAAAAGAAAGGAGAAUAGAAAAUAAAAAGGACAAACCCCUUCCCCCUCUUUCUGCCCGAAGGCCCAAACUCUCCUCUCCCCACUCGCGGCCCACUCUCCUCCUCCCCCCUUUCUUUCCUUCCCGGCCCAAGCGCGCCACUCUUCCCCCCCCGGACCCAACUCGCGGCUCAGUGGCAGAAGCCAACCCGCGCCUUUAGUCUCUGCCAGGUGGGACCCGCAGGUCAGCGGCAUCCUCCCUUUCUUCCUCGUCGUGUCCAGCAGGGAUUCCCAACCGAAGGCAAGCAUCGCCUCAACUCCGAUCUUCUCGGGAUUUUUCCUGCCAAAUUCGCCAAGUCGAGUCCCUUUAAAGCCUCAUGCUCCCUCCGUGCUCUCCUUUUUGCAUCAUCAUGCGGCCGCGUAGCCCUAAUCAUUUUCCCCCAUCGUCUCUCAGAUCUCACGAGCAGUUUUACACCCGCCGCCGUGGUUAACGCAUUGUGCUGCCUAUCCUGUGAAUUGAAGAAGAGGAAGAGCUUCACAAGUUGGUAGGGACGCCGCCGAGCCCCUCUCUGUACUUUCUCUCGGUCUAUUCUGCUCACACCACAUCGCCGAACAUGCACAGGGAGAAGCCGUCCGCCUUUCCUCGUGGUGCGCCCUCUUCCAAGCUCUCUCCGAUCGCAAAAGCCGCAUAGGUGAGAUCGCUAUGAUCUACACUUGCUUCCCAUGCCCUUGGAUUCGAGUUUGGCGCAUUGGAGCGCCGAAUCGCCCAACUCCGGCGAGCACUGGCUAUGGCGCCGCCGUGUUCCCUUUCAGCUUCGGCCGGCCGUCGCUCUCCUCUCUCUCUCUAGAUCUAAUCUCGACCAUCAAUCUCUGAUCCAAUGGCUCAAAUCGGUUAAUACCCCUUCGGCCUGGCAGAUUUGCAAAAGAGACCUUGGUCUUUUUAAAUAUAAAACCCGCCGUCCUUAGCACGUUUAUGAAAUACGCUUUCUGACUUUGAAAACGUUAUUUCCAAAAUACGUUUUCGGUUAUUUACAAGUUUGCCACUGAUUUUAUAAUGCUCAUAAAAUACUCAUUUUAACUCCGAUUUGACCCAUUCAAGUUGCGUUAGGUUCAUAAUCAUGAGCCCUACAUGUUAGUAAAACUGUUUUCCCAGUGUGAAAACUUUUUAAUUUCAUGAUCUUAUUUAAUUAAUUUCUUUUCUAUAUAAAAUCUUAGAAAAUCCAUAUCUUCUCUGUUUUAAGUCUGAUUUUCGUGAUCUUUACGUUCGUGUGAUCGUAGCGAUGCGUAGAAUCUUUUUAUAAACUUUUCAUACUGUUUUUAUAUGAUUGGUAUAUUGUUCUAAUUGUAGCCUUGUUUGCUUCAUGUAUGUUUGUUCUCCGAUUGUUUGUGUGAUGAAGAUCGAUGAUCGAGUUUAGUCGGAGAGCUGUUUUUGGUGAUCAAGAUCAGAGCCAUGGGCAAGUGAGACCAGCAGGACCAAAAGGAUAAGCAAGAGCAAUUGGAUUAAGGCAAGUAUAGCAUUUAGAUUUUAUUUCUGUGACCAUGAUCCUGUGGCUAGAUUAAUAUUAAGUAGUAAACAUUAAAAAUGACUUUUUAGCAACUUGAUGAUUUGUCUGUACGUGAUCACCGGGGACAACAGUGCAACCAUGAGAGCUAUAAUGGCUCUGGCUUUAGCUCAGUAUUAAGACCUUUUCUAGCUUGUUAGAGGUUACCCGAAAGGGCGGAGGGGCUGAACCGUUUUGGGUAUAGUGUGGCCUCUGUCUGUAUGUGUAUAGGCUGCGCGUCAUUAUGCCAUCGGAAGGGGGCUCUAUAUCUGUGCGCAAAGGAAACCUUGCGGCCCUAACAUGUUAGACGAACUUUUGAAAGGCUUCAUAGUGAUCCCUGCCGACCUUCCUUGGAAGUGGGUUAAGAGGCUGAUCACCUCGGGCGAAAGGCUAAAUCAUGACUCAUGGUUAAAGAUGUACAACCUCUGCAGAGUGUUAAAACUAGUAUACUAGCCGAGCUCACGGGUGAUGAUUCUUGUGUGUUAAAUAUGCUCAUUGCUUAUUGUUUAGUGCUUUACAUUAUUUAUGUCACAUUGAUCAUGUGAUUGUGGGAGCUAAACAAUCUAGUUGCUAUACUUGUGGAGUUCGACAUGGACUCACUCUUGCUAUUUCCCCCACACUUCAGGAGGUGUUAGGCUUGUGAUCAACCAGUCAGUUGGAUCCUGUAGAGUGAAGUUAAAACCCGAAGUUUGGAGUUGUCUAUCCGCUGUUUGCUAUCAAAGGUUAUCUCUUUUAUACUAAGUAUGUUAUAUAUUUUUGCAUUAUCUUUUGAUAUUACCCCUUAUUUGUAGCUAUAUGUGGGAUUUGACUUCUAAAACUCACAUAUGGUGCAUAUCUGGGUUUUGUCCUUAAAAUCGAGUAUUAUAUUUUUUUUUCAAAAAUGAUAGUAUCUUUGCAUGAGAAUGAUGAUUCAACCGAUACAAAAAAUAAAAAUGGUCUAUAAAGGACAAACAAAGUUAUCAGCACAAAGAAAAUAGAAUAGAGUAUAUCUCAUUUAUCAAGAUAUAUACUCCCUCCGUCUUAAAUUAAUUGUCGUUAUUAGUUUCAUGUCAUAAAUCUGACUCACUUUAUUAAAAAACGUGCAGUAUUUAUAUCUCUAAAUAAAUUUGUUAAAAAACGAGAUUCAAAGAUCUUUCCAAUGAUAUUAGUUAUAUACCAUAAAUAUUAAUAUUUUUAAUAUAUGUUUCAUUAAGAUUGUUUCUCGGGAAACACAAACAAUGGUUAUUUUAGGACGGAGGAAGAAUGUCUAUGUAGAUAGCUAAUACAAAAGACAUCUGACUUCCAGUUUCAAUUAUAUUAGUUGGCAUUAAUACCCUGAAAAAAGCAGAUAAGAUAAAUAAAUUAAAAAUAUCUGAAGUUAUGUUAAACUUUACAUUUAUAUAUGUAAAAGAUGAGUAUUACCCAAAUUAUAAAAUUGAUUCUAAACUUUACACUUCCAUAUAUGAAAAAAUGAAUUCAAAAUUCGCCCUUAAGUUAUAGAAAACUUUCAAGUUUGGCUUUAAAAACUUUGUAACCAUUAGAUUGAAAUAAAAUACUUGCACUCUCAAUCUACAAACUUUGAAGCAGGACACUAUGUACUUUGUGUUCGCAAUAUCCAAACGGUUGUACUUGAAAAUACAAAAAUGUAAUUCAAAAAUUUCAAUACAAUUGUUGCAACAUUUAACUAUAACACUCUAAAACUUUACACACUAAGCUAUGAGAACCUUUUAGUUGUAAAGUUUGUCCUCUAAAUUUAGAUGCUUCAUGCAACACAUUCCUAGGAUUUCAACUUCUAUAACCUAAAAAACCAAACUUGAACUUCAGUCACCAGAUCUAUAAAUUUUGAACUAUGACUAUAACUUUAUACUAACACAUUCAUAAACUUUCUACUAGCACAUUUAGGAACAUUCUACACAUGUAUAAAACUUUGUAUCUCAAAUUUAAGUCUUUGUAAUUUAAACUAAGUUUUAAAUUCAAAAUCUUUAUACUAGCACACUUAAAAGUUGGUACUUUAAGAUUUAAAAAUUUAUAAUUUCAAUCUUUGUUUUUAAAAUCCAAAAACUUUAUACUAGCAUAUUUGAAACUUCAUAUUUUAAGAUUAAGAACAUUGUAAUUUCAAACUUUACAUUUUAAAUUCUCAAACUUUAUACUAGAACAUAUAAAACUUUGUAUUUCAAGAUUUAAGUCUUUGUAAAUUUAACCUUUAUAAUUUAAAUUUAGAAACUUUAUACUAGCACACUUAAAAGUUUGUACUUUAAGAUUUAAAACUUUGUAAUUUUAGUCUUUAUUUUUAAAAUCCAAAAACUUUAUAUUAGCACAUUUAACACUUUGUAUGUCGAGAUUUAGAACUUUGUAAUUUAGAACUUUAUAUUUUAAAUUCAGAAACUAUAUACUCGCACAUUUAAAAUUUUAUACUUUAAGAUUCAAAAAUUUGGACUAUUAUAUUGCAGACUUUGUACUCCUUUGGUUGGAAAAAUUUGAACUAACACACUAUAUUUAAGAGAAUGCAUACCUCUCUUGCGGGGCUAUAGUCGUUCAUCAUUCCAUCUUUGAUUGGACAACAUCUUCUCUGUCAAUGCUUUUGCAUCUGCAACACUAAGAGAGAAAAAGGCACCACCAGCUGCGGCGUCUAAAUGGCUCCUAUUUAGAGGGACUAGACCAUGAUUGAAGUUCUAGAUGAAAAGCCAGUCUUCCAUCCCAUGGUGCGGACAGGCAGUGAUACACUCUUGCAUUCUCUCCCAAGCAUCAAGAUUAGAUUCCUCACCUUGUUGUGUAAAACUGGAGAUUUUAUUGCAAAGAGCAUUGGUCUUGCCCAUAGGGAAGAACUUAACAAUGAAAGCAUUGGAACACUUAUCCCACGUAUCUACAGAAUGGAUAGAUGGGUAAUCAAUAUGUGGAUAAUAAAAUAAAAUAAAAGUUAACCAAACUAACCUGCCAACUAACCUGAGCGGGUUGAUGGAUAAAUAAGAGUGGUAGUAGGUUUGUGAACUCAGUAACAUGAUAGCACUAGUUAUUCUAAUCAAGCAAAGAGGCAUACCUGUCCUGAACUCACCAUAUGGUCGAUCAGACACGAAGCACAAUGAGCCUUACGUUUUAAGAACUAGACCGAACGUGGGGGAAUACGUAGACACUUAGGGCAAUCACCACCUGAUGUUACCCUAGCUAUCCGUGGGUCGAGCUGUAUUUGAAGGUAACCCUAGGGCCUAAGCACCACACUUAAUCUAUACUCCUACUGUCUUUACUCGAGCUCUCUGGUAAAGACACCCUAACUAGACAACAGAGCAAUUCCUUAACUCGAAUAACUAACACUAGACUAACUAUGCAAUCUAUUGCCACACAAUCAAGCACCUAAGCUCAUUAAUGAUAUGAUCACUAUAAACUAAGUACUUGAAAGGUAAACAAUCAAUAUACCGCUCAAAUACUGAAAGUAAAUGAUAAAUAAAUGAGUAGUAAGAUAGAAAAGGUAUAAUACCAGAAUGGAGAGGAGUAAGACUCUUCCUGACUCCAAGCGGAGCUAUAACUGGCUACUCUUCCUGCUUACAACCCCGAGCUACUAGAGCUACGCUAAGCUAGAGGCACAGAGACUGUAGACCUAAGCUCGGCUACCUAAGCGAGGGAGCUACUACUCUAACACUUGCUCUAAUAAGCUCUAUGCUUGUGUUGAUGCAAAAGCUGAUCUGCAAACACAAAGGGUUAAUACCCGAUUCAAACGUUAAGGCGUGCCAGCCGAUUUGACCUUACAAUCGACAAAGGUGGUAACUCGACCACUUUGGUCCCGACUACAACGAUACGCCCGGAUGCCACGCCAAGAGGUGAUCACGCGGAACUUGAGAACACGCCGAGUUUGACUCGACGUAUUCCUAAGAACUCGUAGUAAAAAGAAAAUAUGACGAAGUCGUCGAAAAAGUAGAUGCUGGAAUAUGAGUAAAAACUUGUGUUUGAUUGAUUGAUAGAUGUCUCAUUACAUUGCCCUAGGGUCUACAUUUAUACCCUGUCCAACGAGCUACAACCAGACACGACUAGGACUCAAAUUCCAAAUUAAACGGAAACCGUAUACAAAACGAACUCUAAUAACUAAGAAAAACAUUAAACUACCCCCGUGACCGAUCGGGACACCAUCAUGAAUCAAUCGGCAACCUCCACGCUUUUCUUCAGAGCCAUCGGCAGACCUCCUGUUGUGGCCAUCGGCAAACAUUGAUACUGGUCAUCAGCACGAACACGUCACCACUUCUGGACUUAGUCACAUUCAGUUGUUUCCCCAUCGGCAACCACCUUCAUCGGCAACUUCCCUGUAGACUAGUUACCGUUGCUUCAUCUGCUGAUCUAUACUUUACCAACCCCAGGUACGCGUCAAAAGAUACGUGUCCAAAAACGGUGUCAACACAUGCCCCCCAAUUUCGGAGUAUAAAAUCAUUAAUGCUCCAAAAUUCUCUGCAGUAAUGAUGCCUUUCCACAAUUAAUUCUCCCAAUUUGGUAAUCGGCCAUUAAACCCAACAACCUUGGCCCAAUUCUCCUGCAGAUUCCUCGAAUUUCUCAACCUCUUGAACCGAAUCUCUCCACUUUAUGCGUCCAUCGGCAAUAUUACCGUUAGAAGGAACUGCCGAUGGACCGACCAAGAGAUCUUGUACAGUGAAAUAUCUUCAAAAUCAUGACCGCUUGCUGUCAAAUCACCUGCGCAAUCCCUUGAUUACCGUGCGAACAGUUACCAUAUCCACCUGAACAACCUCGGAUUUCACGGAUGCGGCAAAGAGAUAAGUCAGAUUUGCCCCUGCCCGAUUUGUCCUAUAAAUACUUCCUUCUCCGGUACUCUUUCUCCAUCUUAUCAUUCUACAUCCCAAAAUCUACUUUCCUAACGGCGGCACCACCCGAGGAUUCCAAGAACUUCAACAAAAGCCCUCUUCAGCAAUUCCCCGAGUCUUCGAUCUUCUUCCUUGCGAGGAAAUGGCCAUCAACUUCGUCGUUCCUGAGGUUAGUUAACCACCCUUCUUUUUCCACACUCUUGCUGUACUCUUGUUCAUCCGCAAUUCCUUUUACUGAAUACUCCUUUUUCUUUUUGUUCUUUCUUUUAUCCUCAAAAACUUCUAGGAUUUGGCCGAUAAGAUUGUAAUUCCUACCGAUCAACCUCACCUCCAAUGUCUUGGCCUGCUAGGAAAUCCAGAUCCCACCAAUCUAAUAAACGCAGAGACAAACAGAAUCCUCUUUAGAGCCGAAAACUUCUCCCUAGAUCUAUGGAAAGAUGCCUUCCGUUCCUGGCCCAGUCCUACCAAGGGAUGGAAGGAUUGGUUCCUAAGAGUCAGCCAUUCAAAUGAGGUUCAAUGGGGCGGACGGAAGUUAGACCAGUGCAUUAGAUUGUCUCUUGCCGAUAUGGAGAGGAAUGAGUCACUGCUAAUUGUUGCUUCGUACUUUUGGUCAGACACGCUCAAUGCUUUUGUGUUUGGCCAUGGCCCUGCUUCUCCUACACUUGCCGAUGUACUCAUGCUCACCGGCUUAGACAUAUCCACUGCCGAUAACAGCCAUCUAUUUGAUACCAAACCCAGUUCUAAGGUAGAAACUCGUGCUAUCGGUGGUUGGUCUGGGUACAUUCAGAAGUACCAAAAAACAGGACCUGUCAGUGCAAAGGAACAGACCACUUUCCUGAAUAUGUGCCUGGAUAAGUUGGAUUCUAUGGCCGAUCGGCAGGACCAACCUCUGUUUACUUAUCGGCAGCAGAAAGAUUAGCCAAUGGUGGCCGAUUUCCUCUUGGCCGAUACCUGCUCGGCUCUGCUUAUCACCUCCUCCACCAGGUAGCCAAGAAACUUCUGCUAGGACAAUCCAUCGGCAACUUAGGGGGUCCUUGGUGGUUUAUCAACAUGUGGCUUAGUCUCCACAUGCACAAACGCCUUGAAUUCGACCUCUUUGCACAGCGCUUCCCCAGGGACAUAGCAGAGGAUUAUGAAUUGGAUGAAGAAGAAUCGGCAACUCGUUCCCUCUUGAACUUUGGCGAAGUUGCCAUAGUCUUACCUGGCACUGGUAGUAAUGAAGACCAGGUUAGCCAAUUCUUUCAGACUCUCUAUGAAGGUCUGACCAGAGAACAGCAGGCAUGGAUGCCUUAUGAAGAUCCAGACACCAGAUUUCCCCUGACUUUCCAUCCCUUCAAUGAUGCUCUCAACAAGGACCGUGAUGUGAUGAUGGCAAUUAUCCCCCCAUGGGCCAUACCAGUGAACUUCUUUGGUAGUGGGAAAGCCUCUAAUCUGACCUAUGAGUUUUACAACCCAUCGGCACUAGCUCGCCAACUGGCUUUCGGUCAACUGCCGAUUGCACUUUGCUACGCUGAUGUGGUAAAGCCGAGGGAGACCAUCACCAGCAAUCUUGAGUGGAUCAGAAUAGCUCAACUUCCGCCAAACGCCGAUACAGAUGUCGAUCUAUCGGCUUGGAUCCCAGAUCUCUUCAUUACUCAGGCAUAUAAACAGUGGUGGGAGGAGUGGAAAGAGCAUUUAUUCUGUAGAUCGUCUCUCACAUACAGUGGCAUGAUCGACCCCAAAUACAAAGUCCCCGAUAAUACUGUAAGCACUUUAACCGAUGUUUCAAUCAUUUCACUUUCAUUUUCUAUCGACAACUUAUUUUUUUUUUGUUUUAUACAGGUCGAUGAUACGCCACCAUCAGCUAGCAGAAGUGGCAGGCCGAUCAAACUCCUUCCAUCGGGCCCGAUCUCUUUGAUCGGCAACAACGCUCCGAGCUUGGCGCCCUUAAUGCACCGGGGUGUGCGUUUCAAGAAAAUCACCACCAGGCGAGCGAAAACAUCCCCGUCGGUAGCUGCCACUGCUUUGGCACAAGCUUUUAAGGUAAAUUCUUGAAUUCUUCAACUCAUACCGAUUCCAUUCUUACAUUUACACAAUUUUUUAGGACACAUCGGCUAGCAUGGGAACUUCAUCAAUAACUUUUACUAUUUCAACCAGAACCUCAUCAAUACUGUACAAAACAUUCACUGCUAUAUCAGCAAACUGGCAAAUCGGCAAAGACCAGAAGAACCAAAACGACUGCCGAUGCCUCCCAGCCCAGCCAAGCAAAGAGAAAGGGCCCCAAGAGUACCAAGUCACAAGCGAAGCGUCAGAGAACAGCAACGCCUCCUCCUCCUCCAAGGUCACCGAUCCCUGUAGAAUCGUCCCCCUCUUCUCUAGAAGCUCAGACACAGCAAGUACCAUCUCCAACUCAGCCACAAGAAGAACCUCAGCUGGAAGAACUUUAGCUAGAAGAACCCCAGCCAGAAGAGAUAUCAACUGAUGUACACGAGCAGACCGCCGAUCCAGUGAGCUCAAUCAUAGCAUCGGUAGUCUCCUCGAUCCAGACAAGCAUUGCACCCCCUCAAGGUAAAGUACUGUCUAUGAAAUUAUUGCCGAUGGCCCUAUUUUUCCACUUUAUAAUUAUCUCUGUUAAUCUUUCAGCUGACAUAGUCUCAUCGGCAACUCCAGCCGAUCCACCUGUAGUACCAUCGGCCUGAACUAGCCAGAGGCGAGAGAUAGCUCUAAAACAAGUAAGCUAUUUGAUUAUCAUUCUUUAUUUUACUAAUAUUUCAUCAUCAAAUAACUCAUUUCCUUUUUUCUUUCAGAAACAAGAUUCUCCCGACAGCCUGUUCUCCUUUUCCAUCGAGAUUUCUGAGGAUGAAGGCGAGGAAGCAAGCUCUUCUCAAGCAGUUGGAAUUUCAUCGGCAGAGAUUAGAGCAAAGCUGGAAGAUCUGUCGGCCCUCCUUCAUCAAGACACAGCCCAACUGGUUGAUGACUCCGAUCCAGCCAAGGUUCUGUUUAAGGCUCUCAGAGGCCUAAUUCCUGCCGAUGCCGAGGAGAUUCUCUUCAAGGCUGCUCACUUGGAGAGUCGACAGCUCCAGUAUCAAAAGGUCACUCAGCGCCUUGCCGAUAGAGCUGCUCACGCCCAGCUCUCAGAGGAGGUGAUGAAAGUAAAGCACCUUGCCGAUGAAAAACAUAAGAGCAUCGGCAUUCUAAAAUCCUCAAGAGAUACGCUGAAGCAAAAGAUCUCCGAUCUAUCGACAAAGAGGGAAGCCCUGCUGGCAGAGCUUAAACAAGUAGAAGAAGCCCUGUCCCAUGCUCAACAGGAAGAAAGUCAGCUGCCUGAGAUGAUCAAGACCCUUGAAAAAUAGCGGAUCGCCUAAGCUCACAAGGCACUGCAGAUGAAGAAGAAGCCGAAACCGGUGGAAGGCUCUGCCGAUGAAGAUAUCAAAGAGAUAGAAGAAGCCGAUCAAAUUCGCCUGCGCGCUAUAUCGGCCAUCCAAGCCUUGCUGAAUGCAUGAAUUCUUCAUCGACGACGUGCUUUGCUUUAAGAAUUCCUGAACUUUUUGGUCUAGCCGAUAGGACUGUUAUCGGCACCCUUUUAAAACAUUGAGUCCGGCCCCAGAUACACUUUAAUCCAGCUGAUAGGAAUGUUAUCGGCACUUAAAGUUUCAUGCAUCAAUCCAUAUGCUAGGAUAAUAUUUCUUUAAGUAUUUGCCAUUCAAUGCCGUGGGAAAUUCAACUCCUUCGAGAGUUUCUAAAAUAUAGGCGUUGCUAGGAGCAGAUCGAUUUAUCCGAUAGGGACCCUCCCAAUUGGGAGACCACUUCCCAAAUUUUGAACUUUUAGUCCCGAUCGGUAAGAUUAGUUUCCACACUAAGUCUCAUUGGCAAACUCCUUAGUCUUUACCUUCUUAUCAUACCAUCUGGCAACUCUCUUUUUAUUUUCUUCUAUACUUAUCAAAGCCUUUAGCCGAUGCUCUGCUAAAACAUCUAACUCGUCUUUCAUCAAAGUAGCAUAAUCAUCGGCAGCCAACUGGUCUUCAAAAGAUAGUCGCCUAGAACCGGUUUUAAUUUCCCAUGGCAGUACGGCAUCGUGUCCAUACACCAACUGAUAGGGUGAAACUUUAGUUGACCCAUGACAUGCCAUCCGGUACGACCAUAAAGCUUCAUUCAACAAUGUAUGCCACCUCCUAAGAUUUUCCUCAAUCUUUCGUUUGAUAACUUUAAUAUUCCUUUGUUAGACGCCUCGGCCUAUCCAUUAGCUUGAGCAUAAUAAGGAGAAGAAUUCAACACUUUAAUCCCCAUACCGAUUGCAAAUUCAUCAAACUCGCCCGAUGUAAACAAAGUACCCUGAUCGGUAAUAAUUGUUUGAGGAAUACCAAAUCGGUAAAUAAUAUGCUCUUUCACAAAAUCAAUCAUAUUGGCCGAUGUAACUUUUUUCAAAGGAAUAGCCUCAACCCACUUGGUGAAAUAAUCAGUGGCAACUAAGAUGAAUUUAUGCCCUUUGCUCGAUGGUGGGUAAAUUUGACCGAUCAGAUCAAUAGCCCAUCCUCGGAACGGCCAAGGUUUAAUAAUGGGAUUCAUGGCCGAUGCGGGCGCCCUUUGAACAUUGCCAAACUUCUGACAUCCUUGACACCCUUUGAAAUAUUUAAAGCAAUCCUCGAGAAUAGUCGGCCAAUAAUACCCAUUUCUCCUGAUCAUCCACUUCAUCUUAAAAGCCGACUGAUGCGCUCCACACACUCCUUCAUGGAUUUCACCCAUCAAAUUCUUAGCUUCAUCAUUACCUAAACAUUUGAGAAGAACCCCAUCGAUUGUCCGAUAAUAGAGCUCAUCCUCGAGGAACACAUACUUGGUAGCCUGAAACCGAACACGCCUCUCAAUCUUCUUGGAUGGAUUCUUUAAAUAAUCAAUAAUUUCUUUUCUCCAAUCAUCGGCAGUAAUUGCCGAUAUUGUAUUCAAUAUGGGCUGAUAUCCCGAGACAUGCUGAGCCAACCGAUUAACCUCCUCAUUAUGCAAUCGAGGGACAUGCUCUAAUCGGAAAUCUUUGAAUUCCCUUAAUAGUUGCAUACUCUUUUCGUAAUAAGUUAUCAGAACUUCAAUUCGGCAUUCAUAACUUCCAGCUAAUUGAUUUAUAACCAACAUAGAAUCUCCGAAGAUCUCAACAGCAUCAGCAUGAACCUCUUUUAGUAACUCCAACCCUUUGAUCAAAGCUUGAUAUUCGGCUUGAUUAUUUGUUGACGUAGCAACAAUCGGCAAAGAGAAUUCAUAUUUUCUUCCCUGAGGGGAAAUUAACACUAUGCCGAUUCCUGCCCCCCGGUCACACGUGGAUCCAUCAAAGAAGAGCGUCCAAGGCACAAUUUCCAAAGUCUCCACUGCACCGCGAUGUUGAGUCACAAAAUCGGCCAUAAUCUAUCCUUUAAUCGCUUUAGCCGAUUCAUAACGCAGAUCGAAUUCCGACAGUGUCCAAAUCCACUUACCGAUCCUGCCACUCAUAAUCGGCAUAGAUAGCAUAUAUCGGACCACAUCAUCUUUGCAUAUAACAGUGCAUUCGGCCGAUAACAAAUAGUGCCUCAACUUAAUGCAUGAGAAAUAUAGGUAUAAACAUAAUUUUUCAAUAGCCGAAUACCUGGUCUCAGCAUCAAUCAAUCUUCUGCUUAAAUAGUAAAUCACACGCUCCUUCCCUUCAAAUUCUUGAAUCAAAGCCGAACCGAUGACCAUUCCAUCGGUAGACAAAUAUAAUUUGAAGGGCUUUCCUUGCUGAGGUGGAAUCAAGACUGGAGGAUUUGUCAAAUAAUUCUUGAUUUCAUCCAGAGCCAACUGUUGCUCUUCUCCCCAUAUAAAUUCUUGAUCGGCUUUUAAUUUAAGUAAAGGACUGAAAGCACGAAUUUUUUCAGAUAAGUUGGAAAUAAAUCGCCUGAUAAAAUUUAUUUUGCCGAUUAGAGAUUGGAGUUCAGUCUUGUUAGUAGGAGCAACUAUCUUGUUAAUAGCAUCGAUAGAUCUUCUGCUAAUUUCAAUUCCUCUUUGAUGUACCAUGAAACCAAGAAAUUGCCCUGCCGAUACACCAAAUGCACACUUAUUAGGAUUCUUUUUUAAACCAUGCUUCCUUGUGCACUCCAACACCUUUCGCAAAUCGGCAAGAUGCUUUGUGAAAUCCCCAGAAUUAACCACCACAUCAUCAAUGUAAAUCUCUACUAGCUUGCCGAUGAACUCAUGAAAGAUAAAAUUCAUAGCCCUUUGAUAAGUAGCACCAGCAUUUUUCAAGCCAAAGGUCAUGACUAUCCAUUCAAACAAUCCAACAUGACCAGGACAUCUAAAUGCAGUCUUUGAAAUAUCUUCAUCAGCCAUGAAUAUCUGAUUAUACCCUGCAUUGCCAUCCAUAAAGCUAAUAACUCGAUGUCCAGCUGCAGCAUCAACCAGCAAAUCGGCAAUUGGCAUUGGGUAACCAUCCAUCGGUGUAGCCUUGUUAAGAUUUCUAAAAUCAAUACAAACUCGAAGCUUCCCAUUUUUCUUGUAAACUAGGGCAACAUUGGAAAUCCACUUGGCAUACCGACACUGCCGAAUAAAUUUAGCUUCGAUAAGUUUAGUGAUUUCAGCCUUAAUAUCAGGAAGAAUAUUAGGAUUACAUCGGCGAGCUGGCUGCUGAUGUGGCUGAAAUCUAGACUUGAUAGGCAACCGAUGUUCAACAAUAGUUCGGUCUAAACCAGGCAUCUCGGUAUAAUCCCAAGCAAAGCAAUCUUUAUAUUCCUUUAACAAAUUAGUUAACUGUUGCUUACACUCAGAAUUUAACUUAGCACUAAUAAAAGUAGGUCUAGGCUUAUCACAAUUACCUAUAUCUACCUCUACUAAAUCAUCAGCCGAUGUAAACCCCUGGCCUAAUUUUCCAUCAUCGGCGAACCUAUCCAUUAAAACUCUUCAUCAGAACUGACUGCUUGGAUCGGUGGAAUUUCAUAAUCGGCAACUUUGAGGAAAUCUUUCUCCCAAAUCUCCCCUGAGAUACACCUGGUCCUUUCAUAAGUGUCUGCUUCUAUCGAUGCGAUGACAUAAGAAGAAUCUCCCGGGACAAUCUCAAUCUUGUCACCUACCCACUGGACUAAGCAUUGGUGCAUUGUUUAUGGGAUGCAACAAUUGGCAUGGAUCCAGUCUCUCCCCAGUAGUAGAUUGUAGGCACCUUUUCCACUGAUCACGAAGAAUGUUGUCGGCAAGGUUUUGCUACCGAUGGUCAACUCAACACAUAUUGCCCCUUUAACCGGAGACACAUUUCCUUCAAAGUCCUUUAGCAUCAUAUCGGUCUUGGUCAAAUCUUGAUCUCCUUUCCGAUAGACUGCAUACGGCAUGAUGUUAAUAGCAGCCCCACCAUCAAUUAAUAUCUUGGUCAUCGGUUGUCCAUCAACUCUUCCUUUGACGAACAGAGCUUUAAGAUGCUGCCUUUCAUUGUCGACAGACUUUUCAAAGACAGUCGUCAUCGGAUCCAGAGCCAACUGAGCUAUCUGGUCGAAAAAGUCCAGUUCCUCAUCAUCGCUGGACGGCGCAAGAAACUCCAUCGGCAACAUGAAUACCAUGUUAACAUCUACGAUAGCCCUUUUCCCUUAGGAUCUGGUUGCUGCUGAUCUCCAGAUUGGCCAGAAUUCUCGCCUUUGCUUAGCUCUUCUCGCCUUUCGCGUUGCAACCUUCUCUUCUGUGUCCUAGUCAAUCCCUCUGGACACCAUGGAGGAAGCUGUGGCUGCCUUGCCGAUAGGCGACGACUUUCCCUUGACUCCACCCGAUAGGUAUUGGCAUCUCUACAAAAUAUGAACUCAUCGGGAACUCGAGCAUUUGCCAUCUCUUCAAGCUCCUCUUGGUUCCUAGGAAAUUACUCAACACAAUCACCAAGCCUAUCAUGCACACUGAGCCUGCCCCCCAGCCGAUCAUGAACUGAAGUCCUACCCCUAAUCGGCCCAUCAAAUCGCCGAUCAUCGUUUUGAUACUGCCGAUUAGGUCUAUCAUACCGAUCAUAACCAUUGCAUUCAGGGCAAUCUCUAACAGUGGGCAAUUUAAUAUUCUGCUCCCAGCAAUGGAUGAAGAACGGGCAGUUCCAGUGAUCCUUAUGCCGGUUUCAUUCUUGUCGGCGUCUUUCUUCUUCCCAACGAUAGUCUUCCUGCUGGCACCGAUACCGAUCCUCACGUUGCUGCCAAGUCUCCCGAUGCCUUCUAUGAGUUAUCACAAUGCCAGAUCGGGGAGGCCUUCCUGAGCUAGUUCCCUCUUGGAUCAAACCCUUUUCUUUGGCAUCGGCAGCAGUAAUUUGAUGCUGAGGUUCCACCGAUACACUUCUUUCAGCUGCUUCCGACGUCAAGACCUUGGUUUUUCCCUUAGCAUCCAACAUAUUUAUUGGGAAAGGAUGUUGAUCGAUCUUCAUCGGCUUCUGAGCUUUAUAAUUAUCAAAUUUGAUCCUCCCAGAUUCUAUAGCCGACUGCAGUUGUUGCCUGAAAACCUUACACUCAUUGGUGCUAUGAGAGGUUGCAUUGUGCCACUUGCAGUAUUUCAUCUUCUUUAAUUCUUCAGCCGAUGGAAUCACAUGAUUGGGUGACAACUUGAUUUGCCCUUCCUAAAGUAGAAAAUCAAAUAUCCUAUCGGCUUUAGUGAUAUCAAAUACAAACUUUUCUGGCUCUUUAUGACCAAAAGGGCAAGACAUCGACUUCUUAUUUUUCACCCAUUCUACCAAGCCGAUGACUGGCUCCUCAUCAGAAUCUGAGCUUGCUGCCUCAUGAACAAAUGACACCUUUUUAUUCCAUGCUCUCUUGGGCUCAAAGGGUUUGAUAUCCUGGUCGGAAAUCCUCUGCACCAGGUGACUUAGGCUCUCGAACUCUUGAGAAGCAUACUUGUCUCUGAUAUGUGGCAACAAACCCUAGAAAGCCAAAUCGGCUAGCUGCUAAUCAUCUAGAACCAGACUAUAGCAUUUAUUCUUGACCUCCCGCAAUCUCUGCACAAAACUUUCAACCGAUUCAUCAUUGCGUUGCUUCAACCUGACUAAAUCGGUAAUUUUCUUCUCAUGAACUCCAGAGAAGAAGUACUUGUGGAACUGCUUCUCUAGAUCGGCCCAAGUGAUCACUGAGUUGGGAGGUAACGAAACAAACCAAUUGAAAGCCGAUCCAGAUAAAGAUGAUGAGAACAGACGAACCCUUAACUCAUAUCUGUUAGCAGCUUCCCCACACUGGAUGAUGAACCUAUUGACAUGCUCCAUAGUCGAUGUAUCAUCCUGUCCAGAAAACUUAGUGAAGUCCGGUACCUUGUACCGAUUUGGAAGUGGAAUCAGGUCAUAUGCGGGAGGAUAUGGUGUCCGAUAAGAGUAAGUAUUGACUUUGGGUUUUAUCCCAAAUUGGUCUCUCAUUACUUCAGCUAUCUUAUCGACCCAAUAAGCAUCGGCGUCUUGCCGAUGACGCGGUUGUGGAUCUGGCACCUGCUGAUAUGCUUCCACGUGUCUCUGGGGUGCACGAUCUGCAUGGAACAUGGGUUUAACCAUUUGACCGCCAACCUGCUGACCAAGAUUUAUUGGCUGGUUGACCAACCCUUGAUUCUGAAACCCAGGUUGGAUUUGUCCCUGUUGAAACCCUGUAGCCUGAUGAUUCUGCUGAUGCAUCUGUGGAAAGACUAACUGUCCUGUCCAUCCACUGUUAGCAUUCAUCGGCAUAAGCCCUGCCGAUGACUGGUAAUUGGGCAUCAUCAUUGAAUUGACGUAUCCUAGCUGUGUCAUAAACCUUUGUUGCAUCGGCACUGAAUCUGCCGAUGCGUUAGGCAUCUGGAACGUUGGAACUUGAGAAUUCCCAGUGUAAGGUCUUGCAGUAGUAGUUGUAGUAAACCGGGGACUCUGAUUCAUCGGCAGAUUUGGAGGUGCCGAUGUCAUAGGGACCUUGUCUGUCAUAUCAGCCACUUGAGACGUUCCAGGAGUCCUCAACAUCAUCUCUUGGGGCAUACCAUAACCCCACCAGUUAGGAGGAACAGAUCCCGACAUUGCCGAUGCCAAUAGAUCCGUGGCAAGCUUGAUUUGCCCAUCUGAUGUUGAUGGAUUGGUCAUCAUGGGUGUAGAUUGCACAUCAGCGACCCCUAAUGUGCUUGGAGGAGAAGUAGCUUCUACACCCGCAGCGGCCGUAGUAGCCGAUGGAGCUGUGACCACUGGUGACCCCGGCUGAUGAUGGGCAGGACCGACAUAAUUUGGUGGUAACUGACCUUCCUUGAAAGUUUUAGCCACCGCAUUGAACACUGUGUUGGACAGCACACCAGCUUGAUUGAUGAAGGCGCGGUUAAUGACACUGUCAACCAUGUCUUGGAGUUUACUAGGAUUGGCUUCAAAAGUAAUCUGCCGAGGUGCCGGCAAUGCUUCCUUUUGGAUCACCUCGCCGCUCCUGUUGAUACUGAAGGGUUUCAAGCAUUGCUGCUUGUAGUCCUCCAUGGCCUUUGCAAUAGCUUGCUUCUGCUCAUCUCUGAGAUUGGCUUCCGUCACAGGGAUGACGUUCUCUAAGUCGAAAUCGGUGUUCGACAUGUUGAUCUUGAUCUUGAAUCUGUCCCACCGGGCGUGCCAAAAGAUGUGUUGAUGCAAAAGCUGAUCUGCAAACACAAAGGGCUAAUACCCGAUUCAAACGUUAUGGCGUGCCAACCGAUUUGACCUUACAAUCGACAAAGGUGGUAACUCGACCACUUUGGUCCCGACAACAGCGAUAUGCCCGGAUGCCACGGCCAAGAGGUGAUCAUGCAGAACUUGAGAACACGCCGAGUUUGACUCGAUGAAUUCCUAAGAACUCAUAGUAAAAAGAAAAUAUGACGAAGUCGUCGACAAAGUAGAUGCUGGAAUAUGAGUAAAAACUUGUGUUUGAUUGAUUGAUAGAUGUCUCAUUACAUUGCCCUAGGGUCUACAUUUAUUCCUUGUCCAAAGAGCUACAACCAGACACGACUACGACUCAAAUUCCAGAUUAAACGGAAACCGUAUACAAAAUGAACUCUAAUAACUAAAGAAAACAUUAAACUACCCCCGUGACCGAUCGGGACACCAUCAUGAAUCAAUCGGCAACCUCCACGCUUUUCUUCAGAGCCAUCGGCAGACCUCCUGUUGUGGCCAUCAGCAAACAUUGAUACUGGUCAUCGGCACGAACACGUCACCACUUCUGGACUUAGUCACAUUCAGUUGUUUCCCCAUCGGCAACUUCCCUGUAGACUAGUUACCGUUGCUUCAUCUGCCGAUCUAUACUUUACCAACCCCAGGUACGCGUCAAAAGAUACGUGUCCAAAAACGGUGUCAACAGCUUGAUUUCUUCUUGUGUUCUAUUUUUUCUCACUUCUCUGAAACAGGUGCCGAGGGGGUCCUUUUGUAGGCCAAGGAGUCUUCUGGAGGAAGGAGCUCAAAGGGGGCUGAAGUGGAGUGGCGGGCGCUAGGGAUCAACGGCGAGCGCCACCCCUGAGUAACUGCCUUAGCUCCCAAAAGUCUAGAUUGGCUCCCACGGUCGGUUUCAAGUAGGACACGUGUCGGAGUAACGUUUUGUCACAUCCAGGAAAACCAUAAUUCAUGUGACAUCAUCUUUUGGCCAUUGGAUCAAACCGAUGUCACUUUAGACACCUCAGAUGGACUCCUAGAGGUGUCACGUGGAUCGGUGACGUGGCUUGCCACACUAGGGGUGGCACCCGCCAGGUGGGCCUGAUGGCCACCACCUUGGCAUGGCACCCGCCACCCUGGCUGGCCUAUGUGGCACUAGGUAUGGUUGGUUGCCUUCUAGGUGGGUCUAAUUCGCUCUUUUUCCUGCUGUUGCCUGCAUACAAUUAAAUUUCUUUGUACAUGUGGAACUGGGUAAGUAAUAAGCAAAAUGUGCACAUGAUGAUGUUGAUUUACCAUGGUUUUGGAUGAAAUGUUGAUGGUCAAAAUGGGUGUUAAGGACCAUCAAUAGUAGGCAAUGAACAUUACAAUUAUGAAUAAGUGAUUAUCCCAAGUCAUAUCAAGUAUUCGACUCAAACACGAACUAGAAUGAAAACAAGAUAGAUUACUAGAACAAGAACAAAAACACGAUGAACUAGACAAUUAACAUGAUGAUCUAGAUGAUGAAUUACACAACUAGAAGAUGAAUUAGACAACUAGAAGAACACAAUGUAGAACUAGAAGACAAAUAGAUAAACUAUGUUGAAUACAAGAGAGAAGUACAAGGCUUGUACCUAGCAUCCUCGUGACUAAAUCUAGAAUCCAAGCAUUGCUUGACUCCUCUAAUUCCUAUUCUAUGCUCUAGCUAUGCCCUAGUUGGUGAAGCUCUUGGGUGCCCUAAGUCGAUGACUGGUGAACUGAUUGAUUUGUUGGUGAUCGCCUCAAGGGGGGGCUACCCCUUAUUUUAUAGUUUGGUGGGGUGCGCCAAAGCCCUCGGAUCAAAACCAACUCGAACAAGGGCCAAGAUGCAUUGCAGAAUUGGAUUAGAGGCCGUCCCGUAGAGGAGGGGGAAUAGCCAGGUGGGCCUAGGAAGACCGACCUACAUGUGGGGCCGACCGGACCGACCUACAUGUGGGGCUUGCUUUGCUCUGGUCGCUUCUUGUGUCUUCUAGAUCCUUCUCGUCGACUUUUGCGUGAUUCUGACUUGAUCUCGUUCUGUCUCCUUGAUCCUUACUCCUCCUCGGAUUCUUCUACUUUAGUCCGUCAAUAUCUAGAAUUACACCAGAGCUACGGAAUUUAUUAGGUUUGUCCCUAUAGCUCUGUUGUGGUGUUGGUUCCGAAGUAUUCCAGAAGAUUCCAAUCAUGUCGAAUGGGGACUCCAUCAUUGGGACUUCGAUUAGGGCAAAUGAUAUAUCCGUUUCGAUCAUCUCGACAAGUUCUUCGCAAUGGUGUGCUCUAUUUCAUCAUUUGAUGUACUUUUAUGUGGAAAGAUAUGCAUAACCUGCAAAACAAGUAGGAGCAACACAACUUGUGGAACUUGUUAGGAUAAAACCCUACAACUAUGCAUUAACAACUCUUUUCUUGUUGUAUGGUGCAUGAAUUGAUGGUAUAGUGUUGACAUUAAGGAGCGUCAACAAACUCCCCUAAGCUUAACCUUUGCUAGUCCCUAGCAAAUAGAGGAUUAAAUUAACAUGAUAGAUCAGGAGUUGCUACAAUGUUUUCAUGCCUUACAAGUACACCAAUGUUCAAAAAUUCUCCUCCGGAUUAGAUUUUUUUAACUUACCCAUAUUACUUGUAACUGUGGGGCUUUUAUCCUUCUCUUGGGUCUUUAGUAGUUGAAAAGUAGAACAAUCAAGUCAAGCACUAUGUCUCAAGCCGUUCGAUCAACCUUUAUUCUGGAGUUUUGUAGAAUUUUCACAAAGAAAUAGAGAUUCCUUUGUAUGACCCUUUCAUGUCUCUCAUUUUUGGUAUUUGUGGAUCCUCACUAAAAAUAAGUAAUUGUAUCUUCUUUCAAGAUAUAGAUAUGUGGAGUUUAUAUGGAAAACAUAGAUAAUUUGCAAAGCAUAUAUUUAUCAAGUCAAAUAUUAGACCCAGAAAGAAAAUCGUACACUCUAAUCAAGAUGUGCAUUUAUUGUGUAAGCAUAUUUAUUAGUGCUCUUCUAAAGGUAUACCUCACUGCAAGGAUAUUAGAAAAUAUGUGGUAUAUGUCUAAUUCUACUAUCGGGCACGUGCCCCUUUUUACCUCUCAGGCGAGUGUCUUUACACCCAUUGUUACCUCUCAGCGUGUGUAGAAGCACCCAUUGUUUUAACUCUCCCAUUUAUGAUAGGACACAUUUCCCUUUUGUAUAGACACAUGCUUCUAACACCUUUUAGAGCAGUCACCUUAAUUGGAGCAUUGAUUCAUUUAAUUAAUUAAUUGCACACUAUUUUGAUCAUAGAGCAUGACAGACUUUAUGGGGGUCAACAUAGCUUGACUUAAUUCAAUGCAGAGCAGAAAUUUAUAAAGGUGUAAAGUAUAUACUUCAGCUCUUGGUAGGGAUCAAACUCCCAACCAUACAAAGAAACUCACUUUUUAUUUUUCAAAAGAUAAAUCUCUAGAACUCUAGUAUCACUAGGAUCAAGAUAAAUAGCAGCCCAAACUUUUUCACAUCAUACCCAUCAACCACCUAGACUUAGAUCUAGACUUUGCAACCCACAAGUCUUAGGUUUAGAGGAAAUAUUUAUCAAAAUAUUGUUUUUCUAAAACUCGAGAGAAUUUAAUGUUGAAAAGUAGGUACUUGAAAGGAAUUAUGAUAGAGCAACUAUUCAUCAUCUCCAUGCAAACAGAUUUAUCUAGAACUCAUUUAAUUCUAGGGCAGGUAAGACCUUGUACAAACUCUCUUUUUAUUUAUUAUCUAAUAUUAAUGACUAAUAGAUAUUAAUGACUAAUGGAUAUAAAAAGACUCUUAUAGAAUAUAAUAUAUAUAUAUACAUAUAUAUAAAUAAUAUGUAUGGGAGAAAUACUUAGCUAGGUAAACGAGGGAUGCCCUCCCCAAGCUGAAUGUUGUCGUCUUUCUUUGACAACGUAGACAUCUUCAAUCUCUCUAGGUCUCCCUCCUAGAGUAGAUGAAGAACUUCUAGCUAUGCCUUUCAAUCUUCUUGUUGAAAUCUGUCUCGAUCAAAUAGACACCAAAACUCGGGGAACAGAUUAAGCAUUAGUGGUAUAACUAUUAUGCCUUAUCCAUUGGAGUCUUUUUUAAAAUUAAGAACUUUUCAACAAGAUCUCGAUAUUUUAAGAUUUUCUAUUUAUAUAUGCAAAUGCAAGAAUUUUUAUUUUAUUUUUAGGCCUCCACAGUAAAUAACCGAGACCUAUUCACAUGGGGGUUAGAGUUUUUUAAAUGCAAUGCAAAAAUUUAAACAUGCUAAACGAAUUGCAGAAAUAAAACUAUGCAAGAAAUGAAAUAUGAGGAUAACUACCGAUGUUACCUUUUGGCAAAGGUUCGGAGAUUUAGGUCUGUCGUAUCGGACCUAGUUCGGUCAGGCACUUGAGGGGGUCUCUAAGGAGAUAGAGUCCUCUAGUUUCUCCCCUUGAAUAUCUAACGAACUGGGAGAUAGCGAUUCUUCUUCUUGUGAUGGAGUGCUCAGUGGUGUUGUCUUUUUCUUUCUCCAUACUUUCUGAGUCUUCGGUUUCUCUUCUCGUGAUUCCUCUUUCCUUUCUUGAUUAGCCUCUUCCUUCUUGAUGAUUUGAGAGCGAUGUCACCUAUUCUUGUUCUUCUUGGGCUUCUCAAGAGUGGUGUAGCUAUUAAAGUAACAUCACACCUUUUCUCCAGGGAAGUGGAAGUGGAUCUCCCCUUGCUUCAUGUAGAUGAUGGCACUUGUGGUGUGAAGGAAUGGUCUUCCUAAGAUGAGGUGGACAUCAUCCUCUCCACUCGUGUCUAGAACCAUCAAAUCAGCGGAGACCUCUAUAUCCCUAAUCUUGACCAAUAUAUCUUUGGCUAUUCCUUCUAGAAAUUGGAACGAUUGGUCCGCCAGCUGCAGCUGCAAAUAUGUUGGGCACAAGGGACUAUCAUGAUAUUAGUGUCUAUAUGUUAUUGUAGACAUGAUAUUGAUGCUUGAGCCGAUGUCGCAAAACGUCUUGUAGAAGGUGCUUCCCUCAAUCAUACAGUCGAUGAUCAUACAGUCGAUGGUAGGUACUGCAGGAUCCUAUAGCUUCUCAAUUUGGGAUGGAGCAAGAGUGUUGGUAUUUCUUACGCACAAUUAAAAUAUGAAGGAUUCUGCAAGCACACAGAAAACCAUUGUAGCAUUUUACUGGGAGUAUUCCAUGUAUCGUUAUUUAUAUUUUACCACUGGGAAACAAUGAAUAAAGAUAUUGAUAGUUCACCAUCAUGUAUCUACUAACUAGUACACCAACUAGACUAAAGUAGGGGUAAAUAAUAGAUGAUAGGAAUUAUGCAUAUAUGACACACAACGGAGAAUUCUAUGAUAAAAGAGUAGAUAGCUAAAGUGAGAGGACAACGAGAGAGUUUAAGGUUCCUAAAUACUUCUCUAUUACUAGGGUUCUAUAAUAACUAAUUCAUGGUAGGUAAAGCAAUCACACAAAAACAUUUCAGAACAUCAGAGCACUUAGCCACAGACAGACGAGAAGAGGGCUAGGACGGUGUGACUACGGUCCUACAACACCAAUCCAAACGUGGUGGAAUACGUCGGCCGUGAGGGCUGUCACCACCUGGGGCUACCACAACUAUCCAUAGAACUGGGCGCAAUCUCAGGUAACCUAUAGUCUAGACACCAUGUCUCUACUACAAAUUACAACUCUAAUCACAAAUAAUAACUAGAGCACCCGAUGCGGGCGGAGAUCCUAUGCUAAAGUAUAACAACCAUACUAACCAGUCAAAUGUAAUGCAUAAAAGUAAAUAGAGAAGAUGAAAUAUAUUAAAACAUAAGUCUUACAAUAAAAGAUACAAAGAUAUACCAGAACUCUGACGACUCAUCCGAAGACUACUCCAGAACUCGGGCGUAGCGUCGCUCUCCCUAAGUCUCAACUAGAACUAAUCUACUACAUUGGAAAGUCUAGCCCUAAUUCUCUAGAGGUGAGAGGUCAUCCAUUUGAGGGAUGCCUCUACAUCUCCAUAAUGUGGUGCCCUCAGAGAGGGGGGUCUGCCUCUUUAUUUAUAGCCCAGAAAAGCCUCUCAUCUCUUCUAGACAGGCGAUGUGGGACUAAUUCUUCCACCAUUUACUCUAUUGGGCUAUUAUACAUCAACUUAGGUCUUCCAAUCAUCCCUCAUGUGAGCCCACUCAAGGGAGCAGCUUGGGGCGCCUCUCUUGGGCCUCUAUCAUACCAUAUGAGCCUCUUCUCACGUCAUGGGCCUUGCUUGGGCGUGGGGCCCAUUAGUGGUAAUUCUUCUUUAUUUGUAAAAUUAAUAUCUUUUCACUCCAGACUCCAAAUAUAGCAAAUGAUAUGUCCGUUUCGAUCAUCUCGACGAGCCCGUCACAAUGGCAUACUCCAAAUAAUCAUUUGACGUACUUUUAUUUGAUGGAAAAUUUCAUAUUUCUACAAAACAAGUCAGAACACCAAAACUCGUGGAACUUGUUAGAAUCAAACCCUACCACUAUGCUUUAUGGUUGAUAUCAUGUUAUAUUGAGCAAUAGUUGAUGGUAUAAAAUAGACAUUAAGGACCGUCAACAAGUUCUCCCAAGCAUACCCUUUGCUAGUCCCUUAGCGAAGCCUAACUAGUAAACUUGGAUCAGGAGUUGCUACAAUGCUUUCACGCCUCACAAGUACACAAGUAUUCAAACAAGGACUCCCCUCUGGAUUAGAGUGAACUAUUCUGACUCAAGACUCACUCAUUUUACCUUUCACCAUGGGGCUUAUAGUUAUCACUUAGGUCUUGGGCAGUUGAAAGAUAGAAGAGUUAAGUCGAGCACUAUGCUACCUGCUCUUUGAUCAACUAUUAUUCUAGAGUUUAGCAAGAUUUUCAAAUAAAACUUAGAGUUUCCUUGUAUGACACUUUCCAGUCUCUCAUAUGUGCUAUUUUUGGAUUAUCUCUAAGGCAAGUGAGUAUGCCUUCUCUCUGCUCUUAGAAUAUGUGGUAUUUGUAUCACUAAGACGUAGUUGCCUUCUCUCUCUCACCCUACUUCUAAUUAGCUUAUGUGGAGCUCAUAGGUGGGAAAGAUAAUUCAAACCUACUUGCAUGUAUUGCAUAGUUAACCAUGGAUCCAGAGAAACUAAUUAUACAAUCAAGUCAUAUGUGCAUGUGAGUGUAGUGAAUGAAGUGAAUGAAAGUGGUAAUGAGGGGUGAUAACUGAAGGUGAAUAUCUUAUUCUACAAUUGCUCCUUGGGGACAACAUACCUUCCUAAUCUGAGAACAAGGAUUUGGUCGUCUUUCUUUUCUUUUGCAUUGGGACUUUUGUCCUCUUUCUUUCUUUUUCUCUUUUUCUCUCUCUCUCUCUCUUAGAUAUCAGCCAUCCCUUUUAAUUCAAUGAUAACAGUAGGGAGUAUCAACUGGGAUAACUGGGGCUUUAUUGGAUAAGUAGAAUAAGACAUUGAAUAUUUUUGGGUGUCUUCUCCUAGUGUAGGAGUAGAACAUUUUCUAAGUGGAUGUGGAAUGUGUGUGGGUGAAUGUUGGAAUGCGUACUCCUAGGGUAGGAGCAGCAUAGGUACGUGUCUCUAGGAUACAAACAACACAGAGUGUAGUGCGUAUAUGUGGGUGGUACUUCUAGGAACAGAAGUAGCACAUAGUGAAUAUGGUGGAUGAAAGUGGUUGCAUACUUCUAAGGACAGAAGUAGCUAAGAUCAAUAGAUGGAGAGCACAUACCAUUGACUUUAACUAUAUGACUAGUUCCAUAGGGUCUACAUAGCUUAACUACUCUCAAUGCUUAUAGGUUGAAAUAUAAGUGGAGGUUUUCCUAAUCUAAUCAGCAUGAGUAUUUGGCUGUGGUAGGAAUUUUAAAUUCUCAUCAUAAAGGAACUCAUCAUAUAGCAAUUUAAGAUUUUCAAAAUAAAAUUCUCUAGAAUUCUUGCAUCUCUAGGAGCAAGAUUGAUAGCAGCUCAAAACCUUCCCAUAUCAUAUCCGUCAACUACAUAGACUUAGAUCAAGCAUUUUCUACCCACAAGUUUUAGGCUCAGAGCAAAUCUUAACUCCAAACAGUUGUGCCUAAAACUCAAGAGAGUACAAGGUUGAAAAACUAGGUACUUGCAAGGAAUUACGAUAGAGCAACUAUUCAUCAUCUCCAUAUCAGAGUUUAUUCUAGAGGUUCAUCUUAACAGAUUCAUCAAGAGCUCUCCUAGCAAGAUUAAUUGUGAAAGAUAAAAUAUUUAUUGGGUUUCUAAGAUUAUUCAUCUUUUUUUCUUGUCAUAACGCACUAGUAAUAAAUAGAUAAGCGAAUAAGGCAUACUUAGCUCGGUGUACGGGGUUGCUCUCUCCCAAGCUGGAUGUUGACAUAGUCUGUUGAGAUUGCUGACGGGCAGUGAAUACGCACUGAUCCUCCUGGAGUAUCAUAGGUACUUGCUGUCAGUCCUUCUGCCUGUUAGUUCUUUUUGAUCCUUUGAAGCCUAUGAAGCUCAAAUAGACAACAAAGCUUGUGGAACUGAUUAAACGUUACUAAUAAGCCUCUAAGCUUUGAGAGUCUAGAACUUUCUUAUACCUAUUUAUCUUUUAGCAGGAUCAAUAUUAUUAUUUUUUAUAUACUUUUCAUAUUUAUAGUAUGCAGACAGGAAAAUAAAUAUGCUAAAACUUAUUUGUGUGCCACCACAGUAGAUAAGUAUGUAAGCUGAUGCAUCACGUAUUAAAUACAUGGGGCUUAGUAGUUUUCUAAAUGCAAUGCAAUAUAUUUUUAUUUUGUUUUCUAAUGCAUAAACAAUAAAGAUGCAACCACUAAUGCUGUUAAGAAAAAUAAAUAUGCUUAAAGAAAAAUGCAAAUAAAUACAAAGUUACCUCCUGGCGUGGCAUUCAGUGAUUUUAUGUCCUCCGAACAGGUUCUCUUACCAUGUUCAUUCUUAGAUGCUUUAUCUGGUCCCAAAGGUGGAGACCAUGAUAGUUGCACCUCUUGAGAUGGUGUCAUCUAUGUUUAUUGCUUUUCCAAUAGAUUGGAGUCAAGUACAAGUUCUGGGAGCUAGCAACAUAUUCGCUCAGUGUGCAUGUUCAUAGGUCUAGGAUCCUCACUUGUAGGAUUCUCGGGGAGUUGACUAAAGUGUGUCAUGCUCAUAGAGACAAGGCAGAGAUCAAGUGCUUGGAGUCGGCAGCUUGACAUGGUAAUGCUUCUACCAACUUGGACACAUAGUCAACUGCCACCAAGAUGAAUUCAGCAUCUCCAGAUCUUUGGAAUGGUCCCAUGUAGUUGAUUCCCCAAACAUCGAACAUGUCUAUUUGGAGGUUGUUUUGGAGUGGCAUUGCAUCCCGAGCAUUAAUGUUUCCAUGUUUCUGACAUCUAGCGCAUCUUCUAACAAAUUCCUUUGUACUUGAUACGUCAUAGGCCAGAAGAAUCCACUUUGCCAGAUCUUUGCAUGUGUACGGAACGCUCCAUAAUGUCCUCCAUAGGGUGAUGCAUGACAUCUCUCUAUGAUUUUCAUCACUUUAACCAUUGGGACACAUCUCCGCAAUAAUCCAUCAGAACAAACUCGAUAGAGAUAUGAGUCAUCCCAUAAGUGGCAUCGAGCUUUAUAUUUGAGCUUUCUCUUAUCUCAUCAUGGUGGAACAUAUAUUGCAACCAUAUAAUUUACAAUAUCUGCGUACCAUGGGUUGGAGUGUGUUACCGCGAGGAGUGUGUCAUCCCUUAGAUAGUCAUUAAUGAGUAACUCAUGUGUUUCCUUGUACUGGUGCCUAACAAGUGAUCGGCUACUAAAUUAUCUACUCAUUUCUUAUCUUUUAUUUCUAAAUCAAAUUCUUAGAGUAAAAGAAUCCAACGGAUCAACCGAGGUUUAGCAUCUUUCUUAGUGAACAAGUAAGGUUAGCAGGGGGCGUGGGGCUCCGUGCAGGGCCUUUAUAGGCCGCGACCAUCCUCGGGAGGCACGCGGGCGCUCUGAUCGAGCGGUGGCGAUGGCUUCCGCAUGGCACGGUGCGACGGGGAAGAAGCACUGGUGCAGGACGGGGCAUUAGCACCGGUCGGGAAGGGCCUGUUGCCCCGGUUCCCGAGCCGGUGCUGCCCUUCCGGGAGUAAAGGCCCACCCUCCGGUUGGUAAUACCAACCGGUGUUAAAGGGUCCUGCCAGGGCUGCCACGUUGCAGGACCCUUUAACACUGGUUGGUAUUACCAACCGGUGUUAAAGGGUUUUUUUUUGUUUCACUUAUUCGGUUCUGUUUAUUGUUUUAUAUAAUAAUAAUAGGUUUUUUAAUACAGGUUUUUUCUGAUACAAUAAUAUAUUUAUAUUACAUGCAUAUUAAGCAUAUAUAAAUGAAAAUUAUAGGCUUAGCUUAAUAAUUAAGCUUUGCCUAUAAUAAAAUGAAUAGGCCACAUCAAAAAUUAAAUAGAUAUGUAAAAAGCUUUAUAUAUAUAUAGUUUUAUAUGUACAAAAUUCGUAACACAUAUAUACAUAGAGUUUUUUCUCCCAAUGUCUACAAACGAUACAAAUGAUCAUCGUUGUUUGGAAUAAGAGUUUCGUUGCCGUUGAAGUGAAACUCGCUGUUUGGAUUGAUCACUUGCUCGCGGAGAAAUCCUGCUAUCGUCUCUUGGAUAGCUUUGAUUCGGUCUUUUUGUAUGACCUUUUCCCUCAACCAUUCCGUCUUUAAUUUGAAAUAAAUAAAAAGGUAUUAGUUAUAAUUCAGGAGAUAAUGAAAAGAGACAUGUAACGUACUCUGAGCUUCUCUGUGGGUGUUUGAUUGACUUGUGCCAUCAUGAAUUUGCACACGUAAUAUGCACAUAGAUUGUUCCCCCCUUCUUGUCUUAAACACCACUGUACGAUAUAUAUAUAUAUAUAAAAUAUUCACGACCACGAUAAUAAGAAGGCUAAAAGUUAGCGAAAGUUUGCUAGCUAGUAGAACUUACUUGUGGAUGUAUUAUGUUAAGCGACGCUUUACAUCCACUGAGAUGUUCACGGUUAAUGAAUCUUUCCCAAACCCUACACACAGCCAUUGUGGAUCGUGAACUAAUAAUUACAGAGUCAUAUUAUGAUAGAUCGACAUUACGUACCUUUGAAUAAUGUUUACCAUUUGUUGAUAAUUUUCUUGUGGUUUUCUCAUUGAGUCAAAGAUUAUCAACCGGUUCUUGGGAAUUUCAAUGACUAUGAGUAUCCAGUGAAAACUGUUUACACACAUAUAUAUAGUCAGGCCUAUAUAUAACUAUAUAAAACUUGUCUCGAGUAAUAAUUAUUAAAAUAAAAUAUGCAUGCACUUAAUAACUAUAUAACUCACUCGAAGUUGAAGGGAAGAGUAUUUUUUAUUUUUCUUUUUGGUUCACAAAGAACCUCAUAAGAUUGGUGGUGACUUCUGUCUCAUGAGCUGUUGUCCACACUGCCUGCGGAGCCUUGAAAACAAUAUAAGGGUCAACGAACCCAAUACUAUUGUCAUUUCUCAUUCUGAGCUCUCUCAUUUGGUGCCUGCAUAUAUACAUACAAAUCCUAAUUGUGUAAGGAUUAUAUACAUGUAAUUAAAGAAGUUAGAAGUAUAAUAAAAAGAAAAAAAUACUUGCAGACAAAAGCAGCUAACAAGAGAUUUGUCGAGAGCAUCGAGGUGACAUAAUACUAGAAUCUUUUAAGCCUAGUAAUACACUAGAAUAAUAUACUAAAAGAAUAAUACUAGAAUAAUAGUACAAACAAUAAUAUAUACAAAACUCUAGAAAAUAAAAUAUAUAUUAGAGACUUAUAUACUACUAGUACUACUACAAAUGAUAGUGCUAGCGUGCUCCAAAAAUAAUACUAGAAUCUUUUAAGCCAAGUAAUACAAUAGAAUAAUAUACUAAAACAAUAAUACUAGAAUAAUAGUACAAACAAUAAUAUAUACACAACACUAGAAAAUAAAAUAUGAUACAAAAAUAAUACAAGAAUAAUAUACUACAAAUAUAUACUAAAAAAUACUACUACAAAUAAUAUACUAAAAAAAUAAUACUACAAAAUAAUACAAGAAUAAUAUUAAUAUAUUACAAAUAUAUACUAGCAUAAUAUAAUUUAUAACAGGUCAACACUACACUUAUACUAAUAUACUAAAAACUAUUACAAGAAUAAUACACUAACAUCAUGUAUUAUUUUUUAGUGUAUAUAUAUAUACUUAAUUGGGUCAAGGUCUAGAAUAAAGUCAACACAGAACUCUAUGACCUCCUCUAUUUCGUAGCCCUUAGCAAUGCUUCCUUCUGGCCGGGAACGACUAUGGACAUAUUUCUUUAGGACAUCCAUAAAUCUCUCGAAGGGGAACAUGUUUUGUAGGAACACAGGACCGAGAAUACGAAUCUCUUUGAUCAGAUGAACUAGGAGGUGUGUCAUGAUAUCGAAGAAGGAUGGAUAGAACACCAACUCAAAGCUGACGAGACAUUGAACGACAUCAUUCUGUAGAGUAGCUAGUUGCUCUGGAUUGAUUGCCUUCUGAGAAAUUGCAUUGAGGAAUGCACAUAGCUUUACGGUGGCUAGACGUACGUGUGGAGGUAAAAUUCCUCUUAAACCCACCGGCAGCAAUUGCGUCAUUAGAACGUGACAGUCAUGGGACUUCAAGUUUAGGAAUUUCUUCUCUUGCACAUUAAUUAUUCCCUUGAUAUUGGAGGAGAAUCCAGAUGGGACCUUGAUGCUGCUAAGACAUUCAAACAUGCUUUCCUUCUCUUCUUUGCUCAGAGUGUAGCUAGCAGGGCUUAAGUAAUGACGUCCAUCAUCUGUCUUUUCUAGAUGCAGGUUGUCUCGUUCUUUUAUGCGCUGCAAGUCUUGUCAUGCUUCAAGUGAAUCCUUAGACUUUCCGUAGAAACCCAUGAAUUCGAGCAAGUUCACACAAAGAUUCUUUGUCAGAUGCAUCACGUCGAUCACGUUGCGGACCUCUAGGACAUUCCAGUAAGGUAGCUCCCAAAAUAUGGAUUUCUUCUUCCACAUGGGUACGUGUCCCUUAGCAUCCUUGGGAAUAGGUUCGCUGCCUCGUCCCUUUCCAAAUACCAAUUUAUAUCCUUGACCAUUUCGAGUACACCAUCCCCGGUUCGAUUGAGAGGUUUGGUCCGGUGGUCUGCCUUGCCUUUAAAAUGCUUGCCUUUCUUUCGUACUGGGUGGUUCACAGGAAGAAAGCGACGGUGGCCAAGGUACAUGACCUUUCGACAUUUUUUCAAAAAUACACAGUCAAGGUCUUCAUAACAAUGUGUGCAUGCAUUAUAUCCCUUGUUUGACUGGCCUGAAAGAUUACUCAGAGCUGGCCAAUCAUUGAUUGUUACAAACAGCAAUGCUCGUAGGUCAAAGUGCUCUUGUUUGUACUCAUCCCACACGUGAACUCCUGGUUUGCUCCAUAAAAGUUAAAGUUCCUCAACUAAUGGCCUUAGGUAGACAUAUAUGUCAUUGCCAGGUUGCUUCGGUCCUUGGGUAAGCACCGGCAUCAUAAUAAACUUCCGCUUCAUGCAUAGCCAUGGAGGAAGGUUGUAGAUACAUAGAGUAACUGGCCAAGUGCUGUGACUACAGCUCUGCUCAUCAAAAGGAUUCAUACCAUCUGUACUUAAGGCGAACCGCAAGUUUCUAGCAUCAUCUGCAAAAUCUGGGAAUUCUCUGUCUAUCGCUCUCCACUGGGAUCCAUCGGCAGGGUGUCUCAGCAUAUUGUCUAUCUUACGGUCUUCUUUAUGCCACCGCAACAACUUUGCAUUGUCCUUAUUUAUGAACAGACGUUUUAAUCGUGGUAUUAUAGGAGCAUACCACAUAACCUUAGCAGGAAUUUUCUUCCUAUGACGUUCUUCACCCUCAACAUCGCCAGGAUCAUCUCGUCUAAUCUUAUACCGUGAUGCCUUACAUACUGGACAUGCAUCCAAAUUCUCGUAUUCCUCCCCACGGUAGAGGAUGCAGUCAUUAGGACAUGCGUGUAUCUUCUGGAUUUCUAAUCCCAAAGGGCAGACAACCUGUUUUGCUUCAUACGUAGUGGUGGGCAAUUCGUUGCCUUUCGGAAGCAUCUUUUUUAUGAUCUUCAAUAACUGCCCAAAUGCCUUGUCAGAUGUACCAUUCUUUGCCUUCCAUUGCAGCAAUUCCAGUGUGGUACCCAGCUUUUGUUGCCCCUCUUCAGCGGUGGGAUAUAGCGAUUUCCUGUGGUCCUCUAGCAUGCGCUCGAACUUGGCUUUCUCUUUAUCACUUUCACAUUCUCUUUGUGCAUCACGGAUGGCAUCACCAAAAGCAUCAUCGCCCCGAUCAUCUUCUGCCGCUACCUCUUCUUCAUUAUCUCUCCCCAUUGCAACAUCAUUGAAGCCACCGUACUGAGCAAUAAUAUUGGCAUGGUCCAAUUCUUCUUCUUCUUCUUCACCUCCAUCCAUUAUAAUCCCGCUUUCUCCAUGUUUGUCCAACAAAUAUAGUUUGGUAAGAAACCAGACUUUAAUAAGUGCGAAUGAAGAGUUCUUGAGUUAGAAUAUUCCGUCAAAUUCUUGCACAUGACACAUGGAUAGCACAUGAAACCAUCCCUCUUAUUUGUCUAGGCCACACUUAAGAAAUAGUGCACGCCAUUAAUGAACUCUUCGGAGCGCCGAUCGGUAUUAUACAUCCAAUUACGUGUUACCAUCUGCAUUAAAUAUAAUAUAUAUAUUAUGAAAACCAUGCACACAUAUAGUUUCUCAUCUUAUUGCACAAUAUGUCUAAGAUACAUAGUUGAUUAAUUCAGGAAAGCUUGGCUACAACAAAUACAAUCGCAACUAGCACUAAAAAAACCAAAACUAAAAUGCACUUAAGCAACAUAAUUAGUUCGCGUCCGAUCCCAACUAUAAUAGAUAGAUCAUUCGCUUGAUCAACAUCAUUGAACUCCUUUCGUCGGCUCACUGCCUCACCACCUUUAGCCUCAACCACUUGUGCAAAAGAUUUCUUAAUGUGUUCAAUGUAUUCUUCCUCCUAGUACCAACCUGUACAUCGCCGGUACCGUCCCACUAAAAUUAAAAUAGAGAAUCAAAAGUUUAAUUAAUAUCAUUUAAAAAAAUAUGCACAUAUAUAAGCAAAUGUCUGGAAAUAACUCACAUUACGAUCCGGACACUUGUAGAAUAUACGACCCUUGUUUACUCCCUCUUUCGACACUUUGUACUCCAUCACAAUAUUCUGCCUACACUUGCCACAAGUAAUGAGAGGGAGUUCCGGCCAGUAUCGCUUUUGAACCCAUUGAGAGACCGAAGACCCGAUCACGGUUGCCAUCUACUAUCCAUACUCAAUUUUUAAACAAUUAUAAAUUCCACAUUUACUAGUAAACAUGUAUGAUUAAAGAAGAACCUAAUAAUAUCCUUUAUUUGUCUAGUUACUUCAACAAAUCUUCCAAAUUAUACAAUGGACAUUAUGUAGUAAUAAAAAUAAAUCAAGUGAUAUUAACAAACCAAUUAAUUUGAAAUCCUACUUUCUAAGAUCAUAAAAAGAUACUAUAAUUCAUUCUUGCAAACUACAUUAAUACUAGGUCAACCAUGAAAUAUGAUAUAUAUAUAUAUGGAUACUAAUUCAUGUGAAUGAUUCAAAAUAACAAAGUGGAUUUGAGCUAAAAAUAAUGGGAACAUCACAAGCCAAAAACAACAUGAAAAAGACAAGAAAGACAAAAGUUAGUCACCUCCAAACACGAAGAACGAUAACGGAGUCGAAGAAGAUCAACGAUGGGCGUCGGAGAUGAAGAACAAAUGAAGAACAAGUAAGAAGAAGCUCCAAGAACAACAAUGUUGAAUGGUGCUCUCGGUUUCAAAUGGGCAGAGAGGAGGAGGGAUCCGGCCUAUAAACCGGACCUUUAGCACCGGUUCAGGACAAAAACCGGUGCUAAAGGUUGACCCUUUAGCACCGGUGCUAAAGUGUUACAAACCGGUGGUAAAGGCUUUGCCUCGGCCCGUGGCGCUGGCCGGUGCUAAAGGGGUCUUUAACCCCGAGCCGCAAAAAGGCCGAGGUUUUUGGCCAUUUUGGGCAUCGUUUUUGACCAUUUUAGGCAUCGACCAAUGCCUCAUUUUGUAGUAGUGAAGGGCCGCUGUUGCUGACAGGCAGAGCCCACCUGGCGGUCGCAAGGGCGUGGGGUGGGCUGGCGCGGCUGCUGCUGGGCCAUGGCACAGCUGGGCCAAGGCUCAAGUGGAGGGGCGCUCGCGGUCUAAAGCGGAGGUAGGCCAGGGCUAGGCUUCAAGCUAGCGUGGGCCUAAAGAGAGGGAGGGGGAAAAAGAAAAAAAAGGUUUUUUUUUAUUCAAAAGGGUUUAAACCAAUUUUUUUCAGCAUAUUUAUAAACCAAAAUUUAAUUUAUUAAUUUGAGAUUAUUUUAGGAAUUGUUUUCUUUACUAUUUUUUAGAGAAAACAUAUUUCUAAAUUGUUUUUUAACUCAAAUUAGAAUUAGUUUUCAAAUAGGACUUUUAGUGUUUUAUUUUUCUAAAAACCAAAAAGGUCCUACUGAACUUGCUCAAAUUUUAGAAGUUCAUUUUUCUCGCACAAAAACAAAGCUAAGGGUGAGUAGGGGCAGGCUGGCUAGGGAGCAGCAAUGGUCACCAAUCGAUGGCGCCGUGACAAAGGUGUUGAAAGUGAAGAGUGAGCAAACUCGUGUUAUGGACCUUUUUUAUUUCUUUUAGGAACUAAACAUUACAAAUUAGCUCCCUACUUUUUUUACCACUUUCCUGUUUUGAUCCAUUAACACUAAAAUUAGCGGCUAAAAUUAGUACUAGUGCAUCCAAACAAACCGAACCAUAAGUUUCAUUAGCUGAUUUAGAGUUGCUAAUAGAUGCUUAAAGUUUAUAUACACAUUUGACUCACUAUCCAACCAUCUAUUAGUAGGUGCAUCCGAAUGACCUCCUACUAAAAACUAAGUAGCUAAAAAAAUAAUAACUACUCCCUCCAUCUCAAAUUAUAAGACGUUUGACUUUUUUGACUUUAAGUUUGACCGCUUGUCUUAUUCAAAAAAUUUAUGCAAACAUAGUCAAAUUUAAAUCAUUCUUGAAAAACUUUUAUUAAUAAACAAAGUCGUGACAAUGAAGUGAUAUUUUGCACAAAUUUUUUAAUAAAACAAGUAGUGAAACUUGAUGUCAAAAAAAUCAAACGUCUUAUAAUUUUGGGAUGGAUUAAGUAUUAUCUACUAUCUAUAUAAUUUUUAGUGCUAAUAGAUCAAAGAGACCCUCUUAACUCUUUUAGUUUCUGAAGAUGCUCUAAAUCAGUACACUGAAACUAUAAUGUACCUGUCUUAUUUUAUUUUAUUUAACUGAAAUUAUCUCUAGUUUAUAUGAACUAAUGACAGCUCCUAUGCUCAAGAAAUAAACGAGUUAAUUCAUGUCCUACCCAGCUGGCUGGAAAUAUGCUUUCCGGAACAAAAAUCUGCUAAAACCAAGGGAAUAGCAGCAAAUGACAUAGCGCAUGCAGUUCGUUACCAUUUGCGUUAUCACAGGUUGAACCAAAACACUAUCAUGUGACAACCAAAACACUAUCAGUUCGUUGACAGAGAAGGGAAAAAAAUGACUCUUAUUCAUCACCUCGGUGAGACAAGCAAGGCAUUCUUAUUGCAGGUGGCCGCUGACAGGUUUCUCAGCUCCUCGGUGAGAUAAGCAAGGUAUUCUUAUUGCAGGUGGCCGCUGACAGGUUUCUCAGAGCUACUCUCAUACAGUGACGCAACAGCAGUUUCUUCCUCGCAGCUUCUCCCGAGAAAAGCCAUAUUGCAGCGACAUCUCGCACGGUCACUGGUACUGGCUGGCAAGCUGGCCUUCCUUGACGAUAUAGUUGUGCACCGGGAAGUCCUCUCCCUUGAAAUACCUAUCCAGCAUGUCCCUCGCACCCUCCGCAUACCGCAGCUGCAUGAAUUGUUUGUAUAACCGCAACAGUCAACAGCAUCUAUGAGAAUGAAUAGCAAAUAUCGUGCAAACUGCACUGACAGAACAUAUAUCAGUGUGCAUGCAGUCUGGCCCCAUGGUACAUGUGCACGCUGCACUAUACAUGUCGGCAAGGACUCAAGGUACACAGACACACUGUUAGCUAAUUAUUCCAGUUCUCAGUACAAUUUUACUCCAGUAAAGCCAUAAGGUGAUUGCCAUUCUAACAAGGAAUUCAGCACUAAUGAUGACCAAACUUUUGCUGCCAUCUCCAUUGUUUCUUGAUGUCACAGAAACGCAAGAGCAACGAUGUCCCAGUGGCUAAUUGAACAAUAUAUAAAGUCAUAGUUUAUGGUAGGACAUGAUCAUGUUAGAGCCUGAUGAUACAUUGCACGGUGCUCCUAACUAAGCUAACAGAGACCUAGUUUCCUAUGAGGUAUUAGAAUUAGAUAGAAUUCAAACUCAGGUAAGAAAAUUCAGAACCUGACCUGCGCAUCAAUUGUAGUCCCAGAGAUGUGAGGGGUCAUGGCAUGGUUAGGCAUGUAGCGCCAGGGGUGAUCCUUUGGUGCUGGCUGGGGGAACCACACAUCACCACCGUAUCCUAAGAAAUGGGAAUGAGAUGCUCCAUGUUACAGAAAGUAGUGGUCAAUGUAGGAAUAUAGAUUGCAUUAUUUCCCUAUUCUUCAGCUAAAAUGUAGUCAGGGUGUCUUUUCAGGAAAGCAAAAUGCCUCAUUUGAAGUUUUGAUACUGAAGCCACAAAAAUGCAAUCAUGGCUAACUUCAGCACAAUCAUGGACAAACAAUAUUACUUGUGUAGAAUGCAAUCAUGGCUCAUUUGAAGUUUUGAUACUCAAGCUGUUAUGACCGGCAUCCCAUAUGCCAGGCACAAGCCCAUUGGUGGCUAGGGGGAGCAAGCGGCCAGGGGGAUAAGAGUCCCUAUAUAUCUUAUUUAGUUAUUAUUUAUUCCUAUUAUUAUUAGAGAGGAGUAUAAAUACUUGUAAAGACUUGGUGAUUUGAUUAAGCAGAAACAAUCUAUUGUUUCCGGCUUCCUAAAGGAAGUCGGGAGAAUUAGCCCUAGCUCUCUUCCUCUCGUGCAGCCACGGCUCCUCGCCGCCGCUCCGCCCUCUUCAAGCCCCGACCUCCGAUCACACACGCCUACAAUCUGCGAUCAGCUAGAGGCAGAACCCCGCUGCCUAUCAAACUGGUAUCAGACUUCAUGGCGUCCUCGGCCUCUCCCCCGCCGCCGACAUCCGCCGCGCCAGCCGCCACCGCCGCGCCUUCGAUGACCUCAGCCACGGUGGUCCAGCCGUCGCUGCCGCUGGGAACGGCCUCUGCGGCAGCUCCUGUUUUGUCUCCAGAGCAGACAACAGCGGUGCUCUUGGAUCUCAGGCACGCCAUGCAGGAGGUCCAGGACACGCUGAAGGGUCUCCUCACCGGUCAGCUUCCAAUACCAUCGCUGCAGUCCACGCAGCCACCCCCGCCACUACCACUGUUGCCCUCAUCUGCGGCCGCCCAGAUGUUCUCCUACCCCUACGGGACGCCCAUCGAUGCGGCGCCGUCGGGCUCCUCCGCCCCUAUGCCAUCCACACAGGAGCCCCUCCCCCUGCUUCGUUUUCCGCCGUCGCCGUCUCAGAUACCUGCCUGGGCAUUGGGAUCUUCGGCGCCCAUCUUCACCACAGCUGCGCCGCGCCCCCAUGUUCCACUAGCGCCGACCCCGACCAUUGGCAUGGCCCAUGGCGGGCCAUUCGCAGCGGGCACACUCUAUGGUGGGGUUGAUGGCCCACCUGUUCAUGGCGGCGGUCUUCUUCCAGCCUACUCUGCUCCCUCACCAGCCCUCUACGCCGAUCUGGAGGGCGACUACCAGGGGACCGGCCAGGGUUUCCAUUCGCCGAAGUUCCACAAGCUAGAGUUCUCGAUGUACGACGGCUCCGAGGACCCUCUGAAUUGGCUCAAUCACUGAGAGCAAUUUUUCAGGGGCCAGCGCACUCUGGCUUUCGAUCGCACACGCCCUCGAGCAGGAUGAGUGGAUGCCUCCAUGGGAUCGCUUCAGGGAGUUGUGUCACCUCCAGUUCGGUCCGCCGGUCCGCGGCACUCGCUUGGCCGAGUUAGCCCGCCUGCCGUUCACCUCCACCGUGCAUGAGUACUCCGACCGCUUUAAGGCGCUGCAGUGCCACGCCCGCAACCUGUCGGCUCCACAGAAGGCGGAGCUCUACGUGGGCGGCUUACCGGAGCACAUCCGGGUCGACGUCGAGCUCCGCGACCCCCAGGAUCUCCAAACGGCCAAGGACCUCGCCAGGGCGUUCGAGCGGCGCGCCGCAGCCAUGGCGGCAGUUCCCGCUGCGCGCGGUGUGCGCCCUCCACCGCGGGCAGGCGUGCCUCCAUCUCCCCGUCCUCCAGCCGGGCCUCCUGCACCAGUGGGCGUGCCAGGUCAGGCUGCAGCGGGUAACGCUGUUCCGCCAGCAUAGCAGUUCCGCCGUCUUUCUCCGGCGGAGCAGCUAGAACACCGCCGUCAAGGGUUGUGCUACAACUACGACGAACCCUACGUUCACGGUCAUGUGUGCCCGCACCUCUUCUACCUCGAGUCAGAUGACUACAUCGACGAUGCGUUGGUGGCCGCUGAGGCCGCCGACGGGGUCACCCACCUCGAGGACACGCUGCUUAGGAAACUGCGACCGAUACGGCCCUCGUGGCCUCCCUUCAUGCCCUUGUAGGUAUUCGCACAGCGAACACAAUGUUGCUUCCCGUGACGGUGAAAGGGGAGCGCCUGUUGGCGCUGCUCGACACGGGCUCGACGCACAACUUCCUCCAGGGUGCGACGAUGCGCCGCCUGGGACUCACUUCGCAGGAGCCGGAGGCGAGUCGUUCAAUGUCACAGUAGCCAACGGCGAUCGGCUACCAUGUGAGGGCAUUGCUCACAACGUUCCUGUCUCCAUCGGCAACGAGUCCGUCUCGAUCACGUGCGUCGGCCUGGAUUUGGGCUGUUUUGACUUCAUCCUCGGCGUCGACUACCUACGGACCUUGGGCCCCAUCCUAUGGGACUUCGAGGCCAUGACGCUCUCCUUCUCGCGCGAGGACUGCCGCGUCCUUUGGCAGGGCGUGCGCAGCCCCAGCGUGGCUGCUCCCCAGCAGCAGCUCGCUGCCCUCUCGGCUGACGCCCAGCAGCCGCUGCUGGACGUGCUCCUACAGCAGCAUGGUGCCAUCUUCGACGAGCCCACGGGGCUCCCUCUGGCACGCCCGUACGACAACCGCAUCCACCUGCUGCCCGGUACCGCCCCAGUCGUGGUGCGACCGUACCACUACCCCCAGUUACAGAAGGACGAGCUGGAGAGACAGUGUGCAGCCAUGCUCGCCCAAGGCAUCAUUCGGCUGAGUACCUCUCCGUUCUCCACGCCCGUUCUGUUGGCGCGGAAGGGGGACAAGUCUUGGCGUUUCUGCAUCGACUACCGUUCCCUCAACGCCAAGACCUCCAAGGACAAGUUCCCGAUACCGUGGUGGACAAGCUGCUGGACGAGCUGCAUGGUGCUUGAUUCUUCUCCAAGCUCGAUUUGCGUUCGGGCUAUCACCAGGUGCGGAUGCACCCCGACAACAUCGACAAGACUGCCUUCCACACGCACCAUGGCCAUUAUGAGUUUCUGGUGAUGCCAUUUGUGCUGUCCAAUGCUCCGGCAACCUUCCAAGUCUUGAUGAAUGAUGUGCUUCGACCCUACCUUCGCCGGUUCGUGCUGGAGUUUUUCGACGACAUUCUUAUUUACAGCUCAUCGUGGGCAGCGCACUUGCAGCAUGUCAACAUCGUCCUCAACACGCUCCGAGCACAUCACCUUCACUUGAAGCGCUCCAAGUGCUCGUUCGAUGCGACAUCGGUGGCCUACCUAGGCCAUGUCAUCUCUUCACGUGGCGUCGCCAUGGAUGUCGACAAGGUUGCUGCAGUGGCCGCGUGGCCUACCCCACGCUCCGCUCGCGGCCUCCGCGGGUUUCUGGGCCUCGCCGGUUACUACAGGAAGUUCAUCCGAGAUUUCGGCCUCAUCGCAGCACCUCUUACACGUCUCUUGUGGCGAGACGCGUUCAUAUGGGAUGACGACGCCACAACAACAUUCGAGGCGCUGAAGAAGGCCCUGACCACGGAGCCUGUACUCCAGAUGCCGAACUUUACCACGGUGUUCGUGGUGGACUGUGAUGCUUCAGGCGCGGGAUUCGGCGCUGUCAUUCACCAGGGCGCGGGUCCCCUCGCCUACUUCAGCCGCCCCUUUGCUGCCCCUCACUUGAAGCUGGCGGCAUACAAGCGCGAGCUCAUCGGUUUGUCCAGGCAGUUCAUCAUUGGCGUCCAUACUUGUGGGGGCACCACUUCCUGGUUUGUGCUGACCACUACAGUCUCAAAUUUUUGCUUGACCAGCGCUUGUCCACUAUUCCUCAGCAUUAGUGGAUCAGCAAGCUCUUCGGCUUUGACUUCGCUGUGGAGUAUUGUACGGGGCGUCUGAACUCUGUGGUGGAUGCCCUCUCUCGCCAGGACGCGGAGGAGGGUGUGGUCACCUUCGAGGGGGCGGCUAUGGCCAUCCAUGCCUUGUCUGGGCCAACGUUCGCUCUCCUUGAUGACAUCCGGCGGGCAACAAUGGCCGCUCCUGAUGGCCAGCAGCUCCUUCAGCACCUUCGGGCCGGUGACCUAUUGUCGCCGUGGCGCUUCGACGACGGCCUUUUUCUCCACGGCUCCCGUAUUUUUGUGCCGGAUCAUGGGGACUUGUGCCAUAAAGUCCUCCUGCUGGCGCAUUUGGCGGGCCAUGAGCAUGUGUAGAAGACUCUUCACCGCCUCUGUGCUGAUUUCUACAUCCCACAUGAUUGGGCGUUGGUCCAAGAUUGGGUGCGCUCUUGCACCACCUGCCAGCGGAACAAGGUGGAGACGUAGCCGGCGAGGCUGUUGCAGCCUCUCGAGGUGCCGUCCCAAGUGUGGGCCGACAUCUCAAUGGAUUUCAUCGAGGGGCUGCCCAAGGUCGGCGGCAAGUCCAUCAUCCUCACUGUGGUCGAUCGCUUCUCCAAGUACGCUCACUUCAUCGCGCUCGGCCAACCCUACACUGCCACGACCGUCGUCCAGGCUUUCUUCGAAGGCAUUGUUCGCCUUCAUGGGUUUCCGCUCUCUAUUAUGAGUGACCGGGACCCUGUCUUUACCUGGCAUGUGUGGCAGGACCUAUUCAAGAUGGCCGGUGUUACUCUCCGCAUGAGCACAGCUUUUGACCCUCAGACAGAUGGGUAGUCCGAGGUGGUCAAUUGGUGAUCACCAUGUACUUGCGCUGUGUGACGGGCGACCGCCCGCGUGCAUGGGUGGACUGGCUCUCGUGGGCAGAGUAUUGCUAUAAUACUUCCUUCCACACCGCCCUGCGUGCUACUCCUUUUGAGGUGGUCUACGGUCGUCCUCCCCUGCCGAUGCUUCGUUACACGCCCGGGACAGAGGCCCGGGACGGCGCGUACUGAAGCUACUGAUGUUAUUCUCUGUUCCCGUGAUGAGGUUUUGGCGGAAGUUCACCAACGUCUUUUGCAGGCCCAGCAAUUGUCCAAAAAAUAUUAUGAUGCAGAGCACCGCGAUGUGGAAUUUCAGGUGGGCGAUUGGGUCUCGCUGUGGUUGCUGCACCGGACAGCACAGUCCCUCGAGCCGCGCGCCAAGGGCAAGCUCGGCCCUCGCUAUGUUGGGCCGUUCCAGGUUCUGGAACGCAUUGGCCAGGUGGCGUAUCGUCUUCGGCUACCAUGAUGGAUAAGUCUCUGUUGGCUGGUGGUUGUGGGCUGCAGUAGGCAGCACAUGGUCCUUGUGUAGGACAGCAUCCUUGACUGCUUUUAGGACAGCAGUUAGCAUCUGUAGGACAGCAUCUUAGACUAGCAUCUUAGACUAGUAUCUUGGCAUAUGCUGGCUGGUUAGCAGCCCUAUAAAUAUGUAUCCCCAACCCCUCAGGUUGGUAUAGCAUUGUGUGAGAAAUAAACCCAGAAAAUUGCCCCAACUCAGUGUGCUAUCCUCUCAAUGAGAGUAAGGAUCCUGCUCACACCUAGAGCAAGGAUCCAGCGACUAACAAGUGGUAUCAGAGCCGUAGUAUCCUGUAGCCUAAGCAUUUCCUGCUCAAUCCCUUCUCCAGUCGAGCUCCCUGCCUCGCAGCAGCCCCGGCUGGCAGCAGCAGCUGUUCCGGCUGCCUCUGCUCUCCGCGCAGCAGCGCGCCAUGGCCGCAGAAGGGCAGUCUCAGCACUCGGGCACCUCGAGCGCGCGGCGUCGGCAGGAGGCCGACCUCGCUGCAGCAGAGGAGCGCAGGCGAGCAGCGGCAGCGACCGCUGCAGCAGCAGCGAGGGCGUCGAGGCUGGCCCAAGCGGAGCUGGCAGCAGCCAGAGCGGAGGUGGAGGCAGCAGCAGCUGCAGAUGCAGCGCGUGCAGCGGCAGCGGAGGUUGAGGACCUGCGCAGCAGUCACAGCAGCUCCAUCGCUGCUGAUGACAGUGCUGACCCAGACCUGGAGCUGCUGGAGAGAGAUGCAGCACGCCGGCGAGCGGCGCAGUGGGCAGCUGUGCACGCCCACGAGCGUGGCCGCAGUCCAGACAGGCGUGGAGGCGCUGGCGGCGUUCCUGGAGGAGGCGCGCACGGCAACGGCAGUGGACGGGUCGAGGAAGAGCAUGGCCUUCGCAGGCCACGUGGCUCUCUCUCCCCGGACCGGUACCGUGGUGGAGCCGGCGACGCUCUUGGAGGAGGCGCACAUGGCAACGGCGGUGGACGGGUCGAGGGAGAGCACGGCCUUCGCAGGCCGCGUGGCUCUCUCUCCCCGGAUCGGUACCGUGGCUACCACGGGUACCAGGCUGUUGCCAGGGACGUUGGCCCUGGUGGUGGGUGGCCUACCCUCACCAAGACCAACUAUGUUGAGUGGGCUGCGGUGAUGAAGGUGAGACUUCAGGUGCUGCACAUGUGGGAGGCAGUCCGGUACGGCGACGUCGACUACGACCAGGAUCGACGGGCACUGAAUGCCCUCAUCGCUGCAGUCCCGACCGAGAUGCAGUUCUCGCUUACCAGCAAGCGGACUGCCAAGGAUGCUUGGGACGCCAUUGCUGCAGCACGCAUCGGCAGUGAUCGCGCCCGCAAGUCCACACUGCAGCAACUCCGCAAGGAGUGGGAGGACUUGGCCUUCAAGCCAGGUGAGGACGUUGAUGAUUUUGCUCUCCGUCUCAACACUUUGCUGCGGAAAGUGGUGCAGUUUGGUGACAACACCUACAACGAGGAGAGAGCUGUCGAGAAGCUCUUCCGCUGCGUCCCCGAGAAGUACAAGCAGAUGGCUCGCUCAAUCGAGUCCCUGCUAGACCUCUCCACGAUGUCGAUCGAGGAGGCGAUAGGUCGCCUCAAGGUCGUCGACAUUGACGAGCCACAACCCUCCUCGGGGCCCAAGCUCCUUCUCACCCGGGAGCAGUGGGCUGCCGGGCAAGGUGACAAGAAGAAGGGGGAGCCUUCUUCUGCAGCAGCCAGCCGCAAGCGUGGCAAGCGCGGCAAGUCACGCAAAGGCGCCCAGGCCGGGGCGCAAGGGCGUGCCAACGGAGGCGCCCGCGGAGGUGUCCAAGGCGCCGCCGCCGAAAAACCCAAGCCGGCACAAGAUGACUGCUGCAGGAACUGUGGUCUUGCUGGCCAUUGGGCUAAGGACUGCAGGCAGCCACGACGCGCCCAGGCCCACGUCGCGCAGGCGGAGGAGGAGGAGCCGACAGCUCUGUUCAUGGCACAUGCUAGCGCCGAGCCAUCUCCAGCAGCACCGGCUGCAGCGGCUCUUCUCCACCUCGACGAGGCCAAGGCACACGCCCUCCUCAGCAGCGGGUCCGGCGGCAGCAACAAGAUCGAUGGGUGGUGCCUCGACACCGGCGCCACCCACCACAUGACAGGCCGGCGGGAGUUCUUCUCCGAGCUCGACUCCAACGUUCGAGGCUCCGUCAAGUUCGGGGACGCCUCCGCCGUAGAGAUCAAGGGCGCCGGCUCCGUAAUCUUCGUCGCCAAGAAUGGUGAGCAUCGGCUGCUCACCGGCGUCUACUACAUCCCCGCGCUGAGGAACUCCAUCAUCAGCUUGGGACAGCUGGAUGAGAAUGGCUCGCGCGUGGAGAUCAAGGACGGCGUGCUUCGCAUUUGGGAUCCUCGUCACCGACUUCUCGCCAAGGUGAACAGGGGGAGCAACCGCCUCUACGUCCUUCACGUACAGGUGGCGCAACCUUUUUGCCUUGCAGCUCGGCGAGACGAUGAAGCCUGGCGGUGGCACGAGCGCUUUGGGCACCUCAACUUCGAGGCCCUAAAGCAGCUCGGCAACAAGGAGAUGGUGCAGGGCAUGCCGUGUGUCGACCACGUGGAGCAGUUCUGCGACACCUGCGUCCUCACCAAGCAGCGACGGCUGCCCUUUCCCCGCCAAGCAAGCUUCCGCGCCAAGGAGAAGCUGGAGCUCGUGCACGGCGACCUUUGCGGCCCCGUGACACCAGCUACACCUGGAGGACGACGCUACUUCCUCCUCCUCGUCGACGACGCGUCCCGCUACAUGUGGGCUGUCCUCCUCGACACCAAGGGGGCAGCCGCGGACGCCAUCAAGCACCACCAAGCUGCUGCGGAGGAGUGCGGCCGCAAGCUUCGGGUGCUGCGCACAGACAACGGCGGCGAGUUCACGGCGGCUGAGUUCGCGGCGCACUGCGCCGACGAGGGGAUCCAGCGCCACUUCAUCGCGCCGUACACCCCGCAGCAGAACGGCGUCGUCGAGCGCCGCAACCAGACGGUGGUCGCCACCGCCCGCGCCCUCCUCAAGCAGAGAGGGAUGCCGGCGAUCUACUGGGGAGAGGCGGUGAUGACCGCUGUCCAUCUCCUCAACCGCUCGCCCACCAAGGCGCUUGACGGCAUGACGCCGUACGAGGCUUGGCACGGGCGCAAGCCGGUGGUGAGUCACCUCCGCAUCUUCGGUUGUCUGGCGUUCGCCAAGGAGCUCACUCACGUCGGCAAGCUUGACGACCGGAGCACUCCAGGAGUGUUCAUCGGCUACGCGGAGGGCGCCAAGGCCUACCGCAUCCUCGACCCUGUGACACAGCGCGUCCGCAUCUCUCGGGACGUCGUGUUCGAUGAAGGGCGAGGCUGGACUUGGGACAAGGCGGUGGACGACGGCUCGGCUUCGACCCUCAGGGACUUCGUCGUCGACUACGUCCACUUGGAGGGAGCCGGGGGAGCUAGCAGCUCGUCCUCACCGAGCUCGCCCUCCUCGGCACCCAGCUCGCCAUCAGCUUCGGCGAGCCCACCACCGCCUUCACCACCAGCGAGUCCAACACCACCGGCUACACCACGCACUCCUGCACCGGCUCCCCACUCUCCUGCACCGGCACCGGCAACUCCAAGGUCGGCACCAGCAGCUUUGGUCCGUCAGCGUUCGGUGGAGUUCGCCACUCCACUGUCCGGCGACGAGGAUCGCGUCGACGCCUACCACGACGAUGAGCCUCUACGCUACCGCACCAUGGACAACAUCCUCGGUAACCAACGUGUCCCUGGGUUAGCGGUACACGACUUCGAGGCAGAGCUGCACCUGGCACACGAGGACGGUGAGCCUCGCUCCUUCGCUGAGGCAGAGGGAGACGCGGCAUGGCGUGCCGCGAUGCAGCAGGAGAUGGACGCGGUCGAGCAGAACCGCACUUGGGAGCUCGCUGAUCUCCCUCGUGGUCACCGCGCGAUCACCCUUAAGUGGGUGUUCAAGCUGAAGAGGGAUGAAGCCGGUGCCAUCGUCAAGCACAAGGCUCGCUUGGUGGCACGAGGUUUCGUGCAGCAGGAGGGGGUCGACUUCGACGACGCCUUCGCCCCCGUAGCACGGAUGGAGUCCGUGCGACUUCUCCUUGCGCUAGCUGCCCAGGAGGGCUGGCGUGUCCAUCACAUGGAUGUCAAGUCGGCGUUCCUUAACGGCGACUUGAAGGAGGAGGUCUACGUGCACCAGCCGCCGGGAUUUGUGAUUCCCGGCAAGGAAGGCAAGGUGCUUCGUCUGCGCAAGGCCCUCUAUGGCUUGCGGCAGGCACCGAGGGCGUGGAAUGCCAAACUGGAUUCCACAAUGAAGGGGAUGGGCUUCGAGCAAAGCCCGCACGAGGCGGCCAUCUACCGGCGGGGCAGGGGACGAAAGGCCCUGCUGGUGGGUGUCUACGUCGAUGAUCUUGUGAUCACCGGCACCGAGGAGGUGGAGAUCGAGGCGUUCAAGGAGAAGAUGAGGGCGACCUUCCAGAUGAGCGACUUGGGCCCUCUCUCUUUCUACCUGGGGAUCGAGGUCCACCAGGACAGCUCCGGUACCUCUCUCCGCCAGACAGCCUACGCCAAGCGCAUUGUGGAGCUGGGCGGUCUCACCGGCUGCAACCCAGCCCACACUCCUAUGGAGGAGAGGCUGAGGCUGAGUCGGGAGAGUACGGAGGAAGAGGUGGACGCGACGCAGUACCGGCGCAUUGUGGGCAGCCUUCGCUACCUUGUCCACACGCGACCGGACUUGGCGUUCGCCGUCGGCUACGUCAGCCGGUUCAUGCAGCGACCGACGACGGAGCACCAGCAGGCCGUGAAGAGGAUCCUCCGCUACGUUGCGGGCACCUCCGACUACGGUUUGCACUACCCGAGGUGCCCCGGUGCAGCACAUUUCAUCGGGUACAGUGACAGCGACCACGCCGGCGACAUCGACACGAGCAAGAGCACCAGCGGGACGCUCUUCUUCCUCGGCAAGUGUCCGAUCAGCUGGCAGUCGGUCAAGCAGCAGGUGGUGGCUCUGUCCAGCUGCGAGGCAGAAUACAUCGCAGCCACUACCGCUUCUACUCAGGCUCUGUGGCUGGCUCGGCUGCUUGGUGAUCUCCUUGGCAGAGACGCAGAGGCAGUGGAGCUCAGGGUGGACAGCAAGUCCGCCUUGGCCUUGGCGAAGAAUCCAGUCUUCCAUGAGCGCAGCAAGCACAUCCGGGUGAGGUACCACUUCAUCAGGAGCUGCCUGGAGGAAGGGAGCGUUCGGGCCAACUACAUCAACACCCAAGACCAGCUCGCCGACUUUCUGACCAAGUCCCUUGGACGAGUCAAGUUCCAGGAACUUCGCGCCAGGAUCGGGAUGGCUCAGAUACCCCACAAGGAGCCACACAAGACUUAGGGGGAGAAUGAUGGAUAAGCCUCUGUUGGCUGGUGGUUGUGGGCUGCAGUAGGCAGCACAUGGUCCUUGUGUAGGACAGCAUCCUUGACUGCUUUUAGGACAGCAGUUAGCAUCUGUAGGACAGCAUCUUAGACUAGCAUCUUAGACUAGCAUCUUGGCAUAUGCUGGCUGGUUAGCAGCCCUAUAAAUAUGUAUCCCCAACCCCUCAGGUUGGUAUAGCAUUGUGUGAGAAAUAAACCCAGAAAAUUGCCCCAACUCAGUGUGCUAUCCUCUCAAUGAGAGUAAGGAUCCUGCUCACACCUAGAGCAAGGAUCCAGCGACUAACAUACCAGAGGGUGCUCGUUUGCACGACGUCUUCCACGUGGGCUUGCUCAAGCGCCACAAAGGUGAACUCCUAGCAGCGCCAGGCGUUCUCCAGCCUACUAUGGAUGGUCGGCUAUUGUCAGUCCCUACCAAGGCUCUUAAGGUUCAGCAGCGCCGGGGCGUUUGGCACGUCCUUGUUCAAUAGCGCGGACUUUCUGAAGAAGAUGCAACAUGGGAGUCUCUCGACGAGUUUUGCACCCUCUACCCCUACUUCCAGCUCGACGACGAGCUGUUUUUGCAGGCGGGGAGAGAUGUUAUGACCGGCAUCCCAUAUGCCAGGCGCAAGCCCAUUGGUGGCAAGGGGGAGCUGGCGGCCAGGGGGAUAAGAGUCCCUAUUUAUCUUAUUUAGUUAUUAUUUAUCCCUAUUAUUAUUAGAGAGGAGUAUAAAUACUUGUAAAGACUUGGUGAUUUGAUUAAGCAGAAACAAUCUAUUGUUUCCGGCUUCCUAAAGGAAGUCGGGAGAAUUAGCCCUAGCUCUCUUCCUCUCAUGCAGCCACGGCUCCUCGCCGCCGCUCCGCCCUCUUCAAGCCCCGACCUCCGAUCACACACGCCUACAAUCUAUGAUCAGCUAGAGGCAGAACCCCGCUGCCUAUCAGAAGCCACAAAAUGCAAUCAUGGCUAACUUCAGUACAAUCAUGGACAAACAAUUCAGCACUAACUUGUGUAGCUGCGGUAUUUUGUGAUUGCCAUGAUUUCAUUCUUUUGAAGCACAAACAAUAUUACUUCAUGGACAACUUCAGUAGAAUCAGGCUAACUUGUGUAGAAAUACUGUUGUGUAAAGAAGCAAAGAAAACAUAUUAAUGCAGUAAGUACCAGCAAUGUGGCCGCUAGAACAUGCAUCUGCGACUGCUUGAGUAUCCAUGAUUGCUCCUCGAGCAUUAUUCACAAUAAUUACACCUUUCUUCAUCUUUGCAAUCCUCUCUUUGUUAAACAUGCCUCUGAACAGAAGAGCCAACAAAACUGUUAGAUAUAUGUAUAUCUAUGGGGUUAAUUGUAUAUUGCUUACUUGUAACUCAAGUCAUUAUUGACUAUAUAAUCAAAGCCACCCAACCCAAGGGGUAUGAGGUGUUUGUCAUAAUUCUGCAUGGUAUCAAGCUACUAGGGUUUAUACCCUCCCGAUCCCUACCCUUCCGCUGCCCUAACCCCCUGGCCGCCUCCACAGCCGCCGUGCCCUAGGGCGCCGCUGCUCCACCAGCCGCCGCCGUCUCUCUCAGGCCGCCGCCCCACCUCCCACCAUGUCUACCUCUUCUACAACCUCUGCUGCAACCUCUGGCACCCAGGGUGCCAACCCCUCCACCUCUCUCGGAUCUGGUGAAGGCACCCCCAUCAUCGCGCCCCCCCUACGCCGCCGUCAACGUGAAGCACCAUGUUCCCAUCACGUUGGAGUUGGCUCACCCCAACUACAACAAGUGGGCUGCCUUCUUCACCUCCCUCUGCGGCAAGUUCUACCUCGGCAGCCACGUCGACGGCUCUCUGGCGCCUGCUCCCACCGAUGCAUCGUGGGUUGCUGCAGACUGCGAUGUUCGUGGAUGGAUCUACAGAUCCGUCGCUGACGACGUCCCCGACCUCGCCAUGGCUCCCGAGCAGACGGCUCGUGACCUAUGGGUCGCGAUCGCGGAUCUGUUCCAGGCCAACAAGGCGCCGCGUGCUGUCUUCCUUGCGGAACAGUUCCAUUCAAUGACACAGGGCGACCUUUCCAUCGACCAGUUCUGUCAACGCAUGAAGCAGACUGCUGAUUCCCUCCGUGAUGUUGGCCACACCAUCCUCGCCUCCCAGCUCGUGCUGAACCUUCUGCGUGGUCUCAACCCGCACUACUCCAGCACUGCCGACGACAUUGUCAACAAGGACGUGCUGCCGUCCUUUGCUGCUGCUCACAACAUGCUCGUCCUCAAGGAGCUUCGCCUUGCCAACGAGUCCAAGGUGCAGACUGGUGCUGCUCUCCUUGCAGGCCCUCCGUCGUCAUCUACCUGCACCAACGCAUCCUGCCGCUCCUCCAACUCUGGUUCUCCCGCCGCCCCUCCUCAGCAGCAUGCGGGGAACUCAGGUUCUGGAGGGGGCGGCUCUGGUGGUGGUCGCAACAACAACCACCACCGUGGUGGUCGCCGUGGCAACAGUCAGCAGCAGCAACAAGCCGGCGGUCACCGACAACAGGCUGCCCAACCCGCUGGUCCAUGGUUCUGCUUCAGUCCAGCUGCUUUCUAGACUGGGCAGCGCCCUGCCUGGCGCCCUCCUGGUGGUCCCGGUGUGCUCAGGCAAGCAUCCCAGGCGCACACUGCCUUCGCGCCCCUGCAAUACUCCAUGUCGGCGCUCCCACCGCAGCAGCAGCAGUGGGAUCCUACUGCCCUGGUUGCUGCCCUCAACCAGAUGUCUAUGAACCAGGACGGUGCACCUUGGGUCAUGGACACCAGCGCCACUGCCCACAUGCACUCCUACGACGGUAUCCUUACUUUCCGCUCCCCUCCUUCCUCCCCGUCCGUCAUUGUCGGUGAUGGAACCUCUCUCUCUCUCAAUGGGCAGGGCAACUGCCUUCUCUCCACGCCUUCCUCCAACUUUGCACUAAAUAAUGUUCUUAUUGUUCCAUCCAUUAUUCGCAAUCUCCUUUCCGUACGUCAGUUCACUCGUGACAACAACUGUUCUGUCAAAUUUGACGCUCUUGGUUUUUCUGUUAAGGAUCCUCGGACCAGUCGGGUGAUGCUUCGCUGCUCCGGCGACCUCUACACCUUCCCUGUCGCCUCCCAUCAAGCUUAUGCCGCCUCAUCCGAUGUUGCCCUCCUGUGGCACGGUCGUCUGGGUCAUCCUAGUCCAGCAGUUUUCACUCGCCUCCAGCGUUUAGUCCCCUCUAACAAAUACCUCACUAGCAUCUGCCAUGCCUGUCAGCUUGGCAAACAUGUUCGUCUUUUAGUAGUUCCUCUUCAUGUACCUUGGCUCCAUUUGAACUACUGCACUGUGAUGUUUGGACAUCUCCUAUUUCUAGUGUUUCCGGCAAUUCUUAUUACCUGGUUAUAUUAGAUGAUUACACUCAUUACUGCUGGACGUUUACCCUUAAGCGCAAGUCUGAUGUUCAUCAGCAUCUAGUUCAGUUUUGUGCCUUUGCUCGCACCCAGUUCUCGCUGCCCGUUAAGUGCUUCCAAGCAGAUAACGGGACUGAAUUUGUGAACGCCACAGCAACCUUUCUCACAUCCAAUGGGAUCCUCCUUCGUCUUUCCUGCCCCUAUACUUCGGCCCAAAAUGGCAAGGCUGAACGUGUUUUGCGCACUCUCAAUGACAUAGUCCGCACUCUUCUUCUCCACUCCUCCAUGCCUUCAGCCUAUUGGGCUGAAGCCCUCGCCACCGCCACUUACCUCUUAAAUCGCCGCCCGAGCUCUGCUAUUUCUCACGAGAUUCCUUUUUCUCGCCUUUAUGGACAGCCGCCUGAUCUGUCCAAUCUUCGUGUUUUCAGGUUCCUCUGCUAUCCUAACCUUUCUGCCAACAUUCCCCAUAAGCUCGCACCACGUUCCUCUGCGUGUCUGUUCCUCGGCUACCCGACAUCUCACAAAGGCUAUCGCUGCCUUGAUCUGUCCUCUCGUCGCGUCAUCAUAUCUCACCAUGUUGUGUUCGAUUAGACCACUUUUCCUUUUUCAGCUAACAUUGCAGGGCUCUCCUCUCCGGCGUCGCUCAACUUCCUUGUCGAUGACAGUGACAAUCUUGCGCCACUCCUUCAAGGUGUCACACCCCAGCCUGGUGGGCGUGGUUCUGUACCCCCGUUCGGCUCGCCGACUCAACCUGGCGGGCGUGGUUCUGUACCCCCGUCCGGCUUGCUGACUCCACCUGGCGGGAGUGGUUUUGUGCCCCUGUCCGGCUCGCCGCCUCAGCCUGGUGGGCGUGGCUCCAUGCCCCUGUUCGGCUCGCCGCCUCUUGAUGACCCCGCCGUCAUCUCCUGCGGCCGUAUUGUUCCAGCCAUCCCACCGACGUCACAGGUCCCGUCGGGGCGGUUCGGCAAGGUCUUCAUCCGUCUUCCCAAGCCGCCGACCUCAGCACCUACUCCGACCGCGGGAACCACAGCCCCCGCUACUGGUGCCUCACCCGCUCCUGGUGUGCCAGCAGGUGACCUCGCUGCCCCUGGUGCACAGCCAGGUACCCCGCUGCCAGGAGGCCCGGCCGCAGCAAUCCCACCUGCUGCUCGUGCUACUACAAGGCUGCAAUCCGGCGCUAUUCGUCUCGUUGACUACAGCAGCGCGUUCCUGUCUACCACCGUCGCCUCGCCACUACCAGCUAACUAUCGCAGUGCACUAGCUAAUCCGUAGUGGCGUGCUGCUAUGGCGGAGGAAUUUCAGGCUCUUGUUGAUAACAACACCUGAAGGCUGGUUCCUCGUCCACCUCGUGCCAACAUCGUCACUGGCAAGUGGAUUUUCAAGCACAAGUAUAAUGCUGAUGGUUCGCUUGCUCGACACAAGGCUCGCUAGGUUGUCCAGGGUUUCUCUCAAUAGUACGGCGUCGACUAUGAUGAGACCUUCAAUCCAGUUGUUAAACCGGCCACCAUCCACGUUGUUCUCAGCAUUGCUACAUCGCGCUCUUGGCCGAUCCACCAGCUCGACGUGAAGAACGCCUUUCUUCAUGGUCAUCUUCAAGAGACCGUCUACUGUCAGCAGCCUCCAGGCUUCGUCGACCCUUCUGCUCCUGACCAUGUUUGUUUGCUGCAGAGGUCUCUUUAUGGUCUGAAACAGGCACCUCGGGCGUGGCACCAGCGGUUUGCCACGUAUCUUCGACAGCUCGGGUUCCAGCCCUCGGCCUCUGAUGUGUCUCUCUUUAUUUAUAAAGAUAGAGACAGUGUCGCCUACCUGUUGCUCUACGUCGACGACAUUGUCCUGACGGCCUCUUCUCCGGCACUCCUCGUCGCAUCACUGAGCGUCUUAGCUCAGAAUUUGUGAUGACGGAUCUCGGCGCGCUUCACCACUUCCUCGGCAUCUCCAUCACGCGCACGGCCGAUGGUCUGUUCCUCUCCCAGCGGCAGUAUGCUGUUGAGCUUCUCCAGCGUGCUGGCAUGUCAGAGUGCCAUCCCACCACGAUGCCUGUGGACUCUAAGUCCAAACUAUCCGCUGCUGGUGGUCCUCCCGUCGACGACCCUGCUUUCUACCUCAGCCUUGCUGGUGCGCUGCAGUAUUUGACACUCACACGUCCAGACUUGGCAUAUGCAGUUCAGCAGGUCUGUCUGUUCAUGCAUGAUCCGUGGGAGCCGCAUCUUGCUCUCGUCAAGCGCAUUCUUCGCUAUGUCAAGGGCACCCUUACGCAAGGUUUGUAUAUUGGCACUGGUCCUGAUCGCUUUCUCACGGCGUACUCUGAUGCGGACUAGGCUGGUUGUCCUGACUCCCGGCGCUCCACGUUAGGCUACCGUGUCUUCCUCGGUGACACGCUGAUGAUCUGGUCUUCCAAACGGCAGACCACUGUCUCCCAAUCUAGUGCCGAAGCGGAGUACCGGGCGGUUGCUCAUGCAGUCGCCGAGUGUUGUUGGCUGCGCCAACUUCUUUAGGAGCUGCAUCUGCCUCUACAGUCGGCUACAGUUGUCUCCUGUGACAACGUUAGCGCUGUAUAUAUGACAGCUAACCCUGCUCAUCAUCGCCGGACCAAACAUAUUGAGAUCGACAUUCACUUCGUCCGAGAGAAGGUGGCUCUUGGCGAAAUACAGGUUUUCCAUGUACCGUCGUCUCAUCAGUUCGCUGACAUCAUGACUAAGUGUCUUCCUGUACAGUUGUUCAGUGAUUUUAGGUCUAGUCUGUGCGUCCGUGAAUCUCACGCUUCAACUAUGGGGGAGUGUUAGAUAUAUGUAUACCUAGAGGGUUAAUUGUAUAUUGCUUACUUGUAACUCAAGUCAUUAUUGACUAUAUAAUCAAAGCCACCCAACCCAAGGGGUAUGAGGUGUUUGCCAUAAUUCAGCAAAAACUCAGAAAAUGCAUAUGUUAAAAUAUUUUGGAAAUGACAAGUUACAAACCUUGUUUUCUCCGUAAGAGGUGUGUUGAUCACAAUCACAUCACACUUCGGAAGCAUAGCAUCCAGGUCCUCCUCAAAUUUGGCCCCAAUUUCUUUCUCAAGCUCUGGGUCAAUCUGAAGUCUGUCAUGGUAAAGCAGGUUGCAGUUAAAGGGCUUAAGACGCUGAAGCAAGAGCCUGCCUAUACGACCAGCCCCAACAGUCCCAACAGUUUUUCCUUCAAGAUCAUAAGCUCUGUGGGCAAUGCCUGCUACGUUCCAUUCACCUUGAACUACCUGUUGGUACCCAGGCAAGAAGUUCCUGAGCAGAAUCAGAAUGCGCAAGAGCUCAUCUUCUGCAACAGAGACGGUGUUACUUCCAGUGACCUCAGCCACAGUUAAGCCUGCAGCAGCCGCUGCUGGAAGAUCAAUAUGAUCAGAGCCGAUUCCAGCAGUGAGAAGAAGCUCAAGAUUCUUUGCCUUCUUUAUCCUCUCUGCAGUGACAUAAGCUGGGUGGAAAGGGGUGGUAAUCAGGACAUGCAUGUCUUCAAUGUGCUUCUCCAGUUCUGGAAACAAUUGCAGAAAUCAUUUAGUCGAAACAAGUACAGAACCAGAGUCUCAUGAAAAUUGUAUCGGAGUUCUGCCAUGGGCUACAAAAAGGUGAUGGGCCAGUUGGUCUCAAGCCCAGGUUACACAGCCUGCCGACUGGUCUGUUCCCCUUACAAGAGUCUAGAACUACAAAUAGCCUGCCAACACCACCAGACCACUGGCCUGCGUCCCUCAUAAAGAAUCAGAGACUUUUUUCGAGACCAAAGGACCAGAGACUCAGAACUGGGGGUCCCAAAAACAAUUGAAUUUUAGAUCUGUUCUAAGUAAAACUAUUUUAAAUUUGAACAAGUUUAUAAAAAAUAAUAUUAAUAGUUAUGAAUUCAAAUGAAUAUAUUAUAAAAAUAUACUCCAUGAUAGAUAUGAUGAUACUUGUUUCAUACUGCCAGUACUAUUUUUUUUCUAUAAAAAAAAUAGUCAAACUGAAGAUGGUUGAAGUUAGCACUGUAGUUAGAAUUGCAUUUUUUUCAGGAUGAAGGGUGUAAAUACUAAGUUGUACAUCAAUAUAUUUCAUUUUAGUAAGCAUAGGUACACAAUCAGCAUCCAUAAGAAUCUUAAGUAAUAGUACAGCAAUAAGACAACAUGACAGUCAAUGCCACUGCAGUUUCCGAACAGUUGGGCUAAACCAGACACUUGGUCAUAGAAUGGCCCUACCAAAUUAAGAACACCAUUUAUCCGUCUCCAUGGAUCAGGAAAAAAAAUCCCCAUUCUAAAUUACCAGAAACAAAAGCAGUUGACGUCUGCAACGUUAUGAUACUGUCAAGCUACCCAGUAUGGACUGGGGAUGCUGCUACCUUCAUCCACUGAGUUACCAGUAAAAAGUUCUAUUUGAGUUCAGAAAUACUCCCUCCGUACCCAAAAAAAAAAGAUCUUACGGGUUUAGUCAAAAUUAAACUGUUGUAAGUUUGAGUAAAUUCCUCAUGUAAUCUUGAAAUGUGUGCAAGAGAUAGCUUUUCUUGCUCUUCUAUUUUAAAAUAUGAAACAAAAUGCUUAGAGCUAGCCGACGUGGUGGGGCUAUACUGACCACAGUUGGGGCCCUCCUUGUCAUCGGUGACAAUGUACUGAUGGCCCUGCGACUCGAGCCAGCCGCGGAUGCCGAGUGCUCCCUCGACGCAGCCGACGAAGUUGGGGUUCUUGUCGGCAUACUCCCCGGCCUUGUAGAACACCCCAACGAUUUUCUUGCUGCCUGCAGACGUCUGCAGAACAAAGGAAGUAUUCAAUCAAUGAGAAUACAUUUGCAAAGUUCCGUGUCAUAAAUAGAUCGGACUGCUCCAGCAUCUGAAAUUAAGGCACAAGCAAUACAUCUGGUGUCAACUAAACUCUAUUAAAUUUCACCCAGGAGGAAAAAAACCAUACACAAGGGAGGGAAAGCAAAAAAGUGAUAAAUGAGAGGAACAGAGAAUCCUGAAAAGAAGCACAGGCAACACUGAAAGGAGUGAAAAAUUCGCCCGUCCCGCACCCGCAGCUGAGAAUCGCGAGCGGAAAGUUGCCGCGUUUUGAUAAACUCGGCGUAAUAGCCACGAUGAAUCAACGAGCACGCGAGAAAGGUAGAGUAGGGAGGAUUGGCUUACGUGUGCGGCGCUUGAACCGAGCGCCCGGUCGACCAGCUGCCUAGCGGCGGCCCUCCACAUCGCCAUGAACCGCGAAGCCAAAGAAGGAUCAGGGAGAAGGAACCGCACGGCCAGGAAGAGCAGGAGUGAGAGCGAGGCGGAAGAGGAAGAGGAAUAACUACAGGAGUGACUGCGGCUAUAUAUGGGUAACGGGCUGGCCUGGCCCGGCCCGACACGGCAGCGGGCCAACACAGCCCGAUGUGGUCAGGCCAAUAAAUUAUGCCGUGCCUUGCGGGUCUAGCCUUCCGCCCAAGCAUAACCCGUUGGGUCAUUUUUUUUAUCAGGCCAGCUCGAUGAACAGGACUUUUUAGCAGACCGGGCUGACUUAAAGUCCACGAAAUACUAGGAGAGAGCCGCGAGAACCAAAGAAGCCGCUCUUGCAGAUUGGCAAAAGUGCUCGGUGUCGGAUCCACCACCUUCCACGAGGAUGUCGUUGUUCUUGAGACGAAGGGCGCCGCACUCGUCGGAGAUUUGGCUGUAGGGGGGAGGUGGCCAACAAACACCGGUUCAUCGCAGUGCUCAAGGCGUGCUAGGAAGUGUGGUGGCUGAGUGGAUUAGGCCUUUAAGUUAGGAAAUGAAAGAUACAAUAUAUAUAUAUAUAUAUAUGACGCGUUUAUUUUACACGCGCGUGUAGUUACUCUCAUCUAUAUAUCUCUAGAUUUAAGGUGUAUAUGACCGAAUGAAAUGUAUAUAGACAAAGUAUAUGAUCAUACUAGACCAUGUAGAGUGAUAUGUAUGUUAAGUAUGUAUGCAUACAUAGAGUAUAUGGUUAUACUUAUUAUAUAUAAUAUAGUAGUGGCAUUUUAGUAAUAUAUUUAAAAUAUAAUUUUUUUUGAAAAAUUUUCGCGUGGUAAGAUCUAGAGUAUCUUAAUAUGAGUAUAUAAACAUACUGAAACCGAUAAACAAGUAUGAAUACAUACACAAUGUAGUUUAUUGAAGAUGAGAGUAACUACACGUACGUGUAAAAAGGAAUUUCCAUAUAUAUAUAUAUAUAUAUAUAUAUAUAUAUAUAGUAUACUCUAUAGCUAGCUAUAGAAUACCAUAUUCUAGCCAGGCCAAUCUGACCGCACCAUCCACCGGCAGUGAUGCCUAUCCAGGCGUGCGCUAGUUGAUUCCUGUAAUUUUUUUUUAAGGAGAUUACCUCUGCUUUUGAGAAAGCAAUAAUAGUUUUUACAGACUGGUGAUACCAGUUUACCAGAUCACAAAAAAACGAAAGAAGCUAGCUCACACUGCUAGUGCUGACCUCCUCAAACAACACACACUUAUUACAAGAUAACAAUGUCUGAAUUAAAGGUGUGAAGACGGCCACUCUUGCUGAUCCAGGACCCUAGGAUCUCCACCAUCUCAGAUAAGUGUAUCUUGUCGGCGUCCUUCAUAAGCUCUCUCCACAUCUGAAGAAGAUUGAUAGUAUUGUACAGAACCACAUUAGGAUUUGCAGGAAAGAUUUUCUGAAUAGCCAUACUAUUUCUAUUUUUCCAGAUUGCCAGUGAAAGAGCAGCAAAGAAUUAACACAAUUCUUUGGGGGACUCCCAGCCUCCUUGGCAGCCAAUCAUACAAGAAAUUCUGUUUUGACGUCGGGAAUUCAUGCCACCCAAAAGCAUCUCUAAUACAGCACCAUAAGUAUUGUGAAAAGCAGCACUCAAAAAAAUGUGGUUAACAGUUUCAUGUUCAUUACAAACACAGCAAAGGGGACUACCCUGCCACCCUCUCCUUUUUAGUGUUACUGCAGCCUGUAGUUUAUCAUGAUACAUUUGCCAAAGAAAAACUUUGACUUUAAGAGGAAUUUUACUCUUCCAAAUCAAGCCACAAAGCCGAUCCCUCACCCCCCAUGGGUUAUUAUGUAGUAUAGAGAUUUAGUAGUAAAAUGAUUUGAUUUGUCUAACACCCAUUUAACAGAAUCUUCCUUAGUACAAUCAAAAUGAACCCCCUCUAAAAUCUGUUGUAAGCCUACCCAUUCCUCAAACCAAGUCCCUUGCAACCUUCUUCUGAAAGUUAAACCCCAUUCCUCUCCAUCCCAAAUGUCACAAACCAGAUCAUGCUGAUUUUCAUUGAUCUCAUAUAAAGCUGCAAACUGAGUUUUUAGUGGCAUGUUCCCAACCCAUGAGUCAUGCCAAAAUCUGACCCUAUCACCUCUAUAAACUUUGUAUUCUGCACCCCACUUAAAUAAGUGUUUCACUUUAUGUAAACCUUUCCAAAACUGAGAAGACCCUUUCUGGUUUGAGCAGAAGAAAUUGCCUGCAUGUAUAUAUUUAGCUUUAAGUAGUUUGCACCACAGUUCAUCUGAUCCAAUCUCAAUUUUCCAAAUCCAUUUAGUUAAGAGGCAUUGGUUCAUGAUUUCAGUAUUGAUAAUUCCUAAACCACCAUGGUCUCUAGGUCUGCACACUGCCAUCCACUUUGCCAUAUGAUAUUUGAAGAUGUCAUCUGCUCCUCUCCAAAAGAAUUUAGAUCUAAUUGUAUCCAUCUUGGCAUGAAGACCCUUUGGUAGAAAAUAAAAACCCAUAACAUACAUGGGCAAACUACUCAAACAAGUAUUCGUUAAAAUCAGUUUCCCCCCUGAGGUCAUGUACUUGCCUUUCCAUGGAUCUAAACGUUUGAUCAUCUUAUUAAGAAUUCCUUGGAAGGCUCCCAUGCCUAAUACUGAAUCAGAAACAGGAAUGCCCAAAUACUUCAUUGGUAACUCUCCCAAUCUACAAUUUAACAUAUUGGCUUUCCUUUCUUUCUCCUCUUGGCUAUAUCCAAAAAGGAUGACUUCACUCUUAUGGUAGUUAAUCUUUAAUCCUGAUAGCCAUUCAAAGCAAUAAAGAAUCACUUUCAAGUUUGUAAUCGAAUUGUCUGAACCAUCUAUCAUUAGAACAGUAUCAUCCGCAUAUUGAAUGUGUGAAAUACCAUUUGGGAUCAGAUGCUCAACCACUCCUUUAAUCAAAUGUUUACUAACAGCCUUGUCCAACAUAGCACUUAAGGAAUCAGCCACUAGGUUAAAGAGAAGGGGAGAUAAGGGAUCUCCCUGUCUCAGCCCUCUCAGAGUUUUAAAAUAGGGUCCCCUAGUACUAUUCACAUUGACACAAACCUGUCCCCCCUUAACAGUUUGCAUAACCCAAUUAAUCCACUUACCAGGAAAACCUUUUCCUUUUAAUACUUCCUCUAGAAAGUCCCAUCUCACCCUGUCAUAAGCCUUUUCAAAGUCAAUUUUCAUAAUCAGUCCCUGCUUCUUUUUGUGACUUAGCUCAUGCAACACUUCAUGAAGAAUAACAACUCCUUCUAAAAUGUUUCUCCCUUGUAUGAAGCCAGAUUGAUUAGUUUCAAUAACCUCCUUGGCUACUGGGGUAAGCCUGCCUGUGAGCACCUUAGUAAAAACUUUAAAAUCAACAUUCAACAAGCAAAUGGGCCUAUAUUGCUUGAUCGUGGCUGCAUCUUUGACCUUGGGUACUAAAGUGAUCACUCCAUAAUUCAGUCUCUUAAUAUCCAACUUACCAUUAUAGAAAUCUUCAAACAUACUAUAGUAAUUAUCUUUAAUAUUGUCCCAGAAUUGUUGGAAAAAACUAGCCCCAUAUCCAUUUGGGCCUGGUGCAGCCUCUUGUUUCAUAUAAAAAACUGCUUGCUUAAUCUCCUCCAUGGAGAAAGCUUUCUCCAGUUUCUGACCAUUUAUCUCAUUUACUUUCCUCCCCUCAGACCAAAAGUUAGAUUUUAGUCUAAUCUGCCUCUCAUCCACUCCCCCAAAAAGUUGUUUAUAAAACUGAACUAUGUGAGCCAUAAUAUCAUUCUGGUUUGUUAGCUGACCUUGCUCAGAAUCCAUCAAGAAAAUCAAUCCCUUUCUUCUUCUUCCAUUAGCAAAAUGAUGAAAAAAUCUGGUAUUAGAAUCACCUUCCAAAAGCCAGUGCUUCCCUCCUCUCUGCUUCCAAUAGCUCUCUUCAAACAGAUAAACUUGUUCUAACUCCCUUUCAACAGCAUACCUAUGCUCCCACUCUUGGGGUACCAAAUCUCUUACCUCAGCUUGCUUAUCAAUCCUUUGCAGCUCUUCCUUGAGCUCAAAGUUAUUCUUUUUUUGAUCUCCUAUCCUCUGGAUAUUCCACCCUUUAAGAAAAGAUCUUAAAAGAGCAAUGCUCCCAUGCCAUUUAUCCAAAGAGUAACACUGUUCAGGGCAUCUAGAUUCUACCAACGCCAGCUUAUCAAUAACCAACUGAGCAAAGCCAGGGAUCUUAGCCCACUGCUGCUCAUAAAAGAAAUAUCUAGGUCUGGUAGGUAAACUUUCUCCAUUAUCAACUAAAAUUGGCAUAUGGUCAGAACCAACCCUAGUUAAACCCCAUGAAGUAGAUAAAGGAAAGUGGUCUUCCCAAUUCACAGAGAAAAGAACUCUAUCUAGAUUGACCAAAAUUGGAUUAUUUUGUUUAUUUGUCCAAGUAUAUCUUUGCCCAGAUGUCUUUAGUUCCCUAAGUUGCAUAUCCCCAAUAAACUCAUUAAAAAUAUUUAUGAGACCCAUAUUAACGUUCUCAGAAUUCUUAUCAUUUGCCUCCCUAAUCAAAUUGAAAUCACCUCCCUGAAUGACUGGCAAAGGAGAUUCCUGACACACAGCUUUUAGCUCAUCCAGGAAGGCAUCAGCAAGAUCAUGAUUAGCUGGUCCAUAGACUGUGAUAAACCUCCAUCUAAAAUUAGUUCUCCUAUCCCUAACAGACAUCAUGAUACAAAAGUCAUGGAUGGAGAAAUCUUCCAAUUCCAGAUUCUCUAAGUCAACCCCCAUAAGGAUGCCCCCAGAUUUCCCUUUGGAAGGCAGAUAUUGCCAUGUGAACUCCCUUGUUCCAGCAAUAUCAAGCAACUCCCUAUCUGAAAAGGACUCCUUCAUAGUCUCUUGUAGGCCUACCAUUUGAAGUUUAUGCUCACCUAUAAAUUCUCUCACCUGCUGCUUUCUGCUAGUCUUCCCCAGCUGAAAGGUCCUAAUAUGGCUAGAGGGGGGGUGAAUAGCCUAUUUAAAAAUUCUACCAAAAACACUAGAGCAAGAGGUUAGUAAAUAACAAAGCGAAGCUUUUUGCUCUAGCUCUAAUUGGGUGUUUGCAAGCCACCUACCCAACAAUUCUAGUUGCUAUGAUCACUAUGCACACAAGAACUAAGUCUCUACUUACACUAGAGAGCUACCUAAAGUUUCUAUACAAGAAGUAAGCUACUCUAGUUUGCAAGAAAGUAAGAGAGAGAGUUUGAUCUUUAUACCACCACGUAGAGGGGAUGAACCAAUCACAAUAAUGAAGUCCAAUCACCGGGAGAAAUCCAAUCAACAAACACAAUGGAGACACAAGAUUUUUCUCCCGAGGUUCACGUGCUUGCCGGCACGCUACGUCCCCGUUGUGUCGACCAACACUUGGUGGUUCGGUGGCUAAGAGGUGUAGCACGAACCUCGUCCUCACUAGGACACCACAAGAACCUACCCACAAGUGAGGUAGCUCAAUGACACGAGCAAUCCACUAAUGUUGCCUUUGGCUCUCCGCCGAGGUAGGCACAAACCUCUGACAAUCACCGGGAGAUGGCCACGAACAAUCACCAACUCGUGCCAAUCCUCCUCCGCUGCUCCAAGCCGUCUAGGUGGCGGCAACCACCAAGAGUAACAAGAAAACCGCAGCCAAAUCGAUCCCCAAGUGCCACUAGAUGCAAUCACUCAAGCAAAUGCACUUGGAAUCACUCCCAAUCUCACAAAGAUGUUUAAUCUAUGAAGAAGAUGAGUGGGAGGAGUUUGCUUAGGCUCACAAGGAUAUCAAGUAGUCAAGAAUGCCAAGGGUAUAAGCCCUAAGCUGGCCAACAACUAUUUAUAAGCCCCUCAAACAAAUAGAGCCGUUGGCUCUUUCACUGGGCGAAAUACGGGGUCACUGGACGCUCUUAAAGGGGCACCGGACGCUCAACACCAGCGUCCGGUGCUCCAACGUUAGCCGCGUGUCAGAGUCUAACGGUAACCUGCAGAGCACUGGACGCUGAGCAGGUUGGCACCGGACGCGUUCGGUGCACACCGGACUCAUGCGCAGAGAGCUCCGCAAACUCGCAGGGUCACCGGACGCAAGCCACCGGACGCACCCUAAGCGUCCGGUGCUCACCGGACUCACACCCAGAGAGGGUUGCAAAACGCGCGGACACCGGACUCAGACCACCGGACGCUCCAGCUUGCGUCCGGUGCCUGGCGUCCGGUGCCUAACCCUAGCUGAGCCAGGCAGCCUGCACACCGGACUCUCAGACACAGCGUCCGGUGCCUCUGAGCCAGCGUUCGGUGAGUGUUUUCUCAGCGAGAAACACUCCCGCGACUUCACCAAUUUUCCCACCGGCGCAAUAGAAAAUAUGCACUUCAUUUUCUCGAAAAGCGCCGACACCACAACGUGUGUACCAACAAGUGCACGUGUGUUGACACUUGCUAACACCACUUGAAUACUAGGUUGUCAUCCCCAGCAUGGCACUAGAGUGUACUAUGGUAUUUAUACGCACACAGAUAAUCCGCAAGCGCACGGAUACCGUUGAAGCUUUUACCCGGUUAAAGGUUUUAUCGUAUCCACAGGGAAACGGGAGAACUGAUCUAUGCUCUAACUUAACCAAGAUAGAUAGAUAGGUGUAAAUAGGAAAGAUGAUAGAAUCGAAUAAGAACAAUAUUAAAGGUAAGAUAACAGUGAGUGAUAAUAUGGGAAUAGAGAAUAGAGCAAUUCUAGUAUAUGGGCGAUGGUAGCAGAAUAGAGAGGAUAACUAUGGUUUCUCUACUUCAUAGGGGUAUGUCUAUGUCUGGGACGAACCACGUGAUAAGAGUACACCACAAAGGAUGCUUAUCCAUAGGCCGAUAAACCCUACCCGUCCUGCUAACGAGAGGUGGACUACAGGGGACCAACGUAACUGUCACCUACGCGGCCUACCACACGAUCCAGCUAGUCAGGGGAUAUCCACAAGUAAUCUAGGUCUAAGCACCACGCUUACACCUAUACUACAACUCUAACCUAUAGGGUCCUAUAGAUUAGAAGUACUCAAAAGAGUUGUGAACCAGAACAUACAUGAUUAGUAAUUGCAUAAUGAAUUAGAAGUAGAUUACCAGAGUCAUCCCAUGAGCAAGCUUGAUUAGAGCUUGAUCAUGGCGAAGUACAACCGGAGGAAGAACCGACAGGCCGGCCUCUCCUCUAAUCCUCCUUCGCUCUCCAUCUUGCUACUAUCUAGAUCUACUCUAGUUUAGAGAAGAGAGGAGAGCUCUCAUCUCUAAACCCUAGCUUUUGCUCUGUCUAUGAAUAAUGAAUAAUGAUCAAGGGGUGCCUCCUCCAGGGGCCAGGGGGUCUGGUUUUAUAGUCCCCUCAAGUGAACCUGGGCCGUCGGAUCAAACCGAUAUUGAUUGAACGGUUAUUCUUGAUCCUUUAGGUCGGUGGAGCAUAAUCCGCGAGAUUGAGCGUGAUUGGCCGAAAAAGGUGGGCGGGCGCCCUAAGGACUUGGGCGGGCGCCCUGUCCCUGACUCCGUUCGGUCUCCGCUUCCUUCCCGUGGCUUCUGGAGUCUUCUAGAUGUAAGAUAAUUGCGUGGCACGUUGAUAUCUUUAUGUAAUCCCGACGUGUGGGCCUUUCUUCCUUAUUUCCUGAUAACCCCCUGCAGAAAUAGACAAACACCAAAACUCGUGGAAUUCUGUCAGAUAAAACCCUAAGUCUCGAUGUUGAUUUCAUUUGGAUCCUUUUCUUUGUUUAUUUGAUAGUUAAAUUUGAUACUUAAGGACCGUCAACAAACUCCCCCAAGCUUACCUCUUGCUCGUCCCUGAGCAAGGAUAGACUCAGCUAUGGAUCAUAAGUUGUUGCAAUAUCUUUAAAAAUUGACGGUACACAUGAUUUUAAAUGAGGUCUCAUCUCUGAGUUAGAGUAAACUGUCAAGACUUAAAACUUACUUACUUUACCUUUCACCAUGGGACUUGUAACCGUCACUUCUGUCUUGAGUGGUUAAAAGAUAGAACAGUCCCGUCAAGUGCCAUGUCUCUUAUUCUUGAUCAGCUAUAGCUCUGGAGUUUUUGCAGAUUUUCAAAUAAAACUCAGAGAUUCCUUGUAUGACUCUCUAAAUCUCUCUUUUGUGGUAUUUCUGGAUCCUUACCAAGGCAGUGAUGGUAUAUUCCUUCUCUCAAGAUAUGUGGUAUUUGUGGUAUAAGGCAUAGUGACAUUGCCUUCUCUCUCACCCUACUCUAAUAAGGCUUUAAUAUCUAGAGCUUAUAGGUGGGAGAUAAAGUAUACAUACUUACAAGACAUUUAUUGUGUAGUCAAACUAUGGAUCCAAAGAAACAAAUAAAUAAGCCAAAUCAAGAUGUGCAUGUGUGGCGAAUGAAUGGUGUAUAGUGAUGAUGGUGAUAACAAUGGUGAAAGUCUAAUUCUACUUUUGCUCUUAUGAGGGGAUACAUACCUUCCUUGCUUUUUGAAACUUUAUGAGGAGAAUGAGAUACUCUUCUUUUUCUUUCCUCUCAAGUGGGUAUCUUGUACCCCUAAUUCUACUGUCGGACACUUGUCCAUUUUUACCUCUCGUCUCACUUUUUCUUUCUUUCGAGGUUCCGAGCACUUGCCCCUUUUUAUUUCCUCAUUUAUUAUUAUUUUUUUCUUUUCUUCUCUUUUCUUUUUUUUCAGAGCACUCAUCUCCUGAAAUAAUGUAGCAAGUGGUAGUAACCAAAAUAAGGAGAGCAUUUAUUUCACAGGGAAUAACAGGGAUAGGAAAAUGUUUUUGGCUAUUCUCUCCCGGAUUAGGAGUAGAAUGAUUUUGGGUGAAACUGGAGAUGGAAAUGGAUGGAUAUAUAUGGAUGGUACUUCCGGAGUAGAAGUAGCAUAUAUGAGUGAACGUGCAAGUGAAUCUUGAUUUAACCACAUGACAAGCUCCUAAGGGUCUACACAGCUUGACCACACUCAAUGCUCAUAAGCAGUAAAUAAAUGUGUGGCUCAAAGUCUAACAAGCAUGUAUAUAUGGCUGUGAUAGGAAUUUAAACUUUCAUCAUACAGGAACUCAUCAUGCAAUAUUUUAAAGAUUUUUCAAAGAUAAAAUUCUCUAGAAUUCUAGCAUCUCUAGGAAUAGAUAAACAGCAGCUCAACCUUCCCAUAUCAUAUCCGUUAACAACUUAGAUUUCAGAUCAAGUUUUCAUCCCACAAGUUUAGAUCUAGAGCAAGCUUUAAAUUAUAACAGUUAUGUCUAAACUUGAGAGAAAACUUCAAAUUUGCAAAUUAGGCAGAGCAACUAUUCAUCAUAUCCAUGCUAGAGUUUUAUUAUUAAGAUUCAUAGCAAACUUUAUUUAUUUAUUUAUUUAUUUAGCAAACUAAGAAAAGAUAUAUAUAUAAGCAUAAAAUCUUUAUUUAGUUUUUCAUAGUUUAUGUAUUUUAAUAUUCUAAUAUAAUAUAAGUAUAAAGAUAGGUAGAAAUACUUAGCGAGAUAAAUAGGGGUGCUCUCCCCCAAGCUAAAUUUUGACGUAAUUUCUCUUGAUGUAGCUAGCAGGUGGCAGAGGUGUAUUUGAAAGUCAGCAGCAUUCUGACAGCGAAUAGAAUGUCCUCCAUCUGCUAGUCUUCUUGAUUCUUAAAUUCUGUGGAGCUCAAAUAGACAACAAAGCUUGUGGAACUAAUUAAGUGUUAGCAUAAAUAUCUAGCCUUCAUCACGUUGAGCUUCCUCAAUAAAUAUUACUCCCUGUUUUUAUAUUUUUAUUUUAUAAAGUAAAAAAGAAAUAUUUAUUUUAUUUUUAUGCCACCACAGUGAAGGUACUUAUGGGUUUUAUGCCACUCGUAUACUCACAUGGGGCUUAGUAUUUUUUUAACAUUUUUAUUUUCUUUUCAAGAUAGCAUGAUUAACUAAUAAUCUAUUUAAGGCAAGUAAAUAAUUAAAGGGAAAAGGGAAUGCAGAAAGGAUAAAUAUGGAUAACUACCAAUCUUACCUUUCGGCGAGGGUUCAAUGUUUUAAGUCUUCUUGACAAGACUUCUCACCGUGUUCAUUCUUCAGGUGCGUCAUUUGAUUCAUGUGCGGACCUUGACGUCUGCACCUUUUAAUACGGUGUCACCCAUGUUCUUCGUUUGCCCAGCAGUUCGAAGUGCGGUGUUAGCAGUAUCUUGCUCAGUGUGUUUGUGCUCGUAGUGUACCUACUCAUAGAGACAAGGCAGAGAUCAAGUGCAUGGGCCCUGUUGGUGGAAAACACCAACAGAACCAAAAGUGUAUUUGUUCUUCUCUAACCUUAAGCAUAGUGAGCAAGACAAAGUUGAUGGAUGAUAAGUUCAUGAGUGUAGCACUUAUAACAUUUGUCAGAUCAGAUCGCUCAACCUUAUGGAAAGAUAAUCUAUUAUGUAUAUGUCUUUUUCUUUAUAUCUCUCAAUGAUUGAAUGUGUAACAUUUUAGCUCAUAUGAUUAGGAGUGUGGGAUCAUGGAGGUAGUACUAAGAACAAGGAUUAAAGGACUAAACAUGUUUAAUCAGUUGGGUUGGUUAAUCUAGAGUUGUAAAUCAUACACGUUUGUCUCUUUAAUUUAUAUGAACGCCAGAACCAAGGAGAAGCUUAUAAAAGUGAUAGUCAAGUACCUUAGGAUGUUACCUUGCUUGAAAAGUGAUGGUACAGUAUCACCUUGUGGAAGAUUUCCUUUCUUAGCGGUUGUGCAUCGUGUUCGUGGCACCCUCCAUGGAUCAUCUCUCUAUGAUGAAUGAGCUAUGUCCUUCUUGUGCAAAUUGUUAAACUUCAUGUGUCACUCUCUUCGUCUCUGAUGUGAGUUUAUCUCAGGACUUCCCAAAUCGAUAUUGAAAGUUUUUCUGCAGGGGUUAGUCCGACAAAAUAUACCAAUAUCUACUCAAGCAGUUUUUUUUAGUUCAAUAACCAAACUAGACUCCAUGUCUAAUCAGAUUAAGGAAGGCUAUUUAACUUAAGCACCAUGCUUAAUUUAAAUGCCAAUGGAAGUAUGGCGAGUACUUCCAAACCAACACUUGCUAGUAAAUAGACAAAGGUAGCAUGACAAAAUUUAUAGAGAUUUACUCAAGUGGAGAUGAAGUAGUGUGAUUAGUAUUUAACAAAUUGAGCAUGUCUCAAAGGUAGGGACAACCAGCAUAGCAACAUGGCAAAGGAUGUUUUUAUGUAAAGUACUCCCCCAAGCUUGAAUUUUGCAAAAUUCAAGUUUGGAUGAAUUUAAUUCAAUGUUGUAUGAUGAUUGGUUGGACAUACCUUGUGCUUGUCAUUCAUCCGAUCUUCUUGCUCCAAUCCUAGAAAGGUUAGUGACAAGAAUACCCGAAGGAAUAUUUUUUUACAAUUAUCCUUAUAUGCUCAAUACACAAGGUAAUGUUGCAAAUAAUUAAAACCUCAUGUUACGAUCUGAUCAAUGCUUAUUUUAAGACACUAAGCUUGUCCUUGGGAAACCAUCAGUUUAUGUUGGCGAAGUGGUUUCCUCUCCGACGCCAACCUAUAUCUAGAUCAACUCAACGAGAUCUGCAAUAUUUAUUAUAGACAUAUGCAUCGACAACCGCCUUUUUAAAGUUUUUAUAAAUAGAAAGGAAGAGGGGGUUGGAGAUCUCAAGUGUGGUGAUGUCGGAGAGACCAAUAGAUUGGAAAGAUGUUGCAUAUGAGCAUGGAGUAAACAAAGUGGCUAUGAAAUAAAUUCCAUGCUCAUUAAUGUUAUCUUCGUCUCCAAUCUGAAUGUUCGGAGUUUCUCCUGGAUUGGCCUCACCUAUGUCCUCUUCUGUAGUUGGAUGAAUCUCAUCUUCAAAGGGAGUCAAGAACUCACCAUUUGAAAUUGAGCCAAAGUCAGAACCCAUUAAGGCUUCUUCCUUAUCCAUCCAUUUUACACAUUCUAGCCAUUUAGAACUUGUGAUCAAAAUAGGGGAGGUGUUAGAAUUUUCUAUAUGGCUUAGCUCUCCUUCUAUGGCAUUACUUGACAUGCCAUCCUUAUGGUCUUCAUGACUCCUAUGGUUUGGUCAUCUUGGUGAAUUGCUAGGAUCAUCAUGAGACUGAAAAGAAGAGGGAUAAGAGGGAUCUCUAAGGUCAAGGAUGGAUUUAGAACUUGUGAACAUGGAAGGGGAGUAGAUAGAAUUGUCUAUAUGGCUUAGCUCUCCUUCACUUGAUAUGUCAUCCUUGACUUCUUCAUGAUAGGAACCAGGACAUUCUCUAAGAGAAACAUUAUUGCAAGGAUUUGAAUUAUCCCUGCUUGAAGGUCUCUUAUAGAACCAGAAGUCUAAACCAUCAGCAUCUAACAGAUUUAAGGUCGGAAUUCCUUCCUCCCUUGGAGAAUUUUGGGGUAUUGAUGGUUUAGGAUUGAUAGCUAAAGUUUGGGAUUGAAGUGGUUCUGAUCUGGCUAUCGAAACUUCUUCUUCUUGUCUAGGAACUGGUUCUUUCUCUUUCUCAGGGAUAUAAAAGCUAGGAGACUUUCCGCUCAUUAAAUCAAUCAAAUUCCAAGCUUCACUAGCGGAUAGGUGGUGGAAAGAUCCUCCAGAGGCCGCAUGAAGGGUUUGCCUAUUUUUCCAACUAAGGCCCUCAAAAAAGUGAAUUAGAAGAACUUCUUCUGGAAUAGAAAGUUUUGGGCGAGUGAGAGUAAGGUUAAUAAAGUGGUCCCAUGAUUUGCCAAGAGAUUCUUCUUCCAGUUGUCUAAAAGAAAGAAUCUCACGCCGAAGUUCCACCACUUUGGAGAUUGGAAAAUAUUUAGAAAGAAAACUACUAUAUAACUCCUUCCAAUCUCCAUGAACACUCCCUACUUUGAGUUUAUACCAAUGUCUAGCUUUUCCCAUUAAAGAGAAUGGAAAGAGCUUCCAUUUAAGGGUCUCAUCGGACAUACCUUCUAUGCGAAGGAGGUCACAGACUCGAUAAAACUCUCUUAGGUGUGUGUAUGGGUUUUCCUCACCUUCUCCUGAGAAAGGUUGUUUUUGAAUAAAUUCUAUGUAUUCGGGGUCUAUCUCAAAACUAGAUGCUAUGAUAGGCUUUGAAGAUUUUGGUGGUUCGAGAUGUGUGCCCGUAGGUCUAUGAAAUUCAUAGAUAGACAUGUUUGAAUUCAUGAUAGACCAGAGAUCAAGGAUUAGAUAAGAAGAAAGAUUAGCAGAGAUGAGGCAAAGGAUAAAAGGAAUUUUUUUUUUCUUAUUUUUCUUUUAGAAAAUGAUUAAGCUAGUUCGUAGUCAACUCAGCAACCGUUUCCCCGGCAACGGUGCCAAAAAAUGCUUGUUGACACUUGGUAACACCACUUGAAUACUAGGCUGUCAUCCCCAGCAUGGCACUAGAGUGUACUAUGGUAUUUAUACGCACACAGAUAAUCCGCAAGCGCACGGAUACCGUUGAAGCUUUUACCCGGUUAAAGGUUUUAUCGUAUCCACAGGGAAACGGGAGAACUGAUCUACGCUCUAACUUAACCAAGAUAGAUAGAUAGGUGUAAAUAGGAAAGAUGAUAGAAUCGAAUAAGAACAAUAUUAAAGGUAAGAUAACAGUGAGUGAUAAUAUGGGAAUAGAGAAUAGAGCAAUUCUAGUAUAUGGGCGAUGGUAGGAGAAUAGAGAGGAUAACUAUGGUUUCUCUACUUCAAAGGGGUAUGUCUAUGUCUGGGACGAACCACGUGAUAAGAGUACACCACAAAGGAUGCUUAUCCAUAGGCCGAUAAACCCUACCCGUCCUGCUAACGAGAGGUGGACUACAGGGGACCAACGUAACUGUCACCUACGCGGCCUACCACACGAUCCAGCUAGUCAGGGGAUAUCCACAAGUAAUCUAGGUCUAAGCACCACGCUUACACCUAUACUACAACUCUAACCUAUAGGGUCCUAUAGAUUAGAAGUACUCAAAAGAGUUGUGAACCAGAACAUACAUGAUUAGUAAUUGCAUAAUGAAUUAGAAGUAGAUUACCAGAGUCAUCCCAUGAGCAAGCUUGAUUAGAGCUUGAUCAUGGCGAAGUACAACCGGAGGAAGAACCGACAGGCCGACCUCUCCUCUAAUCCUCCUUCGCUCUCCAUCUCGCUACUAUCUAGAUCUACUCUAGUUUAGAGAAGAGAGGAGAGCUCUCAUCUCUAAACCCUAGCUUUUGCUCUGUCUAUGAAUAAAGAAUAAUGAUCAAGGGGUGCCUCCUCCAGGGGCCAGGGGGUCUGGUUUUAUAGUCCCCUCAAGUGAACCUGGGCCGUCGGAUCAAACCGACAUUGAUUGAACGGUUAUUCUUGAUCCUUUAGGUCGGUGGAGCAUAAUCCGCGAGAUUGAGCGUGAUUGGCCGAAAAAGGUGGGCGGGCGCCCUAAGGACUUGGGCGGGCGCCCUGUCCCUGACUCCGUUCGGUCUCCGCUUCCUUCCCGUGGCUUCUGGAGUCUUCUAGAUGUAAGAUAAUUGCGCGGCACGUUGAUAUCUUUAUGUAAUCCCGACGUGUGGGCCUUUCUUCCUUAUUUCCUGAUAACCCCUUGCAGAAAUAGACAAACACCAAAACUCGUGGAAUUCUGUCAGAUAAAACCCUAAGUCUCGAUGUUGAUUUCAUUUGGAUCCUUUUCUUUGUUUAUUUGAUAGUUAAAUUUGAUACUUGAGGACCGUCAACAACGUGUGUUAGCAUUUUCACAAACAUUUUCUUCGAAGGAGUUAAGUUAGCUUACUAGGUUCUAAAUGCAUGCACAUGAAUAAUGACACCUAGUGGCACUUGAUAACCGCUUAGCCAAAGAAUUCCCCUCUUUAUAGUACGGCUAUCUAUCCUAAAUGUGAUCACACCCUCUAUGGUGUCUUGAUCACCAAAACCAAAACCUUAAGCAAUACCUUUGCCUUGAUCUCCAUAGGGUUUUGUUUUUCUCUUUCUUCUUUUCCAAGUUGAGCACUUGAUCAUCUUGUGGUCAUCACCAUCAUCACCAUGAUCAUCUCUUGCUCCAUCACUUGGCAUGUACCAACCUUAUUAAGUCUACACACUUAGUAUAAAGGUUAGUACUAGGGUUUCAUCAAUUAUCCAAUACCAAACUAGGGCUUUCACCAGCCCUCUUACAUUCCAGAACAAAAACCUCAUGGCUGUUUUUCCUUGGUCUCCCUCUCCCCUUAGGAGGGAUGAUUUUCUCAAUUUUUGCAUUCUUUUUCUCCAACUCAACCUCCCUGGUCGAGUUAUCAAUAAUGUCUAGAUUAUACUCACUUAACUCCUCUUCUCCUUGAGGAGCAGUUCUUUUUUAAUUUUUUCUAGGUAUUCUUUAUAGUUCGCCUCUGCUAGAGCAGCUCUAACUCUCUCCUCAGCUUUAAAGGUGUCAAUUUGAGUGUCUAAAUUAUCAAUUUCAAGAUCUAAUUCAGAGACAACAUUUUGAAUAUGUUCAUUGUCAAGUUCAUUCAGAACAAGAAAUUGAUUGGCUGAAGAAUUACCUUUGGUAGCCACAUCCUUAUCUUGUGCUCUCUGUAUAGCUUUUCCAUCAUAGUCCUUCCAUCUAUGGAAACCCUCGAGCUGACUCUGGUAGCUAUCACCACCUUACUUUUCUUCUGUUUCUUUGUCUUCUUCUUGCUUCCAGAAACCACCCAAGAUUGCUGAUUUUCUUCAGUAUCUCCUUCAUCCCCACUUGUCAGAAUGCCCAGAUCCAUUAAGGACUACUCCUGUGUAAGUCCCUCAAUGUCAGAUUCAGUAACUAAAUCGAUCACUGGCAGGCUUUUUGUGUGCUCCUGGAUAAUAUCACCAUUCAUUCCUUUGUUUUCACCCAAGACGGGCCAUUGUUUUUUCUCCAUCAGAUAUGGUCCUGAACUUCCAUGUACCAGCACCUUAUCAGCAGGUAUUGACAACACAUCCAAACUUUGAUGAACCUCCGGCUCUUGUUGAAGAAUUUCACAGUUUUCCUGUGUAGGUUGGGUCGGCUCUCUAUCUUCCUUGUGUGUGAUUGCAAGAUCUGCAUUGACAAUGCCAGCACCCUCUAGAUUUGUGUCAACUGCACUCUCCUUCAUCUUAGUCAAGGACUGGAAUCCAGAGUCAGGAUGAUAAGAUGCAAUUGGUUUCACCUCUAUUUUGUCAAUUUCUCCACAUAAAUUCCCUGCUUCCACUUCUGGGCCUCCCUGAUCAGCAAUCUUUGUUUCCCCUUCUAUAAUAUCUUGACUGUCACCAUGACUAUAAUCUGGAUCUUUAUCUAUCCUGCCAACUCUGUCAAACUUAUCAUCCUUCCUCUUGUUUUUGGGAUCUUCCCUAUCUCCAGGAUCUCUCUUACCCCUUUGAUCAUCAUACUUCCCUGGUCCAGAAGAACUUCCUCUGAAUAUAAGUUGUUUGUCUUCAAAGCCCUCAGCCACAAAUUUUAUCUCCCUCCCUUCUUUGUUGAAAAACACCUCUAUUACACAUCUGAUAGCAGCAGGCUCUCUGCAGUUAACCUUAACCCUGAUAGGCUCAUCCCUAAUCAAGCUGAGUUCAUCCACUAUCAGAGGUAGGCCCACCAGAGUAGCAAGACCUUUCACAGCAGACACUUCCCUAGCAAUGGUUGGAACAUUGUGGAUUUUGAUCCAGCAGGUCUUGAGAAGAGAUGUAGCUUUUGGGUCUUGUUUUGAUAUGGAAAUCUUGAUUUGUAAUUUAUGAAUUGGAAGCUCCAAGAAACCAAUCUUAGAGAAGGUUGCUAAAGUUCCUUUGUCUGGGAAUAUAGCCAUGAUUUCAUUUGGAAACAACUGCUUAACAUGGAAAUCCCACUUAUCAUUGACCACCAAUCUUAAAUCUUCAUUCAGUUUUUCCUCUGUAGCAAUCCCUGCUUUCACAGAAAUCAGCCCCACUGCCUGAGCAUUUUUAACUUGAUCUUCUGGCAAUUCCAUAGCAUAGAAACCUUGCCCUUGAUUUCCAAACCCAAAUAACUGAAGUUUCUUCUCUCCCACAGCAUUGCAUUCAGCUGCCAUAUGUCCUUUUUCCUUGCACUUGUAGCAAACUGGUAGAUUGUUACACUGACUGAUGGUGCCCAGUGCCCAAACAUCUGAAACAUUUAAUCUCAACUGGUUUACCUUCAGUAGAUCUCCCUUUGCUUUCAUUAUACCUUUUGUCAUCAGCAGGCUUCCAUGCAUGAGUUUUUGAUUCCUGCCCUGCUUUCCCUGACUGCUGACCUCUGUCCAUCUGGUAACUCCCCAUUCCUCCUCUACUCUCAUCCCUGUUAUAUCUUCCCCCAUGAGAAGGGCCUAAGGUAUCUCUGAAACCUUGAUUACCUCGCCCCCCAAAACCUCCCCUGCUAGAUUGACCCCCUCUCCCUUGGGGCUGAAAAGGCCUAAGUUCAGUGCCAUUACCUCGCUGAAGCUUGAACCGCAGAUCCUUUUCUUGUCGGACUUCCUCUUCCAGCAAAUCAUCCUCCUCCAUCCAAUCCUCUUGCCGUCUUUUCCACGAACGACCUUCAUCUCUAUACGCCAUGGUGUUUCCCUUUACCGCUGAUGCAAAAGAUUGCAGGAGUGGCGGCGGCGGAUCAACCCUCUUGACCUUGCGGGCUAUAUGUCCAAAGCGGCGGAUGUCUUCCCUAGAGGCUGUGUGCCCCACAUCCACAUCUAUGCUACCUUUAGGGAUCCAAGUCCACUUUGGGCCCAGUGGUCUCCAGGAAUGGGUAUGGAUAUCUAGAUAAGAAAAGCCCUUGUCCAACCCUGGAAUAGUAUCACUAAUGACAUAGUCUUCAACCUCCCACCCAUACUCUGUUUGAUCAUUCCUCAUGUUCUCUCACAAUUGGUGGCCUGAAAUUGCAUUCAUAGAUUUCAGAGCUAUCUCCACACGAUUACUCGCCUUCUCUAAUUCCUGGAAAUCCUCAAUCUGUUGAUCAGCUACAAACAACGUCUGUUUAAUUUCUUCAGCCCAUCUGUUGUUCUGCUUUUGAAUGUUCUUAAUCUCCCAAGCAGAUAUUGGGCCAUUUGUUCUUCUCCUACAGGCAAACUUGGGUGAAUUUAACUUUGGAUUUGAUUUAGAACUAGGAGCACUCUGGGGAAUCCUUUUCCCAUGAGAGUCCACUUUCUGAUUAAGAGAUGGCCAUUCCCUCAAUGCUAAGGAAGACUCCUUGCCCUCCUCAAGCAGCAAAUCAUUUGUAUCAAUAAGAGCCGAUCCCUCACCCUUCCGGAAUAUUUCCUUGACAUUAACAUCAUCUCGUUGGAUUGGUUGCCAGGGAUGAAAUUGAUUUGAAUUCCCCUGCCCAAAUCCCCUACUGAAAUUUGCGCCUUCACCCAAACAUUUUGUUCUUACAUGUCUAGCUGCAAUAAGAUUUGCUCCAUGCACAUGCUCAUCACACUUCCCGCAGAGGAACACCGCAUCAAUCUCGCAGUGAACGCUAGCAAUCGCACCACAUAGAGAACACCCUAAAUCCCCCCACGGAUCAGGACAUACCUCCGGGGCAGGCUUGCAUCGCAGAGUCGUUGCCGAGGUCUGAAUGUUUCCCCUCCUCGCCAAUGAAGUUGUCGUCACGCCCAGUUCUCUCUGCGCAGCGGUUCCUCGCUGCCCUGCGAGAUUGGAUUCCGCAGUACAGAUAAUUACUGGAGCGUUGAUCAAGGCAGCUGCUUGAAGUAGUAGCGUGAGUAGCGCUCAUGUAGCGCUAGUGCAUAUGCAUGUAGGUACCUAAUUAGCGUAGGUGCAUUUACUACUUUCCGGCAGUAGUGCUUGAUUAUUGGAGUUGAACGCUUGCAUGUACCUAUCCUAUACUACUACAGGCCUUUGGUCACUUGCCCAAAAUGAACAAUAAUCUCGGCCAAAACAGCGUCCGGGACAAAAACAUAUUUAGUCCCGGUUGGUGAUACCAACCGGGAAAAGUCCCCUGCCCAAUGGCUAUUGUGUCAGACAUCGGCAGAGGGGACUUUGAAAAGUCCCCGGUUGGUCUCACCAACCGGAACAAAAGCCUAGCCUUUAGUCCCGGUUGGUACCACCAACCGGGAUUAAAAGCUGUUGUCCCGGUCCGUCCCACCGGCCGGGACUAGUGUUGGAAUUUAGACCGGUUUUUAAAAGGAACCGGGACUAAAUGUCCCUCCCCAUAUUUGAACUCUUCUUCCCGGAGCCGAGCCCAUCGAUCUUCAUUCUUUUGCUGUGUUCUUCAUUUGGAGUUGCUUGUUCUUACUCUCAUCUCCGGCUAUUGAUUCAUUUCAUCGUUUCUACACCGUCAUUGACUUGUAAAGAGGUCACUAGCUUCAUCUUCUCAACAUUUAGAAGCGGUAUAUGUCAUUUCCUAGUGUAUGUAUAUUGUUUUUUAUUUUAUGGUUUUUUUAAGAGGUUAUUAGCUUCAUCGCCAUUUCAAAAGCGACGCGUUUUUUUAGAGAAAUAGUGGUAAUAUGUUUUUUUAUUUUAAUUAGUUUAGAAAAAAAUAAAAACAUAUAAUACUUUAAUUUGCAAUUUUUGACCGAUUUAGUUAGUUAAUUAUAACUAGUAUGCAUACCACAUUUCAUGAUUAUUUAGGAAAAUAGAGAAUUUUUGUGCUUUUUUAAUUUUGCUUGUUUAGAAAAAUUAGAAAUAGAGAAUUUUAGGUUUUUUGUUACUUUAAUUUCUCUAUUAAAAUGUAGAAACUUAUAAUACUUUAAUUUGCACUUUAUGACAUGGUUAAUUAGUUAAUUAUAACUAGUAUGCAUGCCACAUUUCAUGAUUAGUUAGAAAAUAGAGAACUUUUAUGUCUUUUUAAUUUUGUUGGUUUACAAAAACCAGAAAUAGAGAAUUUUAGGUUAUUUGUUACUUUAAUUUCUUUAUAAAAAAUUAGAAACUUAUAAUACUUUACAUUGCAAUGCAGACAAUGACACGUCAUUGGAUGUACAAUGUCGAUCGCCGCUCCAAAGAAUUCAUUGAUGGUGUGCAUUAUUUCUUAAGAGUGGCCGAGGAAAACAAGCUGGAUGGAUUCAUAUGUUGCCCAUGUGCCUUGUGUCAGAAUUUGAAGGAAUAUUCUAGCUCUAGAAAUAUCCACUCACAUUUGUUGAAGUCAGGUUUUAUGCCAAACUAUAUUUGUUGGACCAAGCAUGGAGAAAACAGGAUAAUGAUGGAAGAAGGUGAAGAAGAACAGUUGGAGCCUGACGACAUUAUUGCUCAAUACGGUGACUUCGGUGAUACAGCAAUGGGAGAAGCUGAAAAUGAGGCAGGUGCAGAAAGUGCACCUGUUGAAGAUGAUGCUCUUGGUGAUGUCAUUCGUGAUGCACAAAAAGAUUGCGAAAGUGAAAAAGAGAAGACAAAGUUUGACCACAUGUUAGAAGAUCACAAGAAAUUACUAUACCCAUCUGCCCAGGAUGGGCAAAAAAACUGGGUACAACACUAGAAUUGUUAAAAUGGAAGGCACAGAAUGGUGUAUCCGAUAAGGCAUUUGGGCAAUUACUGAAGAUCCAAAAAAAUGCUGCCGAAGCCUAAUGAACUGCCCACUACUACGUACGAAGCAAAACAGAUCGUCUGUCCUUUGGGAUUAGAAAUCAAGAAGAUACAUGCAUGUCCUAACGACUGCAUUCUAUACCGUGGCAAGGACUAUGAGAAUUUAGAUGAAUGCCCCGUAUGUAAAGCAUGACGGUAUAAGAUCAGGCGAGAUGACCCUGGCGAUGUUGAGGGGGAAGAACGUCCCAGAAAAAAUCCCUGCAAAGGUUAUGUGGUAUGCUCCUAUAAUACCACGUCUGAAACGUCUUUUUAGAAAUAAGGACCAUGCAAAAUUGUUGCGGUGGCACAAAGAAGACCGUAAAGUAGACAACAUGUUGAGACAUCCUGCUGAUGGGUCCCAGUGGAGAGCAAUAGACAGGGAAUUUCCAGAGUUUGCAAAAGACGCAAGAAACUUAAGGUUCGCUUUAAGUACGGACGGUAUGAAUCCUUUUGGUGAGCAAAGCAGUAGUCAUAGCACUUGGCCUGUUACACUAUGUAUCUACAACCUUCCUCCAUGGUUAUGCAUGAAGCGAAAGUUCAUUAUGAUGCCGGUGCUCAUCUAAGGCCCGAAGCAACCGGGCAAUGACAUUGAUGUCUAUCUAAGGCCAUUAAUUGAAGAACUCCUUCUUUUAUGGAGUGAAACAGGUGUUCGUGUGUGGGAUGAGUACAAACAGGAACACUUCGACCUACGAGCACUGUUGUUUGUGACAAUCAAUGAUUGGCCUGCUCUAAGUAAUCUUUCAGGGCAGACAAACAAGGGAUAUAAUGCAUGCACACAUUGUUUUGAUGACCUUGAUAGUAUAUAUUUGAAAAAAUGCAGAAAGGUCGUGUACCUUGGGUAUCGUCGAUUUCUUUCUAUGAAUCACCCAGUUAGAAAGAAAGGAAAGCAUUUUAAAGGUAAGGCAGACCACCGAUGCAAGCCUCGCAACAGAACUGGAGAAGAUGUAUUUGAGAUGGUUAAGGAUGUGAAAGUUGUUUUAGGUAAGGGACAAGGCAGCCAACCAGUUCCAAAAGAUGCAGCGGGUCAUGCACCCAUGUGGAAGAAGAAGUCAAUAUUUUGGAAGCUACCCUAUUGGCAAGUCCUAGAGGUCCGGAAUGCGAUCGACGUCAUGCACCUAACAAAGAAUAUUUGUGUGAACCUACUAGGAUUCAUGGGUGUAUAUGGUAAGCCUAAGGAUUCACUUGAAGCAUGACAAGACUUGCAACACAUGGAAGAACGAGACAACUUGCAUCCAGAGAAGACAGAUGAUGGACGCCAAUAUUUAAGACCUGCUAGCUUGUUGGCAUUUCUUAACGUCAUCACUAAGAACAGGGUUUAAUCCGUCCUCAGCAACGAUGUCAGAAAUGUCAUGAUAACACUUACUAAUGCAAUCACCAAGAUUAGAGUAUAAAUCUAUCCGAAGCAACGGUGCCAGAAAUGCUUGUUAGCGUUUCUUAGCGUCGCUACCUAGAAAAGGGUUCUGCUCUACUCAUGAUAAUGACAUUGGCAGUGUUAUAUUGGCAGAUCCGUAGCAUCACCACCUUGAAUAGGAAGCUAGAUCUACCUUCCCGAUAACGGCGCCUUAUUACCGUUAGGGUAGGGUUCCAGUUCUUAAUCAUGGUAGUGGAACUAGGAUUGCCAUGUUGGUAUUCCUUAACAAGUCACUAGCUCAGCGCAUGUCUAGCAACAGUGUUAAGUAUAUACCGAGGUGAUAGUUCCUUAGGUUUGGAGUUUAAGUACCGCAAGCGGAUGGGAAUUAUCGUGUAGCAUUUCAACCCGGGGAUUUACCGAGUGUAGUAUUUAUAGGUUCGCUCUAAGGAAGGCUUAAUAUGUUAAGGAUUCUAAGAUAAGCAUAGAUCAAAGUAAUUAUGAUAGCAAUAAUGGAAUCAAAGGUCAUAGCAGGUGAUAAACAUUUAUAUGUAGAAAAGUGAUCCAUCACAAUCUAGGCACGGCAUAUGGGCUAAGGAAUAAAAAGAGACUAAAAGAAUGAAUUGAAUCAAAGAAUAAACAAACAACCUAUUAGAGCAGGUGUGGUCCUAGAUACAGAUCAUGUCAUAGAACAAGUUAAUCAUGUAAUUAUACUACUUAGAUCUAGUCCUGUGUUUAGAUGGUUUGGGAGGUUACGCGAGUACUGGUCUGCCAGCAACCUCCGCAACUAUUUAGACUCCUACACCCUAGCCGAACGUGGGGGAAUGCCAAGGACGGAUAGGGCUGUCACCACCUGCCGCCAUCCCCUCAACCGUGGACUAGGACACUGCAUUUACCCGGCCUUUACACCCAAGCACCAUGCUUACAUGCAAAGAACCUACUCGGACUCCCCCGGGUCCUCGACCCUACGGAUCGACAGGUAAGAAGCCCGAGCCUACUCAAAAGAGCAUGAUAAACCCCCAUCUUCACACAAAGCUAUUUCUAGGAAAUUAAUUAACAUGAAGCAAUUAGACUAAAGUCCUAAGUGAGAAUAAUACAACAUACACUUAGCACUAGUUCAUAUAAUACACUACUAGCCCUUGGGUAGUAUUAUACUAUAAGAACUAUAUACUAAAAUGUAUGUCAUAUCAUUUUCACUAGAACUAUAUUCUAGUUCAUAUGCUGGCAUCAUAAAACAGGGCCUAUGAUCUAUGUCAUAUACCAUAGCAUAAGAACUAUACUCUAGUUCAUAUGAAGAACUAUAUCGGACAUGAUAAGGCAUGGACUUGGAGUAAAGAUAUUCUUUAUUCAUACCCAAGUUUCUCUCCAAGGAGCCAAGCCCUCCUUGAUAGCUCACCCAACUCUCUCUCUAAAAGCUAAAAGGAAACACUAAGAAGAGGUAGUGCCCAAGUGCCUUGAAGGUGGAGUGUUGAUUGUGAAUGUGAUGAGAUGAAUGAAGCCUCCCUCUCCCCCUCCUUAAAUAGGUGGGGAAGGUCGGUUCCCCAGGGUGUAAACUGCAAUUUGCACGCGGGGACUGCGGGGAUAGGAUCAGCACCGCCUCUGCGAAAGGCGGUGCCGAGAUGGGCUCGGUCAGGGUCGGCCGACCCUAGGGGGCGCCCGCCCCCUGGUGGGCCCCGCUGGCCCCGGCCCGAAGCCCGUUGCCUUCCUCUCGGGCCCCUGAGUCCAGAUCCACCUACAAAUUGAUGCACUUCUAUAUUGAGCUUUUGGUACUUGUUAUUGCGCAUUUUUACGGNNNNNNNNNNNNNNNNNNNNNNNNNNNNNNNNNNNNNNNNNNNNNNNNNNNNNNNNNNNNNNNNNNNNNNNNNNNNNNNNNNNNNNNNNNNNNNNNNNNNNNNNNNNNNNNNNNNNNNNNNNNNNNNNNNNNNNNNNNNNNNNNNNNNNNNNNNNNNNNNNNNNNNNNNNNNNNNNNNNNNNNNNNNNNNNNNNNNNNNNNNNNNNNNNNNNNNNNNNNNNNNNNNNNNNNNNNNNNNNNNNNNNNNNNNNNNNNNNNNNNNNNNNNNNNNNNNNNNNNNNNNNNNNNNNNNNNNNNNNNNNNNNNNNNNNNNNNNNNNNNNNNNNNNNNNNNNNNNNNNNNNNNNNNNNNNNNNNNNNNNNNNNNNNNNNNNNNNNNNNNNNNNNNNNNNNNNNNNNNNNNNNNNNNNNNNNNNNNNNNNNNNNNNNNNNNNNNNNNNNNNNNNNNNNNNNNNNNNNNNNNNNNNNNNNNNNNNNNNNNNNNNNNNNNNNNNNNNNNNNNNNNNNNNNNNNNNNNNNNNNNNNNNNNNNNNNNNNNNNNNNNNNNNNNNNNNNNNNNNNNNNNNNNNNNNNNNNNNNNNNNNNNNNNNNNNNNNNNNNNNNNNNNNNNNNNNNNNNNNNNNNNNNNNNNNNNNNNNNNNNNNNNNNNNNNNGGAGUUCUAAAGAAAUAUGUUCACCAACGUGCUCGGCCAGAAGGAAGCAUCGCCGAGGGCUAUGGGACAGAGGAGUUCAUUGAGUUCUGUGUUGAAUUCAUUCCUGAACUUGACCCAAUUGGUGUUCUUGAAUCGCACCACGAGGGGAGACUGAGUGGAAAGGGAACACUAGGAAAGAAAACAUACAUCGGUACGGGGGACGAUUCUUAAAAAAACACUACACAGUUCUUCAAAACUCAUCCGUGGUGGAGCCGUAUGUCACGAAACACAAGGACUUCCUACGAUCGCAAUUCCCAGAAAAGAAUAAAGCUUGGUUUAUGCGUCAGCACAUAGACACUUUCAGUGAUUGGUUACAAAAAGAAUGUCAGGGUAAUGACCAGAUUGAUGAGCAACUAUAUUUAUUGGCUAGGCAACCAUCAUGGCACAUCCUCACGUACAAAGGGUACGAGAUAAAUGGAAAUACAUUUUACACCCUAGGCCAAGAUAAAAGAAGCACGAACCAAAAUAGUGGAGUUCGCGUAGACGUCAUAGACCCGAAUGGAAACAGACAAACAUAUUAUGGCCGUAUAGAGGAGAUUUGGGAACUAGACUACGCACCUAAUUUUAAAAUCCCUUUGUUCCGGUGCCAAUGGGUGAAGGUUACCGGAGGCGGGGUGACAGUUGACAAAGACUAUGGAAUGACAACAGUGGACCUCAACAAUGUUGGUUACAAAGAUGAACCAUUUGUCCUUGCUGCUGAUGUGAAUCAGGUGUUCUAUGUGAAAGACAUGUCUACAAAACAGAAGAGAGGAAAAAAUGACAACAAAUCAACAAACGAGCCAAAACGCCAUAUAGUUCUCUCAGGGAAAAGAAACAUUGUGGGAAUUGAGGACAAGUCAGAUAUUUCAGAAGAUUAUGAAAGGGAUGACCGAAUCACGCCUUUCAAUGUGACCAAACAUCCGAGCAUACUGAUAAAUGCUGAGGACACUCCAUGGUUACGUCAAGAUCAUGACCAAGGAACAUACGUCAAAGAGAAGAUCACUAUUGUGCCCGCCUAAUAAAUAGAUUGCAAUAUAGUAUGUGUAUGUGAUAAUUGUAACUUAAGAUGUUUAUAUUAGUUUUUCUUAUUUUAUAUCAUUUCAAAUAAUGAAAUGACAUUUAAGUUUGCUAUUAUAAGAGAUGUGUCAAUUAUUUGUCAAAUGCAAAAUAGUCAAACUUGGUCAAAUGACAAACUAAAUUACUUAAAAUGAAAAAAUUUUGAAUACCAAGUUGUUAGAUAUCGUCAAGAUUGAAACUUUUUAUAUAGAUAAUUUUUUCAUUUGAGAAAGUUUAAGUUCACAAUACCCACCAAUUCUUGAAUCUCACACAAACUAUAUGAAACUACAUGUGUCAAUUGUGGAUUUUGAACUACACCUUCGCAACACUUUGUCAAAUGCAAAAAUGGUCUAUAUAUUAAAUGUAGAUUUUGAUGAGUGGAACAAUAUUGGUAUUCAUGACUUUUCCGUUUGAGACCAUCUAGGGUUACAAAAACCAAUGCGUGGCUAUGAAUUCUAUCAAAAUUCAAAAUUAAGUGGUUCAAACUUUUCCAAAAGAAAAGUUGACCAUUAGACAAAAUGUAGAACUUGAUGAGUGCAACAAACUUUGUAUUCAUUACUUUUCCAUUUGGGACCAUAUAGGGUUCGAUCAAAGUGUGUGUUUCUAAAAACCAAUGCUUUGACUUUGGUAAAACUUGGUCAAAUGACCCAUUUGGUGACUUGAAAUGACAAAAAUUUGAAUACAAAGUUGUUAGAGAUAAUCCGAUGUAAUGGUGAAUAUUGUUGUAAGCAUAAAUAAAUAAGAAAUAGAGAAAAAUUUUAAAAAAAUAAUCCGAUGUAAUGGUGAAUAUCACGUAUAUCAUGAUUUUGGAGAUAAAUGAUGAUAAAUAAACAAAAUUUACGUUUAAAUAUUGCACAAACAAAUUUUUCUAUCAAAAACAUCUGCUUUAAGAUAUUAAAAUUAAAUAAUACAUUUUUGCAUUAACAAAAUACUAAUUAUUUUUUAUAUUUAAGUUUGUUAAUAUAAAUGAUGUAAAGAUUUUAUGUUUCCAAAUUUAUUAUGUAACCAAUUAGACAAAAAGAAAUAGAACUAUUAUUUUUUAACAAAUUAAUACCUAUUAUUCUAUUUACUAUGCAAUUAACAACAUUAAUCUAAUUAUUGUAUGCAUAAAUAAAUAAGAAACUGAAAAAAUAAAUUUAGUCCCGGUUGCUGGCUAGAACCGGGACUAAAGGUCCCCGCGUGUAUUUAACCGAACAGUCGUCUUCCUCCUCGAUCCAGUUCGACGUUGCCCUAAUUUCUUCCUCCGCCACGCGCCGCUCCCCGCCGUCGCCUCGCGCCGCUCCCCGCCGUCGCCCCCUUGUCCCCGGCCGAGUGCCGCCGUCGUCUCGAGCCAAGGAGCGCCGCCGCCGCCAACGCCGCCACCCCUCGUCCCCGGCCCGAGCCGAGGACCGUACGGAGCGACGCGUCGAGCUCCGACGACCCUUCUUCUUCUACGCGCGGCACCGACGACCCUCGUCCUCGGCCCGAGCUGAGGACGUACGGAGCGCCGCCACCGACCCUCGUCCCUGCAGGCCGAGCCAAGGACCCUCCUUGCGCCGCGCCGAGCUUCGAUCUUCUCCGGCCAGCACCGAGCUUGCAGUUAUUGUCGUUCCUGGCCAUGUUUACUUGCAAAAAAUUAUACAAAAUGUGAAAAGUGUGAUUAAUUAUUUUUUACCUAUAUACAAAUUGUUUGUUUUUUCUACAUGCAAAAUGUGAACAGUGUGGCAUGUUUAUUUUUUCGUCUCGCGAAUUACAUAUAUACAAACUGUGUAAUUAGUUAUUUUUUACCUAUAUUUAAUAUUUUAUGCAUGUGCCGCAAGAUUCGAUGUGAUAUGGAAUUUGAAAUACUUUCCAAAAUAUUUGGGGAAGUAAACAAGGCCUUAGUCCCAAUUUAAAGGCACAAUCGUCGCACUUUCGUUUGUUUGAUAAAUAUUGUUAAGCGAAGUUACAAAUUGUUAUGAUAAAGGCACAAAUCAUAUAAUUGCUUGAGAAAUAAAUACUAUUAACUUAGUUAAAUUUGAAUUAGUUUCAUUAACACAAAUCACAUAAUUGAAUUCUUUUAUGGACGAACAGAGUAUAUUAUAUUAUAUUAUAUAUUUAUAAUAUAUUUCCAAAAUUGAUAUACAUAAAGUCUUUUGCCAAAAAUAAUAUAUUCCCAAAAUUGAUAUACAUAAAGUCUUUUGCCAAAAAUAAUAAAAUGGACGAAGAGAUGUAUAAUUUCUAUUUUAUAAUAUAUCUUUUGUAUUAUAUAAUUUAUAUAAUAUAAUUUAUCCUAUGUUGUAAUUAGUUAGUAGGGAUAGAUAUUGAGAUGAGAUGUAUAAUUUCUAUUUUAUAAUUUAUCUUUUGUAUUAUGUAAUUUAUAUGAUAUAAUUUAUCCUAUGUUGUAAUUAGUUAGUAGGGAUAGAUAUUGAGAUGAGAUGUAUAAUUUCUAUUUUAUAAUUUAUCUUUUGUAUUAUGUAAUUUAUAUGAUAUAAUUUAUCCUGUGUUGUAAUUAGUUAGUAGGGAUAGAUAUUGAGAUGAGAUGUAUAAUUUCUAUUUUAUAAUUUAUCUUUUGUAUUAUAUAAUUUAUAUGAUAUAAUUUAUCCUAUGUUGUAAUUAGUUAGUAGGGAUAGAUAUUGAGAUGACAUGUAUAAUUUCUAUUUUAUAAUUUAUCUUAGUUGUUGUAUCGAAUAUUGUCUAAGUUUAGCCUAUCCAAAUAAUUUUUGUUGAUUGCAUCAAAAACUUUUAACACUUGAUUAAAUUUGCAGAAAUGGCCAAUCCGAAUGACAACAUGGAUGAUGCAAUGAUGGACCUAAUCAACAGCGGUGCCAAUCCAGAUCCCCAAGGCGAAGAUGAUGGGAGUCAGUACUUUGCUGAUUAUGAAGAACUUGUGGGAGACAAUCCUGAUCAGGUCUAUCUACAAUCCAGUAUAUAUGUAUAUAUAUGAAAUUAAAAUAAAUGACAUUUAUACUAAUAUAUUUAUACUUGUUUGUGUAGCCCUCUAAAUCGGUGACAACUUCUGAGAAGAGUAGAAAAGUGCGCGGCCCGAAGAAGCCGUUGGAGGGUCGGUACAUUCUGUCGGAAUUCGAUGAGGGUACAGGACAAGUACUUGGAGCUAAUUCUAAAAAAAUUGUUGCGCACUGUGGCUACCUUGUAAGGGACAGGCUCCCGGUCAGUGCUCGUGAAUGGAGGCAAUGGAAAGAUAACCCUAAUAUUAGUUUUGUCUCAGAUCGUGACAAGGAUUUGAUUUGGCAAGAUAUCCUUCAACAUUUCACGCUCGAUACACAGGAUGAAGCUUUGAAGGAGAAGCUUAAAAUCUGGGCUAUGCAGAAGAUGGUCAAACAAUUUCAGGCUUGGAAGAAGACAUUAUAUAAGACUUUUGUUGCACAAGGCCGGACACCAGAUUUCACCAACAAGGCCUACGUCAAGUUGAGGCCUUUUUGGAUGAGUUCGUAGAGUUUAAGAACUCAAAAGAGGGUCAGGCAUGGAUGAUCAAGAAUCAAGAAAAUGCUAAACAAAAGCAAUACCACCAUCACUUGGGUUCAGGUGGCUACAGAACUGCUAUUCCUAAGUGGCAAAAGCUGGAACAGGAGAUUCUUGGGAGAGGGAUCGAACCAGAAUCAAUGCACUGGCCCGAGCGCGCCAAGUAUUGGUUCUUUAGUCAUGGGGGAACCAUAGACCUAGAGACCGGAAAGAUAGUGUACGGCGAAAAGCUCGAGAGAGUAGGACAGAGAAUGGCCUAUGCUAGAGGAUUAGUUGAAAGCGGCACCUGGCAGCCAAAUAGAGAAAAGUAUGAGCUGACAUACGCCCUAGAGACUGCUGAACACGGUGGGCGAACCAGAGGCUAUGGGGAGGUAUCAUGGGAGCAUGGCUUCCUAAAGAUAGACCGACUUAUAGAAGCCGCCAACGAAAGAAGGAAGAGGAAGCAGAGCGGUUGCAUAGGUUGGAGGCAAUGGUGAUUGAGUCACGCGAAGCGGCUCGUGAAGCGAUAGCACGAGAGAAAGUGCUUGAAGAGAGAAUGAACGAGGAGAUCAAAAGACAAGUGCAGAUUGCAGUAAGUUCUAUACAAGGGCAAACUGCAUCAGAGCCUAGAGUCAACAUUAGCCCUCCCCGAUCAGUUGAAAAGCAGUUGCGCUUCCACAGAGAUGCCAACUAUUCAAGACGACGUGGGGCUACACUUUCCGGUGGAUGACAUCACUGAACCUCUGACAACAUGUGAGCUGCACAUUCCACGGGGGACUGCCACAGUCAUGGUUGUCGCUGUUGUAACUCCUGUCGACCCUACGAGGACACCAAGAAUCUAUGGGGCGAUAGUUCCACCUAGAUAUGCUAGUGUCUCAGUGGAUAGAGUUGUCAAAGGCUUCAGUAAUGUGCAGCUUGAGAUAGAAGGAGGUGAUGGAGAGAAGACUCUAGGAGAAGCAGAUAAGACUUUUAUUUGUUGGCGCAAGCGCUACAUCAUUAUUCCUGGGGCAUCACCUAGUAGUCUACCACCACCUCCUCGUCAUGAAUCUAAUCCUAGGUGCGGAUGAAAAUUGACUAUACAUUUGUUCACUAAAUUUAUUUUGCAUUCUCUUAGCGGUUUACUCAUAUACCUUUUGUUUUCACAGGUGGUCACCGACAUAUCAUAGUGCUGCGGGUGAUGACGAGGGAGUGCAAGACACGGCUGCAUCGCCUCGGUCUCCAACGCCACCACCUAGGGCUCCAACACCGCCACCUCGGGCUCCAACACCGCCACCUCAGGCUCCAACACCGCCACCUAGGGAUCCAACGCCACCUAGGGCUCCAACGCCGCCUCCUCGGGCUCCAACACCGCCACCGGCCGCCCCAUCGCCUCCAUACGUGGCUCCAGCACGAAAUAAGAGGCCGGCCACACAAUCAAAUGUGUCGGCCACCCCGCUGCCAAAAAAGAAAGCCUCCGAAAAGAAACAAGCUAUCAUUCCUAAGAAGCUGUCCUAUGAGAAGACAGAUGCAGAACUAAAUGCUUCAGUAAAAUCAGACGUGGAUAGUUUCUUCAAGAAACUUAAGACUGAAAGAGAAGCCAAGCGAAACCAUGAGAAGCCGUACCUCUUACUACGGCCAGAAGAUCUACGACAAAGGGUUGAGGCUGAACAAAAAAAGGGGCGUGAAUCUUAGAAAGAAUCAUCAUCUUUAUCACACUAUGAUCGCACUUUAAGAAAAUCCAUAGAAGAAGAGAAGAAGAAAGAGAAAAGAGCACGCAAGGGUGUAGCACAGCUCGGGGAACAAUCAAAGCAAUCAGUGCCCCCGCUAGUCAUUGGAAAUGAAUAUGGUUCAAACAUUGACGUGCUAGACCAGCAGAUUUAAAAUUUGAAGAGCUUGAAAUUUUUUUUGCGGAAACUGGUCUUAGCUUAGCCCAAAUGAUAGCGGGGGCACCAAUUGAAAGUGCUCCACAAAUUGAUCAUUGGCAGAAGGAAUAUACAUAUGGCAAGAGUUUAUACAACCCUGCGGCCCUCAGCAAGCUUGGAACGCAAAUGUACAUGCUAAACAAAUGGUACAUGGAAGCGUGUGUCAGAAAAGCAGAUGACUAUAUUUGUGUCCGAAUUAGAAACUAUCAUUACUUCCGUGGUGAUGGUAUUAUUUAUGUUCAAUUUAAUGAGCUACACCAACUAUGCCACAUGGACGCUCUUGACAAAUCUAUAAUGAGUUGCUUCUGUCUGUAAGUGAUUCUUCCUUUCAAUAAUGUCUCUGUAACUUAUCAUGUAUAUAUAUAACUAAUUAUAGAAACCCGCUAUACAUAUGCAGAAACAUGAUGAGGGACCUCAGAGUUAGAAAUGACAAGGAGAUUGGAUUUGUGGAUCCAAAUGUUGUAUUCAAAGACCACAAGACCCUGUAUGUUUUAUGGAGAACUCAAACGGAGAGAAAUCUACGGAGGUUCUUGAUCAACCAAAAAGAUAAAAGAUAUAUACUCUUUCCCUACAACUUUAAGUAAGUGUCGUUAUCGUGUGUACAUUCUAUUUAACUAAUUAAUCAGAUAAAUAUGAAGAUAUAUACCAAUUUUGCCUACAUAUGCACACAAAUGCUGCUUUCAUUGGAUACUAAUUGUCAUUGAUCUCUGGCAAUGUCAAUUGGUAAUCUAUGACUCAUUGAGAAAACCACAGGACGAUUACCAAGAAAUAAUAGAUAUUAUCCAAGGGUAACUCCGAUCUCUAUAUAUUAAAUUCUGCUCUUUUAACUUGGUAAUGAAUAAUUAAUAAUGAUCGUUUUAUUGCUAGGGUUUGGGCUGGGUUCGUGCAGAAACACCGUCCAGAGUUGAAUGCAGCACUUUCAAAGCCCAUCUUACUUCAGUGGGUUCUACGGCAGACACCGAGCAACAAUUUGUGUGGCUACUAUGUGUGCGAGUUUAUGACGGUGUAUGCCAAAAGAACUAAUCUUGAGCACCUAAAAGUAUGUAACAUGUAUAUAUAAUAAGUUUAUUUCAUUUAUUUGAUGCUAUUUAAUAAAUCCUAUUCAUACCUUUAACUUUUUUCUUUAAUGUCUAUUAAAGGAGAUGUGGCUGAAGGAGCAGGUGUUGGAUGCGGUGCGCCUAAAAGGAAUUCAGGAGACAAUCGCAGGAUUUCUUAACGACCAAGUCCUGGAUCCCGGCGGCGAGUGCUACUUCAACCAUCAGGAGCAGAUGAAACCAAAUAACGAUGAUCAUUUGUACGAUGCUUGAGUGGCGGAGAUAAAUUGUGUUGUAAAUACUUUGUCCAUGAAGCAUAUGUGUAAAUAUUAUAUUAUGGACCUAUAGAUACAUAUUAUUUAUAUAUAUAGUGUUUUAUAGUAUAUUUAUAUGUAAUCCUUUAAAUUAUAUAAAUUAUAGGUGCGCGUUCUAUAAACUACCAGCAAACAAUACGCAUUCGAAAAUAACAAUAACAUAAUUGUAAACCCUAAAUGGAAAACCAAAUGAAAAAAAAAAUCUUUAGUUCCGGUUGGUAGCAACAACCGGGACUAAAAGUGGAGGCCAGGUGGCACACCCUGGCGCACCUUUUAGUCCCGGUUGCUGUUACCAACUGGGACUGAAGGUGGACCUUUAGUCCCGGUCCUCGGAACCGGGACUAAAGGUGGGACAUUUAGUCCCGAAACCUUAGCCCCGGUUCCGUAGCCACGACUAAAGGCGCUUACGGCCCGGGGCUAAAGCCCUUCCCUGUACUAUGCACCCAUUCAGAUUCAAGAUUUAGACGUGAGUCACCAAAACAUCGCCGGCUGGAGGCUCCUCAGUUCCGUCGACCAUGUUCAUCCAUGGCGGCGAGGAAGAGCAGUCAACAGAGUCGGUGCAGGUUGGGUUGUCAGCGUCGCCGGUGACGCCGAUGGCGACGCCGAUGCCAAAUGGGACAGCAACCAGCAACUCUUCACCUUCUCCAUGCCUUCCACCAGCAAGAUUAGUUACGGUGACUCCUCUUCAAUCAGUAUCGCCGGCAACCAUGGUGACUCCUGAUAAGGAUAAGACGUACAUGCAUGUGAGUCUAUUUACUUGCUUUGUAAAUAUUUCAUAGUGUAGAUUAUCGUAAAUAUUAAUAGUGAAAAUUAUCAUACAUGUUUGGUGGUGUAAAUUCUCGUAAAAAUUAUAAUGAGUACAAAAUAUUUCGUAUCCCAUCAUCUCGUAAAUAUUAUUAGUGAAAAUUGUCGUAAAUGUUUGUUAGUGUGCCUUUUCUGGUAAAUUUUUCUUGAUAUGAACUGCUAUAAUUAUAGUGGAUAAAUUUUAAUUAUUGUGGUAUAUACCAUGUGUACAUAAGAAUCUAUCGACAGUGUUGGGGUAAAUUGCACUGUAUGCCCAGAAGAUGUUCAGUGUGAUGAUAAAGUUGUCGUUUGUGAAAUAGGAACCCUUGUUACCUGAAGCAAUAGUGCCAAAUGAUGAGUUGCGUUUCAACAGUAUUGAUAAAGCUAAGGAGUUUUACCACAAAUAUGCGAGCAAAGCAGGCUUUGACGUUCGCAUAACCAAGAGCCAUAAAACUGUUAUUGAGUUGAACUGCAAUAAACAAGGGCACUGGGAUUUUACAAGCCCGGGGAGGAGAGAGUCAAAGAGAAAAUGUCAAUGAGGUGUGGAUGCAAGGCAUUUGUGAAGGUUAAAUGGAACAUUAAGAAGGGGUAUUGGUUUUUUGAGAGGAUACGGUUGGAACAUUCUCACCCACUGCAUCCGUCGCCAAGCUUAACACAGUACAUGAAGGCGCACAAGGAUAAGGAGCCAACGAUCAUGGGGAUUGUUGAUCAGAUGCAGAGGUGUGAUGUGCCCCUGAAUGCAACCGUUAAUGUGUUGUCAGACAUAUAUGGUGGUCGGCAAAACUUCACAUUCACAGAGAUGGACUUGAAGAAUAGGUAAUGUAGAUCGUACAGUACUUUCACAGCAUCCGAGCUAAUUUGGUAAUUUAUCUGUUUCAUUGGAUUUGUUUGAUGUUUUGAUUUCAGGAAAGCUGCAGCUGCCAAAGCGGAGAGGGAAAACGAUAUUCCCAAGCUGCUAGAGUUUUUUUCAGAGAUGAAGGCUCAGAAUGAAUAUUUCUACUAUGAGGUGCAGGUGGACAACGAAAAUAUUUUGGAGAUGUUGUCACAUUUGACACCACAUACAAAACUAAUAUGUACAACAUGCCUGUGGCUAUGUUUGUCGGUUCAAACCAUCAACUACAAAAUGUUGUAUUUGGGCAAGCACUUUUGCAGGAUGAGCAAGCUGACACGUUUGAGUGGUUGUUUAAAUCAUUCCAAAAGUGCAUGUCUGGGAGUCGUGAUCCUAGAUGUAUACUCACAGGUAAGCAAACAAAAUUUUCGUAAUUAUUUCUCUACGAUAGGAUACAAAAUUAUAGUAAAUGUUUGUUAGUGCAAAUUCUUGUAAAUGUUUGAUUGGUUCCAAAUUAUUGUAGAAUUUUCUUAGUGCAGAUUAUCGUAAAUAUGUCUUGGUGCUAAUUCUCAUAAAUACUUCUUAGUGCGAAUUCUCGUAAUUAUGUGAAAAAAAUGUCAUGUCUUCUCGUAAAUUCUCAUUACUAUUUCUCAUAAAUGUAUGUUGUGAUUUUUGACUUCAUGUUUUGUGGUACAGAUCAGGAUCCGGCCAUGGCUUUAGCCAUCAGUAGGGUGUUUAAAAAAACUCAACACAGGUUGUGUCGUUGGCACAUGCUGAACAAGUAUCGAAACGAGCUGAAGAAACUAUACAAGUUGCAUGAGGGUCUCAAGAUAAAAUUGCUCACUGUGAUCAAUCACCCGCUUACACCUGUAGAGUUUGAGGCUGCAUGGAAUGCUUUGGUGGACGAAUAUGGUAUACGUGAAGAUGAAGCUAUUCAGGGUCUUUGGCAGAAUAGGCACUUAUGGGUUGCGGCUUAUCUGAAACCCUUGUAUUGUGGGAGGAUGACUUCUACACAAAGAAGUGAAAGUGUGAAUAAGAUGCUCAAGAGUAGGCAUUUCACAGGGCACAUGACAUGCAUAAGCAAAUUUGCACGCAAGAUGCUUGAGUUCAUUCAGCACACAAAUCACACGGCUGCAGGAGAAACACAUUGGUCACAGGUAAGAUCAUAAGCAGUGGUUAAAACUGGAUCAGUAUGAACUUCUAUAUGUAUAUAAAUAUUGUGUAAAUACAGUAAAUAUUUACCUGUUCACUAAAUAUUAUUUGGUGUGUUUGUAUAUGAAACAGGCUUAUAAUUUCCGUGUGACCUUGCAACGCUUUGAUGGCCAUUUGAGCAGGGUGUACACAAGGGCUGUGUUCAAAAAAUACAGAGAUACUUAUGUAUACAGUACCGCAUUUCGUAUUGAUCCUGACGCAGACAACAUUGAUAGUUUCCUGGUUACCCACACGAAUCAGUCUUGGCAAUAUGCAUGGUUUCAACAUUCUUUCAAAGUGCAGGCAAAUGUGAGAGAAGGUAAGUAGACAUGCGAGUGCAAGACAUGGGAGCAUACAGGUAAGAUGGUGGUUUAGUAAAGUAAGGCUAGUAUAUUUUCAUCAUUAUAAUGUUGUGGUAACCAUGUUUAUUAUAAGUAUAAAAUUGAUCAUUUCAGGGUUGUUCUGUGCUCAUCUUAUUAAAGCUUUCACACACCUGUACAGAGUAUAUAAAGAAGAGGUACACCAGAGAUCCUAGGAUGAUGGUAACUUGGGACAGGAAUGAUAUUAUGAAUUUGGGAGAAGACUGUGAAGAUGAACGGUAUAAUACUAAGAAGCUAGUAGAAGUUGCAAUGAUGGCGGUAAGGGCACUCCGCAAAACAAAAACUGGGGUUAAGAGAGGAUGUGAUGAUUUCUUGGCAUUAGCCGAGUGGGGUGAAUCCAUUGCUAGAGAUACUGGAGCAACAUUAAAUGGGGACACUGGAAAUGAUGGAGUUGCGGCCAAUAUAGAAAGAGAAGAACGUCAAGUUCCUACAUUUGGGGAAGGAGAGGAAACUGAAACUGGUUUGGAUCAUGAACUGAUAUCAGAGUGUGCACCGAGGGAGGCAUUGACAAAGGGUAGGAAGCAUGGAGGGAAAAGGCUUGAAAGAGAUGAGACCUGUAUCAAGAAGUCAGGGGGCACCCGCAAUUGUUCCCAUUGUGGACUGAAGGGCCAUUAUAUCACAGGAUGUCCUACAAACCUAGAUAAUGCUUCGAAGAAAAGAGGAGGCACUUGUAGUUUGCGUGGUAAAAUGGGACGGAAGAGAGGGAGGCCAUCUACAAAAAGGCAAUUGGACGAUGAGUUUGAUGAAGUUGCAUGAAUUGGGUGGGAUUAGUGCAAAAACCCAGAAACAUUUUUGUUUAAAAUGCCAUUACUUGUAAUGAUGUAUGAAUAAUUAAUUACAAUGAAAAGUGGUAAUAAUAUAUUAGUAUUGUGUGGUUGAGUUUGGCCUACAUGGUCUAUGUGAAUUUAUAUCUGAAUUUAUCUUUGAAAAUAUUUUGAAUGUGGUCACAUAUUAAGUAGAUCUUGGAAUAUUUGAAUAAUUUAUUCUGGGGAGAAUAAGGAACGUACCAACUGACAGGCUAAGUAUGUACUAUAUAAUUGAUAAGACUUUGGUAAAAGUUACAACAUGGCAUUAGUAUGACUCAAUAAUUAUGUGAAUUUUGUAUCUUGAGUAGUAUAGUAGCCGAAAUCACAAUAGUAUUUACAAGAGUUUUGUUCUAUGAACUCACGGAUUUACAAGAAUAUUUUAAUAAUCAAUGAACCACAUACUGAGGAGACUGAAUAUCAGAAGACAAAGACAUGGUAGAAUUGGACUACGACUAUUUUCUGGAACUUGUAUUGGGAAUAUUUACGAGAAUUUUGUAUAAGGAAUAAUACGCUGGUCGUAACUCACAAUAAUAUUUAUGAGAAAUUGGUGAUCUGAGGAAAUGGAUUUAUGAGAAUAGAAUAACAAUUGUUAAACCAUAAUAUUGACAGUUGAAUAUCCAAAUAAAAAUAGUAGAUUUCGAAACAAAGAGACCAUAGUAUAGGUUCAGAGUACAAAUAAUUAUGUCAUCGCACAAACAAUCCCGUAUGAGAAGUGAAACUAUGAAAACAAAUUAGUUUCAAAUUUAAAUUUGGUAAAUUGGGUCGUUGAUGACCAACAGGAGCGGUCAAUUAAAAACACAGUAACUAAGGCUUCCAUAUUUAUUCUAGCAUUCCCAAGGAGACUGGUCCCAACGUGGUCUUCAACGAUGUGGCUUGAGUGCUUCUAGACCAGCAGGAAGCUUCUCAACAGUGUUGAUUUGGUGAUAGAUGGCGUAGUAGAGAAGCUGAUCUCUAUACAUUGCUGCAUUUUCCUGUUUUUGUAGUGAAGAAGAUCAGCAACAUUGCCGGAGGCAGAGUCUUGGUUGUGAAAGUAAGUACAAUGUUAGGACUUACCGUGAGGAUUGGAAGAUGGAAAGCUUCACCAUUCCAUAACUCCAUGAACUUGAUGGCAUAUAAUCCACUGUCGGUGGCAUUGCGCUGCACUGGGACAGGUAGGAUGGGUCGCCUGAAUCGAGUAAACGACUUAAGCUUACCAUCUGUGGCUUCCUGGAACAGAAGAUUGAGCCUUGGAAUAAUUCUGUUACCCACAACUUCAUGGUAAAUCCUAUGGUCAUCAGGACUAGAGUCGAGAAUAUCUAUUCGGUCAUGUAUAAGGUUGAUGCAGUAAACAGUAUAGUGGUCCUCCUCCAUAAUCGGCAAAAAGAACUGCCAAUGUCCAAAAAGAAAUUAGUAAGGAAACUGUAAUUAGUAUACAUUUAAUGGAAUGAGAAGUAAUACUUACGAGCUUAACAUUAGUUGUGUCAAUAGAAGCAAUGCCACUCUCUAAAAUUUCAAGAGCAUUAUGAGAUUCCCACUCUUCGUAUUCCUCCUGAUCCUCCAUAUUGACGUAUUCCUAGAAAGAGAGUAGAGACUUAUUAGUAAUAAACUAAAAAUUGUUUUGGCAAGGUUGUAAAGGUGUUCUUUGUGCGGACUCACCCCAAUCCUGUGGGGUAGGAACACCCUGUAGCCACCACCAUCUAGCAUGUGGACUGAUUCAUCAUGGCUCAAGCAUUGAACAAAGUAGGACAUCAAUUUGGUCGAAAGCUCUUGAUCAUUAGGGAAGGAAUCUAAUAUUUCAUUGCCAGUGAAAUCUGUGAAGCCUGUACUGAUGAAAACCUCACUGGUAUGGGAAAAAGGUGGUCGUCAGUAACUUGUAGGACGAUACAAAAUUUGAGAAAGGGUCAUAAGCCAUACUUUAAACUCUUGAGACUCGGGCGAAACUUCUUCCACACAGCUAGUGCCUUUGACAUUGGUACUCGUGUCCGCAUUGGAUCACCUUUGAAUGGCGACACGUACUUGGAUUGGCGUCUUGUAAGACGUUGUGGUUUUGGAUAAACAGGUAGGAGGGGCUCAUCAUCAAUGGUGAUAUCAGGUCGUAGAACCUGUGCUCAUCCCGAGAGAGUAAAAUUGUAGUAAGCAACAUGAUAAAAUUAUAAUAAAUGGGGAAUGAACAUGUGGAAGGCACCUCAUUAGGAAGCUGAUGUUGGGUGUGUGUAAGCAUAGCAGGCUCUGAUGUCAUCGUGUCGGUUGUUGUAGUUUGUGGGUGGGCAGCAGGUAGGAGGGGCUCAACACCAAUCGUGAUAUCAGGUUGUAUAACCUGUGUGAAUACCCAAAGCGUAAAAUUUUAGUAAGCAGAUUGAUAAAAUUACAAUAAAUGGGGAUUGAACAUGUGGAAAGCACCUCAUUAGGAAGCUGAUGUUGGGUCUGUGUAAGCACAACAAGCUCUGGUGUCAUCGUGUCGGUUGUUAUAGUUUGUGGGUGGGCAGCAAGUAGGAGGGGCUCAACAGCAAUGGUGGUGCUGUCAGGUCGUAUAACCUGUGCUCAUCCCCAAAGAGUAAAAUUGUAGUAAGAAACUUAAUAAAAUUACAAUAUAUGGGGAAUGAACGUGUGGAAGGAACCUCAUUAGGAAGCUGAUGUUGGGUGUGUGUAAGCACAACAGGCUCUGGUGUCAUCGUGUCAGUUGUUGUAGUUUGUCGGUGGGCAGUCCGUAUAACAGAUGCAGUGAUGAGGUCAACUAGAGAAUCCAGGGAUGAGGUUCCUCCAUGAAUAUUGACAUUGGCACGAACAGCUUAAAUAAAUAGGUAUUAUGGUAAUAUUUGAUGGAACAAAUUUAAGAAAACACAUACUGCCAAUGUGUGAUGCUUGUCCAGUGCCUUCUUGGUCCAUCGCCUGACCCAAAAUUGGAGGAACAACAUCGCCAAUUGUCACGUCCGUGUGAACCUGCAUAUACAAAAAUCACAUGUUUAUUGACUGACCAAGAAAGUUGUAUAGUAAAUAUUAUAGCUAUAUACUGAAAUCUUAAUGUGAUAGGACAUAUGGUAACUCCAGAUCAAACCGGUGAGUGUUCAUGAUCCAAUUCCUGUUCUGACCCGGCAUUCGUUGCGGCAUCCAUGGGCUGUGGUGCCGCAGCCUCCGUGGGACUGUUCUGUUGCAGUGGCACAUGUCUCUCAUGGUUUAUAUGUUGGUUAGUGCCAUAUCCUGAAAUAAAUAAAAAAUAGAUUAGUGGAGACAUAACUGCAGUUGCAUGUUUCAUGAUAUGAAACAGGUAUUUACCAGUACAAUUAGCAAUAGAUAUCUGAUUUCCUCUUACCUUUAGAAUGAUUUGGCGCCUCAGUUACAUGUUCAGACUGUAUGUUAUCUCUGUUAUGGAUAUCAUGCAUGUCAAGAUCGUUGGCAUCAGCUUCAUUCAUGAAACAAUAAAUAGGGUCAGCUUCUUUUUUUGAACAAAAGAGUAAGUAGUGGGUCGCUUUGUGGACCUGCAGUAGGAGCGGUUGGUUUAGCUUGGUGAUCUAUGCUGUUAUUCUCACAACUUUGGUUCUCCAAAAUUGACCGCACCUUUGCAAUGAGCUGGUCAUGUGAGGUUUGUAGCAUUAGUUGUCCCCUGUUUAAGUAAGUUGUUGCCUUUUUUGAUUUGAUGUCAAAUUCUGUGAAAGCUUGCACUAACAGCUUCCUCUUUGGCUUGGCAACUGUCACAUUGACUACUCCAACUAGUUCUGAAAGAAUGCUAGGGAACUGUAUAGCAGACACAGGUUGAAUGUUUGCUGGCUUUUCUGGAAUAGAAUGAUGAGGCAUAUGGUAAACAGUAUCACUGAUGUCCCUAAGCUGCUCACACAAAAUGGAAAUAGGUAAGUGGUAGUAAAUAGGCAUUGACACGGAGGACUGCCUUUAAAAAUGGGGGACAAUAGUUACUAUGUCUCACCGGUAAUCGCCCAAAUGUGACCUUUCCUUGGUCGUCCUUUGUCUUGUCAGCAGCAAUUAUUUUUUUAAUCAAAUCUUGAUUAAGUACUUGGCACGGGGAAUGUCCUUGUGAUUGAUCUGGUGUUUGCAGCGUAAAUUAUCCAAAUACACUAUCUGCACCGAGAAAAAUGGGAAUAAUGGAGAAUAAGUUUAAUAUAAAAUAUGUGGCUAACUAUUCAGCUAUAUCAUAAUAUUUGAAGGCAUAUUAUGUAUGAUAAGUGGGAAACUGACCAACAGAAAAAACGUGCAUCCUGUAAUUGAAGGCGAAACUUUAGUUGUUCUAUCAAGACGCCACGUGCGUGCAGCUUCUUGGAUUUCAUCGGUAACAGCCUUGCACCAGUUCAUAGUGGGUAGUCGAUACAAAUUCCUAGCCAAAUAAACAUCUUUCGCCCUGAUGUUGUUGUCCGAGGAAGGAAACAACAGCUUGUUAGAAGCGAUCAUGAAGAAAAUUUUAAUGCACAUGUUGUCGUCAAGCAUCCUGGAGUCUAGCUCAAUGUCGGCCUCCCAGAUCUCUUGUAGAUACUUUGUGUGCACAUCCUCAGCUUCUUGUAAACCAAUAAAAUCCUUGAAAUCAGACAAGGCCUUGCAUGCUUCCUGGUUUGUGUGUAAAGAUAAUUCUUCACCACUGUCCGGAAUGCCAAACGUUUGCUUAACGACAAAAGGGUUGAUAUGUAUAACCCUAUCUUUACCAAGAACCAACAUCAUAGUUACAGGGUCUAGCCUGUCAUACAGAUACCUCAACAUUUCUCUGCUAACUAGCUUGUCUGCUCGGAUCUGGAGGAGGCCACCAAAAUUCAUAUUAUUGAUUCUAGUACGCUGACUCAUGGUGAGGAGAUCAAUAAAUGAGUUAAAAAUUGAAGGUGAACAUCGAACAAUUGGUGCAUGAAGAUAUUUGGUAAGCUUUUGCUGUUUAGGCUGUAGAAAGAAGACAAAUGACUUAUGUAAUUGUUGAAAAUAAGUGCUAAAUAAUAAGAGUGAAAAUAAGAAACCAUUAUGGUAAGAAUGUAAUGAUACUGUUUGGAAUAAUAAUAAUAAUAAUAAUUUAGUCGCAAUAGUAUACCUUUGUAGGUGGAUCUAUGCGAGAGGCAUUUUUCUUCUGCAGUUUCCCAUCUCUGCGUGCAUUGACAACAACUUUUGUAGUACGACGUUGAUUAUUGUUCAUUACCGGGUGCCAAGUUGGGGGUUGCAUGAAAUCGUCAUCAUCAUCGUCCUCCUCUAAACGAGGGCGUGACGAUGGUCCUGGACAAUGUGGUGGCUGCUGAUGAACUGGUUGAGCUGGUAGUGUCUGAGAUACACCAGUGACGUCACUUAUAUCAAUGUUGAAAUCCUCCUGUGUGGUGUGCAGGGUGAAUGAUUUCAAUCUACCCUGAACAAAUUUAGGGGGCCUCAUUUCCUAUGAAAGAAUGAGGAACUCAUGUGGUAAGCAUAUUUACGACAAAUAGUAUGAAUAUGUUGCAGUAAUAAAUAUUUACGAUAAUUUGUACUGAGAAUUGUUUAUGGGAUUUUGCACUAAGAAUGGUUACGAGAACUUACAGUAAUAUUUACGAUAAAUAUUUUUACAAUGACAAGAGUUACAAGAACUUGCAGUAUAUUUAUGAGACAUGUGGACAGUGAAUAUAGGUACUGAAGUAGUAAAACUAACGGUAAAAAUUAGUUAGAAUGAUCAAAUUUACCAUGAACAGGAACAUAAAAUUACUACUUAAACUAGCUAGAAUGAUCCAUACAAUUUAGUUGAAAGCAGGCACAGGAAUUACUAAUAUUAUUAUAGCCCGCUUUGUUCUCAGACUAACAAUAAGCAUUGGUAAACAGGGACUAGGAAUACAAACAAACAAUUGUUCACGGAGGCAAAAGUUGCAGUGGGCAUCAGUGAACAGGUAUGUAUAGUGUAAAAUUAACACAUUGAUAAGGAUAAAUUACCUCCGUAGCCUGUCUCUGCUGGCCUGAUAGGAUCUGCAGAGUAGAUACGAGCAUGCAACUUCACAGCAGCCAGCAGAGACCCGAGGCAGCUUCCUGGCGUGGAUGUUUGGGGCGUCUCGGCAGCCACUUCCGAUGGAGGAUUGGGGACUCUCCAGCAGCCAAGAAGAGCUGCGGACUGCAUUUAUCAGGAUGUUGUGGUAGGGAGCUGCAGUAUAGAGGGAGCUGCAACGAAAUUUGGGGGAUAUCCCUACGUUCUUGGAUCAAUCGAGCAUUGAUACGGAGAAGCAGCCGAAUCAUAUUCUGUGAUCUCGGAUUGUAGCUGGGCAUCGGCAAAUCCGAUCAAGGUCUUCAAUGGCAGGAGCGAGGGCGAGGGAAAAGUUGGCAGGGGCGGGGGGCGAGGCGCGGGUGCCGAGGGAAGAGGAGCGACGCGCGGGUGCCAGGGGAGGGCAGCGUGCGUCGGGUGCGGGAGGAGGGCGGCGUGCGUCAGGUGCGGGGGAGGGAAGGCCGCGUGCUUCGGGUGUGAGGGGAUUACGGUGAAUGAGGAUCUUUUUUUUACGAGGAGUGAAUGAGGAUCCUUGAUUGAAGCCUUGAAGCCUGAAGGGGACAGUGAAUUAGGAUCUACUACGCAUCUGACCUGAUCAGCCCGCGCGACGCAGCGACCCGGCUACAAAAUAUUUUAUUUUGUAGCCAGCUAUAGAGAAAUAUAUAUAUAUAUAUAUAUAUAUAUGGAAAUUCCUUUGUACACGUACGUGUAGUUACUCUCAUCUUCAAUAAACUACAUUGUGUAUGUAUUCAUACUUGUUUAUCGGUUUGAGUAUGUUUAUAUACUCAUAUUAAGAUACUCUAGAUCUUACCACGCGAUUUUUUUUUAAAAAAAAUUAUAUAUAUAUAUAUAUAUAUAUAUAUAUAUAUAUAUAUAUAUAUAUAUAUAUAUAUAUAUAUAUAUAUAUAUAUAUGUGUGUGUGUGUGUAAGGAUGAAAACAAAAACGAAAAUCUCCGAUCGAAUUGCUUCGUUUUCUAUAUUUUACCCGAUCGUUUUCAGUUUUCUCGAAAUAAUUCGAAUCCGGUACGAAAUUCGGUCAAAUAAUUCGAAAACGGGGCGGAAUUCGGAAUGAGCUUAUUUCGACCGAUUUCUACAUUUCUACAUUUUAUUCGAAAUCCUCCGUAUUCGAAAUUCGGUAGUAUCCGAAUUUAGCCCAAUAACCCCUAGUCCCACUCCUAGACUUCUUUGUUUGCAGCUAAGGCCCAGCCCAAUAACACAACCCUAACCUAACUCCCUCCACUCCCCACCCCAACCCCGCAGUUCUGCACCCGACCCGAGCCUGGCGGCGCCCCUAUCACCUUUGCCGGAGCGUGUGAACCGUACGGAAUCGUCGGCGUGAGAUGGCGGCCACCUCCGCGUUCGAGUCAUCCCCGGAGGUGGAGCGGUUCCUCUGCGAGUGGCUGCUGGACGCGGAGCAGCCCAUCGCGGAGCGCUUCCGGGCGCUCUUCUCCCUCCGCAACCUCCGUGGGGAUGCACCGCGCCGCACCCUCCUCCAAGGUAUCGCCUCGCUUCACUUAAUCGCCUUAGCUACUCUUCAAAGCUUGGUUGAAGGCUUUAGCAGCUUGUGGAUUGGUCUUAGCAACCGGUGCAACAGAUUUCUGGUCCCUGUUGCUUUCCCAAACUAAUCGAGUAGAUGCCGUUCUGCGGUUCACUAAUUGGGUGCUUUGGGUGAAGCACUAUUGGUCCUAGGUACUUCGGUUUAGUACUUUAGUUCCAAAUUCUAGUGGCCUUACAGUCCAAACUAGUGCUGAGCUGAUGAACUGAUGAUACUAGGAAUUUUAACAUUGUUUGAUUCUUUGCAUUAUUUAUCAAAUUGAUUUCAGUUCUCGACAGGCUGCACUAGCUGAUUGUGUGCUAGUGCUAGUUUUAAUUUUAUACUUAUGAAGUUUCUGCGAUUGAAGAAAUUUGGACCGAGUUCCUGACCACCUAGCCCUUUGUAGGACUUGCUGAACAUAUGACCAAUAUAUUUGUUAUUUACUAUUUAGAGUGUUAUAUCAAAUAUUGGCAUUGUUUCAUUGGUUGAGGCUGUUUAAUAUCAUGUGAUCAUGCACUUGUUAUUUGUUAACUAUCUUGUGAUCAUGCACUUCUUAGUUUGGUCAUGCACAUUUUUUAAGUUAUGGACCGUGGGUCAGUAUUUCGUAUUGAAUUUUCGUAUGCAGACCGUGUUCGACAUAAUUCCGAUUGAAUUGGUUCGUUUUCGAAACACCGAAAGUUUGUUUUCGAUUUCGUUUCCGGCUAUAUGGUUUUCGCUUUCGUGUUCGUAUUCAAAUAUAAAUGUAGAAAACAAUAGAGGAGUUUUUCGACCGUUUUCGACCGAAUUCAUCCUUAUGUGUGUGUGUGAAUAUGUGAUCUCUCAAUGGGCCACUAUCGGACCUCUCUUCUUUUACCGGGCUGUGUUGUGCCAGCCCACGCGCUUGAGGUGUGGCCUAGACAUGGUCUGCUCCUUCGGGCGGUGCUUGGGCCGGGCCAAAAUACCAGGCCUUAUGCCGAGCUCACGGGCCCAGACUGCAUGCCCAAAUAUAAGCAUGGCGGAUAAAAUGCUCCCCAUAGGACGCUGAUGGAUGGGCCCACCCAUCGUCACGGGAAAUGGGGCCCACGUCGUCGUGGUCUACGUGUGCGGGUGGGCAAGUUAGUACACAUCGAGGCGGUGGCCCUAGCAGCCAACAUGGGGCCACCCAGCCAUGAUGGAUUAUGAGGACGCUAUGCUAAACAGAAAAUAUUAAGUUCAUUUUUAGCCCCUCAACUAUUGGCCGAGUUUAAUUUUAGCCCUCAACUACAAAACCGUCUGUUUUUCACCCUCAACUAUCAAAACCAGUCACUUUUAGCACCCGGAGAGAGGACUUUUGAGCCACUUUGAGCGGUUUUUUCUUUUUCUUUUCUAUGGUUAAACCUGUGAAUUUCAUAGUGAAAUGUUUGAGCAUGGUAAAUUCAUCAAUUUUUUUGGGCAGCCUUGUCAUGAUGUUCUCUAUGCAAAAAAAAUAUGAAACUAUGAAAGUAAGUAUUUUUUGGAUGCUAAAAAAUUAGCUCUUUUAAUUAAUAAAUACAUGUUCUAUGAUUUUUGUAGGAUAAUAUAUAUAUAUCCUAUGAUCAUGAAACUUUUUGCAUAACUGUUUUAUACUAAGAUAGACCUUCACAAAAAGUUUGAGAUUAAUUUGAUGAUGUUUGCUUAUAUCCCUAAUUAUNNNNNNNNNNNNNNNNNNNNNNNNNNNNNNNNNNNNNNNNNNNNNNNNNNNNNNNNNNNNNNNNNNNNNNNNNNNNNNNNNNNNNNNNNNNNNNNNNNNNAUUAGGAACAUAAGCAAACAUCAUUAAAUUAAUCUUAAACUUUUUUGAAGGUCUAUCUUAGUAUAAAACAGUUACACAAAAAGUUUAAUGAUCAUAGGAUAUAUAUAUUAUCCUACAAAAAUCAUAGAACAUGUAUUUAUUAAUUAAAAGAGCUAAUUUUUUAGCAUCCAAAAAAUACUUACUUUCAUAGUUUCACAUUUUUUCUGCAUAGAGAACAUCAUGACAAGGCUACCCAAAACAUUUGAUGAAUUUACCAUGCUCAAACAAUUCACUAUGAAAUUCACAUAUUUAACUAUAGAAAAGAAAAAAGAAAAACCGCUCAAAGUGGCUCAAAACCGCCGUGUCCUCUCUUCGGGUGCUAAAAGUGACCGGUUUUGAUAGUUGAGGGUGAAAAACAGACGGUUUUGUAGUUGAGGGCUAAAGUUAAACUCGGCCAAUAGUUGAGGGGCUAAAAGUGGACUUAAUUCUAAAAAUUUUGACCUCAUAAAAUAGGAUCAACUGCCAAUUAUAGAUCACGAGAUUACUACUAGACACGUAGGUGCAGCGGAAAUGACUAGGUGUAGUCGUGCACGUAGUAGCAGUGUCAUGUAGUUACGUGGUCGUCCACCAUGUCAAUCCCUCUCCAAGGUGUCCCACACGUGCGGAGAAGAAGCGUUGCACCUCCGGACUGCUAGGUCUGCGAGGAGCAAUAGGCACGAGCGUGGGUGAGCGGCGGCGGCUCCCUAAUGGUGUGAGAUCACCCGAGCCUCGCCUCCUCCCUCUCUUAUAUAGGUGUCCUCUAAUCAGCCCCGAGUUGGAGGCCCAAUUAGAAAACCCUAAGCCUUGUCUAAUGGCUUCCAGCUCCUUAAGCGUGUGACCCUAUGGGUUCACAUACAUAUAGACAUGAGCCGAGUACUCCUACUCGCCCAAUAGUUGAUAGCGGCCUCUAGCAAGGCAUUACAACUCCUAUACACACAAAGAUUAUAUCAGACGAACCACUACAUACACAUACAUGUUAUUCCCUUGCCACACGAUAUUUGGUCCAACUCAUGGGUUAACACUUAACCCAGGCACGACCAUGCAUUUGUUGAACCAAUUUAAAAUCACUUGAGUGAUAUAGUGAUAUCUCUCUCACAUAGAGAGGGGCAAGUUCCAUGAUUAUCUAUAUCUCACAGCAUGUUUCCCCGAUAAACCCAAAGACCACCUUUAUAGCUACUGUAACAUCCCUCAUGUUACGGAUACUAAAACUUGAUCAUGUCAUCAUAAGCAUUGCAAAGCAUGUUUGUUAAACACAUCAUGAUGCAUCAACUUAAAAUAAGUUUAUUUUUUUAUGGUUGUGCUUAAGAAGCUAAAGUGUGUUUAUUUUGUUAAAUGAUGCUUGUGUUGGUGGUAUAAUUUCUAGAUAAGGAGAGGUUAUAGAAAUAGCUACGAAAAACCCUAAUUUCAACCCCAGCUUUUACCCCCUUUUGUGUAACAUAAAAACUAAGCAAAAUUUGGGGAUGUGUUCAAAAGCAAAGUUGUAGGUCUUGUUAAGAUGUACAACUUUGGUGUUUUGAGUUUUUGAUGUUUCAAUGAAAAAUUUCAAGUAAUUUUGAAAAGGAAAAAGUCUACAUCACCCCCCUGAACUGUAGGGCGGUGUCUACUUUACCCCCCGAACUCUCAAACGGUCUAAUUUAUCCCCUGAACUAUCUAAAACCGUUCAAACAACCCCCUGAGCGAUUUUUAUGGUGGUUUUGCUACAGUAGCUAUGGUUUUGCUACAGUAACAGUGGUUUUAACUUUUCUUUUUUUAUUUGUUUUUGCUGAAUCUUUAAAAAAUCAUAGUAAAUCAUAAAAAAAUCAUAAAAUAGAAAAUCUAAUUUUGUUGGACUCCACAUAAGUAGAUCUACACAAUGAAUAUAUAAUAUGGUAUAGUUUAGUACAAAUUUCGUACUCAUUUGAUCAUAUAUAACUUAGUUAUAGAUUUAUUUAGGUUUAUGCUUGUUAAAUAUAAAUAAAUCUAUAACUAAGUUAUACAUGAUCUGAUGAGUAUAAAAUAUUUACUAUAGUUCAAGCAUAGAAUAAUUAGUCCACCAUAAAAAUUUCACCACAAUUGGACCAUAGAAGCUACAACUAUGAAUUAUUGGAAUUAAUUACAGAUAAAAUUUUAUUUUUCUAACUAAUUUAAAGCUAUAGAAAAAAAUUUAUACUAAAGUAUACCAUAUUAUAUAUUCAUUGCGUAGAUCUACUCAUGCGGAGUCCAACAAAAUUAGAUUUUCUAUGUUAUGUUUUUUCUAUGAUUUGCUAUGAUUUUUCAAAGAUUAUAUGAAAACAAAUAAGAAAAAAGAAAAAGUCAAAACCACAGUUACUGUAGCAAAACCGCCGUCAAAAACCGCUCAGGGGGUGAUUUGAAUGGUUUUGGAUAGUUUAGGGAGUAAAUUAGACCGUUUCAUAGUUUGAGGGGUAAAAUAGACACCAUACUAUAGUUCAGGGGUUGAUGUAGACUUUUUCUAUUUUGAAAAUACAGAUUUCCACAAAGUGUCUCCUUUUCAAUUUGAAUCUCUAAUUCAAAAUCUAUUUGGAAUCUUGAAAGGUGACCAAAAUGAAAGUUGUAGAUAUCAUCAAUAUGAACAACUUUUAUUUUGGGAGUUUUUCAAGUUGUUGAGCAAAAUCAAAAGUAAAUUUAGGAUUUCUGCUUGGCCCAAAUUAAAAUUUGAUUUGCCCCCAAUUUGGGAUUUGAAUUUCAAACUGUUUUAAACAAAUUCACAGUCUUCCAUUCAAAACUAGUUCUGGGACUUUAAAUAUGUUUUGUGGAGUUCAAAAUUCUGAACAAACCUUGUUUUGACCAAAAUUUGACUUCCAUUUAAAAUAGUGGAGUAAUUUAAAAAAAUAAAAAAGGGAGGGAUAAGCUUGUCUACAGUGCUUCGUAGGGGGAGAGUGCACGCCAGCGCCGCAGCAGGCACAACCGUUUCGCAUGCCACCACGCACCCUGCUACGUAGCUGCUUGGCUGGUCCAGGUUGCCAUGAAGUAGCCGAGCUCAUGGCGUCCUCAUCCACUCCUUCCCAUGACCACACCUCGCUGCAAACUUCUUUUUCCUUCCUUAUACUCAACGUCGGUGAGCUCCUUCGCCAGCAAAAUUCGUCGUGCCCACUCACUUUCCGAGCCACCAGAGCACCUCUACAGCUUCGCCAAGAUCUCAGCAACCGUUUGCGCCCCCAGGUGCAAGCUCUAACCGUCCCUAGCCCCGGCUACGUCCGUUCUUCCUCAACUCCGGCCGAAAACCGCCGCCGUGAGCACCUCACGUGACCAGCGCUCAUUCUAGCUCCUCCGCAUCUUUUGAGUAGCUCCUCAGGAUCACGGUGAGCCCUUGAUACUCCCAAACCCCCCCUUUUACGCUCUAUCGGGUCCUAGGAGUGGUUGCCUCAUCGGCCGGCGUCGAUGUCCGCCUUGGCCGUGGUUGGGGUCAUCGGAGAGCGGUAGAACGUCCACCGAGGGAGAGGAACAAUGCGUAGGAGCAUAGAGCAUGAGAGGGACGCCAAGUUUUCCCUAGGGAGGCACCUCACUAGCGAGGGGCGGGGCAGUCGCUCCCUCCGGCCAAAGCGCGAGGUAGAAGAGGAAGCUUACAUGUGGGGUCCCCCGUCAGCAACCUGUGGAGAGAGGGACGGACGUAGCGCGCGCGGGCCAGCCUGCGGGCCGAGUGCUGGGCCGGCCAGCGCAGCAGUGCGGUUUUUUUUCCUUUUUUCUUUUAGGAAUAAAACUGAUUUAUGUUUUAUUUUAUGUAGAAAAAGUUGUGCAGAUCCAAAAAUGAUGAAACUUUUUGUAUAGGUUCUGCGCAGUGAGUAGAAUAUAGGAAAAAUAUCAGAUGUCACUUUCUAGUACUUUGAGCAUGUUCUAAAAUUGUGUCCUUUAUCUAAUAAAUAGAACUUCUAGGAUUUUUAGGGAUUUAUUUAGAUGUCCAAAAAUCACCAAAAUUUGUGAGGUGUCUCUGAGUAUUAUUUCCCGGCUUCACAAAAAGUUUGGUGGCAUUUACUAAUAUACCCUUAGUUAGUAGUUAAGUAAUAAUCUUAAAAUAAUUAGGUGAUUAUUAGCUUAAAUUCCAGAUUAGGGUUUGAGUGAUUUUGGGAUUGUGUGAUGGCGAGGGGUCAUUAACCUUAAUGACCUUUGACAUUUAAUUAUUGUUUGGUAUUAAUGUUUAAUUACUAUCAUUAAUGCUUAAUUAAGAAUUAAUUAAUAUAAGUGGGAUUAAUAAUUAGUUAAUUAAAAAUAAUUAUAAAUUAAGAAAAGUCUAAGAUUACUAAUGCAACCUCUUGGGUAAAAACACUAAAGUAGUAAACAACCUCUAAUUACUUUUUCAACUUGCGUUUGUACCGAGAAGGAAAGUCAUACUCAAUUAAAUCCAUCUUAUUUGUUGUCAUAAGCAUACCAUGAGCAUACAUCAUUUUGCGUAUAGUGCACGUGAUCAAAGGAGUGACCGUUGAACCGAACCCCGAGGUUGGUGUUCCGUCCGAGGAAGUGGAAACCGAGACUUGGGAAGUCUCCGAGGAACUCACUCAGCUCUGCAACCAAGGCAAGCCCCGAAUGCAUUUAAACCUUCCUCAAUGUUUUAAAUCUUUUAUCACUUAUGAAUCAAAAUGUUGCAUUACGUAGUUAGGAAUUGGGAUAACGAAUUGUUGCAUUUACCACCUUGAUAUUUGUUAUCUUGUCCUUGGUACCUAUUUUAUUUAAAACUACGUAGUGAUGCUUAGACCUACUUAUUAGAUAGGUUUUCAAAUAAGAACAUUUGAACGGUUGUUGUGGAAUACCUUUAUUGUCAAUAAUGUUUCAACUUGAGACCGAUCGGUAGACUUGCUCUAAGGAUGGAGUCUUAAAUUAGUGUCUCCAACUGUGUCGAUUAAGGACUGGUCCAUUGAUGGCCUACUGGGUUGAGAAUUUAUAGUACUAGCCACUUGCCCUCGGUAAGCCUGGUCUGGUGAUUCCUCGACGAGAGCGGCUACUCGGCACUGGGCGUGGAGCUACGACGAGAGUAGCAUGUACCCUCCUAGCAAAUGGGCUGGAUGGUGGAGUACUGUGCUCUCGGGUGCUGUGAACCUGCUCAGAUCUUGGGAAUGCAAGAUUUGAUUAACAUAUGCAAGAUUCAGUUCUACAUAUGUCGGGUGGUUAGGAACUCCAGCUGGAUUGUUAAGCGGUUCGAAUUGUCGUUGCUCCCCGAUUGGGAGACUCAAUCCACUGACCCUCAUCAUAGUUAAUAAUGCAAUUAAGUUAAGAAAUGGGGAAGAUGGAAAUGUCUCAUGGAGUUCGGAUCCCAAUUCCUGGACUCACAGUGAUAUGAAGCUAUGGCCGUCGGAAAAUAUCAUUCUUGUUAGGGAUUAGUGAUUCACGGACUCAUCUGUGAAAAGCAACUUAGAUAGAUUGUCCUAGAAUUCGUCCACCUCUCGAGGUGGCAUGUUUGAAGCUAAAACUCUAAAAGCAAGGAUCCACUAUUAGUAAGCUUUUAUGCAAAACAACUUGGUUCCUUGCUCAGCCACUCCUUGUCUACCCCAAAACCUGCAUUCCUGAAUUUCUCCUCUUCUUCGUCGGGUAAGUCUUGUUGAGUACUCCCGUACUCAAGGUUCUUUAACCCCUGUUGCAGGUGCUGACUUGUGCAACUAAUGGAGAUCAUGUUAGUGGGUGCGGCAUGAUUUGUCCAUCUCUUCUACCUCAUAUGUUUCAUCUAAUUUGCUUCCGCUACUCUACACAUCUUUUGGAAAUUUAGUUAAGUUUAUAUUCCAUCAUAUUUUGUAAAUUGAGUUAUAAAUCUUCUACACUCUGAUGUAAGUUUUUUUUGUGACAAAUGUUGUAAUGUUGUGGUAACUCCAUGUUGAUCCUCUAUGAGUUGUAAAAUGUGGAUGAUUCGGGGUCCUCUAAGGGCACCUGACAGACUAUCCGAAUUAUAUGACUCUCAUGUGAAGUAAUCAGAGGCCUUAAGGACAAUGAUAGGUGCAUGUGGGCCAUAUAAUUAGGGUGGUUCUUCCAUAGAGUGGUUUCAGAGCUCAUACAUGGAUCUUCUGCAACAUUACUGGUGAAAAACUUCAAAAGGAAUUUCCAAAUUAAAUAUUUUAAGGAUAACAACUUAUAAAUGCUCCUUAACUUUUCUUAUGCUUGUUGUUCAAGUUCUACGAAGACUUUCUACUGACUCAAAUAGAAGGCAUUGAAAGAGGCUUCAAGUCUCCGGCAAGCCAAGUAAAGAAUCAAACUACUCCAACAAUGCUUUGUCAAUAGUCUUGUAGCCUUCCAUCUGAAGCAAUAAAGAUAAUAUAUAAAGUAUGCCCUAUAUAAGUAGUUACCUCCUGGCUAACGUUGUGAAGACAUACAGGGCGAGCAUACAUCAUAUCAUUCACUUCAGAAUAAAGAUACGAGGAUGUUAUAAAUUCCCUUUUUAAUCCAGGACAGCUAUUCUCCUUAUAGUUGUUCUAUUUGAUAAAUCUCAUCAUGUACCAGGUUUCGUUAACCGAUUGAUAAUCUUUUACUCCAUAAGAUCCUAAUCCUUGGGAAUUUGUGGAUAUACCUUGAUAUACAUCAUUACCUCAAAAUUGAAACCUGGGACUAAUCCUUGAUUCUUUUGUUAUGCUUGUGACCUUCCUUGAUUUCAUCUAAUUCAGACACAUGCUACCUCCUUGAUGUCAUUUAACAACAUUUAUGUUGAUUAAUGUCACUAUGAUUGUGUCCUCUUAAGGUACCAUGACCCAUGACUUAGGUAACAACACCGAAACCUGGGGUCUCCUAUGGCUCACGACCAUAAUGAAAUACUAUUGGGCGCUCGCUGUUAUCAAAGUCUAUGAUCAUGAUCCCUUAUAGCCCCACAACUAAGGUGACCUCACUCUUUGAACCAUAGUAUGGGAAUCCAUGCCCAUAUCUCUUUGGAAUUACCUAAAACCUUUGACUUGCAUAACCAACAUAUGUUGAUUGAAAGUUAUUGUAACUACACUCUAUAGUAGGUACCAUGAUCCGUGAUCAUGUUAUAGCGUCGGACCUUGUAGUCUCCUAUGGAACCAUGGCCAUAAGGAAUAUACUACCAGGUGCUCGUUAAACAUCGGGAUCUUUGGUCAUGCUCCACUAUAGUCUACAGUUAGUAUGCUUUCCUUCUCCCUGGAAACUCAUUUGGAGAUCAUAUCUUCUUAUAAAUUCUCCAAAAUUCCUUAUUGAUUACAACUUUCUGUGGAUCUUAGUUGUAAUUCUCGGACCAAUCGUAACUAUUUUAUGAACUUCUCAGAAGUUAAUGUGCUUGACACAUUUCCUUUUCCAUUACUUAACCCCACAGGUUUUACUACCUGGGAAAUCUCGAGACAAGAUUUCUUUAAGGGGGAAGGGUUGUAAAAUCCUUGAUGUUACGGAUACUAAAACUUGAUCAUGUCAUCAUAAGCAUUACAAAGCAUGUUUGUUAAGCACAUCAUGAUGCAUCAACUUAAAAUAAGUUUAUUUUUUUAUGGUUGUGCUUAGGAAGCUAAAGUGUGUUUAUUUUGUGAAAUGAUGCUUUUGUUGGUGGUAUAAUUUCUAGAUAAGGAGAGGUUAUAGAAAUAGCUAAGAAAAACCCUAUUUUCAACCCUAGCUUUACCCCCUUUUGUGUAACAUAAAAACUAAGCAAAAUUUGGGGAUGAGUUCAAAAGCAAAGUUGUAGGUCUUGUUAAGAUGUACAACUUUGGUGUUUUGAGUUUUUGAAGUUUCAAUGUAAAAUUCAAAGUAAUUUUGAAAAUACAGAUUUCCAAAAAGUGUCCCCUUUUCAAUUUGAAUCACUAAUUCAAAGUCUGUUUGGAAUCUUGAAAGGUGAAAAAAAUGAAAGUUGUAGAGCUGAUCACAAUGAAUAACUUUUAUUUUGGGAGUUUUUCAAGUUGUUGAGAAAAAUCAAAAGUAAAUUUAGGAUUUCUGCUUGGCCCAAAUUCAAAUUGGAUUUGCCUCCAAUUUGGGAUUUGGGAUUUGAAUUUCAAACUAUUUUAAACAAAUUCACAGUCUUCCAUUCAAAACUACUUCUAGGACUUUAAAUAUGUUUUGUGGAGUUCAAAAUUAUGAAUAAACUUUGUUUUGACUGAAAUUUGACUUCCAUUUAAAAUGGUGGAGUAAUUUGAAAAAACAGAAAAGGGAGGGAUAAGCUUGUCUAUAGUGCUUCGCAGGGGGGAGUGCACACCAGCGCUGCGGCAAGCGCAGCCGUUCCGCACGCCACCACGCACCCGCCAUGCAGCUGCUUCGCUGGUCGAGGUCGCCGUGAAGUGGCUGAGCUCCUGGCAUCCUCAUCCGCUCCUUCCCAUGACCACACCUCGCUGCAAACUUCUUAUUCCUCCCUUACACUCAACGCCGGUGAGCUCCUUCGCCAGCAAAAUUCAUCGUGCCCACUCACUUUUCGAGCCACUAGAGCACCUCUGCAGCUUCACCAAGAUCUCAGCAACCGUUUGCACCCCCUGGUGCAAGCUCUAACCGUCCCUAGCCCCGGCUACGUCCGUUCUUCCUCAACUCCGGCCGAAACCGCCGUGAGCACCUCAUGUGGCCAGGGCUCUUUCAAGCUCAUCCGCAUCUUCCGAGUAGGUCCUCAUGAUCACGGUGAGCCCCUAAUACUCCCAAACCCUCCCUUUUACGGUCUAUCGAGUCCUAGGAGUGGUUGCCUCGUCGGCCGACAUCGAUGUCCGCCAUGGCCGUGGUCAGGGUCAUCAGAGAGCGGUAGAACGUCCACCGAGGGAGGGGAACGAUGCGCAGGAGCGUAGAGCAUGAGAGGGACGCCAAGGUUUCCCUAGGGAGGCGCCUCACUAGUGAGGGGCCAGGCAGAGUCGCUUUCCUCCGGCCAGAGCGCGAGGUAGAAUAGGAAGCUGACGGGUGGGGUCCCCCGUCAGCGACCUACGGAGAGAGAGGAAGGGAUGCAGCCCGCGCGGGCCGGCCUACGGGCCGAGUGCUGGCCUGGCCAGGGCAGCAGCGUGGUUAUUUUCUUUUUGCUUUUAGGAAUAAAACUGAUUUAUGUUUUAUUUUAUGUAGAAAAAGUUGUGCAGAUCCAAAAAUGAUAAAACUUUUUGUAUAGGUUCUAUGCAGUGAGUUGAACAUAGGAAAAAUAUCAUAUGUCACUUUCUGGUACUUUGAGCAUGUUCUAAAAUUGUGUCCUUUAUCUAAUAAAUAGAAUUUCUAGGAUUUUCAGGGAUUUAUUUAGAUGUCCAAAUAUCACCAAAAUUUGUGAGGUGUCUCUAAGUAUUAUUUCCUAGCUUCACAAAAAGUUUGGUGACAUUUGGAUAAAAUUUGAGUAAAAUACUAAUAUACCCUUAAUUAUUAGUUAAGUAAUAAUCUUAAAACAAUUAGAUGAUAAUUAGCUUAAAUUCCACAUUAGGGUUUGAGUGAUUUUGGGAUUGUGUGAUGACCAGGGGUCAUUAACCUUAAUGACCUUGGACAUUUAAUUAUUGUUUGGUAUUAAUGUUUAAUUACUGUCAUUAAUGCUUAAUUAAGGAUUAAUUAAGAUAAGUGGGAUUAAUAAUCAGUUAAUUAAAAAUAAUUAUAAAUUAAGAAAACUCUUAGAUUACUAUUGCAACCUCUUAGGUAAAAACACUAAAGUAGUAAACAACCUCUAAUUACUGUUUCAACUUGGGUUUGUACCGAGAAGGAAAGUUGUACUCAACUAAAUCCUUCUUAUAUGUUGUAAUAAGCAUAUCAUGAGCAUACAUCAUUUUGCGUAUAGUGCACGUGACCGAAGGAGUGACCGUUGAACCAAACCCCGAGGUUGGUGUUCCGUCCGAGGAAGUGGGAACUGAGACUUGGGAAGUCUUUGAGGAACUCACUCAGCUCUGCAACCAAGGCAAGCCCUGGAUGCAUUUAAACCUUCCUUGAAUGUUUUAAAUCUUUUAUCACUUAUGAAUCAAAAUGUUGCAUUACAUAGUCAGGAAUUUGGAUAACCAAUUGUUGCAUUUACCACCUUGAUAUUUGUUAUCUUGUCCUUGGUACUUAUUUUAUUGAAAACUGCGUAGUGAUGCUUAGACCUGCUUAUUAGAUAGGUUUUCAAAUAAGAACGUUUGAAGGGUUGCUGUGGAAUACCUUUAUUGUCAAUAAUGUUUCAACUUGAGACUGGUCGGUGGACUUGCUUUAAGAAUGGAGUCUUAAAGUAGUGUCUCCAACUAUGUCGAUUAAGGACCGGUCCGUUGAUGGCCUGCUGGGUUGAGAAUUUAUAGUACUAGCCACUUGCCCUCGGUAAGCCCGGUCUGGUGAUUCCUCGACGAGAGCGGCUACUCGCGCACUGGGCGUGGAGCGAUGGCGAGAGUAGCGUGUACCCUCCUAGCAAAUGGGCUGGACGGUGGAGUACAGUUCUCUCAGGUGCCGUAAACUCGGUCAGAUCUUGGGAAAGCCAGAUUUGAGUUGACAUAUGCAAGAUUCAGUUCUACAUAUGUCAGGUGGUUAGGAACUCCAUCUGGAUUAUUAAGCGGUUCGAAUCGUCGUUGCUCCCCGAUUGGGAGACUCAAUCCACUGACCCUCAUCGCAGUUAAUAAUGUAAUUAAGUUAAGAAAUGGGGAAGAUGGAAAUGUCUGAUGGAGUUUGGAUCCCAAUUCCUGGACUCACAGUGACAUGAAGCUAUGGCCGUCGGAAAAUGUCAUUCUUGUUAGGGAUGAGUGAUUCACGGACUCGUCCGUGAAAAGCAACUUAGAUAGACUGUCCUCGAAUUCGUCCACCUCUCGAGGUGGCAUGUUUGAGGCUCAACCUCUGAAAAUAAGGAUCCACUAUUAGUAAGCUUUUAUGCAAAAUAACUUGGUUCCUUGCUCAGCCACUCCUUGUCUACCCUACACCUGCAUUCGUGAAUUUCUCCUCUUUUUCGUCGGGUAAGUCUUGUUGAGUACUCCCGUACUCAGGGUUCUUUAAACCCUGUUGUGGGUGCUGACUUGUGCAACUAAUGGAGAUCAUGUCAGUGGGCGCAGCAUGAUUUGUCCAUCUCUUUUACCUUAGAUGUUUCAUCUAAUUUGCUUCCGCUACUCUACACAUCUUUUGGAAAUUUAGUUAAGUUUAUAUUCCAUCAUAUUUUGUAAAUUGAGUUAUAAAUCUUCUGCACUCUGAUGUAAGUUAUUUUUGUGACAAAUGUUGUAAUGUUGUGGUAACUCCAUGUUGAUCCUGUAUGAGUUGUAGAAUGUCGAUGAUUCGGGGUCCUCUGAGGGCACCCGACAGACUAUCCAAAUUAUAUGACUCUCAUGUGCAGUAAUCAAAGGUCUUAAGGACAAUGAUAGGUGCAUGUGGGCCAUAUAAUUAGGGUGGUUUUGCCACAACUACCCUGUUACGGAGUAGUGUUUAAUAGUCCCUAAGUAGGUCGUUUCACGUCUUGAGAACAUACGACAAUCUCAUGUCUAAGGACAUAACGUACAUGAUGCAUAAAGAGAUAAUAAGAACAUGUCAUGUUGGGUCAGUCCAGCCCCAUGUCAUACAUGUGCCCACAUUAUUAGUUAGACAUUUGUAUGUUUGUGACUUGUGAAACAUAGUCAUCAACUAAUACAUAUGCUAAUCUAAUAUUCAUUUGUGUCCUCACAUGAACUCUGAUCAAGGACAACUUUAGAAUAAUAUAAGUAAAAAAGUUUCAAAAACAAUUCACAUAUUUGUGAAUCAGUACAAGUUUGUCUAUAAUGGAUAUUCAUCAAACUCAUAAUAUAUGUCAUGGAUACAAUCAUAAUAUCAUCAUCUCUAUGAUUACCUCUUGGGCGUAUUCCUAACAGUCUCCCACUUGCACUAGAGUUGAUCUCUAAGAUAUCUAAUACCCAUAGACCUCAAGUGUGCCUCAUGCUUAGGCUGUGGAAGAGCCUUUGUCAAAGGAUUUGCAAUAUUCAAAUCUGUAUGUAUCUUGCACAUCUUAAUUUCACCUCGCCUAACGAACUCUCGAAUGAGGUGAAACUUCCACAGCACAUGUUUGUUCUUUUGGUGAUUCCUAGGCUCCUUAGCUUGUGCAAUCACCCCAUUGUUGUCACAAUGUAUAUUCAAUGGACUCGGUGCAUUUGGAAACACACCAAGUUCAAUGAGGAACCUCCUCAUGCAAACACCUUUUUUCGCAGAUUCAGAAGCUACGAUGUACUUAGCCUCUGUUGUAGAAUCAGUCACUGUUGCCUGCUUGGAACUUUUUCAGCUUACUGCACCACCAGUUAUUGGGAACACGAAACCUAAUUGAGAUUGUGAAUCAUCUGUGUCAGUUUGGAAGCUAGCAUUGGUGUAAUCUUUUACAACGAGCUCCUCCUCACCUCCAUAGAUUAGGAACACAUCUGUAGUCCUUCUCAAGUACUUAAGAAUGGUUUUAACAAGUGUCUAGUAACUUUCACCUAGAUUAGUUUGGUACCUACUCGUAAUACUUAGAGCAUAUGAGACAUCUGGGUGAGUACAUAUCAUGGCAUACAUGAUGGAACAAUUGUCGAAGCAUGUGGAACCUUACUCAUGCGUUUGUGCUCUUCAUCUGAUGAAGGACGCUGCUUAUCGCUAAAACGCAUACCAUGUGACAUAGGCAAGAACACUCUUUUAGAUUGUUCCAUGUUGAACCAUUUCAACACUUGUCUAUGUAUGUAUCUUGGCUUAAUCCUAUUAGCCUUUUGGACCUAUCUCUAUAGAUCUUAAUGCCCAAAAUGUAUGCUACUUCUCCUAAAUCCUUCAUAGAAAAACUAUUAAUUAGUGAAGUCUUUACGGUUUGCAACAUUGGAAUGUCAUUCCCAAUCAAUAAUAUGUCAUCCACAUAUAAGAUUAGAAAUACAACAGUGGUCCCACUUUCCUUCUUGUAAACACAAGGUUCUUCUUCAUUCUGAUGAAAGCCAAAUCUUUUGACCACUCCAUCAAAACAAAUAUUCCAACUUUGAGAUGCUUGCUUUCACCCAUAAAUAAAUUUCUUUAGCUUGCAUAUUUUUCCAACAUUAUUAGGAUCAACAAAACCUUUGGGUUGUAUCAUAUACAUGUCCAUCCAAAUUUCCAUUUAGAAAGACUAUUUUAACAUCCAUCUGCCAUAUCUCAUAAUCAAAAUAUGCAGCGAUUGCUAGAAUGAUUCGAAUAGAUUUAAGCAUCGCUACUGGUGAGAAAGUCUCGUCAUAGUCAACUCCUUGAACUUGCCUAAAACCUUUUGUGACAAGUUGAGCUUUAUAGACGUGAACAUUUCCAUCCAUAUCCUUUUUCUUCUUAUAGAUCCAUUUGCACUCUAUGGGUCUAACCCGAUCAGGUGGAUCAACCAAGUUCCAAACUUGAUUAUCUCCCAUGGAAUCUAUCUCAAAUCUCAUGGCACUUUGCCAUUUCUCAGAAUCUGGGUCCAUCAUUGCUUCUGCAUAAUUUGUAGGUUCGUCAUCAUCUAAUAAUAACAAUUCCCCAUGCAAUUCAUGAAGUCUUGCUGAUCUUCGUGGUUGCGGCAGCAUUUCUACUACCAUAGGUGUCUCAACUUGUUCUGCUAUGUUAGCAUCACUGGUAGAGUUAUUCCAACUGGCUCAUCUAGAACUUCUUCAAGAUAGACCUUAUGUCCAUUUUUCUCUCUUUUAAGAAACUCUUUCUAUUGAUGCAAAAAUAGAUUUGCAAACAUAAAGGGCUAAUACCCAAUUUCGAUAUCAAGGCAUGCCAGCCGAUUUAACCUAGCAAUCGACAAAGGUGAUAACUUGAAUACUUUGGUCUCGACAACAGCGAUGCACCAGAAUGUCAUGGCCAAGAGGUACUCACGCGGAACCUGAGAAAUCAUCGAGUAUGACUCACCGAAUCCUUGAGAACUCAUAAACAGGAAAACGUACACGAAUUGACGAAGUCAUCAAAAAGUAGAUGUAAAACUUGUGUUGGUAUUGAUUGAUUGUUCUUACAUCGCUGUUGGGUUUAUAUUUAUACCCUAGCCCUCAAGAGUUACGACCGAACACGACUAAGAUUCAACAAGACUCUUAUAUAUAAGGCAUAUCUAGACAAGUAUGGAAAAAGAAAUAAUAAUUAUCUAUUCUUAUGUCCCUCCUAAUCACGAUAAAGUCUUCAUUGGUCCCCACUUCAAGUCUCCAUCAGAUUUUGCUUCAAGUCUUCAUCAGCUCCUAUCGCAUCAGCACAUAUAUGCCUCUUCAGCAAUAAUUUUCACAUCCUCCUCCUCCAUCGGCAUCGGUAACCAUAAGUCUUAUCGGCAAUAAUCAGUAGCUUGCCAUCUUCAACUCUAGACUAGCAGAAUCCUUCUACUAACCAUUAUUUCAUCAUUGGCAUCAUUCGAAUCAGCCAUCGGCACUCUUCUGUUGAUCUAACAUAGCAACUUCUCCACUACCGAUAAGCUCUCCUUGACCAUCUUGAUUCAUACCUAAAAACGGUGUCAACACAUGCCCCCCAAUUUCGGAGUAUGAGAUCAUUAAUGCUCGGUAAUUUACUCCAGAUAAUGAUGAAUUUUCCACAAUUACUUUCCUUUUGGUAAAAAUCUAUUACCAAAUCCAAACAAACUCAACCUUGAUCCCCGCAUCUCACUAAACAUCACAAAUCUUCCAACCUCCCGUACCAAAUCAUAGGAAAAACUGCCCAUCGGCAAAACUUUAACAAUAAAACACAUUGCCGAUGACUUACUAAAAUAUUGCGCACAAUGAAAUAUCUUCAAGAUCAUGAUUACUUGCCAUCAAAUCACCUGCACAAUCCCUUUAUUAUCGUGCAAACAGUUACCAUAUCCAUCUGAACUACCUCGAAUUUCACGGAUACGGUGGAGAGAUAAGUCAAAAGUAUCCCCACUCAUCUCAACCUAUAAAUACCUCCUUCCUCAGUACUCAUCUUCUACCUUGCCAUUCUCCAUCUCCAAUCUCAUCUCUCUCGGCGGUGACUUCGACGAAAAACUUCCAGAGCUCCAACAACAAGAAGUUCCACUGCACCAGAACUCCCAAGCCAAAACCUUCAAGCCCUCGGUCUCCCCCUCAUCUUGGAAGAAAUGGCCAUCAACUUCAACAUGCCCGAGGUGAAUCCCGUUUCCAUUCUCCCCUUUUCUUACCAUAACUCCCUAUAUUCUUGCAAGUUCAUAUACUUAGUAUUUUCCUUUUGUUUUUUUGCCUUUUUGAUCCCCCAAACAUAGGAACUGAGUGACAAAAUAGUUAUCCCUACUGAACAACCUCACAUCUAGUGCUUGGGUCCAAUGGGUAACCCAGAUCCCACUGACAUGAUAAACGUAGAAACCAACAGAAUUCCUUUCAAGGCUGAAAACUUCUCCCUAGAUCUGUGGAAAGACACCUUCCGAUCCUGGCCAAAAACCACCAAGGGAUGGAAGGACUGGUUCUAGAGAGUUAAUGGGGCUAACAAGGUGUACUGGGGACACUACAAGAAACACAUGGCUUUUUAACGUUUAGUUACGUCAUAAUAUAUGGAAUUUAUGUUAAAAAUAAAGAUUUGUGACAUCAAGAUGACAAAAAUCAAAACAUGGAAAAGCCCGCGUCAUAAAAUGAUUAUGUGACAUUUGUUUGAUUAAUGUCACAAGCAUAUGACAUUGGUUUAUUGUCACAAAAUCAUUGGCCUUGCCACAUUGCAACUGACAUGGCAUGGAGAAAAAAUGUCACAAAAUGAGUUUUGGCCUACUAAAGCCCACAUAGCUCAUGACGAUCAACAAAAAUGUCAUGUAUACCGUGUCAUACAUUGUUUACUGGUUAGGCCCAGAUCACUGUAUUAACAUGCAUCAUAGCUCAUAAGCUACAACAAUCAUUAAAAAAUAUUGAUUCAUUCAUAUAUUACCAUGUCCACAACAGUUACAUUGAACAACAAAGUACAAAAUUGACCUAGCUCAUAACCAUUUGUUUUGAUAGUCAUUUUACAACUAAUUCUAAGAACAACUACAUUUGAACAAAAAGAUUUCAUCCCUAGGGAGUCUAAAUAAGAAAACAUAUGAUCACUUCAAUUGGCUUGCUGUCGAGAAGGUGCUACCUGAAAAUCAAUAUGAAUAUGGGAUAAGUCAGUUUGCAGCAAAGAUUCUAAAAGAAAUGCUAUCUGUUUAUUAUCAAGCUAUACACAUAUUUUUGAGAGUACAACAUGAGAAUAACUCAUGGUUAAAAAGAGAACAGCCACACGGACACACACAACCAAUAAGGACAAGUAGUCCACAAGUAAAUUAGAAAAAAGCAGCAUUUCAUAACUAUUUGAAGGUUUUGAGUGUAGAUGGAUUCAAGCAAAUCCUAAAUACUACUCUCUAAUAAUUGAGAUUCCUGCCUACUCCUAGAUUCCCAUUAAACUUCACAUUGUGAAGCACAAGCAGUAAUAAUUCAGCAAAGCACGCAUGACAUAUCUAUUUAAGGGCAGCAGCAGUAAGAUUGCUACUCUGCCCUUGUGCAAAACACAAAUGCAGUUGCACAAGUUACUGAUGGAUGCAGUGCUUAUCUGCUUACCUUGUCUCCUGCCACUCUCUGAAAACCAGAAAAAAUGUGAACUGAUGGCCACUGAGAAGUAUAGGAACAAAUGGUCUACACUAGUCCUCAGCGAGCUCCAAGACUUGUAACAGGAGCUACACCUACAAUCCAAAUGAGAGAGCAAAGCAGUACAUUGUUGCUGAAAGAGAAACUGUAAAAGAAAAUAGAUCUCAAACUGGGCAUAAAGUUCCUAUUAAUGAAGAUAUCAUGUUCUAGAAACCACAUAAUUGCACAAUCUGCAGUUAUAGAUUAGCUAUCCAAACAAUACUAUGAUCCCUUGCAUGAAGUCUAAGUCUAAAAAUUAACAACUAGCAAAACAUAUAUAGAAAAUUGCACAAUUUAUAUAGUAGAUAGCUAGAUUAUAAAAUUAUCAAAAAAUUUCUUUGGUCAGGCAAGCACAUUUGAUAGAACAAACAAACUGCAAAACAAGAUACUACAUCUUACUGCUAAUUGUGAGAGACGGAGGGAGAGAUGAUCCAGUACACACCUUGCUUGGAUUAACAAACAAAUAAAAAACUGGAUAACUGAAUAUUCCAAGAACUCAAUACAUAGCAGCACCAAUGGAUAACCUAAUAGUCUGAAAUAUUGAAAAAUCACCUACAAGUGUCCAACAGAUAUACCCUUACUACUGUAGAUCAUGUUUUUUCCCUCUUUACUCACAAUCAUGUUUCCUCACUACUUUGCACUAAAUCCACACUUUUACUACCAGAUCUACCAAAAACAAACAAAAGCUAUAUAUCAGCACAAUACUUGAGUCUAUAAAGAGAGGAUUUUGGUUCUAGAUGGUUGCUCGCCAGGGUUCGAAGCGAUUUCCCCUCCCAAAUAAAUUAAAACCCUAGAUCGGAGAGAAGCAGGUUAUGAUCUAUUAGAACUGUAGGAAAGGGAUGAACUAAAAUUAAACCUCAGAUCUAAUACAGGAAUGAAAAAAGAGGAAAGAAACAACCUGCCACUGGCUUGCCAUAGAUUCGCCGUGUCCAUCCCCAAACCACGGCCUCGCUUCGGCGGGCUGCCUCCAUCCCCAAACCACGGCGGCGGUUCCUAGCUAGCGGUGCUUCCCCGUGAGCCUCAGGUCGUGGAUCUCCCAAGCCCGCGGUGGCCUCAUGCCUACACUAGCAAGAAUCUGAGGCACUGCAGAUCCAGGCCGACCCCCUUCAACUGCAGCUCCAGGCGGAGCAGAAAGAAUGAGUUGUGAUGAUUCAAGUUACCUGCUCCACAAACCACUUCUACUCUGUACGCUUGAGUGGCGCCUUGCCCUGUUGGUGCUGCUGCGGCGCUGCUAGCCCACGGUCACUCGGCGUGCUAGAGCCUGGAUUCUAGAGCGGGGGACCACUGGAGCCGACACGACGACAUGCCGACACCCACCUGCCUUCCUGCCGCUGAGAAGCCGUGUGCUCGGCCAAGGAGAGGACCCGUGGGUCGCGGCCAGGGAGAGGGGACUGGGUCGCGGACUCGCAGCCAAAGGGAGGGGUGGAGGGCGUCGCGCACUCGACACUCGUGCUCGCGCCGUCGGGUUAGAAGUACGGGAAAACACAACGAAGGAGAGGCGGCGCUACUCGGGAGGAAGGGGAACAGAGAGAUGCAUAGGAUUUGUUUUCAUCAGUUGGGCUUUUGGCUUUAGGAUUGAAAUUGUUGGCCCAAUAAGGAAUAUAUAUUUUUUAUAUGUUAGCCCGUCCUACUUAAUACAUAUGUGCAUGAAAAUUUAAGGGAGGCUUAGGGGGGGCUCCAUGUGCUCACGGUCGGUAGGCGGGGCUCGAGCCUCUAGCCCCACCGUUGCCUCUGUCGCUAAGCAGAGGAAUAUCUGUGAGAGAGAGAGAGAGGAUAGAUGUGAGGCAUGCACCGUGUCCGUGGCUAACCCAAGUUAACUGCAAUGGAUAAAUAAUUCGGGUCCGUGAGAGCCCAUUAUACUAGCAUUAAGACAUUUUUAUGAUAGGUGGGCCAAUUUUGACUUUUUUAUAUAUUUCUUUAAAUUUGACUUGUUUAUAUACAUUAGAUAAAAAAAAACUUUGCAUCCAACCGCUAGCGCUCGUCAAUAUCAUUUAAUCUUUGGGAAACAAGGAUCAUGAAUUCUUCAAUCCCCUCAAUACGUUCCCUGUUGAAUAUCAUAUUCUUAAUCCAAGAUCUAUCCAUCUGUAACAAAUCAUGAGAUACACUUGAUAAAAAAAUUUACAUAUAUAUGAUACAUGACCAAAAUUAUCAAACAUGUGACAUAUCAUUAUUUAUAUAUAAAAAAUAUGAUCUGAUAUAAUAAAAAAUAAAAUAGAAAAAAGGGAAAAACAUGUGUUGAUGUGGCAAAAGACAUGGAAAGUUUUUUUCAACAUGGAAAGUUUUUUUAAAAAAAUAAUAAAAUAAUUUGUGACACACAAAUAGGCCUUGUGAUAUAGAAAAUAUUGUCACUAGAUGAAAUCAGACUUGUUAAAUGAUAUUUAUUGUGAUAUACAACUUUUAAUUGUCACUAAGUCACUAUGCCUAAAAUAUAAUGUCACAAAAUGGAUGAUAUAAUAACAUUCUUACAAUUGUCAUACUAAAAAUAUUAAAAAGCCAUGUAUUUCUUAUAGUGGGAGAACACAAACUAGACCAGUGCAUCAGACUCUCCAUUGCUAAUAUGGAGAAAAAUGAGUCGAUGUUGAUAGCAACUGCAUACUUUUGGUCAGAUACUUUUAAUGCUUUCAUGUUUGGUCACAGCCCAGUUUUCCCCACACUUGCCGAUGUACUUAUGCUUACAGGUCUAGAUAUCUCAAUUGCCGAUGAUGGUAGUCUUUUCAAUCGGAAACCCGAGCACAGAGUAGACACCCAUAAUAUCGGCGGUUGGUCAGGAUACGUCCAGAAGUAUCGGUAAACCAGAUCGGUCAGCUAGAGAGAUCAUGCCAUUUUCUUGAACAUGUGGCUAGAUAAGUUUAUUUUUUUGCGGCCGAUUGGUAGGGCCAACUUGUGUUUACUUAGCAGCUGCCGAGUGGUUAGCCAAUGGUUCCCGAUUCCCCCUUGGCCGAUACCUAUCAUCUCCUUCACCAAGUGGCCGAGAAGCUUUUGCUGGGUGAACCUAUCGGUAAUUUGGGAAGCCCCUAGUGGUUUAUCAAUAUGUAGCUUAAUGCUCAUAUGCACAAGCGUCUGCAAUGGGAUUUCUUUGCGCAGCAGGUCCUACGAGACAUUGCCGAGGAUUACGAGCUGGCGGAAGAUGAAUCGACAACUCGUUCGCCCCUCAACUUUGGUGAAGCCAUCAUAGUCCUUCCUGGAACCGAUACAAAUGAGAAUCAGAUCGACAGAUUCUUUCAAACUUUCUACAAUGGUCUUUCCCGAGAUCAUCGGGCCUGGAUGCCUUAUGUGGAUGAGGAAUCUAGAUUGCCUCUCCUCUUUCAUCCUGCCGAUGAAGUACUCAACAAGGACAACGACUUGAUGAUGGCCAUUAUCACCCUAUGGGCAAUUCAAGUGAACAUCUUUGGCAGUGGAAAGAAUACCAACGUGACUUACGAAUUCUACAAUCCAUCAGCAUUAUCUCGUCAGUUGGCUUUUGGUCAAUUGCCAAUCAAACUCUGCUAUGCCGAUGUGAUCAAGCCAAGGGAAACAAUCACCAGUGGUCUUGAGUGGAUCAGGGUAGCUUAACUUCCACCAGAUGCCGAUACAGCAGAUGUCGAUCUAUCGGCCUGGGUUCCAGCUUCCUUCAUCAUCGAAUCCUACAACCUAUGGUGGGAAGAAUGGAAGGAACAAUUAUUCACGACAUCGGCUCACGUAUAUUGGAACAUGAUCGACCACGAGCAUGAAAUCCCCAUUGACGUUGUAAGUCUCUUUCUGAUACUCAAUACUUCCGCUACUUCUAACUUCAUCGGCAACUUACUUCUUUAUUGUGACAGGUUGAUGAUUCGGCACCAUCGAUGAACAAAAGCGGGCGACCGUUUGAUCUCUGGCUAGUAUCUCCAGUCUCUCUGAUCGGCCACAAUGCUCCUAGCUUAGCAGCUCGGAUGCACCAAGACAUUAAUUUUAAGAAAAUGACUACCAAGCGAUCAAAGGCUACUCCAACAGUUGCUGCCGCUACCCUGGCACAAGCUUUCAAGAUAAAAAUCCUCAAUUAAUUCCUAUUAUACCGAUUUCAACCUAUACUUAUAUUAUCCUUUCAGGGCGUAUCAACCACAACUGGAACAUCAUCAGUAACUUUGUUUUACACCAAACACUUUUCAUUCUUAAUGAACUUUAGAAACAUUCCUCUGCUUUUAUACUUAACUCACAAAGCUUUACGUCUUGUAGCAGCAAACCAGCGCAUCGGCAGGGGUCCAAGGCAUUCAAUCAUUGGGUGCCGAUGCCCCCCAGUCAACAGCCAGUCAAGCUCAAUCCAAGAGAAAAGCCCCUACAAGCAACAAGACUCAGCCAAAACGGUAGAAAGCAGCACCAUCCUCUCCACCUCAUCCGACGCCCCAAAUUCAAGCAGACCUGGUCGGUGCACCUGAAUAGACCAUCGAUCCAUUCGAUCAAGGCAUGUCAUCGGUCGUUAUUCCUGAGCAGGCAACCAUCGCUCCCCCUCAAGGUAAAAUAUCGAUCAUAAAGUCAUUACCGAUGAACUUUUACACAAACACCAUCUUCAUUCUUAGUAUUUGCAGCUGAGGACAUUCCAUCAGCAGAUCUAGCCGAUCAGGGCAUAAUACAAGUUACAUCUCCAGGCCAAAGGCAAGAGAUUGCUCUGAAACAAGUAAGCCACCUGAUCUGCUCGAUCUUGUGUUAUCCAUAUCUAAUCCUGACUAACUCAUCUUUUCUUCUGUUUUUAGGAACAAGACUCCAUUGAUAGCCUAUUCUCCUUUGCCAUCAACAUCUCCGAUGAUGAAGGUGAAGAAGCAAGUUCUUCCUUGGCGCUGGGAAUCACAUCGAUAGAGAUCAAAUCCAAGUUGGAAGAUCUAUUGGGCCUACUGCAACCAGACACCACUCAACUGGUAGAUGACUCAGAUCCAGCUAAGGCCAUCUUCAAGACUCUCCGUGGCCAGAUUCCAGCCGACGUCAUAGAGGCACUUUUCCAAGUCUCCCAUCUGGAAAGUCGUCAGCUCUAGUACCAAAAAGCUGUUCAAUGCCUUGCCAAUAGAGCUGCCCAGGCCUAACUCAAGGAGGAGAUGCUGCAGGUAAAGCAUGCUAUUGAUGAAAAACACAAGAGCAUCGGCACUAUGCAAUUUUUAGUUGCUGAACUAAAGCAGAAGAUUUCCGAUCUAUCGGCCAAAAGUGAAGCCCUGCUUGCUGAACUUAAGCAAGUUGAAGAAGCAUUAACCCAGGCCAAGCAGGAAGAAAGUCGACCGCCCGAUAUGCUCAAAGAUCUCUAGCAAGAAAGGGACGCCCAAGCUCAUAAGGCCCUGUAGAUGAGGAAGAAGCUAAAACCUGUAGAAGGCUCGGCCGAUGAAGACACACAAGAAAUAGAGGAAGCCAACCAGAUCCACCUGCGUGCGAUAUCGGCUAUCCAAACUUUGUUGAAUUUGUAAACCUCUACAUCGGCAAUAGGCUUCACCAGUCCUUCUAAAAACACUAGUAUUUUGUCCAGCCGAUAGGAUUGUUAUCGACACUUAAACUUCUUUAUGCAUCGGCCCAGAUACUAGGGUAGUACUUUUUUAAAUACUUUCCAUUUAAUGCCCUAGGAAAUUAAACUCCUUCAAGAGUCUCUAGAAUGUACGCAUUGCCAGGAGCAAAUUGACUUAUCCGAUAAGGACCCUCCCAAUUAGGAGAGCAUUUUCCAAAUUUUAAACUUUUAGGCCCAAUCGGUAGAAUUAAUUUCCAAACUAAAUCUCCAUCGGUGAACUCCUUAGCCUUUACCCUUUUAUCAUACCAUCUAGCUACUGUCUUCUUAUUCUCUUCUAUAUUUACCAAAACCUUCAACCGAUGCCCCGCCAAAUCCUCCAAUUCAUCUUUCAUUAGAGUAGCAUAAUCAUCGGCAGCUAAUUGGUCUUGAGAGAAUAUCCGCCUAGAACCAGCUUUGACCUCCCAAGGUAACACAGCCUCGUGCCCAUAUACCAACAGAUAAGGUGACACUUUAGUUACACCAUGACAUGCCAUCCGAUACGACCAUAGGGCUUCAUUUAAUACCGUAUGCCAUCGUUUAGGGAUUUCUUCAAUCUUUUGCUUAAUAAACUUAAUGAUUCCUUUGUUAGAAGCUUCGACCUACCCAUUAGCUUGAGUGUAAUAAGGAGAGGAAUUCUACAUCUUAAUCCCCAUACCGAUUGCAAAUACAUCAAACUCUCCUGAUGUAAACAUAGUACCCUGAUCGGUAGUAAUUGUCUGAGGAAUACCAAAUCGGUAAACAAUGUGCUCCUUAACAAAAUCAAUCAUGUUAGCUGAUGUCACCUUUUUCAAAGGAAUAGCCUCAACCCAUUUAUUAAAAUAAUCAGUAGCAACCAGAAUAAACUUAUGUCCCUUGCUUGACGGCGGAUAAAUUUGUCCGACGAGAUCAAUAGCCCAUCCUUGGAACAGCCAAGGAUUGAUAAUAUGAUUCAUACCGUUGCGGGUGCUCUCUGAAUAUUUGCCAAACUUCUGACAUCCUUGACACCCUUUGAAAUAUUUGAAACAAUCUUCAAGAAUAGUCGGCUAAUAAUAUUCAGUCCUUCUAAUCUUCAAGCCGACUCGUGUGCUCCACAUACCCCCUCAUAAAUCUCACCCAUCAAACUUUUUGAUUCAUCAUCACCAAGACAUCUAAGUAAAAUUCCAUCUAUAGUACGAUAAUACAACUCGUUAUCAAGGAGUACAUACUUGGUAGCUUGAAAUCUAACUCGUCUCCCAACUUUCUUGGAUGGAUCUUUUAGGUAAUCAAUGAUUUCCUUUUUCCAAUUAUCGGCACUGAUUGCUGAUGAAAACACCUCCAUGAUAGGUUGAUAUCCUGAAGCGUGUUGAGCUAACCGAUUAGCUUCUUCAUUAUGUAAUCGGGGAAUAUGUUUUAAACGGAAAUCCUUAAAUUCCUUCAACAACUGCAAACACUUCUCAUAAUAUGAUAUUAAAAUUUCACUUUGGCAUUCAUAAACUCCAAGCAACUGAUUUAUAACGAGCAUAGAAUCACCGAAGAUUUCAACAUCAGCACAAAUUUCUCUUAAUAACUCCAACCCUUUCACCAGAGCUUGGUACUCAGCCUGGUUGUUCGUCGAUGUAGCAAAAAUCUGUAAUGAAAAUUCAUACUUCUUUCCCUGGGGGGAAAUUAACACUACACCGAUACCUGCUCCCUGAUCACAUGUAGAUCCAUCAAAGAAAAGCGUCCAAGGAGCAACCUCCAAAGAAUCCACCGAACUGCAAUGUUGGGUAACAAAAUCGGCCAUAAUCUGUCCCUUGACUGCUUUAGCCGAUUAACGUAAGUCAAACUCUGACAAUGUUAGUAUCCAUUUACCGAUUCUACCACUCAUAAUCGGCAUCGACAACAGGUAUCUGACUACGUCAUCUUUGCAUAUGAUAGGACAUUUGGCCGAUAACAAAUAAUGCCUUAAUUUAGCACAAGAAAAGUACAAACAUAAGCAUAAUUUCUCAAUAGCCGAAUACCUCGUCUCAGCAUCCACCAAUCUUCUACUUAAGUAAUAAAUCACACGUUCUUUCCUUUCUAAUUCUUGAAUGAGAGCUGAACCGAUAACUACAUCAUCGGUCGAUAAGUAUAAUUUGAAGGGUUUUCCAUGCUGAGGUGGAACCUGGAGGAUUUGUCAAAUAAUUCUUAAUUUCAUCUAAAGCCAGCUGUUGCUCUUUUCCCCACACAAACUCUUGAUCAGCUUUCAAUUUGAGCAAAGGACUGAAAGCCUUGAUCUUACCCGAUAGAUUGGAUAUAAAUCGCCUGAUAAAAUUAAUCUUGCCGAUCAAAGAUUGAAGCUCAGUUUUAUCGGCAGGAGCAACUACCUUGUUGAUUGCAUCAAUGGAUAUCCUACUAAUUUCAAUUCCUCUUUGAUGCACCAUGAAACACAGAAACUGGCCUGCCGAUACACCAAAUGCACAUUUAUUAGGAAUCAUCUUUAAACCAUGCUUCCUUCUACAUUCAAGUAUUUUUUGUAAAUCGGAUAGAUGCUUCACGAAAUCUCUAGACUUAACCACUACAUCAUUAAUAUAGAUUUCCACCAACGUGCCGAUGAACUCAUGAAAAAUAAAAUUCAUAGCCCUCUAAUAAGUAGCACCAACAUUUUUGAAGCCAAAAGUCAUGACUAUCCAUUCAAAUAACCCAACAUGACCAGGACAUCUAAACGUAGUCUUGGGAAUAUCUUCUUCAGCCAUGAAUAUUUGAUUGUAUCCCGCAUUACCAUCCAUGAAGCUAGUAAUCCGAUGCCCAGCUACAGCAUCGACCAACAAAUCCGAAUCCAGGCAUUCGAUAGCCAUCCAUCGGUGUAGCUUUGUUAAGAUUUCUAAAUCAAUGCAUACAUGAAGUUUUCCAUUUUUCUUAUAGACAGGAACAACAAUGGAAAUCCACUCAGCAUACCGACAUUGCCGAAUGAACUUAGCUUCAAUUAGUUUGGUUAUUUCGGCCUUAAUAUCAGGAAGAAUAUUAGGGUUACAUCAGCGCGCUGGUUGUUGAUGUGGCCAAAAUCUAGAUUUAAUAGGCAACCGAUGUUCAACAAUCGAUCGGUCUAAUCCAAGCAAAGCAAUCUUUAUACUCUUUUAGCAAAUCAGUUAAUUGUCGCUUACAUUCGGAGUCUAACUUAGCACUAAUGAAAGUAGGACUCGGCCUAUCACCACUACCUAUGUCUACUUCUACCAAAUCAUUAGCCAAUGUAAACCCUUGUCCUAACUUUCCAUCAUCGGCAAACCUAUCCAUUAAAACUCUUCAUCAGAACCGUCUGCUUGGAUCGGCGGAAUCUCAUAAUCAGCAACUUUGAGGAAAUCUUUCUCCCAAGCCUUUCCUGAUAUACACUUAGUUUGUUCAUAAGUAUCUGAUUCUGCCGAUGCAAUGAUAUAGGAAGAAUCUCAAGGGACAACUUCAAUUUUAUCACCUACCCAUUGAACAAGGCACUGAUGCAUCGUAGAAGGGACACAACAGUUGGCAUGAAUCCAAUCUCUUCCCAGUAGUAGAUUGUAUGCGCCUUUUCCGUUGAUGACAAAGAAAGUUGUUGGCAAGGUUUUGCUGCCGAUAGUCAAUUCAACGCAUAUAGCUCGUUUAGCUGGAGACACAUUACCUUCAAAAUCUUUCAACAUCAUAUCAGUUUUGGUUAAGUCCUAAUCUCCCUUACCAAGCUUCCGAUACAUUACAUAUGGCAUAAUAUUAAUUGCAGCCCCUUCAUCGAUAAGUAUUUUAGAAACUGGCUGCCCAUCAACCUUGCCUUUAACAAAUAAAGCUUUGAGAUGCUGUCUUUCAUCAUCAGAUGGUUUCUCAAAAACAACCAUCAUUGGAUCAAGCAUUAAUUGAGCUAUUAGAUCAGGAGACUGAUUUCCUCAUCAUCACUAGAAGGUGCAAGAAAUUCCAUCGGCAACAUAAAUACCAUAUUGAUAUCUGCCGAUGGUCCUUUCCCCUUGCGAUCUAACUACUGCCGAUUCUCGGACUUAGAAAAAUUAUCCUCACUAUACAAAUCUUCCUGACGCUCUCGCUGCAUCCUCCUCCUCUGCGUCUUUGUUAAUCCUUCUGGACACCAUCGGGGAAGCUUUGUCUUCCAAACUGGCUGAUAGCGAACCUCCUUUGACUCCACAUGAUGAAUGUUAGAAUCUCUACAAAAUAUGAAUUCAUCGAGAACCUGUGCGUUGGCCAUCUCUUCAAGUUCUUCCUGAUUCUUCAAAAAAUGACCGACACGUCCACCAAGCCUGUCAUGCACGUUAAGCCUGCCCCCAACCGAUCGUGAACUGACGUUCUCCCCCUAAUCAGCUCAUUGAAACAUCGAUCAUUGUUCUGGAACCUCUGAUUUGACCGAUUGUACCGACGAUAGCCAUUACACUCGGGACAAUCCUGAACGGUCGGCAGUUUGAUGUUUCAUUCCCACUAGUGAAUGAAGAAUGGGCAAUCCCAAUGAUCUUUAUGCUGAUUCCAUUCUUCUCGCUGCCUCUCUUCUUAUUGAGGUCGAUACCGAUCCUCACGCUGCUGCCAAUUCUCUCGAUACCGUCUAUGCGUAAUCACGACACUAGAUUGGGGAGGUCGUCCAGAGCUGCUACCUUCCCUCAACAAUCCCUUCCUUUGGCGUCAUCAAUAGUUACCUGAUGUUGGGGAUCUACCGAUAUGUUCUUCUCAGCCGUUUCUGAUGUUAAGACCUUAGUCUUACCCUUGGCGUCCAACAUGUUUGUGGGGAAAGGAUGCUGAUCAAUUUUCAUCGGCUUCUGAGUUUUGGAACUAUCAAACUUGAUUUUCCCAGAUUCUAUAGCCGAUUGCAACUGCUGCCUAAACACUUUACAUUCGUUUGUACUAUGUGAAGUCGCAUUAUGCCAUUUGCAAUACUAGAUCUUCUUCAAUUCUUCUGCCAAUGGGAUCACAAGAUUAGGUGAUAAUUUAAUCUGUCCUUCCUGCACCAAGAAAUCAAAUAUUCUAUCAGCUUUAGUGAUGUCAAAAGCAAAUUUUUUUGGUUCUUUCUGGCCGAAAGGACAAGACAGCGGCUUCUUAUUUUUCACCCAUUCUGCUAAGCCGACUGGUUCUUCAUCAGAAUCAGAACUUCCUGCCUCAUCAACAAAUGAUACCUUCUUAUUCCAAUUCUUUCUAGGUUCAAAAGCCCUGACAUCUUUAUCAGAAAUCCUUUGCACCAAAUGACUUAAGCUUUCAAACUCUUGAGAAGCAUAUUUAUCUUUGAGAUGUGGCAGCAAUCCUUGAAUAGCGAAAUCGUCCAACUUUUGAUCAUCUAGAACCAAGCUAUAGCAUUUGUUUUUUAUAUCCCACAGUCUCUGCACAAAGCUCUCCAUCGAUUCAUCAUUAUGUUGCCUUAGUCUUACUAAAUCGGUAAGCUUCUUCUCAUGAACUCUAGAAAAGAAGUACUUAUGAAACUGUUUCUCUAGAUCAGCCUAGGUAAUAACUGAAUUUGGAGGUAAUAAAAUAAACCAGGUAAAAGCCGAUCCUGACAAGGAUGAUGAAAAUAAACGAACCCUUAAUUCAUCUCUGUUAGUAGCCUCUCCACAUUGAAUGAUGAACUGAUUAACAUGCUCCAUUGUUGAGGUAUCAUCUUGCCUAGAGAACUUAGUGAAAUCUGGCACUUUGUACCGAUUUGGAAGUGGAAUUAACUCAUAUGCAGGAGGAUACGGUGUUCGAUAGGAGUAAGUAUUGACCUUAGGUUUUAUCCCAAACUGAUCUCUCAUAACUUCUGCUAUCCUAUCAGCCCAAUAGGCAUCAGCAUCUUGCCAAUGUACUAGUUGAACUUCUGGCACCUGCUGUUAUGCUUCCACGUGUCUCUAGGUACACGAUUUCCACCAAACAUCAUAUUAGCCAUAGCUUGUGGACCACCAACUUGCUGAGCAAGAUUCAUCGGCUGAAUUGGCGGUGCCUGAUUCUGAAAACCGACCUGCAUAUGAUCCUAUUGAACUCCUGUGACCUGAUGAUUCUGCUAUGUCGUGUGUGGGAAGACCAACUGUCCUAUCCAACAAUAUUAGCAUUCAUUGGUACAAGAUUUGCCGAUGGCUGAAAACUAGUUGUCAUUGCUGGAUUGACAUAACCCGCCUGAGACAUGAACCUCUAUUGCGUCGGCAAUGGAUUUGCCGAUGAGUUUGCAUUAGGCAUCUAGAACGUUGGCAUCUGACAAUUCCCAACAAUUGGCCUCGCAGUAGUUGUGGUAGAAUACUGAGGCACCUGAGUCAUCGGUGAGACUGGAGGCGCCGAUGGCAUGGGAGUUUUCCCUGCUAAGCCAGUUAUCUAAGAUGUUCCAGAAGUAUUUGCAAAAAAACUCUGGAGGCAUACCAUAUCUCCACCAGUUGGGAGGAACCUGACAGUUUUGAAAUACAGACCCUAACAUAGCUGAUGCCGCGUUGGGUAUUUUAAACACAAACAGAAAAAUCCGCAAGCACACGGAUACCGAUGUAGCUUUCACCCGGGAGUAUUCCAGAGUAUCGAUUUUCCACAGGGAACGUGAGUGUACUAAUUAAGAUUCAAGAUCGCCCAAGGAUAACUAUAUAAUUAUUUUUGGUGGGAAGAGAGGAAGUUUCCUGAGAGUUCUCUAGUUGAUCUAAGAAUCAAGAAUUACUUCAAAGAUUAUUUAUUUCGGGACAUCAGAACAAUAACCACAGAAAGAGAUCACAAGGGGCUAGGAAGCUCUGACUACGGUCCUACAAACACCGAUCCGAACGAGGUGGGAUACGUCGACCGUUAGGGCUGUCACUAUCCUAGGGCUACCACAACAAUCCGCAGGAUUGGGUGCAAUUCCAUGUAACUGCAAGACUAAACACCACGUCUAAUCUAUUAAUUACUACUCUAAUGUUGCAAAGAUUAGAGCACUUGAUGCAAGCGGGAAUCCAAUAAAUAACUUGAAUGUAAAUAAAAGUAAUAAAAGAACUCAAGAAUUAUGAAUUGAAGAACCUAGAGAACGAUGAAGACCGAACCAGUUGCUGCAAAAGUACAAUGUUGAGGAAGAUCCGACAGAUCCGGAUCCUCCUCCUCCGCUCUCCUCUUCUCUCUCCCUAUUUUCUAGAUUUCAACUAGAAAACUAGAACUAGAAGAACUAGAACUAGAACUAGAUGAACUAGAACUAGAACUAGAUGAACUAGAGGUAGAACUAGAUGAACUAGAGGGAUCCUCUCUACUUGGAUGAAGAAUUGAAACCCUAACUUUGAUUCUGUAGAAGAGGUAUGAUCUCUAGGGGCCAGGGGGCCUUGCUUAUAUAGUCUUUUCAGAUGAAUCUGGGCCGUCAGAUCAAACCGACAUUGAUUGCAUGGUUUUCCUUGAUCCCUUAGGUCGGUGGAGCAUGAUCUGCGAAAAGGACUCUGAUUGGGCACUGUAGCAGGGCGGGGGCCCAGGAGAGUAGGGCGGUCGCCCUGCCUCCGAGCCCGUUCGGCCUCCCGUUCGUUCCCGUGGCUUCUAGAGUCUUCUAGAUGAUAGAAAAUUGGGCGACACGUUAAUAUCUCUAUGUAAACCCGACGUGUGGGCCUUUCCUCCAUAUUUCCUGAUAACCCCCAGCAGAAAUAGACAAACACCAAAACUCGUGGAAUUCUGUCACAUAAAACCCUAAAUCUGGGUGUUGGUUGCAUAUAGGUCCUUUUUCAUGAUUAGUUGACGGUUAAAUGUUAGCACUAAGGACCGUCAACAAGCUCCCCCAAGCUUAACCUUUGCUCGUCCCUGAGCAAAGCUAAAAUCAGCAAGAAAACAGGGGUUACAUUUAUGCCUCUUACUACAGGGUUUUUAAGUUAUUACUAUGGUCUUAAGUGAUUGAAAAACAGAAUGAUCAAGUCAAGCACUAUGUCUCAAGUUCUUCUGUCUUACCUUUGUUCUGUAGUUUUUUAUAAGUCUACAAAAUAAAACUGAGGCAUUUGCCUUCUUAUCAAAAGAUAUAUAAGUAGAGCUUUAAAAGUUUUAGCAUACUUACUUUGCAUUUUGCUAUGUCAAUGCUCGGAGCAAGGGAGAAGAGUGUCAUACUGCUAGAUCAAGACCUUUGACCUUUUUGAAAAGUUUGUCGUCUCUUACUGGCAUAUUGCUUAUUAGAGGGUCCAUGGGCUUGUUGACGGUCCUUAAGUGCUAAAAUUAACAAUCAAAUAAACAUGGAAAAGGAUCAAUAUGCACUAAACAUCUAGAAUUAGGGUUUUAUCUGAUAGAAUUCCACGAGCUUUGGUGUUUAUCUAUUUCUGCAGGGGGUUAUCAGAGAAUAUGGAGAGAAGGCCCACAUGUCAUGUUUACAACGAGAUAAUUAUGUGCCGCGCAAUUUUCCUCAAUCUAGAAGAGUCCAGAAGCCACAGGAACGAACGAGAAGACGAUCGGGCUCGGGGGUAGGGCGCCCGCCCAGGGUUAGAGUCCAAUCAGGACUCUCUUUCGGGACUAAACUCCACCGACCUAAAGGAUGAAUGUAAACAAUACAAUCAAUGUCGGUUUGAUCCAACGGCCCAAAUUCACUUGAAAGGACUAUAUAACCAAGGCCUCUCCACCCCUGGAGAAGAGAGGAGAAGAGAAGAAAUCAUUAUCAGAGGUAGCCAUCAAAGUUAGGGUUUAGAGCUUCUCUCCCACAGAGAAUUAGAAUUAGCUACUCCCUAAUCCUCCAAGUUUAGAGGUUUGAUUAGAUAGCAAUUAGAGAAGUAGAGCACUACGCUCUGGAUUCGGAUCUUCGGUAAUAAAGAUUGGUAUUAUUCAUAUCUUUCUCUAAUACUUUGUUCUAAUUGCAUUAUGUCUCUAAUUAUUAUGUUCUUAGUUUGCUCUAGUUCUAUAUUUGAUAUAGUUAUGAUUGGUAAUGAGUUUAUGUAUAAGUUUGCAAAGCGCUUAGCUCUUGACGUGAGAGAGUUAAGUGGUAGAUCACAUGUGAGCGUAGUGCUUAGAUAUUAUUUACCUACAAAUGUAUCCUAUUGGCCGGGUUGUGUGGUAGUUCGCGAUAGUGACAGCUUCGUUGAUUCUUAUAUAGUCCACCCUCCAUUGAUAGGACAGGCAGAACUUGUAUUGCGGAGUAAGUCUUGUGAUGUUCUGAUUUACUUUAGCAAUGUUCCUUAUACAUGAAUGAAGAGUCUUUUAUGCUAUAUAUAAUCUUGUAGAUAACUAGAGUAGAUUAUGACUUAAUAGAUAGUAGAUAACUUAGAAUCCAUUCUCUAGCUAAUCCGACAUCACCUACAUAUAUAAGGAGUAGUUUAUUUUCUAAUAGUUGUGUUAUUUACCCAUGAACUUAUACUUCAUUAUUAUUAUCUUUAUGGUUUACCCCCUGCCAAAGUAAGUGACUGUGUGAUGAGUUUCUCAUUAGUAAUCAUAUUCUUGCAAGUUUAUCUCUAGUCUAUGCCUUGAUAGAUUUUUUCCUUAUUUUAAUUUCAUCCCUUUUGUUCUCUUAAGCAAAAUUAUAAAUAACGAUACCUGGAAUACUUAUCCUGGUGAAAUGCUACAAUGAGGUGUUUUAUCUGUGCGCUUGCGGAUAGAAUAGAUUAUUUUCUAAAGAGCAUCUAGAACAUUGGCAUCUGACAAUUCCCAACAAUUGGCCUCGCAGUAGUUGUGGUAGAAUACUGAGGCACCUGAGUCAUCGGUGAGACUGGAGGCGCCGAUGGCAUGGGAGUUUUCCCUGCUAAGCCAGUUAUCUAAGAUGUUCCAGAAGUAUUUGCAAAAAAACUCUGGAGGCAUACCAUAUCCCCACCAGUUGGGAGGAGCCUGACAGUUUUGAAAUACAGACCCUAACAUAGCUGAUGCCGCGUUGGGUAUUUUAAACACAAACAGAAAAAUCCGCAAGCACACGGAUACCGAUGUAGCUUUCACCCGGGAGUAUUCCAGAGUAUCGAUUUUCCACAGGGAACGUGAGUGUACUAAUUAAGAUUCAAGAUCGCCUAAGGAUAACUAUAUAAUUAUUUUUGGUGGGAAGAGAGGAAGUUUCCUGAGAGUUCUCUAGUUGAUCUAAGAAUCAAGAAUUACUUCAAAGAUUAUUUAUUUCGGGACAUCAGAACAAUAACCACAGAAAGAGAUGACAAGGGGCUAGGAAGCUCUGACUACGGUCCUACAAACACCGAUCCGAACGAGGUGGGAUACGUCGACCGUUAGGGCUGUCACUACCCUAGGGCUACCACAACAAUCCGCAGGAUUGGGUGCAAUUCCAGGUAACUGGAAGACUAAACACCACGUCUAAUCUAUUAAUUACUACUCUAAUGUUGCAAAGAUUAGAGCACUUGAUGCAAGCGGGAAUCCAAUAAAUAACUUGAAUGUAAAUAAAAGUAAUAAAAGAACUCAAGAAUUAUGAAUUGAAGAACCUAGAGAACGAUGAAGACCAAACCAGUUGCUGCAAAAGUACAAUAUUGAGGAAGAUCCGACAGAUCCGGCUCCUCCUCCUCUGCUCUCCUCUUCUCUCUCCCUAUUUUCUAGAUUUCAACUAGAACUAACUAGAACUAGAACUAGAAGAACUAGAACUAGAACUAGAUGAACUAGAACUAGAUCUAGAUGAACUAGAGGUAGAACUAGAUGAACUAGAGGGAUCCUCUCUACUUGGAUGAAGAAUUGAAACCCUAACUUUGAUUCUGUAGAAGAGGUAUGAUCUCUAGGGGCCAGGGGGCCUUGCUUAUAUAGUCUUUUCAGAUGAAUCUGGGCCGUCAGAUCAAACCGACAUUGAUUGCAUGGUUUUCCUUGAUCCCUUAGGUCGGUGGAGCAUGAUCUGCGAAAAGGACUCUGAUUGGGCACUGUAGCAGGGCGGGGGCCCAGGAGAGUAGGGCGGGCGCCCUGCCUCCGAGCCCGUUCGGCCUCCUGUUCGUUCCCGUGGCUUCUAGAGUCUUCUAGAUGAUAGAAAAUUGGGCGACACGUUAAUAUCUCUAUGUAAACCCGACGUGUGGGCCUUUCCUCCAUAUUUCCUGAUAACCCCCAGCAGAAAUAGACAAACACCAAAACUCGUGGAAUUCUGUCACAUAAAACCCUAAAUCUGGGUGUUGGUUGCAUAUAGGUCCUUUUUCAUGAUUAGUUGACGGUUAAAUGUGAGCACUAAGGACCGUCAACAAGCUCCCCCAAGCUUAACCUUUGCUCGUCCCUGAGCAAAGCUAAAAUCAGCAAGAAAAUAGGGGUUACUUUUAUGCCUCUUACUACAGGGUUUUUAAGUUAUUACUAUGGUCUUAAGUGAUUGAAAAACAGAAUGAUCAAGUCAAGCACUAUGUCUCAAGUUCUUCUGUCUUACCUUUGUUCUGGAGUUUUUUAUAAGUCUACAAAAUAAAACUGAGGCAUUUGCCUUCUUCUCAAAAGAUAUAUAAGUAGAGCUUUAAAAGUUUUAGCAUACUUACUUUGCAUUUUGCUAUGUCAAUGCUCGGAGCAAGGGAGAGGAGUGUCAUACUCCUAGAUCAAGACCUUUGACCUUUUUGAAAAGUUUGUCAUCUCUUACUGGAAUAUUGCUGAUUAGAGGGACCAUGGGCUUGUUGACGGUCCUUAAGUGCUAAAAUUAACAAUCAAAUAAACAUGGAAAAGGAUCAAUAUGCACUAAACAUCUAGAAUUAGGGUUUUAUCUGAUAGAAUUCCACGAGCUUUGGUGUUUAUCUAUUUCUACAGGGGGUUAUCAGAGAAUAUGGAGAGAAGGCCCACAUGUCAUGUUUACAACGAGAUAAUUAUGUGCCGCGCAAUUUUCCUCAAUCUAGAAGAGUCCAGAAGCCACGGGAACGAACGAGAAGACGAUCAGGCUCGGGGGUAGGGCGCCCGCCCAGGGUUAGAGUCCAAUCAGGACUCUCUUUCGGGACUAAACUCCACCAACCUAAAGGAUGAAUCUAAACAAUACAAUCAAUGUCGGUUUGAUCCAACGGCCCAAAUUCACUUGAAAGGACUAUAUAACCAAGGCCUCUCCACCCCUGGAGAAGAGAGGAGAAGAGAAGAAAUCAUUAUCAGAGGUAGCCAUCAAAGUUAGGGUUUAGAGCUUCUCUCCCACAGAGAAUUAGAAUUAGCUACUCCCUAAUCCUCCAAGUUUAGAGGUUUGAUUAGAUAGCAAUUAGAGAAGUAGAGCACUACGCUCUGGAUUCGGAUCUUCGGUAAUAAAGAUUGGUAUUAUUCAUAUCUUUCUCUAAUACUUUGUUCUAAUUGCAUUAUGUCUCUAAUUAUUAUGUUCUUAGUUUGCUCUAGUUCUAUAUUUGAUAUAGUUAUGAUUGAUAAUGAGUUUAUGUAUAAGUUUGCAAAGCGCUUAGCUCUUGACGUGAGAGAGUUAAGUGGUAGAUCACAUGUGAGCGUAGUGCUUAGAUGUUAUUUACCUGCAAAUGUAUCCUAUUGGUCGGGUUGUGUGGUAGUUCGCGAUAGUGACAGCUUCGUUGAUUCUUAUAUAGUCCACCCUCCAUUGAUAGGACAGGCAGAACUUGUAUUGCGGAGUAAGUCUUGUGAUGUUCUGAUUUACUUUAGCAAUGUUCCUUAUACAUGAAUGAAGAGUCUUUUAUGCUAUAUAUAAUCUUGUAGAUAACUAGAGUAGAUUAUGACUUAAUAGAUAGUAGAUAACUUAGAAUCCAUUCUCUAGCUAAUCCGACAUCACCUACAUAUAUAAGGAGUAGUUUAUUUUCUAAUAGUUAUGUUAUUUACCCAUGAACUUAUACUUCAUUAUAUUAUCUUUAUGGUUUACCCCCUGCCAAAGUAAGUGACUGUGUGAUGAGUUUCUCAUUAGUAAUCAUAUUCUUGCAAGUUUAUCUCUAGUCUAUGCCUUGAUAGAUUUUGUCCUUAUUUUAAUUUCAUCCCUUUUGUUCUCUUAAGCAAAAUUAUAAAUAACGAUACCUGGAAUACUUAUCCUGGUGAAAUGCUACAAUGAGGUGUUUUAUCUGUGCGCUUGCGGAUAGAAUAGAUUAUUUUCUAAAGAGCCUUUACAUUUAUAAAUACCUAUGUACACUCUGGCACCAUGCUGGGGAUGACAACCUAGUAUUCAAGUGGUGUUAGCUAGUGUCAACAAGCAUUUCUAGCGCCGUUGCCACAGAAGUCAUAAAAGGAAUCAAAAGGGGAACACAUAGGAACGGUAAGGAAAGUCAGGAAAUCAAUCAAGGUUAUUCACAUAAAAUAUUAGACUAGACUAUAGAGAAAUAAUUGCAUAAACAGCUACUAAGUGAGAAAUCAUAACAAGGCACCUCUGCUUUGGCAGGUUCACCAUGUUGUUUUUCUAUGUUUAUAUUUUUAUACAGGGUAUAUCAGGAUUGACUUUGGGUACAUUCAACUCUUCAUCAUCAGAACCAAAGCAAUCAAGAAAGAAAGAAGAAACUAGCUACCAAUUGCUGAAGCUAUGGCACAGAAGACCCUACAAGAAUUCUCUGCUCCAAGUCUUGAGAACAUUCCAACUGGUCCAAGAUUUGCAGUAGAAGAAGGAGUACCCGAGUUUGAGAUCAAGUCAAGCAUCAUCAAUUUGGUACAAGCUACACAAUUCAGUGGAAAGGCACAUGAAGAUGCAGUGCACACUUGCAGAAUUUCUUAGAGAUUGGAAGCACAAUCCACAUCAAUGGAGUCGACAAAGAUGUCAUACUGCUUCGCCUUUUCCAUUCUCACUAGAAGGGAAAGCGAGGAAGUGGUUCUACACUCAUCAAGAUAACAUCAACAACUGGACGAACUUGUGAGAUGCCUUUCUAUCAAAGUUUUUCCCUAUAGGCAAAACAACUGCCUUAAGAGAAAAUAUUGUCAGUUUCCAACAGUAGAAGACAGAAGCCAUUUCAGAAGCAUGGGAGCGUUUUCAAGGAUACAUUUCAGAUUGUCCUCACCAUGGAAUGGCCACGUGGUUACUUAUUUAGACCUUCUACCAUGGAUUAACCGAGAAGGCUCAUGAGUGCCUAGAUGCAUCUGCUAAAGGAUCAUUCUUGGAGCUUACAACUGGAAAAGCAGAGAUACUUUUGGGUAAGAUAGCAGAAAACCAAAGCUGGUUCCAAGAUAAAGCUCAACAAUGUCACCAAACUGAAGAAAUACCAGAAGAAGUAAAUGCAUUAUCAACUAAGAUGGAAAAUUUGCUCCAUUGGAUUGACCAGAGGACCAUGUUUAAAGAAGAUCAAAGGGCCAUUGAGACAGCAUACAAAUAUCAGCCUACCUCAAGUCAACCCAAUAGCAAAGGUAAAGAAUAUAACUACUAGAGGAGGCAAAGCCACCAGAGAUCCCCCAUACCCAAAAGAGAAACAAAGAACAUCAGCACCAAUGCAACCACCAGUGAUAGAAGUAGAAAGCCCAGUUGAAGCAGAAGAUCUGCUACAACCACCAAGAACUGGAGAAAUGAGGAAAGAUUUUUACGACACCAACUAUUUGCCAUUUCCUAAAAAAUCAGAGGACUGCAGUCGAAUGAGCAGUUUGGUAAGUUUGUAUAGGUCAUUCAGAAAUUAUAUGUCAACAUACCUCUGCUUGAUGCCAUACAGGUACCUACAUAUGCAAAGUACAUCAGAGAUAUUCUUAACAAGAAGAGACCACUGCCCUCCACUGAGGUUAUCAAGCUGACAGAAGAAUGUAGUGCGGCCAUCCUCAAUAGACCACCAAAGAAGAAGGAAGAUCCAGGAUGCCCCACUAUUGAUUGCUCGAUCGGAAACCAACACUUCAACAAUGCACUUUGUGAUCUCGGAGCAAGUGUCAGUGUGAUGCCAGCAUCAGUCUACAAGAAGCUUGAGCAUACGACCCUAGAACCAACAUCGAUGUGCCUACAACUAGCAGAUCAAUCGGUUCGACACCCGUUGGGCAUCGCCGAAAACAUUCCAGUCAAAAUCAGAGAUUUUCUGGUGCCAGUAGACUUCGUAGUACUGGACAUGAGUCCUGACUCAAAAGUGCCCAUCAUCCUUGGAAGGCCAUUUCUGAGCACUACCAAUGCCCACAUUGAUGUCGGGAAGGGAGAAAUCAAGUUCAACAUAAACGGACAAGAAGAACACUUCACAUUCAAACCCAGACCAGAGAGAGACCCUACAGUGAAGGAAGUUCAUGAAGAACCACCGGAGACACCAUCUCCAGAGGAAGGUAAUUCAGAAGAUUAAAAGAUUUGGAGGUCCAGCUUGGGGGACCUAAAGAUCCCAAACCCUCACCGGGAGGUAAAUCGGUCUUUAUCCACGUUAGUAAUUCUAUCAUAUUUAAUUCUUGCAUUAAUCAUAUUUAUUCAUAGCAUUAUCAUAAUAAUAAAAAGCCCCAUAUAAAUAAUAUUUAUGGUGUGCAACAACCCAUAUUUAUUAAUUAUUGUGGAGGCACAAAAAUAUUUUUCAUUUUCAUUUCAAUAAGUUUUAAUUCUCAUAGAUUUUUCUGCAUUAUAUUUAAUUAUAGUAACCUUCUAGAAGCAUGACCCACACUCCUUGGGUCCCACAUGUCAUACACCACACCUCACAUACAUCCAAUCACAUUAUUUGAUCCACCAACAUAUCUCCACUAACCAACACUUUUUCACCGGCCAACCACCACCCAUGAUCCAUUAUUUUGCGUGAGAAUUAAGCAUAGAAAGGUGUGGAGAAAGAGGCAGCCAGAAUGGGCACCAAAGGUGGGCACCCGCCCACCUACCAAGGGCGCCCGCCCUGCCCCCUCUUCCUCCUAUAAAUAGCCACCUUCUACCUCCAUCCUCUCCACACAAGGACUCCAGAAAACCACACAAGUUUCAGUUUCCUGAGAAGGAGCUCUUGUAGUGAAGUGAGAAGAGAGUAGAGAAGAAGAGAAGAGUGGAAAAGAAGUUGGUAGUUUUUGAGUGAGAGAGUGAGUUUCACCUAGUAAGUAGUGAUCCCGCUGUCCAAGCGGAAGUAAAAGUUGUUUAGGGGGAGCUUCUGCCAAAAUAGAAACUUGUCUUGAAUGACCAACCCCUGGACUACUGACAUUCCGGACAGCUGACCACUAACAUUUUCUCUCACAUUUUCCACUAGUUGUGUUUUUGCCAACUUUUGUUUACAGGAUGUUUAAGAAGGUAAAGAAUGCAGGGAAGGCUCUCAAGAACAUUGGUACAAGGAGUUCAACCCGACACUCCUCACACCCAUCAGAGAUGAGUGUCGAUACGACACCCACACAAGCUCCGUCAUCUUCAUCUGGUCAGUAAGUCAAGGUCCUUCUCAAGAUAGGAGACCUAGGACUAAAGACCCGAAGGGAAAAGGAUGUUUACCAGCAACUGAAGAACAAAGAUUUCAUUCACACCACUACUCUCGAUCCAAUCUUACUACAAGAAACAGGUAUGGACACUGAAUUCAACUUAAUUUUCCAGAUGUUAGGUUGGACAAAUUUUUGGAACAUAACUGAUCUGGGUUCUCGUCUUCUCACCCUCCAAUUUCUUUGCACUUUACAAUAUUAUGAGGGGGAAUUGUUUUUCGGAUGUUCAAACAGGAGAUUAUGUUGUCUUGGAGAGAACUAAGUGACCAUCUUGGUUUCUCUUCAAGAUGCAUCCUGAACAUUGACUCUGACUUACCCAACUUUGAGAGACACCAGUUUUGGAGAGAAAUAUCUAGAGAUAAUUUUUAUAGUCAAGCCCGAACCAGUGACAUGGAACACCCCACUUUAGGAUGUUCCACAAAUGGCUUGGGUACAAUCUUUUCUAUCGUGAUGAUAUUAGGAAAGUAAGAGUAGGAGAUUUGCAACUUUUAUAUGCUGCUAUUAGUAAAGUACCCACUUCACCUGUUACACUUUUAGUUUCUCAUUGGCUUAGUGUGCCCAGUCUUCAGGGACCAGUAGGAUGUACUUCACUUAUCACUCGUCUAGCCUCUAAUCUUCACUUGCUAGAAAACUCUUCGUUGGACUUCAUAGAUGAGUUAAGAAUUUAUCAUGGCUAUGACAAAUUUAGACAGGCUCGGAUGUUAAAGAAAGAGGGGAAUAUAAUGUAUAUGCUCUAUGAUGAUAAAGGCAAGAUUCGGUUACCUAACCCGAACCUUGGCCUCUACGUUGUUCAAAAUUUUUUGAUUGAGAUUGCAGCAACACCAGUGAACCAGAGAGCUCCAUAGCGAGUGGCAUCUGAAAGGAUGACCACCCACCGAGAACGCACCUGGUAUGGAGCUGAUCCCAGGCCGGAAGAAGCAGCGCACUUGCAUUAUAGCGACUACAACCCCCGAGUCCUUCGAGACCCAUGGGUUCGACAUGCGCAACCACAAGAGCCAACACAGGAGACAUGGCCGGAGAGCCAAGAUCACCAGUGGACAAACCCGCCUUUUCAUACGGGUAGGUACUCCACUGAUCCAUAUGGAGCUUCAGGAUCCAGACCUCCGCCCCAAUUUGAUGCAGGACGAUACUCCGACGCCUCCUACGCUUUCACGAACGACUACUACCAAGAGGCCGGUGUUUUCUUCACCCGUACCGACAACACUCUCCUCGACAUCCAGAACACGCAAGCAGAACAUGGACGACUCCUGGAAGAGCAACAAAAAUAGAACCAGGACCAUGCCACUGCAGUACAAGAGCUGAGACAAGAUACAACAAUAAUGAACGACAACAUCACAACCAUGAUGCGGUUCUGGAAGAUCGGGUAAGGCCGACAUCAACAUCCAGCUUGGGGGAGUCCCUUCCCAAUUUAUCAAGUAAGUUUUUAUUUGCACUUCUUAUUUAUUCUUUUCUAUUUUAGUAUUUUAUCUUAAAGAGAAAACCCAAUAAAUAUUUUCUUGCUUUAAUUUACUGCAUUUUAUAAAAAUGAAAACAAAAUAAAAAGAGUGUGUAGAUAAGUGUGCUUUAUUUACCUACUAAGUGUUAAUCUCUAGAAAAAAAUAAAAAAGACCAAAAAAAAUGCAUGAUGGAAAUGAUGAACAGUUGCUCUAUUUGCUUAUUUUCAAGUACCUAGCUUUUAUAUUAGAGUUCUUCUAGAAAUUACUAAAACUGAAAUUACUAUCUUUGGGAAGCAUAAAACUAAAGUCUAGGUAAGAGAAGGGCAUGAUAUAAAGUUGAGUUACUGUUUAUCUUGUUCCUACUACACUAAGUUCUGGAGAUUUAUUUUGAAACUUAAAAAUCACAUGAUGAGUUCCUAGCAUUACAAACUACCUACCAUAGCCAUACUUGCUAUAACAUCUUUUAUUCACAUUGAGUUUGAUCGAGCUGUGUAGACCCUUAGGAGCUUUUCAUGUGGUUAAAUUAAGAUAUUCAGUUGCACACAUCUACCACAACAUUCAUCACCAAUCAUUAAAAUUGCUAAAAAUAUUAUCACUCACUAUCCCAAAUAUUGUUAUUCUCUCUCUCUGAAAAGAUUUAAUGCAGAAGAGGCAUGGGUUAUGCAAAAAUAUGCGAGGAAAUAAAAAGGGGCAAGUGCCCGGAACCUCAGAAAAGAAAGAAAAAGAGUGAGACGAGAGGUAAAAAUGGACAAGUGUCCGGAGUAGAAUUAGGGGUACAAAGAUACCCACUUGAGUGGAAAAAAUGGACAAGUGUCCGACAGUAGAAUUAGGGGUAUCUACUACCCACUUGAAAAAAAAUAUAGCCCAUGUUCUCCCAAAGCAAAGAUCAAAGAAGAGGAGAGAUAGCAAUAUGAGGAGCAAUGAGAAGUAAGCUUUAUUAUCACUUAUACAUUUUUACCAUCACUAUCAUUUACUCCAUCACACAUGCACAUCUUAAUUUAAUUAUAUGUUGAGUUCCUUUGGAUCCAUGACUCGAUUAGACAACAUAUGUAUGAGCUGUUUUUCACUCCUAUGAGCUCUAAUUAAUUAUUCCAUUAGCUAUAGGUAAGUGAUAUUUUGGUAAGGAUCCACAAAUACCACAUAUAGAGAGACUUGAGAGAAUCAUUGCUGGGAACUCUGAGUUUUAUUUUGAAAACUUAUGCAAAACUACAGAACAAAGGUGUAGUAUAGAAAGGAGGAAUAGUGCUUGACUUAAUUAUUUUGUUUUUCAAUUACUUUAGACUCAAGUGCAGGUACUAAGCUCCAUAACACUUCACUCUAAUCUGGAAGAAUUUUAUAAAAGCAUGUGUGCCUGUCAGGAAAGAAAACAUCAAAGCAACUCCCGAUCCAUCUGAGUUUAGCUGUUUGCUCAGGGACGAGCAAAGGGUAAGCUUGGGGGAGUUUGUUGACGGUCCUUAAGUACUAAAAUUAAUAAUCAAAUAAACAUGGAAAAGGAUCAAUAUGCACCAAACAUCUAGAAUUAGGGUUUUAUCUGACAGAAUUCCACGAGCUUUGGUGUUUAUCUAUUUCUGCAAGGGGUUAUCAGAGAAUAUGGAGAGAAGGCCCACAUGUCAUGUUUACAACGAGAUAAUUACGUGCCGUGCAAUUUUCCUCAAUCUAGAAGAGUCUAGAAGCCACGGGAACGAACGAGAAGACGAUCGGGCUCGGGGGCAGGGCCCGCCCAGGAUUAGAGUCCAAUCAGGACUCUCUUUCGGGACUAAACUCCACCGACCUAAAGGAUGAAUCUAAACCAUACAAUCAAUUUCGGUUUGAUCCAACGACCCAAAUUCACUUGAAAGGACUAUAUAACCAAGGCCUCUCCACCCCUGGAGAAGAGAAGAAAUCAUUAUCAGAGGUAGCCAUCAAAGUUAGGGUUUAGAGCUUCUCUCCCACAGAGAAUUAGAAUUAGCUACUCCCUAAUCCUCCAUGUUUAGAGGUUUGAUUAGAUAGCAAUUAGAGAAGUAGAGCACUACGCUCUGGAUUCGGAUCUUCGGUAAUAAAGAUUGGUAUUGUUCAUAUCUUUCUCUAAUACUUUGUUCUAUUUGCAUUAUGUCUCUAAUUAUUAUGUUCUUAGUUUACUCUAGUUCUAUAUUUGAUAUAGUUAUGAUUGAUAAUGAGUUUAUGUAUAAGUUUGCAAAGCGCUUAGCUCUUGACGCGAGAGAGUUAAGUGGUAGAUCACAUGUGAGUGUGGUGCUUAGAUGUUAUUUACCUGCAAAUGUAUCCUAUUGGCCGGGUUGUGUGGUAGUUCGCGAGAGUGACAGCUUCGUUGAUUCUUAUAUAGUCCACCCUCCGUUGAUAGGACAGGCAGAACUUGUAUUGCGGAGUAAGUCUUGCGAUGUUCUGAUUUACUUUCGCAAUGUUCCUUAUACAUGAAUGAAGAGUCUUUUAUGCUAUAUAUAAUCUUGUAGAUAACUAGAGUAGAUUAUGACUUAAUAGAUAGUAGAUAACUUAGAAUCCAUUCUCUAGCUAAUCCGACGUCACCUACAUAUAUGAGGAGUAGUCUAUUUUCUAAUCGCUGUGUUAUUUACCCAUGAACUUAUACUUCAUUAUCGUUAUGUUUAUGGUUUACCCCCUGCCAAAGUAAGUGACUGUGUGACGAGUUUCUCAUUAGUAAUCAUGUUCUUGCAAGUUUAUCUCUAGUCUAUGCCUUGAUAGAUUUUGUCCUUAUUUUUAUUUCAUCCCUUUUGUUCUCUUAAGCAAAAUUAUAAAUAACGAUACCUGGAAUACUUAUCCUGGUGAAAUGCUACAAUGAGGUGUUUUAUCUGUGCGCCUUGCGGAUAGAAUAGAUUAUUUUCUAAAGAGCCUUUACAUUUAUAAAUACCUUUGUACACUCUGGCACCAUGCUGGGGAUGACAACCUAGUAUUCAAGUGGUGUUAGCUAGUGUCAACAGGGCUAUCAUUUUUACCUUUCUUCUUUUUUUCAGUCUCUCUCUCUCUUUUUUUAAGUGGGCACCAAGUACCCCUAAUUCUAUUAUCGGACACGUGUCCAUUUUUUCCACUCAGGUGGGUAUCUUUGUACCCCUAUUUCUACUUCGGACACUUAUCCAUUUUUACCUCUCGUCUCACUCUUUUUUUUUCGAAUCAAAAUUUUUUUCAUAGUCCCAUGCCUCUAACGCAAUUAUACUUUGGAAGAGUGAAUCUUUUAUAUUUUUAAAACAAAAAGAUCUUGAUCUUUGGAGCAUGAUAAUUCUCUCAACCAAAACUACAAGAAUUAACAAUGGCUUGAACAAAGCAAGUGCCCACAGUUUUAAUUUUUAUAUCUUAUAAGACUCUAGGUAUUAUGUCAAAUAGGAUCUCAUUUUUUUUAGAUUUUCCAAAGAUAAAAUCUCCAGAACUCUAGCGAAACUUGGAACAAGUUAAAUAGUAGCUCAGACCUUCUCAUAUCAUGUUUGUCAAUUACCUAGACUUGGAUCAAACUUUCUUUUUAUUUUAUUUAAAACAUAGGAUUAUACAAAACUAUUGGAUAUUACUCAAAAGAAAAACUUUGUUUGGUUUCAUGGUUAUGAAUUUUUUUUCAUUUCCGAAUACUAGUAAAUAAAACCAAGAAAGAAAAGUAAAACUUAUCUAGAUACACGUGGGGGUGCCUGCCCCAAGCUGGAUGUUGACAUAGUCGUUCACUCUUGUGGCCUGCACAUUCGGUCUCACUCUUCUUAAGCCUCAAAAUCCUGCACAACCCAAAUAGACAACAAAACUCGUGGAGCAUGUUAAGGGUUAGGUAAUUGUCUAGAGCUUAUGAGAGCUUAAUGUGAGAAUUCUAUGAACUCAAUCACAUCAAGUUCCUCUACCAUGUUGUUUUGUGGCUCGAGAUAGAUUUUCAAGCGUUGACCAUUUACCUUAAAAGUGUUACCUAUGUCGUCUUGGAUGGUAAUGGCUCCAUGAGUUGAAGUGCCAAUAACCUUGUAUGGUCCAUCCCACUUACUUCGUAGCUUACCAUGCCCAAAGAGCUUAACUCUUGAAUUGAAUAGUAGAACCUUAUCACUAGGCCUAAACUCCUUGUGCUUGAUUCUCUUAUCAUGCCAUCGCUUUGUUCUCUCUUUAUAGAUCCUUGAAUUGUGGUAGGCUUUCUCUCUCCAUUCUUCUAGCUCAGAUAGUUGCAUCAGACGAUUCUCGCUAGCAAGGUGGAGAUCCAUGUUCCAUUUCUUGAGUGCCCAAUGAGCCUUAAACUCUACUUCCACAGGCAAAUGACAAGUUUUUCCAUAUACAAGUUGAUAAGGUGACAUGCCUAUGGGUGUUUUGAAUGCAGUUCUAUAUGCCCAAAGUGCAUCAGGAAGUUUGUCCUUCCACCCCUUACCCAUCUCAUCUAUGGUCUUUUAUAAAAUAUUUUUGAUUUGUUUGUUAGAUGUUUUGGCUUGCACUACAAGAAAUGUGCCAACUUUUGACAUUUGAUAUAUGUCACAAUACCUAUAAAAUAUGUCAUAGGUCAUCAUUUAUGACACCAAGUUGACGAAAAAUCAAAUGUCAAAAGAUGAGCGUCUUUAACGACAACUUGUGACAUUUAAGUGUUAAUGUCAUAUCAUUAUGACACUGAUUUUGAACGUCAUAACCUUUAUGACCUUUGCUUUUAUGUCACAAGUUCUUUGAUCUUGCCAGUUAGUGAAUUCCAUAUAGCCCAAUAUUUAUUUGGACAUCAUUCAAGACCCACAGCUGCACAAACAAUCCAAAAUAACAUGUGUGCCCAACAAUAUAUUCCAUUCACAACCAAAUACAUAAGUUCACAAGUCACACAUCAACAUCAUUGUUACAUUCAUCGCAAACACCAAAGUAAUUGUUCAAGAAUUGACCUUAGUCACAAAGGUAUCUUAGAUAAAAUAAACAUAUGGAUAAUUCACAUCCCUGUCUCACAACUGACCUUUGUCACCAAACUAAUAGUCCUAAUAGACAGUGCUAACAGCUAAUUAUUCUUGGUGUCAUGAGCAAAUAACUUAAGUUAUUGAAAUCUCUCCAUGUCCUGCAAACGUACAACACAUUAGAAACAACCAUCACUUGUUGAAUCAAAUAAAAUUAUCAAUAAAGAAUGUUACAUGUGUACUACUGGAAGAAAUCAAGCAACAACAAUCUUUUCCACUUUAACAUAUAUUUGAGCAUUUGUAGGAAAUACACUAAUUCACACUGAACAUUCUCACACUGAUAAGUUCCUAGACAGUUAUUAUUAGCCUCACAUUGCUCUACUGUCAAGCAUUUUAGUUGCUGCACAGAACAUUGACAAACACUCUGCUGUUAUCACAAAGCCACUACUGAACAUAUUUUUCGAUACUGAAAACAACUCUGUUGUUUAUGCAUGAAACAAUAUUUCAGAGUGAAGUUUCAUUUCUCCUGUCUCACAGUGCGGAUUGGUGCAGGAGAGCACCUAGGGGUCGAGGAGGGGAGGUGCGGCACAUUGCCGUCGUGUUGCUGUCCUCCGACAUAGGGGACUCGCUGCCGUCGGAGCCGGUGCCCCCUUCGAGGAUUCGUGCUAUGGGUGAUAGCAUACAACGUAGGGCUGUAGUUGCGAGUUGAUGACAGACGGAAUAUGGCAUGACCAUCACAAAUAGCAGAACUAAAAUUUGAACAUGGCACUCUAGCAUCUCUACAAGCACAGAAUAUGCUUGUCUGAUGUUAUUUACGAAAAACAUACAAAUCAAUGUUAUUUAGGUUUCCAGUUUACUCCUACCUGAUGAAACUAUAUGUAACAAGAACUAUCCCAUUAUAGCCUCAAAAUGCACCUCUUAGCAGUUUCAUCAGCAUAAAUCAAAAAAUAAAGCUGGAAGGCAUAUAAUGUUCUACCUGAUAAUUUAACUGAAUCUAAAGGAUGAUAUCAUCACCUUAUAACCUGCAAAACAACGUACCCAUGCACAAUCUUUAGCAUAUCCUAGAAAUAAUUUUUUUAUUACAUCUGGUAGAUGCCUAUAGGUCUGUACUAAUAAAACUAUAAGAUGCUAGCUAUAGGUCUGUACUAAUAAAACAGAGCAAGAUAAAUAACAAUGGUCCCUGUGAAUAUAACAAUACUAAGGAAAUCGAAGUACAUGGUCAAUGUAAUGAAAAAGUAAUGGCACAUAAUAAGCUAUGGGCUUUUCAACUGUAUUUACCUUGUUUUGCAUUGAGGGUGUUAUAUUAGCAAUUAGCUGCUACCUGCAGUCCUGCACGCAUCAUAUAUGAAAAUACAUAUAUCCAUUACUGCAAGACCUAUAGCUAGCAUAACUGUAGCAUAACUAUUUGAUAAACAGAGGUAGCAAAACUGCAACAUAACUAUUUGAUAAAUAGAGGUAGCGAAUUGCAGCACAAAUAUUUGAUAAACAGAGUUAGCAAAAAUGACAGUCUAGCUAGCAGCAAGUACAUAAUCAAGCUAGCUACUACAUCCGACUCCUAGUCAAUGUAGUGACAAAAUUGGUUCUUAAAUUCAUAUAUGCAGACAUAUUACAUAUCACAGCCUACCACUAAUUGUCUAGCAGAUUGCACAUAGAAAAAUUGAACCUUUGAGAAAACUUAAAAAUCUGCAUUACAUAAAUUUGAGCCACACAAGAAUAGAUCCACCAAAACUUAAGAAUCUGCAUUACAGCUAGCAGUAGGUGCAUCUGAAUCUGUGAAUAAGAGGACACAAAACGUUUUUUCUCGGUUCUCUGGCUGUGACAUGGCCGCUGCUGAAGUGCUGAUUGCCGCUGGCUGCUGCUUCCUGGGAUGAUGCUGCAUAGUAGAGGCAAACCUAGGAAAAGUAGAUUCACCUAAAUUCUACAAAAAAAAUGAGAGAAAAAUAAUGAAUGGGUACUACUACCAGCACACAUUCACGCCACAUGAACUAAAUCCAUGACCAUCUGUACACAAUCAAGAGAAACACAUUUGGGUUCAAGUGAUGGGAUUGAAGGCUACUGCUACGUACCUAUGAAGGCAGCAGCUCGAGCUCUCUUUGCCUGCAGUCUCCGCCGCCGCUGCCAACCAAAAUCAUUUACUUGUUGAAGUGAACAAUUUUACUGCAGUUUGAAUCUGCUAUAAAAAAACAUGAAAUCCAAUAUGCAGUGGUAGAGAGCAAGGAACUAACAGCCUUCAUUUACCAGAAUCUGUCAUCCCAUUACUAAUACAUGUACAUGAAGGAACACCUAGCAAUGUGACAAAUUCUGUAACUCAGAUAGAUUUAGGCAAUGACCUACACAAAUAUAGAUAGAUGCAGUUCAGCUAAUAUACAGACAGUUCAGCAGCUAAUGCCUAAUACAUGGGGAUUCACGCAAUCAGGCAUCCAGGCAAUACUAGCGUUUAGUAGUACCAGCAUAGCAAGCAUUCAGGCAAGAGGCAAUAUUAGCAGACUAGUAGUACAUUACAGAGGAGGCAAGCUAAUACAGCAGCUGGGCAAGGGAGGGCAGAUCCAAUCAUCCAAGUUCUUACCUGCACGUGCAGCUGCUUGGCUGGAAGGGAGCGGCUAGUGGAGAAGGCGUCAGGCGGCCAACCACCCAGCGGACAGUGGAGCCACUGUCAAGAGCAGGCCCCCAGCCAACCACCCGCGUGGGGAGGCGAGCGGCCGGCGGGGAGGAGGGAGACCGGCGACAGGCAGGGAGCGUCCUCGCUGUCGUUUUCUCGCGUCCAUUCCACCGAAUCACCGCAGAAGCGCACGGUCCUGUGGAGGAACAACAAGGAGAAGCCAUGAGAAGAGAGGGGAACCUCGACUCACCAGAUCCCAUGGACACGCACGAUAGCGGCGUCCUUGCCUGCGCUUAGCCAUGCUCCGCCGCCAGCGCCGAGUGCGCCGAGAGGAGAGAGAAAAAGGGAAGGGGAACUAGAAGAAGAGUCUGGGAGGUGGGAAGGUGAAAGGAUAAGGUUGGGGAGAUAUGGAGUUUAACUACAUUGAAGAAAUUUUUUGUGACAUGAAAUCAUAUAUGUCACAAAGUUGAGAUGGCUUUCAAAAGAACGUCAUAAACUGAUCGAUUUAGUGACAUUUUGAUCACAUUGUCAUGCCAUAAUCGUCAUAAGAUGACACAUUUCUUGUAGUGUUGACCGCUAGUCUGAGGAUGGUAUGGUGUUGCGACAUUGUGUCGAACUCCAUGAUCGGCUAGGUACUUCCGGAAGAUUUUGUCGAUGAAGUGGGAACCUCCAUCGCUUAUAACUAUCUGGGGUAUACCAAAGCGAGGAAAGAUUACUUCAUGGAACAUUCUCUUGGCAUGUUUUGAAUUAGCUGAUCGACAAGGUAGGGCUUCUACCCAUUUGGACACGUAGUCCACAGCUACUAAGAUAUACUCACAAUUCCCAGACAUAGGGAAUGGCCCCAUGAAAUCAAUGCCCCAAACAUCGAAAAGUUCUACUUGAAGAUUAUUUGUGAGAGGCAUUUCAUUUCGUGAGUUGAUAUUCCCAUGUUUUUGACAUCGGUGGCAUCUCCUAACAAAGUCCUUUGUAUCUUCAUACAUUGUUGGCCAGAAAAAACCACUUUGCCAAAUUUUAGCAUGUGUCCGGAAUGCUCCAUAGUGUCCACCAUAUGGCGAGGCAAGACUUCUUUCCAUAAUUUGAGUAGCCUCAGCCAUAGGAACACACCUUCUCAAGAGUCCAUCAGCGCAGACUCAGAAAAGAUAUGGCUCAUCCCAAAGGUGGAAACGACUAUCGUGAAGCAACCCGGUGGGACAUAACCUUUUACUAUAAAGUUUAUGAUGUCUGCGUACCAUCGAUCUGCAUGUGUUAUCUUAAGUAGGGUGUCAUCCCUUAGGUAGUCAUUUAUGGGAAGCUCAUCAUGUGUUUCCUUAUAUUGAAGCCUAGACAAGUGGUCGGCUACGAAAUUCUCUACUCCCUUCCUAUCUCGGAUUUCUUUGUCAAAGUCUUGUAGUAGAAGAAUCCAUUGAAUAAGACGAGGCUUAGCAUCUUUCUUAGUGAGGAGGUACUUGAGAGCAGCAUGGUCUGAAUAGAUGAUUAUCUUUGCCCCCACUAAGUAAGAUCUAAACUUGUCUAUAGCAAAGACAACAGCCAAAAGCUCUUUUUCAGUUGUAGUGUAAUUCAGCUGUGGUACAGACAAGGUUUUGCUAGCGUAGGAUAUGGCAUAAUGCUUCUUAUCCUUGGUUUGUCCCAAAACGGCACCAACCGCAAAACCGCUAGCAUCACACAUGAUCUCAAAAAGAAGAUUCCAAUCAGGUGGUUGGAUAAUCGGGGCUGAGAUGAGUGCUUUCUUAAGAGUUUGAAAAGAUUCAUGACACUCAUCACUAAAGAUGAAAGGUGCAUCCUUAGCUAGGAGACUAGUUAGGGGUCUAGCAAUUUGAGAGAAGUUCUUAAUAAAGCGUCUGUAGAACCCUGCAUGUCCCAAAAAGCUACGGAUUCCUUUCACAUUCGUGGGAGGUGGAAGUUUUUCAAUAACUUCAAUCUUUGCUUUGUCCACCUCUAUACCAUGUUCGGACACUUUAUGUCCUAGCACUAUUCCUUCCUGAACUAUAAAAUGGCAUUUCUCCCAGUUUAGGAUUAAGUGCUUUUCUUCACAUCGCUGCAAGACUCUAUUUAAAUUCUCCAAACAAUGAUCGAAGGUUUUGCCAUAGACGGUAAAAUCAUCCAUGAAAACCUCCAUGAUUUUCUCAAUCAUGUCCGAGAAAAUAGACAUCAUGCACCGUUGGAAAGAAGCUGGAGCAUUGCACAAUCCGAACGACAUUCGUCGGUAUGCAUAAGUUCCAUACGAGCAUGUAAAGGUAGUCUUUUUUUGGUCAUUUGGGUGGAUUGGGAUUUGGUGAUAUCUAGAAUAACCAUCAAGGAAACAAAAUAAAGAGUGGUUUGCAAGCCGUUCCAACAUUUCAUCAAUGAAGGGUAAUGGAAAGUGAUCUUUCUUUGUAGCCUUGUUGAGUUUUUGAUAGUCAAUACACAUACACCACCCAGUGACAAUUCCUUGAGGGAUGAGUUCAUUCUUCUCAUUCCUAACUACCGUCAUUCCUCCUUUCUUUGGCACUACUUGGACAGGGCUAACCCACUCACUAUGUGGCACAGGAUAAAUAAUCCCAUCAUUAUAGAGUUUGAGGACCUCUUUCUUAACAACCUCUCGCAUAGCAUUGUUAAGUCUCCGUUGUGGUUCCCUUGAAGGUGUAAAAUUGGGAUCAAUAAGGAUACGAUGAGUGUAGAGAAUGGGACUAAUGCCCGUGAGAUCUUCGAGAGAGUAGCCAAAUGCUAAUCUAUGCCUUUCAAGAACAGUGACAAGUUGUUGUGUUUCAUAAUUGGAAAGCUUGUCACUGAUAAUUACUGGAGUUUUUGGGUUGUUGUGCAAAAAGACAUAUCUAAGGCCAGCAGGAAGAGGUUUUAACUCUAUCGAAGGAGGUGGAGGUUGUUCAUUUUUGUCUAGCUCAACGGGUUCUACCAACUCUUCUUCUUCUUGAACAAAGUGUUCAUGAUUAAAGAAUGGUUGGGCCAUCUCCUCCUGAGUUAGCAUUAAGAUCUCCUCAAUAGGAUCUGGUUCAAGUUUGGGUUCCACUAUCGUGUUAAUUGAUCUAGCUAGAGGAACAACAAUAGUGGAAUUUCCAACCUUGAAAUCUAAAUGACCUCGUUUGUGGUUGUUCUUGUAGAAGUUUCAUGAUUGGUCUGCCAAUCAAGAGAGGAGUCUCCGGUGUUGUGUAUUUUAAACGCAAACAGAAAAAUCUGCAAGCGCACGGAUACCGAUGUAGCCUUCACCCGGGAGUAUUCCAGAGUAUCGAUUUUCCACAAAGAACGUGAGUGUACUAAUUAAGAUCCAAGAUCGCCCAAGGAUAACUAUAUAAUUAUUUUUGGUGGGAAGAGAGGAAGUUUCCUGAGAGUUCUCUAGUUGAUCUAAGAAUCAGGAAUUACUUCAAAGAUUAUUUAUAUCGGGACAUCAGAGCACUAACCAUAGAAAGAGAUGAGAAGGGGGCUAGGAAGGUCUGACUAUGGUCCUACAAACACCGAUCCGAACGAGGUGGAAUACAUCGACCGUUAGGGCUGUCACUACCCUAAGGCUACCACAACAAUCCGCAGGAUUGGGUGCAAUUCCAGGUAAUUGCAAGACUAAACACCACGUCUAAUCUAUUAAUUACUACUCUAGCGUUAUAAAGACUAGAGCACUUGAUGCAAGCAGGAAUCCAAUAAAUAACAUGAAUGUAAAUAAAAGUAAUUAAAGAACUCAGGAAUUAUGAAUUGAAGAACCUGGAGAACGAUGAAGAACGAACCAGUUCCUGCAAAAGUACAAUGUUGAGGAAGAUCCGACAGAUCCGGCUCCUCCUCCACUCUCCUCUUCUCUCUCCCUAUUUUCUAGAUUACAACUAGAACUAACUAGAACUAGAACUAGAGGAACUAGAACUAGAACUAGAUGAACUAGAACUAGAUCUAGAUGAACUAGAGGUAGAACUAGAAGAACUAGAGGGAUCCUCUCUACUUGGAUGAAGAAUUGAAACCCUAACUUUGAUUCUAUAUAAGAGGUAUGAUCUCCAGGGGCCAGGGGUCUGAUUUUAUAGUCCCUUCAAGUGAAUCUGGGCCGUCGGAUCAAACCGACAUUGAUCGCAUGAUUUUCCUUGAUCCUUUAGGUCGGUGGAGCACGAUCCACGAAGUUGAAGCUGAUUGGUUACUGUAGCUGGGUGGGCACCCAAGGGGGGAGGGCGGGUGCCCUGCCCCCGGGCCCGAUCGGCCUCCCGUUCGUUCCCGUGGCUUCUGGAGUCUUCUAGAUGGUAGAAAAUUGCGCGGCACGUUAAUAUCUCUAUGUAAACCCGACGUGUGGGCCUUUCUUUCGUAUUUCCUGAUAACCCCCUACAGAAAUAGACAAACACCAAAACUCGUGGAAUUCUGUCAGAUAAAACCCUAAGUCUAGGUGUUGGUUGCAUUUGGAUCCUUUUCUAUGAUUAGUUGACGGUUAAAUGUGAGCUUUAAGGACCGUCAACAAGCUCCCCCAAGCUUAACCUUUGCUCGUCCCUGAGCAAAGAUGAACUCAAGAGUUUCUACAGUGAUUUCAUACUUUAAAGGUACACAUGCGUUCAAACAAGAUCUCAUCUCUGGGUUAGGGUAAACUUUUAAGAUUUAAACUCACUCAUAUUACCUUCCACCAUGGGGCUUGCAACCGUCACCUGUGUCUUGAGCAGUUAAAAGAUAGAACGGUCUAGUCAAGCACCAUGUCUCUUAUUCUUGAUCAGCUAUAGCUCUGAAGUUUUUGCAGAUUUUCAAAUAAAACUCAGAGAUUCCUUGUAUGACUCUCUCUAGUCUCUCUUUUGUAGUAUUUCUAGAUCCUUACCAAGGCAGUAUUGGUAUAUGCCUUCUCUCAAAGUAUGUGGUAUUUGUGGUAUAAGGCAUAGUGGCAUUGCCUUCUCUCUCACCCUAGUCUAAUAAGGCUUUUGAUAUCUGGAGCUCAUAGGUGGGAGACAGCUAAUACAUACUUACAAGACAUUUAUUGCAUAGUCAAACCAUGGAUCCAGAGAAACAAGUCAAUAAGUCAAAUCAAGAUGUGCAUGUGUGGCGAAUGAAUGAUGCAUGGUAAUGAUGGUGAUAAUAAUGGUGAAAGUCUAAUUCUACUUUUGCUCUUUUGAGGGGAUACAUACCUUCCUUGCUCUUUUGAAACUUUUGGGGAGAAUGAGAUGCUCUGUAUUUUCUUUUUCUUUCCUCUCAGGUGGGUAUCUUGUACCCCUAAUUCUACUGUCGGACACUUGUCCAUUUUUACCUCUCGUCUCACUUUUUUUUCUUUUCUUUCGAGGUUCCGGGCACUUGCCCCUUUUUAUUUCCUCGUAUUUAUUUUUUUCUCUCUCUUCUUCUCUUUUUUAGAGCACUCAUCUCUUGAAAUAAUAUAGCAAGUGGUAGUAACAAGAUAACUUGAGCAUUUAUUUCACAGGGAAAAAACAGAAAUAUUUUUGGAAUAUUUUUGGCUAUUCUCUCCCAGAUUAGGAGUAGAAUAUUUUUGGAUGGUUCUGGAGAUGGAAAUUGGUGCAUAUAUGUGGAUGCGUACUUCCGGAGUAGAAGCAGCAUGUAUGAGUGAAUGUGCAAGUGAAUCUUGACUUAACCACAUGACAAGCUCCUAAGGGUCUACACAGCUUGACCACACUCAAUGCUCAUAAGCAGUAAAAAGUAAAUGUGUGGCUCAAAGUCUAGCAAGCAUGUAUAUAUGGCUGUGGUAGGAAUUUAAACUCUCAUCAUACAGGAACUCAUCAUGUGAUAUUUUAAAGAUUUUCAAAGAUAAAAUUCUCCAGAAUUCUAGCAUCUCUAGGAACAGAUAAACAGUAGCUCAACCUUCCCAUAUCGUAUCCGUUAAUGACUUAGACUUUAGAUCAAGUACUCUCCCCACAAGUUGAGGUUUAGAGCAAAUCUUAAUUAAUACCAGUCAUGCCUAAACUUAAGAGAGAUUUCAAUUUUUACAACUAAUCAUGGCAGAGCAACUAUUCAUCAUUUCCAUGUGAGAGCUUAUCAUGAGGGUUCAUAGCAAACUUUAUUUAUUUAUUUAUUUAGCAACCUAAGCAAAGAUAUAUAUAUAUAUAUAAGCACAAAAUCUUUAUUUGGGUUUUUAUGAUUAUGCAUCUUUUUAUUAUUUGAGUAAAAUAUAAACAUGAGUAGAGCACUUAGCUGGAUACAAGGGGUUGCUCUCCCCCAAGUUGGGUUUUGACGUAAUUCCUUCUAGGUGGCAGAGGUGUAUUUGAAUGUUGGCAGCACCCUGACAGCGAUUAGGAUGUCCUCCGUUUGCUAGUCUUCUUUGAUCCUUGAAUUCUGUGGAGCUCAAAUAGACAACAAAGCUUUGUGGAACUAGUUAAGUGUUAGCAUAAAUAUCUAGCCUUUAUCAUGUUGAGUCUCCUCAAUAAAUGUUACUCUCUUUAGUAGGAAUAUAAAUUUAUUUUUAUAUUUUCAUUUUUAUAGGACAAGAAUAUAUUUAUUUUAUUUUUAUGCCACCACAGUGAAUGUACUUAUGGGUUUUAUGCCAUGAGCAUACUCACAUGGGGCUUACUGUUUUUAACAUUUUUAUUUUCUUUUCGAGAUGAUAUGAACCUGAUUAACUAAGCAAACUAUUUUAAAAUAAUUGAAAGGAAAAAGAUAACUACCAAGUUUACCUCUUGGCAAGGCGUUCGGUGUUUUUAAGUCCUCCGAACGGGACUCUCCGUUUUCUUAGUCGUCCUGGGAUUCGUUGGAUUGCGAAGUCGGUGGUUCCGGCUGCGCCUGCUCUUCGUGUAUAACUAUCUUCUCUCUACAUACCUGACUCGGUGCUAUGGUCUCCUCAGGACAGUUCUACUCAAGUUGUAGGUCUUCAGACCUUACCACUUCUCCUUCGUAGUCUGCUCAUCCGUCCUUGAUGAUUUUUCUCCUCUGGUUACGGUUGUGUCGUCUUCUUCUUGUCCUGACCUGCUUAGAGUCUUCAACUAUAUAGUUAAGGUUAAUAAAAUAGUGGCAUACCUUCUCAGAGAGGAAGUGCAUGUGGACUUCUCCGAUUCCAAUGUAGAUGAUUGCUUUAACGGAGCUGAGGAAUAGUCUCCCAAUGGUGAUGGGUGGAUCGUACUCGUCUUCUCCCAUCUCAAUAACCUUUCGGAAUCUGUCAUCUGGAGCUGAAUGUAUGUCGGUUUUAGGGGCAUGGUUCCGAACAGGAGUUGAUAGGUGACUGCGGCCAUUACAUUGACGUCAGAUCCAGUGUCGUAGAGUGUCUUCUGAAAAGAAUAUCCGUUGAUUGUGCACUCGAUGCUUGGAACACCAGGGUCGUCCUUCUUGGUCAGGAACGGUGACUUGAGUUGACGAUCUUGACCUCAUUGAGCUGCAGUGACCAUCUUAGCUGACUCAGUCCACAUUUGCUUGUUCCUGCUCCCCCUGUUGAACCUCAUCCUUGGUUCAUGUCGGGAUUGCUCUGAGAUUUGUGUAGUCUUGUUCUUGAAGGAAAACGUCUCCUUCCUCCCCUUGAUGUAGAAAUUGAUCUUGGCAGCACUAGCAUAGAUGACAGCUCCUGAGGUGUUCAGGAAUGGCCUCCCUAGGAUGGGUGCCCUCUCAUCAGUACCAGUCUCUAUCACCACGACGUAUGCUGGGGCGUACAAGGUACCAACUCGGACGCAGAGGUUCUUCAAAAUUCCCUUUGGGAAACUUAGCGUACGAUCUACAAGCUGCAAACACAUGGUUGUUUCUAAUAAAGGAUGUGUAAAGAAUUUUUUCAUAGAGUACCCUGGGCAUAAUGUUGACGCUGGAGCCAAAGUCGCAGAGUGCUUCUGGGAAGUUCACCAUGCCGAUGGAGAUCGGGAUGACGGUGCGUCCUGGAUUGCCUCUCUUGACCGGCAGAAGGUCAGUAAUUACUUCCACAAUGGGGUUACUCCAGUAGUUACGUCCUCAAGCAUCUCAGGGCAGUGAUUGCCUGAGUGUCCAGUAUCUCCAGUGUGUUUGUGCUCGCAGAUCUAGUUUCUUCACUUGGUGGAGUCUAGGAGUUGUAAAACUCCUUCAUAUGCUGCUCGAAGUGUACCUGCUCACAGAGACAAGGCAGAGAUCAAGUGCAUGGGCCCUGUUGGUGGAGAACAGCAACAGAACCAAAAAUGUAUUUGUUCUCUCUAACCUUAAGCAUAGUGAGCAAGAAAAAAGUUGAUGGAUAAUAAGAUCAUGAGUGUAGCAUUUAAAACAUUUGUUAGAUCAGAUUGCUCAACCUAAUGGAAAGAUAAUCUAUCUAUACUUAUGUGUUUUGUUUAUAUCUUCUAGAGAUUGAAUGUGCAACAUUUUAGCUUAUAUGAUUAGGAGUGUAGGAUCACAAAGGUGGAAGGACUAAACAUAUUGAAUCGAUUAGGUUGGUUAAUCUAGAGUUGUAAAUCAUACAUUUUUGUCUCUUUUAUUCAUGUGAACGCCAAAACCAAGGAGAAGCUUUAUAGAAGUGAUAGUCAAGUACCUUAAGAUGUUACCUUACUUGAAGAGUGAUGGUACAAUAUCACCUUGUGAAAGCUUUCCUUUCUUAUCGGUUGUGCAUCGUGUUUGUGGCACACUCCAUGGAUCAUCACUUGUGAGCUAUGCCUUCCUUGUGUAAAUUGUUAAACUUCAUGUGCCUCUCUCUUUGUCUCCAAUGUGAGUUUAUCUCAGGACUUCCUAGGUCGAUAUUGAAAGUUUUCCUGAAGGGGUUAGUCCAACAAAAUAUCCAAUAUCUACUAUAGCAUACUAUCGGUUCAAAAUUCAACCUAGACACCAUGUGUAAUUUGAUUUAGGAGGGCAUUUUAACCUAAGCACCAUGCUUAAUUUAAACUCCCUUGGAAGUAAGAUCAUCAUUCCUAAACUAAGCACCAUGCUUAAUUAAGAGAUAAAUGAAACUACUCCAAGCCUAGACAUAUACUAAAGCAAAUAAAGGUGGUAUGAUAGCAUUUAUAGAGAUCUACUCAAGUGGAGAUGAAGUAGUGUGAUUAGUAUUUAACAAAUUGAGCAUGUCUCAAAGGUAGGGACAACCAACAUAGCAACAUGGCAAAGGAUGUUUUUAUGUAAAGUACUCCCCCAAGCUUGAAUUUUGCAAAAUUCAAGUUUGGAUGAAUUUAAUUCAAUGUUGUAUGAUGAUUGGUUGGACAUACCUUGUGUUUGUCAUUCAUCCGAUCUUCUUGCUCCAAUCUUGGAAAGGUUAGUGACAAGAAUACCCGAAGGAAUUUUUUUACAAUUAUCAUUAUAUGCUCAACUCACAAGGUAAUGUGGCAAAUAAUUAAAAGCUCAUGUUAUGAUCUAAUCAGUGCUUGUUUUAGGACACUAAGCUUGUCCUUGGGAAACCAUCAAUUUAUGUCGGCGAAGUGGUUUCCCCUCCAACGCUGACCUAUAUCAAGAUCAACUCAACGAGAUCUGCAAUAUUUAAUUUAGACAUAUGCAUCAACAACCGCCCUUUUAAAGUUUUUAUAAAUAGAAAGGAUGAGGGGUUUGGAGAUCUCGAAUGUGGUGAUGUUGGAAAAACCAAUAGAUUGGGAAGAUGUUGCAUAUGAGCAUGGAGUAAAUGAAGUGGCUAUGAAAUAAAUUCCAUGCUCAUUAAUGCUUAGAGUAAAAUCCAUGUGGUGUGGUGAAAAUGGUAAGAUGAGUGUGGUAAAAAAAAGGGAAAAGAAAAAGGAUACACGGACGACUUGGUUCGAUACUAGCACAGCUACCGUUCCCCGACAACGGCGCCAGAAAGCUUGUUGGGUAUUUUAAACGCAAACAGAAAAAUCCACAAGCGCACGGAUACCGAUGUAGCCUUCACCCGAGAGUAUUCCAGAGUAUCGAUUUUCCACAGAGAACGUGAGUGUACUAAUUAAGAUCGAAGAUCGCCCAAGGAUAACUAUAUAAUUUUUUUUGGUGGGAAGAGAGGAAGUUUCGUGAGAGUUCUCUAGUUGAUCUAAGAAUCAAGAAUUACUUCAAAGAUUAUUUAUAUCAGGACAUCAGAGCACUAACCACAGAAAGAGAUGAGAAGGGGGCUAGGAAGGUCUGACUACGAUCCUACAAACACCGAUCCGAACGAGGUGGAAUAUGUCGACCGUUAGGGCUGUCACUACCCUAAGGCUACCACAACAAUCCGCAGGAUUGGGUGCAAUUCCAGGUAAUUGCAAGACUAAACACCACGUCUAAUCUAUUAAUUACUACUCUAGCGUUAUAAAGACUAGAGCACUUGAUGCAAGCGGGAAUCCAAUAAAUAACAUGAAUGUAAAUAAAAGUAAUUAAAGAACUCAGGAAUUAUGAAUUGAAGAACCUGGAGAACGAUGAAGAACGAACCAGUUGCUGCAAAAGUACAAUGUUGAGGAAGAUCCGACACAUCCGGCUCCUCCUCUGCUCUCCUCUUCUCUCUCCCUAUUUUCUAGAUUACAACUAGAACUAACUAGAACUAGAACUAGAGGAAUUAGAACUAGAAUUAGAUGAACUAGAACUAGAUCUAGAUGAACUAGAGGUAGAACUAGAAGAACUAGAGGGAUCCUCUCUACUUGGAUGAAGAAUUGAAACCCUAACUUUGAUUCUGUAGAAGAGGUAUGAUGUCCAGGGGCCAGGGGGUCUGGUUUUAUAGUCCCUUCAAGUGAAUCUGAGCCGUCGGAUCAAACCGACAUUGAUCGCACGGUUUUCCUUGAUCCUUUAGGUCGGUGGAGCACGAUCCGCGAAGUUGAAGCUGAUUGGUUACUGUAGCUGGGCGGGCACCCAAGGGGGGAGGGUGGGCGCCCUACCUCCGGCCCCGAUCGGCCUCCCGUUCGUCCCCGUGGCUUCUGGAGUCUUCUAGAUGGUAGAAAAUUGCGCGGCACGUUAAUAUCUCUAUGUAAACCCGACGUGUGGGCCUUUCUUCCGUAUUUCCUGAUAACCCCGUGCAGAAAUAGACAAACACCAAAACUCAUGGAAUUCUGUUAGAUAAAACCCUAAGUCUAUGUGUUGGUUGCAUUUGGAUCCUUUUCUAUAAUUAGUUGACGGUUAAAUGUGAGCUUUAAGGACCGUCAACAUCCGGUAUGUCAAAAAUGUGAAAAUCUAGACAUAUUCCAGUGUCCUUGAUUCUAACAGGGACUGCCCUUAAUACCCCAUGGCUUUCUAGAAUUAAUCUAGAUGGACUUUGUAAAAUUUUUUGAGAUGGGGUUAUGGACUCGUUGGGAUAAAGAGUAUCAGCUAACUCCUUGGAAAUAACAUUUAUCCCAACAUAUGGAUUGUAGUGGACCUUCCUAGGGGACCCUCUAAUUUGGCAUAGAAGAAUGGUUGAAGUAGUGAUGAUUCGAGCUACCUCAAGAGACAGCUCUGCUUCUAUUAGCCAUUCAUAACUCAGAAUAGCCGAAAGGCUUUUGAUGUGUUCUAUGUCAACAGAUUCUACUCUUAGAAUGGAUUGAGUGGUCCCUGUUAGAGGUUGUGUUUGGAUAGGAAAAUUCUAGGUGUUUCCAUAAUCUUCAAAAAGAUCUUCCUCGAAUUCAAAGGGAUGCUCUAAAGGUGGUGGUUCAUCAUCCCUUAGUUGGUUUUGCAUUCCUUUAUCAGGAGGUCUCUCUACAACCAAAUUAAUAGAUGGGUCAGGUGGAAUUUCUAACUCGGUUGCAAGUUCCUCAUCUUUUGGUUUAGGAUAAGGCUCGACUUCUUUUUCUUCUUCAGGAAACUCAUCAUAAAUGCCUGUGUAAGGGGUAUUUUCAAGGAUUCUCUCUAGGAUAGCUCUCCCAUCAUCUGUGAGUUUGUGUGUGAAUGAGCCUCCUGAAGCAAUGUCGAGGUGAAGAGCAGCUUCCUUUUUUAGACCACGAUAAAAGUGGUAGUACAAUACAUGGUUAGGCAGGGAAAGGUUUGGACCGGAAUUGGUAAGGCUUGUGAACCUAGCCCAAGCUCCUCCUAAAGUUUUCUUCUCUCUUUGUUUGAAUGUAAGAAUUUUGAUUCUAAGGUCAGUGAUUCGAAAAAGUGGGAAGAAAGCGAGACAAAAAUUGUCCCAAAGUUCAUCCCAAUUUCCAUUAACGCCUCCUACAGAAUGAGCAUACCACUUUUUUGCUCUUCCCGAAAGGGAGAACGAAAAUAAUUUCCAUUUAAGGGUUUCUUGUGUCAUGCCGGAAAUAGAUCGGCAAGAGCACAACUGCUCGAAUUCUCUAAGGUGGGUGUAUGGAUCUUCAUCUACUUGCCCAGAGAAGGGUUGCUCCUGGAUCAUGGCUAUUAGAUCAGGGCCGAGGUCAUAGCCAUCUGUAAAAAUUGGAUGUGAUUAUGGUGGUGGCUCUAAUAACUCGCCCUUUGGAGCAAAGAAUUUAUAGAUAGGAGUGAAAUCCAUGUGGUAUGGUGAAAAUGGUAAGGUGAGUGUGGUAAAAAGGAAAAGAAAAAGAAUACACGGACGACUUGGUUCGAAACUAGCACAGCUACUGUUCCCCGACAACGGCGCCAGAAAGCUUGUUGGGUAUUUUAAACGCAAACAGAAAAAUCCGCAAGCGCAUGGAUACCGAUGUAGCUUUCACCCGGGAGUAUUCUAGAGUAUCGAUUUUCCACAGGGAACGUGAGUGUACUAAUUAAGAUUCAAGAUCGCCCAAGGAUAACUAUAUAAUUAUUUUUUGUGGGAAGAGAGGAAGUUUCCUGACAGUUCUCUAGUUGAUCUAAGAAUCAAGAAUUACUUCAAAGAUUAUUUAUUUCGGGACAUCAGAACACUAACCCCAGAAAGAGAUGAGAAGGGGGCUAGGAAGCUCUGACUACGGUCCUACAAACACCAAUCCGAAUGAGGUGGGAUACAUCGACCGUUAGGGCUGUCACUACCCUAGGGCUACCACAACAAUCCGCAGGAUUGGGUGCAAUUCCAGGUAAUUGCAAGACUAAACACCACGUCUAAUCUAUUAAUUACUACUCUAAUGUUGCAAAGAUUAGAGCACUUGAUGCAAGUGGGAAUCCAAUAAAUAACUUGAAUGUAAAUAAAAGUAAUUAAAGAACUCAAUAAUUAUGAAUUGAAGAACCUGGAGAACGAUGAAGAACGAACCAGUUGCUGCAAAAGUACAAUGUUGAGGAAGAUCCGACAGAUCCGGCUCCUCCUCCUCCACUCUCCUCUUCUCUCUCCCUAUUUUCUAGAUUACAACUAGAACUAACUAGAACUAGAACUAGAAGAAUUAGAACUAGAACUAGAACUAGAACUAGAUGAACUAGAGGUAGAACUAGAUGAACUAGAGGGAUCCUCUCUACUUGGAUGAAGAAUUGAAACCCUAACUUUGAUUCUGUAGAAGAGGUAUGAUCUCCAGGGGCCAGGGGGCCUUGCUUAUAUAGUCUUUUCAGAUGAAUCUGGGCCGUUGGAUCAAACUGACAUUGAUCGCACGGUUUUCCUUGAUCCCUUAGGUCGGUGGAGCACGAUCCGCGAAAAGGACUCUGAUUGGGCACGGUAGCAGGGCGGGCGCCUAGGAGAGUAGGGCGGGCGCCCUGCCUCCGAGCCUGUUCGGCCUCCCGUUCGUUCCCGUGGCUUCUGGAGUCUUCUAGAUGAUAGAAAAUUGUGCGGCACAUUAAUAUCUCUGUGUAAACCCGACGCGUGGGCCUUUCCUCCAUAUUUCCUGAUAACCCCCUGCAGAAAAAGACAAACACCAAAACUCGUGGAAUUCUGUCACAUAAAACCCUAAAUCUGGGUGUUGGUUGCAUAUAGGUCCUUUUCCAUGAUUAGUUGACGGUUAAAUGUGAGCAUUAAGGACCGUCAACAUGUCGAUAGAUCUGUGUUGAGCUGGACUUGUCCUCUUGAAGUCAUUGGAUCAGAUCUCACUAGUGUAGAUUGCUCACCAGCCAAUCCUGCUGUACUCGGAGGCGACGUGAAUUCUGUACCCGCAACGGGUGGAGAAGCCGAUGGAGCCACAACCGAUGAUAAUCCUAGCUGAUGAUAGGCCGGGCCAGCAUAAAGUGGUGGUGACUGUCCCUCUUUAAAAGUUUAGACCACAACAUUGUAAAUAGUAUUGGAUAGCACAUUGGAGUGAUUAAUCAAAGCAUGAUUAAUAGCAGUAUUAACCAUGUCUUGCAGUUUACCAGGAUUGAGAUGAAAGGUAACCUGCCGAGGCAACGGUAGAUCUUGCUUCUGAAUAACCUCCUCGUUCCUAUUCACGUUGAAGGAUUUCAAAUAGAGCUGCUUGUAUUCCUCCGUAGCCCUCUCCAUAACUUGCUUCUAUUCUUCCCUGAGAUCGGCUUCUGUCAUGCCGAUGACGUUGUCUGUGUCAAGAUCAGAAGUAGCCAUGUCGAUCUUUGUUGAUGAUUUGUCCCACUAGGCGUGCCAAAGGAUAUGUUGAUGCAAAAAUAGAUCUGCAAACAUAAAGGGUUAAUACCCAAUUUCGAUAUCAAGGCGUGCCAGCUGAUUUAACCUAGCAAUCGACAAAGGUGAUAACUUGAAUACUUUGGUCUUGACAACAGCGAUGCGCCCGGAUGUCAUGGCCAAGAGGUACUCACGCGGAACCCAAGAAAUCGUCGAGUAUGACUCGCCGAAUCCUUGAGAACUUGUAAAUAGGAAAAAGUACACGAAUUGAAGAAGUCGUCGAAAAGUAGAUGUAAAAGUAGAUGUAAAGCUUGUGUUGGUAUUGAUUGAUUGUUCUUACAUCGCUGCUGGGUUUAUAUUUAUACCCUAGUCCUCAAGAGUUACAACCAAACACGACUAAGAUUCAACAAGACUCUUAUAUAUAAGGCAUAUCUAGACAAGUAUGGAAAAAGAAAUAAUAGUUAUCUAUUCCUAUGUCUCUCCUAAUCAUGAUAAAGUCUUUAUUGGUCCCCACUUCAAGUCUCCAUCAGAUUUUGCUUCAAGUCUUCAUCGGCUCGUGUCCCAUCGGCACAUAUAUGCCUCUUCAGCAAUAAUUUUCACAUCCUCCUCCAUCGGCAUCGGUAACCAUAAGUCUUAUCGGCAACAAUCAGUAGCUGCCAUCUUCAACUCCAGACUAGCAGAAUCGUUCUACUAACCAUUAUUUCAUCAUUGGCAUCAUCCGAAUCAGCCAUAGGCAUUCUUCUGUCGAUCUAACAUAGCAACUUCACUACCGAUCAGCUCUCCUUAACCAUCUUGAUUCAUACCUAAAAAUGGUGUCAACACUUUCUCUAAGAAAACACCGUUUUGAGUAACAAACAUUUUGCCUCUGUGCAGUUAUAGACAUAAUACCCUAAAGUUUCCUUCGGGUAUCCCAUGAAAAAGCACUUGUCUAAUUUGGGUGUUAGUUUAUCUGAUAUGAGCCGUUUGACAUAAACUUCACAACCCCAAAUUUUAAGAAAAGACAAACUAUGACACUUACUAGUCCACAUCUCAUAUGGUGUCUUAACUACAGACUUAGAUGGUACCCUGUUUAAAGUGAAAGCGGCUAUUCGACUGGCUCAUCAUAGAUUGAACCAUUUCCAACGAAGUUCGAUUACGUUGCUUGGACACACCGUUCCUCUGAGGCGUUUAUGUGGCAUAAGUUGUGGAACGAUACCAUAACUCUUUAGAUGAUUGCCAAAUUUGUGAAUCAAAUAUUUGCCUUCACGAUCAGAUCGCAAAGCCUUAAUUUUCUGGCCACGUUGAUUCUCUACUUUAUUACGAAAUUCUUUGAACAUUUCAAAUGUUUCAGACUUAUAUUUCAUUAAGUAGACAUAGCCAUAUAUACUAAAAUUAUCAGUAAAAGUUAUGAAGUAUUGGAAUCUGCCUCUAGCUGUCGUGCUCAUUGGUCCACACACAUUAGUAUGUACAAGUUCCAAUAAGUCAGACGCUCUCUCAGGAAAACCUUUGAAAGGCGCCUUGGUCAUCUUUCCCAGUAAGCAAGACUCACAUGUCUCGUAUGAUUCAAAAUCAAAUGAAGUUAAAAGCCCAUCAUCAUGGAGCCUCUUCAUGCGAUUCUCACUUAUAUGACCCAUACGACAAUGCCACAUAUAUAGGUAGGACUUAACACAUUAAGCCAAGGCCUUUUAGCACUAACAUUACAGAUAGGUGCAUUAUCAAGAUUUGAAAUAAAUAACCCAUUCACUAUGGAUGCAAAGGCCACAAAUAUAUCAUUCUUAGAGAUCACACAACCAUUGGCUUUACUCACAAAUGAACAACCAUGCUUCAUCAAACAUGAAGGUGACACAAUGUUUUGACUUAAACUAGGAACAAAAUAACAAUUAUUCAAUUCCAAAAUAAAUCCCGAUAGUAGAUGGAGUUGCAUCGUCCUGAUGUUCAACGCAACAACUCUUGCAUUAUUGCCCACACGGAAAUCAACUUCUCCCUUUUCAACACUUCUACUUCUUAUCAUUCCCUACAUCAUAUUGCAAAUAUGAGCAACCGAUCUAGUAUCAAAUACCUAAGAAUUAAUAUAAGAGUUAGCGAGGAAAAUAUCUGUAACAUAAACAACAAGUGUAUGAGCAGUGGGAGUACCUUUACUACCGCCAUCCUUUUUCAAGAAUGCCAACUACAACUUGCAGUUCCUCUUCUAGUGACCUUUCACCUUACAAUGAAAGCACUCUUCAUCAACAACUAGUCCAUCCUUGGGUGCAGGUGGGUUUGGCUUAUGGAUCUCAUCCUUAGCCUUGCCCUUUUUCUUCUUUCAAGCAUUGCCCUUCUUUCUCUUAAAGUUAGGCUUGUUUUGAACAACCAACACUUGGCUACUGCCUGUACUUUUCUUGAUGUCAAUCUCUGCUCUUUUUAGCAUGCCACAAAAUUGAUUCAAGCCCUUCUCUGCCCCAUGCAUAUGGUUGUUCAAGAUGAAGUUUUCAUAACUAGGUGGAAGAGACGAGAGAAUAAAAAUAGUAGCCAACUCUUGGCCAACUGGGAAGCCCAACUUCUCCAACCUCUGAGUGUAACCAACCAUCUUGAUUAUAUGUGGACUAACUGCUGCACCCUCUGCUAGCUUGCAUUCAACAAAAGAUUUUGAGACUUGGAACCUUUCAGUUCUAGCCUUAGCUUGGAACAUAUCAUUAAGCGCUAUGCUUAUGUCAUACGCUGCAUGAUUAUUUUUGAACUGCAUCUGUAGCUCAGGUUCCAUACAAGCAAGCAUGAGGCAUCUUACUUCAAGAUUAGCAUCACAUGCUCUCUUAUAAGUGUUCUUCUCUGCAAUAGGUGCAUUAUCAGUAGGUGCUUCUGGUAAUGGGUGUUGACAGUCACUAAUGCUUAUUUUCAUCCAUCAACUAUUGCUUGGCAUGAUAUGAUAUGAACCACAAAGCAUAGUUGUAGGGUUUGAAACUAACAAGUUCCACGAGUUUUGGUGAAUCUAUAUUUUACAAGGGUUAAACUGGAAAAGGACCAGAAUCAUCAAAUAGAAGUAUCUCAAGUGAUGAACUAGAGUACACCAUUGCAAAGAGCUCGUCAAGACAUAUGAAAUAGAGUUUUGAUUCACCCAAAUCAGAGUCCACACAACAAAGUUAUGCCUUCCAGAAGAUUGCAAAGGGGCUUCUAGAGUAGUCCAGAGCAAAUUGGGCAUAUCUCCCUCAUCGAGACUCCAUUUUUAGUGACCAGAACUUUUUGGAAACCUAAUAAAAAUAUCUAUCAACCCUACAAAGUGGGGCCCACUUGGCAGAGACCUAGGGGUGGAUGCCCACCUGUCAGGGCGGCCGCCUAGGGCUCUGAGCCAAUCAGCUUCCACCUCACGGAUCCUGCCUUCACCGCCUUUGAGGAGUAAUCUUGGCCAUCAAUCAAGGUUUGUUUGAUCCGAGGGCUGUAGUGCUUCCUAGGGGGCUAUAAAUACAACCUUGACCCCCCCUAGAGGCAUCUCCUUCAUUAGCUACAUCAAGUAGAGAAGUAGAGGUCCCUCUAGUUUAUCUAGUUCUAGUUCAUCUAGUUCUAGUUCUAGUUGUCUAGUUGUAUCUAGAUAAGAGGAAGAGAGAAGAGGGGAGAGCCGAGGAGGAGCUAGAUCUAUCGGAUCUUCCUCAACAUUGUAUAUUUUUAGCAGCUGGUUCGUCUUUGGCUAAUCUCCAGGUACAUUAAUUCUAUAAUUCCUGAGUUUUUAUUUAAUUUUCAUAUUUAUCUUUAAGUUAUUUAUUGGAUUCCCGCUUGCAUCAAGUGCUCUAAUUCUUUGAUAUGCUAGAGUAGUAAUUAAUAGGUUAAGCAUGGUGCUUAGUCCUGCAAUUACAUGGAAUUGAACCCAAUCUAGCGUAUUAUUGUGGUAGCCCUAGGAUCUUGACAGUCGUGACGGCCGACGUAUUCCACCAUGUUCGGAUUUGUGUUGUAGGACCGUAGUCAGAGCUUCCUAGCCCCAUCUCAUCCCUUUCUAUGGUUAGUGUUCUGGUGUCCCAAGAUAAGUAACCUUAGAGUAAAUCCUGAUUCCUAGAUCAACCUAUGGAAUUCUUAGCAAAAUUUCUCUCUACCCUACAAAAAAAUAUAUAGUUAUCCUUGGGCGAUCUAAACCUUAAUUAGUACACUUCAUGUUCCUCGUGGAAAAUCGAUACCUUGGAAUACUUCCGGGUGAAAGCUACAUUGGUAUCCAUGCGCUUGUGGAUUUUUCUAUGUGUGUUUAAAAUAUCCAACAAGCUUUCUAGCACCGUUGCUGGGGAAUGGUAGCUAUUCUUGAAUAAAACCAAGGUCAUCCAAGUUUUCUUUUUCAUUUACCACCUUUUUAUUUUUAUUACUUCUUCCCUACAAUAACCUAAAUUUCAUGCCUAUCUAUCAUUAUGCUGCACCCAUGAGCACAAGCUUAGAGCCACUAUAGCCCAUGGUUCUCACAUCUAGCUAUAAGUUGCAUCCAUGUUUGGUUGCAAUAGGCCCUAUCUUCUCUCCUUCUAUGCCCACACUAGAUGACUUCUAUGAACCCACCAUUGAACCCAUCCUUGACUCAAAUGAAUCCUCUAAUGCUCUUUCUCCUAAACCUCCUAACAAUCUUAGAAAUCCAUCUACACAUCCCACACAUAGGAAUCAUCUUGACCAUAAGGAGGGUUGAGAAGAGCAACAUCAAUGGCUAAAGAGCAUUAAAAACCGAUAUGCUAUUAUCAUUGAAUGUGUGGACGAGGCCUUAUAUGAGACCAACGUGUGGACGGUGGCGAUUCCCAUUCUUGCUCGUUGGGCACAUCUUUUUAGGAGGGAACCAUUGCGGCACGUUUUUGUCCUGGCGAUAAUAGCAAGUAACCUAUCACGUGAAUUGAGGAAUGGUUAGGUGAUGAAUUUAAUGCAGGGAUUUACCUUCCAUGGUUGUUGGAUCCAUCCGUUGCGGCUGACCCUACUUAUUAUAGGGGUUGCACUCACUACUCCUACUUCCGCUUUUCGUCAUUGCCUCCUAGUUUCUUCCUCCUGCCUUGCUGCACACAAGAGAGAGAAGAGGUAGAAAAAGAAAGAGAGAGAGAGAGCUAGGGACUUCCCCCGGUUGCCAACCGUCGAGCUGAUCCGUGCUGCCAUGCCGGUGACUCUGGUGCCUAUCGAUGAAUGGUGCCCAUUAAUUGUAACAGAGCACCGGCUGUGCGACUUAGCGGGGGAGGGGCUCCUCCGUCCUGUCACCUCCUCGACCCAACUAGAGUGGAUCACGCUACUUGCAGAAGACCGGGAGCUGAAUCCCAUAGGGGGCUAUGUUGUCAACUUUGUCAAGUUCCACCACCACGUAUUUGGCUCUCCCCUAAGCCGCUUCAUGCGGGCGCUCAUCCACUAUUAUGGGGCCAAGCUGUAGCACUUCUACCUCAACGCCAUUUCCAACAUGGCAAUCUUUGUCGUGGUCUGUGAGGGCUACCUAGGCAUGAUACCCCAUUGGGAGUUGUGGCUCCAUCUCUUCUAGGGUGAGCUUUUCCAAGGCACCGGCGGGGCCAGAGGCGUGAGAAAGUCUGUCUGGGUGGGCUGCCUCAACCUGGUAUUGAAGUCCAGCUGCUUGGAGGAACCUAGUGAGUACAUCCCUACUGGGGUGAUGUCAAAUCACACCCAGUGGGACUCAUAGUGGUUCUACCUAUGCAACAACGAAGGGCUCCUUCCUCCCUACACCGGGCGGGUCAUUACAGCGUGUUCGGAGCAUUGGAAGUAUUGCGUGCUCGUGGACCGCCAAUCUUGGCUAAGAUCCCUCCUCAAUGCCUUGAAGCAUCUUUGCCAAGAAGGUCUGACGGUGGCUCUCGUACUCUCGGUCGUCCACCAUCGGUGGGUGCUCCCACUGAUGGCUCGUCCACUAAGGAUGGACGAGAUGGGUCCAUGCGCUACGUCCAGGAAUCUUGAGGCAUGCUGAACAUCGAGCGAGGCGCUACCCGAUGAGGAGGUUGCAACAAGGGUCAGAGCAGCCAUCUCUGACACCUUCCUGAUUGAGGAUGUUAACGCAUUCCCAAUGAUGCCUAAGGAGGGCUACCUCAAUCUGGUGAGUGUCGUGAGCUACAGUGUCUUGAGCCGUAUCCCUUACAUCCGAUCUCUCUAAUAUCUGAAUAUUUUAGGCAAGGGGAAGUUGAUGUCAGGUCGUCGAGGCCCCCCGUAAAGGAAGACGAGACAAAUCAUGAGGUAAGACGUCUCUCUGCUCAGAAACAUAAGAAAGAGCUUGAUGCAGAGAAGAGGAGGAAGAAGAAGAAUAUUGCCCAGCAGGAGCUUGAGCAGUGUCGUGCCAAGUCGAGGCGUGAGGGGGCCUAAAGAGGAUUCCCCUAACAAGGAAGACGAGGAUGAUGAUGAUGAUGAUGAUUGUUGGUGCAAAAAUUGGUAUCUCGCACCAACAAUCUCGGGGCUUCUCAGAGGGAGUGUAGGAGCUGAAGUCCUAGACCUCUUGAGCCACAAACACACAAGCUUGGUGAAUUAAUUCUGGGUCAUGCCAGUCAAUUCGACUUGAAAUUGACAAGGUAGAAGUACAAAAGUCAAAUUAUAGAACCUACCGUUUGUUGCCAGACAGUUCUGAUAUGUAUCGCCUCGAAAAGCUGUUGAAACAAAGGAAAUUAACUAGAAUGUCAACUCCUUGUAACGAUGCAAAAAGAUAAACGUUAUUGGACAUAUUGAUCAAUUGUAUAUUAAUGGUAUAAAUAACCAGAUAAGCUACUUAGCCGAUAUGCUGUGUGUGAAGGUAAGGGAUAGCUUACGUGCAUUAUCCUUUUAUUCAUUAAAUAAAUAAUAACUUAUUAAAAUUGGUCUAAAGGCCUGCGGUUUUAAUAAAUUACUUUUGUAACUUGUAUUGAAUUUAUAUUCACCUGGUCUAAAGGCCAGCGGGCUUCAAUAAAUUCAACACAGAUUACUAGUUCAUUUAAUGCAAUAAACGGAUUCAUACUCGUGCACUAUUCAUUUGAGCUUAGCUGGAUUGACUAUUUAGCAGAUACAGGAUCCAUGAAGCACAAACAGGAUCUAUCUACUUUGUUAUAACCAGAUUUAGUUAUUAUUACCAAAUUAAUCAUAACAGAAUAAAUACCUCGAACGCACAUCAUGUAAUAAUCAAGAUCAACAAGUUAGCUAUCAUAUUUUUGCUUAAUAAUUGUUAUUCAUUCAAGUUUAUAGUAAGCGUUAAGAUUUUAAGCUCGAUCCAACUCAUUGAGUCUUGAUUGGGCAGAAUAUUGUUACAAUAAAUAAAACAUUGAGCUUUGAACAAUAUGGAUAACUUGAUGAAUCUAUUAAAUUACCAAUUUAAUAGAGCUGAUAACUAUCUUGAACCAUGAUUCAUAAGAGAUUGAAACAAUGCAGCCUUACAAACAUAAUUCAAGUCGAUAACUGGUUUAUAAUUAAGAUUGACAUGUGUUCGGAUGAUGCAGCCAUGACAAACUAAACAUGAACAAUGACAAAACUUACAAGCAAACCAAAGAUCGAAAUCAACCGAUGCAGCUCGAUUCAUUGAAGGUCACGUCGAAAUCUACUAUUACUCCUACUCAUAAGGUUGGUGGCCGAAGCCAGAAAGGGUUUGUAUUAUGAUUGUGUAUAUUCUUACAAAAAUCGGAUUCCCAAUAUUUAUAGUCUAAAGUCCUAGUCUUAUGUCCUAACACGACUCUUUCCUCAAAAAGGCAACCUGGACUACAACUUCUCCUUUCUUAAUCGAACCCGACACAUUUGCCUCGUCUUGCCUUAUUCCGACACCCUUCUGAUCGACUAAUUUUGCCUCUUGUUUAGUCGAUCCACUCAUCCGGCUGUCCCUCUUCUGCAAAGCAGGGCCACCGACAGUUUUCCAGACUUGCCAAAAUUUAGGAAUUAACAUAUGCCCCCCAAUUUUGGGAUAAAAUUAGUUUUAUUCAACAACUGCUACUCAAAACCAAUACGGACAUAUUGAUUACUCCGUUUCCUCCUCUAUCUUAUCCAUUCACCGGCCUUAAAAGCUAGGGUUUCCCUCCAAGCAUCCUCAAUCAAAAAUUUGAAACCCGCACAAUCCACCAAAUUUCCACACGAUUUAAUCCCAAUACACCGAAUCCUUCAACUCGGUGACUUUUGCUCCAAUGGCGUUCAUCGACAACAUCCCAGAGGUAUGCCCUCUCCCUUUGCUCCUCUAAAUUUUCUUACUCUAUUAGCUUACCCUUACUCUUUUUUUUAUUCAGGAUCUCCAAGGCCAAGUAUUCAUCCCACUUUAUGGUAAUCUGCACAAGAUUUUCCUAGGUCCAAUGGGUGAUCCAAAUCCUAGGAGGGUAAUUGUUGCCGAGAGUAACAAAGUUUCUUUCAAGGAAUCCAAUAUGCAUCCAGGUCUUUGAGACAAAAGGACUUCUUGAAGGAGCUGGCCCCCAAUCAUCCCAGGCUGAAGGAACUGGCUGAUCAAAGUAGCGGCCAAGAAGAGAGCAGAUUGGACAACUAGGAACUUGGACCAAUGCAUCUCCUUGUCCCUCUCUAAUAUCAAGAAGAAUGAACCUAUGCUCAAGGCUGCCUGUUUCUUUUGGUCCACCACCUAUAAUGCCUUUCUCUUUAGACAAGGCCCAAUGUCUCCAACAUUAGCCGAUGUUCAUAUGCUGACAAGCCUUAACAUCGCAGGACACAUCAACCCUUCCAGUCUGCUGGUGAAACCCACUACCAAGCUUGAUAGCACAAGAACGGGGGGUUGGUCCCAAUACAUUACCAAUUACAAGACUGACAGCAGAUCUAUGUCUGAUAAAGAAUACACAACCUUUCUGAAUAUGUGGUUGGACAUAUAUAUCUUGUGUGGACAGGCUUCCUCUCCAACUCCCAAUUAUCUAACUUUGGCAGAGAAGAUAUCAGGCAACUCUAAAAUCCCUCUCGGCAAGAUUCUCCUUGGAUCAUUGUACAAUUUGCUGAAUAGAGUUUCUCAGCAUCUAAUGCAGAAUGAAACUGUUCCAACAAUCAUAGGCCCCUGGUGGUUGUUGCAGUUAUCGCUCAACUUACACCUGCACAAGUUAGUGCCUCUAGAGCUGAUCAACCUAUGUUUCCCUUCCUUGGAAUAUUCAGAAGAACAAGAAGAACAACUUCCAAGAAGUCAAAAAUUUCAUCGAUGUAUGUCCUUUGGUGAGGCAGCAUCGGCAAUUACUAUUAAUGGAUGGUUUGCUUACUCAUUCUAGAAUUUGAGCUCCUAGCAUCAUUCAGAUUCCAGACUAUUUAUAGUGAUCCUAAGGAGCUCAAAAUUCCAAGUCGUUUGGUAACGCCGAGUCUUCUACCUGUUGAAGUAAGGCAUGGUAGAGAAAAACCUCCAACUUCCUAUGAUUUUUUUUGCCCUUCAAUAGUAGCUAGACAAAUGGGCUUUGGUCAGUUGCCGCCUAGCUUUAUUCUUUGCUGAUAAGGUGAAGCCAGGGAAACUAUCACCGCUGGAAUAGAAUAUAAUAGAAUUCUUCACUUUGAACAAUCUCUAUUGCCAAAAGCCAUCAGUGGAUGGGAAUGUACCCCUUUCACUUAUAUAGCCUUUGAUCAUUGGUGGCAAGAAUGGAACCAACAUAUCUUUAAGGAACUAGUAUCCACUUACUGCUCCCUCUUUGAUCUAGAUUUUCAAGCUACACCUGAGGUAUGUCUUUACACACUAUAUUUCUAAAUUCUUAUACCUCAGAAUAUACUUACUCAUUUUAAUUGUUCAUAUGAUCUUGCUGGCUUGGCCCCUCCACUAGUGAAUUAUGAUAUAUGGUGUCCCAACCCAAGAUUGGGCUCUGAUGCGCCAUCUCGGAAAGUUUUGAUGAAGAAACUAGCAGUAGACCUACCUACCUGAUGAUCAGCCAAUUGCCACACUAAAAAGAAAGCAACCAGGUGCCUCUCAAAAGAGAACUUCGAAGAAGACCAAAGUUGCUCCUUCAAAACAACUUAAAUCUUUAGCUGAUGCAGCUAUUGAGGUACCCUUUCUACUGAUUUCCCAAUCAUAUAGCAUACCCGUGCAUCAACUAACUUCCUAACAUUUCAGGACGUUGCUCAAGAAUUUGCUACUAAAAAGGAACUUGAACUCCCUGACCCUUCAGAGGAUUUAUCUUUCACCAGCGGCGAUCAUGAUGCUAUCCCUAAUCCAGGCAAUAUUCUAGAAGUUUCUUUAGGUAACAUCCCAUAAAAUAGCCGAUAGGAUAAACCCUUUUACUUAUAUUAACAUAUUUCCAUGAAUCCAGACCUUUAACUUCUUGAAGUCACUUCAUCGGCUAUUCCCAGCUCUACCAUGGUCUCAGUGGAACAGGUAUGUCAAAACCACUUAUUCUUAUCUGCUAAUAUCUUGUGAUAAACACUAAUCUAUUUACCUUGACACAGGAACAAGUUUCUUCACCUGAUCUACCAUUCUCCUUAGAGAAAUAUCUUGAUGAAGAACCAAUCCUAAUCUUAGAAGAUACACCUCCAACCAUACCUAAUCACAUCAAAUCAAUUGCAAAGACUAAUUAACCAUCUAGAGCUGUAUAUUUCAUCCUUAACUCAGGAUGCAGGAUCUAUUAGAGAGAUCUUCAACCAAAUAAAAAAUGAUCUCCCUUCCUUCUUGAAAGAAGUGAUUCAGCCAACUGCAUUCUUGGAAGCUAAUGGCCCUAAAUUCUUUAAUGCCCAAUCCAGAUUACCUGCUCAAAAAGCUUAGAAAAACUGAGCUACUGCUGAAGACCAAUGCAUCCAAGAAAUCCUAUCAGUUAAAAAGACAGUCCAUCUCCUCAAAGAAUCCCCUGCCGAAAUCAACAAGGAUCUGGCUGCUCUUAAUGAAGAAAUGACACAACUAUUAGCUCAGCUGAAGACUAUCGACGAUGCCAUUAAAUAGAAGGAAGAAGCUUUAUCUCAGAUCCCUACGUCUUUAGCUGAUCAGAAAAUGAACAUGGCAACCUUGAAGGCUAAGCUUGACAAAAUCAAGCAAGACAAGAGAGCCAAAAUUCCUAGAUUAGCUGAAGAAGAUCAACAAUAGAUAGCCGAAAUAGAUAGCAUUAGGCUUUCAGCUUUAAAUUCCAUUAAGUCUGUUCUAAACAUGUAAUUUGAACACUCUUCUUCAUUUUAUUUUGCGUCCUAUAAUCUCCAAACUUAACUUUUAUUUACUCAGACUCCUUUUCCUUUUAGCAAAUAUAUACUUUUGUUAAAAUCUUAUCAUCAAUGUUAACUGAAUCAAAGUAAAGUAGAAUCCCAUCAGCAAAAGUUAGCCAAUCUACUACUCAGGCCUCCCGCAAUCACGGUUAAGUUGAUCAGCUAGGUUGUCACACCCAUAUUUUAAGAACAAAAUAGGAUGCAUAAAAGACUCAUAUGUGCCCCAGAAACAGUCGCACACAUAAGUAGACAAAUCUCAAAUGUAUCAUUGCAGUGUUUAUUACAUAGCGGAACAUAAUAAAUCACAUAGUCUUAUCCAUAAAUGAUAGCAAGAAGUAAACAACGCUCUUGACGGAAGCACCACACAGGGACACUGUUGACCGGUUCACUCCAAACCUAGUACUCAUAACGGUAGUCCUCAUUCCAAUCAUCAUCAUUAGCAUAACCUGAGGUGUUGGGGAAUUGCAAGAGUGAGCACAUAUCGUACUCAACAAGUAUAACCAGGGGUUCAUGAGGCUCAAACAGCUGACACUGGUUUGACUGCAUUUAGCUUUUAAUAGUGGAUAACAUGUUUAAUCAUUGGAUAGCAAAUAUCAAGGUAGCAUAAAUAAUCCCAUAACCACAUGAUCAAUUGUAAACAAGAAUUAAGAAUAACACAUAUAAACAACACAAUAAACCAUCAUUUAUUAUCAUUAUUCACGUUCAUCAGUGUCCAUCUAUUCCGUCAGUUUUCUGGGCCGCCCGUAUCCGUGGGCACGGCUAGUAUACCAGAUUUAACACUUUGCAGAGGUUGUACAUCUUUACCCAUGAGUCAUGAUUUACCCUUUCGCCCGAGGUAGCUAAUCUCUUAACCCCCUUCCUAGGGAGGUCGGCAGGGAUCACUAUGAAGCCUUUCAAAAGUUCGUCUAACAUGUUAGGGCCGCAAGGUUUCCAUCGCGAGCAGAUAUAGAUACCCUCCUUCCGAAUGGCACAAUGACGCGCAACCUAUACACAUAAGGACAGAGGCUCGCACUAUAUCUGUGUCGGUUCAGCCCCUCUAGCGCCCUUUUAGGUAACCGCUAACAAGCUAGAAAAGUUCUUCAUACUGAGCUAAAGUCAGAGCCAUAUAGCCCUCAUGGUUGUACGAAUUGUCCCAGCUUUUGCCAAGGGAUAAGUCCUUAUGGAGGGUCAAGAUCAAUCUAGCAAAAGCCAGAGUUCUUUCCACCCUUUAUAUUCAAGUUGCUAGAAAGCUUAUUUUAUUUUUUAUUGUAUAUUCAAAUAUUCAUGUUACAAGAUCAUGGAUUAAUAAUCAAGCACUAGCAAGAACUACCCAAAUGCAUAUCCAACUAGGUAUCAAGGAAUUUAGGAUAACAAUCAUCUAUGAUUUUGCUAAGGUCAUCAAGGUGGACACAUGCAUUUGAUAAAUAUUGUAUUAAGUGUGUAUAGGUAACAAGGAUAGUCCCAAAUUAUACUUGCCUUGAUCAAAGCUCUUCUGAGCCUGCUGGUCUUCAAAUGCUUGAUCUUGAGCACCAACGUACGGCUCACUGUCUAAUCCCAAUCAUCAAUCAACAACACACAGUCCAAUGUAGACAAUCAUACACGAAGCAAACAAGCAAUUAUUAGAACAAUACACCAAACAGUAGUAAAAUAAAUAUAAAAGUUUAUCAAAAUAUUCUACGCAGCGCUACGAUCACAUAAACGUAAAGUUCACGAAAAUCGGAAUUAAAACGUAGAAGAUAUGAAUUUUCUAAGAUUUCCUAUAGAGAAAUAAUUAAUUAAAUGCUACUGCAGAAUUAAAAAGUUUCAAAACAGUGAACAAAUACUUUUAACAUGUAGAGCUCGCAAAUACGAAUGUAACAAAAUUUGAAUGGACAAAAACGGAUUUAAAAUGAAUAUUUUAUGAGCAAAACAAAAUCAAUGGCAAACUUGUAAUUACUGGAAAACGUAUUUAGAACUCGCUGAGUCGGUUUACGCUUUCAUAUCGUCAAAACGUAUUUAGAAAGGCGCCAAAGGGACUGCGGGUUCUAAUGCCAAAAAGGAGAGGGGCUCUUUAGCGAAAACUCAUGUCAAACGAUAUUUUCUAAUCUGAGCCGUAGAUUUCCAAUUGGACGGCUCAGGACUCAUCCAAGCUGAGCACCGGCCGGCCGACCGCAGGAGAAAGGCCCGACGCGGCGGCGCCAUGGAUGUUUCCCCCCGGAGCUCACCGGUGAAUGCCGAUACGGCGGUUCCGAGCACCAAACAACAACAUAAAUUCACCAGCACGCGGAGGAGCUUACCCCGAAUCCGUCUAGGGGCCUUACUCCAACUAGGAAGGAGCAGGAACAGCUCGCGGCGUAGAUUGGCGGACGGAGUUCUCCUGCGAGAGUUCGGCACCAAUGUGAGAAAGGUUUGGCACGGUAGGGAGUCUGGGGAGGGGCUCGGCACCUACUUCACCUUAGCGCAGAGCUCGGCACGGCCUUUGUCUUGUCUCUACGGCCACGAACCAGGAGUUCCACGGCGGCGGCGGUGAAACUCCUCGGUGAAGAUCCAACGGCGUCAGGGAGCAGCGGAGUCGGCCAAGAGCGCGUAAAGAUGGGAAAGAAAGUCUCAAGGGGUUCACCAAGGCUAAAAAGGGGCUCGGGUAACCGAUUUGGCAAGGAAAUCACGCCAAUUUCGGAGUCAGUUGGAGCCGGAUCCUGUUCGGCCCCGCUGGGGAAGAAGGAAGGGAAGGUGAGAGAGAGAGAGCUGACGCGUGGGGCCCAGCUGGCGGUGAAAGAAGGGGUGGGGCCCGGCCGUCAGCGUAAGGGAGAAGGGGGCGCGCUUGCUGGGCUGGCUCGGGCUGUGAGACAAGCUGGGCCGCGGGGGAGGAAGCUGGGCCGCGCCCUGGCCGAAGCUGAUGCAGCUGCGCUGGGCUGGGGUUUUUCCCCCUUUUCUUUUUAUUUUCUUUUUCAAAAGCAUUUUCACAAAUUGAAUUUUUGUGCACAAAUUAUUUCUAACCAAAAGCAAUCAAGCAAAACAUAAAAUAUGCUCCAGCAUGAAUGCACCAUCAAGGUUACUAAACCUAUGAUAAAUUUUAUUUUCCUAAAAAAUAUUUAUUCUCUAAAUUAAAUGCCCACAAAAAUAUUCAAAUAAAUCAAAUUAAAUCCUAUUAUUUGAAAAUCAAAUUUUGGGUGUUACAAACUCUACCCCCUUAAAAGAAUCUCGUCCUCGAGAUUGAGCAGAACUUACUCAAACAAAUAUGAAUAUGAUUUUCUCAGAUCAUCCUCUCUUUCCCAAGUUGCCUUUGCUUCCGAAUGCCGAUUCCACUGCACUUUGCACAUUCUGAUGACCCGACUUCUGGUGACUCUCUCAGCUGUCUCCAAUAUUCUGACCGGAUACUCUUCAUAAGUGAGAUCACCUUUAACAGAAAGUUCUUCCAAUGGUAGUUGCUCCUCAGGUACACGCAAACACUUCUUAAGUUGUGACACAUGGAACACAUCAUGCACACCUGAUAAACUUUCAGGCAACUCUAACUGAUACGCUACUUCUCCACACCUUUGCAAGACUUUAAAUGGACCAACAUACCUUCGAGCUAGCUUUCCUUUCAUAUUAAACCUCUUCACACUCCGCAUAGGUGACACUUUCAGAUAGACAUAAUCACCUUCCUCGAAAGCUAGUUCUCUCCUACGUGUAUCUGCAUAACUUUUCUGACGAGACUGAGCUACUCUCAGAUUAUCUCGGAUAGUCCGCACUUGUUGUUCUGCAUGUCUAAGCACAUCCAUACCAAACACCUGAGUCUCCCCAGUUUCAUUCCAAAACAAAGGUGUUCUACACCUACGCCCAUAUAAUGCUUCAAACGGUGCCAUUUUAAGACUUUGCUGAUAACUGUUGUUGUACGAAAACUCUACAUAUGGCAAACUCUUAUCCCAACUGGUUACAUACUGCAAUGCACAAGCUCUCAACAUAUCUUCUAGUAUCUGAUUGAUCCUCUCAGUCUGUCCAUCUGUCUGUGGAUGAUAUGCUGUACUAAAAUUCAACUUUGUCCCCAAGGAAUCAUGCACUGCUUUCUAGAAAGUAGAGGUAAACUGAGUGCCUCUAUCAGAUACAAUCUUCUUAGGCACUCCAUGCAAACAAACUAUCCGCUUCAUAUACGAUUCUGCUAGUCAAGCUCCUGAAUCAGUGGUUUUGACUGGCAUGAAGUGAGCAACUUUAGUCAAUCGAUCCACUAUUACCCAUAUUGAAUCAUAUCCUCUCUGUGUACGAGGCAAUCCCACGAUGAAAUCCAUGCCUACUUCUUCCCACUUCCAUUCUAGAAUCUUCAUUGGUUGCAACAAUGCAGCUGGCCUUUGAUGUUCAGCCUUCACUCGCUGACAAGUAUCACACAAAGCAACAUACUCAGCUACAUCUCUCUUUAACCCAUACCACCAAUAUUUCUGUUUCAGAUCCAGAUACAUCUUACUGCUUCCAGGGUGAAUGGAAUAUGCUGACUCAUGAGCCUCUCUCAGAAUCAUAUCACGAAUAGCCUUCACUUCAGGAACACAUAUCCUUUUUCCAAACCACAAUACACCAUUGUCAUCUAUUCUGAAUCUUGGUGCUUUGCCUAGUACCACAUUCUAUGCUAUCUCCUUUAGUUUCUCAUCUUCCAAUUGUCCUUUCAAUAUCUCUUCCUCUAGAGUAGGAGUGACCUCAAUUUCCAUAGCAUUUACUACAAUUCCCAAGUACAAAUAUGCAAAUUCAGUACACAACUCCUUAGAUUCAGGUGUCGCCCGAAGCUCAUUAGCAUAUUUCUUUCUGCUAAGUGCAUCAGCCACGACGUUCGCCUUUCCAGGAUGAUAAUGCACUUCCAAAUCAUAAUCUUUUAUCAGUUCCAACCAUCUUCGUUGUCUCAAAUUCAGAUCUGUCUGGGUGAAGAUAUAUUUCAAACUCUUAUGAUCAGUGUAUAUGUCACUCUUAUGCCCAAUCAAAUAGUGUCUCCAAAUCUUCAAUGCAUGCACCACAGCUGCUAACUCUAGAUCAUGAGUAGGAUAAUUCAGUUCAUGUUUCCUCAACUGUCUAGAUGCAUAAGCAACAACUCUACCUUCUUGCAUAAGAACACAACCCACACCCAGACAAGAAGCAUCACAAUAGAUAGAGAAACUCUUACUCAGAUCUGGCAAUACCAACACAGGUGUAGUAGUCAAUCUCUUCUUAAACUCCUCAAAACUAGCUUGACACUUAUCAGACCAUACAAACUUAGCAUUCUUCUCCAACAGAGCAGUCAUAGGCUUUGCAAAUUUUGACGAUAGUAACCAGCUAAACCAAGAAAACUGCGAAUUUCACUUACAUCUGUAGGCGGUUUCCAAUUCAGCACAUCUUUCACCUUAUUAGGAUCCACUGCAAUACCACCAUUAGAGACAACAUGACCAAGAAAAGAAACUUCUUCCAACCAAAACUCACAUUUACUACGCUUAGCAUACAACUUAUGUUCUCUGAGUUUCUAUAAGACCAAUCUCAGAUGUUCAGCAUGUUCUUCCUUUGUUUUAGAGAAUACCAGAAUAUCAUCAAUAAAUACCACCACAAACUUAUCAAGGUACUCCAUAAAUACUUUAUUCAUCAUGUACAUAAAGUAAGCUGGUGCAUUGGUCAAACCAAAAUACAUAACUGUAUACUCAUACAACCCAUACCUUGUGGUUAAAGCUGUCUUUGGUAUAUCUGAGUUCCGAAUCUUCAAUUGCUGAGAACCAGAACGCAAAUCAAUCUUAGAGAACACACAAGCACCUCUUAACUGAUCAAAUAAGUCAUCAAUCCUAGGCAAGGGAUAUUUAUUCUUGAUAGUGACCUCAUUAAGUGACCGAUAAUCAACACACAUUCUCAGACUACCAUCCUUCUUAUCAACAAAGAUAACUGGUGCACCCCAUGGUGAAGAACUAGGACAAAUGAACCCUUUAUCUAGCAAUUCCUUAAUUUGUUUCUUAAGUUCUUCUAGUUCAUUAACCCCCAUUCUAUAUGGUCUUUUAGCUAUGGGUGCAGUACCAGGUAGUAAUUCAAUAAUAAAUUCAAUGUCUCGGUCAGGUGGCAUACCUAGCAAUUCGUCUGGAAAGACAUCCGGAAACUCAUCCACUACCACAUUCUGAGGAUCAACAUCAUCAUUCAGUUGGUUCACCUUAGCUGUGAGUGGUGUUUGCACUGUUAUAUCAACACUGAUUCGUUCUCCCUUUGGUGUUGUCAGAGCCACUACUCUCUCCUUGCACUUAAUAUCUAUGUCAUAUUGCUUCAUCCAAUCCAAACCCAAGAUCACAUCUAUGCCUGAAGUUCUCAUAACCAUGGGACUGAUUGGAAAAUCUACCCCCUUAAAGAGAGACUUGCUGAGGGGCAACAUAACGAAACUGGUAUAGUCCCACCCGGUGAAUUUACUAGCAUAGGGGUUUUCAUUGCAACUAGUGGAAUGCUAUGAACUCUAACAAAUGCUUGUGAUAUGAAUGUAUGCGAAGCUCCAGAAUCAAAUAAAACUGUAGCAGGGAUAGAGUUGAUGCUGAACGUACCCGUCAUGAUUUCUGGUCCCUCGUGAACUGUUUCCGCUGCCACGUUGUUCACCUUUGCUGAAUUAGGAGUGGAUCUCCGGUCGUUGUUCUGUGGAUUAAACUUUUCUGGGCAAUCAUAGGACAUAUGUCCUUCCUUCCCACAAUGGAAGCUCCUUGUAGGAGUGUUAGAAACACUUCUUUUCAUGGAGGUAGCAUUUGAAUUCCCUGAGCGAGGUGUCUGCUGACCAUGUUACUGUUUAUUAUGGUUACGUUGUUGGAAUGGAGGACGUUGGUUCCCACUUUGUGAUUGAUUCUGGAAACGCUGGGGAUGUUGGUUGUGGUUCCACUGACUAACUGGUCCCUGGAACCUCUGCUGAUAGCCUUGCUGAGAACUGAAACGCUGACGGUUGUUACUUCCAGAACCUUGUGCCAGCAUCCUUCUCUUCUUAUCCUGACCCUUACGCAUAUUAUCUAGCACGAUAGCACGAUUCACCAGGGCUUGAAAGGUAGGAUAAGUGUUUCCUGCUAACUGCAACCUGAGCUCGUAGUAAAGACCUUUCAUGAACAGACACUGCUUAUCAGCAUCUUUCCUGACCUCGUUCGGAGCAUAGCGAGCCAACUGUUCAAACGUGUCAUGAUAUUCUGCCACAGUCAUGGAGCCUAUCCUGAGAGAUCUGAAUUCUUCUUUCUUGAGCUCCAUCAUUCCCUCAUUUAUAUGUCGAGCUCUGAAAUCUCUACAAAAUUCCAGCCAUGUGACAGGAGGAGCAUUGUUGGGACGAGCAGCUUGAUAUGACUCCCACCAUGUCUGAGCUGCCCCCUGAAGCUGUCCAGAAGCAUACAACACCUUCUCCAAGUCAUUGCACUGGGCUAUGUUCAGUUGCCUCUCCACGGCACGUAACCAAUCAUCUGCCUCCAUAGGAUCAGCUGAGUGUGUAAUUACUGGAGGUCUUCCCUUUAUAAACUCCCCACGCUUAUCCCUCACAUGAACAGGUGGUGGUGUCGGUGGAGGUUGCUGCUGUAAGUGCUGCAUGAAGACGUGCAUCAUCUCAUUUUGGGUUUGCAUGAGUUCCUCCACAGUAAUUGGGGCAUUGCCACCAUUGCCAUUGCCAUUGCCACGGCCUCUGCCUCUGCCUCUUCCCCUUGCUGCCAUCUGCAUUCCAAGGUAUAUAAACACAUCUUAGUAAUGUCCAACAUGACAAUUACAAGAGUUAACAGAAUCUGAAAUUUUCUGGGGAACAUCCAACAUUAGCAGAUCAGAAAAUCAAUCAUAUCUCGAGUUUCAGAAUUCAAAAGGAUACAUGCUGUACACCGUUGGAAAGAUAAAGAAAUUUUCUACAACUUUCAUUUAGAUCAUAUUAACAGAUUCCAAAGUUAGGUUAAUCAAAAACUGGGUACAACCGAAACUGUUCCAGAAUUUUAGACUGCGCAGAAACCUCAACUUUAAACAGUCAUAACUCACAGCUCAUAAUAGAUAAUAUGGUCAUUCUUGCGGAAUUGGAAAGAUAUGAAAGUCUACUUGUUCCCAGAAAAAUUUGAUGAACGUUGCACGAACAGAAUUUGAUUUAUACUAGAAUCAAUGCAGACUGCUCCAGAAAACAGCAAAGGACAGAAACAGGAUAUGACCCCAAACCACUAUUUAUUCAUGUUCUUACUUAAGGUUCUUGACUAGGAAACUUGUGGAUAUGCCCACAAGGUUCCAGCACUCAUUACAAAAAUUCAAAUCAAGCAUAAGCAUAAUAACAAAUCAACCAAGCAUCAAAAGUUCACACUUCAAGCAUUGACUCAACUUGCGGUACUAACGUUCUCUUCCUAUUAAGGGCAAAGAUCCUAAAACUCCUAUUUCAAUGACGUUAGAAGGUGGUAAGAAAAAUUCUAAAAGCAUAUUCAAAGCAAAGAGUGGGGAUGAGAACAAAUCUUUAAAAUAAGCAACAAGGUGAAGAUGAAUAGCAAUGAAAGGAUAUAGUAUAGGAGAAAAUAUCAAGGUUUAUAGAACAAGGAUUUUGUAGCAAUUUCAAAACCUUAAGGCGGCCAAUUUCUAACUAGACUUGCGUCCGACAGUCAACAAAGCUUUGAUACCAAUUUGUCACACCCAUAUUUUAAGAACAAAAUAGGAUGCAUAAAAGACUCAUAUGUGCCCCAGAAACAGUCGCACACAUAAGUAGACAAAUCUCAAAUGUAUCAUUGCAGUGUUUAUUACAUAGCGGAACAUAAUAAAUCACAUAGUCUUAUCCAUAAAUGAUAGCAAGAAGUAAACAACGCUCUCGACGGAAGCACCACACAGGGACACUGUUGACCGGUUCACUCCAAACCUAGUACUCAUAACGGUAGUCCUCAUUCCAAUCAUCAUCAUUAGCAUAACCUGAGGUGUUGGAGAAUUGCAAGAGUGAGCACAUAUCGUACUCAACAAGUAUAACCAGGGGUUCAUGAGGCUCAAACAGCUGACACUGGUUUGACUGCAUUUAGCUUUUAAUAGUGGAUAACAUAUUUAAUCAUUGGAUAGCAAAUAUCAAGGUAGCAUAAGUAAUCCCAUAACCACAUGAUCAAUUGUAAACAAGAAUUAAGAAUAACACAUAUAAACAACAUAAUAAACCAUCAUUUAUUAUCAUUAUUCACGUUCAUCAGUGUCCAUCUAUUCUGUCAGUUUUCCGGGCCGUCCGUAUCCGUGGGCACGACUAGUAUACCAGAUUUAACACUCUGCAGAGGUUGUACAUCUUUACCCAUGAGUCAUGAUUUACCCUUUCGCCCGAGGUAGCUAAUCUCUUAACCCCCUUCCUAGGGAGGUCGGCAGGGAUCACUAUGAAGCCUUUCAAAAGUUCGUCUAACAUGUUAGGGCCGCAAGGUUUCCUUCGCGAGCAGAUAUAGAUACCCCCCUUCCGAAUGGCACAAUGACGCGCAGCCUAUACACAUAAGGACAGGGGCUCGCACUAUAUCCGUGUCGGUUCAGCCCCUCUAGCGCCCUUUCGGGUAACCGCUAACAAGCUAGAAAAGUUCUUCAUACUGAGCUAAAGCCAGAGCCAUAUAGCCCUCAUGGUUGUACGAAUUGUCCCUGCUUUUGCCAAGGGAUAAGUCCUUAUGGAGGGUCAAGAUCAAUCUAGCAAAAGUCAGAGUUCUUUCCACCCUUUAUAUUCAAGUUGCUAGAAAGCUUAUUUUAUUUUUUAUUGUAUAUUCAAAUAUUCAUGUUACAAGAUCAUGGAUUAAUAAUCAAGCACUAGCAAGAACUACCCAAAUGCAUAUCCAAAUAGGUAUCAAGGAAUUUAGGAUAACAAUCAUCUAUGAUUUUGCUAAGGUCAUCGAGGUGGACACAUGCAUAUGAUAAAUAUUGUAUUAAGUGUGUAUAGGUAACAAGGAUAGUCCCAAAUUAUACUUGCCUUGAUCAAAGCUCUCCUGAGCCUGCUGGUCUUCAAAUGCUUGAUCUUGAGCACCAACGUACGGCUCACCGUCUAAUCCCAAUCAUCAAUCAACAACACACAGUCCAAUGUAGACAAUCAUACAUGAAGCAAACAAGCUAUUAUUAGAACAAUACACCAAACAGUAGUAAAACAAAUAUAAAAGUUUAUCAAAAUAUUCUACGCAGCGCUACGAUCACAUAAACGUAAAGUUCAAGAAAAUCGGAAUUAAAACGUAGAAGAUAUGAAUUUUCUAAGAUUUCCUAUAGAGAAAUAAUUAAUUAAAUGCUACUGCAGAAUUAAAAAGUUCCAAACCAGUGAACAAAUACUUUUAACCUGUAGAACUCGUAAAUACGAAUCUAACGAAAUUUGAAUGGACAAAAACGGAUUUAAAAUGAAUAUUUUAUGAGCAAAACAAAAUUAAUGGCAAACUUGUAAUUACUGGAAAACGUAUUUUUACGCUUUCAUAUCGUCAAAACGUAUUUACGAAAGGCGCCAAAGGGACUGCGGGUUCUAAUGCCAAAAACGAGAGGGGCUCUUUAGCGAAAACUCAUGUGAAACGUUAUUUUCUAAUCUGAGCCGUAGAUUUCCGAUUGGACGGCUCAGGACUCAUCCAGGCUGAGCACCGGCCGGCCGGCCGCCGGAGAAAGGCCCGACGCGGCGGCGCCAUGGAUGUUUCCCCCCGGAGCUCGCCGGUGAAUGUCGAUAUGGCGGUUCCGAGCACCAAACAACAACAUAAAUCCACCAGCACGCGGAGGAGCUUACCCUGAAUCCGUCUAGGGGCCUUACUCGAACUAGGAAGGAGCAGGAACAGCUCGUGGCGUAGAUUGGCGGACGGAGUUCUCCUGCGAGAGUUCGGCACCGAUGUGAGAAAGGUUUGGCACGGUAGGGAGUCUGGGGAGGGGCUCGGCACCUACUUCACCUCAGCGCAGAGCUCGGCACGGCCUUGGUCUUGUCCCUACGGCCACGAACCAGGAGUUCCACGGCGGCGGCGGUGAAACUCCUCGGUGAAGAUCCAACGGCGUCAGGGAGCAGCGGAGUCGGCCAAGAGCGCGUAAAGAUGGGAAAGAAAGUCUCAGGGGGUUCGCCAAGGCUAAAAAGGGGCUCGGGUAACCGAUUUGGCAAGGAAAUCGCGCCAAUUUUGAAGUCGGUUGGAGCCGGAUCCUGUUCGGCCCCGCUGGGGAUGAAGGAAGGGAAGCUGAGAGAGAGAGAGCUGACACGUGGGGCCCGGCUGGCGGUGAAAGAAGGCGUGGGGCCCGGCCGUCAGCGGAAGGGAGAAGGGGGCGCGCUUGCUGGGCUGGCUCGGGCUGUGAGACGAGCUGGGCCGCGGGGGAGGAAGCUGGGCCGCGCCCUGGCCGAAGCUGAUGCAGCUGCGCUGGGCUGGGGUUUUCCCCCUUUUCUUUUUAUUUUCUUUUUCAAAAGCAUUAUCACAAAUUGAAUUUUUGUGCACAAAUUAUUUCUAACCAAAAGCUAUCAAGCAAAACAUAAAAUAUGCUCCAGCAUGAAUGCACCAUCAAUGUUACUAAACCUAUGAUAAAUUUUAUUUUCCUAAAAAUUAUUUAUUCUCUAAAUUAAAUGCCCACAAAAAUAUUCAAAUAAAUCAAAUUAAAUCCUAUUAUUUGAAAAUCAAAUUUUGGGUGUUGCAUAGGUUCUGCCACCCACGUCCCUAGGAUUACGGAGACAUUUUAACUUUAGCCGAUCCACUCACCCCAAAUUCAAGGAACCGUCUUUGCGAUAGCCGAUCCACUUUCUCUAGGGGAUUAACUACACUCCGCUUCGACUUUCACUUACCCCAUUAUAAAUAAUACCAGACCUCCAAGGGUAAAAGCCACACAGCAAGAUUCACAUCUUCAACCUUUUGGUCUCUAAGCCCCUGCCUUCUCUCCUAGAAACCCUAAGCUUCCAAUGAAUAGCAGACAAUAGAGGCAAGUGUCCCGCAUCACCUUCCUCAUUUGAGGACAUGAACUCUGCUCAGCGUAGGCGUCUGGAUAGGUAUUCUGAUUAAUUGAGUUCUUUAAUUAGUUUCAUCUUGAUCAGCUGUUCAUCCCCUAUUCUUCUUGUAGCCUUGCCCCCCAAGUCAAUCCUGGGGUAGGCCUGAGCCAUCCUACUCCUGCUGCAUGAGCAUCCUCUCUGCCCCUGGUGGCAGUAGUAUUUGAGGAGGCUGCUACAAGCCAGGCAGCCGAGGCAAGCCAGGUAGGCUCAGAGCCGGUUGCUGAUGAAGAUGCCGCCGGUUACGAUGCCGUCUUUGGGCACGAGGACGCCUAGGGCUUCCUCCAGCGUCUUAGAGUAGCCCAGGACCUCAACUCCGAGGAGUGCAACACGUCCCACUGCCUCUAGGAACAGCUCAAUGCUCCAGAGGCGGCGUUAUCCAGCAUCGAGGGAUCCUUGGCCCAAACCAAGGAACAAUUAGCAGAGUUUGACUCUGUAGUUGUCAGUAAGUUCAUUCCCUCUGCAUUUUCAAUUGAUCAACUAAUCCACCGAUACAUCUGUUUGCUGAUCAUGAGGGCUGUACAAGCAGUUCAACACCCUCUCACCUACCAUCUUUGCGGUCACUGGGAUGGUGAACGCUUGCGGGGAGACCCAGGUGGAGCGCCUCCAGGAUGUGCCUGAUCGCGUCUGGGAGAUUGCGCUCCAUGGCGUCCGCUCAAGAGCAGCGGGCACGUUGGUAGCUGCCUAGCUCCGCCAUGGAGCCCAACUCUUGGAGCACCUUGCUCUGGACUUCGUCGAGGAAUGCAACGACGGAGACUUUGACGAGCUGGUGGAGGAGUUCGCCCCCUGCGCCGAUGCUAUGGCGCAGGUCUCAUCAUCGGCAGACAUCAUCAGGCGUGUCUUCGAUGAUGAGGAUUAGUUUUAGUUUUUUUAUUUUAAUCAAUGUAAAAACUCCACUAGAUGAAUCAAGAACACUGCCCUUGAGGCAAUUUAUCUUAUUUUGUGUUUGCUGAUUUAUUAUCUUCUAUUUUUCUGUGAUAUUGCCAAUCGAGACAACUAUUAACAUAAUCCUGUAUGAGAAAAGCUUCUCUGUGUUCCUGAUUUUUGUGCUAAAGGAGAUAUCUGUGAUAUCGGCUAUAAAAUUAUAGUUUUGAACACUGAAUAUAACAACUGCAUCGACUCCCUUAACUUUCCAAAAACUCUAAUUUCAAAAUAGAAGGCGAUAAUCACUGUAUUGGCUAUAUUCUGAAUGCUCUAGUACUCUGAAUUUUUAUGCUAAAGGUGACACUUAGUGUAUCGGCUAUCAAAAUACUUCUCUGUGCAACUUGAUCAACUAAAGCAAAUCAACCCAGACACUAGGGUAAUACUUCUUAAAAUAUUUUCCAUUAACAGCUCUGGAAUACUCUUCUCCUUCCAAAGUCUCGUAAAAAUAAGCAUUUCCAAGAGCAACCCUAGUAAUCCGAUAUGGUCCUUCCCAAUGAGGUGACCACUUGCCAAAUUUGCUAUCUUUAGAUCCAAUCAGCAAAAUUACCUUCCAAACUAGUUCACCUUCACUGAAUCUUCUUUCACGCACUUUUUGGUUAUAAAACUUGGUAAUUCUAAUUUUAUUAGCUCUAAUAUUUUCUAAAGCCUUUAGCCGAUGGAAAUUCAAAUCAUCUAGAUUGUCCAACAUAAGACUCUUGUAAUCAUUGGCUAUCAAUUUGUCUUGCUGUGAUAUCCUUCGAGAUCCCAUACUAAUCUCCCAUUGCAAUAUAGCUUCAUGUCCACAAACCAAUUCAUAAGGUGAGCACUUAGUCGAUCCAUGACAAGUCAUCCUAUAAGACUAGUGAGUUUCACUAAGUAUUGAAUGCCACUUCCUCGGAUUUUCUCUGAUCUUUUUCUUAAUGAUCUUAGUAAGAAUCUGAUUAGAAGCUUCUGCUUGUCCAUUAGUUUGGGAAUAAUAAGGAGAUAAAUUAAUCAACUUAAAACCUGUAUUGGCAACAAAGUCUUCAAACUCUUUAGAUGUAAACAUCUUCCCUUGAUCAUUUGUAAUAGACUGAGGUACUCUAGAUCUGUAAAUAAUAUGUUCUUGGAUGAACUCAAUCACAUUAGCCGAUGAUGCUACUUUUAAAGGAAUAGCUUCCACCCAUUUAGUAAAAUAAUCUAUUGCUACCAAUACAAAUUUAUGUCCCUUGAUGAUGGAAAUAUUUGGCCAAUUAGAUCUAUUUCCCGACCUCUAAAUGGUCAUGGUUUCACAAUAGGAUUCAUAGCCGAUGCUGGAGAUUUCUAAAUAUUGCCAAAAUUUUGACAUUCUUGACAUUCUUUAUAAUAUUUGAAACAAUCCUUCAACAUGGUCGGCCAAAAAUAACUUGCUCUUCGAAUCACCCACUUCAUCUUAUGAGCAGAUUGAUGGGCACCAUAAACUCGUUCAUUAAUCUCUCCCAUCAAAACCUUAGCUUCUUCUUUGUUAAGACACUUAAGGAGCACAUCAUCAACUGUUCUAUGAUAUAGCUGAUCACCAAGAAGAACAAAUUUAAGAGCUUUAUACCUCAAUUUCCUAGGUACUCGUCAUGAUAGAUUUUUCAAAUAUUUGAUAAUAUCUUUCCUCCAAUCUCCAUCAACAAUAACUUCAUCGGCUAAAAUUUCAAUAAUUUGCCGAUUCAUAGAAGCACUUUGAGCUAGUCGAUUAGCCUCUUGGUUCUGAUUCCUGGGGAUAUGCUUCAUAAUAACAAAAGAAAAGAAUUAAGAAGUUCUCGACAUUCUUCAUAUCCUCAGGACGUCAUCUCGGCCUUUACUUCAUAUAAAAGUUGAAGUAAUUGAUUAAUUACUAAUUGAGAAUCACCAAAAACUUCAAUACUCUCGGCCUUUACUUCAUAUAAAAGUUGAAUACCUUUAAGAACAGCUUCAUACUAUGCUUGAUUAUUAGUAGAUGUCGGUUUUAUGGGAAUACCACAUUCAAAACUCAGCCCUUGUGGAGAAAUCAACACAAUACCGACACCCCCUCCUUGCUUACAAGUAGAUCAUAAAAGAAUAAAGCCCAAGGGGUAAAUUCCAACAAUGUUACCUCCCCUCUUCGAUGAUGAGUAAUGAAAUCAGCUAUAGCUUGACUUUUAACUGCCUUAGCCGAUUCAUAUCUCAAAUCAAAUUUUGAUAAUGUAAGAAUCCACAUACCAAUCCUCCCAUUCAAAAUAGGCAUAGAUAGCAUAUGUUUGUUCACAUUAAACUUAGACACUACUGUGCACUCCGAAGACAACAAAUAAUGCCAAUGUUUUGUACAUGAAAAAUACAAACAUAAACAUAUCUUUUCAAUGGGAGAAUAUCUAGCUUUUGGAUCCAUCAAUCUUCUACUUAAAUAGAAGAUAACUCUCUCUUUUCCUUCAAUUUUUUGCAUUAAAGCCGAUCCAAUAGUAUGGUCAUCGGCUGCUACGUACAACUUAAAAUGCUUUCCCUUGUGACGAGGGACUAAAUCUGGUGGAGACUUCAUAUAUUCCUUAAUCUCUUCAAAUGCCUUUUGUUGUUCGUUCCCCCAAAUAAAUUCUUGAUCACUCUUCAAUUUGAACAAUGCAGAGACUGACAAAAUCUUAGCUGAUAAGUUUAAAGUAAACCUCCUAACAAAAUUAAAUUUGCUGAUCAAAGAUUGCAACUCAGUUUUUGAAGUUGGAGGUACUGUCUUACUAAUUGCCUCAAAACUCUUCGGCCCAACUUCAAUCCCUUUUUCAUGUACCAUGAAACCCAAGAACUGCCCUGCUAAAACUCCAAAGGCACACUUAUGUGGAUUCAUCCUCAAUCCAUGCUUUCUGGCACACAUAAGAAUUUUCUUGAGAUCUUCCAAAUGUUCUUAAUAACCCUUGGAUUGUACAACUACAUCAUGUAUAUAAACAACAAUCUUGCCGAUCAACUCAUGAAAAAUAUAUUCAUUGCUCUUUGAUAAGUUGCACCGGCAUUCUUGAGUCCAAAAGUCAUAACUACCCACUCAUAUAAACCCAAUGCACCAAGACAUCUAAAAGAAGUUUUAUGAAUAUCCUCUUCUGCCAUGAAUAUCUGAUUAUAUCCAGCAUUACCAUCCAUAAAACUAAUCACUUUAUGUCCUACUGCUGCAUCGACUAACAUAUCGGCAACAGCUAUAGGAUAACUAUCCAUAGGGGUAGCUUUAUUUAAAUCUCUAAAAUCAAUGCAGACUCUUACUUUACCAUUUUUCUUAUACAUAGGAACCACACUAGAAAUUCAUUCAGCACAUCGACACUACCGAAUGAAUUUUGCUUCAUAUAAUUGAGAGAUUUUUACUUUAACAUUGGUCAUUACCUCUGGUUUAAUCCUUCUUGGAGCUUGCUUAAAGGGUCGAUACCCAGGUUUAAUUGGUAGCCGAUGUUCAACUAACUUUCUAUCAAGACCAGGAAUUUCAUAAUACUCCCAAGCAAAACAAUCUUUAUAUUCUUUCAACAGAGCUAUUAAUUCUUGUUUGUACCCAGGAUCUAAUUUAGCACUUACAUAUGUCGGCCUAGGCUUAUCACCAUCACCUAUAUUCUAUUGCCUCUAACUCAUCGGCCGACAUGAAUCCUUUGCCCAUCUUGGCUUCAUCUUCAUCAACUAAAGAAUCCAACAAUUAAAACUCUGAGAGCCGAUUGCUUGUAUCCGCUGUUGAUUAUCAUCAAACACUUUGAUGACAUCUCCUUCAUAGACUUUUUCAGGAAAACACUCCAUGCCUUCAAAAUUCCACUCAUCUAUUCCAGCAUAAGAAAUACUAACAGAAGAAUUAGCUGGAACAAUUUCAACAUCAUCUCCAAUCCAUUGAAUUAAACUCUGAUGCAUGGUGGAUGGAAUACAACAACUAACAUGAAUCCAAUCUCUUCCUAAGAGCAAACUAUAUGUGCUUUUAGCAUCAACCACAAAGAAAGUAGUAGGCAAGCUCUUACUACCAACUAUCAAUUCCACACAUAUAACACCUUUGGUUACUGAAAUGUUGCCACUGAAAUCCGUCAAUCUCAUAUUAGUCGUUGGACAUAAAUCUUCUAUCCUUUUACCGAGCUUUCUGAAUAUAAAAUAUAGCAUCAGAUUGACAGUUGCACCUCCAUGGACUAACAUCUUGGUCAAUGGCUUCCCAUCGAUAAACCCUUUGAGAUAUAAUGCCUUUAGAUGCAAAUGUUUCUCAGGUGGUUGCACUUUCUGCUUGACAAACCUAUUGAUCCAUAGAUAUUUCUUCAUCUGAUUCUAUCAUCAUCAUUGGAUCUAAAUUCAGCAAUCAACAUAAAAAUAGUAGAAAUCUCAGUUGAUGCCUUACCUUUGACUUUAUCAAUUGUUUGUUUAACUUGCCAUACUUUAUGUCUCUUUUGAUGCAAUUCAUCAUUUCUCAGACGUUGAACUCUCCUCUUCUAGCUUCUGGAAAGUCCACUAGGGCACCACUAAUUUUCCUGCCAAUCGUAUUCUAUAUCAACUAUUCUCUGUUCAGCUAUUUUUGUUGUGAGCCGAUCAUGAACACUCUCUAUUUUUACACGCCGACUUGUUCUUUCAAAAUUCAAUCUUUCAUGUACAAGUCGGAGGUUGACCUUUUCCUCAUGAUACUUCCAAUACUGAUCACUACAUUUAGGGCAAUUAUUGAGAGUUGGCAACUUCAGGCCUUCAUUCCAGCAAUGUUGGAAGAAAGGACAGUUCCAAUGAUACUCAUUUUCUUCUUGAAUUCUCCUUCUUUCAUAUUCCUCUUGAUACCUCCAAUAAUCUCUUUCUUGAUGCAUUUGUUAUGUUUCUUUCUACCUUUGCCAUUUAUUCAACAAAAUUCUGACAGUGGGACGUCUGCGCAUCUCACCACUUUUGGAGGUUUCUAGAAUAUCUAACUGACUAAUUUGUCGAUCUUGUUUCUCUUUCAUCUUUUGAUAUUCAAUAGUUGAAAUUUUUCUUAUAGAAUCUACUACCUUAGCUUCCUUGGCUCUUUCAGAAGUAAGCACCUUGAACUUCCCCCUUGGAAAAGAAGAAGCAACCAUAUUUGCUAGAAAAGGGAUGUCCUUCUAUACCCAUACCACCUUUAGCUUUCUCUAGCCCAAUUUUCUCUUUGUUGAUAGCUUGCUGGAUAAUAUCUCUCAAAACUUUGCAAUCAUUGGUGUUAUGAGUAUUGGAACUAUGGUAUUUACAAUACCUCUUCUUCUUAAGCUCCUCAGCCGAAGGGAUCCUAUGAUUUCCUGUCAGCUUAAUUUGCCCUUUCUCCAACAAAUAAUCAAAGAUUUUGUCAGCCUUGGUGAUGUCAAAGUUGAAUUUCUUCUUUUCUUCUUCUGUUGACUUGUUCUUGGCCCAUGGUAUAUAUUCAGAAUAUUUCCACACCCAAUCUAUAGCGACUACUUCAUCACUUUCAACUUUUUCAUCACUGCUAUCGACUAACUCUAGGUCAGACUCAUAGCCAACAUUAUUUACCUUCUGAGGCCUAUCAAAGCGUGCAUACUUAAACUGAGUUUCCAUGCUAGAUAAUUUUCUAGCCAAAAUAGCUAAAUUGGGACAAUCAAACCCAAUCUUCUCCUUGAUAGCUGGUAUUAGCCCUCGAAUUGUAAUGCUAACCAACUCUGUCUCUAAUAGUGUCAAAGUAUAGCAUUGAUUCAUGACUUCUUUAAACCUCUACAAAAAAUGAAAUGCAGACUCAUUGUGUCGAGGAUACCAAUAAGAGGUAUCCCAACCGACACUCAUAACGAGAGGACUUAUAAGCAAAUCGAGACUCUAACUCGACGCCCUGGCUUACGUACAUAAUCGCCAGAGCUCGAUGUCGACCAUGGCCUCGAACGCGGGAGCAGGGUCUUACGAACCAACGGGGGGUCGACUAGCAGCCACCGUCGAAUACGGAAGUGGCUCGAGCGAAUCGAUAGAACUCGAACGCAAGAGCGCCAUUCACCGCCAGUCACGAGUACGGGAGCCAGGGCAUUUAAUGUGUCUGCCCUGCUCCCACCUAACCCGACAGUCAUGGGAAACGUGAUAGGGAAGAAGCACCCGUCAAAUCUCUACUUUUCCCAGCUUUAUCCCCCAAAAUGGACAAAAGUACAACUCAGUACAGUACGACAGACGUGAUAUCCCAUCGUAGUGCCCCUCGAGGCACCCCAAAGCCGGCAUUCCCACAACAAAGCCACCCGUAUGUCCGACCCUCGAGCAGGUACGUCCCUUCUUAGGGAAGGAUCGGGCGACGAAGUCAGCGCUCCAACAACCCUAGACGUGACUAGUGCCGCGACGUACAAGCGCGCUUACGUCCGAGCCAAUCCAAGACCAUACACAGGUGUUGAAUCCAGAAGUGCACGCGCCAUCAUCACCAGAGUACACUGCAACAAGACGGCUCGAGGUCACGCCAGUACGGAAGCCUCGAGCGAGUCAACGCUCCAUACCCCUAUCGAGACAUAUACUAAUACCUAUAUCCUGUAACCUAGGUGUCCCCUUGGAACUAUAAAAGGGGACGCUAGGAAGAGAUAUGGGGGUACAAAGAACUCGUAGAAUACAACCCUCACACACCACCACCGGCCAAGACUUAGAGCUCUUGGGUACACCAACUUGUAUUCACCCCUGUACAAGCACUUAGGUCCAAGAUAAUACAAAAUCCCCUCCCCCGCUGGACGUAGGGCCUUCUCUUGCCUGAACUAGGAUAAACCAUCGUGUCACUCUUGCAUCACCAUACGGAAGAGGGAGCAUGCACACAAAUUCACUCGUUGGUGUAACACCCUGGGGUCAAAACACCGACAAUUGGCGCGCUAGGUAGGGGUCCUACGUGUUACCACCGAUUUCCCAUCUCCUUCCGGAUGGCCACUCUCGUCUCCCCGAUCCCGCGCUCCAUGCUGAUUUGGUUUGGGAGCCUCGAGUUCAUGUCCACCGGCUCUGGCUAUGACAUGAUCUUGCUCUCGAUCCAAGGACCUGGAGGGGCUCGUAUCAUGCCCACGCGAUCAAAGGCUCCGAGACGGCCUCGCCACCACGCUUCCCCGCCUAAGAGGAGGCAUGGGCAGCGUCGCCACCACCCCACCGCCGCUGCACGAUCACCACUUCAUGUGAGGUGGGCAGCGGAGCAGGAGCCAACGGCCCCAUGCGCCAAGGCCACGGGUACGACAACCCAGCAUUAAGAUGGCCGCGCGGCAAUGUCAAGCAGUAGCAUGCCUCGUUCACCCUCACCCCCGUCCGCGCUGUUACCACACGGCCUGUUUACCGCUAGGAGGACAAACCUGUUCGGCUUGGACAACGCAGCGACGUCGCUCGCUAGGACGAUAUGCCCAGGCACCAAGACGUACAUAGAGCAACCACUGGUCCUCCCGUGCGACGCUGAGACACGGCAGCAAGCUCAUCCAACGGCCGAGCAGCCAGAUUUUUCACAAGUGCCUGGGCUCCGACGCCUAGGACCCGGACGGUACACCAUCACCUCACGCAGGCAGCAGUUGGUAGAGGAGGGACGCGGAUGCUUCUACACCGCUGAGCUAGAUCCCGACUCCAAAUCCGACAGCUACGAUCCUGUUGACGGUCCUUAAUACUCACAUUUAACCGUCAACUGAUCAUGGAAAAGGAUCCAAAUGCAACCGACACCUAGACUAAGGGUUUUAUCUGACAGAAUUCCACGAGUUUUGGUGUUUGUCUAUUUCUACAGGAGGUUAUCAGGAAAUAUGGAGGAAAGGCCCACACGUCGGGUUUACAUAAAGAUAUUAACGUGUGCGCCAAUUUUCUAUCAUCUAGAAGACUCCAGAAGCCACGUUGAACGAACGGGAGGUCGACUGGGCCUAGGGGCAGGGCGCCCGCCCUCCCCCUUGGGCGCUCACCCUGCCCUGGUGACCAAUCAGGGCAGGUCUCGCGGAUCGUGCUCCACCGCCUUUGAGGAUCAAGGAAAACCGUGCGAUUAAGGUCGGUUUGAUCCGACGGCCCACGUUCAUUUGGAAGGGCUAUAUAAGCAGGCCCCCUGGCCCCUGGAGAACAUACCUCUUCUACAGAAUUAAAGCUAGGGUUUCAAUUAUUCAUCCAAGUAGAGAGGAUCCCUCUAGUUCAUCUAGUUCUAGUUGUAGUUCAUCUAGUUCUAGUUCUAGUUAGUUCUAGUUGUAAUCUAGAAAAUAGGGAGAGAGAAGAGGAGUGCGGAGGAGGAGCCGGAUCUGUCGGAUCUUCUUCAACAUUAUACUUUUGCAGCAACUGUUUCGUUCUUCAUCGUUCUCCAAGUUCUUCAAUUCAUAAUUCCUGAGUUAUUUAAUUACUUUUAUUUACAUUCAAGUUAUUUAUUGGAUUCCCGCUUGCAUCAAGUGCUCUAGUCUUUGAAACGCUAGAGUAGUAAUUAAUAGAUUAGACAUGGUGUUUAGUCUUGCAAUUACCUGGAAUUACACCCAAUCCUACGGAUUGUUGUGGUAGCCCUAGGGUAGUGACAGCCCUAACGGUCGACGUAUUCCACCUCGUUCGGAUCAAUGUUUGUAGGACCGAAGUCAGAGCUGCCUAGCCCCCUUCUCAUAUCUUUCUGUGGUUAGUGUUACGAUGUCCCGAAAUAAAUAAUCUUUGAAGUAAUUCUUGAUUCAUAGAUCAACUAGAGAACUCUCAGGAAACUUCCUCUCUUCCCACUAAUAAUAAUUAUAUAGUUAUCCUUGGGCGAUCUUGAAUCUUAAUUAGUACACUCAUGUUCCCUGUGGAAAAACGUUACUCUAGAAUACUCCCGGGUGAAAGCUACAUCGGUAUCCGUGCGCUUGCAGAUUUUUCUGUUUGCGUUUAAAAUACCCAACAAGCUUUCUGGCACCGUUGCCGGGGAACGGUAGUUGUGCUAGUUUCGAACCAAGUCGUCCGUGUAUCCUUUUUAUUUUUUACCACACUCACCUUACCAUUUUCACCACACCACAUGGAUUUCACUCCAAACAUUAAUGAGCAUGGAAUUUAUUUCAUAGCCACUUCGUUUACUCCAUGCUCAUAUGCAACAUCUUCCCAAUCUAUUGGUCUCUCCAACAUCACCACAUUUGAGAUCUCCAACCCCCUCUUCCUUUCUAUUUAUAAAAACUUUAAAAGGGCGGUUGUUGAUGCAUAUGACUAUAAUAAAUAUUGCAGAUCUCGUUGAGUUGAUCUUGAUUUAGGUCAGCGUUGGAGCAGAAACCACUUCGUCGACAUAAAUUGAUGGUUUCCCAAUGACAAGCUUAGUGUCCUAAAAUAAGCACUGAUCAGAUUGUAACAUGAGCUUUUAAUUAUUUGCAACAUUACCUUGUGUAUUGAGCAUAUAAGGAUAAUUGUAAAAAAUUCCUUCGGGUAUUCUUAUCACCAACCUUUCCAGAAUUGGAGCAAGAAGAUCGGAUGAAUGACAAGCACAAGGUAUGUCCAACCAAUCUUGAAUUUUGCAAAAUUCAAGCUUGGGGGAGUACAUUACAUAAAAACAUCCUUUGUGAUGUUGCUAUGUUGGUUGUCCCUGGACCUUUGAGACAUGCUCACUUUGUUAAAUACUAAUCACACUACUUCAUCUCCACUUGAGUAGAUCUCUAUAAAUGCUCUCAUGCUACCUUUAUUUGCUUUAGUGUAUGCUUAGGUUUGGAGUAGUUUCAUUUAUCUCUUAAUUAAGCAUGGUGCUUAGUUAAGAAUGAUGAUCUUACUUCCAAGGGAUUUUAAAUUAAGCAUGGUGCUUAGGUUAAAAUGCCCUCCUAAAUCAAAUUAGACACGGUGUCUAGGUUGAUUUUUGAGCCGAUAGUAUGCUAUAGUAGAUAUUGGAUAUUUUGUUAGACUAACCCCUGCAGGAAAACUUUCAAUAUCGACCUGGGAAGUCCUGAGAUAAACUCACAUUGGAGACAAAGAGAGAGACACAUGGAGUUUAACAAUUUACACAAGGAAUACAUAGCUCAUAAGAGAUGAUCCAUGGGGGGUGCCACAAACACGAUGCAUAACCGCUAAGAAAGGAAAGCUUCCACAAAGUGAUACUGUACCAUCACUCUUCAAGUAAGGUAACAUCUUAAGGUACUUGACUAUCACUUUUAUAAGCUUAUCUUUGGUUCUGGCGUUUACAUGAAUAAAAGUGACAAACUUGUAUGAUUUACAUCUCUAGAUUAACAAACCCAAUCGAUUCAAUGUGUUUAGUCCUUCCACCGUUGUGAUCCCACACUCCUAAUCAUAUGAGCUAAAAUGUUGCACACGCAAUCUUUGGAAGAUAUAUAUAUAUAUAACAUAAAUAUAGAUAGAUUAUCUUUCUAUUAGGUUGAGCGAUCUGAUCUGACAAAUGUUUUAAAUGCUACACUCAUUGUAACACUCCUAGUGUUAGCUUGCAUGUUAACCAUGAGCAUUGCAUCAACAUAAGCAUCAUCAUGCUCAUUCAUAAGCAUCUAUCAUGAUCACAUGUCAUCUUAUGUAUACCAUGUAUGAUUGAAUUGCUUGUGUGACUUGAAUUGAGUAACUAUAAGGGGUAACCAAUGCAAAUAAAUGUACAUUGUCUUCCAAAAUACUUCAAUCAUGUCUAGAAUAUCAUUUGGAGCAAAGUCCAUGUUGAAGGUUUUGGCCAAAAAUGCCCCUAGGUUAGGGUUAAACCUAGAAUGGCUUGUUUUGACUCAUAGACCUCCUUUCAAAGAUAUUUUAUGAAAGUAAUGUUAGAGACUUUGCAUGUCUGUAGCACCUGAAGCAAAGUUGUAGAGAAUUUCAUAAGCUACAAAAGUUAUGUUGAUGACUUUUUAUGAAAAAGCUUAGAACAUAUCCAAAAAUUGCUCACAAGCCAAAAAUCAGGGCUGAUUUCAUACUUAGCCGAAUUUGGCUAAGUGUUGGAUCACGCAGUUUCGACCAAGGGUUGUUGGGAGCCUUGUAGUUUGAAAUCCAGACCGAGUUAGACUUUGGUCUUGAAAUCAAAGUUGUAGAGCUCGUGUAGCUCUGUCCAGAGGAUCAAAUCCCAGCCAAAACCACCGAUUGAGCUGAGGGUAAAACGUUGACAAAGUUCGAGUUUCAGUCACUGUUGGCGACGACUGAAUCACGCGAUUCAGUUUCGUCAGAAACGUCCGCCGCCGCGUGUCCGGCCAGGUGUCGGCCGUACGCCAUCGACGACCCCGCCUGUCAGCUCCCACGGCGUCUCCAAGUCGCCACGCACCGAGUGGACGCCUCAGACGCGCUUUCCACUCGCUCAGUGCCUCCCAUUUCGCUCUGCCGUCGCCUCAGGAAGCUCCGCCGCGCUUCGGCGAGCUCCUCCGGCCGUUCCACCGCGUCUCCGGCCAAGCCAGCCCGUCUAGAGCUCCGCCUUGACGUCCUCUUCCUCGACGUCCACCCCAUUGCCUUAGCCGAGCACCGGUGAGGUCACAUUGUCAUCUCCGUCGCGAGCUCCACCUCGCCGGAGUUCACAGAGAUCACCGAUAACGUGGCCAGACCUCUCUGGUUCACCUCUGGCCGUGAUUCUUCAUACUAUAGCUUCGCCUUGAGCUGCUCUUGCUCGUCCGCAACCUCUACCGCGUCGCCAUUGCCUGGAUCCGCCGGCGUAUCGCCGCGCAGCGCCGCCGCUCCGCCAUUCCCGACGGCGAGCACCCUAGAGUCCAGUAGAGCGUGCGUAAAGUAGGUCAACAGAGUCGCCUUGAUAAGAGGAACACGUAGUGCCCUUGGAUCCGGCCGAGACCUCGUCGUCAUUGAGCUUCGCCGGCGACGAGCAUCUCCGCUGUCCCCGUUUCACUGACGCGUGGGUCCCGGAUGUCAGCCUCUCUGUGUCACCCCCUCUGGUUCACUGUUGUGCAGAGCCAAAGCUGUUUUUGUAAAAUUCAUAUCUAGAGUUUUAGAGAUCCAAAUGUGGUGCUUCCAAUUUUUCUAGGUUCCAGCUCAAGCCUAGUUUUUAAUAAAAAUAUGAAACAUGCUAUGUUUUUUGCAGAAAUAAAUAGAUAUAAAUUAAUCUUGGUUUUUCAGUGGGUAAUUAUAUCUUGAGAUCUAGUGAUCUGCUGGCCAUGCAAAUUUAGGGAGUUGUUACUUAUGUUAUGAAUUGGCUCUGAUAAAUUUUUCAUGAUUUUUGGAAGUAUAGUUAAGAAGUUAAAAAUAAUUCUUGCUUAAAUAGGAGUUUCUUGUGAUAUUUUUAGUAAUUAAGUUAUAACUCCUUUUGUGAUGAAACUUGCUGAGUGUUGUACUUAUGUGUGGACAAAGCUAGGAAAAAUCUGAAAUCUGUUGUUUGACACAUUUUGAUAGGGUUUCACAUUUAUGCCUUGCAUGCCUUUACUAGCUUGUUAUUUUUAUACCUCACCAUGUGUAUGUGUAAAUGUUCUAAAAUUUUACAGUGAUCUUGUGUCAGCAUAGGUAGCUUGCUGUAAUUUUCUUAGGAUUUUUGGAACACUUUGAGUAUAUGUUCAUUAAAUCACCUUCAUAAUUAAAUAAAUGAAAAAGGUGAUGAUAGAAAUGAAUUUAGACCUUGCCAUGAUGUUUUCUAGUGUUUCUUAGUCAUGUUCUAUCUACUGGUGCAAUUGGAUUGUUCCCUUGAUACAUUCUUACUAUGUGUAAAAUAUUAUUUUAGCUAUUUUUGCCUUUCCUAGAGCAUUUCUGUACAGCUGAUGGCAAUUGAUUAAGAGCUAUGUGAAGAUUGUGUUUUCUGGGAAACUUGUCUACAACAAACUUGUAGCUAACUUACUGAUCUACUUCGUGUCCAAAUUUUAUGACAUUUGGUUGAGUAGUUUGAAAGUUAUGCAUAUUUCAAGUAGCUGCUACAAAGUGCUUGCUCUCUGGAAUUUCCAGAGCAGCCAGCCAACUUUGUAUGUUCUAGCCUAUUUCGGUUGGGAAUCAUACUGGGAUGUCUAAAAGUAAAUUGUAGACAAUUUGGUAAGCUUUCCAGAAAGUGCUUACUUGCUUAAUUUGGUUAAGUGAUACUCGAGUUAUAGCUGAAACUUGUGACUGGUUGGUUUGCCUACUAAACCAGUGACUGGGUAAGAGUAGCUAGGACUUGUUUAACUUGUCUAUUUAGUCUCUCUACCAGAAAAGAAGUAUGCAUUUACUUGUUAUUCCAUGACUCACUUAUUCUUAGAAGUUUAUGCUCAUGUUAUACCUUGUUUAUGUCCCUUUGGCUCUUCAUCAUGACAUCAUGCAUCAUAUGUGCAUUCUCUAUAUUCAUCUCCUUGUCAUGCAUACAUAGGUGUACCCAAGGGAGUAACGGUGCUGGAGUUCGAGCUGCCGGAGCCGGAAGGACAGCAAGGGGAACUACCUCAAGGAGUUGAGAAGGAGGAGGACUUGCCAGAGUGCCCUGACCACCGUCCCUCUACCUACGUUGAAGGCAAGCCCCGGAGCAUUAUAAGCCUCCUACUAUUUUGUUAAUUGUGUUCAGCUAUCAAUUGACUAUGGUUAUAUAUAUUGAUGCAUUAAGUGAUAGGCGUUGAUAUGACACCCUUGCUGCAUAAUGACUACCUUGUCCACCGCAUAUCUCACCAAAGUAGGUCCAGGAUCGAAGUACUACUUAGCCAUGCUUAGCUCGGUAGAAGCCAGGUGAUUUCCUGUCACCUGCGAGAGAUAGGUGGAUGAUGAUCACGGUUGGCUAUAUUUGCUAUCGUGGAAAUAACCAUGUGCUAAUAAUGAACUUGAGACCGGGCGGGAUGACGAUAGUGCAGCAACAAGGCAUGGAGGUCUUGGGUGUGAAUCUAUCCCCGUCUGUGUCGUUUAAGGACCGAAUCGCUGUACGUCCCCGUGUCAUGUUGAACGCAUGCCUAUCACUUAGUUGGCUGGAUAAGUCGUUCCGACCGCGAAGCCUACGAGUGCAUCUCCAGCGGGAUACCCCGUUCGGUUCAAGUGCACACCCCGGUUGGUAGCAAGGAUGUGCGGGGAGUGAAUGGCGUAAGACCGAGGUGUCAGGUUAGAGUCCUGACCCUGGCAGAUUGGCGGUCCCUGGGGUGCGGCGCCGUACGGACCCGCAAAUUGGUCCGGAGUUGUGCUAAAGGUGAUCUGAGCUGCCGUCAUGAAGUAUGCUUGGGUGAGUGUUAGGAAUACUCCUCCAGCUGGAUAGGAAUCGAUUCGAAUCGCCGUCUCUCCCGGAUAGUGAGAACUUGACUUGGGCAGCGGCAACGUAGAGCUCACUAAGCAAACAUAAUGGUUAUGAUGAGAAUGUUGAUAGCAAACUGAUAAUCCUGAUAUGGUUAUUAUUGAAAUGAUUAAUUACUCUAGUGUAUGCUUAGAACAGGUGCUAAUCUAGUGGAUAGCUGCUAAGUAAUGAACUUGCUGCUGAAAUAUGAAUAAAUGAAUUACUUACCACCAAGGCUUUUAUGCAAAAAGUGAGUCAAACCAGUCCACAAAGAUCAGCCUUGCAUACUCUUUGGUGUCACUUUAUUUCUGGUUUAUGACGGGUAAGCCUAGCUGAGUACAUUCUCAUACUCAGGGUUUUAUUUACCCUUGUUGCAGAUGAUGUCGUUUAUCACGGCUAUUGCGCUAACUGUCAUCACCCAGCUGCGGAUGAUGAGUAGAUCAUGGACGUGAUCACCUCCUUUAACUUCAGUUGUGCUUUUGUUGGGACUUGACCUUGGAACUGGCAUGUAUUAUAAACUGAGUUGGUGUUGCUUCAAAACUACUUUGUUUCCGCUACCGCUAUGGUUUGUAAUAACCUCCUUUAAACUCUGAUGUGAUGUAAAACUAUGUUCUGCGAUGGAUGUUGUAAUCUGUGAUGGUGAUGCUUGAUCAUGUACGAUCUUGGUUGUAUGUUGGUUGAAUCGAGGUCUUUUGAGAUUUCGUCGGACUACCGGGUUUAUAUGGGUUCAAGUCCAUUGGCUUGACUGCCUCUGUGGUCGCUAAUUCACUUGAAUUCUUAUAAAUUGGACGGUUCUGUUACACUCAUGAUCUUAUUAUCUAUCAACUUUGUCUUGCUCACUAUGCUUAAGGUUAGAGAAGAACAAAUACACUUUUGUUUCUGUUGGUGUUUUCCACCAACAGGGCCCAUGCACUUGAUCUCUGCCUUGUCUUUAUAAGUAGGUACACUUCGAGCAAAAUAUGAAGGAGUUUUACAACUCCCAGACUCCACCAAGUGAAGAAUCGGGAUCUACGAGCACAAACACACUGGAGAUACUGGACACUUAGGCAAUCACUGCCCUGAGAUGCUUGAGGACGUAAACUACAUCAACAACAACUACUACUACAACCGUCCUCAACAAAAUAAAGGUUGGAAACAACAGAGGCCUAACUACUCAGGUAAUUAUCAAGGUAAUAAUUCAUACAAUAAUAAUAAUAAUAAUAAUAAUAAUAAUAAUAAUUUUCUACCUCUGAGAGACUUAGUGUCUAAUCAAGGAAAGCUAAUGGAUAACCUAUCUAAGAAAUUGGCAUCUAAUGAUAAAAUGUUAGAAAAUAUAAAUAAUAGAAUGGAUAACUUCUCUACUGCCAUCAAGAAUCAAAUUAGCUUUAAUAAAAUGAUUGAAUCUCAGUUAUAUCAAAUAGCUGCUGCUGUUCCUGCUACUAACCCCGGUAUACCAUCACAACCGGAAGGAUUAGAAUCUGCAAAUCUUGUAGACAUGUUUGAUGCAGGUAACUACUGGAGUAACCCCAUUGUGGAAGUAAUUACUGACCUUCUGCCGGUCAAGAGAGGCGAUCCAGGACGCCCCGUCAUUCCGAUCUCCAUCGGCAUGGUGGACUUCCCAGAAGCACUCUGCAACUUUGGCUCCAGCGUCAACAUUAUGCCCAGGGUACUCUAUGAAAAAUUCUUUACACAUCCUUUACUAGAAAUGUCACACCCCAAAAUUCCUACUUUGGGAUGUGACUUAGAAAACACUAAAAACAAAACCAAAUACUUUAUUAUUUUAUAAAAUGUUCAAACUUUAGUUAUGUUGUCGAUAUUUUAGAUGGUGAAAAAUGUGGGUUUCUAAAUUUUUUUUGCAAAUCAACUUAGUGAUUUGUUGCAUUCAUGCCGUUGCAUAGUGUUUAAAUGAUUUUAUUUGUUUUCAAAUAUGCUUAGCGUUUAACCUCAAUCUCAUCUUUCCAAAUAUCAUCUUCAAUCUCUAAAACUCUUAUCAAGUACUUCGCCGAGAAUCCUACUAAAACCCUAGCCUAACUCUCUCCCUCUGUUACUUUGCUCUUCCUUUUCGGGCUUCUACUUAUUUUUUUAUCAAGUCUUCCCAACCCCCUAUAUCUACGUUAUAUGACCAAUCGUUGUCUCUCUUCUCUUUCACACAAUUCUAUCAUUACUUUGAUCAUGUCAAAGCAAUCACUUGUAAAUGUUAGGACAACCGUCACAAUCAAUCCUAGCCAAUCAACAUAUCAACUUUCUCCUUUCUGGACCAAAUUCUAAGGGUUGAACUUAUUCCAAAAUUAUGUCGACUUUCGCUCAUAAUCCUUAUCAUUGCCUAUAUGGAGCCAAAACAUAAUCUAACUCUUAUAUGUCUCCUUUCACCAACGAUCCGAUUCAAGUGAGCAGCCCAAUUCUUCAUCUCACUAAUGGUCUCCAUCCUUUUCUCUUUAUCACCAUCAAUAAUAGCCAACAUGCACCUCUUUGCCAAUGGGCUUAGUGCUCCCUCUUCCUCUCGUCUUGUGGCAAGACUAACUCAGCCAACACUCUUCUCUCCUCCCACCCCUUGGCCCAGCUCUCUUUUUUCUCCUGUGAAAACAUGAGCUGCAUCUUCUCUGAUAAUGCAUGGAAUCAACACCAUAAAUCACUUUUAGUGUUCCUCUAUUGAAUUGUGCAAUUAAAAGAUCAGUAGCAGCAGCAUAUGUCCCUAUGGCGCAUCCUCCUCCUCUCACGUAAAAAUAGUAGUAUCUAAUGCAGUCUCAUCAAGUGCUCUAUUGCUAUUCAAUUGGAAGCAUGCAGAAAACAACUAGAACAUUCUCUCCUCCCUCCCCCUCACAUGAAAACAUCACUCCUUCCUCAAUGCCGAUCUUCACCUGGCCUCAUGCAAAUAAGAGCAGCAGCACUUAAUCCCUGACCACCUCCUUUGCAUGCCCAUCCUAUAUCUCUCCAUCAAUCACACAUUACUGCUUUGAUGGCUGAUGAAACAACAUGUAGCUUCCUCCUCUUCCUUCUCUUUCUGCAUGCACACAUGCAACAUAGAUGCACCUAUAUCUUCUCUUCUCCCUCCCUCCAUCACGCACAACAGAUGGAAACACAUCUACGAUCCCUUUUGGUCGCCAUCUCUCCAACCACAUGCAGCACUAAUACAAUUCCUCCUUAAACUCACCAUAGGCCAGUCACAUAUGCAUUAUUGCCUUGAUGGAAAAUCUCUCAGUCCUUCACGCCUCCUCCUAUCUCUCUCAUCCAAAAUAACAGCAGCCCAUAAUUCACCCUCAAUUCCCUUUACAGGCCCCUUUUAUUCCCCUUUACCACUCUCUAACUACAGGAUGAAAGGCUCAUGAAAACAACCAUGCAUCCUCCCCUCUCCCUCUGCAGAACAGAUGCACCUCCUCUCUCCCUCUCUCUCUGUCUCUCACUCCCUUCAUGUUCUGCACACACACAACAGAAGGACACCCCCAUGUCCUCUCUUUCCUCCACCAUGGGCGACCCCUGUUCUUCCCUCUAACUCCCUAUCCUUCCUCUCCAUCAAAACAGAAAGGAAACAUGGCUGCAAUUCCGUUUUGCCGCUUCCCUCAUCAUCACAGAGACCGAGCAAACCAUCAGGGAAGGAAGCUGUCACCGAUUCUUGCUACUGUAAGGUCGUUCUCCCUCCCUCCAUCUCUCUGUGUGGCCUACCCUUCAGCCCUCACCCAUCUCUCGAUCUCUCUCUCUCGCAAUACAGGAAUGCAACAAUUGAAAGAUCGCAGCUCGGUUGUCGAUAUCCCGCUGCAGUACACAACAUGUCACCGGCAAACCCCAUGGUUGCUUCUUCCCCAUCUUCCAUGGACGUCCCACCUCUUCCCCAACAUCCCUCUCCAUCAUCACCAUCAAAUUGGAGUGUCCUCGCUGCGACAAAUCCGUUUUGCUGCUGCAUGCCUCUCACCGUAUCAGAAUCCUAGAAUCCUUUGCAUGAUGCUGCGGUAAGUGUCAUGGCCUUCUCUAUUCUUCACUAAACUCAUGUUCAUAAUAAUGUCCCCUUUCUGUUUUGACCUCUCAAGGAAAAUCAUGGUGCCACAGCGCUUCAUGCAGAUCACCACAAUGUGUGUUGCCAUCUUCCCGAACCUACAAUAGCACCUCACUAAUCAUCUUUACCGCUGUUUCUGUCAGAACAUGGUGAGGCCACCCCUCUGAUGUUGCUGCUCUUGCACGUCUCAUUCAUCUCUUUGAUCUCGCUUGUGGUGUAGAUCAUCACUGAAAUGGAAAUUGGGUGCUGCUCCAUUGAUCGUAGGCCCUGUCGUCACAUGUCCACGCAGGCUACCUGUCAUCGUCCUCCUCUGUAUACAGCACAUGGUGAUGUCCAUGGUGAGACUACACCCUCUCCCCUAUUGUUUUCUAUCCUAGCCAUGAUCCAGCUCAUCAUUCACAACUCUUUCACAUAUCACAGAUCAUCUCUGAAAAGAAUCACCACCGUCCAGCAAUACUACCACUGAUGGCAACAACAUUCCCAUUGGUCCUUUGAGAUAUAUGUUAAAUCCUUGGAUUAACAUGUCCUUCAUAUACUUGCACGUGCUUCUGAAAAAUUUGGUGAGUAUAGGAUCCAAAAUGAAAGAGAUAUAAUCUUUUUCGUGCCCGCUGUCUCGGUUGUUCAACAGCACUGCAUCUCAGUGGUAGUGUUAUUCCCCAUUAACCGUUUAUCACAUAGUCAAACCCUUUUACCACAGAGUAGAUAUCAUUCCUGAGCACACCUCUGUAAGACGGUUUUGUCAUAGUAGUUGAGACACCAAAUAUAUCAUCAUCUUUGUGAACGCUAUCCCUGCAGUCCUGGCAGCUAGGCUGAUCUGAAUUUUAUUGGCGUUCCCCAUUAAUCUAAAAGCCCAAUCCUCAAACCCUUUGACCAUCUUGUGCCCCUUAACCUUGCAUACAAUUCUGCAAUUUGGUAUGUCCAUGAGUGCCACGGUGGCCGAGAUAUAAAUGCCACUGUCACUGCCACUCUUGCAGUCCAUCUAUCGGCAUCACAUCUGUUUUAUGAUCAUGUUUUCCGAACCAACUAUUACACAAAAGGACAUGACCUCUUCCCAAAACAUACCUCAUAGAGUACCCAGCAUCCCCACAAAAUGGAUCACCUUUUGGUUUGGUGAUAACCAUACAACCGCUGAUCAUACCUCCCACAAUCUGCCGACGUCCACGUUAUGGAUUGACCGGUGUUUUAUCGUGUUCCCCGCUAAACCCCUAUAUGAAUCACCAAGUCCACUUAAAUGAUGGUGUGUAUAUCAGGUGCACAUAUUUUCACCAAGUGUACUUACUAUACCUUUGGUGCAGCUCCAUAUUUUGGUGGGAAUAUUCCAGAAGCACUUCAUGUUGAUCUAGCAUCCACCGAUUUGCACACAUUUGUCACGAUGUGUUUCCAUUUAAUCACCGAACAUAUCCGAAAGCGCUCUCUCAUCCAUGUUAGAACAAUCACUCCCUCUUAUGCAAUCUAAUGCUUGUACCAUCUUAUAUUCACUUCACUAUGUUCUAUACAACUCAUUAUACACAACUCCAUAGUCAUCAAUAAUUCAUCUAUAAAUCCUUGUGAUCUAUAAAUCUUUCCAAGCUAGCACUAAAUCGAUCAUGUUUAUUCCAUUCGUAUCAUUUACCGAACCUCUAACUUCAACCUUCAAUCCUUCAUACCCUUUUAUAGUAGUUUCACUUAGUUGUUUUUGCGCUCAACGAUUGUAGUUACAAGCAACUUGUUUUAAAACCUUUCUAUCUUGUUUUACAAUGAAUGAUGUAUUGUUUCUAGGUUCGUCUAUGAUGCUUGUACCGAUUGUUUGCUGACGUUAGAAGGAGCUUUGCAAGGAUGAUCCAGGAGAGAAGUUUGAAGGUUUGGAUAGCAAGAUUCUGAAAGGCAAGUGUAACAUGAGUUCCCUUGUUACCUAAUAACUAUUUAAUCACCUCUUCGUGUGCAUGUGUCCAAUAUGAUAAAACCCUAAGGACUUUACCUAGAACUAUUGUAUCUCCUAUCCUUGUUUACCCUGGGGUUAUGCAUAUGGGUAGUUUGGUUAGUUUGCAAUCACCAAACUGUAUAAUAUUAAUACUGAUUAAUGAUUAUGGAAUAAAUAUUACAAUGAUGCUUUCUAGCAACUUGGAUAUCAUGGGGCUAGAGCAUUUGGCCUUUUUGGGUGCUCUAGUCUGCCCUCCGUAAGGACUGAAUCUUAAAGCGGCAACCCAGGACUUACAGUACAACCAUGAGAAUCAUAUGGCUCUGAUCUUAAUCAAGUAUCUAGUACGUCUCUAGCUUGUUAGUGGUUACCAAAAGGCGCAAGAGGGGGGUGCCUCGUAGUGUAUAGUUUUGCUCCUACCUUGGUGUGUACAGUGCCGCGACCACAUGUGCCUCUUGGAGGAGGUCUCUAUGCACACUUGCCGCUGAAACCUCGCGGCCACUAACUAGUUAGGGUGUCUAGUGAAAGGUUAUGUAGUGAUCCCUGCCGACUUACAUUGGAAGUGAGUCAAGAGGUUAGCCCCCUCGGGCAAAGGGCAAUCACGACUCAUGGGUAAAGAUAUACAUACUCUGCAAAGUUAUAAAAACUGAUAUAUCAGCCAUGCUCUCAAUCAAGAGCGGCCUGGAUCCUUUUCGAGAUAGAUGGUUCUAUUGAUGGUUUGGGUGAUGAUUAAUUUUGAUGAUAAUUAGACUUAUCACCUUGGGAGCUUAAGCAUAACCUAGCAACAUAGGUCUAAAAAAUAAAAUAUGACCAACAAAAAAUGCUUAUCGCAGUCAAACCAAGUCAAGCCUUUUGAGUCUUGCAUCCCCUCAUGUUAUACUUGUUGAGUAUGGUGCGCUCACACUUGCUUUACAUUCAACAAUCAAAAAUCCUGGAUGGGUACUAGAUGGUGAAUCAAAGGAGGAGUUCCCUAAGACAUUCCAGGAGUACUAGGCGAGUGUGCCCCCAGUCAACCAUCCCUGUGGAGUAUGGACCCCCAAAGAGAAGAUAUAGAAUAGUUUCUGCCAUGCUUUGUAAUAGAUGUAAGCCUUGUUGUAACUAUAUUCCGAUAUGUAAUAAAACAUUGUUCUUGAUAUUCUCCAUAUUUGUCGCUAUAUGUGUCGUGUGGACAUCCUGGGCACACAUAUAGUUAGCACUUGGUAUUCUUUGGAAAACUAGGUGCGACAAGAAACAACCAUGUGUUUGCAGCUUGCAGAUCGGACACUAAGUUUCCCAAAGGGAAUAUUGAAGAACCUCUGCAUCCGAGUUGGUACCUUGUAUGCCCCAGCAGACUUCGUGGUGAUAGAGACUGGUACUGAUGAGAGGGCACCCAUCAUCCUAGGGAGGCCAUUCCUGAACACCUCGGGAGCUAUCAUCUACGCUAGUGCUGCCAAGAUCAGUUUCUACAUCAAGGGGAGGAAGGAGACAUUUUCCUUCACGAACAAGACUACACAAAUCUCAGAGCAAUCCCGACAUGAACCAAGGAAGAGGACCAACAGGAGGAACAGGAACAAGCAAAUGUGGACCGAGUUAGCUAAGAUGGUCACUGCAGUUCAAGGAGGUCAAGAUCGUCGACUUAAGUCACCGUUCUUGACCAAAAAGGACGACCCAGGUAUGCCAAGCAUCCAGUGCUCCAUUAAUGGAUACAACUUCCAGAAGACGCUUUGCGACACCGGGUCAGGCGUCAACAUAAUGGCCGCAGUCACCUAUCAGCUCCUGUUCAGAACCAUGCCCCUAAAACCGACAUACAUUCAGCUCCAGAUGGCAGAUCAGACAUUCUGAAAGGUUGAAGGUAUAGUAACUGAUGUCCCUGUCAAAAUAGACGAUCAUUUUGUCCAUAUAGAUUUUUAGGUUAUUGACAUGGGAGAAGACGAGUACGAUCCACCCAUCAUCCUUGCGAGACCGUUCCUUAGCACCGUUAAAGCAAUCAUCUACAUUGGAACCGAAGAAGUCCACAUGCAUUUCCCCUCUGAGAAGGUACACCGCUAUUUUACUAACCCUAACUAUAUAGUUGAAGACUCUAAGCAGGUCAGGACAAGAAGAAGACGACGCACCCCAACCAGAGGAGGCAAAUCAUCAAGGACGGAUGGGCAGACUACGAAGGAGAAGUGGUGUGGAGAGAGAAGGUAGUUAUACACGAAGAGGAGGCGCCGCCGGAACCACCGACUACGCCAUCCAGCGAAUCCUAGGACUACUGAGAAAAUGGAGAGUCCCGUUCGGAGGACUUAAAAACACCGAACGCCUUGCUAAGAGGUAAACUUGGUAGUUAUCAUUUUCUUUUUAAUUAUUUAAAAUAGUUUGCUUAGUUAAAUAGGUUCAUAUCAUCUUAAAAAGAAAAUAAAAAUGUUAAAAUAGUAAUCCCCAUGUGAGUAUGCUCAUGGCAUAAAAUCCAUAAGUACAUUGUGGCAUAAAAAUAAAAUAAAUAUAUUCCUGUCCUAUAAAAAUGAAAAUAUAAAAAUAAAUUUAUGAUCCUACCAAAGAGGGUAAUAUUUAUUAGAGGAAGCUCAACAUGAUUACGGCUAAGAGAUUUUAUGCUAACACUUAACCAGUUCCACAAAGUUUUGUUGUCUAUUUGAGCUCCACAGAAUUCAAGGAUCGAAGAAGACUAGCACAAGAAGAACAUCCUAAUCGCUGUCAGGGUGCUGCCGACAUUCAAAUACACAUCCGCCACCUGCUAGCUACAUCAGAAGAAAUUACGUCAAAAUCCAGCUUGGAGGGAGAGCACCCCCAUUUAUCCAACUAAGUGUUGUACUCACGUUUAUACUUUACACAAAUAAUAAAAAGAUGCAUAAUCAUAAAAACCCAAAUAAAAAUUUGUGCUUAUAUAUAUAUAUUUGCUUAGUUUUCUAAAUAAAUAAAUAAAAAAAGUUUGCUAUGAACCCUCAUGACAAGCUCUCACAUGGAAAUGAUGAAUAGUUGCUCUGCCAUAACUAGUUCUUAAAAUUGAAAUCUCUCCCAAGUUUAGGCAUGACUGUUACUAACUAAGAAUUGCUCUAAACCUAAACUUGUGGGAAGAGUACUUGAUCUAAAGUCUAAGUCGUUAACGGAUACGAUAUGGCAAGGUUGAGCUGCUGUUUAUAUGUUCCUAGAGAUGCUAGAAUUCUAGAGAAUUUUAUCUUUGAAAAAUCUUUAAAAUGUUGCAUGAUGAGUUCCUGUAAGAUGAGAGUUUAAAAUCCUACCACAGCCAUAUAUACAUGCUUAUUAGACUAUGAACCAUACAUUUACUUUUUACUGCUUAUGAGCAUUGAGUGUGGUCAAGUUGUGUAGAACCUUAGGAGCUUGUCAUGCGGUUAAAAUCAAGAUUCACUUGCACGUUCACUCAUACAUGCUGCAUCUACUCCAGAAGUACGCAUCCACAUACAUCCACUCAUUUCCAUAUCCAGAUUCACCCAAAUUUAUUCUACUCCUAUCUAGGAGAGAAUAGCCAAAAACAUUAUCCUAUCCCUGUUAUUCCCCGUGAAAUAAAUGCUCGAGAUAUUUUGGUUACUACCACUUGCUACAAUAUUCUCAGAGGGUGAGUGCUAUAAAAAAAAGUGAAUACGAGGAAAUAAAAAGGGGCAUGUGCCCGAAACCUCAAAAAAAAGAAAAAAGAAAAAGUGAGACGAGAGGUAAAAAUGGACAAGUGUCCGAUAGUAGAAUUAGGGGGACAAGAUACCCACCUGAGAGAAAAGAAAAAUAAAAUAUAGAGCUUCUCAUUCCCCUCAAAAGCCUCAAGUGCAAGGAAGGUAUGUACCCCCUCAAAAGAGCAAAAGUAGAAUUAGACUUUCACCAUUAUUUUCACCAUUAUCACCAUUCAUUCGCCACACAUGCACAUCUUGAUUUGACUUAUUGACUUAUUCUUCUAGAUCCUUGGUUUGACUAUGCAAUAAAUGUCUUGUAAGUAUGUAUUAGCUGUCUCCCACCUAUGCGCUCCAGAUAUCAAAACAUUAUUAGAGUAUGGUGAGAGAGAAGGCAAUUCCACUAUGCCUCAUACCAAAAAUACCACAUACUUUGAGAGAAGGCAUACACCAUUACAGCCUUGGUAAGGAUCCAGAAAUACAACAAAAGAGAGACUAGAGAGAGUUAUACAAGGAAUCUCUGAGUAUUAUUUGAAAAUCUACAAAAACUCUAGAGCUAUAGUUAAUCGAAGAACAAGAGACAUGGCGCUUGACUAGACCGUUCUAUCUUUUAACUGCUCAAGACAUAAGUGACGGUUGCAAGCCCCAUGGUGGAAGGAAAAAUGAGUAAGUUUAAAUCUUAACAGUUUACCCUAACAUAGAGAUGAGAUCUUGUUUGAACGCAUGUGCACCUUUAAGGCAUGAAACCACUGCAGAAACUCUUGAGUCUAUCCUUGCUCAGGGACGAGCAAAGGUUAAGCUUGGGAGAGCUUGUUGACGGUCCUGAAUGCUCACAUUUAAUCGUCAACUAAUCAUGGAAAAGGAUUUAAAUGCAACCGACACCUAGACUUAGGGUUUUAUCUGAUAGAAUUCCACAAGUUUUGGUGUUUGUCUAUUUCUGCAGGAGGUUAUCAGAAAAUAUGGAGGAAAGGCCCACACGUCGGGUUUACAUAGAGAUAUUAACGUGUACGCAAAUUUUCUAUCAUCUAGAGGACUCGAGAAGCUACGAGAAUGAACGGGAGACCGAGCGGGCCCGGGGGUAGGGCGCCCGCCCUCCCCCCUUGGGCGCCCGCCCUGCCCUGGUGACCAAUCAGGGCAGGUCUCGCGGAUCGUGCUCCACCGCCUUUGAGGAUCAAGGAAAACCGUGUGAUUAAGGUGGGUUUGAUCCGACGGCCCACGUUCAUUUGGAAGGGCUAUAUAAGCAGCCCCCCUAGCCCCUGGAGAACAUACCUCUUCUACAGAAUCAAAGCUAGGGUUUCAAUUAUUCAUCCAAGUAGAGAGGAUCCCUCUAGUUCAUAUAGUUCUAGUUCUAGUUCUAGUUCAUCUAGUUCUAGUUCUAGUUAGUUCUAGUUGUAAUCUAGAAAAUAGGGAGAGAGAACAGGAGAGCGGAGGAGGAGCCGGAUCUGUCAGAUCUUCCUCAACAUUAUACUUUUGCAGCAACUAGUUCGUUCUUCAUCGUUCUCCAAGUUCUUUAAUUCAUAAUUCCUGAGUGCUUUAAUUACUUUUAUUUACAUUCAAGUUAUUUAUUGGAUUCCAGCUUGCAUCAAGUGCUCUAGUCUUUGAAAUGCUAGAGUAGUAAUUAAUAGAUUAGACGUGGUUUUUAGUCUUGCAAUUACCUGGAAUUACACCCAAUCCUGUGGAUUGUUGUGGUAGCCCUAGGGUAGUGACAGCCCUAACGGUCGACGUAUUCCACCUCGUUCGGAUCGGUGUUUGUAGGACCGAAGUCAGAGCAUCCUAGCCCCCUUCUCAUCUCUUUCUGAGGUUAGUGAUCUGAUGUCCUGAAAUAAAUAUUCUUUGAAGUAAUUCUUGAUUUUUAGAUAAACUAGAGAACUCUCAGGAAACUUCCUCUCUUCCCACCAAUAAUAAUUAUAUAGUUAUCCUUGGGUGAUCUUGAAUCUUAAUUAGUACACUCACGUUCCCUAUGGAAAAUGAAUACUCUGGAAUACUCCUAGGUGAAAGCUACAUCGGUAUCCGUGCGCUUACGGAUUUUUCUGUUUGCGUUUAAAAUACCCAACAAGCUUUCUGGCGCCGUUGCCGGGGAACGGUAGAUGGCUACGACCUUGGCCCUGAUCUAAUAGCCAUGAUUCAGGAGCAACCCUUCUCUGGGAAAGUAGAUGAAGAUCCAUACACCCACCUUAGAGAAUUCGAGCAGUUGUGCUCUUGUCGAUCUAUUUCCGGCAUGACACAAGAAACCCUUAAAUGGAAAUUAUUUCUGUUCUCCCUUUUGGGAAGAGCAAAAAAGUGGUAUACUCAUUCUGUAGGAGGCAUUAAUGGAAAUUGGGAUGAACUUCGGGACAACUUUUGUCUGGAUUUCUUCCCACUUUUUCGAAUCGCUGACCUUAGAAUCGAAAUUCUUACAUUCAAUCAAAGAGAGAAGGAAACUUUAGGAUCAGCUUGGGCUAGGUUCACAAGCCUUAGCAAUUCCAGUCUAAACCUUUCCCUACCUGCCCAUGUAUUGUACUACCACUUUUCUCAUGGUCUAAACAAGGAAGGUGCUCUUCACCUCGACAUUGCUUCAGGAGGCUCAUUCACACACAAACUCACUGAUGAGGGGAGAGCUAUCUUAGAGAGAAUUCUUGAAAAUACCCCUUACACAGGCAUUUAUGAUGAGUUCCCUGAAGAAGAAAAAGAAGUCGAGCCUGAUCCUAAACCAAAAGAUGAGGAACUUGCAACCGAGUUAGAAAUUCCACCUAACCCAUCUAUUAAUUUGGUUGUAGAGAAACCUCCUGAUAAGGGAAUGCAAAACUAACUAAGGGAUGAUGAACCACCACCUUUAGAGCAUCCCUUUGAAUUCGAGGAAGAUCUUUUUGAAGAUUAUGGAAACACCUCGAAUUUUCCUAUCCAAACACGAUCUCUAGCAAGGACCACUCAAUCCAUUCUAAGAGUAGAAUCUGUUGACAUAGAACACAUCAAAAGCCUUUCGGCUAUUCUAAGUUAUGAAUGGCUAACAGAAGCAGAGCUGUCUCCUGAGGUAGCUCGCAUCAUCACUCCUUCAACCAUUCUUCUGUGCCAAUUUAGAGGGUCCGCUAGGAAGGUCCACUACAAUCCAUAUGUUGGGAUAAAUGUUAUUUCCAAGGAGUUAGCUGACACUCUUUAUCCCAACGAGUCUAUAACCCCAUCUCAGAAACUUUUACAAAGUCCAUCUAGAUUAAUUCUAGAAAGCCAUGGGGUAUUAAGGGUAGUUCCUGUUAGAAUCAAGGACUCUGGAAUAUGUCUAGAUUUUCACAUUUUUGACAUACUGGAGAUUCCUCUCUUGAUUGGCAGACCAAUCAUGAAACUUCUACAAGAACAACCACAACGAGGUCAUUUAGACUUCAAGGUUGGAAAUUCCACUAUUGUUGUUCCUCUUGCUAGAUCAAUUAACACGAAAGUGGAACCCAAACUUGAACCAGAUCCUAUUGAGGAGAUCUUAAUGCUGACUCAAGAGGAGAUGGCCCAACCAUUCUUUAAUCAUGAACACUUUAAUCAUGAACACAUACCGAUUAUGAAACACAACAACUUGUCACUGUUCUUGAAAGGCAUAGAUCAGCAUUUGGCUACUCUCUCGAAGAUGUCACGGGCAUUAGUCCCAUUCUCUGCACUCAUCGUAUCCCUAAUGAUCCCAAUUUUACACCUUCAAGGGAACCACAACGCAGACUUAACAAUGCUAUGAGAGAGGUUGUUAAGAAAGAGGUCCUCAAACUCUAUCAUGCUGGGAUUAUUUAUUCUGUGCCACAUAGUGAGUGGGUUAGCCCUGUCCAAGUAGUGAGAAAAGAAAGGAGGAAUGACGGUCGUUAGGCAUGAGAAGACUAAACUCAUCCCUCAACGAAUUGUCACUGGGUGGCGUAUGUGUAUUGACUAUCGAAAACUCAACAAGGCUACAAUGAAAGAUCACUUUCCUUACCCUUCAUUGAUGAAAUGUUGGAACGGCUUGCAAACCACUCUUUCUUUUGUUUCCUUGAUGGUUAUUCUGGAUAUCACCAAAUCCCAAUCCUCCCAGAUGACCAAGAAAAUAUUACCUUUACAUGCCCAUAUGGAACAUGCAUACCGACGAAUGUCGUUUGGAUUGUGCAAUGCUCUAGCUUCUUUCCAACGGUGCAUGAUGUCUAUUUCCUAGGACAUGAUUGAGAAGAUCAUGGAGGUUUUCAUGGAUGAUUUUACCGUCUAUGGUAAAACCUUCGAUCAUUGUUUGGAGAAUUUAGAUAGAGUAUUGCAGCGAUGUGAAGAAAAGCACUUAAUCCUGAACUGGGAGAAAUGCCAUUUUAUGGUUCAGGAAGGAAUAGUGCUAGGACAUAAAGUGUCCGAACGUGGUAUAGAGGUGGACAAAGCAAAGAUUGAAGUUAUUGAAAAACUUCCACCUCCCACGAAUGUGAAAGGAAUCCAUAGCUUUUUGGGACAUGCAGGGUUCUAUAGACGCUUUAUCAAGAACUUCUCUCAAAUUGCUAGACCCCUAACUAGUCUCCUAGCUAAGGAUGCACCUUUCAUCUUUAGUGAUGAGUGUCAUGAAUCUUUUCAAACACUUAAGAAAGCACUCAUCUCAGCCCCGAUUAUCCAACCACCUGAUUGGAAUCUUCCUUUUGAGAUCAUGUGUGAUGCUAGCGAUUUUGUGGUUGGUGCUGUUCUAGGACAAACCAAGGAUACAAAGCAUUAUGCCAUAUCCUACGCUAGCAAAACCUUGUCUGGACCACAGCACAAUUACACUACAACUGAAAAAGAGCUUUUGGCUGUUGUCUUUGCUAUAGACAAGUUUAGAUCUUACUUAGUGGGGGCAAAGAUAAUCAUCUAUUCAGACCAUGCUGCUCUCAAGUACCUCCUCACUAACAAAGAUGCUAAGCUUUGUCUAAUUCGAUGGAUUCUUCUACUCCAAGACUUUGACAUAGAAAUCUGAGAUAGGAAAGGAGUUAAGAAUUCUGUAGCCGACCACUUGUCUAGUCUUCAAUAUAAGGAAACACAUGAUGAGCUUCCCAUAAAUGACUACCUAAGGGAUGACACCCUACUUAAGAUACCACAUGCAGAUCCAUGGUACGCAGACAUCGUAAACUUUAUAGUAAAACGCUAUGUCCCACCUGGUACAAACAAAAGGAAGUUGCUUCACGAUAGUCGUAUCCACCUUUGGGAUGAGCCAUAUCUUUUCUGAGUCUGUGCUGAUGGACUCUUGAGAAGGUGUGUUCCUAUGGCUGAGGCUACUCAAAUUAAGGAAAGAUGCCAUGCCUCGCCAUAUGGAGGACACUAUGGAGCAUUCAGGACACAUGCUAAAAUUUGGCAAAGUGGCUUUUUCUAGCCAACGAUGUAUGAAGAUACAAAGGACUUUGUCAGGCGAUGCCACCGAUGUCAAAAACAUGGGAAUAUCAACUCACGAAAUGAAAUGCCUCUCACAAAUAAUCUUCAAGUAGAACUUUUUGAUGUAUGGGGCAUUGAUUUCAUGGGGCCAUUCCCUAUGUCUGGGAAUUGCGAGUAUAUCUUAGUAGCUGUGGACUACGUGUCCAAAUGGGUAGAAGCCCUACCUUGUCGAUCAGCUGAUUCAAAACAUGCCAAGAGAAUGUUCCAUGAAGUAAUCUUUCCUCGCUUUGGUAUACCCCGAAUAGUUAUAAGCGAUGGAGGUUCCCACUUCAUCGACAAAAUCUUUCGGAAGUACCUAGCCGAUCAUGGAGUUCGGCACAACGUCACAACACCGUACCAUCCUCAGACUAGCGGUCAAGCCGAAACAUCUAAUAAACAAAUCAAAAUAUUUUACAAAAGACCGUAGAUGAGAUGGGUAAGGGGUGGAAGGACAAACUUCCUGAUGCACUUUGGGCAUAUAGAACUGCAUUCAAAACACCCAUAGGCAUGUCACCUUAUCAACUUGUAUAUGGAAAAACUUGUCAUUUGCCUGUGGAAGUAGAGUUUAAGGCUCAUUGGGCACUCAAGAAAUGGAACAUGGAUCUCCACCUCGCUAGCAAGAAUCGUCUGAUGCAACUAUCUGAGCUAGAAGAAUGGAGAGAGAAAGCCUACCACAAUUCAAGGAUCUAUAAAGAGAGAACAAAACGAUGGCAUGAUAAGAUAAUCAAGCAUAAGGAGUUUAAGCCUAGAGAUAAGGUUCUACUAUUCCAUUCAAGAGUUAAGCUCUUUGUGCAUGGUAAGCUACGAAGUAAGUGGGAUGGACCAUACAAGGUUAUUGACACUUCAACUCAUGGAGCCAUUACCAUCCAAGAUGACAAAGGUAACACUUUUAUGGUAAAUGGUCAACGCUUGAAAAUCUAUCUCGAGCCACAAAACAACCUGGUAGAGGAACUUGAUAUGAUUGAGUUCAUAGAAUUCUCAUAUUAAGCUCUCAUAAGCUCUAGACAAUUACCUAACCCUUAACAUGCUCCACAAGUUUUGUUGUCUAUUCGGGUUGUGUAGGAUUUUGAGACUUAAGAAAAGUGAGACCGAACAUGCAGGCCACAAGAGUGAACGACUAUGUCAACAUCCAGCUUGGGGGAGGCAUCCCCACGUGUAUCUUGAUAAGUAUUACUUUUCUUUCUUGGUUUUAUUUACUAGUAUUUGGAAAUAAAUAAAUAAAUAAAUAAAAAUGCAUAACCAUGAAACCAAACAAAGUAUUUCUUUUGAGUAACAUACAAUAGUUUUGUGUAAUCCUAAGUUUUAAAUAAAAUAAAAAGAAAGUUUGAUCCAAGUCUAGGUUUGACAAACAUGAUAUGAGAAGGUCUGAGCUACUAUUUAACUUGUUCCAAGUUUUGCUAGAGUUCUGGAGAUUUUAUCUUUUGAAAAUCUAAAAAAAAUUGAGAUCCUGUUUGACAUAAUACCUAGAGUCUUAUAAGAUAUAAAUAUUAAAACUGUGGGCACUUGCUUUGUUCAAGCCAUUGUUAAUUCUUGUAGUUUUGGUUGAGAGAAUUAUCAUGCUCCCAAGAUCAAGAUCUUUUUGUUUUAAAAAUAUAAAAGUUUCACUUUUCUGAAGUAUUAUUGCGUUAGAGGCAUGGGACUAUUCAAAAAUUUGAUUCGAAAAAAAGAGAAGUGAGACGAGAGGUAAAAAUGGACAAGUGUCCGAAGUAGAAUUAGUGGUACAAAGAUACCCACCUGAGUGGAAAAAAUGGACAUGUGUCCGACAGUAGAAUUAGGGGUACUUGCUGCCCACUUGAAAAAGAGAAAGAGAGAAAAAGAAAAGAAAAAUGAUAGCCCAUGGUCCCUCUAAUAAGCAAUAUGCCAGUAAGAGAUGACAAACUUUUCAAAAAGGUCAAAGGUCUUGAUCUAGGAGUCUAACAUUCCUCAACCUUGCUCCGAGCAUUGACAUAGCAAAAUGCAAAGUAAGUAUGCUAAAACUUUUAAAGCUCUACUUAUAUAUCUUUCAAGAAGAAGGCAAAUGCCUCAGUUUUAUUUUGGAAACUUACAAAAAACUCCAGAACAAAAGUUAGAUAGAAGAACUUGAGACAUAGUGCUUGACGCGAUCGUUCUGUUUUUCAAUCACUUAAGACCCUAGUGAUAAUUUAAAAACCCUGUAGUAACAAUAAAAGCAACCAGUGUUUUCUUGCUGAUUUUAGCUUUGCUCAGGGACGAGUGUUGAUAUUUGGGAACGCAAUAAGGAAUUGAUCCGCAAGCGCACGGAUAUCGGUGAGCACUUCACCCGGGAAAUUAUCCAGAGUAUCGUAUUUAUUUUUUACCACUAGGAGAAAGAGUGCAUCUGACUAACCGGUCUAUUACUACUAACCUUUAGGCACAAAGAAUGUCUUUCGAUGUGAGUGAUAAAUAGAGAAGACUGCAACCGUAGUCUCCUUCUAACCUUGGUAAGGAUGAUCUACUGUUCUAAUAAGGAGGCUAACGGAAUCUAGACACCACAAAGGAUGUUCGACCCGCACCUAUAAACCCUAUCCUUCCUGCUAACGAGAUGUGAUCUACAAAGGUAGCUCGGAAUUGUCACGUUCCACACUACUACCACGGUCCAGCUAGUCAGAGAAUAUCUAUGAGUACCCCAGCCUAAACACCACGUUUACGCCAGCAAUGAUUACUCUAAACUCUACGCGAAGAGAUUAAAGUAAACUCAUAAACCAUAAGAACAAUAAAACAAGAACUUACUAGAAUUUAGAAGUCGAAAUACUGAAGAAUCCUAGGAGCAAGCUUCGGGUUAGGAGAACUUGAUCCCGCAGGUACAAGCUUGGAGUAGACACCGACAGGCCGGGCUUCCUCCACUCUACACCUCCACUCUAUCUCUCUCAAUCUAGUAGAAACUAGAAGAUCUAUUUCUACCUUACAUUGAUUGCUAAGCCUAAAAAGAAAUAUUAAUUAGAGAAGAGGUUUUCCUUCGAGGGCACCCCUCAGUCUCUAUGAUAAUUUCUUCAUGUCUUCUCCAGGGGCCAGGGGGCCUUGCUUAUAUAGUCCUCCCCUUCUAUGCGUUUUUGGGUCGAUAGCUGAGGUGGUACUAUGUUUUUCUUGAUCCAAUAGGUCGGUGGAAUAUCCCGAGCGAAAGAGUCCUGAUUUGGCUCCAGCAGGGGGGCGGGUGCCCAGGCUUCUAGGGCGGGUGCCCUGGGCCUGGCCCAGUUUUGCCUCCGCUUCGGUCUCGUGGCUUCUGGAGUCUUCUAGAUGAAGUAAAAUUGCGCGGUGCGUUGAUAUCUCUAUGUAAUCCCGACAUGUGGGCCUUUCUUCCUUAUUUCCUGAUAAUCCCUUGCAGAAAUAGAUAAACAACAAAACUUGUGGAAUUCUGUCAGAUCAAACCCUAAUUCUAGGUGAUGGUUGCAUAUUGGUCCAUUCUCUUGUUUAUUUGAUAAUUAAAAUUGAUACUUAAGAACCGUCAACAACGAGCAAAGAUAAAGCUUAGGGGAGCUUGUUGACGGUCCUUAAUGCUCACAUUUAACCGUCAACUAAUCAUGGAAAAGGACUUAUAUGCAACCAACACCUAGACUUAGGGUUUCAUCUGACAGAAUUCCACGAGUUUUGGUGUUUGUCUAUUUCUGCGGGGG
Molecule: long non-coding RNA, 413833 nt
Filed under: Sorghum bicolor (sorghum)
Lineage: Eukaryota; Viridiplantae; Streptophyta; Magnoliopsida; Poales; Poaceae
Description: long non-coding RNA (SBIC_LNC017665)
Rfam family: Plant small nucleolar RNA R71 (bases 86228-86334)
Source: RNAcentral